UUUCACUACAACAGAAUUAGGUUAUAGGGACACAUGUUUGGGACACUUUUGAGUAAGUGUCCCAUUUAUACUAAAACUUAAAAAAAUAUCUACUUAUACCUAAAUAUAAAGCCCAAUCCAACCAAAAAUAAAAGAUUACUCUACUCAACCCAUCACACCCAGUCCAUUUGACCCGAUUACAAACAGAAAAGAAAAAAAAAGAAAAAUCAAUUACCAUCUUUUCUUCUCUCUUCACUCAAUUCACAGAAAUUCUAGACGAAGGUCUUUCCUGUCGUCCUCCUCCGUCACCGUAGCCAAUGAGAUAGAGUUUCAGCGGUUGCUAAAUACUUAAAUAAGUGUUGGUAAAUUAGCAGCACUCUUUUAGGCUAUAGCGACACUCUUUAACUGUCACUAUAUACCUAGCGACUCCACAUAUAGCAACACUUUUUAAAAGUGUCGGUAAUUUUAGCUAGCAGCACUUUUUUGACAUGUACCUACAUUUAAAAGUAUCGCUAUAGACCGUUUUUGUUGUAGUGUUUAAAUCAACUUUACGAGCAUUUACCACAUUUGCAUUUGGAUUGUUAGAUUUUAUGCAGAUCAUAAAAGCUCAAUUAUAUAUAUAUAUAUAUAUAUAUAUAUAUAUAUAGGUUUGAACGGUUGGAUUUUUUUUUUUAGAAAAAGGUAGCACGCUACCCGCUUCAUUCAUUGAAAAAAUCAACUAGGCUACAAGAGUGGGGCAUCUAGGGCCCCGAUAAAAAAAAAAAAGAAAAAAAAAGGUUCAAGUAGGUAGAACUGAAUCCCACUCCUUCAGUAACUGCCGGAGAGUGAUGACAACCCUCUCAGGGUUCGGAUGGAUUUCUCUAAAGAUCAUGUCGUUUCUGGCCUUCUAAAUACACCACCAGCAACCGACUAAAUGUGUAAGGCAGUCUCUUUUCUUUCUUCGGCUCUUCCUAAUCCUUCACCUAUCCCAAGCGCGGUUAACCUCAUCCUCCAUGUCUAGAGUCUGAACUCCAUCUACACCCGACACUAAGAUGAACUUGCUAAAAAAACACCUCUAGUGAACAGAUGGUCUACUGUUUCCUCGGCCGACCCGCAUAGUACGCAGGUUGAGUCUUGAACCCAACCUCUUUUAACUAAUCUAUCGGUCGUAGGGAUUCUCUUAUUAAGAACCAGCCAGCAAAACACUUUAACCUUAAAAGGGAUUUUGACUCUCCACAUUGAGCUCCAGUAACUAUGUUACAUCUUAAUUUUAUCUCUCGAACAUUCACUACAAAUCCAAUAUGUAACUAAACUCAUAUCAACAAGGUACGUACAUGCAUAUCAAGUUGACUUUCGGAAUGAAAACUAAAUCCAAACAUCAAUUGAUCUAAAUAUUUCUUAAUAUACUAAUCUGAAAAAUAACAAAAGUAUAGUUGCGAAUAAAUAUCAUUAAAUUGCUUUGACAUUCGUUCAUUUGUCGCCUUAUUUAACAAAAUGAUGACUUCGAAAUGGCCCAGCAUGAAUCCGGCCAUUUAAGACCAUAAAAGGGAUUUUUCCCCCUUUUUUAACCACUCAAUAGUCAAUCCAACAAAAUAGUAAUUAAUGUAGGAGUUGCUUCCGUUGAAAGUUUCCCAAUCAUUACUAAUAAUUAAAGUGAUAAAUUAUUAAAAAUUUUGCCGUGACUGUUAUUUUAUUAAGUAGAUAAUGUACCGGCCCUAAUUGAAAUAAAUUAGGAAUAUACAUAUACAUAUACAUAUAUAUAUACAUAUACAUAUACAUAUAUAGUGAACAUAUACAUAUAUAGUGAGGCUACUAUGCUAUCGGAAGCACGGAGCCUUCCGUGCUUCCAGCUCGUUUUCGAUGUUGCCACUUUCGAAGAAAAAAAAAGGUGAUUAAGUUAAGCACGUAAGAAAAUUUAGUUCUUUAAUAAAUAAUUUUAAAGAAUAUCUUAGCCUGAUUAUAUCCGUUCAAAUUAAAUGUCGUGGACUUAUUUUGUCUAGUAAGAAACGGCUGAAAAUAUAUAGCAUGUCUUAGACAUCUUCUCUUUCAUGUUUAGCUUGAAAUAUGUGGACUGAUGAGAGAGUAAAGAGAGAAAAAAUAUGAAAUUUAAUUAGAUAAUAGAUGUCGAAAAUUUAACUUUCAAAUUUUAAAACUGAGUAGACUUAGAACGGCUCUGAAACCAUAUUAAUAAGCAUCAAUCUAUCUAAUAAGAUAGAAAAUAGUCUUUAAACCAAACGGAGGUACUCUGAUGACCUUUGAUGAAAGCGAGACGCAUUAAUUUUUACAACAAAAUGAAUUAGAAUUUUUUGUUUCUCUAAAAAGAUAAUGGUGUGACUUGUUACAACUUACACCAAAGAGUUAUAUUUCCUUGUUUAGGGAUUAAGUCAAUUUGCACAAAAAAAAAAAAAAAAAAAAAAAAAAAAAAAAAAAAAAAACAUAUAUAACUAUAUAACUAUCUAGAUAGGGAGUUCUAUUACUUAAUUAAGUUUGCUUUAGUGAUUUCAAAAUUAAUAUUAAAAAUGCAUCAAUAUUCUUUAACUACUACAAGCGUAUACACCAUCUACAAAGACUUGUAAAUUCCUUUGUUAAUUACCAAAUAUAAAAUUUUCCUAUUACACAUGUAUAAGGCCAUAAAAAUAUCUCAUAUUAUUGCCAUCAUAAUGGUAAGAUUUUCCUUUGUUACUUGUUUUUUUUUUCUCUCUCUUCUAUUAUAUAUUUUUUUGAAACAUAUAAAACAAAUGCACGAUGAGUACGAGGGAUAUAGUGUGGCAUAACAUUUAGUGGUUGUUUAGUCCCGGCAUGUAUUUGCAACUCUAUUCUAAUUGUAACUAUAUGCAAAUUUAAAUUCAGCGUAUGUUUUAAUACAUUUGAAUUCAACUAAUAUAUUUAUAACUGCACAAAAAGAUUCAACUACAGUAGUCACUUGAAGGGAGCAAGUUUAAACAAAAGUAAGCUUACCUUUCUAAUAAUUUUUAUUUUUAUUUUUUUCAUUUCCUGCACAGAGGCCAGGUAAUCUCAUUAUUAUUAUUAUUAUUAUUAUUAGAUCUAUAUAAUGAUAGAAAAUAGUAAAUCCAUCUUUCAGCUACAUGCGACCAAAUAAAUUAUUUAUAAUUAAAACGCUUUGUUAGAACUAAAACCGAGAAGAUCUAGUUCGUCGGAUGCGAAAAUACCAAAAGAGAUCCGAGAAAGAGAGAAGAAACAUAAAGCACACAAUAUUUACGUGGUUCGGCCAACGGCCUACGUCCACGGGCGAAGACGGAGCGAAAAUCUUCAUUAGAAUCAAAGUGGUGUACAAAAUAUGCCUCUCUCACAAAACCCUAAUCCUAAAAAAUACACCCAUAUUUCCUCUUUCAUCUUCCGCACUAAACUAAAGGAAUAAAGAGUAUAUUUAUAAUAGUGGUUAAAUCCUAAUACAAUUAGGAAUACAAAUCCACUAAGAUUAGGAAUAUCUCGAUAAAUUAGGCAUAAUUUAAACUUAACUUAAUUGGAUAAUCAAAAUAGAAUAGGGAUAGAAAAUCUUGCGGUACUAGAAUUCGAGACAUAUCUAACACGCUUUUUAUUAUAUAGAACCAAAUAAAAUGCAUAUAAUUAAAAUUACUGUAUUUUUAAUUGCAUACAUUAUUAGCUAUACUGUAUUUAUAAUUUUACCGAGCCAAAGAGGCCUUAGGUUUAUUAGCCUUUGUUUUGACACCACAAUUAUACAUACUACGUACGUACGACACAAGAUAAAUGGCGAACCAAACCAUGAUAGACUAGCAAGCUCAAAGUGUGUUGCAUUGAGCCGGCAGGAAAGAUAGCACCUCAUUGUCCAAAUCGUAGAGUAUGUGCAUAUUCUGCUGCAUGAAGUUGCCGAACACCGAUACGUCGGACGAGCUCGCCAUUGCGAGGCACCACAAAUCUAGAUCAGGGAUCGGGCGCAUGUAGUUCUCCGCCGGCAAAUCCAUGUCGGCGCCAUCGAAGUGAAACGUCAUCGACGGCAUUUGCGGAGGAGACGAACCGGCUUCCAACGUGUAACAUAGAUCGUACCCUAUAUCGGAACCGUCGUCGAUCGGAAGGUUCACUACUGAUUCGAUUGCCUGCGUCACGGGUUGAUACGCUUCGUCGACCAAAAGAGUAAGUGUGGUGCCGGAGUCGAUGAUCAAACCGCCGCUUCCGUCCGGCUUCAAGGCGAAAGCCGUCGACGGGAUCGAAACCAAGGUAGAACCUAGUGAUAUACCUUUCAAAGAUAGGUAAUAGUAGGUGUUGUUAGGGUUUGGGUUUGAGACAAACGGAGUGGAUAGUGUUGCACUGCUAUUGAGACUAGCCAGUGAUCCGAGAAAAAGUGGACUAGCACUCGUAGUAUCGACAAAAGAAGUGAGACAGUAGGAGAACUUUCCGACACCCAACUGAGAUAUCAACGACAAGUUCCCCCUCCCGAGCCCGACUAUGCCGGAGGAGUUGAAGAAGUACAUAGUGCUUGCGUUGCCGCAGCCCAAACCGAUGUUGGGUACCGCGACCGGGUCGGAGGAUUGGAAUGUGAAGGUCUCAGUUGCGAGAACUCCCGUGGCGGAUGUGUAUGUUUGUGUGUAAAUAUCACCGUAACCGAAAUCGUAAUGGCAAUUUCCCAGAUAACAUGAGGCUUGGGAGUUUUCGACAAAGAGGUUUUCGCAUAGGGGACUAUCGCACGGCGGCACCGUGAAGGUGGAGGAUUCGGAGGAAUUGUAGGUAGGAGUGAGAAAAUCGGAACAUAGAUCGCAGGGCUGGCACAUGAGCCAGACGAGGUCGCUGCCAGUAUCGGCAAUCCCGGUGUAGGUCACCGGAGGGGUACCGAUCGAUAGGUCGAUGAGGUACUCCCCGACAGCCCCGUGGACGGGAACGGGAACUCUGACGUUGGCAGCGGCAUUGGCGCUGAAGCAGGCCAACCGAAUCCUGUCCCGUUGGAGCUCGCGGCGGACGAGCUCGGCCCCCGUGACCUCGCCCUUGGAGCCAAUGCGAUAGAUUUCGACUCGGGCACCAUCGAAGGGAGAACAGAAGGGGGAAAAAGUGGAGAAAAGGAUGAGAAUGAGGAGCAUUUGGGUCAUCUUCGUGGGAUUAUAUUCUAUAUGAUUAACAACUUACUUAAUAUAUUGAUUAAGGCGAUGGUAUAUGGUAGAAGAAAAAUGUUAGUUACCAAAUUGUAUCUGUUGCCAUGCACAAUGCAUGCAUGAAUCCUAAUUCGCGCGAAAAACUCAAUGGCGGGUACAGGUGGAACAGGAGUUAACUCCGGAGCUCUCAAUCGCGCCUUCGACUUCUCCGAUUUUACGGCGAAAUUGAAUCUUACAUCGUUGCGCACGAAAAUGACAUGUCCACAACCACAUUAUAUAAUUCUUCAGAAAAAAGAAAGAAAAAAAGAAAGAAAUUAAGAAAGAAAGAAAAUAUAGUCAUGCAUGCAUGCAUGCAUGAAGUGGCGAGUCUACAAUUAACCUCCAAAAGAAUGUGGAGUGCUCGCUUAUAUAUGGGAAUCAUAGGAGAUUAAACUAUAUAUAUAUAUAUAUAUAUAGAAGAACAUGCAUCAAGUGGUAACUAAAAUAUACAUAGUAGACUCCAAUUAAUGAAAGGUAUGAGCAUACAAAAUAAGCAAAUCUAAGUGGACUUUAACGGGAAUAUUGUAUUUUAAGUCAUGAUUGGGAAUCUUAAUUAUUUGCCACCAACUACUGUUCACUUAAAUAAUUUCCAACCAUGUUAAUAAAUCUAAAGUCAAUGAUGGACUCUAUAUGACCGUUUACUAUGAGGAGAGUGUCCACAAAAAGUUUCUGCUCAAGUAAUAUAUAUAUAGUUCCCACCCAAAAAUAAAAAUUAAAAAACAACUAUCUAAAUUUUGAACACAGGAUUUUGUACUCUAUUAGUAUGUGAAAUAAUCAAUCACUCUAAGAACUUAAUCCGCCAAAAAUUAGCAUACUCUUUAUUUUAUAUUCAACAAUAUAUAUGGUAUUUCUUCUUGUAAAAGCUCCUCCGAAAUUUUAAAGCAUUACAUAUUUGUUAUUGUUAGUUAACUUUCUUCAAUUAAUGACUAUUUUUCACUGUUAUGAUUGACAAGCUCUUGUAAAAAAAAAAAAACACAAAAUAAUUUUUUAAGGAUUUAAAAUUUAGGUUCAUGUAGAAUAUUCAAAAUAAGGUUUUUUUAUUUUAGAUGAAGAUAGCAAACUAUUUCAUUUUUAAAAAAAAAAAAAAAACUUAGCUAAAAAUAUGAAUUAAUUAGGAUCUGGAAUACCAACCACCUAGUUUACAUAAGCUAGAAUAAAGAUAUUAUAGGAAUUGAUAAAAAUAUCUUAAGGCUCCGUUUGAUUGGCGGUAUAAGCGGGGAUAACGGAAGUUAUCCCCGCUAUUCCGCCAAACAAAAUAAUUUUUGGCCGGAAUAUUUUAUCCCAGUCAAACUUUGCUAUUUCUGACUAUUCCGGAAUAGAUUGGGAUUUGCUGUUCCACCAUUUUGAUGGAAUAGUGCUAUUCCAAUAUUUAAUUUCAAACUUAAUUAAAAUUAUGAAUUGAAUUAAAACUAAAUUAUAUAAAUAUAAUAUGUUAUAUAUUAUAACACAUUUUUUUGUUAUAAAAUUAUUAAUUGUACUAUAUUAAUAAUAUUAUUUAUUAUUUAAAUAUUAUAAUAAAUUUUAUAAUAAAUUAUAUUUAAAUAUUAUAAUAAAUUAUUUUUAUUAAAUUUAAGUUUAAGUAGAAAUUUUAAAAAAAUUAUAAAUUUAUUAAUAAUAAAAAAUUUAUAAAUUUAUUAAAAUAUUUAUUUUUAUCAAAUUUAUAAUUUUAUUAUAAUAAAUUAUUUUUAUUAAUUGUUCCAACCCUAUUCUUAUUUAAAAAAUUUAAAAUAUAAAUAUUUAAAUUUAAAAUUUAAAAUUUUAAAAUUUAAAAUUUGUAAUCUCAAAAUUAAAGUUAUUCUAAAUUCCAAAUUUUAAAUUUUAAAUUUAAAUUUUGAUAUUUUAAAUUUUUAAAAUUUAAAAUUUUAUAUUUUAUAUUUUCAAAUUUAAAUUUGAUCUUAAAUUUAAGUUUGAAAUUUAAAAUUAAAAUUUUGAUAAAAUUUGAGAUUUUAAAUUUUAAAUUUAAUUUUAAAAUUUUGAAAUUUAAAAUUAAAUUUUAAAUUAAAAAUAUAAUUUAAAAAUUUAAAAAUUUAAAUAUAAAGAUUUAAAUUUUAAAAUUGAAACUUUACAGGAAUAACCCAAUUUUCAUCCAAACGCAAAAUUGAUUUAAUCCCCGCUUAUAACUCAAUUUAUACCUAUCCUUAGAAUAACAACUUUUUGCUUAUCUCCGAACCAAACGAUACCUAAAAGACAUAUCUUUUGUUAAAAAUUAGUCUGAUUGGAUCAUACGAGUCUAAUUAGAGUCAAGUAAAAGGUCAAAUAGUGCGAGAAAGCUUUUUCGUAGUUCCUCACUCGAUCGUAAGCGAGAGAAGUGUGUACGAGGAUCAUAACUUGGCGAAUUUUGCCAAGUUAGAGAUGAAUGAUCUCUAAUCUCUCUCUUUUUCUCUGUUGUGAAACUUUCAUUGUAAUUAAGGUCGAUGUUUUCAUCCUUAGGGAUAGCAUGAUCUAGCAAGAAAAUGUCAAAUUUAGUCUAUCAGCGAGAAAAUUUAAUUAAUAUGCACAGUCGUUUUUGCAGGAUUUCACAACUAAAUUCAUUCAUUGGAGCAUUUCACCGAACACUUGGCGAGCGCGCUCACAGGGAGAGUGCGACGAGAAUGGCUUGGCGACACCGCGCCCGCGCGGUCUCGAUCCGGUCCCUGAUGGUGUCUUCCUUGGCCGCGGCCCUCACCAUCUCCACGUCCAUCUCGAUGAGCUUGAGCACGCGGCGGAGCUCCGUGACCCUGCGCUCCUCCACCUCGCCGCGCGCGGCCAUGGCCUCGGCCUCCUCCCGCGCCCGCUCCGCCACCACCUCCGCCACCUUCGCCAGCAGCGCCGCCGAGCCGUACCGCCCCCGCCCCAUCAGCCCCUCCAGCUUCUCCAAGAAGUCCGCGAUCGCCCACCCCUUCGGCCUCGCCUUCGCGAUCUCCUUCGUCCGCUUCCACCCGAUCUCGAAGUUCGGGGGCUCCGGGGGCCGCUCGAUCGCCGAUCCGGGGCCGCGCGCCGGGUCGCGCACGAUCGCGGAGGGCACGCGCCUCUCGACGGCGAAGGAGGUGGUGGCGGCGGCGGCGGCGGCGGCGGCGAAGGGAGUCUCAACAAAAGCAUCGGACGAGGGGUCAGGAUUAGGGUUAGGGUUAGGGUUAGGGUUUGGGGACGAGGAGGAGCAGCGAGGGACGGAGAUGGAAUUUUGGCGGGAAGAGGGCGGUGGCGGGAGGAGGAAGCGGAGAGCGGAGGCCAUGGAUUGGUUGAGAAGAGAGAGAGAGAGAGAGAGAGAGAGAGAGAGAGAGAGAGGGGAUAAGGUGUGUUGUUUGAGGUGAGCGAGCGUUAAAAUGGAUAAAUGGGCCAAAAUGGGCUUUUUAUGAAGCCCAUGAUAUCAAUAAAUGGGCCUUUCUGACAAGAGCAUUACACUGAACAUAGCUGUUUCCUCUGUUUUGUUUUGUUUUGUUUUGUUUUGUUCCACGUUCAGAAGCCUACUAAAGAGGAAGAAGGACGGAGGUAAGUGGUUGGAUUGCAAACUUUGCAAAUAUCGAAGCAAGUUAAAUGUGUUCCGACAGAUCGCACCCGCCUCCUCUCGUUGGGUAGUUCGGCCGAGGAAAUGCGCGACACUACUGAGAUAAGACGGAGGUCUCUAGCUAUUUGUGCUGCUCAUCUCUCAGUGUUUGUUUAGCCUCACUUUUAAUUUUCCUCCACUACUUCGAGUUAAAUGCAAUCUAACAACUUCAGAACGGCAGUAAUCGAUGCUAGAGUACAGGGCAAAGAAGAAACUGGAUAACUUCAAUAGCACUUUGCCUUACGACAAGUCCGAUCAAUCCCUAAAUUAAAGUUGAACAAACAUAAACCUAAUUUUGUUGACUAAGUUCCCUGCUAAUCAUGUGGCCCAGUAUAACAUGGCCCAACUAUAACUUAAAACAAAAUAAAUAAAUAAAUAAAUAACAAAAGGAAAGGGUGAUAAAUGCCACUCACAAUUUUCCUUUUUGACCUCCAAUUAGGGAUUUCUUUGUCAUAUAUAAAGUUUUACAUAGACUUUUUUUGCCCUAACAAAUAGGUUGGGUCCUAGACCUUACCCUGAACCAGCCCAAGAAGAUGGUUUCUAAGCAUUAUAAAGUCUUAAUAAUGUUGUGCUUAUUUUAUACAAAAUUGAUGUGGACAUCGGGAUGUUAUUUAAAAGUUGGGAUUUUAUCCAAACCAAUAAAAUAGCCCUAACUCUUUUCUUCUUUUGAGUUUUCACCAUUUGAUAGGUCAAGCUAAGCAUCAUAUGCUUAAGAAUAGUAUAUUCCAGUUCAAAUUCAACUGUUCUUAAUAUUAAAAGCUUUAUUAUAUUAACACUUUGGUUAUCAAUGUGUGCAGAGCCAUUAAUCAAAUCUUAAGUAUUGCAAUUAUGCGCGGGGUCCAUUAUUAUUUAAUAUAUUAUCAGAUUCAUAUAUUGUUCGCAGGCUCUCUAUCUGGACCACUUAUAUUAUUAUACUCAGAUUUUUUUUUGUCAUGUUUCUAAAAUAGCUUUUCCGUACCAAAAAAUAAUAAGCUAAUAAUUAGAUCGUUGGCGCUAACCGUUAAUUUCAAAAACUUGAGCAGUUAGAAAUACGCAAUCAAUUCACAUAAAGUAUGUGACACAGUCGAAUCAGCCUCACGCCACUUCAAAGAUGACUCGUCCAAUCCAACUUCAUGCUAUUUCAAAUAUGACUUGAUCUAAUAUGAUCUUUUGCCGCAGGGCAGAAUGCUGAUUCUUUUAAACUAAUACAAAUUUGUCGAUACAGCUUAUGGCUAAAAAUAUUAUUUUGACCAUAAUUGUAAUUUGAAGCUUCUAUUUUUGUUUUAGAGAGAAAUUAUAAAAUAAUUAUUGAUAUGUCAUCACUGUGAUAUAGUUAUCCUCUAGCCACACUGUUUAAAUUUGGCCCAAUCCACUUUGAACCACUUGUUAUAUUUAUUUUAGUGAAUCACAGCAACUGUGCAUGACAAAAGCAUGCCUUGGAAUCAGGGUGCACAGUGUAAAAUGUGAAGUAAAUAAUUAAAGGCAAAAGGCACAGCCAAAACCUUAUAUAAAGAUAAAAACCUUUUUCCAAAAGCUUCUAUUUGCACAACUUUUACCUUAAAUGCUAUGAUGCUUGAAAAUGACUUUAAUGAGAGAGAGAGAGGAUUUGAACUCAUCUCCUCUGCCCAAAAUAAAGUUGGCCACAAACAAUUGGGAAAGUUCAUGCAUGUAUUCACAUGCAACUUAAGAGGCCCUUGUUGUCCAAAUACUAAAUGCAGCAAUCCAACAGCAUAUAUAGCAUGUUGUUUUAAUUCUUUGUAGCUUUGGAUUGCAGUAUAGAUUUGUUUGUCUUGUUGUAAUAUAUAGUAUUGUCAACAAGUGUCUUGUAAAAGUUUUUUUGUUACUUAAAAAUGAAUCAUAAUGCUUAAAAAUGUUUCAUACUACAAAUAUUUUAGGAAAAACUUCAAAAACCCCCCCUGUGGUUUCGUGCAUUCUCACUUUGCUACCCUGUGGUUUAAAACGUAUCAAUUUACCCCCCUGUGGUUUCAUUUUUAUCUUUUCGGAAGCUUUUUCGUUAAUAUUUCGUUAAAUUAUAUACAAAAAACUUCAGAUAACCAUCUAUAUUUAUCGAAUAGUCACUUUAGUAUCCUUUAAUUUUAACUUUGUCACUGAUUUUUAAAAAAAAUAAUAAUAAAAUUGAUAACAAAAAGAUAAAAACGAAACCACAGGGGGGCAAAUUGAUACGUUUUAAACCACAGGGUAGCAAAGUGAGAAUGCACGAAACCACAGGGGGGGUUUUUGAAGUUUUCCCAAUAUUUUAUUAUUGAACUCGUUUUGGAAGUGAGUUAAUUAAUAAAAAAAACAAAAGCAAAAGUACGUAGAACUGAUAGAUUUGUAAUGAAAGGCAUCAGUACCGGUCAGAUAGACCCAAAUGGCACCCCCAGUUUGAGGAAAAGAUUAUGACAUUAAGUCAUAGUUGAAAAAUUUUUACAGUAAAUAGUUUCUUUUUUGAGAGAAGGGUAGUAUGCUACUUUAUUCAUUAAGUAGGUGAAUUAUAUAAAGUGAGACAAUCAUGGCCUCGAGGGGUACAGUAAAUGCUUUUAUUGCAUGUUUUUUUACAUCAUAUGAUAGAGAUAUUUACCACUAUAAUGAUUGGUUUUAAACACAGCAUUCAAGUUAUGUCAUAUGACAGUGAAUUCUCCUAUCAAAUCUAAUUAUUUGUUGAUUUUGAAUAUAAAAUAAAAUUUGUCAUUCUAUAUAUGCAGAUUACUAAUGCAAUAGAUAAAAGACAUUAAGUAUCCUUUGCAGAUGACCUCAAGUUUUGAAUAUUGUUUUUGGUUUUUUCCUUUGAUAUUUGUAGUUGUAGGCUUGUAGCCUUGUGGCCCAAAACCUCUCUCAGGAACAUUGUUUUGUGACCAUUGCAAAGUCCUAAUAGCCCCCAAAAAAAAAUUAAAAAAAAAAACAAAAGAGGAAAAUUAGGAGUGGUUGCUUUCCAUUGCUGUCACUUGCAUUGGAUUGUGGUCCUCUUGUUGGAUUGCAACCCACUUUUACCCUCAUGUAACCACCUCUUUAAAUCAGUGCACUCACGUGCUCCAUUCCCCAAGAGGUAAAAGGUGAAAAAAAAAAAAAAAGGAAAAAAAAAAAAAAAAAACUAACACUAGGUGCUUAGGAUCCUCCUUUCCCCAUAGAAAGGAAAUUCCUUGAAGAAGCACAUGUACUGGAAUGGACCCAUGAAAGUGAUGCAUAAACCUCCUCUCUCUAGAGUCUUAAUUAGACACAUCAACCUUAAACCUCAAUGUCUUAGAUCUAAGUUAAGAGCACUUUCUUUGGCCCACUCUUUAUUCUAUUUUCAACCUAUUUGAUUUUAUUAUAGAAAGCAAAUUUAUUCAAAAGUAUUUCUAUAUAUAUAUAUAUAGUAUUAUUAGAAAUAAUACUAUUCAAAUAAUAUUUUACCAAGUAACUUUACUUCAUGUAGCAGCGCCAAACAAGUCCUUAGUAAGAAAAUAAAGCUCGCAUUGUUUCUAAUAGUGCAAGCUUAUUUAUUGCUCAUUAAUGAACUACGACCUAAUGUACUUUUGCUAGCAAAUCCCAAAACUUGUGGCAAAUGCUGUUCCUAAAGGAGAAAGCCAAUCUUCUGAGAGGUUGCUAAUAUUGCUGCAAUGUGGAAAAGAAUCUUUGGUUUGAUAUUUGAGCCUAGUUCAUGAUCGAGUUUCUUAUGUUCAGCAAAUGUGGUCCUAGGGUUCUAUUGUUGUAGGCCUUAGAAUGGUUCCUCUUUUUUGAAUCAUUUCUCAUUCCACUUGUUUUUUUGCAAUAUAUAUGGACCAAUGCACAACCAUUCAAAGUUAUUCCAAAAUUGUGCCACAUUUAUUUAAGAACUAAGGUUUUUUAGGUGCCCUAAGGGCAUUUUCUAUGAUGACAAUAAAAUCAUUGUUUUGUCAUAGGUGAAUACAUACAUAAAUCAGGGAUGUUAAUAAACCUAGCUAGAUAAACAUGUUAACAUACCUAAAUUUGCAGAGAAAUUUUAGUUUGCUUCAUAAAAAUUAUGGCUCAAAAGCUUACCGAAGUAAGAAUUUGAUAUAGUUUCUGGAAAAAUGUAGCUUAUUAAUUAGCUACAACCGCAUCAACUAUAUAUCGAAGGCUUGGGUUAAUUAAAUUAUUACUCAAAAUAUCGAUCUAGCUAAGCUUUAAACCUGCUCUAACGUCAUAUAGUUAACCAAAAAUCCGAUCUAAUAGAAAUGUACUCAAUUCAAAAAGUUUCUUGGAUUCAAUCGUUACUUAUUGAUUGAAACACACAUAUAUAUGCAUAAGCCUUGUAUGCGAAAAUUAUAUCUUUUCUGCUUUUUGCAACCAAAAUUUUUAUUCGCUUUUCUUAGCUCAUUUUGCUUUGUAUACAAUGUAUAUAGGUUAUCUAAAUCAACAUGCACGUGACAUGCACAUGGAAGAAGCAUGUUACUUCAUAAUUCAAACAUGGUUGAUACGCAUGUUCGACAAAUUUCUAGGUUGUCCUCGUGGGUUGUGGUUCAUGUGGGUGUUACGUAUAACACAUGCACAUCCAUCUAAUUACUCCAUUGUUUAACAUUUAAGUGUUUUGUUUUAUUACGCUUUUUUAAACUUUGAUAAAAAAAAUUGUUAGGAAUCCACUUAUAAGAAUAUUCUCACUUUUUUGGUAUUUGUAACCUAAAUUAAUAACAACUACUGAAACUUUGAAUAAAAUUAAGUUACAAAAAAGUAUUAUAUAUCUUAAUACAGUAAUUUUUUUUUUAGAGAAAGAUACUAUCCGUUUCUUUUAUUUUUUUUUAGAAAUAAAUUUAUCUGGAGAUGUGAAUCGACUAGAUAACUUGUACAACUUAUAUAUGCCAAAGCAUUCACAUGCAUAGAAAAUGUCCAGCAUGCGUAACUAACGAAACUAUGUGCUCAUUUUGUCCCUGGAAUAAGACCACAUGCUUUCACAAGCAUGUUAUUAUAUCCACACAUUUGAGUACACCCAAUACAAACCGUGUAGCACCAUGCUACUAACCAUUUCUCUUCCUCAAAAAGCAUGGUUCUCAACAUCAUCAACCGUAAAAACUUGAUCCGACGACAAAGAUUGUUUGAUUACUUUUCUAAUAGCUUUCUUCGAAAGAAAGGCGAAAGCAACCAAUUUUAGGAUUAGAUUAGAUAGAAUAAGAAGAAAUAGUGCGGGGAAUACAAUGCAGAAAUCCAAAUAACUAAAUCUGAAGAUAUGAAAUCAUCGAUCAAACCCCGAAAAAAGAUUAAGAUUUCUCCAAUAGGAUUGGAUCCUAAAAAUAUAAUCACAUUUUUCUAGACCGGUGAAAUCACGCCACGCUGUAUCUGAAUCUAGUGAAAGAAAUAUGAAAUCAAUACUACAUAAACUUGUCUAACUCAAAAAUAACAUAAUACAACACAAAUAUCAUAAUUUUUUUUUUUUAGUUUUGAAUAAUGAUAAGUUAUAGAUAUAUUCACACAAAAUUUUUAAUUAAGCUGAUCCAGCUUAUUCGAUUCUCGAAUAAGAUUCACUACCCUCAUGCAUUAUUUUAUUUUAUCGUGAGAACAUUCAAAAUAUUUAAAAUUAAAUAAUUAAUUAUUAACAAAUCAACUCUUAUAAUAAUCUUAUAUCUUAUAUUCUUGUUAGAAGCGAAGUUGUGCGUUCAGAGUGUGUGGGUUUACACGACACGUACGCCGAGUGCUUCGUUGGAUAUGAACUUAGAAAUACGAUAUACGUACACUCGUACGUACACCCCUCUAAUGCCUUUAACUUCAUCUCAGUAUCUCACCACCCAAAAUUUCCAUUUCAUCAUCAGGGUGUUGGCAUAGAAAUCUCUACGCGAGAUAUUAAGAAUAUUAUUUUGGUCAUUUUUGAAUGCGUAAAAUAUUAUUUGGUAGACGAAGAGUAUAUGUGAUUGAAUAUCGACUUUUUAAGUUAAUUUUUUGGAACUAAAUUUUUGAGCUUGCACAUAUAUUCCUUAUAAAAGAAAUCAUUAUAUAAUUAGCCUUUUUAUUUUUAAGAUAAUUUGUUAAUUUCAAUUUACUAAAUUUUAUGGCUAUGUCAUGGACUAUCAAUAUAUCUAAACUUUUUAUUUAUUUUUGGAAUAACCAUAUAUUAUUCUUUGGGCGUGGUUGUUUUUUUAUUUUAUUUUAUUUUAUUUUUUGCUUAUCAUUAUGAUCUCAAUCUCUUAUUAAAGGACCAUCCCCAUCCUUCCAACAUUCACCGGCCAAUGCAUUAACUUGUUCCUUUCACCAUUAAAUUUUUUUUUAGCCUUUAUGAGAGAAUAAUUAUUUCUUCUAUAUAAAUUUAUUUAGUACCAUAUAUACCAUUUUGACACACACACACAAAAAAAGAUGGGAGCUGUCCCCAACAUGAGACUGUUUUAUUUGUCGCUCAUCCAAUUUUAAAAUUUGUGUUGUAUACAAAAAAAACGACAGAUGAGACAAUCUCACAUUACUGUCACUACAGAUAUUGUUUUUAAUUAUAAUGAUCACUUUAAAUUGAAUAAUGAGAGAAUAACUCCACAAUAACUUCACAAUUAAUUAAUUAUCAAACUAUGAAUAGAGAAUACCUCAUUAAAUUCAAUGAAGGUUAAUUAAUACAUGAUUGCAUGGAUGCUACUAUGUUGUAACCAAAAUUUCCUCAUUUGCCUUAUUAUUGCCAAAUAUAUAUAUUUUUCCCAAAACUUCAAUAUCAAUUAAUUAUCAUUGUAAAAAUAAUUGGAAUUAAUGCAAAGAUGUAGUUAAAAUGGAGUCAUUUUUACCUUGAUAUUUGGUGAUUCUCUUAUAUGUAAACAUAUUUAUUAAUGGAAACAUACUUUUUUUUAUAGUUGAUAGGGGGUCAAAUUAAGAGCCUUAAUUGGUUACUUGAAACCCAAGACAAGAACACUCCUACGCGUGCCUUUGGAGCCCUAAUCACUCUUUCACCCACCCAAUAGGACAACCCAAUUAAUUAGCUAUUGUCAAAUUCUAAUUAAAAGGAUUAGCAAUUUAAUACAAGAUAAUAAAAUGGAUCAAACACAAAACUAAAUGAAAUCACCAUACUUUGUAGCGUAGAAUUUUACAAUCCUUUUGCUUUUGAUGAACACGUCAAGCAUUAGUGCAUCACUAACUAGAUCAGUUAGAUGGUAUCCUCGCUUGCAAAGUAUAGAUCUUUAGUUUAAAUAACUUUUGCGUUGGUGUGUAUCUAUGAUCUAUGAGCAUGUUUGAGGAAGAAGGAGAAACAAAUGUAAUUCAGGUAAAAAUAGUGAUUGAGUCGAGCGCGAGAUCAAAUAUGAGAAAAAGGUUUCGUUUCGUUUAUAACUAGAAUGUAGGCGUUAUUUCUUUGAUCCUCCUAACUACAUUUUGAGGUUUAAAACUCUUAUUUACACCAAACAAAAUUCAGAUUAUCUUUUUCAACUAUGCGUACCCAACUAUAGAAUAUAAGUUGUUCUUAAUAUAAUAAGCGUAAUGAAUCUGGUCAAAUUUUACAACUCAAUGUAUCUGAUAAAUAAAUAAUAAAUAGAUUCAAUGUAUCUAAUAGAUCGAUAAAAACUUACAGUCUCUCACACAGUGCCGAAUGUUAAGAUCGCCAUAAAUGCGUUAAAUUUUUCAAAAACUAACUUGUAAUCACAUGGCAUAUUCUCCAACACCAUCACAAAAAAAUUCCCUUUUUAACUCUAUAUAAAUAAAUAAUUUCGAACUAGUCAAAAGUCAAAAAUCCUCUUGACUUGGGGAAAAAAAAAAGAAAAAAAAAAAGAAAAGAGAAACAUAGAGAGACGUAAACGGCGAGUCAUCUUUUCAUUAUCCGAUCACAAGCGAUCCUCUCUCCCUCUCUCUCUAAUAAUAAAAAUAAAAAAAAGCUCUCUCUUUUCCCCCAAUCCACCUAAUUUUUCGGCGACCAAAGACCCUCCCUCCUCGCCUCUUCGAUCGAAUUCGCGAAAACCCACAAAAAAGUUUCGAUUUUUAGUGCUGCCCACUUCGAUUUUCCCGUGUUUUUGCGUAAUUGUGCGUAAAGAUUCGAUUUUGGAGCGGAAAAAUCCGAUUUGAAUUUGAUUUUUGCGGUGCUUCGCGGUGUUUUCGUGGAGCGGACGAUGUCGGCGACCUAGGAUUUGGUUUGGGCUGUUUCUUCUUGGGGGAAAGACGAAAGAAACAGCCUAGGGUUAUGAUCCGAUCCGAAGCGAAUUGAUUGGAAGCAGGGAAGAAGAAAUCUAGGGUUUACUUUUUUUUGUUCAAUUUUUUUGGGGGAUUUAAGAAUAAUUGUUAAGGAAUUUGGAGGGAUUAAGAGAUGAAGAGGCUCUCGAGUUAUAUGCGGAUUAUGUCGUCGGGGGCGUCUACGGCGGCGUCGACGCUGCGCUCCGCGGGGGCUUCGCUCGUCUCCUCCAUCGCCAACCAUGAGGAAGAUGCGAGCCGUGAUCAGGUAUUAUUAUUGUGAUCAAUUUAAUUUCUGUGAUUUUGGUUUUUUUUUCCCCCCUCCUUUUCUUUUAAUGUGGUUAGUUAUUUUGGUGCCAAUUGUAUGGAUCCUCGUGAAAAGAAACAAUUUUUCAUGCUUCAAUACAUCUAAUGAUGUUUUUCUUAGGAUCUCAAUUUGUGUUUUAAGGAUUAAAAGAGGACUUUUAUGCAAAAGAAGUUUUGAAAUUGAGCUGGUUUUUUAUUUGAUGAACUAUGACUUUUUUGAUAUUUUAGGGUUAUUUUUCUGUUUAUUUUAUUUAAUGUGGUUAGAUAUUUUGGCACCAAUUAUAUGUAUUACUGAUGGAAAGAAACUAUUUUGCGUGUGUAAGCUGUAUGCAUGUUUUAGCAUAUUUAAUGCAGCUUUUAUAAGAGGAUUAAUGUGUGUAUAUAUAUGAGGAAUUAAUGGUGGAGUUUUAUGCAUCAGAACUCUUGUAAUUGGGCUGGAUUUUAUUUGGGAAUUUGGGAUUUAUUUUCGUUGUGAUUUUCUUUCCAAAUGUGGUUUGAAUUACUCUUUUUGGCGCGAAUUGUAAGAAUUUGUGAUUUUAUGCAAUGAAAAAUUGUUUAAUAUUUGGAUCACGAGCUCAAAACUCAUGUUGUUAGAAAUAACUAUUAGUUCUUGUGGUGAAAGUGAACCUUAAUUUCGGAAUAUUGCGGGACAUGGCAAUCGAAAGAUUUUGUACUUGCUUCUGUAUUUGCACUUUUAAAUCCGGAUCUUUUGUUUCCUUUUAGUUGCUUGUUGUGCUUAGCGGGUUUGUCUUUGUGUACAAGUAACAUAACUAAUACAUUAUUGAGAUAUUUGCACAUAAGCGUGUCUAUUGAAUGCAAUUGACUGUUUAUGAGGUUAUCAGAGAGCAUUACAAAUUGAUAUUUUUUACCAUGUGGAGCGACUAAACUGAGUUCUCUGAUGAAAUAUGUAGACCCUUGGAAUUGCAUGAUAAUGCCCUAGUUAUUCCCAUAGUUAUUCCGAAGCCAACUGCGCACUAACGAUAUAUGCGACCCCUUUGAAAAAUCGAGAUCUUGACUAAUAAUUAGAGAAUCGUGUAUCACGUCUUGCAUUGGCUGUUAUCUACUUGGUUUAUAAGAAGCAAUUGUUGUUUGACUUAGGCAAGCCUGCCUCGUGAGAAAAAUCAUUUUGAAAUGCCCACGUUUUAUCGCUGAUCAGUUGUUGUUGUUUAAUUUGUUACAAUUCAACUUGUUUUAUAUGAAAGUUUUUCUUUCCCAAUCUAAGCAACUAUAACAAGGUUACCAGUGGACGAAACCUAACUGCUUGUUGCAUGAUAUGCCAUUACCUGCAUGAAAUUCAAGUUCUUAGUAGGAAAAGCUCACCGCUAGUUGAUUCACAUUUUGACUAUAUAGUUCUGGUGUUGGUUAAAAGGUGCAUUGGGCUGGGUUUGACAAAAUAGAAUGUGAGGGCGAAGUGCUUCUCCGGGAAGUUUUGCUUCUGGCUUAUCGGUCCGGCUUCCAGGUCUGGGAUGUCGAGCAGGCUGAUGAUGUAAGACAGCUGGCAUCCCGACAUGACUGUCCCGUCUCCUUCAUGCAAGUGCAAAAGAAACCAAUCACAUCGAAGAGCUCUGAAGACCGAUUCGCUGACGUCCGGCCGUUGCUUAUUGUUGCCUGCGAGGGUUCUCCUACUGGAAGUGGAAACAGUGGUGAAAUGUUUGGCUCUCCUUCCAAUGGAACUCUCAAUGGUUGCCACAAUGUUGGAAGUGAACACUUGCCUACUUUUGUUUGCUUUUAUUCUUUAAGAGUCCACGAUUAUGUCCACAUAUUGAAGUUGAGGUCUGCUGUUUACUCAAUACGGUGCAGCUCUCGGGUUGUUGCAAUUUCCCAGGCAUCACAGGUAUGCCUUAAAUAUACAUAUUAAAUAUACAUAUUUACAAGAAAAUUCUGUAAACUUCAUGUAGUUUAGGCGGUUUCUGCCUUAUUCUUGCUUCUCUGGUUUAACGGAAGGAUCUGUAAAGCUACAUUCUUAAAAUGCUUUCAAUAAAGUGAGCAUGUGACAAUCAAGUGAAUCAUUAGAACACCAUUACGGAUUUAAUUUCUUAAUUUUAUUAACACCAUUUUGUGAGCCAUGUGGUUGUCACGUAACUAGUUUUAAGCAACAUCUUCCCGUUAGGUUCUUUCGAGAAACAACAACAAUCAUGAGGUCGGAAAGUUUUACAAUUGACGUUUCCCCUGUUUAUAUAUAUAUUGGCAUUUUAAAAUUUAUAGAAGUAGUAAAAUAUGUUGUUGCAGAUUCAUUGCUUUGAUGCUGCGACACUGGAGAGAGAAUAUACAGUUCUCACUAAUCCUAUUGUUUCGGCGAUUCCUGGUUCCGGGAGUAUAGGCUAUGGGCCUCUAGCGGUGGGUCCAAGGUGGUUGGCCUAUAGCGGAAGUCCCGUUGCAGUUUCUAAUACAGGUCGUGUAAGCCCUCAACUGUUAAGCCCUUUUCAAGAUAUGUCCCUACCCCCUCCGAAUGGAAGUCUUGUUGCGCACUAUGCAAUGGAAUCGAGCAAAAAAAUAGCUGGUGGUAUAGUGACACUUGGUGAUAUGGGGUAUAAGAAGCUGUCCAACUAUUACCAUGACUUUCUGCCUAAUAACAAUGGCUCGGUGAAGCUCGGUAACUCUGGUGUGAGAGUUAAUGGCACUAUGAAUGGGCAUAUUCCUGAGAAUGAGAAUGUUGGAAUGGUAUGGAAGUUACUCUAUUUCUUUAAUUCUUUUAUUUUGCUUUUUUUUUUACUCCACGGUUUUCGCAAAUAUGCAUGUUUGUCUUUGUUUACGCUUUUUUCUUAGUUUUGUUUUCCUUGGACAUUAUAUGGUUGAAGACACCUAUGGAUAAGUUUAUUUAGUUCUCCUAUAGCAGCUUACUUUCAAGUUCAUUUUCGUAAGUUAAAAGACACAAAAAGUUACUACUACAUCUUUUUUCUUUGUUUACCAAGAAAAGAAAAGAAAAACUUAAUUACCUGUAAGAAUGUAUGAAUUGGAAAAAAAAAAAAAAGCAUAAACAAGAAAACAUAAACAAUGCCUAAUGAGCGCUAAGUUUAAAUUAUUGACUCCAUUAUUCUGCUUGAGCUACUUGUCAUACUAGAUUUUGAAUGCUUUUUCUUAACCAUAGUAAUGUUUGGCUAUUUCUGUUCGCACAUUCAGGUCAUUGUUCGAGAUAUUGUUUCUAAGUUGGUCGUUGUUCAGUUUAGGGCUCAUCCAAGCCCAAUUUCUGCAUUGUGCUUUGAUCCCAGUGGGACUUUAUUAGUUACAGCUUCUAUUCAUGGUCGGAACAUCAACAUAUUCCAUAUUAUGCCUUCUACAAAUGGUAGUUCAGGAUCGGAUGCAAAUGGAAUGUAUAUUCAUCUGUACAGGUUGCAACGUGGCAUUACCAAUGCGGUACUUAUUAGUACACAUUAAAUACCUUUUAUUUCAUUAAAACUAACUAUGAUUUUUCUUAAUUAUCAAGUAUUUUUUUGAUGUAUAUCAGGUCAUCAAAGAUAUCAGUUUUAGCGAUGAUAGUCAAUGGAUAAUGAUUAGUUCCUCAAGGGGGACUAGUCACUUAUUCUCGAUUUCUCCUCAUGGAGGGGGCUCUUCUGCAAACUUCCACUAUAGUGAGAACAGCUUUGUAAAUAACAAUUUUGUCGUGGACCCGACUGCUAAAACGGCCAUUCGUCGGCCCCAGACAACAUCCUCUUUUAAGCUCAGUGAUGAGAAGAGCAUUUUCUUUUCUGCCCCCCCAGUCACAUUGUCCGUAGUAAGUAGAAUUAGGAGUGGGAACAAUGGGUUGAAAGGUGCUGUUCGAGGAGCUGCGGCUUUUGCUACAGGCUUUGUCAGCCCAAUUCCUGGCGCCAUUGCUUCGGCUUUCCACAACUGCAAAGGCUUUAAUUCUUUAUCUGAUGCUAACUCAGCAUGGACAAAGUACUAUUUACUCGUAUUCUCCCCUUCUGGUUGCAUUGUACAGUAUGUGCUACAUCAAAAUACAGAGUUUAGCGACUUUUCUGGGUUAAGUGCCGUUUCUAAUGGAUCUUCAAAAGAAACCGACACUAAGUUUGUUGUGGAAGCACUUCAGAAGUGGGAUGUUUGCCACAAGAGAAGCAGAAGAGAUCGUGUCGAGAGUGUCGAUAUAUACGGUGAUCAUGGGAACGGAGAAAGCACGAAGCUCUUCCAAAAGGGUGUUAAAAAAGGGACAAGUGUCUACCCCUCCGAUAGUGCUUUUGAUGCGAAAGCCAAGCCUAGUGCUGAAGAGAAUCACCAUUCUUAUAUAUCGGAGAUUGAAUUGCAGAUGCAUGCUGUGCGGAUCCCACUGUGGUCGAGAUCUGGGGUACUUUCAUAUUCUGUAUUGAUUGGAAAACUAGCUCUUGUAUGCCUGUUUGAUUAUUUAGCUUGGCUUCUAGAUCAACUUUUCUACUCUGAAAAGCAUUUGACACUCAAGAAGCUUUGAGCUUUUCUUGUAGCGGGAGGUUGUAAUGAACUUCUGAACACUAAAAAUUAGAAGCUCGAAUUCGAAGCUUCUACUUCUGCUACAAUAUCAGCUGUUGGAGAAGAUGUGGACAAAAAAGCUAUUGCUGCUUUUUUGAACAGCUUUAUUCAACAGCAUUUUUGUAGAAGCUUCAGCUAAACCAAAUAGGCUAGCUUUUGUUCAUUAUACUUUAUGCGGUCUUAUUAAGUGAAUUAUUUGGCAGAUGUGCUUUCAAGUAAUGAUGGAUGAGACUAUUGGAGGUGAUAAUUUUAGCGUAGAUUGUGGGGAAAUCGAGAUAGAAAGGAUCCCGACUCGUUCUAUUGAAGCAAGGUCAAAGGAUCUCAUACCGGUUUUCGACUAUCUUCAGGCAGCCAGAUUUCAACAAGCAAGGUGCAACUAGUACCUCAUAUCAUAUUUCCGAUUUAACCCGGUUUUCUUUUUUGGUAUACAAUUUUGAUCAGGCUCCAAAAUAUCACAAAAUAAAUCAGGUGAAGCCAAAAGACAUUAUGACUAUAAACAUACACAAGAACUGAAAGAAACUGAAAGAAUUGUAAUACGAAAAAAGUGUCUCCAGAAUGGUACAAAAUACCUUAGUUCGCUUCAUGCCUCGCUUCUCUCAUUUCUCCAUAAUAAAUGAGCUGUGAAAUUAGUUUAAGUUUUUGAUUUCCUUGUGAUUGGAAAGUUAUAGGUAAGAUCCUGGUGAAAUUGGUCAUUGCUGUACUCUCUCUUUCAUGUGAUCAGAAAAGGGCUUAGUUGAGAGAGACUAGUGAUCUGAUUGAUUGUCUCCCCAAUCUUUAAUCCUUUUUCAGAUUAUCAUCGGUACAGGAAUAAACUCUUAACCAUCUUUCCGUCGCAUUGUUGAGCACUUCAACAAUCUUGAAUUAUAAUUUGCGCACUUUGGUUAACUUUUAUCAUCUUGGACAACAAAUCAUUCUUAAAUUUGUUUACUUGGGGGUUCUCUUGUGAGGUGCUAUUGGGUGGUUCUUCUGCUUCAAUUUUCUAUUUUGUGUUCUUUUACAGGGCAAAUACUCUGGAUAUGUACAGAAACGGCCCAUUGAUGCGCCAAAAGUCCGGAUUGUCCGAAGACGGGAGAGUUUCAUGCAGAAGCAGUUGUAGUUCUCUCGACUGCAUGUCCGAAAGUGUCGUUGCAUCCGCUGAUCUAUCCAGCGGCACCUACCAUACAGAAGCUGAUGAAAGAAGCACUGUAAAUAACUGUACAGGUUCCCCAAACCCUACAAGCCAACUCGAGUUUGUAAAUACUAGUGAGGCCCUGAAAACUGAGGCCCGGCUCGGGUGUGUAAAUAACAUCAUAGAGAGCUUGGAAGAUGGAGACCUACUUUGUGGCUUCUGACGGCGGCUUCCAUUGAGGUAAAUAUACUCAAAACUACUUAACUCGCUAAUCGACCCACUUGGAUAAAAAAACAUGUUCAUUUGUGGGCUUUUUAUGUGAUUAACAGAUCGCGGAUAAAAUUUGAGAAACUUCGUGGAUCAAUUGGUUAGAUCUUCCUCAGGUGUGUAGCAACUUAUUCUUUAAUUGUCCUUUAAGGUAUUGACCCGUAUUUUCGUACCGAUACGAGAGCGGUGCUAAAACUGUAAUCGAGAUAAAGAGAAGUGUGCGAGAGGGGGUUAAAUUGUUAAGCGGGAAGCUUUAAAUAUCGUGAAGUUGGGGAUUCCAUCUUGCAAGUAUUUGUAAAUAACAAGAUUCUUGGAUUACAUUUCGCAAUAAUCGUCUAUAAUGUGUAAAUAGUAGAAAAAAAAGGAAAAGAAAAAAAAAAGUGGAUUGAAGUUCUUAUUCCAAGUAUAUUUUCACCUUGGUAUAUAAGGAGCUGGUUUCUUUCCAAUUUAAUCUUUUGUUGCUCGAGUUGGUUGAUGUUCGAGUACAAUAUAAUUAAUUAUGUUUGGAUUAUCUUUUAGUCCUUAAUAUAUUCGUUAUCUGUGGCCGCGUUAUUCACAUAUGGGAAGGAAAUUUGUAUAAUGCUUGUCAAUGUAAUUAAUUGGUUGCUGCUGUUUGUUUAAGUGUGUGCAUUAAACAUAUUUUAUUAUUAUGUGGCUUCACCCUGUUAGAUAUAUACGCACAGAGCAAAGUAUUGUUGUUAGGAUCUUCUUUUAACAACAGUUGCAAUACUAUCUAGUGAAUUCAACGUCUCUAUCAGAUGUCUCUCCGCUAAAAAGGAAGAAAAAAAAGGGUUGCCCUGCUAAUUUAAUUUAAGUUGAGAGGUAUUAAGAAAAGCUCAAAUAAAAUAUAUAUUUUUAAUAUAAUAAGCAAAAUAAUUUUAAUCUUAUUUUUCUUAACCUUAACUGUUAGAAAGUUAUGCCGUGUUGGACCCAAAAAAAAAAAAAAGGUUAAAAACUAUUAUGCCAUUAUUUUGAUUUUUUGGAUAAAAACUAUUAAUGAGUUUACAGUUCAAGUCCUAAGCUCAAAAACUCACUUAAGUUUCUUCAAAUUUAAUUCAAACUCACUCUCACUUUUUCUGUAUUUUGUUUUGAGUUUUAAUAUUGCUGUCAUCGCGCUCUAUGAUUAUUUUGCAUGGCAUCCACAGAAGAUCCUAAACGCUUAAAAAAAAAAAAAAAUUAAAUUGCAGAAAAUUUUUUUGUCAAUAUUCGCUUUAUCACUUUCUUCUUCUGAUUUUUAAAAAUCUAUAUUUUGCCUUUUAAAAAUUAAAAAAUAUUUACAUCGUCCCUACCAUUAUUGUUUAAUUAGGGUUCUAUUUAUAUCCUACUAUUAUAUUUUUUUUUAUACCCAAAAUAUUCUUGAAACUUUUAUCUUAGAUACGCCUUUUACUUCCUCACGAACGUCCUUGAUAGCGCCGCCUCGCCCUCCUCUGCCGCCUCACCCUCGUCCACCCCUCUGUCCGUGCCUACACCCACGCCCUCACCCUCACCCUCACCCCUCUGUUCGCCGCCUCGCCGUCACCCUCGCCCUCGCCCUCGCCCACCUUUCUGUCCAUGUUCACUUCGAUCUCCACCCUAUAGUUGCCAAAAUGGAGGAUUGGUGUGGGUGUUGGAGAAGCGGGGGAGCAGUGGAGAAAAUGGAGUCAGAGUUGAGGUCGAGGGAGGCACGAAGGACAGAGAAGGAGAUGUUGCGGAUGAGCAGGAUUGGGAGGAGACAAAGAUGAUAAGAAGUAAUUUGGUUAGUUGGUCAUCAGAAUUAAUACUGUACUCUUUGUGAACAUUUUUUCUUUUUUAUAGAGACAAAAUGUGGAAUUUUGAAUGACAGGAGGAAAAAGUGAAAAAUCAGAUUUUGACGGAAAAUUUUUUGUAAUUUAGCCAAAAAAAAAAACAUUAGUACAAGUCCUCCCUUGCGUUUAUAUUUUUUUUUUGAGAGAUAAGUAGCACGCUAUCUGCUUCAUUUAUUUCAUUUAUAAAUAAACUUAGCUGAAAAUGUGAAUCAAUUAGGAUUCGAAUUUGGGUUCUCGGGUACCAACCACCAAAUUCUUUGCCACUUGCUAUAGGAAUGGUCGGUCCCCUGCGUUUAUAUUUUGAAUUGGGAUAUUAACAACAUUCGAGACAAUGGUAACUUUUUUUCCUUAACCUUUCAGUUAAACCUAAAGGAAAAUUCGACAAAUUAAACUUUGUCAAAAGAUGCCCGCCAUCCCCUAAAAAAUAAAAUAAAACAAAGUCCACGACGAAGCUUGACUAAUUCUUAGAUGGUCGACCUGGGCCGGGAAGCAUCACCCAUUUAAAAGGAGUUUGGUAAUUAACAGCAUUAAUUAGUAACACGUAUGAUUCGAAGACCCAAUUACUCCAUUGACUCAGAGGGGAAAAAAAAAGGAAAAUUUCAAAGAGAUGAUAAAGAACUCGACACAUCAACACAUCUAUAAUAGAGUAAUUCCCUUCCCAAAGAACACUCAUCCCUUUUAGAAAUCUUCCUUAGCUUUUCCUCUUUAGCUUCUGUUGGCUUAAAUGGGCCAGCAUCCUGCCUUGUGGCGGGAGGUCAUGUAGGCCGAGUCAUGUUCGAAAUGGCGUGAGGCUGGGUUGGGCCGAGUCAUGUUCGAAGUGGCGUGAGGCCCGGGCCGAGUCACAAUCGAGACCCAUGGGCGCUGUUUCUGUACACUUUAAGUGAAUUGGUUGCGUAUUUCUAACAGCUCGGACUUAUGGGAUUAAUGGUUAGCGCCAACGAUCCGACAGCUUCUUCCAAGUUGCAUACAAUUAUUUCGCAAAAAACAGCAUGGCCAAAAUCCUCCCAGUGGCUCCCUUAACUUUCGUGGACAUUAGAUAUCUAUUCAGUGUUGUCGAGCCGUGCCCCGCUUGCCCAAAUUAAAUAUCAUUAGUGCUCUUUUAAGUUGCUAUCAUUGUUGCUCUCUUUAAUUUAUAUGUGUAUACGGUGACAUGAUCUUGUUUUUCAUUUCAAUGGUGUGAUUUGUAGUCUUCUAUAAUAGAAAUCGUCAAAUAUAUACUAAAUAUGAGGGGAGUACGUGAUUAAUACAAUCACAAGAAAUAAGGUACAACAAGUAACAAAGAACAUCAUAAAUAUUAAUAUAAUCCUUCAAGUAAUGGCUGGCCUUUUUCAAUCUAGUAAUGUUAAUGGAAUUUUGAUUUCAAUUUUAGCGCCAAUUGAAUGUGGUAAUUUGUAUCAAAAUCUCUUAAAAUUAAAUAUUGCAUUCUUAAGUUUAUUCAGGGAAACAAGAGAAGUAUACCAAUUCAAAGGCAAGACAAUAGAUUUGAGUGUUUUUUUUGAGAUAAAGAUUAAUUACUAGCUAUUGCUUCAUUCUUUUUUUCUUUUCUUUUUUUUUUUCUAGAAAUAAACUUGUCCGACCACCUACGCUAGUGGACAGUUGGUGAUCAUAUAUUUGAGCAUUGAAAAGAAUAAAUAAGGUCUGAUUUAAUUUAGAGUAUUCCAAUAGAAUUCGAUAUAACUGUGAACAUCAUUACGAUAAAACGUUUAGAAUGGAAUAACAUAUUUUAUUAUAUAUAUAUAUUUAGUUAAUUAUUUAGAAUAAGAUAAAUCACCCGAUAAAUGAAAUAAUAUAUUAUCUUGUCAAUUAUAGACGACUAAACUUUUCUUCUUUUUUUUUGAGAAAAAGAUAGCGAGCUAUCUGCUUCAUUCAUUGGGGGAAAUGAACUAGGCUUACAUGGUUGAAGCAGCCAGGGCUUCCAAGAGCCGAAAAAAGCUAAGCAAAUAGAAAAGAAAGUAAGGAGAAAGUGAAAAAGAAAAGAAGAAAAAAGUAAAGUAGUGAGCGAGUUUAAGGCAUAUAGCAGUAUGGCUGAGGGGUUGUGGGGAAAGUCUCAGUGAGCGCCAGAAAGCUCGUUCCACGCAGUGAUCAGACGAUUAACCCGUUCCAGUGAGCGGGAAGGGUCGGGUGAUAUGUCGUUGAAUAUAAAAUUAUUUUGGUCCGUCCAGGCCACCCACCACGUAGCAGCCAAAAAGGUUGUGCGUUUAGUGCUCUUCCCAUCCUCACCAAGAUUGUUCGCCCACUUCCAAAGACCGGUGACAUUCUCCGUGGGCUCUGCGAAGCUCGCUCCUUCCGCAUGUUGGUCUACCGUCAAGCAGCGAAAUCAAACAUUUUGCCCGAACCACACAGAAAAAAUUUUAUACUGAAAAAAUUAUUCCAGGAUAACUUAAUUAUUACAACAUCCAAACAUCACAGCCUUUUACAUGAUUUUGGUAGCGCCCCCAAUUUGUUGUACUCGCCAAGCAUUCAAACAAAACAUAGAAGAAUUAAAGGGAUCACUUGAUCAUCGUUGCAACCAAGAGCUUGAGGCCGAGUAUAAGCCCGACAACCACAGGAGUGCUACAUCCUAUCAGAAUCACAACAAUCGACAACCAUCGGCAUCUGUGGGUGAGGAUCAGGUGCACGGCGGUCAUCGAAGUGAUGAGCAUCGUGAGAAAUGCGAGCAACAUGAGCCGUUGGCCCCAUCGAAGCUGGUUGAAAGUGAACUGCGCCGGUUCCAUCCAUGCCCACAUGAAGCAGAAGAGCACAGCGAGGGAGCUACACAUAGCGAUCGUGUUUGAGAUCACGAAGACCUUGAAAGCCAGAUGUUUCUCGAGGAUGGCCGUGCCAUAAUCCUGGUUGAAGCCGCCCGGCACGGUGAAGUUUGCCGCAAAGGUGACGGUCGCGAUGAGUGCAGCGAUCAGACUGCAUGUGUUAAUGCAUUGCUCGAAGUAUCGCAAGGUCACUUCCUGUUGGAAUGUUUCCGAGGCUGCAGCUGGGGGCAUGUGCUGCUUGUUACGUUUCUCAUUUUCUUUCUUCUUUAGCUCUUUCCGCGCUCUAAUCUGGUAUAUAUAUACAUAUAUGCAAACAAGUUAGGGAUGUUCAGUUAAUUUCGAAAAAUUUUAUAAAUAUUUUGAGAUUUAGGUAAUAAAUUCAAACCUCUUGUAGUUUCAGACAUCUUAUCCAAAGCAUUGUUAGUACUUAUAAAGUUUACAUGCCUAUUUCAAAAUGUGCUACAUAUAUAUAAUUAAGUUCCAUUAAUUUUUAAAAUAUUAUCAAUAGCAGAGUAACAGUAUUUGCCACCUACUUUUUAUUCUUUGGAUCCCUAAUUGGAUUUAACGGAGAUAGGUGAAAUUGUAUUUGAUCAAGAAGCUAGACAGUAGGUAGUAAACAUUAUUAAUCUACCAUCCAUAUUAAACACUAUGCCAAGAAUUGAAUUAGAAUACAUUUUAGAAUACAUGAAUACUAUUUGCUACCAACUCUCUAAUAUUUGGAUGGCCACUAGCACAACCACCAAAGAGUAAACCCUAGAAAUUCAAGUGCUAAAAAGUUGAUACCAAAAUACUGCUCAUGUAUCAUUUAGGCCCCAUUUAGUUUGGGGACAAAGUAGAGAUAAUGAAAAUUAUUCUCGUUAUUUUUCCAAACAGGAUUUUUUUUUUUUGGAAGGGAUUAUUUAUUCCAAUCAAUCUUUGCUAUUCCCGAUAAUCCCUAGAUAGCUUCGGAUAUAUUAUUCCAUCUUUUCGGUGGAAUAAUACUAUUCAAAAAUUUAAUUUCAAACUUCAUUAAUAAUAUAAAAAUUGAAGUAAUGUAAAUUACGUAGACGUGAUAUAUAACAUAUUAGAUGAUUUAUUUUUAUUAUAAAAAUUAUUAAUUAUUGUAUGUUAAUACAUAUUAUUUAUAUUUAAAUGAAUAAUAUGUAAAUAUUAUAAUAAUUAUUAUAAUAAAAUAGACUUAAAUAUUGUAAUAAAUUAUUUUUAUUAAAUUUAUAUUUAAGUAGAAUUUUUUAAAAUAUAUUCUUAUAAUAAAUUACUUUAAUUAAAUCAUUUUAUAAUAAAUUUUCUCAAAUAUUAUAAAAAUACUUUUAUUAAAUUUUUUUAUAAUAAAUUAUUUUAUAAAAAACUAUUUUUAUUAAAGAAUAUUUUACAUUAAAUUCAACAAUUACCUUUUUCCACUAUCCUCUAAUAUUAUAUAAAAGGGAAAACUUCAAAAACCCCCCUUGUGGUUUCGUAGUUUCUUACUUUGCCCCCAUGUGGUUUAAAAUGUAUCAAAUUACCUCCCUGUGGUUUCGUUUUUAUCUUUUCGGUAGCUUUUUCGUUAAUAUUUCAUUAAAUUAUAUACAAAAAACUUCAGAUACCCAUUUAGAUUUAUCAAAUAUUACUUUAGUACCUUUUAAUUUUAACUUUAUGACUGAUUUAAAAAAAAUAAAUAAAUAAAAUUGAUAAGAAAAAGAGAAAAAAAAAAAAAACCACAGGGGGGCAAAGUGAGAAACUACGAAACCACAUGGGGGUUUUUUGAAGUUUUCCCUAUAUAAAAUUAACAUGAUCUAGAGCGUUUAAGACUUCUAGAAAAUAAAUUUUAUAAUUUUUUAAAAUUAGAAUAAAAUCCAUCAAGCGGGCAUAAAAUGAAUGGUGAAAAUCGAACGAUCUCCUAAAAAAAAAAAAAAAUCAGAUUCUUUAAUUUAAGAUCGAACUUAGUGAUUUUUGUUUAGAUAGUUAAUAGAAUUUUCUAUCAGAGAUUUAACUGAGGGGGUGUUUGGCCCUACUUCUAAAAAGUGAUUCUAAGCCCAAAAGUGAUUUUGAGCUUAGUACAGUGUUUGACAACAAGCGUUGAAAAAUCUGAUUCUUCUUUUCAGAAUCAGAAAACUGAUUUUGAAGGACCCAGAAUCAGAAGUAUAAAAAAACUAUUUUUUGAAAUCGGAUUCUGAUUUUAAACUCAAACUUCAAAUUUUAUUUUAAUUUUAGAUUCAAAAUCUAAAUUUAAAUUUAAUUUUAAAUUUUAAAUUUUAAACUCAUAUUUGAAUUUUUAAAUUUCAACUUUUAAAAUUUAAAAUUUAAAAUUUAGAUUUUAAAUCUUAAAUUUUAAAUCUCAAAAUUUUAAAUUAUUUUAAAAUAAAAUUUAGUAAAAAUAUUAAUAUAUGCAAAUAUCAAAAUUUUUUAUCAAACAGCUUUACAAAAUCACUUCAAAAAAAUUGUUUUUGUCUAAACUCAGCCAAACAUUUUACAGCUUUUAUCUAAAAUCAAUUCUCCAAAUCAAAAUUAAUUAUGCACAAAUCACUUUUCCAGAAUUUAGGCCAAACGGGUCCCUGAUUCCAAUUCUAUUACACUAUUAAACUAGCAAGCAUCCUAUACUAGCAGUUAAAACAUGCAAUUUUGAGAUAUUUUGAUUGUAAAGUAACGAAAAAUUUAAAAAUUUAGUUUAUAGAAGUUUCAAACGUUCUAAAUCAAUUUUAAUGAUAUGGAUAGUUGACUCGAAAACUGUAUAAUAAAAAAAAAACUUAUAUCUAUGAAGGCGAUCAUGCUUAUAAUAGGAUAGUAGCCGGACAUAUAUAUAUAUACAAUGAAAUUUUUAAAGAUUGAUCUGUUCUUUUUUAUUCUGCACAAAAAGGCCCCGCCUGAUUCACUAAAUCGUAGGAAGGAAGAUUGUGACGUUCUGUUCUAGAUGAAACACUGGACUCAAAUUUGUAUUAUGAAUAGCUUACGCUAAAAAAGACUUCAUUGAGAUUCCUCAAUUUCAAUUUGGGAAUAUCAUAUUCAUUUUUUUUCCUAUGAACAGAAAAAAUAGGAUGAAUCAAAAGAGUUCAGCACCAUAAACUUUGUACCUAGCACAUCACUUUGAUGGACCGGACCCCAGAAACUAUUGAAAUUAAUGUAAGCAAUAAUGAAGAAAAAAAAGAUGAAGAAAUAGAAUAAAUAAAAAAAAGAAAGAAAUAAGAAAUGAAAAGGGAUUGGAUUUGAUUUGUACUCUGUUUGAAAUGCAUUUUGUCUAUAUUGAACCUUAUUAAAAAUCUGGUAGAUCCAAGAUUGAAUUUGGAUAAAUAAAAAUAAAAUUCAUAUGUGUAUAAAGUCUAGGGCAGAUUUUCGCAUGUAUAUAUAUAGGGAGAGAAGCUAAUCUCUUCUAAUAUCUAUAGUACCGAGACUCCGGUACUAUAGUCUUAUUUUCAACCUUAAAAUAUUCAAAUCAACAAUCCACAUCGUUAAAAUCGAUCUAGAGUAUUUGAAGCUUUAGAAAUAAAAUUUCUUAUUUUUUUCAUAUAGUUUACUUUAUGAUCAAAUCGUUUCAAAAUUGUUAAUUUUUCAAUGACUACUACAACGAAUUUGUAGUUUAAUGGUGUUGAAGGAUAUAAAUUUAUUUAAAUUUUGAUAGAAAAUAUUUUAAACUAACUAAAUCAAUGUCAGCAGUCUUGAUCUCAAAUUCAAAUGUCCUAUCUUUAAAUUUUAAAGAUAGUUCAACUUUUACUGUUCAUUGAACAUGAUUUACUUACUAAGUAAAUAAUGUGGAAAAGAAACUAAAAUUUUAUUCCUAAGAAUUUCAUAUACCCAUAUUUAAUGGUGUGAAUUGUUGAUUUGGACGCCCUAAGGUCGAAAACAAGACGAUAUAUAUAUUGGAGCUCCGGUAUUAUAGAUAGUAUAGUAGUAUCGUUCUAUAUAUAGAGAGAGAACUUGAUUAUAAUACUAUUGAUUAUAAUACUAAUAAUACUAUUAAUAACACUAUUAGUUGCUUGGUGCUAUUGACAGCAUUGUAGCCGAACCCUCUCUCUAAAGGUGUCCGUGGAUCGGGUCGGAUCUGGAUAGUUAAUAUAUUGUAUCCGUAUCCUAAAAAGAAAUUGAUUGGAAAAAAAAAUAUACCAUAUCUAUUUAAUUUCAGAUCAGAUAUAAGCCUGGAUACUUAAGUUAAUAAUAUAUCUAUCAGGUCUAUUUGAGUAGGUCUGGACAGUGACGACCUAUAUACUACCCACUUAAGACCGGGUAUGGAUCAGUAUUUUUUUAUAGACUUUAUUAAACAAUUUAUGGAUAAACUAUAAACCUCCUACUAUAAAAAUUCGCAUUCUAAUUAGUUGCACCCAGUCUAAUAAUAUUCAUUCAAAAGAAAGAUUUAACUUGUAAAGAUCUAAAAUUAAAAAAAUAAAGAGAAAAUUAAAAAAGGAAGAAAUAGAGCGACUAGGGUUUUUAUUAGGAUGAAAAUAUAUAGAGAUCUUUCGUCUUCAUCUAUAAUUAAGUCCUAUUGAAAUUGAUCCCUCAACUUCAAAAUUUUUUUUAUUUACUAUCGGGUAUUUCACCAGAUCCUAGUUCGGGUUCGGGUUCGAAUUUGGAAGCUCUUCCUGAUCCUACCCAUUAAAAGGUCAGGUUUAGAUUGGAUCCAAGUCAGGUAUGUGUAUAAAUAUCUAGACCCAUACCCAAAACUUUAUUGUAUAAUUUUUUUUUAUCCGUAUACUAUCCAUUUUUUAUCGAGUCCAGUUCCGGUCUGGUUAGGGUCUAGAUCAAUUAUGGGGUAUCGGGUAUUUUGGACAGCUUUAUCUCUCUCUCUCUCUAUUGGCGUUUUGGUUCAAAGUCAGAAUCGGAAUCAGAAUCGGAAUCGAUAUAAGUUGGAAUCGAAAUUGGAAUGACUCAUUAUCUAAUUCUGUUUGGUUCAUUACCUGAAUUAGAAUCGAAAUAAAUCAUUCUCAUUGUCGGUAUUUGAUUCAAGUAAAUAUAAAAAAUAUAAUCAAAUUAAUAUACUAACUUUAUCUUUAUAAUAUAUUAAUUUAAAUUCAAAUCAAAUAUUAAAUAUUAAAUAUUAAAAAUUUACAUCAAAAUUUUGAAAUAAUGUCAAAAUUUUAAAUCUAUUUUUUUAAAAAAAAAUUAAACUUUGAAGUUGAAUGGAUAAUUCGAAGUAUAAAACUAAAUGUCAAUUUAUUCAAAUUCAAACUUAAAAUUACAAUUUAAAUUUUAAUUUGAAUCCAUAAAUUUAAUUUAAGUUUUAAAUAAAAUUUGAAUAAAAUUUUAUAUAAAUUAAAAUUUAAUUUAAAUUUAAAUUCAUAAGUAGAUUCGAAAUACUUGAUUAAAUUUUAAAUUUUAAUUCAAGUUCAAAUUAAAAUUUAAAAUUUAAAAUUUAUUUCUAAAAUUAAACUCAUAUUUUAAUUAAAAAAGUUGAAAAAAUAAAUUUAAUCCGAAUAAAUAUCCAUUCCGUCUGGAUUUAACUUUCAAUCCGGCCUCCUGGGCCGGAUUGAAAAAAAAGGUGAUUGGGGAAUUUCCAUUCCACUCGGGAAUUGGAAUCGGAAUGGAACUCCCGCGUAUCAAACAUCCACAAACGAAUUCGUCCAUUCCGAUUCCGAUUUCAGGGUGAAAAAAAAGCGAACCAAACACGACCUAUAUAUAGAGAAAGCGAGUCCGGCUAUGCUGUUUGUAAAAACAAUAAGAACUUAGUGCUUAUAAGAUUUCCGCCGUUAGAUCUACCCCUUUGAUCAUUUUUAUCCGUUAGGUGAUACUAUUUAAUCAAUCACCCACUUAAUUUUAGGAGACCACUAUCGUCCUAACCACACAUCCCUUAAUCCAAUGGCCGAAAACUUACAUGCACCAAUGGCUUAGUACUUUUAAAAGCAUAGGAGAUCAACUCUUUCUCUAUGUGUGUGUAUGUGUGUGUGUGUGUAGAGAGAGAGAGAGAGAGGGAGAGAGAGAAAGAAGGAAUGCUAUGCUUUCAGAAGCGCAGAGGCCUUUACUUUUUCAUGUUAUUUUUUAUGGUAGAAAUUUUGAAUCGACAAUCGCCUUUGUUAGGCUUAAUCUAAAGUAUUUGAAGUAUCUCAAAAAUAAAUUUUAUGGAUUUUUUUAUAUCAUUUACCUAUUGAUUGAAAUGGUUCAAAAUCAAUAAUUUUGAAUGAUUGAUGUAUAUUGUUUGUAAGUUUAACGAUGUAUAAAUAUUUAAGUCAAAUAAAAUUUUAACAGAAAAUUUUUAAUACUAUUUAUAGCUACCAAGGUCACUAUCUCCAAUCUAAAUUUUAAUAUUAUGUCAUCACUUUUAUGAAAUUUUAAUUUCUAACUGUUGAUUUUGAGGCCUUUCAAUCGUGAGAUAAAUUAUAUUAAAAAUCUGCAAAAUUUAUUUUCUAACUAUUUCAAAUACUCUAUAUCAAUAUUCUAAUAGACCUGAUCAUUAAUUAGAAAUUUCUAUCAUCGAAAACGAUAAAGGAGCAUGGAACAUAGCAGACCUAUUAUGUGUGUGCACAUAUAUAUUUAUCUGUGUGUGUGUGUGUGUGUGUGUGUAUAGAGUUUGUUUUGUGUGCUUUGGAAAGCAUGAAGACACCCCUUCUUUUAAACUAUUUUUUUACAAUGGGAUAUUCAAUUUGACCAUUAACUCUAUUAAGCAUGAUCUACACUAUUGGAACUAUCUCGAAACCAAAUUUCAUAAUUUUUUUAUAUUAUUUGCCAAGUGAUUAAAACGUCUCAAAAUUAGUUAUUUUAAUGACAGAUGUGAUACAUUUAUAAGUUUAAUUGUAAAACAAUCCAAAAUAGAUAAAAAUUUAAUAAAAAUUAUUUUACCGUCAAGAGCAGGAUUGAUACUUCCGAUUUGAAAUUUAAACCUUCUACCACUAUUUUUUAUUGAGAUGAGAUUUUUAUUUUCAUUUAUUUAUUUUGAGACUAUUCAUUCACUAGGAAAAUAAAGUCAGAAAAAUUAAAAAACUUUGUUUCUAGACAGUUUAAAUAGAAUAGAUCAUGUCUGAUGUAUCAAUCAUUUUUCAAAAUUAUUAUAAAACUAAUCUGAAUAGGCAUAAAAUAGAUGUUCAAAAUCAAACACCCUUCUGAAAAUAAAGGAUUGAGUUCUUUAAUUCAAAAUCUGAGUAAUUUAUCUUGAGCUAAUGACUGGAAUUUCCUAUCAAAAUCUCAAUCGAUUUUGAUUCUUCAACACUUUUAAAUAAAAAACGUUGUAUAUCGGUAAAAUUUAUCAAGCUUGAGACCUUUUGAUCGGUAAGUAUACGAUGUAAACUAAUUAUAAAAUUUGAUUUCUAAAAAGUUCAAACGCCCUAAAUCGUCUGUAAUAGUAUAGAUCGUCGAUUCAAGAGAUAUUUAUGAAUAUAAAAAUGAUUAACAUAUUUAUAAAAGUAUAAUAACCCGUCUCGCGCUCUAUAGAUAUAGUUAGACAAUUAAAAGAAUUCUCAAGGAAUACUUCACCAAGAGGAGUUAAUUUGAAUUUCUAAAGAAGUACUUGAAUUACUUACCGCAUAUGUACCAAUAAUGCCGUGGGAUUCUAAGAUGCUUCGAGCCGUUUGGCCUUCCCUAUUCAGGAGGAACGGAUCGAUGCUGUUGUCGUUCGACAGUAUAAGCGUCGAUUGAAUCCGGCCCUGCAUUGCCGCGAGAUGGAGAGGAGUGUUUCCAUCAUUGUCGGCCUUGUUGAUGAUCUCUUUCGGCUCGAUGUGUCUCAACAAGCACUGCAGCGUCCCGACCUUUCCGCUUUGGACCGCGAUGUGGAUAGCAUUCUUUCCGGUGAAGUCGACUUGUUCUGCAGUGUCGGGGCAGUACUUCAGGAUCUCUUCGACGGCAGAGCUGCAGCCGUAAAGGGCGGCUUCGUGCAGUGGAAAGUAGCCAUUGUUGUUGCUCAGGUAAGCGAGCUGGGAAUUCUCCUUCCAGAGUAGCAUUUCGACCAUCAUCUUGUUGUCUUUCUGGGCCGCGUAGUGAAGGGCGUUAUUGCCAUACUCGUCGACGGCUUUGAGGAAAUCAGUUCUCUUAUCUAAAAACAUCUCCAUGAUUUCUAUCGGAUUGUGAAGAAAAAGAGCAAAUGUGUAAGAAAUGGACAUAGUUUAAAUUUGUACAAGACUAGGGACCUGCAAACCUGGUUUCUUACAAUAUAUUGACAAGGUAGUAAUUAAAUAGGAGAAAAAUGCAUAUAUGAAGAUACUGGGGUCAAUGUUUAGUUACACAUAAAUUUGCUAGAUUGAACUUGCAAUCUAAAUAAUCAAAUAGAGCUCUUAAAUAUUGGCUUAAAGGGGUAGUAUUCUAUCCUGCACGGGGAGACCAGAUUGAAUCAAGUCAUAUUCAAAAUGGCAUGAAGCUGAAUUGAGCUGAGUCAUAUUCGAAAUAGCACAAGGUUGAUUGAACCGAGUUACAAUCAAGAUUCGUGGGUGCUAUAUCUGUACGCCUUAAGUGAAUUGCUUGUAUAUAUUUAACGGCUCGAAUUUGUGUAAUUAAUGGUUAGCACCAAUAGUUUGAUAGUAUCGGAGCCAAAGAUCACAAAUUCAAUUAUGUCUUUACGUUUUAAGUAAAUUGAUUUUAUAUUUCUAACCGCUAAUGCUUAAUUUCAAACACCUUAUAAUUCGUUUAGUAUUGACAGCGAAACAGUGGAAUAUAUAUGCAUUAUUAACACAUAGGAGAAAAGAUUGCUUAAAUACAAUUUUAUUUAAAUUCAUCAAGCAAAGAAUGAUAAGAUUUUGCUUGUUAGUCAGAACUUCUGAAAAAUGUUUCAUAUUUUGGGAUUAAUAAUACAUUAUUUUUUGUUAGAAGGGAAACUGAAAUGACCCUCCUAGUACCAAAAGAUCAGUCUAAAAUCUAUCUCAUCUGAAUUUAAGCAAAACUAAUUCACGCUGAAUUCAAAGUGGAAUGUUUUAAUAGAGAUCUGUGCAGCUGAAAAGCGGAAAUAAAAAGUAAAAGCAAAACCAAACAGAGACUUACUGAUGUGUCCGCCGAGCACGGCCUGGAAGAGGGGCGACCUGGUCUCAGCCACUACCUGCUGCUCCUCGACCCAGGGAUGCGCCACAAUCUUCUCCACCACCUUCUCCAGCCCCUCGCGCGACGCGAUGUGCAGCGGCGUCUCCUUCCUCUUGUUCAUCACGUGCCCCAUGCUGGGGUCGGCGUUGAGCAGCCUCACCGCGAUCUGCUCGUUCCGGCCGAUCACCGCCUCGUGCAGCGCCGUGUCGCCCCGCGCGUUCACCGCCCGCAGCGGGCUCUCGUUAUCGUCUUCGACUUCCAGCCACGUCAACGCAUAGUUCACCAGGAAGUCGGCGAGCUCCGCAUGGCCCGACCGCGCCGCAACGUGCAGCGGGGUGUCGCCGUCGGCGUUCCGCAGCCGCAGCAGCGACUCGUCCUGCUUGAAUAUCUCCUCCACAAAGGCGCGGUGACCGAGCCGCGCGGCGAUGUGCAGCGCGGUCUGACCCUGCACCGUCGUCGACAGUAGGAUUUUCGGGUUCUCGUGAAUCAUCGACCGCAGGCUCUCGACGUUGCCGUUCCUCGCCGCCAGCUGCAAUUCGGUACUCAUAUGCUGAUGGUAGCUGCUGGCCAUUACGUCAGUGCUGCUGCUGCUGCUGCUGCCUCCUUUUCCUCCUUUUACACGCUACUAACGCGUGAUGCACAUUUCGCAGAUGUAAAUACCAAACAGUAAAAUAUAACUAAAAUAAUUAAAUUCUUAAUCUGAUUAAUAAUACUAAUAAUAUAAAUAAAUACAAAAAUUUAUGCCAAUAGAAAGAGAAAUACUUAAGGAUUUAUUUCAAAGUAGGCCACUAUUGAGAGGGUUCAUGAACAUUUUUACUAAUGAAUUGCUUACUGUGUUCUCACAUGAUAUCAUACUAAACUUGAAUUUCAUUUGAAGUGUAUAUUUUUAAGGUUGAUUUUGAAUGUAAAUUUUACAAUAAAAAUUUUAAUUUGAAAGUUGUGUUAAUUUGAACCUGAAUUUCAAAUUUAAGACUGAAUUCAAAAGUUGAGAUUAAAUUUAAAACUUAAAUUCAAAAUAUGAAUUUGAAUUUAAAUUUGUGAAUUAAAAAUUAAAAUUAAAAUUAAAAAUCAAAAUCAGGAUUUGAUUUUAAAAUUUAAAUGCAAAAUUAUAGCUAAAUCAGAAUUUCUUUUUGGGUAGCGAGUUGAAAUGCAAAAUUUGGGUUUGAAUUGAAAUUCAUUUUUGCAUUUGAUCCAAAAUUAGAAGUUGAAUUCAAAGUUUAAACUUUGAAUUUAAAUUUGAAGUUGCAUUUGAGUACAAAAUUCAAAUGGAAACCCCAUAACCCCAAACCCAGAUAGUUUAUGGGUGUAAAUGGUAAAUACAAUGGAAUAUUUGUUAAAAUUAUAUUUGCAUUCAUAUUUAAUGCACUAAAUAUGAGCCCGGAUACGGAGAUCAAGUGAAUAUUGAAUUUUAUAAUUAUAUUUAAUUAAAAUAAAUUUAAAUACAAUUCAAAUUUGAGAUGAACAAGGAUACAUAUGAAUUCGAAUACAAUUCCAAUUUGAGAUGAAUAGGGAUAUAUAUGAAUCGAAUUUUUAAGGCUUAAAGUACCUACAAUAAGAAAUUGUUUGGCACUAGUUUAAAAAAUGUUCGCAAAUUAUAAAAUAGUUUUAUUUAGGAGCGGCGCUUUAAUAUAUAUCUAUACUAUAUAUAAAAGCACGUAUUUUAAAUUUCGGUCUGUUGACAGACCCAUUUUUUGGCAGGAAAAAAAAUUUGAUUUAUCUUUCCUUACGAAAAAUAAAUAAAGUAAUGAAACAAACUUUUAAUUUCUCUUUAUCUCUAAAAUAGAAAAAAAUAUACUCAUCCAAAUUUUUGCCAACCGAAAGAUAUCUACUGUAAAUCUAUGUUUUAAUUCAAAAUUUAUUUAAUUUCUUUUUAUCUCUAAAAUAGAAACAAAUUCAUGCUUAUCUAAAUUUUUGCCAGAAUAUCAAUAUGUUAAAAAAUAGUACUUCUAUCCAUCUAUUUUAUAAUAAAAUUUAAAUUUGAGUUUAAAUCGUGAAUUAAAUUUAAUUUUUGAUUUUUGAUUUCAAAUCUAUCCAUCUAUUUUAUACUAAAAUUUAAAUUUGAUAUCGUAUAUAUUUUCUAAUAAAAUAUAAUAUAUAAAUUUACAAAUAUUUUAUUCUAAAUUAAAAAAUAUAUGAUUUACAAAUUUUUGUUAAUUUAAAAUAAAUUAAAAUAAUUAUUACGUGCAUUUGCACGUACGCUCAACUAGUAUAUAUAUAUAUAUAUAUAAUUGUAUAUAUAUAUAUAUAUAUAUAUAUUAUAUUAUACUAGUUGAAUGUACACCAUAUUUAUUAAAAAAUUUACAAUUUUUUAAAAGUAAAUUUAUUUAUUAUAUACUAUUAGAAAAUACCUACCAUAUUUUGUCAACAAUAAUUAUAUAGUUUUUUUUAUUUUAAAAAUUUUAUUAUAUAGAUAUACAUUAAAUAUUUUUCUGAUAAAUUUACAUAUAGUGUAGAUAUAGAUAUACAUUAAAUAUAGAUAUACAUUAUAUAUUUUUUAAUUCUAAUAAAUUUAAAAUUUAAAUAAAUAUUUUAAACUAAAAGUAUCAAAAUUAAACAGUUAAUAUAAUAAUAAAAUAUUAGUAGAUAGAAUAGAGAUAAUAUAUAUAUAUAUAAGGAGAUAUUUUUCGGUAGGCAAAAAAUUUGGAUAAGUAUAAAUUUUUUUUCUGUUGUAAAAACAAAGAGGAAUUAAAAGUUUGUUUAAUUCUGUUAUUUAUUUUAUGUAAUGAAUAGAGAAAUUAAUUUUUUUUUCCAUCAAAAAAUGGGUCUGUCGACAGACCGAAAUUUGAAAUACGUACUUUUAUAUAUAGUAUAGAUAUAGAUAGUUGAGUGUACGUACAAAUGCAUGUAAAAAUUAAAUAUUUAAUAAUUAUUUUAAAUUAAUAUAAAAUUAUAUAUCAUAUUUAUUGAAAAAUUUAUAAUAUUUUAAGAAAUAAAUUUAUUUAUUAUAUAAUAUUAGAAAAUACUCGUCAUAUUCUAAUAGAAAUUUAAAUAGUUAUUGUCAACAACAAUUACAUAGUUCUUUUUUUAUUUUAUAAAAUUUAUAUGUAGUGUAGAUAUAGAUAUACAUUGAAUAUUUUUCUAAAUUUUUUUAUUAUGAUAAAUUUAAAAUUUUUAUAUAUAGAGAGAGAGAGAGAUAGAGAGAGAGAUAAAGAAGAAUUAAAUAAAUUUUGAAUGAAAAUGUAGAUUCACGGUAGAUAUUCUCCGGUUGGCAAAAAUUUGAUAAGCAUAAAAUUUUUUCUGUUGUAGAAAUAAAGAGGAAUUAAGAGUUUGUUUAAUUCUGUUAUUUAUUUUACACAAGGAAAGAGGAAUCAAUUUUUUUUUUUCGUAAAAAAAUGGGUUUGUCGACAGAUCGAAAUUUGAAAUACGUAUUUUUAUAUAUACUAGUAAAAUGUACGUGCAAAUGCACGUAAUAAUUAUUAGAAAAAUUUAUAUUUUUUUUAAAUUAUUUUUUAAUUUUAGGCCAUAUUUUAUAUGAUUGCCAAAUAUGUAUCUAAAAAAUUUAAAAUAAUAAAUCUGACUAUUAAGAAAGAUAUGCUUUAAAUGAUAAAUAAUUAACAAUAAUCUCUAAUGCAAAAAUUACUUUUGAAAUUAAAUAGAAAAAUAAAAUCUGUUAGGAAAUAAAUUUUUGAAAUUAAAUAGAAAAAUAAAAUCCGUUAUCUUAAAAAGAAAAUAUAUUUUGAAAUUAAAUAGAUAAUANCGGAAAACGAAAACUUGAUCCCAAAAGGCGCGGCUCACAGCGUUGAAAAAAUCACGGUCCACGAGAAAACCUGAUUCUCGUGGACCGCAUGAGUGGUCCAACUGUGGACCACUCACCCACUUUUUCUCUCUCAUAUAUAUAUAUAUAUAUAUAUAUAUAUAUAUAUAUAUAUAUAUAUAUAUAUAUAUAUAUAUAUAUAUAUAUAUAUAUUAUUCAUCGUUUAUUUGUUCAUAAUGAAAGAUUCAGAUUAACUUAUAGAAACUAAUAAGCCUUAAAUAUUGGGGUGGUACCGGUUACCCCCACGGGGGGGUUAAUUUUGUCCCACUAUACAAGGAGUGAAGUUACCAUAUUCUAAUCUCUUAUAUCAAAAAUAUUUUCUUGCAUCUCGAGCAUCUUAUAUUUCGUGGGCCACUAAAAUUAUAGCUAUUCAUACCUUCUGUUAAUCAAAAUAAUUCAAGUAUUAAAUAAAAAAUAUUAAAAGUUUAAAAUAUUUAGAAUUAAAAGAUUAAAUAGGAUUAGGAUAGACUGUUAGUGUUAGUUGGUGCAUGAUAAAUACAAAGACAUGGAAUACAGAUAUAAUUUUCCAACAACAUAGGAAAAUUUUAAAAAAAAGGCAAAAAAAUGUAUGGAUAGCCCCCUGUACAAUUGCUAAGUGUUAGGUAUUCCUCGUACUUAUCAUUCAAAAUAUUUAGUCUCUAAACUUUCAUAUAUGUUAUAUUUUAUAAUCUCUAGUCACUAAAAAAAUCUACUUUUUGCAAAAUAAUUAUUUUUUUUUUUUUGUAAGUUGUCUUAAUUACUGUAGUAUAAUUCAAUUAAGCAAGAAUGUAGAGGCUUUUUUAUAUUAAAAAAUAAUUUUUUAAAAAAUAAAAAAACUAAAGUGUAAUAUUUGUUGAAGUAAAAAUAUUAUAGUACGAAAAUUGUAUCCAAAUUUAACAGUUAUUUUGUCAAAUGUAAUAUUUUUAAUAACUUUUAACAAAAAAUUACAACAAGUAUUUAAAUUAAUAAAAUUUUCUAAUUUAAUCAAGCAUAAAAACGUAAAUAAUGAAAAUUCAAAGCUGACACUGCAACUUCGGUUUGUUUACUCUUUUUCUUACUCUUAACUCUACAAUUUCCUUUUUCUGAGUCUAUGUUGCAUUGUUGCCUCACUUUUGUAACUAAGUUCAUUAUUCUAAUAAAUGAAGCUAGUAGCUUGCUACUUUUCUUUCAAAAAGAAAAAAAAAAUUAAAGCCAAUAGGGUAACAACAUAUAAUGGAAAUUGAGGGGCCUAUAAUUGAGGGGGCCUAAAUACAUUAAUUUUACCUAAAUUUAAUCGAAGAAAGAGAUUAUUUCUCUGUACCGUUAAAAAAAUUAAUGAGUUUCAUAUUUGCCUUUUGUUUUAAAUAUACUGCUCUAAAGUUUCUCUCUUUCCCCCUCCCCCCUAAUAUAUCCCUAUUUUGAGAUUUUAUUUGAAAAAAAAUUGAUUUUUAGAUGGGUAGAUUUCUUUUUCUUUUUGAGAGAUAGGUAGCACGCUACCCGCUUCGUUUAUUUCAUUUAGAAAUAAAUUUAGCUAGAAAUGUAAAUUAAUUAGGAUUCGAACUUGGGUAGAUUUCUGCACGGGUAGAUUUCUGCACAGAUGUUCUUGAGGGCCGGGUAAAUGUGAAACUAGGAAGGUGCUAAAAGGCAUAUAGGCAACUGCCCCUUCAGCCAAAAUACAAGCAUGACAUGCAAACAAACAAAUGGAUCAGCCUCCAGAAAAGAUGAUACCUUCAAACUCAGUCUCAAAUUGGUCUCUAACAAUUACAACAAACAUACAAUAUAAAAUGAUACUAAAAUUUGUUCCUUGAAUCAAGAGAUUAAUUUGACAUCAUAUAAAGAAAUUUGUAGGCCUAAAAGCAUGCUUACCAGAGUUUUGUGCAAUCAAAAAUCUCGUACUGAAAGAUAGGGCACGGGCUUUAUUCAUUUGGCGUGGUUUGUGACGAUGCGAGCUCCGGCCCGGUCUAUUUAAAGCGGAAUGAAAGUUUUAUUACAUGAGAACGGGGAUUCUUUGCUUCUAUUCCCUGCGUUCCUUUCGAUUCUUUACGACGUCCUCCAGAAUGGAAUAAUAGUGGGGCAGUGUUUUUUUCUUUUUUUUCUUUUUUUUUUUUUUGAGAGAGAGAGAGAGAGAGAGAGAGCACGUUACCUGCUUCGUUGUUUUUUUUUUUGAAAAAAAAUAGCAUACUACCGCUUUAUUUAUUUAGAUUAUGAACUCGGCUACAGAAUGAGACAUCCGGGCCUCAAAAAAAUAAAGAAAAAAAAAUGAGCUAGUUUGUACAAAAUCGGUCCCAUUGUUCUUUGAAAGUGCGAAUCUUAUCCAACAUAAAACCCGGUGAGUGUUUUGCUUCCUGAAAAAUACGACUAUUACGCUCCAACCAGAUAACCCACCAUGUGGUCACGCUUCGUUUCUUUCAUUUAAAAAUAAACUUAGCUCGAAAUAUAAAUCAACUAGAAUUCGAACUUGGGUCUCAGGUACCAACCACCAAGCCCUUUGCCACUUGCUCUAGGAACGGUUAGUGUUACACCAACUAUGAACAGCAUUAGGACCUCGUAUGUUUUUUUUCUUUUUAUUUUUUUGGAGAGAUAAAGAUAGCAAGCUUCAUUUUUUUUUUUUAUUCUCAGAAUAAAAAAAGUAUAAUAAACUAUACAAGUGAAACAAUUAGACAUCCAAAAAGCAGAUAAAGAAGAAGAUUACAUAAAAGAAAAGGAGAGAGAGAAAGAGAAAAAGAGAAUUUAAAAAAAUCACAUGGGGUUAAAUGUAAAGUGAGAACCACGGAUUAUUUAUUCUUGGCGACGGUCACGUGAAUAGUUUUUUGAGGGAGGGAAAAAAUAACUUACUAUAUAUCCGCGUUGUAUGUUAUAUAGCUAGUCUGCUUUAUUUGGUGUGAUUUGCGACAAUAGGAAGCCCCGGGUCCGUUUAAAAGUCGAACGAAAGGAUUAUUAUAUAUAUGAGAAACGGUGAUAGAAUUCUUUGCUUGUAUUAAUCUCGGCAUCUCUUUUGAUACUUUACGUACGACGUUCUCCAAGAUGGGAUGAUGCAAACUUUUUAUGAACAAAUCUAGACUAGUGUUGUAAAUCUAAGCUGUGAAAAAGAUAUAGGAAGAACAUAAUUUUUUGAAAAAACAAAAGAUAUUUUUUUUUAUCAAAAAUGAUAUAUUAUAUAUAGAGAGAGAGAGAAAGCAGGGCUGUUGUGUUUUAGGAGCACGAAGGUCUCUAUACUCCUAAGCAGGGCUGUUGUGUUUUUAGGAGCACGAAGGUCUCUAUACUCCUAAGCAAUUUUAAUGAUGGAAUUUUCAAAUUGACGAUCGAUUUUUUUUUAAUCUAUAGCGUAUUUGAUAUCUAGAAAAUAAAUUUUGUCAUUUUUUGAUAUCAUUUAUCUAGUAAUCGAAAGGAUUCAAAAUUAAUGACUAAAAAUAAAAAUCUAAAAAAAAAAUUAUGAUAUAGUACUAAAAUUUUCAAUCAUAAACACUAAUCUUGUUUAGAUAGUAUAUAGAAUUUUAUAUCAAAAUUUUAUCUUAUUUGAAUAUUUCUACAAAUUUGAAAAUGAUGGCAAAAUUUUUUAUCAAAAUUUUAUCUAAUUUGAAUAUUUCUGCAUCAUUAAAAUUAUUAAUUUUGAACUAUUUUCUUUCUUUUUUUCUUUUUUUUCUUUUUCUUUGUUUUUUUUUUCUCUCAAAACUAGGAGUAUAUGUUGUUAAGAUUUAGGGAAAACUUCAAAUACCCCUCACUUGGUUUCGCACUUUAUCACUUUAGUAAUUUAUGCUUUAAAGUGUACCAAUUUAGUACCCUAUGAUUUCGCACUUUUUCACUUUAAUAUUAUAUGAUUUAAAGUACGUCAAUUUAGUACUAUAUAGUUUUAUUUUUCUCUUUUUGUCGGCUACCCUGUUAAUAUUUCGUUAAAUUAUAUACAAAAAAACUUUAGAUAUCCUAUCUAGGUUUAUCGAAUAUUUACUUUAGUACUCUUUAUUUUUAACUUUGUCGCUGAUUUCUUUUUAUUCUGUUAAUAUUUCGUUAAAUUAUAUAGAAAAAACUUCAUAUAUCCUAUCUAGGUUUAUCGAAUAUUCACUUUAUUACUUUUUAAUUUUAAUUUUAAUUUUGCCACUGAUUUAAUGAAAAAAAUUGAUGAAUGGAUAAUAAAAAAAAAAAAUCACAAAGUACUAACUUAAUACAGUUUAAACCACAGAAUACUAAAAUGAGAAAGUGCGAAACCACAAAAACUUACUUGAUACACUUUAAACCACAUAAUACUAAAGUAAGAAGUUGUGAAACCACAAUGGGGUGCCCUGAGGUUUAUGAUAUUUUUACCAUGCAUUUAUUUGACUCCACUAUUUGAGGGAUCUCCCACUAUGCAUCGAACACGCGGCCUCCUCCUCCACCAACACCUUCGACCUCGCCCAUCCCCUUCUAAUGGCACUCUCCUCCUUCUACUUGAUCGGAACCCCCUUCACACGUAGAUCGGGAGAGAGGGUUCCACUCACCGUCCUCCUUCUACUUGAUUGGAACCCCCUUCACACGUAGAUUGGGAGAGAGGGUUCCACUCACCGUCAUUAUCGUCUUUCUCCUUCUCUAGUGUUAACUCCAAUGCGCAAGCCCGAGCGCCACUGCAGUAAGGAGUGAUAGCUCGAUCGUACUAUCUCGUCAUUGUCGGCAUAUGCGGUAGAGGUAGAAUUGAAGAGGGGUUGAGAUCAUCAAUGACAAAGGAAUGGGAGCCUCUGAGGAAGUAUCCGAGGGUUUAUGGAAGGGUUUUGGGGCUGCAAAUGGAGGAAGAGGUGGUGAGGGAGUGAGACGGGAUAUGAAGUGGGAGUUAGGAGGUCAAAUGUCUAGCCUUUGAUUUAGCCCAAUAACGAUACCAUCAGAGCCUGGUAUACGGCCCACAGUAAUUGAGUGGAGGCCCAACGCUGGGGCAAAAGGCUUGUAGGAUGUGCAAAUAUGUUUUUACAUUGAUGCAAUAUCACGCGGCAGUUGGCUGGUAUUCUUAUCAAAAUAUUUUUUUUUGAGAGAGAAAGAUAGCAUGUUAUUCGUUUCAUUUAUUUCAUUUUAGAAAUAAACUUAGCUGGAAAUGUGAAUCAACAGAUCGCAGAUAAAAUUUGAGAAAUUUUGUGGAUCAAUUGGUUGAAUCUUCCUCAGGUGUGUAGCUACUUAUUCUUUAAUUGGCCCUUAAGGUAUUGACCCGUAUUUUCGUACCGAUACGAGAGCGGUGCUAAAACUGUAAUCGAGAUAAAGAGAAGUGUGCGAGAGGGGGUUAAAUUGUUAAGCGGGAAGCUUUAAAUAUCGUGAAGUUGGGGAUUCGAUCUUGCAAGUAUUUGUAAAUAACAAGGAUUCUUGGAUUGCAUUUCGCAAUAAUCGUCUAUAAUGUGCAAAUAGUAGAAAAAAAAGGAAAAGAAAGAAAAAAAGUGGAUUGAAGUUCUUAUUCCAAGUAUAUUUUCACCUUGGUAUAUAAGGAGCUGGUAUCUUUCCAAUUUGAUCUUUUGUUGCUCGAGUUGGUUGAUGUUGGAGUACAAUGUAAUUAAUUAUGUUUGGAUUAUCAUUUAGUCCUUAAUUUGUUCAUUAUCUGUCGCCGUGUUAUUCCACUAUGGAAGGAAAUUUAUAUAAUGCUUGUCACUGUUAAUUGUUUGCAGCUCUUUGUUUAAGAGGUGCAGCACAUUAAACAUCUGAUUAUUGUGUGGCUUUACCCUGUUAAACAUCUGAUUAGGUAUUAUUGUUAGGAUCAUCUUCUUUUAACAAUAGUUUUAAGAGUCCGGCUAUGGUGCUUGUAAAAGCAUCGAGUACUUUGUGCUUGUAAAUUUUUUACCGUUAGAUUUAUACUUGAUCAUUUUCAUCCGUUAGAUUAUACUAUUCAACUAACCAUUAACUCAACCCUAGAAGGUCCACAUCAUUCUAACCGCACAUUCUUUAAUCCAAGGGUCAAAAACUUACAAGUACUAGUGAUUUGGUACUUUCAAAAAGUAUAAGAGCUCAAUUCUAGUUUUAAUACUACUAAGUAAAUUCAACCUCUCUGUUGGAUGGCUCUCCGCUCUAAGAAAAAGAGAAACUUGCUCUUCUAAUUUAAUCUAAGCUAAAAGGUAUUAAGAAAAACUCAAAUAAAAUAUGUUUUUUUUGUAAUUUCUAAUAAAGUUAUUGAAGAAAUUGGAAAAGCAUUUUUUUUUUAGUGAUCAAAAUAACAUAUAUAAAAAGGGUUGUUAAACCCUUUCGAUGUCAUUAAAAAUCGUUUUCCGAAAAAAUGACAUCGUUUUGUCAUAAAAAAUAACACUACUUUUAAAAAUGACAUCCCUUUUGUUAUAAAAAAAUAUAUUUGUCCUCUUAGUGUGACAUUAAAUUUUGGUAAAAUUAAAUCUUCUUCGUUUUCUCCUUUUCGAUUCUCUUUAAAGAUUUUUCCCAAACAAGGUGUCCUUCCCUUAAUGAGAUAAUAUCUACACAACUACACAGGUGAAGUAAUAGAGAAUCUAAAAAAAAGGGAGAAUCAGUUACCUCAUUAGCCAGAAGAUUAGUAUGCACGAAGAUUUAUAAUAUUAAUGAUUUAAGAAAAAUUUAACCACCCGAAAUACAAUAAAAUAAAGUAAAAAGUCCCUUGUCGCCCGUAGAAAAUUUUUUCUAAUUAAAAAGUAUAAAAUCNCUACAGUAAAAAUUUUCAUCACAAUAAAAAAUACUGUUUUGCUACAGUAAAAAAGCCUUUUGCUAAAAAUUACUGUAGCUUUCCCAAAUUGUUGGGAAAAAUAUAUACAAUAAAACUAGUGAUUUUUUUUUUACGAAAAGGUUAAAGAAGUUAUUGAAAUAAUCUUUAAUGUAUUGUUUUUUUUUAUAAAACAUUAUUUUUAAAAAAAUUUAAAAUAUUAUUCCAACAAAUACUUUAUCCAAUAAUACGUAAUUGCAAUUUUUUAAUCUUAAUUGCAAUUAUGAAUAUGUUUUAUUAUUAUUAUUAUUAUUAUUAUUAUUUUUUACAACUAGUCCUCCACGUAUGCCACCACCGAUAUAGUAAUUAAUUAAUCAGCCUAAUUUUAUUAGGCUACAUCAAUUCCACUAAUCAAAAAAGAAUUGAGAACGACAACGAUAUGAUCAUUUAAAAAAGCGAGGAAUAAAAUAGAUGCAUCUAUAAAAAAGUCAAAGAACCAAUUUUUUGUAAAGAAAACAAAAAAAAAAAAAAAAAAAAAAAAGGUUCUCUCUUCGCUCCAGUCCUAAGCUCGUUAUGACGUUUGGAUGACUUAAUAGCUAAUUUUUAUAGUUUAUAAUUUGUAUUAUCCAGCGGUUAGUAGCCGUUCAAGCCAUCUAAUUAUUGGUAUUACAAUAAGAGUCUGGUUACCAUACUCUUAUGAGUAUAGAUUUCUUUAUACUUAUAAAUUUUCGGUCGUUAGAUCUACCUUUUUAACUAGUUUCACUCAUUAGAUCAUACUAUUCAACAAACCAUCCAUUCAACCCUAUAGGACCACUAUCAUUCUAAUCAGAGAUCACUAUCAUUCUAACUGCACAUUUCUUCAUCCAACUCGGAGAUCACUAUCAUUCUAACCGCACAUUUCUUCAUCCAACGGUCAAAAACUUAUAAGCAUAAAAAUGUCUAUACUCAUAAGAGUAUAGUAACCCUAGCUAUAUAUAUAUAUAUAUAUAGAACUAGGUUGGAAUACUAUCACCAAGCUAUCUGGUGCUGUUAGUUCUUUUAGCCCUUGGAUUGAGAAAUGUGCGGUUAGGAUGAUGUGGACCCCCUAGAGUUGAGUGGGUGGUUGGUUAAAUAGUAUAAUCUAACGGGUAAAAAUAAUCAAAAGGUUAAAUCUAAUGAUGGAAAACUUGGUAGUACCAAAUCCUUAGUGCUAUCGAUAGUAUCCCAGCUGGACUAUAUAUAUAUAUAUAUAUAUAUAUAUAGACUUAGGCUGGAAUGCUAGCUUCCCAGCCAGACUAUAUGCUAGGGCUACUAUACUCUUAUGAGUAUAGAACCCUUUGUACUCAUAAAUUUUCGACCGUUGAAUGAAGGGAUGUGUGGUUAAGAUGAUAGUGGUCCCUGGUUACGUUAAUAGUGGUCCCCUAGGGUUGAAUGGAUGGUUGGUUGAAUAGUAUGAUCUAACGGGUGAAAAUGGUCAACGGAGUAGAUCUAACAGUUGAAAACUUAUGAGUAUAAAGGGGUCUAUACUCGUAAGAGUAUAGUAGCCCUAGCCUAUAGGGCUACUAUACUCUUAUGAGUAUAGAGCCUUUUAUACUCAUAAGUUUUCGGCUGUUGGAUAAAGGAAUGUGCGGUUAGGAUGAUAGUGCUCUCCGGUUAGGAUGAUAGUGGCCGGUUUCCUAGGGUUGAUUGGAUGGUUGGUUAAAUAGUAUGAUUUAAUGAAUGAAAAUGGUCAAAAGGUUAGAUCUAAUAGCCAAAAACUUAUAAGUAUAAAGGAGACUAUACUCAUAAGAGUAUAGUAGCCGGACUCAAUAUAUAUAUAUAUAUAUAUAUAUAUAUAUAUAGUAGGUCUUGUGUGCUAUUAGGAGCACGAAAUUUAUUUUCUAGAAGGUUCAAAUACUCUGGAUCAUAUUUAACGGUAUGGAUCGUCAAUUCGGAAGCUCCAACAUUGAGAACAACUUAUGAGUACGAAGGGUCCACUACUCAUAAAAGUAUAGUAGCCCAACUCUCUCUCUCUCUCUCUCUCUCUCUCUCUACAUAUAUAUAUAUAUAUAUAGCUAGGCUGGUAUACUAUCAGUAGCACGGAGGCCUCCGUGCUACCAAGUUGUUUUCAAUGAUGCGGGUUCCAAAUCGACGAUCGGCUCCGUUAGACUUGAUCUAUACUAUUAAAAGUAUUUGGAAACUAAACUUCAUAAUUUUUCGGCAUUAUUUGACUAGUGAUCAAAAGGUCUCAAAAUUGAUAAUUUUAAUGGUAGAUGUGAUGCGUUUGUGAAUUUAAUAGUAUAAAACACUCCAAUCUGAUGAAAUCUUUAUAGAAAUUUUUUUUUCACUAUUUAGAGUAAGAUCAGUACCUCUGAUCUUAAAUUCACGUCUUUUACCGUUCAUUUUUAGACUACUCGUUUGAUGCCGAAAAAUUAUGAAAUUUAGUUUUCAAAUACUUUCAAUAGUGUAGAUCAAAUCUAACGGAGCCGAUCGUCGAUUUGGAAGCUGCAUCAUUGAAAACAAUUUGGUAGCAUGGAGGCCUCCGUGCUACCGAUAGUAUACAAGCAUAUAUAUAUAUAUAUAUAUAUANGCUAGAAUGCUAUCGAUAGCAAACGGACUCCGUUGCCAUCCAUUUGUUUUCGAUGAUGGAGCCUCUGAAUUGACGAUCGACACCGUUUAACAUGAUCUAUACCACUUAAAGUAUUUAGAAAUCAAAUUUCAUACGUUUCCGAUAUUGUUCUCCUAUCCAUCGAGUGGACAUAAAAAUGAACGACUGAAAAUGAAUAUUCUUUAAAAAAUAAUAAUAGGAGUCUUGUAAUCAAGAUCAAGAGUAUAGAUCUUGUUUUAAAUACUUUAAGGUUUUCUAACAAAAAUUCAAUUGAUUUAGAUAACUUUACGCGUUAAAUAAGAAAACGCCUCAUAAUCGACAUAAAAUACAAAAUAUUUAAAACCCUUUGAUCAUUAGACAAAUGAUGUUAAAGAAUUUAAAUUUGAUUUGUAAAUACUUCUAAGUGGUAUAGAUCAUGUUCAACGGUGCGAUCGUCGAUUUGGGCUCUAUUAUCAAAAAAAAAUGGGUGGCAACGUAGCCCGUUUGCUAUCGAUAAUGAUUCUAGCUCAACUCUCUCUCCUCUCUCUCUCUCUCCUCCUCUCUCUCUCUCUCUCUCUUCUCUGUAUAUAUAUAUAUAUAUAUAUAGAAUUGAGCUCCUAUGCUUUUAAAAGUACCAAGUUAUUGGUGCUUGUAAGUUUUCGGCCCUUGGAUUAAGGGAUGUGCGGUUAGGAUGAUGUGGGCCCCCUAGGGUUGAGUGGGUGGUUGGUUUAAUAGUAUAAUCUAACGGAUAAAAAUGAUCAAAGGCAACCUAGGGUUGAGUGGGUGGUUGGUUGAAUAGUAUAAUCUAGCGGGUAAAAAUGAUCAAAGAAAGAAAUCUAACGAUAAAAAAUUUACAAGCACCAAAUGCUUGGUGCUUUUACAAGCACCAUAGCCGGACUCUAUAUAUAUAUAUAUAUAUAUAUAAUUUUUAAGUUUUUUAAGAUAAAGGCAGCACGCUAUCCGCUUCAUUUAUUUGGAAAAUAAAUUCUACUACAAAUGUUGAGGCAGCAGGGUCUCGAAUGGAUCAAACAGUUACAUAAAAGGAAAAUAAAUACAUAAAUAAAUAAAAGUAAAAAAAAUAAAAUGUCACUUAGAGUUGCAACUUAGCGUAUUCCCUUAUCAUUUCACGGAUUUGUCUGAUAGCCACUAAGGCGUCGAAAGAUUGAUUUCUAAAAAUCACAUUAUUUCUUUCUCACCAAAUCAUCCACCAACAAGUCGCCAAACUAGCCAGCUCCUUCUCAGCUGGCCCUUGGGCACUAUUUCCCAGUACAUACUCCCGAAGUCCCCUGACUCCCUCCACCGACCUCGAGAUAACUCUUUCUUCGAAGAUAUUGAAUAAUAAAUAUCUACUAAAAAUGCAUCCCACAAGCAGAUGAUCGCCAGUUUCGAGUUCACUGCCGCACAGAACACACUGUUGGUUUUCAGACCAACCUUUUUUAAGCAUAUUGUCUAUUGUAGGUAAGCGCUUCUUCAGAGCUAGUCAGAUGAAAAUCUUAACUUUAGGCGGUAUUUUAAGUACCCAAACUUUUUGUUGAAGAAUGUCUCGAAUGCCAAAAUCAUUGAUCAACUUAUAAACCGAUCUAACUGUGAAACACAGACUCGCAUUCUAUCUCCAUCGUAGUUCAUCGGGUGUGUCAAUGACAUGGAAUCUUGAAAGUAACUUUUUGAGUUCUCUAAUUCUGUUAUCACUUCUAGGCAACCCAAUCCCAGCCCCUCUUAAGAUCUUUCUCUAUCUCCAAUCUUGAGAAGAAGCUUUUUAGAUGCCAUUCAAUCCCCCUACAUAACUAGAAAAGUAAGGAUUAUUAAUUAACAUUGAAUUGGCAUGUCUAUAUAUAAACACGCAUCAUAUAUUAUUGUUUUGCAGCUAACACAUUGACUAUGUCUUUAAUUUGCGUGCAUUGGUACACAGAUAAUCAUCUAUAUAUACCACUCAAUACAUACAUACAUACAUACCCCCACAUUAUACACUCCCUCCCCGGGAAUUGUCAUGGCGCUAAUCCUACCUCUUCUCGUGCUUCCCUUCUUCCUGCACCCUCUAGCUUCUUCUGCUUUCGACGGCAUGCGAAUCGAGGUCACUCACGUCAACUCCGACGGCAACUAUACGAUGGCGGAGCUCAUCCGCCGCGCGGCGGCGCGCGACACGGUUCGACUGGCUGGCGCCAGGGCAAACGUCACGACUCCGCUCCACUACUCGACCGCGGGCGGCUACCUCAUGGAGCUCGCCGUCGGCACUCCCCCCGUUCCGUACUUGGGCUUGGCCGACACCGGCAGCACCCUCGUCUGGAUCGAGUGUCUCCCCUGCAAGAACUGCACCGACUUGGUCGUGCCCAAGUACGACCCUCACAAAUCCCCCACCUUCUCUUCGCUCCCCUGCAACAGCUCCUUAUGCGAGGCCCUCGACUUUCGCGGUUCCUGCCUCAAGGGCUCAUGCACCUACAAUAUCGUGUAUGGGAGCGGCGCGACAGUAGGAGUGCUCGGCAGCGAGAUCUUCACGUUCGGAUCCUCCGAGCCAGUCUCCGUGCCGGAUAUUGGUUUUGGGUGCAGCACUGAUAGCCUUGGCGACUACGGUAACUCCUCCGGUAUUGUUGGACUGGGGAAAAGCAGUCUGUCAUUGGUGUCACAAUUGGGCGUCGGAAAGUUCUCUUACUGUCUCACUUCUUAUUACGAUAUUCGCAGCACCAGCUCACUUUUUUUCGGUUCUUCCGCCAGUUUAAGUGGAACUGCAGUAAAAUCUACUGCUUUUGUUCGAAACCCUAACUCUACCUUUGCUUCUUUUUACUACCUGCCUUUGAAAGGAAUAUCCCUCGGCGCGACACUACUUCCUGUCCCGUCAACAGCUUUCGCGAUAAGAACGGACGGAAGCGGCGGGCUGAUCAUCGACUCUGGCACCACUUUCACAUACUUAGGAGAUGUCGCGUACCAACUUGUGAAGCAAGCGAUCCAAUCUCUGGUGAAUCGACCGCCUGCCGACGGGUUGAAACUUGAACUUGAUCUUUGCUACUCGUUGCGACCGCCGCCGCCGCAAAUGCCGAACAUGACGUUCCACUUCGACGGUGCUGACAUGAAUUUGCCCGUGGAUAAUUACAUGAUAUCGGAUUCGGAGACAGGUUUGUGGUGCCUUGCGAUGUUAAACUCAACCGACAACUCUUCGAUACUCGGGAAUUUCCAGCAGCAGAAUAUGCAUAUACUUUACGAUCUAGACAACGAUGUUCUAUCCUUCGUGCCAGCGCAAUGCAGUAAACUUUGAUCGAAGUUGUGUGUUAGCCAUGUACUUGGUGUUUAUCUUGUUUUCGUUGAGAUUAAUUGAGUUGUAUGUUAUAUUUCUAUGGGGCAGUAGAAAUCGUUAUAUGAACGAACUUGCGUUGUGUUAUAUGUAUGUUGAAUCACUCAUCUUAAUUGUAAUUAUGAACAGUUGUUGUUUUGAUUUAGAAAGUGCAAAAGAAAAGCAGUUGUCUUUUUGAGACUUCCAUAUAACUUAUUUUUCUUAAAAUAGUUGAAUUGGUGGUGUUGUUUGAUCCAGUUGUUUGUAUCCUUUUAGUUUAUUAACAACUAAAUUUAUUUAAAUCUAAAUCCCAUCUAAAAAAAUUAUCGAAUGGACCUCGUGCAUAAUUCAUUGUUAAUUUUUCUAUAUGAAUCCUGCUACAGAGACCUCAAAAUCAAAAUUGUGGGCCUCUAGGCCUUCUAAAAAGAAAAAAGAAAAACGAAAAAAAUUCUAUGAAAUAAUUAAUUUCAACAAUUAUACUCAAUUACAUACAAUAACUUCCAUUCUCAAGAAAACAAAUAUAAUUUCUUUUUAAUGUCGAACAGCCAGUGAGAGUUUGUGUUCUCUCCGUGGUCAAAGUCAACGCUCGAAGCUUGAAUCAAAUAGGCUUGUACAAAGUAUAUUGAUGAUGCAUUGCUAACUUAAUACUCUCAUAAAAAAUUAAGAGUAUCAAAGAUGUACAAAAUAGAGUUACAUCAUUGCAAGUAAAUAAUAGUCGUCCCACAUUUAGCUGACCUUGCUCAACAUUUGUUCAACAAUUCUAUUUACAUCACCAUUUUAUCCUCACUAAUUAUCUCAAGAACAUGUGAUCUCCACUGGUCCGAUUGUCAAGCUCACAAGCUCAAAUACCCCAAUUUCUUAAAAAAUUAAGAGAGUUAAGUGUGCUAGAACUAUUAGUCAAAGAUGGGUGAGCCCCGGAAAACUGAGGCAUCACAAGGACAUGCACCUCCACCUACUUGUUCUGAAAAUAAAUAUUAUAUUAUUUUUAUUGACGAUUACUCUUGUUUCAUCUGGAUUUAUUUCAUGCACAAAAAAUCUAAACAUUUUCAAAUAUAUAAAAUUUUUCUGCCAUGGUUCAAAUUCAGUUUGGUGUCACCAUUAAAAUUUUUUAUUUCAACUCAGCUAGUAAUUAAUGAAUAUUUUUCAAAUGAGUUUCAUUACAUGGUAUUGGAUCAGGGGAUCCUAAGUUCAACUUCCGCUAGAUUCCUUACGUUAUUAAUUUUCUGUCACUUAAACAUAAUUUUCUGUCAUUUAGUUUAAGUUUACAUUUGAGGCAUAUCAAAAUAUUUCAAACCCAAACGUGAGAGAGGGGUGUUGAAUAUAAAUAUUAAAAUACCGUUAUCUAGAUAUUCAAGAUUUGAAAAACAACGAUUGUUUUACAUAAUUUUGUUACUUAAAUGUCUUUAGCUUUUGUUAUUUACUACUUAUUUGUGCGGCGGAACAGUCUCAAGUGAUGGCGUUAUGAGAAUUUUUUUUCGUAAAGUUACAACAUAAAAUUCUCCUUUUGAAAUUAUUUCAGUUUACAGUUAUCAUAGUCCUAUAUUAACUUAAUGGGAUUGAGCAUAUAUAGAUUUUAUAAGGAAUAGAAAGAAAAACUUCCUCCUAAUCAAGGGGCUUCAAAGAAGGGAGAUUUAUUUAUUUGUGUAUUUUGUUUCCAUAACUUUGAAGCUUUCGUUUGGUUCGGGUAUAAGCAAGAACUAGCUAUUACAGGAAUAGAUACAACUAUGGUGAUAAGAAAAAUAGCGUUUGGAUAAAAAUUGGGUUGUUCCCGGGGAUAAAAAAAAUAGCGUUUGGAUAGAUAAUAUAGAAUAAGAAAAAUAAUGGAUAGUUAUAUAUAGAAAAUAAAGGUGUUUGUGGGAAUAAUUAUACCAGGUAUCCGAGAACUAUAAUUCUCGAGUAAAAAAUUUACGUUUGAGUAUAAAGGAGGGGAUAAAGGGUUAUCCCUCUUCUUAUCCCUAAUCCAAACGGUCAGGCCAAUGAUUUAGGCCAAUGACUAUUAGAGACAAGUAUACGGCCCACAGUAAGUGAGUGGAGGCCCAAAGUUGUGGCAAAAGCCUAUAGGUUGUAAACAAAAAAAAUAUGUAUACAUAAUACAUUGAUACUAUCAUGUGGAGUUAGUGGGUAUUUCUUAUGAAAAUAUUAACCAUUUGCAUGACCAGAAUACUAUCUUCUUUAAUCAACGGUUAAUUAUUCUAACAGCCUAGCUUUUGUGGCACAUCGCUCUAGUAAACUACUAUAAUUUGGUCAUAACAAACACAUUGCAUUUUCGGGAUUGUUAAUUGCUCUGACAUCAAAUGUUGACUAAUCGAUAUUUACUCUGAUACCAAUUCUUAUAUAAUUCUACAACCAUUAAUCAUAUAUAUAUAUAUAUAUAUAUAUAUAUAUAUAUAUAUAUANUAUAUAUAUAUAUAUAUAUAUAUAUAUAUAUAUAUAUAUAUAUAUAUAUAGAGUAGGGCUGCUGUGCUCUCAGGAGCACGGAGCACGGAGGCCUCCGUGCUCCUGAGCCGUUUUCGAUGAUGGAGUUUCUGAAUCGACGAUCGACUCCGUUAAACUUGAUCUAGUAUAUUUGAAGCUUUUAGGAAAUAAUUUUUGCGAUUUUUCGAUAUCAUUUACCUACCAAUCGAAAUGAUUCAAAAUCAAUAAUUUUUAACGGCUGAAAAUAAAAAUCCUAUAAAAAGUGGUGAUAUAGCACUAAAAUUUUCGAUCCGAAAUAUUGAUCUUGUUGUAGAUAGUAUAAAGAAUUUUGUAUCAAAAUUUCAUCUGAUUUGAAUACUUUUACACCGUUAAACUUGAAAACGGCAGAUAUCAACCAUUAAAAAUUAUGGUUUUGAAUCCUUUCGAUCACUAGGUAAAUGAUAUCAAAAAAUUGCAAAAAUUAUUUUCAAGAAGCUUCAAAUACGCUAGAUCAAGUUUAACAGAGCCGAUCGUCGAUUCGGAAACUCCAUCAUCGAAAAUGGCUCAGGAGCACGGAGGCCUCCGUGCUCCUGAGAGCACAGCAGCCCUGCUAUAUAUAUAUAUAUAUAUAUAUAUAUAUAUGUGUGUGUGUGUGUGUGUGUGUGUGUGUGAAUUUUGCUACUAUACUAUCGAUAGUACCAAACACUUGGUGCUAUCGAAUUUUCAACCGUUGGAUAAAAGGAUGUGCGGUUAUGAUGAUAGUGAUUAUCCGUUAGGAUGAUAGUGGUCUAUUAGUGUUGAGUGGGUAGUUGGUUGAAUAGUAUAAUCUAACAGGUGGAAAUGAUCAAAAGGUAGAUCGAACAGCAGAAAAUUCGAUAGUAACAAGAACUUGGUACUACUGAUAGUAUAAUACCCGGACUCUAUAUAUAUAUAUAUAUAUAUAUAGCAUUAUUAUUAUUAUUAUUAUUAUUUUGAGAGAUAGGUAACACGCUACCCGUUUCGUUUAUUUCAUUUAGAAAUAAACUUAGCAAGAAAUGUGAAUCAAUUAGGAUUCGAACUUGGAUCUCGGAUACCAACCACUAAGCCCUUUCUCACUUGCUGUAGGGACGGUCGGUUAUUAUCAUUAUUAUUAUUUGAACCAGAGAUCACCCACAAUGGAGCAAGCGAGACCAACCACUAGGCUAAGCCUUAAUUAGCAAUAUCUGUUCUAAGACAUCUCUAAAUUAAAUUUUAGCUUUUUCAUAUGGUGUCUCCCUCUGCUUCAAGCAAGAAUCUAGGGAGGUGAAUCAAAUAAGAUUGUUAUUAAAGAAGGGAAAAAAAAAAUUGAAAAGAAAAGAAAAGGGGAAAAGAAAAACAAAAUGCUAACUCCUUGUUGGUGUGUCCCUGUCUCUGAGGAAGGAUGCUGUUGGUUCACUUUCCCUCCCUCACUUUAUUUGAAGCCAAAGUAACCAACGAAACUCACAUUUGAAUACUUAGAGAUAGCACCCUCCCAUCUAUUCCCUUUUUUUUUUAUAUAUUACAACUACAUUACACUACCCUUAUACUUCAAAACCAAUCAAUAAUAAGAGAGACAAAGAAGCUAACAAAAAGUUGUGUAUUUAUUACAUUUAUUUGCAUGAUGAGAAACCCCAUGUUGCAAACAAGAAGAAUCCCCUCACCAAACCACUCUAGCUAGCUAACACCUGAGGUGAUCCCCUCUUAAUUAUAACAGUACAAGGAAUUAAAGCACUAGCCCGAGCUCUAAGCAAAGUAGGUGGUGGAUAGCUACUUCAGGAACACCAGAAACUGAAUCUCCUAUUACAUUCCAAGGAUGCAUCUCUUUCUCUUCUGCGUACAUGAGCCUCGAUCUCUUUGUGAGCGAAUAAUUCGGAGUUUUUGAGGUCGUGCGAGAGAGGGAGAGAGAGAGAGAGAGAAAGCAGCAGGUUAAGGAGAGCACAAUGCAGCUGCACAUAUCGCCGAGCAUGCGGCACGUGACGGUGUUGACGGGGAAGGGUGUGAGGGAUUUCAUCAAGGUGAAGGUCGCGUCGAGGCGGCUGUCGUAUCGAAUGGUGUUCUAUUCGCUACUCUUCGCGAUGUUCUUGCUGCGGUUCGUGUUCGUGUUGACUGCAAUGGAUACAAUUGAGGACCAAUAUGAGUGCUCUUCUUUAGGUAAAUUACAAAUUAGUAUGAGUGCUCUUCUUUAGGUAAAUUACAAAUUAAUGGCUCUCUUAACUCUAUCAUUUUUUUUUUCAUGCAUGAAAAAUAGAAUGUUAUAGGACUACCUCUUAUUGAAAAAUUACCAAUGCUAUGAAAAUUCCUAAUCUCACUUAAGAUUUUUUUUUUAAUCAUAAUCUUCUUAUUAUGUAUUUUCAGUUGAGUUCUUAGUACCUUUCAAUCUUAUAAAAUGUUCUAACAUCAUUGCAGAGAUAUGUUAAUUGUAGCUUUCAUAGAAACAAAAAGAGAAACAAAAAGGAAAAAAAAAGUUUGUUGAUAUAAGUUUGUGCAAAUAAAGUCACGUGCCUAAUUAAUAUAUACAACUCUGGUAGAACGUAGGGAAAUAUCAUGAUUAUUAUUGUGACAAAUGGAAAAGGAAAGUAAAUUCUUCUUCUUCUUUUUUUGCUUUAUAAAACUAUAAAUAAAUAAAUAUUAUUCUCAAAAAAAAGAACUAUAAACAUUUGGUAGUUAUUAAAUAAUUUGUUUAUACAUGCAUAAUUAAACAGGAUCAAAAUUUAAUAUAAUGAUGCAUUUACCUCGCAAAAUAAAUAGGUAAAUAAUGCAACAAUGUGCUAUAUCCAAGGUAGAGUGACCAAAAAUAUCAAACAUUUAGAUAGUAAAUAUCUAAGAAAGAGUAUUCUAAAUUUUCCCAACAGAAACUUCAGAAUUAUAUAAAUUGUCAAAAUAUUAUUUUAUUGGCUGUGACUAUCAACUAUAUUAUGGAUACGCGACAAAAAUAAAAAAACAAGGGCAAGUUUAGGCAUGUAGCUAUGAAAUGGAAAAAGGAAUAUGAAGGAAAUGUUGGCUUAUCCAAAUUAGUUGUAGCAACACUCUGAAUGAUACCGACCAUUCCUAGAGCAAAUGGUAAAGAGUUUGAUAGUUGGUACCCGAGAUCCCAAGUUCAAAUCCUAAUUAAUUCACAUUUGUAGCUAAGUUUAUUUCUAAAUGAAAUAAACGAAGUGGAUAGCGUGUUACCUAUCUCUCUUUAAAAAAAAAAAAAAAAACACUCCGAAUGAUGUUGAUGGAAGGUCCAACAUGCCCAGUUCUCAAGCAAACACCUAAUUUCUUGUUUGAAUAUUAAGACCAGCCAACAUAGUUUGACAGUUUCCUCUUACAAUUGGCAUUCCUGUCACAAGCCAAGUACUUCUUUUCAUAUGAGCUUCAAGGAAAUUUUUUUUUAAAUUUUCAUCUAAACUAAUUCUCGAAGCAAAGUAUACUAGGAAUUUUGUAGUUGGUUGGAAUGGAGGGACAUACAUUAACGAACAAUGUAGAUGAUAUGUGUAUUUUCAUAUCUUAUCUUUAGAAAAUAGCAUUUUAUUCACUGAUGAAUUUGUACUAAAAUGUAAUCUAUACAUUGGUUUUUUUAUAGGGUGUGUAGGGAAAAGGCUAGGUCCAAGAUUAUGGCGACGGCAACUUGAAUCGUCGGUAAAUCGUUGUUUCCAACCCAAAAAAUCAAUCAUAAAUUAUCGUAUUGACUUAUUUUUUAAAAGAAAACUUAUAAUGAGAACAGAAUUUAAUUUUUUUCUCUUUGUGAAGAUUCCAGAAGAAAUAUAUCAGAUUCUUGAAGAAGCCAAGAUCGACGAAUUAUCGCCGCAAGGGUGGGACGUUCCGCAAACACUAGACGAGUUCAUCGCAGAGAUGAAGAGCAAUAAUCGAUCAGAUGCCAAAACCUUUGCAUUAAGGCUCAAAGCCAUGGUACCAUUAGUCUUACUAAACACAACAGCUGAAACAACUAGCCGUUAUAUAAGCGUGCUACCUAUUCUCAAAAAAAACUAGCCGUUAUAUAUAUAUGAUUCUAAACCGAGAAUUUUGCUAUAUUUGACUGUUGACAUUUGACUUCUUAGUGUUGACUCGGUGACCAAAAAAACAGAUAUCUUUGCUGGAACAGAAGACCAGGACGGCCAAGAUCCAGGAGUACCUGUACCGCCACGUGGCGUCGACGAGCAUCCCGAAGCCGCUGCACUGCCUCUCGCUGCGCCUGGCCCAUGAGCACUCGACCAACGCCGGAGCCCGCCUCCAGCUACCGGAGGCGGAGCGCGUCCCUGCCCUUGUGAACCCCACGCUCCGCCACUUCGUUCUUGCCUCCGACAAUGUGCUGGCGGCAGCGGUCGUGGCUGCAUCACUGGUCGCCAAUGCACUCAGUCCGGAGUCGGUCGUGCUGCAUGUCAUCACCGACCGGAAGACGUUCGCGCCCAUGCAGGUAGCGGUGUAAACGAACUGAACACGAACACAAAUGUCCUAAGCUAAGCCCAAGCUCAGCUCUGUUUAUAACCGAGCCAAACUCAAACCGACUCAUUUAGGUUCGAGUCGAAUUCGAGCCACUCAUAAGAGAUCAGCUUCUAACACUAACUGAGUUGAGCUAGCUCAAGUUCGGAUCAUUUAUUCAAUAAACUCUAGAUCCUAAACAAUAAGCUCUAAAUUCAAUGUAUAUAUAUGCAGGCGUGGUUCUCACUGCACCCGCUGGGACCUGCUGUGGUGGAGGUGAAGGGGCUGCACCACUUCGACUGGUUCGCGAGGGGGAAGGUCCCCGUCAUGGAGGCGAUGGAGAAGGACCGGGCGGCCCGGUCACAGUUCCGCGGAGGGUCGUCGGCAAUCGUGGCCAAUGUCGGCGAGAAGCCGGUUGUGGUGGCAGCAAAGUUGCAGGCACUAAGUCCAAAAUACCAGUCUGUCAUGAACCAUAUCCGCAUUCAUCUGCCCGAGGUGAGUUUAAAAACAUGUUCAAAAAAGUUUAAUCCAAGCGCGAAACGCACGGCUUUCAAAGCAAUUUGAACGCUAGAUUUGAUGGUCUGGCGUGGGAACCGUCCCCCUUUUACUUAACCAAAUCAACAUACCAAACUCUUUAUAACUACAUGUAGUAACACUGUCUAAGGAGAUUUUGUUUGAUCCUCACAGUUGUUUCCUAGCCUCGACAAGAUAGUUUUUCUCGACGACGACGUCGUCAUCCAAGCUGAUCUCUCGCCCUUGUUCGAAAUCGACCUGCAAGGCAAAGUAAAUGGCGCGGUGCAGACUUGCAGAGGGGCUGACAAAUUUGUGAUGUCGAAGAAAUUCAAGAGCUAUCUGAACUUCUCACACCCUCUGAUAGCAGAAAAUUUCGAUCCUAAUGAGUGUGCCUGGGCAUAUGGCAUGAAUAUAUUCGAUCUCGACGCAUGGCGAAGAACAAACAUCAGUGAGACUUAUCACUACUGGCUCCAAAAAGUACAUAUGCUCUAUAUCUUCUUAUAAUCUUUUUAACGCUUUUUUUUUUUUGUUUGCUCAAUUUUUGAAAGAUCUACUUGUUGUUCAAAUUUCGUCUGCAGAACUUGAAAUCAGACCUCAGUUUAUGGCAACUAGGGACUCUUCCGCCCGGUCUAAUCGCCUUUCACGGCCAUGUUCAUGUUAUUGAUCCCUACUGGCACAUGCUCGGCCUCGGAUACCAAGAGAACACAACUGUAUCUGAUGUGCAAAAAGCAGCAGUAAUCCACUUCAAUGGCAGGGCAAAGCCUUGGUUGGACAUUGCUUUCCCACAGCUCCGACCGCUUUGGACCAAAUACUUAAAUUUCUCGGACAAGUUCCUUAGAGCAUGCAAUAUAAGAGCUUAGAACUGUUGUGCGAUUUUGAUCGGCACUUCAAGUUAAGCGACGUGAUCGAACAAGGAUAAACUCUUGGAUUUGAUCCAAGAGAAUGAACAAAGAGCAUUCGAGUUCUUAUACUGUCGAUAUGAGACGUAUUUAGAUCUUAACCAAUUUCAUGCAUAUUUUCUUCUGUAGAAAUGAUUUUGCUGUUCUUUUCUGAUGGCCUAUUUUGAAAUGUAUGCUUGGAUGGAUAUAGAAACAUUAUAAUAAAGAAAAAGAACAUAGUAUCUAUCAACCAAAGGAAAAGGCUAAUUUCGCAUUAACUUGACAGUAAGAUACAAAAUGGCCAUUUGAUUCAGUCGAACACUUGUAUUACAUUCUCUGUAUAAAGUAUCGAAUGCAUCGGAUUCAAACUACGGUCAUCUUCAGAAAAUUCACGUAACACAAUUCGAGCUUCAUUCGAGGCCUUUGAUAGCAAUAACAACUGCCCUCGAAGAAUUUUGAGAGACAAGGUUUCUCUUGGCUUCAUGAAUUGCGUUUCGCAGCCACUUUGGCUAUUAUUAGAUUCUUCAUUCCGGUCAACAUCUAGAGGAGUAACCAGUACAAGAGAUUCCAAAACAACAGCUUUUUCUAGCAGAAACUUCACCAGUCUCAGUUCAUUAACAAACCCCCGAAAAUUGGUAACUUUGAUCACUUUUAGAUGGUUAAAUAAAACACCAGGCGAAUCCUCGUCAAUAAACGCUCCAUACGUUAUGUCGAUUAGCUCAUUGAGCUCUCCAGGAAGCUGAAAGAUUCAAUAUCAUCGGAAUAAUAAAAUAUCCAAAGAUAGAUAAAAGAAAGCAAAUUGAUGAAAUUUUGAAGUUUAACAGGGUAACAUAUACGAGUCUAACCGAAGGCAACCAAAACACGGAUAUACCUGAAUGAAAAGCUUUUCGAGGAAUGGAGAAGGACAGAGCUGAAAAAAGGCUGAGAUGUACGAGAGAUGUUCUUCGGUCAGCGAAUCCAUCACAAGCUGCAACUCCUGCAGAUUCUGCAACUCUAUAGGGAGUUCCUCCUCACCGUACUCGUCGGCAAAGGCUAUACCCUGAACGAAAAUUCAAGGCGCUAUAUCGAAUUCAUGAACUAAGAAAAAGAUUUGAAUAAAACAACAAAUGAAUAAGAAAAAUUUAAAUUACCAUCAGGGCUACACUGCAAAGUGUCAGAACCUUAACCUGAGAAAGAUCAGAUAUCCACUUGGCAUAGUCAUCAUCAAGAUCAUAGUUAACUCUACCAAUCGAAUAUAUGCAUGCGUCGACCAACGAAGACAUGUUAUGGAACUCAUUUGUGGAACAGAUCCUCCCAUAGUAGAUUAAAGAUUGAAGCUUGGGAGCAGAUAUCUCGAGAUCGUAAGCCUCGAAACAAUCCAUUAUUGUCAACUUUUGAAGUCUAAGUUCCGGGCCUGUAAUCCUAAUCUCGGAAAGUAGUAAGCAGCUUUUAAUGCUCAAGCUUUCGAGGGCCCUGCAGUCGACUAACAUCCUUUCGAGCAUAUCAUUUGUGAUGUUAACAUGACUAAGAGAGAGUUGACGAAGGCCGCGAAAUCCGCUCACGUCGAAAGGAGAAGCAAUGUCGCAUCGGCUCAAACUCAAAUUGGUCAAAGUGUUGCACUCAAAUAAAGAAUUCGGCAAUACAAACGCCACUUUUCCAUCAAUAUACACUCCGUUUUGCACGAUCCCUUGCGAGAGGUCUAUGUCAAGCUGUUUCACCCCUUUACUAACCGCAAAGCCAAUCCAAGUCUCGAUAUCACGGAAGAAGAGAUCGAAGGGGGAGAAGAGAAUUCGGAACUUCUCGACGUGCUUGCUUUCGUAGAUGUGUAGAUACCGAUUGAGCAUCGACACGAACUGCUUCGGAGAUUGAUUGCAGGAGAAUUCGUCGCCGAAUUCUAAAGCGGCGGAAGAGAUCAAGCUAUACUCCCAUAAGUUUCUCCAUCUCUGUGAGAGGGUGCUUGUUCUUAUAGCUGAUUUUAGAGGCAUCAUACAGAGGAUGGAUUGGAGGAUAGGAUCAGGGAGAUUACUGAUCCUAUCUUCUCCUCUCCCCAUACUUUGCCUCUUCAUUAGUUCUGAAUUUGUUGAUCUUUAGUAAAUUAUUACUUUGUAGAGAAUGGUCUCUUCUUGUGUUAUAUGUUGUAACAUUCUCCUCUCUGAGGACUUUGUCAAACAGUUGGUGGGUGGGCAUCUUCUCUCAGAAGACUCAAUAUAGAAAGAGUGAGAGGAAGAAGGAAGUUGAGGGAAGUAAUAUCUUAGUUGACAAUGUAUGGAGACACUUUAAUGAGCCCUCCAACUUUAGUAGUUUUGAUUUGAGUAAUUUUUCUUAAAUUGGACUCAGAAUUCAUUAGAAGUUGUUGCUAAUUUUUAACUAAAUUUGUGGUUUCGUAAGUUGAAAAGGAACCUCUCACUAGCUGCAUGUGCUGGAAAUUGCAUGGCAAGUUAAGAAUAAAAUGCCUCGCAAUAGAAGAAUGUUGAGGUCUAAAGAUGUGAUGUUCCUUUUUUAUUUUUAUUUUUUUUUAACUCUAUAAAAUAAAGGAAGUGGUGCUCAUGUCAUAAUAUCCAGGUGUUCGACUCCUUCAGAAAUUCUGGGCUAGAUCUUGCUCUAUCCUGGGCCUGGCUAAAGCCCAAACUACUUUGACACCUAUUGGUCCUGGCCCAAGUUCAAACUAUCUAUGAUUUUGAAUUGGGCCUAAUCUUUCCGGGCUUGAGUUCAAGAAGAUCACAGGCAUAUCACUAUUGAAUUGCCGCGUGUUCACGAAGAUCCUGCUAAAGGACCUACCAUGUCGAUAGUGGCCGUGUUGAUGAGCAGUGACACUCCGACCCUGCAAGAAGCUUCAGGGCCCGCGCGUUUUCUAUCCGAGGGAGCACCACGACCUCGAACACUUCAUCAGUUCACCUUGUGCCAUAACGUGUGAUCAUGUUUGAUACUAGGUUUUAGCCUCCACAGGCCUGCUAAUGUAGUCAUAUUAACUGAUCUGUUCCCAAAUAUUAGGAUGUCUCACUUUCAUUUUGUGUCGUAAUAUACAAAGCAAUCAACAGAAACUCUACCGACCGUCCCUAGCGCAAGCAGCAAAAAGGCAUGAUGGUUAAUACCUAAGACCCAACUUCGAAUCCUAGUUGAUUUACAUUUCGAACUAAGUUUAUUUCUAAAUAGAAUAAACACAUACUACCUCUCUUUCAAAAAAAAAUAAAAAUCAACAGAGUUAUAUAUUAAAAACAGAAAUAGCUGAAAUUAUAUAGACUAUUUAUAAACUAAGAAAAAUAUAUAUGUCGCUAUUUAACCCAAAAAUAAAAGAGAAAGAAAAGAAAGCGACGCAACUGUGAAUCUGUGAUAAGGAUGGGACGAAAUUUCCUACAACAACUCCAACAAUUGACUAGGAAAAGACUUUCGUGUUUCGGUUUAUAAGCAUUAUAACAAUUCACGGUACAAGAUUUCAUACUAGUCUUACUACACCAAAGUACAAAUAAUAUUUCUCUACAUAAAGUAUAUGCCACGACGCCUCAUAAGAAGUGAUCUGUUAUUGUUAUCCUAUGCAACCAUGUAUAUCUCUGGCCUCGCUACUAUGUCCUGCAUCUCCUUUCUCUUUGUUGUAUCCCUCCCCUUUUUCCUCCUGCACCCUCCUCCGGCCGCCGCCGCGGCCGUCGCCAUCAACUUCUUCGGCAAAUUCUGCGGCAGCACCGGAAACUACACUGCGAACAGCACCUACCAAUCCAACCUCGACACCCUCUUCUCCUUCCUCGCCUCCAACGCCUCCGCGUCCCCCUCCGGCUUCACCGCCACCACCCUCGGCCGCGUCCCCGACGCGGUCUCGGGCCUCGCCCUCUGCCGCGGCGAUGUCAACGCCACCACAUGCCGCUCCUGCCUCGGCCUCGCAGCGCAGGACGGCCCCGAACUCUGCCCUGACACGAAGGGCGCCACACUUUGGUCAGUUACAAAUUAGAAUUCUGAUCUGAUUAUAAUAUAUAUACAUACAAGCUUUUUCAUUCAAUCAGUUUACGUACACUCUAUAAUAGGUAUGAUCCCUGCCUGGUGGAAUACUCCAACCAGAACUUUCUGUCCUCGACCAGCAACUCGCCGCAGUUGAUCGGGAUGAGCAGUCAGAACAUAACGGGGGCUGGCACCGGCCAAUUCGACAGGCUAGUCAGCACCCUCAUGAACGCCGUAGCCGACCGGGCGGCGAACGACACGCAGAGGAGGUUCGCGACGGGCGAGGUCACGAACUUCACGGAGGCGUUCCCGACGAUAUACGGGCUGGCGCAGUGCACGCCGGACCUGUCGGCGUCCGACUGUCGGCAGUGCCUCGGCGGUCUGAUCGGCGAGAUGCCGCAGUACUUCGCGGGGAGGCAGGGGGGGAGGAUCCUCGGCGUGCGGUGCAAUUUGAGGUACGAGGUGUAUUCCUUCUACGACGGAGCGCCGUCGCUGACGCUUUCGUCUGCGGCGGCGACCACACAAGGUGAGAAGAGAAGAAAAGGAAUAGAUAACAAAAAUGCACUUUACAUCCUUCAAUAUAUUAUGUUUCGUAUCUAACAUGACUUCUCCAACUAGCAAUAAGAUGAUCUUUACUUUCUGAAUGAUAUUACAGUAAUUACACUCAGAAAAGGAUUGAUCUAGAAAAAUAAAAUAUUUAUUUUCCAGUGCCUUGUAAAGACUACAUAUUCUGUUCAUGCAUCUCGCUUUAAAUCAAAUCGUGUGACAAAAAAAAAAAAUAUAAAUAGAAUGAAAAAUAAAUUAAAGAGUUAGAAUUAAAUUUUUAUAGUUUGUUUGUGCUCACUUUAUUUUGAAGGUGCUUCAACUUGUGGGACCGACGCCCAUUAGAGACCAAAUUUAAAACAAAUUUGGCUCUUGGCCUGUAUCACACCUGUCCUAUUCCUUGGUACCGAGUUAGUUAAAGCAGUGUGGAAAAAUACCAAAAAAAAAUAAUAAAAAUCCAGAUGAGAGUGGAGUAUUCGGCACCCUUCUAUCACUCAAUAAUGCAAUAAUUAAUUAAUGGUAAAAAUGUAUGGAGACCUCCCUAACUAUAGGCCAUUAUAAAAUUGCCUCUCCAAUUUUAGUAUCAUUAUUUUUCUUAAUUUUUGAACAUAUAAAUUCAUGAAAAUUAACGGUUUCGCCAGCUGAGCGGCCAUUUAUACUUACAAAACCAAUAUUGCAUCACCUAAAAAAAUAUUCAGAAUAGUUAAAUCAAUAAAGUACCUUUAAAUUUUCUAGAGAUAACUUAAAUCAAAUGAAUCAAAAUUGAGUAGUACUUAAAAGAGACUAUUUCAAAAUGGCCUAUAGUUGAGGAGGUCCCUGUACAUUUUCACCUUAUAGUUGAUUGCACUCAUGCUUUUGUGGCUUUCCCAGGUGUAGUCAAUGGAGCCCGACAAGUCAAGUCUCUGUCUCUCAUUUAAGUGUCCAGCAACCAGCCAACUAUCGUUUUAAUGAGGGAUACUAAAAAACAAAACAGAUAGCUAGAAAGAAAUGAAUUCUACCAAAAGAAGGAAAAUAAUAAUAAUAAUAAUAAUAAUAAAGGAACAUAAAGGAGUUAUGUUCCUUUGAAUACAAACAUAAAGGAUUUAUAUUGAAAGAUAUUUAAUGGUUCUAUCACAUCAUCAUGGCCAACAAUAAUCAAUGCAGUGAAAAAUGAGUGAAAAUAGAUGAUUAAAGAUUUAAUGAAGAGAUAGUCAAAUUGCUGAAAAAGUACUCUUUGUUUCAAUGAACAAGCAUCAUACGUUUGUUCUGUUUUCUCCUGUUGGUUUGUCACAUUCAGAUGAAGUAUAAGUUGAUAAUUGACAAUGGCUGCUUGGAUGUGCAGGAAAGAAGAAGAAUGUAACCAGUACAGUUUUAGCAGUAACCAUACCUCUAGUGACUGCAUUUGUUAUAAUUUCCACCAUUUGCAUUUGCUUUUGGAGGAGGAGAAGAUCUGCCCCAAAAGGACCACUAUACUGUAAGUAAGAUGCACUAAAGUUACCAUUCAAAACACCCAGCUCAGUGAUUUGCAUCAAAUAAUGAUAAUGGCAGGGAUCUCUCUGUCUGUUCAAAAUACAAAUGGCAAUAAUGCAUAUAUAGUUCCUACGAUAUAUGGACAUCAAUAUCAUAACCAUUGAGAAAACCAUAAUAACAAAAUAUCACAGAGCUGAUGUAGAGGCAAACACAGCUUAAUGGAGAACCUAAUUUAUUAGAUGUUCUCCAGCUUACAUAGAUCAGACAAUGUUGAGUUGUAUUUACUCUUUGAAUAGACGACGGCGAUGCUGAGGAGAUCAAAAGUGCUGAGUCACUGCUUAUUGAUCUGGCAACAUUAAGAGCUGCAACGGCUAACUUUGCUGGAGAGAAUAAGCUUGGAGAAGGCGGCUUUGGCGCCGUUUAUAAGGUAUCAUAAUAUUCGCUAUAACUUGCCAUUUAGUGAGAAUUACAGGUGGCGAUAGUCUGAAUCCAUAUCAAAAUUCUUGUACAGAAGAAGAUCAUCACUAUUCUUGGGCUCAAACUAGUUUGAUAGCUAUCUCUACUAUGUGCUUGUUGAUCUAACUUUUAGAACAACUUCUCUACUCUUUAAAGCAAAAGCUUUUAUUGAAGCAAAAAGUUUAGAAUUUUGCUAUCCGGGAAGCUAUAAUGAGCUUAUGAGACCCAAGAACAAUAUCCAACUAGAAGAUUCUAUUUCUGCUUUAUUGAGAAUGUUGUUGAUGUUUUUUUUUUUUCAAUUGGCUAUAUUUAAAUUCGAAGCUCAACAGGCCAAGCAAGCUCUCUAUUAUCGCGGUUGAAUCUUGUGCUAUAAUCUUAUAAACUUGAGCAGGGACUCUUGCCUGAUGGACGAGAAAUAGCAGUAAAGAGACUAUCAAAAGAUUCAGGACAAGGGCUAGGAGAGCUUAAAAAUGAGUUAUUUUUGGUCGCAAAGCUCCAGCACAAGAACCUUGUGAGGCUUUUAGGUGUCUGCUUGGAAGAACAGGAGAAGCUGCUUGUCUAUGAAUAUGUGCCUAACAGAAGUCUAGACACUAUCCUUUUUGGUACAACUUUCAUUACAUACAACUUCUGCUAAAGAACUAAUCUCAUUUCACUUGCCGUAACAUAAUAAUAAGCUUAGCUUUUAUGUUUUUACAUUUUUUUUCCCUUUUUCAAAAUUGAUAUGUCCAACUUAUUUGUUGUAUUCAAAUGAUACAGAUUCUGAGAAACGAGGAUGGCUAGAUUGGGGGAGAAGGUACAAGAUUAUUAAUGGAAUUGCUCGAGGCCUACUAUACCUACAUGAAGAUUCUCAGCUAAAAGUUGUACACCGAGAUCUAAAGGCGAGCAACAUUCUAUUAGAUGCCGAGAUGAACCCAAAGAUUUCAGACUUCGGCUUGGCAAGGCUUUUUGGAGGGGACCACUCUCAGGAAAUUACGAGACGAGUCGUUGGCACAUUGUAAGAAUCAAUUGUAACUGUCCAUAUCAAUCACAACCAUAAAAAUACUGCACGAAAUUGAAUAUAUAUAUUAAUACUGCUCAUGUUAUUGCAGUGGAUAUAUGGCGCCAGAGUACGCCAUGCAUGGGUACUUCUCAAACAAGUCAGAUGUAUUCAGUUUUGGUGUUAUGGUUUUGGAGAUUGUAACCGGGAGGAAAAACGCUGGUUCCUUCAAUUCUGAGCAGUCUGAAGAUCUAAUAAACUAUGUAAGUUCAACACGGCAGUAGUUCUUGAACCUAAUUAAUAGACAUAAACAUAGUUUCUGUCAAAUAAUUCCUCUUUUGAUAUAAUCACAUAUAAACCCUGCAAAAUCAUCCGCAUAGGUAUUCAUAAAUAACCUUCAAAACUUAAUUUCUUACAUAUAUAAACCUAUGUGUUUACAAAACUGCUCCUAUUUAUGCAAAACCAACCUCCCUUCUGGAAUUAGAUGACUCCCCUAAUUAAGAUAUAGUCUCUUUGUAAGAUAUUACACUAUACAGGAACUACUACGAAUGUUCUGAUUUUUCAAGAGUGUAGAUGUAAAUAGAUGAUUUUACAUCGAUAUAUAUGUACAGACAACCUUGUGUUGACAAAUUGAACGAAAUUUUACACAGACAUGGGAGAAUUGGACCAAAGGGACAAUAACAGAGAUAGUGGACUCAUCCUUAGACAACCGCUAUCCAAGAAGCGAGGUGCUGAGAUGCAUCCAUAUUGGGUUACUCUGUGUUCAAGAAAACCCAGCAGAUCGACCCAACAUGUCGAGGGUCGUCGUGAUGUUGAGCAGUAGCACUGUGACCCUCGAAACUCCUUCGAAACCAGCAUUUUGCAUUGGAAUGAGUAGCAUGCAAUUCAACAUGUACUCGAAUGCAUCAAAGUAUCAUGGACUAGUAGCUGAACAAUCCUCGAGCAAGUCGAUUCCACCUUCGCCAAAUGAGGUGUCAAUCACAGAACUGGAGCCUAGGUAGUUGGAGAAAGAGAGAAGAUUCUGAAAGACUUGAAAAAGGUCUCGAAGACAAAAUGUUGGUGGAUUUAUCACUUCUAGCGCUUGAAAUAUCGUAUGAAGCAUUGGAACUGUAUUUGUAUCUUAUUGUAUGUGUUUAAAUGUCCUUCGCAGCAGCGAUGAAUAUCUACGUUUCCCUGCAAGUCGAGGCCCGUGUUUUGCACAGGAAGGAGCAGCACAAGCUCGAACGCUUACUCGAAAGCGUCUAGUUAUUAUUAUGGUGUUAACGUGUGAUCAAUUCGAAGAGAAAUUUAGUCACCAGAGGCCAGUUAUCAUAACCCGCAAAGUGGUCUAAGGAUUGGGCAAUAGUAAACUUUGGUGUUUUGCAGUGCACGUCUAAAUCCUUUGAAUUUUCAUUUUUAUGUUGUGAGAUAAUUACGCAAGAAAAUUAAUACUAUACAAACUGACUAUUUCUGUCGUUUGGUGGAGUUCUAGAGAGAGAGUAAGCGACGUAACUACGACAAGUGCCGAAGAAUAGAAAGGAAGAAUUUCUUCCAUACUAAAAUUCUCACGGUUGACUAAGAGAAGACUCUGAACCAACUGUUCCUAGCGCAAGUGACAAAAAAUUUGAUAAUUGAUACCUGAGAUUCUAAGUUUGUAUCCUAAUUGAUUCAUAUUUUUAGCUAAAUAUAUUUGAAUAGUAUGCUAUCUAUUUCUCAAUAAUUCACAUAGCUAGUAUAUAUAUACAACAGCCUCUGAUAAAUAAAAGAUAAGAGGCCAUCUCUUAUUUCCAUCUUAUAGCUCUUACCCCUCCACCAUGUCCUGCAGCACCCUUAUCUUUUUCUGCCUUCUUUUCUUUCUCCUUCUGCACCCUCCUCCGGCCGCUGCCGCCGUGGCCGCCCCCGACCUCCUCACCCAGGUAUGUGGCACCACCGGAAACUACACUGCGAACAGCAGCUACCAAUCCAACCUCAACGAUGUCCUCUCCUUCCUCUCCUCAAACGCCUCCGCGUCCCCCUCUGGCUUCGCCGCCACCACCCUCGGCCGCAGCCCCGACGAGGUAUCCGGCCUCGCCCUUUGCCGCGGCGAUGUCAACGCCACCGACUGCCGCGCCUGCCUCAACGUCGCUGUGCAGGACGCCCCUCAGAUCUGCCCUGCUACGAAGGCAGCCGUACUAUGGUCAGCUAGAACUACAAAUUCUGACAACAUGUGUAGAGCGUGUACAAGUUUCUCUAUAAGAACUUCUUUACUCACGUUACUCAUCAUCACCUCAAGCUUUUGUAUUAGCACGCACUCUUUAAUAAAGAAUAAUAAAUAGUGAUCUGAUGCAUCGAAAUAACGUGUCUAAAUAUGAUGCCUCGAAAUCCUCCAUGUAUAUAUAUAAGAAUUAAGAGUCUUAAAUGAUUGAACUUAAACUGGAGGGCGAAAGUAAAACUUGCUAAAAGUAUGGAAGCUGACGAUGCAUUUAUUUAUUUAUUGAUCUUUAUUUUUAUCUAUCAGUUUAAGAUUUUUUUUUUUUUUGAGAGAGAUAGGUAGUACGCUACCGCUUUCUUUAUUUCAAUCUAUCAGUUUAAAGAUUCUGCAUGCACUUUUUAAUAGGUAUGAUCCCUGCCUCAUGCGCUACUCCAACCAGCACUUCCUCGCCUCAACGGAUAACUCGCCAGAGACGAUCCUGAUGAACACGCAGAACAUAACGGGCGCCGACUCCAACCGAUUCAACAGGCUCGUCGCCGCCCUCAUGAACGCCAUGGCAGACCGGGCGGCGAACGACACGAAGAGGAGGUACGCAACGGGGGAGGUUACAAAUUUCACGCAGCUGAAUCCGACGAUAUACGGGCUGGUGCAGUGCACGCCAGACCUGUCGGCGUCGGACUGUCGGCAGUGCCUCGGCGGUCUGAUCGGCGAGAUGCCGAACUUCUUGGCGGGGAGGCUGGGGGGCAGAAUUCUCGGCACGCGGUGCAAUUUUAGGUACGAGGUGUAUCCUUUCUACGAUGGGGCGCCGUCGCUGAUGCUGUCGGCUGCAGUGGCAAACGCGCCGGCCCCGGCGCCACCGGUGGGACCUACACCAAUUAUUCCAACGGCAGAAAAAGGUAACAAAAGCAAUUUCAUUUUAUAAUUUUUACUUGAUAAAUUUUUUUUUUUCGUUUUUUGUUUUUGAGAAAGUUGAUAAAAAUAUUUUACUGACGGCUCUUGGUGCAAGUGUCAAAGAAUUUAGCAGUUAGUGAAAAAAAAAGUAGAACCGGCUCCAACCCGACCGCACCCUUUCCUCCAAUGUGUAGAAACCGAAAAUUCAAAUUUUCUACAUGCCCAAGAUUGCACAACCACCGAAAAAGACAAGAAUGAAAAAAUAAAAAGCUCAUAAUAAUAAUCUCAAACAACUCCACAUAUAAAAUUAAAUAACUCCAUCAAGAAUAUCCAAAAUACUAUAUAAUAAAAAUUGAAAAAGACAAAAUGAACAUUCAAUCAAAACACCUUAUAAUGAAUGUUCACAAGAGAGGAGAAGAGAUAGAUUAGAGAUCACUCACCUCAAACCUAGCAAAAAUCCAACCACCUUUUGGAUCCUCUUUCACACUUCUUUUGCAUUUUAGAGAACCUCCAAAACAAAGUGAAUUUAGAAGCUAAAUAGAAUAAGCUCACUUUUUUUCCUCUUAACCUCUUUUCUUUUGACUCCCUAACUAAAAACCCAUAUAGCUCAACUUGGCUCACUUGGCCCAAAAUAAGCCACAAGUCAACUUGACUCAAAGAGAACAAAAAGAGGCCCAUUUAAACAAUAGACCAUUGGCUCCUAUAAAUACACUUAUUAAACUAGUAAACAAAAGGGAACAAAAAAUAAAUUUAGCACUAAUUUUUAACUGUUAGUAUCCGAAAUCUCAAGUUCGAAUUUAAAUUAAUUUAUAUUUUCAGCUUAAUUUAUUUUUAAAAAGAAAUAAACGAAACGAUAGAAUGCUAUUUUUUUUAAAAAAAAAUAUAAUUUAUUAUAAUUUAACUAUCUAAUUUUAAAUAUUUUAAUAAUUUUUUAAAUUUUAUUUGAUUCUAGCCGGUUAAUUAUCUGGUUAAUUUUAAAUUUAAAUAUGUUAUUUACCUUUACGAAUUUAAUUGAUAUAUUUUCAACGGUUUAUAUAAUUCUAAAUUUAUUAAAAUAGAUAAUUAUUAUGAAUUUUGUACUGAAAAACUAAAAGUAUAACUCUACUUUUAUAAAUUUAAAAAUUAAAAUUAAAAUUUUUUUUCUAAAUUUCAAAAAAGAAAAAGUAAAAUUAAAAUUAAAAUUUUAAAAAACUAAAUAGUCAAAUUUUUAUAUUUAAUUCAUCCUAUGCGCAUUAAAGUCUUCCGGACUGACCAAUAUACACACCCAUUGAAAAGCCAAAUUUUAAAACGAAUUACUUUCACAAAAAAACAAGGUUUGGUGAUAAUAAUAGAUGGCCUUCGGACUCUAACCACACCUGUCCUAUUCUUUGAACCCAUUUUUCGUUGCGUUGGGAAAAAUAUAUAUACAUAUCUGGUGGAAAGUGGAAUAUUCUUAAUGCCUUCACUAUCACAUUAAUUGUUGUUUGGGAUUUUUUUUUAAAAAAAAAAUAAUAAUAACUUCGAAGACCCUCUCACCAUAAGCCAUUUUGAAAUGGCUAAAUUAUAUAAAAUUUUUCUGUCAAAACUCGUUUUUUCACUUUUCUCCGUCAUUUAAAAACCUACACUUUUUUUUUUUAUAAAAUAAAAAAUAUGCACAGGAGAGUAUGGUGUGAAAAAUGACCAUUUUGUCCUCUGCUAUUUUCGUCUUCUUCCUCAUCCUCCUCAUCCGCGGCCUCGAUCUCCCGUGGUUUGCCCUUCGAUCGGCUACGAUUUCUUUCCAUUUUCUUAUCCACAUGCGCCGCUUCUCCUCCUACAGCCUCGUCGCACCUCGAUUUCGACGACAGUAUGGAGAAAAUCGAGGUGGGUAUGGAUGGAGAGGUGGCAACGGCAACAAGGGCGAAGUCGAGGUGACGGAGGAGGGCGAGGGGGUGGUUGUGGGCGCAGACGGAGAUGCGGGCAAGGGCGAGGCAGUGGAGGAAGGCUAGGCGGCGAGGCGGCGGCGAGGCGGAGGAAGCGAAACAACAGGAAGAGGGUGGAGGGGUAUUUUUGGCAUAACAAAUCUUUUUUUAACGAAACCCUAACGGAUCGCUAACGGCAGGGGGUGAAGUGCAUAUUUUUUACUUUACAAGGGGGCAAAGUGUAGAUUUUUAAAUGACAGGAGAAAAAGUAAAAAAUCGGGUUUUGACUGGAGGAUUUUCUAUAAUUUAGUCUUUUGAAAGAGACUCUCCAACUUUACAUUUUUCAAUCAAAAAUAUGUAAGAACUAAAAAAAAAUGAUUCGUUGUUUGACCGUUAAAUUGCGAAAUCACUAGUUUUCCGAAUAACUAUAUUUAACAAAAUCACCUUUAUCUUGAACAAAACUUUUAAUUUAGUUGCUUAAAUUGAAAGAGCCAAAAGUUUUAUAGGGCCAAUUUUAUCACCUGCUUUUGUGGCUUUCCCUGUUUCCCAGGUCUACUCAGUGGAGACUUGAACUCAACUAAGGCCAAAAAAGUCUCUCUCAUUGAAUAUCUGUUUCCUGCAAUUAACGAGGAAUGCUGAAAAACAUGAGGUUGAGAAACGUAUGGAUCUUAGCAAAAGCAGAGAGAGAGAGAGAGAGAGAGAGACUUAAGUAAUCGAGGCUAAGUAUGAAAUAAAACCAGGGACACCUAGGAAUUAAUUAAGCUACAUAAAAGGAGAGAGAUCAAGACGAGCUCUUUUUUUGAGAUAAAGGUAGCACGUUACCCGCUUCGUUUAUUUUAUUUAGAAAUAAACUUAGCUAAAAAUACGAAUCAACUAGGAUUCGAACUUGACAACUCGGGUACCAACCAUCAAGACCAGCUCUAAUGUCAUGUUACUUAAAGCAACGUUCUAAUUAUAAGAAAGGAGACAGAAAUAGUCUUAACUCUUAAUAAGAACAACCGUCACGUACAUUUAUUACUGAGAUUGUCUACUUUUAUAUGCAGGAAAAAAAAAGAAUGUAACCAGUACAGUUUUAGCAAUAGCCGUACCUUUAGUGACUGCAUUUGUUCUGAUUUCGACCAUCUGCAUUUGCUUCUGGAGGAGGAGGACAGGAUCUGCUCUAAAAGAACCACUACACUGUAAGUAAGAUGUAAUGAAAACGAUAUGUAAUGGUAGGGACCUCCGUGUCUUUUCAAAGAAAAAUGACAAUGGUGCAAGUAUCAAUAGUUCUGUAAUAUACGGACACCAAUAUCUUAACCAUUAAUUCAUAGGGCCAUAAUAAAAAAUAAGACAAACAAUAUAUCACCUGUUGUUGCAGUGUCAAGUAUAGCCUAAUGAGAACUUAAAAUGUAUUGGCUAUAUUCUCCAGCGUACAUAGAUCAGGCAAUGCUAACUUCUAUUUGCUUUGAAUAGAUGGAGCCGGCGCAGAGGAGAUCAAAAGUGUCGAGUCAUUGCUUAUGGAUCUGUCGACAUUAAGAACUGCAACAGCUAACUUCGCUGAAGAGAAUAAGCUUGGAGAAGGCGGCUUUGGAGCUGUCUAUAAGGUAUCAUAAUACUUCCCUCAUUAGAACCUGCCCUUUGGUGAGAAUUAUAUAUACAGAGACAGCUGGAAUCUAACACAAAUUUUUUGUAUAGAAGUAGAUCAUCACUCUUCUUGGGUUCAGGCUAGUUCAAACUAUACACAUAUUGCCACGGUUCGAUCCUCUCUGAUACUUAACUUUAUGAACUCGAGUAGGGACUCUUACCUGACGGACAAGAGAUAGCAGUGAAACGACUGUCAAAAGAUUCAAGGCAGGGGCUAGGAGAGCUUAAAAAUGAGCUAGUUUUGGUUGCAAAGCUUCAGCACAAGAACCUUGUGCGGCUUUUAGGUGUCUGCUUGGAGGAACAAGAGAAGCUGCUUGUCUAUGAAUAUGUGCCUAAUAGAAGCCUAGACACUAUCCUUUUUGGUACUACAAUUACCUCAUAUCACUUGCUGCAACAUUAUAUUAUAAUAAUGAGCAUUAGCCUUACGCCCGCUUGAUUCACGGUUUGUAAUAUUCUGAUAAUCCUUCACAUUUCUUAUUAAAAAUAUUUAAAUCAUUGUCAUUCAACCCAAAGUCGAGUAGCUGUAAAAUGUGCUAGUGAAAUAGUAAAAUUAUUGUAGAUUCCUAAGUGGUAGGAAUACUAAAUUAUUACAGAUUAGGAGGUAUUCUCAUUUCCGUAUUUGAUAGGAAUUAUUAAUAGUCCAUUAGAAGAAUAUACUAUAUCAUACCAAUCUUUCAACCGAAGUGGCUUGAAAAAUUAGUAACAAACUCGACAUUUCAAAUAUAAAAUAUACAAAACAUUCCCUGAAUAUUACAAAACUUGAACCAAAUGGCCCCUUAAUGUUUUAUUUUUUCUUUUUUUUCUCAAUUGAUAUGCGUAAUUAAUUUUUUGUAUUCAAAUGAUACAGAUUCUGAGAAACGGGGAUGGCUAGACUGGGGAAAAAGGUUCAAGAUUAUCAGUGGAAUUGCUCGAGGCCUACUGUACCUACAUGAAGAUUCUCAGCUAAAAGUUGUACACCGAGAUCUAAAGGCGAGCAACAUCCUAUUAGAUGCCGAGAUGAACCCGAAGAUUUCAGACUUCGGCUUGGCAAGGCUUUUCGGAGGGGAACAAUCUCAGGAAAUCACAAGACAAGUUGUCGGAACAUUGUGAGAUUCAGUUGUAACUCUAACACCCCAAUAAUUCCACAUCGGAUGGAAAAGAAAUUCCGAUUGAGAAUAUAAAAUCACACACCCUAAAAAUAAUAACUGGGCUAAAACAUUUUAAGCAGGUCCGGAAUAUAAGACCAUGCACUCUAGUAAUAAUAACUGGACUUAUCUAAUUUGGGUAAAUGGUUUGAGCCCAACUAGUUAUUAGUGCUAGCAGGUCGAAUCGUUAAAGUAACUCUAUCCUUUUUAGCCUCAACCAUAAAAAUAAUAAUGCACAAAUUGAAUAUACUGCUCAUGUUAUUGCAGUGGAUAUAUGGCGCCAGAGUACGCGAUGCAUGGGUACUUCUCAAACAAGUCGGAUGUAUUCAGUUUUGGUGUUCUAGUUUUAGAGAUCGUAACCGGGAGGAAAAACACUGGUUCCUUCAAUUCUGAGCAGGCUGAAGAUCUUCUAAACUAUGUAAGUUAAGCGUGGGAGUAGUUCUAGAACCUAAUAGACAAAAACUAGUUUCUGUCAAAUAACUCCUUUUUGAUAUAAUCACAUAUAUAUAUACCCUGCAACAUCAUCCACAUAGAUAUUGCUGACAAAUCUGAAUGUUCAUAAAUGAACUUCAAGAAUUAAUUUCGAACAUAUGUGCCACCAUGUUUACAAAACUUAUCCUCUUUAUGCAAAAUCAACUUCCCUCCUGGAAUUAGAUGCAUGACUCCGUUAAUUGAAAUGUAGUAUUUUUGCAAGAAAUGACAAUAUACAAGGGCUUUUACGAGAGUUCUGACCUUUCAAGAGUAUGAACAUACGUAAAUAGAUGAUUUUACAGGAAAAUACAUGUACAGACAGCCUUAUCUUGACAAAUUGAAUGAAAUUUUGUGCAGAUAUGGGAGAAUUGGAAAAAGGGAACAAUAACAGAGAUCGUGGAUUCAUUCUUAGGCAACGUCUAUCCAAGAAGCGAAGUGGUGAGAUGCAUUCAUAUUGGAUUACUAUGUGUUCAAGAAAACCCAGCAGAUCGGCCCACCAUGUCGAGUGUCAUUGUGAUGCUAAGCAGUAACACUGUGACCCUUGAAACUCCUUCAAAACCGGCAUUUUGCAUUGGAAUGAGUAGCAUGCAACUCAACACGUACUCGAAUGGAUCGAAUUAUCGUGGACUAGUAGCUGAUCAACCCUCGAGCAAAUCGGUUCCACCUUCGCCUAAUGAGGUGUCCAUUACAGAACUUGAGCCUAGGUAGUUGGAGAAAGAAAUUUUCAAAAGACCUAAAAAGUCUUAGAGACUUAUGUUGGUGGAUUUAUCACUUCUAGUGCUUGAAAGAUCCUAUGAAGCAUUGUAACUCUAUUUGUAUCUUUUAUAUGUAUUUUAGUGUCUUUCGCAGCUGAAUAUCUACGUUUCCCAAAUUGUACUCAAAUUUGAAGAAAUGAUUAAAUAAUUGGUAUUUAUUAGAAGAAAAAAUGGUUAACUUGUUGUAAUUUUAUGUACUAAGCAUAGAAAAUUGCAAAAACCAAAGACACCAAAUGCUACUGGGGUGUGAUCAUACUGCGUAAAGAUGCGUAAUUCUACGAGUAAAAACAGAAAAUAAGAGAGCCACUCAGAAUUGUAUUUACAUUUAUAAGAGGCUGAUGCAUUUUUAUUUAAUUUCCUUGUAUCGAGAGAUUACAUGAGUAUAUACUGGUACAAAUGGAUGCCUUAGAAAGCAUCAGUAAGUUUUUUUUUUUGAAAAAAAAGGAAGCAAGCUACCAGCUUCAUUCAUUAAGUACAACUACAAUUUAUCGAGGAUCAAGUUCAGUGAGCGACACGCUAUUGAUAGAUGAUGAACUAGAUUUUCUCUUGCUCUCAGUGGAGCACUCUCUCUGAUGCGGAUCACUCUCAACAUCUCGGGGUGCCACAUAAUUCUCAGUAGUUGUGCUACCUUGAAUGAAAAAGGCAGGAUAUGAAGGUUUUGAUAGAUCGACAGUGUUACUAUUAAGACCGAAUGUUCCUAGUGCAAGUGGCAAAGAGCGUAGUGGUUGGUACCUGAGGUUUUAAGUUCGAAUCCUAGUUGAUUUACAUUUCCAGCUAAAGUUUAUUUCUAAAUGAAAUAAACGAAGCGGGUAGUAUGCUACCUAUCUCUCCACCAAAAAGGCAGGAUAUGAAGGUUUUAAAAAAGAGACAGUGUUACUAUUAAACAUGAGUACAACCGAAGCCAUUGUUGGUCUCAUUCUUGGGUCAUCUUGAGCACAAAGAAGGCCAAUUUGAAUGCAGUGCACAAGAGACUUGGAUUGUAUUGAUUGUUACAGAUGCCUAGGGGAUUAUGUGGAGGAUAUCCCAAGUUGCUGCGAUGGGAUGCAGGGUGGUAAAGAAGCAAAAAAUGUAAGUAGAAUUAGAGAGAUUAGAGAGAAAAUUCUCAAUAUAUUACGGCAUUUGAUUCUUACAUAUAUAAAUACAAAGAUACAAGUUUCAGAGUAAGAAAUGUACAAUUAUAGUAGCUUAUACAAUAAUCAGAUGCUAGAAUCAUGUGUGGGAGGGUGUUUGGAAGCAACUGUCUCAUCCGAUACGAGUUGUAUCAGUUUUAUAAUGUGUCGGCAGUGCAAAACAUGGCGGCACCACUGCUGCCGGAAGCGAAUACAACUGCACCACCCAAGGCGAGCCCUCUGAAAAAAGGAAGUAAUACAACAGGAAAUGCGACAAAUAGCGGCGGUAAGUCAGAUUUUUUAAGUGUGAUUUUGAUUGCAACGCAAUUCGUUUCUCCUAUUUUAUGCCUACUAUCAGCUUUAAAAAUUUAGACUAAUAGAACAAUUGAAGAAAACAAGCACUAUGGUAAACAAGCAAUAGAAAGAAAUAACAAGAAAAGACAACAAUACAAGAAAUUUAUAUACUUCGACUAGCAAUAUAUCAACUUACGGCCACGGACAAGAUCUUCCCAAUACGUUCUUUGAUUAUUUCACGGCACAAGAUACAAGAAAUAGAUUGGUUAUAAGAAAUCUCUCUCUAGGACUUUCACAUGUUUUUUUUCUCAACUAAAAUUCAGACACUGGAUCACUUGUUCAUACUGUGCGUAUUCAUACUGUACGUAUUCAUACUGAAUUUUUUUUCUCAAAAAAUUCAGACACUGGAUCACUUGUUAAUACUGUGUGUAUUCAUACUGUGCGUAUUCAUACUGAAUUUUUUUUCUUAAAAAAUUCAGACACUGGAUCACUUGUUAAUACUGUGCGUAUUCAUACUGUGCGUAUUCAUACUGAAUUUUUUUUCUCAAAAAAUUCAGACACUGGAUCACUUGUUAAUACUGUGCGUAUUCAUACUGUGCGUAUUCAUACUGAAUUUUUUUCUCAAAAAAUUCAGACACUGGAUCACUUGUUAAUACUGUGCAUAUUCAUCAAGUUCAUUCUGGUGAUGGGUGUGGAGGGUGUUCGGGCUAGGGACUUGGGAGACGACGUAAACUCCGUCCUGGAUAGGUAGAUGGGUAGGAAAGGAUUUCAGACUACGAGCAAUAGUCUAUCUGAAUUAGUAGCCUGCUGAUAGGUCAUAUAAAAGGUCAGGAACGAUUCGAUUUUUAAAAAAAUCCAGCCGGACCCAAUGUUAGCAGUUCACAAGCUUAAACAGUUGUUGAAGUUCUGGGAUCACUUUUUCCGAGCAAAGUAGAAGCUUAACUGUUUUUUUUUCUCGAGGCUCCGGAUGUCUCACUCCUGUAGCUUAGUUUAUCAGUCUAAUAAAUGAAACGAAUAACGUACUAUUUUUUUCUAAAAAAAAAAAAUUAUAGUGAAACUUUCUGAAAGAACCUUUCGAAAGGUCUUGAUCAGGGGUGUAUAUGAUCCCAUAUAUAUAUAUAUAUAUAUAUAUAUACAGCCACAAAAAUUUUCAGGUUCGAUACCGACUCGGGCUGCCGAAUCUGAUCGGUCAGAUCCCCAAAUCCAAUUGAUCGGCUUAUAUACCAAAUCCAUCCGAGCGAUGGGAUUAGUUGUAAAUUAGUUUCAGAGCAAUCGGACCGUCCAAUCCGACCAAACGGAUCACCCAUCUGACCGAUUGGAAGUUUGGGCGAACGUAGUUCUGACCGGUCGGUUCCAACCAAUCGGCUUGUCCUACAAGCCAACCCAAAUUCUGGAACAAGCAUCCAGUAACUCAAAUCUUAGACGCUCCACUGUAGAGAACAUAAUUUCACCUUGAUCCAACAUAGACUAUAUUGAGUCGACUCAAUGAACAUUGAUUUCUACAAUACAUAGUUAGUUUAAUCCUGUUUUUAAGCUUUCAAAGUCACUAUCUAAAUAUGGUAAUUAGGUACAAACAACUAAAAUAGCUGAAAAAAUUGCAAAUUGGCUACAGCGAUAGAUUAAGCUAAGAACUCAUUGGUAUGUGCCGUACGGGAAACUUAACAUGGGUGUAGAGUAGGCAUGGGAUGUUAGAUUUGGAUGCAGCGCGAGUUCGUGUGCAGACAUAACUAAAAUUUUCUGUCAUUAGAUAUUAAUCUAAGGGCGUAUUUGGUUCGCACUAUGAAAGAUUAUUAGGAGUAAAAGAUAUCCGAGAAUCUUAUUUCUAUUCAUCCUAUUACUAAGAAUAUGAUAUUUCCGUGUUUUGUUCGCACGAUCAUAUUAUUUAAUUAUGUUAUUUAAUAUUAUAAAAAAUAUACAAUUUAUUUAUUUUUUUUAAUUAAUUUUAUAUAAUGCUAUCAAAAAUUUCAACAUUUUUUUAGAAAAAAAGAGAGAGAGAACAUAGGUUAGAAAGAGAGAGUAUAAUUAAAUAAAUAAGAAGAGAAAUAGAGUCGAUAUUAGAGGGAGUGAGAGAGUUGAGAUUUUAGAAAAAGAGGGGGGGAGAGAGCUUAGCUUAGAGAGAGAAAAAAGUUGAAGUUUAGAGAGAGAUAUAAGAUUAGAGUAUAAAAAAAAAUAAUACCAACUAACCGGCGGAUAGGAAGAAAGAAAGAGAUUAGACAUAUUAUUAUUAUCCUAAUCCAUUAAUAUGAGGAUAUCCACCCUCCCUCAAAAGAAUGAGAUUAGUAUUUUGAGAUGAAUCUCAUUCCCAAGUAAAUCCAAUAUUACCAAAUUAAUUACUUAGUAUGUUUAGCUAAAUACUGUUAUAUUAUCUUAAAAAAAAUUAAAUUUGUGCUCAUUCGAUGCAUUAAAACUAGUUAUAUUAAUUUAAUGUGUUGUAAAAACUAGGGUCGAUCUUUUUUUUUUUUUUUUUUUUUUUGGCGCGUUUUAGUUGGCUUCGAGCCGUCAACUCAUCGUCUGAGUCAACAAGGUCGACGCCACAUCACUCAUGGCCCAUCUGACGCGGAAUCAAAAGAUCAACAAAACAGGAUCAAACACACAGGUCGAGGCCAUUUUCAACUAUCCAUUUAUUAAAUGCUGAACUAUUGUCUCAUUAUUUCCUUUAUGUAUCCCUAUCUUACAUCCCUAUCUUUCAAUAUCAUUAAUAAUCCCCUCCUACUUGAUUGUGAGAAAACUAUGGAACCUCUCCCACUCCCCUUCCUCCUCUGCUCCCUCCUCCUCAUUCUCCUCCACACCCCAACAUCCAAAUCCAGCACCUUCUACAUCAACUGCCCCACCAACGCGAACUACACGGCGAACAGCAUCUUCCAGUCGAACCUCAACCUCCUCCUGUCUUCCCUCCCCUCUGAAGCCGCCCCCUCCGGCUUCUACAACAUCUCGGUCGGUCGAAGCGGCGCCGACCAAGUCUACGGCCUCGCGUUAUGCCGCGGCGACGUCUCCUCUGCCGACUGCAACGCCUGUUUGACUAGAGCCGCGCAAGACGCUGUCGCAAAGUGCCCGCGCGGCAUGUCGAGCACCCUGUGGUACGACGACUGCAUGCUGCGCUACUCCAACAAUAGCUUCUUUGGCAUCGCCGACAGCUCGCCCCUAGUAUACUUGUCGAACGUGCAGAACGUCACGGAUCCGCAGCUGUUCGAUGACCAGCUCGGGCAGCUGAUGAAGAGCUUGGCCAUGAAAGCAGCCUAUGGGUCGGGGCGGCCGCCGUUAUUCGCGGUGGGGGAGGUCAACUUUACGAGCUUUAAUAACAUAUACGGGCUGGUGCAGUGCACGAGGGAUCUGUCGCCGACGGGCUGCUAUGGGUGCUUGUCGAGUUACAUCGGGAGCAUCCCGCAGUGCUGCAGCACGAAGAUCGGCGGGAGGAUUGAAGGAGAGAAUUGUAUCGUCCGGUUUGAGUCGGCUCCGUUUUAUAAUUUGGCGCCAUCCGGGAACGAGGCGCCGCCGCCGAUGCCGCAAUCAAAUGGGACGAGCACGACGACGCCAUCGCCGCCGGCACGGUUGGGUCAGAAUACGGGUAAUGGCAGCAGUCAAACGGGCGGUAAGGGAACCGGAGGUAAGUCAAAGUCCUUCUCCCGCGUUGACUUUCUUCUGUGGGGAUUUGCUCGCUGUACCGGGCGGCUGUAGGAAACCUCUUCUGUUCGUAGGUGUGCACCGUCACAUUAAUUCGAGGUGGGGUUAGGGAUGCAAAUGGAUCCGGGUUGGUGGAGCUCCGCCUCGAUCCGCCCCGAAUGGGGUGGUAAGUGGGAACAAAAAAUAUAGAAAAAUAUAACCCGUCCCGAAUCCGCCCCGAUCCGUCAAGUAAAUGGAGCGGGAGGCGGGAGACUCUUUUCUUCCUUCAAUCUAUCUCGAUCCGUUAAAAAUCCGCUCCCGUCCCGCUCCCGUCCCGAUCCGCCCCGAAUGGAGCGGUAAGUGAGAGCCAAAAAUAAAAUGAAAAAUAAUCCGCCCCGAAUCCACCCCGCCCAAAUAAGAAAUGGAGCGGGAGGUGGGGGAACUCUCCCGCCCCCGGAUCCGCCCCGUUUGCAUCCUUAGGUGGGGUGGAUAAAGCAUGCGUGACUUCGUUGAGAAGCUCCGCAACAAAGUUUUACCAAAGAUAAUGUGGUAAACUGUGUGCUUUAUCUCGUGUCUAAAUUUAAUGACCUAUUUCAAUCUAAUCAAAUCUUAAAUUCUUUUUUUUUUAUUAAACAGGGAUAUACCCUAUUUGCAAAUCUUAAAUUCUGUAAUUUAUUUUGUGCCUGGAUUUAACGAUAUGUUCCAAUCUAGUCAAACCUUCACACCAAAUAGUACAGCGAAUUUAGAAUGUGGUGCUCUACAGAAAUUUAAAAUUGAAGGACUUUUUUCACCAUCAUGUUGCGUGUGAGAAUCGUCCACUAACGAAGGGAUGUUGCUUUCAAAGUAAACUAUAUGGUCUUCAACUUGGCAUAGAAAAAUAAUAUUUGCAAGAACCUUAUUCAUUUUCAUAAAAAUUAACGUAAUUAGAAAUGUAAAGUAAUUAAGUUCAAAUGUAAACUCUCAGGUAUCAAUUAUUAAAUUUUUAGCCAACUGUAUUAGAUACUACGGUUGGCAACAAAUGUGAAAAAGUUGGAAGUAAUAAGCAUAUAUAAGCUAAUGGAAGGUGUUGUUAGUUACCAAAACAAACUGACUCAUUUUGCUUGAUAUGGCUUAUUAAUAAAUCGACUCUUUUUUUUCUCUGAAAAGAUUAAUGAUUCAACUCGCUUUGAUAUUACAUGUUAAAGGGAAAGAAAACAGAUUAAAUGAAUGAAUUCAAACUUUCGUUUGAUUUCGAGAACUAAGUAGGAUCACUUACUCUUGGUGCAGGAAUUAAUGGAACUACAAAGACAAUUAUUAUUGUUGCCAUUUCUGUGGUUGCUGCUGCAUUGUUGCUCCUCUCUGCUAUCUUUCUCUGCCUGAGAAUAAGAAAGAAACAAAGAAAACCAGUUAGAAAUGCUCUGAUGAGUAAGUUCCACACAUAACUAUAUUUGAUUCAACACACACACUGAACAUAAAAAUUCAUUUUUGUACUAAGAUACUGCUCUUCAUGAAGUAAAUGGAGGAGAUGACCAGGAAAUUAGAAGCGCGGAAUCUCUAUUGUUCGAUUUGGCAACAAUACGAGCUGCCACAAGCAACUUCUCAGAGGCAAAUAAGUUAGGAGAAGGUGGAUUUGGACCAGUGUAUAAGGUGAAUUCUCAACUCUUAAGUGCUCCAAUUCAAUUAAUUAAUCUGCAAAAGACAAUAUAUUUAGCUUAUGUGUUCUGCAUGUUAAGAACUACUAGCCUCUAAAAGUAUUAACAGCUAGAAAACUGUAUUUUUAUAUUUGGUAUCGAACAUUUUCUUUCAUGUCUUGGCUCGAGACUUUUUAAUUAACUCAGACCUCUUAUUCUGGUAAUAUAUAUUAAUAACUAUUUAUUUCUACAAACUUAUAAUACUAUAAGAUAAAUUUUUUAACAUUUGCAUAUAACACUGAAAACAGGGGAUGUUACACGAUGGGCAAGAAAUUGCAGUGAAGAGGCUCUCAAUGAGCUCAGUACAGGGGCUUGUCGAGCUGAAAAAUGAAGUGGUGCUUGUGGCAAAACUUCAGCAUAGGAAUCUGGUGAGGCUAAUUGGUUGCUGCUUGGAAGAGCAAGAAAAGCUUCUUAUCUAUGAGUACCUGCCCAACACAAGCCUUGAUAAGUUUCUCUUUGGUAUAGCUCAUCACAGCAUAAUUGUUUAUUCACAUUGCUACUUGAUUUGAAGUUACCUUCAUUCAAUGAAGUACUCUUUUACUUGUUUUGGCCACUUUGAUACAUUUGUCGUAAAGUCAAUUUUGCUUCUAAAAUAGGUUUCCUUCUUUUUAGGGAUGUGAAAUUAUCUGUAUGAUUUAAAUGUUGUUAUUAACUGUUAUAGCUAACUGAGAAAUGCCAUAUAUAUAUAACACUAUUUUACUCAAAUGAAGCAGAUCCUGUGAGGCGCGAACAAUUAGAUUGGAUAGUACGGUACAAGAUCAUCGAAGGGAUUAGCCGAGGACUUCUCUAUCUCCACGAAGAUUCGAGGUUAAAGAUAGUUCACCGUGAUCUGAAAGCGAGCAACAUCUUGUUGGAUGCUUUUAUGACCCCUAAAAUCUCCGACUUCGGUCUCGCAAAGCUCUUUGACAUCGACACGAGUGAAGGAAACACAAGUCGGAUCGCAGGAACAUAGUAAGCACAUUCUACACCCAAAACUCAAUAAAGAAUAAAAGAUUUACUAGAGUUUCUCUCCCAACGAGAUUCUCAUAUAAUGUUGAUGCUUAAAACUUGUUGUUAAUUGCAGCGGAUAUAUGGCACCGGAGUAUGUAAUUCAUGGACAUUUCUCAACAAAAUCAGAUGUUUUUAGUUAUGGCGUGUUGCUUUUGGAGAUUGUGACUGGACGAAGAAACGCUCGCUCUCAAGAAACUAUUCAUUCAGAAGACGUUCUAUCCUAUGUAAGCAUUCUCUAUACCUUAAUAGGUGGAUAAGGUAUUCAUUUUAAAUUUACUGUCCCGGAUUCAAAUCGGAGACGGUGACAAUAAUAUAGUCAGGUUUCAAAAACCCAAAAUUUUUACUAGAGGUCCACAUGACAUUUAAAAAAAGAGUAUUCAAUCUUUGAAAAUUUUUACUUUACCCCCCUACGUUUUUUGAAGCCACGCUUUGACGCUCCCAGUCACGAUGAAUUUUUCUUAACAAAUCGAGGUAAUUUUCUACUGCUAACUAUAUAUUGCUCUUUCUUAAAUAGGUGUGGAAGCACUGGACCGAAGGGACUGCACACGAGGUGCUCGACCCGAGUCUCGCGGGGCAGUGUCGGUUGCAGGACGUGCUGAGAUGCAUCCACAUUGGGCUGCUGUGCGUCCAGGACGACCCGUCGAACCGGCCGAGCAUGGCGUCCGUCGUGCUCAUGCUCAGCAGCCUCUCCUUCACCCUCCCCGCCCCCUCGGCCCCUGCUUUCGUCAUUCUGCAUGGCUCAACUGCAGAAAACACGGUGGAGAUCGAGACUGAUGCAUCCAGCGGGCUGCAGCGGAGGACGACGAGAGCUGCGUCGGUGAACAAAGUCUCCAUUUCAGAACUCGAGCCACGAUAGCGUCUCGGAGCUGAGGAAUAUUGAACAGAAUUAAUAUACUGAAUUCGAGUGGCAAAAGAGUGUGAUUUUUUACGUUGCCGAAUAAACAGCAAAGGCGUUGUAAAUCUAGCUAGAUUUACGUAAGCUUGCUUAUUUUUGUGACUUUCCUUCUUUCGAAUGCUAUGGCAAGAAGAUUUUGUUCAGUAUCUCUCUUUUAACUAUGCAAGAUGUAAUAAAAUAAAUUAUGAAAAGCCUCUUGUAUUUUAGCCCCUUUUGUACAGUCAUUGUUUAUAUUUAAAAAUUUUGUCAAUUUUUAUCCGACACUUUAUUAUAAUUUUAAAAGAUCUAAAGCUAUAUAGUAAUGGUUAAAUUUAGUUGUAAAAUUUUAUAAAAUAAAUUUAUGGAUAAAAUUAGAUAUAUUUAAUAUAUAUUAGAAUUAUAUAAAAAUAAGUUUGCAAAUAAAGUGAGUUAUAGAUACUAUUCUCUUUUUUUUGAGAAAUUAAUACACGUAACCAGUGCGUCGUGCUCGAUAUAUAUGUGUUAAAACCUACCACAACAGCAUCAAAAUUGACUCUUCAUAGACCUCCAAGAAGACAGAUGCUGCGCUACAGAGAGGUGUUCAAAUGCGGUUUAACCUACAGGCUUGGGGAUGGUGGAAAUAUCAGACUCUGGUCCGACAUCUGGAUCGAGGAAACCUCCCUCCGCAUUCUGUUCCCCCGCAUCUUUGAUUCAGUGACUAAGAAAGAUAUAAGAGUGUCCCAGUGCUGGAAUUCUAAUGGUUGGAGAUGGUGUUUCAUUUGUAGCGGUUUUGCGGCGUCAAACUUUCCAGACGGGAAUCGACAGUUGUCGACGUUCAAGGAAUGCCUCCUUACCGCCUCCCCCAAUAUUGGUUCGGACUCUGUUAGCUGGCGAUGGACUGCACAUCAAAAGUUCUCUGUCAAAUUCUUAUACUUGUUCCUCUCGUUUACUGGAUUGAUCGACCCAAUGCGCUGCUCGUACAUCUGGAAGCUAAAAAUUCCUUUAAAGAUCUAUUCUCAAAAAAAAAUUUCUUUAAAGAUCAAAAUCUUUACUUGACUACUACUUCGAAAGAGACACCCUACUGACAGACUCCUUCACCGCGGAUUGGUCGUGGAGCCCCACUGCGUCUUCUGUGCCGUAGGUACGGAAAGCUGUGACCACCUCUUACACAAUUGCGUUUUCGUCAAAUUUCUGCUCCAUAGCACACACAGCUCGGAACCACUUCUACAACCUUCGGAGGACGUCCGUAACCUCUGGCAUAUGGCCACUACCGUUUCCGACAAGCUUGAAAGGGUUAGCUGUCUGACCUCGUUGUCCGCCACCUAGUGGGUGGUUUAGGCCAAGCGGAACAAUAUCAUCUUCAAGGAGAAACUAGCCUCCCCCUCCCACUCUCUGAAACGUGUCAGCCUACUUCUGAACUCAUGGAUUGAGCUUCGCUGAUUGACGCUCCACGCUCUCCGAACCAGGCCUCCGCUCUCUUUCACCCUGAACAGUCGCCUACUAUUUUUUCCGUUUCCUGUCUUUUUUCUGUUUUUCCUAUUUUUUCGGAAGCCUUCGCUGCUUCCAUCUAUGUAUGCCUAGUUUAUUUGGCUAAUGAAUGAAGCGGGUAGCUUGCUACCUUUCUCUCUCUCAAAAAAAAAAAAAAAACAGCAUCAAAAUUAGAAUUUAAUUUAUUCAAUGUAAUUCAUAACGUUAAAAGAUUUGCGCAUAUCAAAAAGACAUAAAUGUGAGAUAUUUAUUNAUGUAAUUCAUAACGUUAAAAGAUUUGCGUAUAUCAAAAAGACAUAAAUGUGAGAUAUUUAUUUUUAUGAAAACGCUAUCUAGUACGUAUGGUAAUUAGGAUUAUAAAAUUGCUAUGUUCGGUUUAAUAAGAGUAUAAUUUUAGUAAUGUAGAUAGUAAUAUAUAUAAUUUUCCACAAGUAGACCCAUACUUAAAAUUUUGUGUGUUUACAUUUAAAAUCAAAUUUUAAAUUUUAAAUUUUAAUUCAAAAUGAGAAUUUAGAAUUUGAAUAUUGAAUUCAAAAUCUAUAUUUAUAUUUAAAUUUGAAAUCGAAAUUUUAAUAUAAAUUUAAAUUUAUAAUACAAAUUAUAUCGAGGGCAAUUUGAAAAUUAUAAAACAAAAAAAUUUUAGAUUCCUCUCAUUCUCUCUCUCAUUCAGGACUCAGGAGUAGAAAAUACCGAUCCCUCUUGCACGGUAACACAGGAUUCUCUCUUGUGGGGAGUUCUACACUUCUGCGGGAUUGUUUGAAGGUCAACAGUCAACGAGGUCCCACCCACAGCACUCACGGCCCAUUUCACGCGGAAUCAACGAACAAACAGGACCGCAGAAACAUGUCAAGGCCAUUAUUUUCAUAUAUCCAACGUAAUCUCGUGCAUAUACCAAUGUCAUUCCUUCUUACUCGCGAGAAAAGUAAAAAAAACUAUGGAGUCUCUCCCUCUCCCGAUCCUCCUCUGCUCCCCCCUCCUCAUUCUCCUCCACGCCCCCACAUCCAAAUCGGACCCCCUCUCUAUCAACUGCCCCACCGACGCGAACUACACGGCGAACAGCACCUUCCAGUCGAACCUCAACCUCCUCCUGUCUUCCCUCCCCUCCGCCGCCGCCCCGUCCGGCUUCUACAACACCACGGUCGGUCCAAGCGGCGCCGACCAAGUCUACGGCCUCGCGUUAUGCCGCGGCGACGUCUCCUCUGCCGAAUGCAACACCUGCCUGACUACGGCCGCGCAAGACGCUGUCGCAAAGUGCCCGCGCGGCAUGUCGAACACCCUGUGGUAUGACAAAUGCAUGCUGCGCUACUCCAACUAUAGCUUCUUUGGCAUCGCCGACAGCUCGGCUCAGUUGUACAUGUGGAACAUGCAGAACGUCACGGAUCUGCAGCUAUUUGACGACCAGCUGGGGCACCUGAUGAACAAUUUGGCCACGGAAGCGGCCUACGGGUCGGGGCGGCCGCCGAUGUUCGCGGCAGGAAAAGCCAACUUCACGAACUUUUUGAAUAUAUACGCGACGGUGCAGUGCACGAGGGACCAGACGCCGGACGGCUGCUACGGGUGCUUGACGACUUACAUCGGUAACAUCCCGGCCUGCUGCGGCACGAAGCAAGGCGGGAGGAUACUAGGAGAGACUUGCACCAUCCGGUUUGAAGUUUAUCCGUUUUAUAAUUUGUCGGCCGUCGAGAACGCGGCGAUCGCACCGCCGCCGCCGCUACCGCCACCGGCAGGGUCGAGUCAGAACACGGGUAACGGAAGCAGUCAAACGGGCGGUAAGGGUAGCGGAGGUAAGUCAAAGUCUUUUUCCGUCGUUGACUUUCCGAUGUGCGGGAUUUGCUUCUAUUCAUAGGUAUGCGGCAUCGCAUUAAUUGCACGUGGCCGUGGAUAGUUUUAUAAGCAUGCGUGAUUUUGUUAAGAAACUCCUCAGCAAAGUUUUACUAUCACAAUUUAAUAAACUGUAUGAUUUAUCUUGCGUGUCUAGAUUUAACGAUCUGUUUCAAUCUAAUCAAAUCUUAAACCGUAUAAUUUAUCUUGUGUUUAGAUCUAAUGGUACAAUUAGUACAAUUAGUUUAGAGGGGCUUGUUAAGAAUUGCAGGACUUUUUUGCCCCUCGUGUUGCGUGCGAGAGUCGUCCGCUAGCGAAGGGAUGUUGCUUUCAAAGUAAACAGUAUGGUCUUCGAUUUGGUAGAGAAAAAUAAUCUUUGCAAGGACUUUGUUCAUUUUCUUAAAAAUUAACGUAACUAGAAAUAUAAAGUAACUAGUUUCAAACGUGAACUCUAAUAUAUCAAUUAUUAAAUUUUUAGCUAGCUGUAGAAGACACGAUUGGCAACAAAUAUGAAAAAGUUAGAAGUCAUAAACAUAUCUAUAAAUAUAUACACACAUGGAAAGCUAUGUUUGUUACCAGAAGGAACCGACUCAUUUUGCUUGAUUCGACUUAUUAAUAAUUUGACUCUUUCUUUUUUUCUAAAAAAAAGAUUAAUAAUCCGACUUGCUUUGAUAUUACGUGUUAAAGGAAAAGAAAAACAGAUUAAAUGAAUAUUGAAUUCAAUCUUAAAUUCCCUUUUGUUUGAUUUUGAGAACUAAGUAGGAUCACUUACCUCUUGGUGCAGGAAUUAAUGGAACUACAAAGACAAUUAUUGUUGUUGCCAUUUCUGUGGUUGCUGCUGCAUUGUUGCUCCUGUCUGCUAUCUUUCUCUGCCUGAGAAUAAGAAAGAAACAAAGAAAACGAGUUAGAAAUGCUCUGAUCAGUAAGUUCCACACAUAACUAUAUUUAAUUCAACACACACAGAUAACAUAAAAAUUCAUUUAUGUACUAAGAUCCUGCUCUUCAUGAAGCAAAUGGAGGAGAUGAGCAGGAAAUUAGAAGCGCGGAAUCUCUGUUGUUUGAUUUUGCCACAAUAAGAGCUGCCACAAGCAACUUCUCAGAGGCAAAUAAGUUAGGGGAAGGUGGAUUUGGACCAGUGUAUAAGGUGAAUUCUCCACUCUUAAGUGCUCCAAUUCAAUUAAUUAAUCUGCAAAAGACAAUAUAUUUAGCUUAUGUGUCACUGAAUGUUAAGAACUACUAGCCUCUAGAAGUUUUAACAGCUAGAAAUCUGUAUUUUUAUAUUUGGUAUUGAACAUUUUCUUUCAUAUCUUGGCUCGAGACUUUAUUAUUAACUCAGGACCUCUUAUUCUGAUAAUAUAUAUUAGUAAUUAUUUGUUUCUAAAAACUUAUAAUACUAUAAAAUAAAUUUGUUAACAUUUGUAUAUGACACUGAAAACAGGGCAUACUACAAGAUGGGCAGCAAAUAGCAGUGAAGAGGCUCUCAGUGAGCUCGGUACAGGGGCUUGUUGAGCUGAAAAAUGAAGUGGUGCUUGUAGCAAAGCUUCAGCACAGGAAUCUGGUGAGGCUAAUUGGUUGCUGCUUGGAAGAGCAAGAAAAGCUUCUUAUCUAUGAGUACCUGCCCAACACAAGUCUUGAUAAGUUUCUCUUCGGUAUGGCUCAUCACAGCAUAAUUGUUUAUUCGCAUUGCUACUUGAUUUGAAGUAGCCUUCAUUCUGUUGGGAAUCCGGUACUCGUCUCGGUACCGGAUCUUAUAAAUCCACAACCUGUUCCGAUACCGACUGCUGUAGAUUCGGUACCGAUUGUUGAGAUUCCGCAACGGAAGCGUCAAAUUUGAUUUUUACCAUAAACCCGUCUCCUCAGCAAAAGCUGAUAUAAUCAUAAAAAUGAAAAAUAUGCAAGUAAAAUAAGAUUCAUUAAAUAAGAGAAGAUUACACCUGACUUCUCUUCUGCAACUGAGUAGCUACAGCCCGAGCCAUCUUCCUGAAUCUUUUCUUAUUAGAGAAUAGUAUUAUAUUUUUCAUAAAUUUUAAAUAAUAUAAAUUUAUAUUUGAGAGUAAAAUUAGUAUUAUAAUAUCCUAUAAUUUUUUUAGUUUGUACGAACCAAGCAAUGAAAUGUGAAUAACUCAUUUCAAUUCCCAAUCCACAAAUAAAUCAAACGUCUUGAAGUAGUGGGUCAUUCCAAUUACCAUUCCAAUUCAUUCCCAUUCUAUUAUCCAUUCCAAUUCCACCCUUGAACCAAACAAGCCCUAAAACUCCAGUAAGCUAGUUACACUGUACUUAAAACUUGAAACUUGUUUUGCACAAUUACCCUAUAAUUAAAACUUGUUUUACUUAUAUAUUACCAUUUUAACUUAAAAUUUGAAUUCCAAAUAUGAAUUUCAUCUUAAAAUUUGAAUUAAAAUUUGAAUUUGAAAAUUUAAAAUUUUAAAGUCAGAAUUUAAAUGUAGAUUUUAAAUUUUAAUAUUUAUAUUUGAAUUUAAAUUUUGAAUUCAAUUUUGAAUUUUAAAUUUGAAGUACAAUUUAAACUAAGAUUUUAAAUUUGAAAUUCGAAAGUAAAUAUGAAAUUGAAUUUGAAAUUCAAAUUCAAUAUCUAAAUUUGAAUUUAAAAUUUAAAUUUAAAAUUAAAUUUAAAAUUUGAAUUGGAAAUUCGAGUAACAAAAUCUAUAUCAGAAUUUAAAAUUCGGAUCCAAAAUCAAACUUUAAAUUUCAAAUUUAAAUUCAAAAUGAGAAUUUAGAAUUUGAAUAUUGAAUUCAAAAUAUAUAUUUAAAUUUAAGUUUGAAAUCAAAAUUUAAAUGUAAAUUUAAAUUUAUAAUACAAAUUAUAUCGAGGGCAAUUUGAAAAUUAUAAAACAAAAUUUUAGAUUCCUCUCAUUCAGGAGUAGAAAAUACCCAUCCCUCUGCAGGUAACACAGGGGAUUCUCUCUUGUGGGGGGAGUCGUACACUUCUACCCACUUCUGCGGGAUUGUUUGAAGGUCAACAGUCAACGAGGUCCCACCCGGACGGCAGAUACAUUUCUACAAGGCCAUUAUUUUCAUAUAUCCAUUUACUGUCGUUUCCUUCACAAAGUAAUCCCAUAUACCAAUAUCCUUAAUCCUUCUUACUCGUGAGAAAAGUAGAAAACUAUGGAGCCUCUCCCUCUCCCCUACCUCCUCUGCUCCCUCCUCAUUCUCCUCCACACCCCCACAUCCAAAUCCCAGCCCAUCUAUGUCAACUGCCCCACCGAAGCGAACUACACGGCGAACAGCACCUUCCAGUCGAACCUCAACCUCCUCCUGUCUUCCCUUCCCUCCGCCGCCGCCCCGUCCGGCUUCUACAACACCACGGUCGGUCGAAAUGGUGCCGACCAAGUCUACGGCCUUGCGUUAUGCCGCGGCGACGUCUCCUCUGCCGACUGCAACGCCUGCUUGACUACCGCCGCACAAGACGCUGUCGCAAAGUGCCCGCGCGGCAUGUCGAACACCCUAUGGUACGACAACUGCAUGCUGCGCUACUCCAACAAUAGCUUCUUUGGCAUCGCCGACAGCUCGUUCUGGGAAUACAUGUGGGACGGGCAGAACGUCACGGAUCCGCAGCAGUUCGAUGACCAGCUCGGGCAGCUGAUGAAUAACUUGGCCACGAAAGCGGCCUACGGGUUGGGGCGGCCACCGUUAUUCGCGGUGGGGGAGGUAAAAUUUACGAGCUUUAAUAACAUAUAUGGGCUGGCGCAGUGCACGUGGGAUCUGUCGCCGGCCGACUGCUAUGAGUGUUUGAUGACCAACAUCGGGAGAAUCCCUCAGUGCUGCAGCACGAAGAUGGGCGGGAGGAUUUUCGGAAAGAAUUGUGUCGUCCAAUUUGAGUCGGCUCCGUUUUAUAAAUUGGCGGCGCCGCCUACUCCGCAAUCAAAUGGGACGAGCACGGUGACGCCGCCACGGCCGGCAGGGUCGGUUCAGAAUACGGGCAAGGGCGGCAGUCAAACGAGGGGUAAGGAUACCGGAGGUAAGUCAAAGUCUCUUUCCCUCGUUGACUCUCCCCACUGUGGGAUUUGCUAUUGGGGGGUCGUAGGAAAUUCCAAUUGACAGGCGUGUGGGGGAUCACAUCAACUCACGUGAGGUAGGUAGAAUUGCCGGACGUUUUUUGGACCCUUCGUUGCUUGCGAGAGUCAUCCACCGUUGCUUUGAAUGUAUAUUAAAUAUAAAAAUAUUUAAACAUUAUUCUCUAAUAGCUUAAGCUUUAAGAGUACAACGGUUAUUUUAUAUGGUAUGAAAAUAGGAGGUCCUGAGUUCAAGUUAUAUCAUGCUCCUAGUAUAAUAAAUUUUUUUUCUUUUAAUUCAAAUCCACUCAAGCCCAGACGUGAAGAGGAGUAUUAAAUAUAAAAUUAUAUAAACAUCGUUCUCUAACAGCUUAACUUUUUAGAGUACAAUGUAAACAAUAUGAUCUUCAACGUGGUACUAAAAAAAAAAAAAGAAAAAAUUUCAUUUGAAAGACUUUGUUUACGGUGAAUUCAAUUUGAAAUGUGAGCCAACUAACUUCAAAUUUGAAAUUUUAGAUACCAAUCAUCAAAGUUCUUAACUAACUGAAUAGAUAUGGUGGGUAACAACUGUGCAAAUUUUAGAAGUUAUAAGCGUAUAUAUGCAAAUGGAAGUUUUGUUAGUUACCGGAACGAACUGACUCAUUUUGGUUGAUUUGAUUUUAAAUAAUUUGACUCUGUUUUUCUAAAAAGACUAAUAAUUCGACUUGCAUUGAUAUUACAUGUUAAAGGAAAAGAAAACACAUUAUAUGAAUGAAUUGAAUCUAAAAUUUCCUUCUGUUGGAUUUCGAGAACUAAGUAGGGUCACUUACUUUUUGUGCAGGAAUUAAUGGAACUACAAAGACAAUUAUUAUUGUCGCCAGUUCUGUGGUUGCUACUGCGUUGUUGCUCCUCUCCGCUAUCUCUCUUUGCAUGAAGAAACAAAGAAAACCAGUUAGAAAUGCUCCGAUCAGUAAGUUCCACACACAACUGUAUAUAAUUCAACAUACACAGUGAAACAUAAAAUUUCAUUUAUGUACUAAGAUCCUGCUCUUCAUGAAGCAAAUGGAGGAGAUGACCAGGAAAUUAGACGCGCGGAAUCUCUAUUGUUCGAUUUGGCCACAAUACGAGCUGCCACAAGUAACUUCUCAGAGGCAAAUAAGUUAGGAGAAGGUGGAUUUGGACCAGUGUAUAAGGUGAAUUCUCCACUCCUAAGCGCUCCAAGUUAACAUUUUCAACCUAAUCUACAAAAGAAAAUAUAUUUAGCUUAUUUAUCAGUUUCCUUUUCUCUACUCAAUGUUCUAAAUGUUAAGAACUACUAACCAAAGUUUUAGCAGUUUGAAAACAGUAUUUUAAUAUUUUGUAUCCAACAUUCUCUUUCAUAUCUGAGCUUAAGCCUUUUUAAUUGACUGAGUACCUCUUGCUCUGAUAAUAUAUAUUAAUAAUUAUUUUUUAAAAAAAGCUUAUAAUACUAUAAAAUAUUUUUUAAAAAAUUUGUAAAUGACACUGAAAACAGGGUAUACUACAAGAUGGGCAGGAAAUAGCAGUGAAGAGACUCUCAAUGAGCUCGGUACAGGGGCUUGUUGAGCUGAAAAAUGAGGUGGUGCUUGUAGCAAAGCUUCAGCAUAGAAAUCUGGUGAGGCUACUUGGUUGCUGCUUAGAAGAGCAAGAAAAGCUUCUUGUCUAUGAAUACCUGCCCAACACAAGCCUUGAUAAGUUUCUCUUUGGUAUGGCUCAUCACAACAUAGUUGCAGUAGCCUCCAUUCAAUAGAAGUACUCUUUUUUUCUUGUCUUAGUCACUUGGAUACAUUUUUCGCAAGUCAUUUUGGCUUCUAAAACAGGUUUCCUUAUUUUUUAGGGCUGUGAAAUUAUCUGUAGAAUGAAAAUGUUAUGAUUAAUUGUAGUGAUUAAUUAAGAAAUGCCAUAUAUGUAACACUAUGUUACUCAAACAAAGCAGAUCCUGUGAGGCGCGAACAAUUAGAAUGGGUCAUACGGUUCAGGAUCAUCGAAGGGAUCAGUCGAGGACUUCUCUAUCUCCACGAAGAUUCGAGGCUAAAGAUAGUUCACCGCGACCUGAAAGCGAGUAACAUCUUGCUGGAUGCCUUCAUGACACCUAAAAUCUCCGACUUUGGUCUCGCAAAGCUCUUCGACGUCAAUGCAAGUGAAGGAAGUACGAGUCGGAUCGCGGGAACAUAGUAAGCACAUUCUACACCCAAAACUCAAUAAAGAAAAAAAGAUUUACUAGAGUUUCUCUCCCAACGAGAUUCUCAUAUAAUGUUAAUGCUUAAAACUUGGUUGUUAAUUACAGCGGAUAUAUGGCACCAGAGUAUAUAAUUCACGGACAUUUCUCAACAAAAUCAGAUGUUUUUAGUUAUGGCGUGUUGCUUUUGGAGAUUGUGACUGGACGAAGAAACUCUCGCCCUCAAGAAAGUAUUCAUUCAGAAGACGUUCUAUCCUAUGUAAGCAUUCUCUAUACCUUAAUGGGUGGAUAAGGUAUUCAUUUUAAACUUACGGUGCCGUAUUCAAAUCGGAGACGGUGACAAUAACGUAGUCAGGUUUCAAAAACCCAAAAUUUUUACUAGAGGUCCACAUGACAUUUAAAAAAGAGUCUUCAAUCUUUGAAAAUUUUUUACUUUACCGCCCUACGUUUUUUGAAGCCACGCUUUGACACUCCCAGUCAUGAUAAAUUUUUCUUAAUAAAUCGAGGUGAUUUUCUGCUGCUAACUACAGCUCUCUCUUAAAUAGGUGUGGAAGCACUGGAGCCAAGGGACUGCACACCAUGUGCUCGACCUGAGUCUCGCAGGGCAGUGCCGGUUGCAGGACGUGCUGAGAUGUAUCCACAUUGGGCUGCUGUGCGUCCAGGAGGACCCGUCGAACCGGCCGAGCAUGGCGUCCGUCGUGCUCAUGCUCAGCAGCCUCUCCUUCACCCUCCCCGCCCCCUCGGCCCCUGCUUUCAUCAUUCUGCAUGGCUCAACUGCAGACAACACGGUGGAGAUCGAGACUGAUUCAUCCGGCGGCCUGCAGCGGAAGACGACGAGGGCUGCGUCGGUGAGCGACGUCUCCAAUUCAGAACUCGAGCCACGGUAGCGUCUCGGAGCCGAGGAAUAUUGAACCGAAUAUACUGAGUUCGAGUGGCAAAAGAGUGUGAUUUUUUACGUUGCCGAAUAAACAGCAAAGGCGUUGUGAAUCUAGAUUUACGUAAGCUUGCUUAUUUUGCGACUUUCCUUCUUUCGAAUGCUAUAACAAGAAGAUUUUAUCCAGUAUCACUCUUUUAACUGUGCAAGACGUAAUAGAAUAAAUUAUGAAAAGCCUCCUGUAUUUUAGCCCCUCUUUCUAGUCAUUGUUUAUAUUAAAAAUUUUGUCAAUUUUUAUCCGACACUUUAUUAUUAUUUUAAAAGUUCUAAAUUAAGCUAUAUAGUAAUGGUUAAAUUUAGUUGUAAAAUUUUAUAAAAUAAAUUUAUGGAUAAAAUUAGAUAUAUUUAAUAUAUUAGAAUUAUAUAAAAAUAAGUAUGCAAAUAAAGUGAGUUUAUAUAGAUACUAUUCUUUUUUUUUUUUUUGAAAAAAAUGUAGCAUGCUACCCGCUUCAUUCAUUAGAAAAAUGAACUAGGCUACAAGGGUGGGGCAACUAAAAUCUCGAAAAAAAAAAAAAGAGAAAAAAGAAAAAAAAAAAGGUUCAAGUAGGUAGAACCGAAUCCCACUCCUUCAGUAACUGCCGGAGAGUGAUGACAACCAUCUAAGGGUUCGGUUGGAUUUUCCUAAAGAUCAUGUUGUUUCUGGCCUUCGAAAUGCACCACCAGCAACCGACUAAAUAAGUAAGGCAGUCCCUUUUCUUUCUUCGGCUCUUCCUAAUCCUCCAGCUGUCCCAAGCACGGUUAACCUCAUCCUCCAUGUCUAGAGUCUGAACUCCAUCUACACCCGACACUAAGAUGAACUUGCUAAAAACACACCUGGUGAACAGAUGGUCUACUGUUUCCUCGGCCGACCCGCAUAGUACGUAGGUUGAGUCUUGAACCUAACCUCUUUUAGCUAAUCUAUCGGUCGUAGAGAUUCUCUUAUUAAGGACCAGCCAGCAGAACACUUUAAUCUUAAGAGAAAUUUUAUUUAUUUAUUUUUUUUUGAUUAAACAGGGGGGUCCCCCAUCUUAAGAGGAAUUUUGACUCUCCACAAAUGAGAUGCUCGCACAUCCCUCGUACCCCCGUCCGACAGCGUCACAUAGGUCGAUUUUACAAAGUAAGAAUCAUCAUUGCUCCAUCGCCUUUGUAUAGUAUCUGGUCUAUUCUCCGUGGAAUAGUGUGAAAUCCUAUCUUUGAGCUCCGCGAUACUAUUCUUGGAUGAGAAAUUAAUACAUGUAACCAGCAGUGCGUCAUGCUCGAUGUGUGUUAAAACCUACCACAACACAUCAAAAUUAGAAUUUAAUUUAUUCAAUGUAAUUCAUAACGUUAAAAGAUUUGCGUAUAUCAAAAAGACAUAAAUGUAAGAUAUUUAUUUUUAUGAAAAUACUAUCUAUUACGUAUGGUAAUUAGGAUUAUAAAAUUACUAUGUUUGGCUUAAUAAGAGUAUAAUUUUAGUAAUGUACACAGUAAUAUAUAUAAUUUUCCACAAGUACCCCCAUACUUAAAAAGUUGUAUUUACAUUUAAAAUCAAAUUUAAAAUUUGAAUUUAAAUUUCACUUUAAAUUUAAAAUUCAAAUUCAAAAUUUAAAAUUUUGAAUUUAGAUUUAAAUAUAAAUAUUUGAAUUUGAAUUAAAACUUUGAAUUAAAAAGAUGAAUGUCAAUUGAAUUAUGCUUUUAAAUUUGAAUUUAAAAUUUGAUUUAAUUUAAAUUUGAAAUCAAAUUCAUAAUUUGAAUUUGAACUUAAAAAACGAAAUACAAAAUUUAAAUUAAUUUAAAUUCAAAUUUUGAUUUUAAAUAUAAAUUUGAAUUUCAUUGGUUAUUAUAUAUUCUUUAUUUGAUUCGCACAGUUGUUUCAUUGAAAAGUACAAGGAUUAUAAAAUAAUUGUGUUUGGAUUAACAGUAUAACUCCAGUAAGCUAGUUACACUGUACUUAGAAACUUAAAAUUUGAAACUUGUUUUGCACAAUUACCCUAUAAUUAAAAACUUGUUUUACUUUAUAUAUUACCAUUUGGAUUUAAAAUUUGAAUUUGAAUUUGAAAUUUUAAAAUUUUAAAGUCAGAAUAUAAAUCUAAAUUUUUAAUUUUAAAAUUUAGAUUGAAUUUAAAAUUCAAAAUCCAUAUUUAAAUUUAAAUUUGAAAUUAAAAUUUAAAUAUAAAUUUAAAUUUAUAAUACAAAUUAUAUCGAGGGCAAUUUGAAAAUUAUAAAAAAAAAAGGGAAAACUUCAAAAACCCCCCCUGUGGUUUCGUGCAUUCUCACUUUGCUACCUUGUGGCUUAAAACGUAUCAAUUUACCCCCCUGUGGUUUCAUUUUUCUCUUUUCGGAAGCUUUUUCGUUAAUAUUUCGUUAAAUUAUAUACAAAAAACUUCAGAUAACCAUCUAUAUUUAUCGAAUAGUCACUUUAAUAUCCUUUAAUUUUAACUUUGUCACUGAUUUUAAAAAAUAAUAAUAAUAAAAUUGAUAACAAAAAGAUAAAAACGAAACCACAGGGGGGCAAAUUGAUACGUUUUAAACCACAGGAUAGCAAAGUGAGAAUGCACGAAACCAUGGGGGGUUUUUGAAGUUUUCCCAAAAAAAAAAAAAUUAGAUUCCUCUCAUUCUCUCAUUCAGGGCUCAGGAGUAGAAAAUACCGAUCCGUCUGCACGGUAACACAGGAUUCUCUCUUGUGGGGAGUUCUACACUUCUGCGGGAUUGUUUGAAGGUCAACAGUCAACGAGGUCCCUCCCACAGCACUCACGGCCCAUUUCACGCGGAAUCAACGAACAAACAGGACCGCAAUGUACAUGUCAAGGCCAUUUUUUUCAUGUAUCCUUUUAUUAUCGUUUCCUUCACAACGUAAACCCAUAUAGCAAUAUCAUUCCUUCCUACUCGGGGGAAAAGUAGAAAACUAUGGAGUCUCUCCCUCUUCUCUUCCUACUCUGCUCCCUCCUCCUCAUCCUCCUCCACACCGCCACAUCAAAAUCCCAGCCCAUCUCCAUCAACUGCCUCGCCAACGCGAACGACACCGCAAACAGCACCUUCCAUUUGAACCUCAACAACCUCCUGUCUUCCCUUCCCUCCGCCGCUGCUCCGUCCGGCUUCCACAACACGACGGUCAGUCGAAGCUGCGGUGACCAAGUCUACGGCCACGCUUUAUGCCGCGGCGACGUCUCCUCUUCCGACUGCAACAACUGCUUGACUACCGCCGCGCAAGAUGCCGUCGUAAAGUGCCCGCACGGCACGUCGAACACCAUGUGGUACGACUACUGCAUGCUGCGCUACUCCAACCAGAGCUUCUUCGGCGUUGCUGACAGCUCGUUCCGGAUAUACAUGUGGAAUGUGCAGAACGUCACGGACCCGCAGCUGUUCGAUGACCAGCUCGGGCAGCUGAUGAAGAGCUUGGCCAUGAAAGCAGCCUACGGGUCGGGGCAGCCACAGUUAUUCGCGGUGGGGGAGGUCAACUUUACGAGCUUUAAUAACAUAUACGGGCUGGCGCAGUGCACGAGGGAUCUGUCACCGGCCGACUGCUAUGGGUGCUUGACGAGUUUCAUCGGGAGCAUCCCCCAGUGCUGCAGCACGAAGAUUGGCGGGAGGAUUUUCGGAGAGAAUUGUAUCGUCCGGUUUGAGUCUUAUCAGUUUUAUAAUUUGUCGGCCAUUGAGAACCAGACGGCACCGCCUCCUCCGCAAUCGAAUGGGACGCCAGCACCGCCGGCAGGGUCGGGUCAGAAUACGGGUAGUGGCAGCAGUGGAACGGGCGGUAAGGGUAGCGGAGGUAAGUCAAAGUCUCUUUCCCUCCUUGACUCUCCCCACUGUAGGAUUUGCUUUUGGGGGGUUCUAGGAAAUUCCUGUUGUAGGGGCAUGUGGGGGAUCACAUUAACUCGUGUGAGGUGGGUAGAAUUGCAGGACAUCGUUUGACCCCUUUGUUAAUUACGUGCGAAAAUCAUCCACUAACGAAGGGAUGUUGCUUUGACUGUAAACAAUAUGGUCGUCAAUUUGGUAUAGGAAAAAAAAAAAAAAAACCUUUUAAAAGACUUUCAUUAUUUUUUUCUAAGAACUCAAUUAAAAACAUAAAAUAACUAACUUCAAACAUAAAAUCUCAUGUACUAUUUAUUAAAUUUUUAGCCAAUUACAUUAAUACGAUCAGUAACAAAUAUAAAAAAGUUGAAAGCCAUAAGUGUACGUAUAUACAUACGAAUGGAAAGUUAUGUCACUUAGGAGAACGAACUGACUCAUUUUGCUUGAUUCACAUCCCUCUUUAACUUUUGAAUAUAUAAACUCAUGAAAAUUAACUAUUCCUUUAACUGCUUAGCCAUUUAAACUUACAAAACCAAUAUUGUAUCAGCUUUAAAAAAAAUCAAAAUAGUCUUUCCUUUUUUUAGAGAAAGAUAAUAUACUAUCUGUUUCAUUCGUAUAGAAAAUAAAUUUAGCAGACAAUUCAAUCUCGUAAAAGUUAAAGGUAGCUGCACAAAAAAAAAGUAAGAAAAAUAAAAAUAAAAUAAAGAGUUCACUUAGAGCUGCAGAACUCAGCCCAGGCCACUUUUUUCCCAAGUCCCAAAAUUGUUGAAUAAAGAUUAGGAGAUUUGAAGAUUGAUUCCUAAAAUUAUGUUGUUCUUCCUGCCAAAUCAUCCACCAACAGAAUGCGACCUUGGUCACAUCUUUUGCUGAUACCUUUUGGGAGCUAUUCUCAGACAGAAACUAUCAGACACCCCUGGCCUCCACCAUGGAUCCCGAAAUGUGUCUACCUUCAAUUAUGUUGAACAUCAGAAAUCUGCUGAAUAUGCAUCCCACGAGUAAAUGAUUCACAAUCUCAGCUUAGCUACCACACAAAAUGCACUUUUGAUUCUAGGACCAGCCGAUUUUAAGUAGAUUAUCAACCAUGGGUAGUUGCUUCUUAAGGGCUAGCUAAAUAAAAAUUCUAACUUUAUACGGUAUUUUUAGAUCCCCAAGUUUUAGAGGAAGAAUAUCUCGCAUACCCCCCAUCUCUGAUCAACGGAUACAUCGACUUAACAGUAAAGCCCAUUAACAGUAAAGCCCAUCUACACAUUCCAUCUCAACCAGAUUUCCUUCGGCCUAUCUAUCAUGUGAAAAAUAGAAAGGAGGUCCUUGAAUUCUCUAAUUCUGCAAUCACCUCUCGACAUCCCAACUCCAACCCCUCUAAGGAUCUUUCUCUAUCUCUAGCCUUGAGUGGAGAGACAUUCCUUGACUAAAACUCCUUUUUUUGUUACACUUUUGUAAAUACUAGGAAAGAGUAUUUUCAGAGAAGUUUCUUCGCACCACCUAGCUAUCAGACUAUAAGUCAAUAUAUUGUCCAUCUUCAAGAUCAAAGUAAGUGCUAAAUUUAAAGAUUUUCUUAGUGGAAAAUACAUUAUUCCAAUAUUGUGAAAAUGGUUUAAACGUUCUUCCUUAACUCAAAGGUUUUCUCCUUUUAUAAUAUAAUUUUCUAAUAAGAGUGUUCCAUUGUAUCUCCUGAUCUUUGAAUAAAUGCUGCUACCAUUUCGAAAGUAGAAUGUCGUUCAUCAAGGCAAGAUCCUUCACCCCAAGUCCUUUCUUAUCCCUGUAAAUAUAUUUUCAUGCUAUCAUACGUGCACCUGCCUUGACACCCACUAUCCCUUUCCAGAAGAAAUCCCGCCUCAGUGUCUUAAUUCUUUUAACGACCCAUUUCGGAGCCUUGGAAAUUGAGAAAAAAUACAGUAGCAGGUUAAUUAGUACUGAGUUCACCAGUGUACGUUUACCUCCUUUAGAAAGUAACUUAGUUUGUCAGCCAUCAAUCCUCCUUCCUUAUCUAUGAUCACAACUGAGUCCUUUUCGAGGAGAGCUUUGUUAGAUAAUGGUAGCUCCAGAUAUUUAGUUGGUAACUUUCCCACUUUGCAUCCCAAGUACAUUGCAAGACAGGUAUCUCUGGUCUGCCUCCCAUAUAAAAUAAUUUCGUUUUCUCUUUAUUCAUAAUCUUCACAAAUUUCUUCUUUGCCUCAAAAAAUAGUGUCAUCCGCGAAUUGAGUGAGUGUCACCAAGCUAUCCUUAAAGGGUCCAAUACCUCUAAGUAGAUCAUGUGAGUUUGCCAUCUCCGUCAUCCAGGCUAGAUACUCUGCCACCAAAAGGAAAAGAUAGGACGAAAGGAGAUCUCCCUGCCUUGCUCCUUUUUUAUUUUGAUCCAGUUAAUGGUUGCGCUAUUAAUCAUCACCCCCACCUUGGCGUUACAAAAUUUGCUUCUUCAUCCAACGACACCAUUUGGCAUUGAAGCCUAACAUUCCAUAAUCUUAAAAAGAAAAAUCCAACUAACCCUGUCGUAGGCCUUUUCAAAAUUCACCUUUUUCGCUACUCACUCUGUAUUUUCUUUACAACCCCACGUAACUAAUUCACUAGCCGUGACGAAGGUGUCAAAUAGCAACCUCCUUCUAAUAAAAAUAGAUUGGGAUGUGGAGAUAAGGGCUGUCAAUAUGUCAUUCAGUUUAUUGGCGAGUACUUUAAAAAUAAUCUUCUGUAUUUCUUUUAGCAGGCUGAUAGAUUGGAAGUCAUUAGCUCGCACCGCACCUUUCUUUUUUCAUGUCAGACAAAUAUAGAAGAAAAUCAACAGGAUAUGUGGAGAUUUGUCCUUCAUACAGAUAAAUCAGAAUAGAGUACCUUCAGAAUAGCUUCAAAUUUUCUAGAAAUAACUUAAAUUAAAUGAAUCAAAAUUGAGUAGUACCUAAAAGAGACUAUUUCAAAAUGGCCUAUAGUUGAGGGAGUCCCUGCACGUACAUUUUUACCUUAUAGUUGAUUGCACCCAUGCUUUUGUGGCUUUCCUAGAUGUAGUCAAUGGAGCCCGAGAAGUCGAAGCAGUAGAAGGGCCAAAAGUCUCAUGCCUCUCAUUUAAGUGUCCAAACUAGCCUACUAUCAUUUUAAUGAGGGAUACUAAAAGACAAGAAAGAUAGCUAGAAAGGAACAGAUCCUACCAAAAGAAGGAAAUAAUAAUGAUUAUAAAGGAGCCUUUUGCACCAUUAUUAGCAAAUGGAUCAAUCUCAGGCAGUAUUCAAGGUAAAGUUUGAAUAUAAACAUAAAGGAUUUAUCAACCAAUAUUUAACAGUACUAUUACAUCAUCAUGGCCAGUAAUAAUCAAUGCAAUGAAAAAGGAGUUAAAAUAUAAUUAAAGCAACACUCAGGGAACAAAAAUUUAAUACAGAGAUUGUAAAGUUGCCGAAAAAAUACUCUUGCUCCCGACGCCGGCCAAGGCGGCGGAGGAGGAGGACGGCGACGACGAGAGCAGCGGUGGAAGAGGACGACGAGAGCGACGAGAGGGGUGGUGUUGGAGGUGGAGGUGUGGGAGGUGGUGGUGGUCUGGGAGGAGAUGAGGCGAGGUGGAGGCGGAGGAGCCGGCCGGUGGUGGCGACCAAGUUGGGGAAGAAAGAGAGGAUAAUCUUAGGGAUUAGUAUAAUAAGGUAGGGGCAAAAUAGGUAUUUUGUUUAGAUUUUAACUCUAGUAUAGAUUUAACCCAUGUUUAACCUGAGUUAAGCUAACAGGGGAUAACUGCGGGGAUAUUUUGGAAUAACGGUGGAACAUAUGAGGGGCAUUUUAAAAAGAAAAAAAAAGUAGGGAUAGAUCGGAUAUUUCCAAACGCAUGAAGGGUAUAUAGGCAAUUAUUCCUAAAAUAUAAUUAAAGCAACACUCAGGGAAUAAAAAUUUAAUACAGAGAUUGUAAAGUUGCCGAAAAAAUAUUCUUGUUUCAAUGAACAAAUAUUAUAUUUUGUUCUGUUUUCUCUGUUGGUUUGUCGCACUCAGAUGAAUUAUAAGUUGACAAUUGACAACGGCUACUUGUGUAUGCAGGAAAGAAGAAGAAUGUAACCAGCACAGUUCUAGCAAUAGCCAUACCUUUAGUGACUGCAUUUGUUACAAUUUCCACUAUUUGCAUUUUCUUUUGGAGGAGGAGGUGGAGGAGAUCUGCCCCAAAAGGACCACUAUACUGUAAGUUAAAAAGGACCACUAUAAUGUAAGUAAGAUGCACUGAAAUUACCAUUCAAAAUACCCAGCUGAAAGAAGCGACUCUCUCUCUCUCUCUCUCUCUCUCUCUUUAAUAGACUUUCUAUUUUUAAUUUUCUACUUGUUAAUGGAGCACUUUAGAAAACUCUAGAAACAAGUGCUCUCUAUUUGCUAAUAGAGCAAUUUAGAGAGCUCUAGAAAUAAGUGCUCCGGAGAAUUCUAAAGUACUCAAAUUGGUAGAUUAGAACCUAUAAAUAGGUGUGAGGCUCCCACACCAAGGGUGAGUGAGUGAAAUGUGUGUGUGAUGAAGUGUGUGAGGAAGUGUAGUGCGGUGUGGUGAGAUAUAGUGUAGAGAGUGAGGGUGUAUAAGAGGUUUAGUGUGUGAAUCUUUUAGUCUUUUGGGUGUAUGUGAUAAAAUUAUAUGUGAGAGUUAUUUUGUGUAAAAGAGAGAGUUUUUAUUAUUAGUUUGGUACGUCAGUAUUCUACACCAGGUCAGUUAUUUAAUGCAUAAUGAUAAUGACAGGGAUCUCUCUGUCUUUUCAAAGAAAAAAUGGCAAUAAUACAAAUAGAAGAAAAAAUGGCAAUAAUACAAAUAGAAAUAGUCACUACAAUAUAUGGACAUCGAUAUCAUAACCAUUGAGAAAACUAUUUCUGAAAUUAGAGAGCAGCAGAAACUUACACUAUGAAAAAAAAAAGGCAAACAAUAUAUCACAGAUCUGAUGUAAUUUAUUACAUAUUCUCCAGCUUACAUAGAUCAAACAAUGUUGAAUUCUAUUUAUUCUUUGAAUAGACGAAACCGAUGCAGAGGAGAUCAAAAGUGCUGAGUCACUGUUUAUUGAUUUAUCAACAUUAAGAGCUGCAACAGCUAACUUUGCUGAGGAGAAUAAGCUUGGAGAAGGUGGCUUUGGUGCCGUUUAUAAGGUAUCAUAAUAUUCACUAUAACUUGCCAUUUAGUGAGAAUUACAUGUGGCGAUAGUCUGAAUCCAUAUCAAAAUUCUUGUAUAAAAGAAGAUCAUCGCUAUUCUUGGGCUCAAACUAGUUUGAUAUCUAUCUCUACAAUUUGCUUGUUGAUCUAGCUUAUGAAACUACUUCUUUACUCUAAAAACCUGAAGCUUUUUAUGGGCCAAAAAGUUUAGUGUUUUGCUAUGCAGGAAGCUAUAAUGAGCUUAUGUGACCCAAGAACAACAUCCACCUUGAAGAUUCUAUUUCUGCUGCAUUGAGAAUGUGUUGGUGUCUUUUCUUAUUUUUAUUUUUUUUUAGUAGACUCUAUUUAAAUAACACUUUGGUAGAAGCUCAACAGGCCAAGGAGGCUCUCUAUUGUCACGGUUUAAUCUUGUGCACUAUAAUCUUAUAUACUCGAGCAGGGACUCUUACCUAAUGGAAGAGAAAUAGCAGUGAAGCGACUAUCAAAAGAUUCAGGACAAGGACUAGGAGAGCUUAAAAAUGAGUUAUUAUUGGUCGCAAAGCUCCAGCACAAGAACCUUGUGAGGCUUUUAGGUGUCUGCUUGGAAGAACAGGAGAAGCUGCUUGUCUACGAAUAUUUGCCUAAUAGAAGUCUAGACACUAUCCUUUUUGGUACAACUUUCAUUACAUACAACUUCUGCAAAAGAACUUAUCUCAUUUUACUUGCUGUAACAUAAUAAUAAGCUUAGUUUUUAUGUUUUUGUUUUUACAUUUUUUUUUUCCCUUUUUCAAAAUUGAUAUUCCCAAUUUAUUUGUUGUAUUCAAAUGAUACAGAUUCUGAGAAACGAGGAUGGCUAGAUUGGGGAAAAAGGUACAAGAUUAUUAGUGGAAUUGCUCGAGGCCUACUAUACCUACAUGAAGAGUCUCAGCUAAAAGUUGUACACCGAGAUCUAAAGGCGAGCAACAUUCUAUUAGAUGCCGAGAUGAACCCGAAGAUUUCAGACUUCGGCUUGGCAAGGCUUUUCGGAGGGGACCACUCUCAGGAAAUUACAAGACGAGUCGUCGGAACAUUGUAAGAAUCAAUUGUAACUCUGCCCAUAUUAUUCACAACCAUAAAAAUACUGCAGGAAAUUGAAUAUAUAUUAAUACUUGCUCAUGUUAUUGCAGUGGAUAUAUGGCGCCAGAGUACGCCAUGCAUGGGUACUUCUCAAACAAGUCAGAUGUAUUCAGUUUUGGUGUUAUGGUUUUGGAGAUUGUAGCCGGGAGGAAAAACGCUGGUUCCUUCAAUUCUGAGCAGUCUGAAGAUCUAAUAAACUAUGUAAGUUCAACACGGCAGUAGUUCUUGAAACUAAUUAGUAGACAUAAACAUAGUUUCUGUCAAACAAUUCCUCUUUUGAUAUAAUUAAAUCUAUAUACUAUGCAAAAUCAUCAACAUAGGUAUUCACAAACAACCUUCAAAACUUAAUUUCUUACAUAUAUAUAUAUACCCGUGUCUUACAAAACUGCCCCUGUUUAUGCAAAACCAUCUUCCCUCUUGGAAUUAGAUGACUCCCCUAAUUGACAUACAGUUUUUUCUGUCAGAAGUUAAACUAUACAGGGGCUUUUACAGAAGUCCUGAUUUUUCAGGAGUAUAAAUGAAUACAGAUGCUUUUACAGGAAUGCAAAUGUACAGAUAGGCCUUUCUUGACGAACUGAACAAAAUCUUAUGCAGACAUGGGAGAAUUGGACCAAGGGGACAAUAACAGAGGUAGUGGACUCAUCCUUAGGCAACCACUAUCCAAGAAGCGAGGUGCUGAGAUGCAUCCAUAUUGGGUUACUCUGUGUUCAAGAAAACCCGGCAGAUCGGCCCAACAUGUCGAGGGUCGUCGUGAUGCUGAGCAGUAGAACUGUGACCCUCGAAACUCCUUCAAAACCGGCAUUUUGCUUUGGAAUGAGUAGCAUGCAAUUCAACAUGUACUCGAAUGCAUCAAAGUAUCAUGGACUAGUAGCUGAACAAUCCUCGAGCAAGUCGAUUCCACCUUCGCCAAAUGAGGUGUCGAUCACGGAACUUGAGCCUAGGUAGUUGGAGAAAAAGAGAGGAUUCUGAAAGACUUAAAAAGUCUCAGAGACUUAAUGUUGGUGGAUUUAUCACUUCUAGUGCUUGAAUUAUCCUAUGAAGUAUUGUAACUGUAUUUGUAUCUUUUUGUAUGUAUUUUAAUGUCCUUCACAGCAAUGAAUUUCCAAAUUUUACUCAAAUUUGAAGAAAUGUUAUAGAUGGUUGGUAUUUACUAGGAUGAAAAAUGGUUACCUUGUUAUAAUUUUAUGUACUAUGCAUAGAAAAUUGCAAAAACCAAAGGAACCAAAUGCUAUUGGGGGUGCGUUCAUAAUGCAUAAAGAUGCGUAAUUCUACAAGUAAAAACAGAAAAUAAGAGAGCCACUCGGAAUUGUAUUUACAGUUAUAAAAGGCUGAAGUAUUUUUAUUUAAUUUCCUUGUAUCGAGAGAUUACAUGAGUAUAUACUGGGACAAAUGGAUGCCUUAUAAAGCAUCAGUAAGUAACUUAUUUUUUAAUUAAAAAAGAUAGCAAGCGAUCUGCUUCACUCAUUAAGAGAACUACAACUACAAUUUAUCGACACACUAUUUAAAGGCGAUGAACUAGAUUUUCUCUUGCUCUCAAUGGAGCACUCUCUCUGAUGCGGAUCACUCUCAACAUCUCUGGGUGCCACAUAAAUCUCAGUACUUGUGCUACCUUGAACGAAAAAGGCGGGAUAUGAAAGGUUUUGAUAGAUUGACACUGUUACUAUUAAGCAUGAGUACAACAGAGGCCAUUGUUGGUCUCAUUCUUGGGUCAUCUUGAGCACAAAGAAGGCCAAUUUUAUAAAAAUAAAUUUUAGAUAAAAUUAGAUAUAUUUCAUACAUUAGAAUUAUAUAAAAAUAAGUUUGCAGAUAAAGUGAGUUAUAGAUACUAUUCUUAGAUGAGAAAUUAAUACACGCAACUAGUGCACCACGCUUGAUAUGUGCUAAACCCUCCACAACAGCAUCAAAAUUAAACUAUAAUUUUUUACGUGUAAUUCAUAACAUUAAAAAGAUUUACGUAUAUCAAAAAGACAUAAAUGUAAGAUAUUUAUUUUUAUGAAAAUGCUACCUAGUACGUAUGUAUAAGUGUGCAAUCGUACAUCUUUGACAUUUAGUUUAAAAAGGGAAAAAAAUAAAGUGAUAAAAAUAGUGGGAGAUUAGGGGCCUUUGGAUAGUUGGGUAUAAAUGUUAUGCCUGUCCUAUUAAUGUACAUGUAGUAUUGCUCUCAGUAUUCUGUUCUUUUGACAAUUAGACCCGAAAGUUGAAUAAACACCAUUAAUACAUGUAGUAUUAGUGGGACUUCCUGUUUUUGUUUUCUUCUCUCUUUGAUUUUUUGCUCUUGCUCCUUUAAUCUCCCCUUCAUUGCUUUCCUUUUUCUCGGAGGCCCCAGCUGCCUUCAUCCUGCACGUCUAGUUCAUUUUCCUUAAUGAAUAAAGCAGAUAUAUAGUUUGCUACAUUUUUCUAAAAAAAAAACAAUUAGACCCUAAAGUUCAAUAAACACCAUUUCUUUAAUAGAAGUUUCUAAUUAUACUGUUAUUUUGAUAGUAUAUCAUGUAUAUAAUCUUAUAAAGUUUCAGAAUAAAAUUUUUUUUUAUUUUUUUGUUUAAUAUAUAUACAAAAAAGCAACAAAAAUCAAAGGUGAUUCAUUAUAUUCUUCUAUUCUUAUCCUUAAUUAUCAAAAUUAGAAGAGAAAAAAAGAGAUUUUGUUCUAGCAUUUAAAGUCUUACAAAAUUACGUUUAUGACAACCAAAGCAAAAUGACCAUAAAAUAAAUAAUUUUUAAUUAAGGAGGCAACACCAUUAAACUAUUUGAUAAAAUCUUAAAAAGACUAAUCGUUAAAAUUGAAAGUCCACUGACAGCAAAAGUUGUUGCAUAGAAAUUAAAGCCUGUACUUUUUGGUCAAAGACAUCAAUUGUAUUAUUAUACUUUACCAAUUUUUACACUGUAUUUUAGAUUUAUUUUUAUUUUUUUAUUUUGUACUAUUUUUUUCUGAUAAAUAUUACUACACUAUUUUCUUCGCCGGUAUUUACAUUACUAUGAAGAAAUUUAUUAUUUAAAAAAAAAUCUAACAAUUUUAUUAAAAAACACCGGUUAAAUAAUAAUAAUAAAAUAUAAAAUAAAUCUCCAGAAUAAUCUCAUCGAAACCUUCUAUCAAAUUGUUUUCGCUAUUUUUAUAUAUUUUAUUAUUUAUUAUAUUAAAAUGAGCCGGACGUAUAUAUAUGUCACUUUUAACUAGUAUUUUUCAACAGAUUUUAUUAAAAAUAUAAGUGUAUUACGUAUAGUACGGUAGGGAGUGUAAAAAAAAUUAGUUAAUCUGUGCCUUUGAAAAAGAUAAUAGUAUAAUUGAGUUUACAUUUAAAAUUUAAAUUUAAAGAUUCAAAUUAUGUCAGGGGCAAUUUGAAAAUUAUAAAAAUAUUUUUAAUUAGAUUUCCCGGAUUCGGGAGUACUAGAAGGUAGCCACCCUUUCCUCGGUAAUAGUAUUGUCUCUCUAUUCCCAUGCCAGUCUAUGGGAUUGUUCGAAGGUGAAUAGUCGACGAGGUCCCACCCACCGCACUCAUGGCCCAUGUCACACGCAAUUAACAAACGAACAAGACCGGACGUACAUGUCAACGCCAUUAUUUUCAAAUAUUCAUUUAUUAUUGUUUCCUUCACAGUAUAAUCCCGUAUUAAUUCCAAUAUAUCAUUCCUUCCCAUUUGUGAGAAAAGUAGAAAACUAUAUGGAGCCUCCCCCUCUCCUCUUCCUCCUCUGCUCCCUCCUCCUCCUCAUUCUUCUCCGCACCCCCACUUCCAAAUCCCAGCCCAUCUCCGUCAACUGCACCAGCGACGCGAACUACACGGCGAACAGCGCCUUCGAGUCGAACCUCAACCUCCUCCUGUCUUCCCUCCCCUCCGCCGCCGCCCCGUCCGGCUUCUACAACACCACGGUCGGUCGGAGCGGCGCCGACCAAGUCUACGGCCUCGCAUUAUGCCGCGGCGACAUCUCCGCUGCCGACUGCAACAACUGCUUGACUACCGCCACGCAAGACGCCGUCGCCAACUGCCCGCACAGCACGUCGAACACCAUGUGGUACGACACCUGCAUGCUGCGCUACUCUGACCAGAGCUUCUUCUCCGUCGCUGACAGCUCGUUCCACAUAAACAUGUGGAAUGUGCAGAGCGUCACGAAUCCGCGGCUGUUCGUUGACCAGCUUGGGCAGCUGCUGACUAGCUUGGCCAUGAAAGCGACCGAUGGGUCGGGGCGGCCACCGUUAUUCGCGGUGGGGCAGGUCAACUUCACGAACUUUCAGAAGAUAGGAAACUUUCACAGCAUAUACGGGCUGGUGCAGUGCACGAGGGAUCUGUCGCUGACCGGUUGCUAUGGGUGCUUGAUGGGUUGCAUCGGGCACAUACCCAAGUGCUGCAACACGACGAUCGGCGCAAUAAUUUUCGGAGGGAACUGUGUCAUCCAGUUUCGGCCGGCUCCGUUUUAUAAUUUGUCGGCCAUCCAGAACGAGACGGCACCGCCUCCUCCGCAAUCCAAUGGGACGCUAUCGCCGCGGGCAGGGUCGGGUCAGAAUACUGGUAAUGGCAGCAGUCAAACGGGGGGUAAGGGUAGCGGAGGUAAGUCAAAGCCUCGUUCCCUCGUUGACUCCGCACUGUGGGAUUUGCUAUUGUGGGGUUUGUAGGAAAUUUCUAUUGAUUGGCAUGUGGGGGAUCACAUUUAACUCGUGUGAGGUAGGUAGAAUUGCAGGACAUCUUUUGCCCCCCUUUGUUUGUUUUUUUUUUUUUUUUUUGAGAGAUAGAUAGCACGCUACCCGCUUCGUUUAUUUUAUUUAGAAAUAAACUUAGCUAGAAAUGUGAAGCAACUAGGAUUCGAACUUAGAUCUUGGAUACCAACCAUCAAGCCUUUUGCCACUUGCUCUAGGAACAGUCGAUCUUUUGCCCCCUUUGUUAAUUACUUGCGAGAAUCAUCCACCGUUGCUUUGAAUGUAAACAAUAUGGUUUUCAACGUGGUAUUUCAAAAGAAAAAAAAAAAAAAAUCUUUUGAAAGACUUUGUUUACCGUGAACUCAGCUUGAAAUAUAAGAAAACUGACUUCAAACUUUGAAAUUUUAUAUACCAAUCAUCAAAGUUCUUAACUAACUGAACAGAUACGGUGGGUAACAACUGUGAAAACAUUGAAAGUUAUAAGCGUAUAUAUACAAGUGAAAGUUUUGUUAGUUACCGGAAUGAACCGACUCUUUUUGCUUGAUUUGAUUUAAAAUAAUUUGACUCUUUUUUUCUAAAAACAACUAAUAAUUCGACUUGCUUUGAUCGAUAUUACAUGUUAAAGGAAAAGAAAACACAUUAUAUGAAUGAAUUGAAUCUAAAAUUUCCUUCUGUUUGAUUUCGAGAACUAAGUAGGAUCACUUACUUUUUGUGCAGGAAUUAAUGGAACUACAAAGACAAUUAUUAUUGUCGUCAGUUCUUUGGUUGCUGCUGCAUUGUUGCUUCUCUCUGCUAUCUCUCUCUGCCUGAGAAUAAGAAAGAAACAAAGAAAACCAGUUGGAAAUGCUCCGAUCAGUAAGUUCCGCACAUAAUUAUAUAUAAUUCAACACACGCAGUGAAACAUAAAAAUUCAUUUAUGUACUAAGAUCCUGGUCUUCAUGAAGCAAAUGGAGGAGAUGAGCAGGAAAUUAGAAGCGCGGAAUGUCUAUUGUUCGAUUUGGCCACAAUACGAGCUGCCACAAGCAACUUCUCAGAGGCAAAUAAUUUAGGAGAAGGUGGAUUUGGACCAGUGUAUAAGGUGAAUUCUCUACUCUUUAAGUGCUCCAAUUAAAUUACAUAAUCUGCAAAAGACAAUACAUUUAGCUUUUGCAUUCUGAAUGUUAAGAAGUACUACUAGGCUCUAAAUGUUUUUUUUUUUUGAGAUAAAGGUAGCAUGCUACCGCUUCAUUCAUAGGGAAGGUGAAUUUAGCAUCGAAGGGAAGCGACUGGGCUUCAAAUUAAAAAAAAAAAAACCCUAAUUAGCUAAACGCAAUAAGAGUCCCACAUGUUGUACAUAGCUCGUAGGUCUACCAUCACCUGUCUCGUGGUGCGCUUUUGGUUCUCGAAAAUUCGCCUAUGUCGUUCUAGCCAAAUAGGCCACCAAGUAGCAAGUAAAAUUGCUGAUUCCUUCCUUCCUAGAACUCCUUGUUUACUGCUGCAUUUCUUCCACAGGUCACCCAUUGACCUAUAAGUCCCUAGACCCCGUUUGUUUGGCAUAAGCAGCAUAGAAUCGCACGUGAAACCUCGCAGUUUAAGAAAAGAUGGUCAAUACUCUCUGGGUCAAUCAAGCAGAGGGCACACGUGUCCGCGCCCGACCAUCCCCUUUUCAUAAGAUUGUCAAUCGUGAGAACCUUCCACCUCACCAUAAGCCAACCAAAAAUUUUAACUUUUAAGGUAUCUUGGUUGUCCAAAUCAGCUCCCAGUACGUCUCUGUUACCCCGCUCUCCUGUAAGAAGUUAUACAAUGAUUUAACCGUGAAAACUUGUGAAUGAUUCCAUCUCCAUCUUACUUCGUCUCCGUUAUUUGUUAGUGUAACAGUGCUUAGCAACUCCUUCAACUCCACGAUUGCAUCGUCAUCUGCAAUGGAACUUGGUGUAAACCUGAGCAAAAUCCUGCGCCACCUCCACCCGUUGGUACCUGAACAGUCUUGCACAAGGUGAUUCUUCCUAACAACAGCGUUGAAAAUACGGGAGAACUUCGACUGCAGUGAAAGUUGAGCACACCAUCGGUCCUUCCAAAGGUUCACGGUGCUCCCAUCCCCAAUCGUAAAAGAACCCCGCACCGAAAGAUGUCCCUAGUUGACAAGACGCUUAGCCACAAUUGAGAGUACGGUCUAAACGUGGCCGCUUCCCAAAAAGGUUUUCUCCUUUUAUAGUAAGCCGCGCGUAAGAACGAUCUCCAUAAAGUUGUCUUGUCCGAAUAGAACCUCCACCACCACUUUGCAAGUAACGCCACAUUCAUGGUUUCUAGGUCCUUCACCCCUAGCCUCCCAUCUCUUUUGCUCCUACAGACCAUUUUCCAUCUGACCAAACAUUGACCCCCUGUUACCAUGCUCCUUCCUUUCCAAAAGAACGCCCGCCGCAAACCUUCGAUUCUCUUAAUUACCCACUUAGGUGCUCUAAAGAUAGAGAAGAAGUAGAGUGGUAGGUUGGAGAGUACUGACUUAACCAAGACGAGCCUGCCGCCAAUGGAAAGGAGUUUAGCUUGCCAUCCUUCUACCCGUUGCUGAACUCUAUCGAUGAUUGGUCACCAGUCCAAUCUGUUUAGCGGUCUGUUUGUUAGCGGCAGCCCGAGAUAUCUCAUCGGGAAUGACCCCAUUUACAUCUUAAAAUUUUCGCUAGCCUUUCUCCCUACUGUAUAUUUCUCCCUAGAUAGAAAAGUUCAGACUUGCUCCUGUUGAUUUUUAGUCCCGAGGCCCAUUCGAAGAUAUGCCAUACAAAAUGUAGAUUCCUCACUUGUCUGUUCCUAGCCUCACAGAAGAAGAUGGUAUCAUCAGCAUACUGAAUAAAUGCUACCUUACUCUAAUCGUUAGGUCCAACUCCUCUCAUCAAUCCGUUACAUACUGCUUUAUUCAUGACCCUUGCAAGGCCUUCCGCAACUAAGAGAAAAAGGUAGGGGGAUAAUGGAUUCCCUUGCCAGAGUCCUCUUCUAGUUUUAAUCCAUUUAGUCGGGACGCCGUUAAUAAGUAUAGCAAUUUUAGCAUUAGCUAUACAUUGAUCAAUCCAACUGAUCCAAAGCUGUGAGGCUCCAAGCCAGGACAAGAUUUUUCGAAGAAAGGCCCAGCUCACCCUGUCAUAUGCUUUCUCAAAAUCGGCUUUUACACCAAUACUCUUGGUCCCUGUUUUAGAACACCAAUUUACUACCUCACUAGCAGUGGCGAAGGAGUCUAAGAUCGACCUUCCCUUGAGAAAGGCCGAUUGCGAAGGGGAAAUCACAUUGUGUAGGACACCCUCAAGUCUAUUUGCAAGCACUUUUGAGAUAAUUUUUUGAGCACUGUGAUCAGACUGAUUGGCCGAAAAUCAUUGGCAGUCUUUGCUCCUUCUUUCUUCGGGAUCAGGCAGAUGUACGAAUAGUCUAGAGGGGAUGAGUUUAGCACCCCGUCUGCCAGGUCCCGAAAGAUGUUGAAAAGAUCAUUCUUAAUAGUGUCCCAGAAAACCUGAAAAAAUCGAAGGUUGAAGCCGUCCGGCCCGGGCGCUUUAUUCUCCGCAAGUUGGAAAGUUGCCUUUUUUAUCUCUUCGAGGGAGAAUGGUGAGGUGAGAUGGUUAAGCCUAAGCAGGGGUCUCUCCGAGAAUAGCUCACUCCAGUCGCCACACGAGAGUCUAUCAGUCUGUGCCGGUGCGAACUCCCCUUUAAAAUCCAAAAAAAUACUCCCGAAUAUCCUCCUCCCUUUGGAGUGUCUUGCCGUCCUCUUCGACAAAGCCAAUUGUAUUCUCGUGUCUUCUACCAUUUGCCGUAGCAUGGAAGAACUUCGUGUUACCAUCUCCCUCCUUUAACCAGUGCUGUUUGGCUCGCGUCUUCUACAAUAUUUUCUCAUCUAAUAUCACUUUUGACAAGCGCGCCUUGAUCUGUUUCCUUCUCUCAAUUUGUUGUUCCGUAAGAAUUUGUUGCUCCUCUAGAAUAUCAAGCUUCUGGAUUUCUUCAACCAGUUCUUUCUUCACCCUCAAAAUGCCGUAGAAAUGCGCCGCUCUCCACUCCUUCAUUCUUUUGCGGCAAUGCCUGAGCUUGGCGACAAAGGUGGUAGCACUAUUGUCUGUACGAGAUAUCUCCUCCCACCAUACCGGCACAAGCGUACAGAAAUCUUCUCGUGUUAACCAAAUUUCCUCGAAUCUAAACGAACACUGGGGUCUCUUAUCCGAAGACGACAACAAGAUAGGCGCGUGAUCCGAGGUGAUCCUCGGCAGCGCGAUCGCUUUUGAUAGCGGAAAAGAGUGAUCCCAUUCGGUUGAGACAAGAAAUCGAUCCAACUUAGCCAAGGUAGGGCACUGCUGCAUGUUAGACCACGUGAAGCUUUGGUUCCCUAACAGAAUGUCGAUUAGCUCCAACGUAUUUAAGAGGUCAGUAAACAUUGUCAUAAGUCUUCUACUCCAGCUUCUUCCCCUUCUCUUGUUCUGGUUCUUGGUAAGGUUGAAAUCACUGCACAUAAUCCACCUUCCUUUGCAAAUACUCUUGAGAUCAGACAAUUCCUUACAAAAAUCCACCUUUCCUUCCCACGAGGGGGGGCCAUAUACAUUAGUUAAGAAGAAAAAGCAAUUGCUGGCAACAUGUGAGAGUCGAACGGAUAGCGAGAAAUUUCGCACUACAACCUCCAUACACACGGAAUCAUGUGAGUUCCAACAGGUAACAAUUCCGCCCGAAGCUCCAUCAGACUUAAUAAACUGACAUCUAUCAAAAUACGCCCCCGCAAAAGACCGCAGAAACGAACGGGAAAUAACAUCUACUUUGGUUUCCUGGAGACAAAUCACAGACUUCUUGACAUUCAAACAGACAGACUUCACGACUCCCCGUUUACCCGAAUCAUUAAGACCCCUAACAUUCCAACUUAAAACUUGAAACAUGGAAACAGAAAAAACACCACAAAAGCUCGUAAGAACUGUCUGGACUCUAGACCGAAGCUCUAAUAAAAUCAAAGAGGUUGCGCGUAUCAUCGCUGCUCAGAGAAAUCUCACAUAGCGCACUUUUCUCUUUGAUUUUAUGAAGACGACUGUUGGCCGCCAUCUUUUGACAACUAGAAAACGGUAUUUUUAAUAUUUUGUAUCCAUCAUUUUCUUUCAUAUCUUGUGUCAUGACUUCUUUAUUAACUCAGAACCUCUUACUCUAAUUAUAUAUAUUAGUAAUCAUUUGUUUCUUAAAACUUAUAUUACUAUAAAAUAAAUUUUUUAACAUUUGUAUAUGACACUAAAAACAGGGGAUGCUACAAGAUGGGCAGGAAAUAGCAGUGAAGAGGCUCUCAGUGAGCUCGGUACAGGGGCUUGUUGAGCUGAAAAAUGAGGUGGUGCUUGUAGCAAAGCUUCAGCAUAGAAAUCUGGUGAGGCUACUUGGUUGCUGCUUAGAAGAGCAAGAAAAACUUCUUGUCUAUGAAUACCUGCUCAACAAAAGCCUUGAUAAGUUUCUCUUUGGUAUGGCUCAUCUCAACAUAAUUGUUUAUUAAUAUUGCUAUUUCAGUUGCAGUAGCCUCCAUUCAAUAGAAGUACUCUUUUUUAACUUGUUUUAGUCACUUGGAUACAUUUUCUGCAAGUCAUUUUGGCUUCUAAAACAGGUUUCCUUAUUUUUAGGGCUGUGAAAUUAUCUGUAUGAAUGAAAAUGUUAUGAUUAAUUGUAGUGAUUAAUUAAGAAAUACCAUAUAUGUAACACUAUUUUACUCAAACAAAGCAGAUCCUGUGAGGCGUGAACAAUUAGAUUGGGUCAUACGGUUCAAAAUCAUCGAAGGGAUCAGUCGAGGACUACUCUAUCUCCACGAAGAUUCGAGGCUAAAGAUAGUUCACCGCGACCUGAAAGCGAGUAACAUCUUGUUAGAUGCCUUUAUGACCCCUAAAAUCUCCGACUUUGGUCUCGCAAAGCUCUUCGACGCCGAUGCGAGCGAAGGAAAUACGACUCGAAUUGCCGGAACAUAGUAAGCACAUCCUACACCCAAAACUCAAUACAAAAAAAAAAGAUUCACUAGAUUUUCUCUACCAAAGAGAAACUCAUAAAAUAUUAAAACUUGAUUUUCUAUUGCAGCGGAUAUAUGGCACCAGAGUAUGUAAUGUACGGACACUUCUCAACGAAGUUAGAUGUUUUUAGUUAUGGUGUGUUGGUUUUGGAGAUUGUGACUGGACAAAGGAAUGCUCGACCUCGAGGAGCUAUUCAUUCAGAAGGCGUUCUAUCUUACGUAAGCAUAUCUAUACCUUAAUAGGUGGAUAAGAUAUUCAUUUGCAAUUUACGAUCUUGGAUUCAUAUCAGAGAUGGCGACAAAAAUAAAAAAUUUAUUAGAGUUUCAUGUAAAAUCUAAAAAGAGUAUUCAAUCUUUGAAAAAUUUUAUUUUGCCGCCUUACUUUUUUUGAAGGCACCUGGUGAAAACUUCGACGGCUUUGACGCUCCUAGUCACGAUGAAUUUUUCUUAAUAAAUCGAGGUAAUUUCUGCUGCUAAGUGUAGCUCUUUCUUUUAAAUAGGUGUGGAAGCACUGGUGUGAAGGGACUGCACACGAGGUGCUCGACCCGAGCCUCGCGGGGCGGUGCCGGUCGCAAGACGUGCUGAGAUGCAUCCACAUUGGGCUGCUGUGCGUCCAGGAGAACCCGUCUAAGCGGCCGAGCAUGGCGUCCGUCGUGCUCAUGCUCAGCAGCCUCUCCUUCACCCUCCCCGCCCCCUCGGCCCCUCCUUUCGUCAUCCAGAACGGCUCAACUGCAGACUACGCGAACGAGAUCGAGACCGAUGCAUCCGGCAGGCAGCAGCGGAGGACGACGAUGGCAGCAUCAGCAAACGAUGUCUCCGUUUCAGAACUCGAGCCACGGUAGCGUCUCGAUCGGAGCUGGGAAAUACUAAACAGAAAUACACUGAAUUCGAGUGGCAAAAAAGUGUGAUUUUCUUCGUUGCCGCGCGAAUAAACGGCAGAGCCGUUGUGAAUCUAGCUAGAUUUACGUAAGCUUGAUCAUUUUUGUGACUUGCCUUCUUUGGAAUGCUAUGGCAAGAAGAUUUUUUUUUUACUCAGUAUCUCUCUUUUAACUGUGCAAAAAUGUAAUACAAUAAAUUAUAAAAUGCCUCUUCGUAUUUUAGUCUCUCUUUCAAACACACUUUAUAUUAAAAAUUGUGUUAAUUUUUAUCUGACAAUUUAUUAUUAUUUUAAAAGAUCUAAAGCUAUAUAAUAAUGGUUAAAUUUAAUUGUAAAAUUUUAUAAAAAUAAAUUUAUGGAUAAAAUUAGAUAUAUUUAAUACAUUAGAAUUAAUAUAAAAAUAAGUUGGCAAGGCGAUUUCAAAUAAGGACUUCGACAAGGCCCCAAAAGUCUAGUAUAGACGACCUUUGAAAUUCAAAUUUCAAACGGAAAAUGCCGACAAAUAGCGCGUUGAUUAUAACUACGCCAUAUUUGAACCAAGGGGAUAUAAAAAAAGGAGGAACCAACACAAGAGAGGAGAUACCAAAGGCAUCAAAUCGUACAAGCCUUUAUCUUUAAUCGAUCCCUAGAAGUAACCUAAAAAUAGCUGUAAUGUACAGAUCUCUUGCCUGCAAAAGAUUGUCAUCCGACCAUCAUCGGACCGUCCCCGCUCCUCAUCGGACCGAUCACCGUUCGUUCUCCGAUCUGCGCAUGAAAUAAAGUCAGCUCAGUACAAAAAAAUUAAUAUCUAAGGACGUUCUUUUUAUAUAUUUAAUUCUGCUUAAAAGCAUUUCAAAAUAAUCUAUCCUCGUAUUUGAAAACGUCGGCUAAAUGUCGGCAAAUGAAGAGCAACUACAUAUACACUAACGCUUACGUACUCAAGCAUCGGUAAAAUAUAUUCCGACGUUUUAAAGAGUCAUAAUUUUUCAAAAUCCUCAUAAUUUAAAAUAUUGAAAAAUUUAAAAUAAUAAUAAAACUUACUAUUUAAUAAAUUAUUUUGAUAGAAUAGAUGGUUUCGACGGUGCUUUUUAAACCGUCGAUAUUUGAUAUAUUGUAUGAAUGCUUAGGGACGCUUCGUUCAAACGUAAUAGAAAAAGUAUCCUUAUAUUAAGAUUUUCUUGUAGUGAAUUCAACUUUCGAUCAGAGAGAGUUGGCAGACCAACUAAAGCGCAUCACGCUUCGGUUGGCAGGCCAACUUCAGAUCAGAGAGAGUUGGCAUAUUUGCUAUAUUUCUUAAUUCUCCCAAAAGAAUAGUUGCAUAUUAGAUCUUAAGCUUAAGUAUAACAUAUUUUUAUACUCCGUCAAUCUUCUCGAUAAUUUGUAUGAUAUGGAACAACAACUGUUUUUACUUUAUUUUUUUUUAUAUAAAAUUGGAAAAAGAAUGGUCGUUUUGGAAUUGGAUGGUGACGGGAGAGACUAUGCAUUCUGACAGAUUUGAUCGAGAAAAUUGUAAUUAGAAAACCGCGUCAGACAGAACUAAUGCUGGACUUUCGAACGACUGCGCACACGCGGUGACAAAACGAACCUCUUUUUCUAAUAAAAGUUUUGUAGACGUAGAAAAAAGUGCGGCACAAGCCACGUCGUCGAUUCAGCAGUCAACGGUCACUAGUCAAUGGUCCAACAUCCAAAUGUCUAUUAAUUAUUAUUGUGUCCUUCGCAAUAUAAUCCCAUGUUGCAAUGUCAUUCCUUCCUACUUGUGAGAAAAAUAGAAAACUAUGGAGCCUCUCCCUCUCCCCUUCCUCCUGUGCUCCCUCCUCCUCCUCAUUCUCCUCCACACCCCCACAUCAAAAUCCCAGCCCAUCUCUGUCGACUGCCCCACCAACGCGAACUACACGGCGAACAGCACCUACCAGUCCAACCUCAACCUCCUCCUGUCUUCCCUUCCCUCCGCCGCCGCCCCGUCCGGCUUCUACAACACCACGGUCGGUCCAAGCGGCGGUGACCAAGUCUACGGCCUCGCGUUAUGCCGCGGCGACGUCUCCUCUGCCGACUGCAACACCUGCUUGACUACCGCCGCGCAAGAUGCCGUCGUAAAGUGCCCGCACGGCAGGUCGAACACCAUGUGGUACGACGGCUGCAUGCUGCGCUACUCCAACCAGAGCUUCUUCGGAGUUGCUGACAGCGCGUUCCGGAUAUACAUAAUCGAGAUGCAGAACGUCACGGAGCCGCAGCUGUUCGAUGACCAGCUCGGGAAGCUGAUGAAUAACUUGGCCACGAAAGCGGUCAAUGGGGCGGGGCGGCCACCGUUAUUCGCGGUGGGGGAGGUCAACUUUACGAGCUUUAAUAACAUAUACGGGCUGGCGCAGUGCACGAGGGAUCUGUCGCCGGCCGACUGCUAUGGGUGCUUGACGAGUUACAUCGGGAGCAUCCCCCAGUGCUGCGCAACCAAGAUCGGCGCGAGGAUUUUCGGAGAGAACUGUGUCGUCCAUUUUGAGCCGACGCUGUUUUAUAAUUUGUCGGCCAUCGAGAACGAGACGGCACCACCUCCUCCGCAAUCCAAUGGGACGCCAUCGCCGCCGGCAGGGUCGGGUCAGAAUACGGGCAAUGGCAGCAGUCGAACGGGCGGUAAGGGUAGCGGAGGUAAGUCAAAGUCUCUUUCCCUCCUUGACUCUCUCCACUGUGGGAUUUGCUUUUGGGGGGUUGUAGGAAAUUCCUACUGUAGGGGCAUGUGGGGGUCACAUUAACUCACGUGAGGUAGGUAGAAUUGCAGGACAUUUUUUGCCCCCUUUGUUUUGUUAAUUACGUGCGAGAGUCAUCCACCGUUGCUUUGAAUGUAAACAAUAUGGUCUUCAACGUGGUACUUAAAACAUAAAAAUCUUUUGAAAGACUUUGUUUACAAUGAACUCGGCUUGAAAUGUAAGGCAAUUGACUUCAAAUUUAAAAUUUUAGAUACCAAUCAUCAAAGUUCUUAACCAACUGAAUAGAUAUAGUGGUUAACAACUGUAAAAACAUUAGAAGUUAUAAGCGUAUAUAUGCAGAUGGAAGUUUUGUUAGUUACCGGAAUGAACUGACUCAUUUUGCUUGAUUUGAUUUAAAAUAAUUCGACUCUUUUUUUUCUAAAAAGACUAAGAACUCGACUUGCUUUGAUAUUACAGGUUAAAGGAAAAGAAAACACAUUAUAUGAAUGAAUUGAAUCUAAAAUUACCUUCUGUUGGAUUUCGAGAACUAAGUAGGAUCACUUACUCUUGGUGCAGGAAUUAAUGGAACUACAAAGACAAUUAUUAUUGUCGCCAGUUCUGUCGUUGCUACUGCAUUGUUGCUCCUCUCCGCUAUCUCUCUUUUCGUGAAAAGAAGAAAGAAACAAAGAAAAUCAGUUAGAAAUGCUCUGAUCAGUAAGUUCCACACGUAACUAUAUUUAAUUCAACACACACAGUGAACAUAAAAAUUCACUUUUGUACUAAGAUCCUGCUCUUCAUGAAGCAAAUGGAGGAGAUGAGCAGGAAAUUAGAAGCGCGGAAUCUCUAUUGUUCGAUUUGGCAACAAUACGAGCUGCCACAAGCAACUUCUCAGAGGCAAAUAAGUUAGGAGAAGGUGGAUUUGGACCAGUGUAUAAGGUGAAUUCUCCACUCCUAAUUAAGUGCUCCAAGUUAACAUUUUCAACCUAAUCUGCAAAAGGAAAUAUAUUUAGCUUAUUUAUCAGUUUCCUUUUCUGUCCUCAAUGUUCUAAAUGUUAAGAACUACUAGCCUCUACAAAGUUUUAGCAGUUAGGAAACAGUAUUUUAAUAUUUUGUAUCCAACAUUCUCUUUCAUAUAUGAGCUUGAGCUUUUUUAAUUGACUGAGUACCUCUUGCUCUGGUAAUACAUAUUAAUAAUAAUUUUUUUUCAAAAACUUAUAAUACUAUAAAAUAAAAUUUUUAAAAUUUGUAAAUGACACUGAAAACAGGGGAUGCUACAAGAUGGGCAGGAAAUAGCAGUGAAGAGGCUCUCAAUUAGCUCGGUACAGGGGCUCGUUGAGCUGAAAAAUGAGGUGGUGCUUGUGGCAAAGCUUCAGCAUAGGAAUCUGGUAAGGCUAUUUGGUUGUUGCUUAGAAGAGCAAGAAAAGCUUCUUGUCUAUGAGUACCUCCCCAACACUAGCCUGGACAAGUUUCUCUUUGGUAUGGCUCAUCACAACAUAAUUGUUUUUUAAUAUCGCAUAUAUUUCACAUGCAGAAGCCUUCAUUCAAUACAAGUACUCUUUUUUACUUGUUUUACUCACUUGGUUACACUUUUUACAAGUCAUUAAUUAUCUUGCUUCUAAAAUAAGUUUCCUUCUUUUUUAGGGCUGUGAAAUUAUCUGUAUGAUUAAAAAUGUCCUUAUUAACUGUAGCGGUUAAUUGAGAAAUGCCAUAUAUGUAACACUAUUUUUCUCAAAUGAAGCAAAUCCUGUGAGGCGUGAACAAUUAGACUGGGUUAUACGAUACAAGAUCAUCGAAGGGAUCAGCCGAGGACUUCUCUAUCUCCAUGAAGAUUCGAGGCUAAAGAUAGUUCACCGCGAUCUGAAAGCGAGUAACAUCUUGUUGGAUGCUUUUAUGACCCCUAAAAUCUCCGACUUUGGUCUCGCAAAGCUCUUCGACGUCGACGUGAGCGAAGGAAACACGAGUCGGAUUGCGGGAACAUAGUAAGCACAUCCUACACCCGAAACUCAACAAAGAAAAAAAGAUUUACCAGAGUUUCUCUCCCAACGAGAUUCUCAUAUAAUGUUAAUGCUUAAAACUUGGUUGUUAAUUGCAGCGGAUAUAUGGCACCGGAGUAUAUAACUCACGGGCAUUUCUCAACAAAAUCAGAUGUUUUUAGUUAUGGUGUGUUGGUUUUGGAGAUUGUGACUGGACGAAGAAAUGCUCGCCCUCAAGAAAGUGUUCAUUCAGAAGACGUUCUAUCCUAUGUAAGCAUUCUCUAUACCUUGAUAAGUUGAUAAGGUAUUCAUUUUUAACUUACGGUCCCAGUUCAGAUAGGAGAUGGUGACAAUAAUAUAGUCAAGUUUUAAAAACCAAAAAUUUACUAGAGUUCUUCAUAACAUUUAUAAAUGAGUAUUCAAUUUUGAAAAUUUUAAUUUUACCGCCCUAUUAUUUUGAAGGCACCUGGUGAAAACUUUGACGGCUUAGACACUCCCUGUCACGAUGAUUUUUUCUUAAUAAAUCGAGGUGAUUUUCUUCUGCUAACUACAGCUCUCUCUUAAAUAGGUGUGGAGGCACUGGAGCCAAGGGACUGCACACCAGGUGCUCGACCCGAGCAUUUCGGGGCGGUGCCGGUUGCAGGACGUGCUGAGAUGCAUCCACAUUGGGCUGCUGUGCGUCCAGGCGGACCCGUCGGACCGGCCGAGCAUGGCAUCCGUUGUGCUCAUGCUCAGCAGCCUCUCCUUCACCCUCCCCGCCCCCUCGGCCCCUGCUUUCGUCAUUCUGCAUGACUCAACUGCAGGCGACACUGACGAGAUCGAGAACAAUGCGCCCGGCGGGCUGCAGUCGACAAACGACGUCUCCAUUUCAGAACUCGGGCCACGGUAGCGCCUUGGAGCUGGGGAAUAUUGAAUAGAAACAAACGAAACGGAUGGCAUGCCACCUUCCUCUCAAUUAUGUCAAUUUUUAUCAUGCACUUUAUCACUAUUUUAAAUAAAUCUAAAAUUAUAGAAUAAUUAUUAAAUUCAGCUGUAAAAAUAAGUUUACAGUUGUAGUGAGUUGCAAGUACAAUUCUUAGAGGAGGAAGGGUGAAAAUAUAUCACCCAUUCUUUUGAUGUAGAAACAGUAUUGCUCUCAUUUUUCUAUUUUUAACAAUUCAACCGACUAACCGAUUUAGUAGGCUGCUGAUGGAUUAUUUGAAAGAUCAGAAAUAAUACGAUCUUUAAGAGAAUCUGACCGAACCUUAGGCUAGCCAUACACAAUCUUAAGCAGUUAGUGAAGGAGUGAUCAUUUUAUUCUGCCAGCUUAACUGAGUUUUUUUUUUUUUUUCUUUUAAUCCGAGUUCAGGAUGCCUCAUCCUUGUAGCCUAGUUCAUCUAUCUAAUAAAUGAAGCUGGUAGCGUGCUACCUUUUUCUCAAAACAAAAACAAUUAGACCGACUUUCUGGACUUUAUUAAAUAGUUCACAAGUUUCUCUCUCCAAUAGAAGUUAUUAAUUAUACAGUCUUUUUGAUUGUAUGUUGUGCAUAUAAUCUUAUAAAAUUUUAAAAAAUAAUUUUUUUAAUAUAUACAAAAAAAAACAAAAAUCAAAGGAGAUUUAUCCUAUUCUUCUACCACUCAUGUUUAAUUAUCAAAAUUACAAAAGAAAAAUAUAUAUUUUGUUACAUUUUGAAGUCUUAUAAAAUUACUUGUGUACUUGACAUGAGAUUAAAUGACUAUAUAAUUAAUAACUUCGAUUGAAAAAAAUAAUCUAUUAAAUUUUUAAUAAAAUUUUGAAAAUUUAAAUGUUCAAAUUAAAAGUUUGACUGUUUAGCAAAAGAGCCAAAGGUCUGCCUUGGAAUAAUGCGGGCCAGUCAAACCAGUGUGCACGCCUGGAAAAGGAGAAAUUAAAAACAAUGGACCGCGUGAACACCACUUCUUCUUCUGCCGUGGUCCAUUUUCUAAUAAUGGCUUCUCGUAAUAAAAUUCCUGCUAAAAAUAUAUCGAAACAUAUAGAUUGUAUCUAAUACAAUUGGCUAAAAAUUUAAUAAUAAUUAAUAUUUGAAGUGUCUAAUUUAUUUAUAUUUUUAACUUAGAUCAUUUCUAAAAACUAAAUACGGCGGAUUAUUUGCUACCUUUCUUACUCGGAAAAUAUAUAUAAAUAAAUAAUCAAGAUGGAAGCAAGGCUACUUAAUUCAUCAUUCAUGAGACUUUGAAACACUGUUCUCCAUCUAUAUAAACAGCAAAUAGAAUCGUCUUCGCUAUAAAAUUUCAAUUCCUUCUAACGUAUCGCAGCACAGCACAUUUGUAAUUUCUUUCAGCUCCCAUAAGAAUAGUUGCCUACGUUAAUAAUUUAUUCUUGAGCGAUGAGGCAAGUGAUAUUUUGGUUAUCAAAUUUUAUUUUAUUAAUUUUUAAACUACUGUAAUUAAGUUUUACGAUUCAAUUCAAUUAGUUAAAUAUUGACAAAUUAUUAAUAUAAAAAUAAUAUAAAAUUUUAAUUAUAUAUUAUUGUAUUAUCAAUCACAAUACUUUUGCAAUACUUCUACGUCAAUAACUUUGAUUGGGAAAAUUGUGAUAAAAGACUACGCUAGCUAGGGUUGACCUGCCCAGGACUUUCGAAUCCAUGCAUUUAAACCACAGUGAUAAAAGAAUCGGCUUUUUUCGGUUUUUUUUUUUUUUUUUUUUUUUUUUCGGAUGCAAGUGGUAGCCGGGGAGGUCAAGUCAACGGUCCCAACACUGCAACAUUUUUUCCAAGCGCAAAACAGGCCCGCCCACUGCGUCGUGUUACUUUGUUAUAACAUCUCAUUAGCAUUCAAGUGCUAUCACUUGCAACAAGGAGACUAUGAAAUCAUCAUCUCAAUUCCUCCAACUGGUAAGCCUUCUUAUUAUUCUAUUCUCUAUUACUCCUAGAGCAAAUUCAGACGAACCUCUAAACAAGUUUUGUCGCGCCGAUGCGAGCUACGCGGCCAACGGCACCUUCCAGGCGAACCUCGACCUCGUCCUCUCCUCCCUCCCCUCCGCCGCCGCCCCCUCCGGCUUCGCCAACACCACUGUCGGUCGAGCAGGACCCGAUCAAGUCCAUGGCCUCGCCCUCUGCCGCGGCGACAUCUCUCCUGCCGACUGCUUGACUUGCUUGAAGAACGCUACGAAAGAUAUCGUCGCCGAAUGUCCGCACGAUGCAGGAUCGACGAUAUGGUGCCUUACCGUAAAACAACCGUUUUUCUCCAAAACCUUGAUCGACUAGAAAGCGGAGUUUUAAUUCAUCACGCGUCAAAUAUAUUGACGGAUUUGAAACACCAAUAUUUAGUGGUUUGAAUGAAUUAUGCUCAACAGGUACGACGAGUGCAUGCUCCGCUACGACAACCUCAGCAUCUUCUCCGCACUCGACAUGUCAUCCUUCAACGAAUGCAUUCCGAACCCAAACAACGUGACGCAGCCACAGCUGUUCGACGAACUGCUAGGAAAGUUGAUGGACACCGUCACGAAGACCGCGGCGCAAUCACCGCAGAUGUUCGCCUUCGGCGAGGUGAACUUCACCGAAUCCAAUAAAAUCUACGGGAUGGCGCAGUGCACGAGAGACUUGUAUAGUGCUGAUUGUUACAGAUGCUUAAGGGACUAUGUGGGGAGUAUCCCAAGCUGCUGCGGUGGGAAGGAGGGGGGGAGGUUGUUUGGAAGCAACUGCGGCAUCCGAUAGGAGUUUUUUCAGUUUUAUAAUUCGUCGGCGGUGCAUACUGUGGCGGUGCAAAACGUGACGGCACCGCCGCCGCCGCCGCCGACGCUGACGCCGGCGGGAAAUGCAGCAAGUAGCAGUGGUAAGUCGGAGUCUUUUAAGUGUGAUUUCGUUUGCGACGCUGUUCGUAUUUCGUAUUCUUCAUAAAUUUAGACUGUGUCAACUCAACGAAUGAGGACUCCGUGAGUAUCUCUUAAUCCCAACUGCAGGGAAUCUGAACAGUUUUUCAGAUCUUUUCAGACUAUUCUUAAUUUCAAUUUUAAUCAGAAACUUAGAUUUAAAUUUAGUUUUUGAAUUUGUCCAAAUUUUAAAUUUUUGAAAUUUAAAUUCAAAAUAUGAAUUCAAAAUUUUAAAUUUAAUAGAUAAAUAAAAUUUUUAAGUACAAGAGUAAUUUUGAAAAACUAUAUAUAUCAUCUAUCUACAUGACUGAGAUGUUACUAUUAAAUCAAAUACAAUAAUUUUAUAAUCUUAGCAAAUUUCGAUGAAAUAGCUGUGCAAUCCAAAUGUAAGAAUUAUACAACUGUAAAUAAUUCCAUCAAUAUGAAUGAAAUUGGCUUAAAUUUUUUAAUACCUAUGAAUCUUAGAUAAUAUGAUCAUCCAAGCCUCCUAAGAGCGUUGCUUCUAUACAAUUAAGUUACCUUCCCGAUUGUCCCUAGAGUCGGUGGUAAAGAACUUGGUGGUUGAUAUCCGAGGUUUCAAGUUCGAAUCCUGAUUGAUUUAUAUUUCCAGCUAAACUUAUUUCUAAAUGAAAUAAAUAAAGCGGGUAGCAAGCUACCUAUCUCUCAAAAAGAAAAAAAAAAAAAAGAAAAAACCUUAUGCGCACCUGUCCUAUUAAUCUUUGGUACCAUUUUAAGUUUUAAGGAGCGUUGUAAAAAAAAAAAUAAUCUAAAAUCAGGAUUCUCGAUCAGCUUCAUUUUGCAAAAUCAUUUCAAAUGGAAAGCUAACAGGUAGAAAUUAUGCUUUUGUAGGAAACGGUAAACACACAACGAAACUUGUUCCUAUAACUACUGUUCCUGUGGGUACUGGAGUGGCGAUUGUUCUCUUCGGCCUUUGCAUUUAUCUACUGAUGCGUAAACAAGGUAGAGAUGCGCAAAGUAAGUUACUCGUUACAUUUCCAAGUCAAGUAUCUGAGGCAUUUGUUUUUCUUUUUUUCAUCAUUACUUGAGUUUACUUACGUCAAUAUAUAAUAUUGGGUGCUGGGAUGCUGCAGAUAAAAAGAUCGGGUCCAUAUCGUUUGAUCUGAAAACGCUUUGUACCGCCACAAAUAACUUCUCUAUUCAAAAUAAGCUUGGAAGCGGUGGAGCUGGAAUGGUCUACAAGGUAAUAAUCUCUAGCUGAAAUCCUACCUGUAAUUUUUGAGUUGCAACAGUGUCUCUGCAUGCAUAUAUACGACUGUUACAUGGGUGCUAUCGUGUUCAUAUAGAUAUAGUUAAAUAUUAUUUUAAGAUUGAUAUGUUGUGAAUUUGAACACUAUUUUUAUGUUUCUAUUUUUUGUCGGCAUGACUUUUAAAUUUAGUAUUAACUAGUAAUGCUAAAUGCCAAAAAAGCUUCAAUAUUAAUAAAUUAAUUAGUAUUAGAUGAUAUUACUACUUUACUAAAGUUUAAUUCAAUAUCCCUCAAAAUAAUUUCGAGCCAAAUAGAAUUAAUUUCCAGCCAAUAACAAGCUGGAUCAUCUCCGCUCGUUUUAAUCUCGAGCGGAUCUCAGCCCUAGCUCGCUCGUGUUCGACUCGUUGACGGCUCUUUGCCGCUAGUAUCUAAUACAGCGUUGGUUGUGAAUACAGGGAACGCUGCCGGACGGACGAGAAAUAGCAGUGAAGAGGUUUUCAGGAGCCUUGCAUCAGGGGAUAACAGAGCUGGGGUUUAUCGUCUUGAUUGCGAUGGUUGAGCAUCCAAAUCUUGUCAAAUUGAUCGGCUUUUGCUAUGAAAAAAUGGAGAUGCUUCUAGUCUGCGAAUAUCUGCCCAACAAAAGUCUAGACAACUACUUAUUCGGUAAGCAGACCCUGCAUCAGUGUCAUGUUACAUGUAAUAAGGAUCAGUAAUUACAUGGUGUUUUACUUGAGCAGUAGCAGUUUGCAACUUUGGCAGUUGAUGCUUUUGGUUCAGCUACUGAUCAUGGUCCAAUUGACAAUUGCGAUAUUCCACAUUCAAAGAUUUUCUUCAGUGUGAGACCUUUUCUCAAGCCUAUAGAAAAUUUGUUACCGAAUUUGUCUUGGAUGCAACAGACCCCAACAGGCGAGCACAACUGGAGUGGCGAACGCGCUACAUGAUCGUCAGAGGAGUCUGUCGAGGUCUUCUUUACCUUCAUGAAGAUUCACAGCUGACGAUCAUCCAUCGAGAUCUGAAAGCAAGUAAUAUCUUGCUUGAUAAGGACAUGAAUCCUAAAAUUGCAGAUUUUGGCCUCGCAAAGCUUUUGGGCCGCGAUAGAACCCACGAAAUCACUAGAAAAAAUGGUGGCACAUUGUAAGUAGAAUCGUCAUUUCCUAAAUUAUUUUGUGACAAGAAGCUUUUCUACAACAUGGUGUAAUCUCACGUUUCUUUAUUGCCUCGCGGCAGAGGAUAUAUGGCACCUGAAUAUUACAAUAAGGGGCAAUUUUCGAAGCAAUCCGACGUAUAUAGCUACGGUAUACUGGUCUUAGAGAUUGUAACUGGAGAAAGAAACAGUGAAUUUGAAGGAUCAAGCGACGCUCUGUAUCUUUCAACCUAUGUAAGUAUUCAUCUAACUAAAGAUUGAACAUCUGUGUAUAAUUCGUGAUGCUGACCUCUUUAUUGCACCGGGCAACAUAUGUCCCUUGAUUGCUAAGCCAUUUUGUUUGAUAGGUAUGGAAACACUGGAGAAAUGGGAAGGGACUAGAUGUCGUCGAUAAAAGUUUAGGUAAUCUGUAUGAACAAGACGAAGCAUUAAAAUGCAUUCAGAUUGGGCUACUUUGUGCGCAACAUGACCGCACAAAGCGACCCAGCAUGAGUCAAGUCUCAUCCAUGCUCGAUAGUCCCAAUGAGAUAUCGAAACAACCGUGCGAGCCUGGGUACGCACCAGUGCUUGACAACAGCAUAGUUAUUAGCUCACCCGAACAAGAACAAGCGCUAUUCGAUACAUACAGGGACGUUCAAGAACGACAAACCGUGUAGGCUACAAAGGUUUUAGUUCUCCCGUAAAUUUUCUCUGGAGGUGAAGUACUUCAUUUCGCAUUCCAAAUUAGUUCAAUUUUUGUAUUUCUGAAAAUUGUGGUAAAAUGCUUCAGAAGCUGAGCCCAGGCUACCAAUAUGCAGUUGAAGAAACAAUUUCAGUUUAUUGAGAUGUCUGAUUCAAAACUUUAAUCGUUACUUCAAGUGGCUCGCAUUUGGUUAAUGUUUGUAUGAUUAUGCUGUGGACCUGUAGGGUGCGUGUAUCCUUUGUCUUGUGCGUAAAUACUCUUUGUUGUUGCCAUUGUUCUCACUUUUCAGGCUUUUUCUUCUGCAGAACAGCAUGACACAUUUGCAACAUUUUUUUUUAAUAUAUUCACACAUCAGGAUCUUUGAUAAAAUUUAGAAAAUUGAAAUUUUCAAAUAUUACAAAACUACGUAUAUGACAAUCAGAACAAAAUGACAAUGUAAUAAAUAAUUUUGAUUAAGGAGAUGAUUCUACUAAACUACUUGUAAAAUUUAGAAUGUCUAAUUAUUAUUAAAAUAAAGUCCACCUGCACUAAAAGAGCUAAAGUUUUCAUGGUCUUUGUACUUUUGUUUUCUUUUUUUUUUUAAAGAGGAAUCUUUAAAUACAACAUAAGUAUUGAAAUCUAACCGUUAAUUAGUGAAUAGGUUACCAACUUAGAUUAAUCAAUAGAACGAUAUUGAAAAUAAAUUAUUAGCAUAUACCAAAUUUGUUAGUGUGCUAUAAAUUUUUUAAAUUUCUUAUUUAAUUUUGUUAUUUACCAAAUUAAAUAAUCUCCAAUCUGUUAAGUAUCCAACUAAAAAAAAUAUUGAAUUUAAAUUUGAUUUUUGAAUAUGGCACUAUAAUGUAAAAUUUUCAUUUUAAAAUUUAAAUCCAACAUCUGUGUUUGAAUCUAAAUCGUAUUUUUAAUCUUAAAACCAAAUUUUAAUUGUUGAUUUAAAUUGAAAUUUUGAAUUUGAACUAAAAUUUUUACUUUGAAUUUGCGUUUUGUAUUUUAUAAACAAUUGAAUUUGAUUCAAAAUUUAGCUUUAUAUGUUUUUUUCAAAUUAAAUUCGCUGUUUGGAUGUAAUUUAUAUUUCAAUUAUUGCCAAAGUAUUUAACAAGUUCAUAAAGGUAUAGUUGGGAAAGACCAACUAUGGAUCUUAUGAACCAAAAUACUCAGUAAAGACCAUAAUACUCUGUAAAUGCGUACCAGCUGAUUGAUACCUAUGCCUUAAAAACUGACCAUCAUUAGAAUUAUAUCACAUCUCAAUUAUUUAUUUUAAAAAUUAAGCAUUAGAAUUAGAAUUUACGUGAUGUAUUGAACCAUAAUUUUUUUAAAAAAAAUUAUUCGUAGGGACUUAGCCGGCCACCGCAUAAUUUUUAAAUGAAAAAAAAAAAAUGUGUACACAUAUUUUCUUUUCUACUUUUUUGAGUUUUUCCAUGGCAUGGAAUUAUCAGGACUUGUCAAACCGGUUGGACAAGAGGGAAAAAACAGUAAACACACCAACAAAAUUUUUUUUUUUGAAAAAGAUAAUAUGCGAUAUAUUUUAUUUAUUAAAAAUAUGAAUUAAACAAUAUGGGUGAGGUAAAAAAAAAUCUCGACCGAAGCAUCGAAAAAAAAAAAAGAAAGAAAUAUCACCCUUCUGAUUUCGUACUUUCUCAUUUUAGUAUUCUGUGAUUUAAAGUGUAUCAAUUUAGUAUUCUAUGACUUUAUUUUUUUUUGUUCAUUCCACUAUUUUUUUUUCGUUAAAUCAGUGACAAAAUUAAAAGUAAAAGAUACUAAAGUGAAUAGUCAAAAUCUAGGUGGGGUAUCUGAAGUUUUUCGUAUAUAAUUUAACGAAAAAUUAACGGAGGAGCUUACGAAAAGAAAAAAAUGAAACCACAGGGUACUAACUUGAUACACUUUAAAUCAUAUAGUACUAAAGUGAGAAAGUGUGAAACCAUAGGAAUGAUAUUUGAAGUUUAUCCAAAAAAAAAAAAAAAAAACACUAAGUGAGUUGGCUUUUAGAUGAGAGAAUAUUCUUUCACUGUACAGCUAACCGUCUGAUGGUAACAACCGUCGUUAGAGAAUCUGCAUAAGCAUCUCUGAAAAUAACACUAUUCUUUAUAUCCCAGAGGACCCACCACCAGACUAUCAAAUUGGUCAAUCUAGCUCGAAUAUGCCACGAUCUGUUUUAAAAUUUAAAUUUCUGGCGAGAAAUGUUAAGGAUUUGAUUUUUGAAAUUUCAAUUUCAAAAUUUAAUUACUUUAUAUUUGUCUUUUUUUUAAAAAAAUGAACCAAUUGUGCGGCUUACUUCCUUGCUGUCUUUAGCUUCCCAAAAUAAUAAUAAUAAUAAUAAUAAUAACAAAACUGCAGAGACAGUGAAGACGGAAGCGAGAGUUUGGAACACUCUCCGCCUACGCGUGAACAGAAAAUGAAAUUGGCCGGGCCAUCAAAUUUCUGUUCCUUCUAAUGUGGGGUAGCACGGUAACGUACAUUUGCAAAUUUUCUUAAUCCACGCCGUUGACAAGAUGCAUUCAAUAAUAUAAUAUAAUAUAGGCUAUUACAAUGUUAUUAGAUCUGAAGCUUAAAUAUGUCCUGCUUUUUACUCUGUCAAGCUUUUCAACAGUCGUAUGAUGUUGUUGAACAGAUUCGAUCGAGAAAAUUGUAAAAAAAAAAAUCUGCCUUAGACUUUCGGACCCGUACAAUCCAACCACGGUAGACGUGGCCAAACGUCGACCGUGGCAACGCUACAUCAUCGUCUGUUCCACGAGCAAAACAGGAACUGUACUCCCAUUUUACCAUAACAACAUCUCAGGAUUAGCAUUCAAUUGUUACCACUUUGUAAUAAUUAAGGCAACUAUGGAAUCAUCAUCUCAUUUCUUUCUCCUCCUACGCCUUCUUAUUAUUCUCUGCAUUUCACCUGUAGCAAGAUCAGAUGAGCCUCUAGGCAACUUUUGCCGCGCCGACGCGAACUACACGGCCAACAGCACCUUCCAGGCUAACCUCGACCGUGCCCUCUCCUCCCUCCCCUCCGCCGCAGCCCCCUCCGGCUUCGCCAACACCACUGUCGGUCAAGCGGGACCCGAUCAAGUCCACGGCCUCGCCCUCUGCCGCGGCGACGUCUCUUCUGCCGACUGCUUGAGCUGCUUGAAGAACGCCACUAACGAUAUUGUUGCCGAAUGCCCACACGGUGCCGGGUCGGUGAUAUGGUAUAUAUGCACCGUGACACAGACCGCUUUUCUCUAAAAUCUUAAUCAAUUCGAGAGUAGUGUUUUUUUUCUAAUUCAUCGUUUGGGAUAAAUACAAGGAAAUUAAAUGAGGCUACGUAGAUCUGUUAUUUUUGGUUUAGAUUUGUAGUUAUCUAAAUUGAGAAUAAAUCCUAAUCUAAUCGGGAUUAGAUAUUAUUUAGAUUUAAUUUGGCAUAUAUGGAUUAUAAUUAGAAGUGUAAUUCUAAUUGAAUUAGAAUUAGACUCUAAUUAGAAGACAUGUAUUAUAUAUACAUGCUACGGCCAAGUUAAUGAGGUCGCGACCAAAAUUAAGAAGCCAUGCAAACUUGAUUAAGAGCAUGUUGAUGGUCUGUACAGAUGAAGCCGGAUUUCUACAGUGAAGCCAAGCCUAAUUAAGUUUAUAAUUAAGUCCAAGCCGCACUUCGUGCUUAUUUGGGGCUAGUGAUCACGUUGCGGGGAUCCCUCUUUGGAGAUCUAAUUAAAGGAGAGACCAUGCAGAUUAAUUAAGUUUUGUGGUCCAUCCGUACGGUUGAGGAGCCGACUUAUUUUUCCGGAGUUGCUUGUUGCGGCGUUUCCGAUCUAAUUAAGUUUUGGUCUUUUGGGAGAUUCUCGUUGUACUCCGCCUUUUUCGACAUUAAUAAAUUAUUUGCUCCGUCUUCGCCCGUGGACGUAGGCCGUUGGCCGAACCACGUAAUUAUCGGUGUGUUCUUUCCGCUUAUCUUUUCUUUUUUUGCAUUAAGUUAUUUUCUAGAUCUAUUUUUCGCCGUUCCGAUUUUAACAAGAUCUAAGUGUCGUAAUCGUUUAUACUCAACAACAGGUACGACAGCUGCAUGCUCCGCUACAACAACAUCAGCAUCUUCUCGGUGCUCGACAGUUCGUUCAACAUAUGCAUGCCAACUCCGGCCAAGGUGUCGACGCAGCCGCAGCUGUUCGACAACUUGCUAGGGAGGCUGAUGGACAACCUCACGGUCACCGCCGCACAAUCACCGGAGAUGUUCGCCUUUGGCGAGGUGAACUUCACCGAAUCCAAUAAAAUCUACGGGAUGGCGCAGUGCACGAGAGACUUGUAUAGCGUUGAUUGCUACAGAUGCUUAAGGACUUUUGUGGAGGAUAUCCUAAGUUGCUGCGAUGGGAACCAGGGGGGGAGGGUGCUCGGAAGAAACUGCGUCCUCAGGUACGAGCUGUAUCAGUUUUACAAUGCGUCGGCGCUACAAAAUGCGGCGGCGCCGUCCGAGGCAAACGCAGCUGCACCACCCAAGGCGAGCGGUAAGUCCGAGCCUUUAAAGUGUGAUUUUUACUGCAACACGUACAGUUCGUAUCUUGUAUUUCAUACCUAUUUUCAGCUCUAUUAAUUUAGACAGAAUAGAUUCAAUGUAUAAUUGGUUUCUUCAGUUUAAUCCUGUUUUUAAGUUUCAAAAAUCACUAUCUAACCAUGCAAGAUGUGUUAAACCCUAGCUACCAUAGUAGCUGCACAAUUAGAAUUUAAUUUAUUAAAUGCAUUUCAUAACAUUAAAAGAUUUACAUGUAUAAGAGAACGGGGCAGUGAUAUGAGGUAACACGAGGGAGAGCUUCAACUUUGGACAAAAAGACUUUUAAUUAGUAAAUUUUUAUUUUUUUUGGCUAUUUUUUCUCCAUAAAAUAUUAAUUUUCUUGUAGUAUGAUUUCAAGAACUGAGUAAGAUUACUUGUUCUUGGUGCAGGAAUCAAUAGAAGUACAAAGACAAUUAUUAUUGUUGCCAUUUCUAUAGUUGCUGCUGCUUUGCUGCUCCUCUCUGUUAUUUAUCUCUGCCUGAGAAUAAUAAGAAGGAAACGAAGAAAACCAGAAAGAAAUGCUCUGAUCAGUAAGUUGCACGCAUAACUGUAUCUUAACAUGCAAAUAUAUAAAACUUCAUUAAUCAUCAUGUACUAAGAUCUUGCUUUUCACAAAGCAAAUGGAGGAGAUGAGCAGGAAAUUAGAAUGGCAAAAGCUCUUUUGUUCGAUUUGACAACAUUAAGAGCUGCAACAAGCAACUUUUCUGAAGCAAAUAAGCUUGGUGAAGGUGGAUUUGGCCCAGUGUACAAGGUAAAAAUAUACUUUUCCUUUGUGAAUCAACUAUUUGUCUCUAUUGUAAUAGUAUACAUUCAACACUCUUUCUCACGAAACUACGGGCUCGAUGUAAUUCGAGCUCAAGAGACUUUCUGUUCUAAUACCAUGUGAAACGAUCAUUAUUUAUUUCUAAAAGCUUAAUCUACCAUAAAAUGGUAUUUUAAUAUUAUAUAUUCAACAUAUUUCAAGUGCUCCAAUGUGAGUAAUUUCCUCUUCAUUAUUGAAUGUGACUAUGUCACAUUUGCAUGCAGGGGACACUACAAGAUGGACAAGAAAUAGCAGUGAAGAGGCUGUCGAUGAGCUCAGUGCAGGGGCUAGCUGAGCUGAAAAAUGAGGUGGUGCUUGUGGCAAAACUUCAGCAUAGGAAUCUGGUGGGAUUAAUUGGUUGCUGCUUGGAAGAGCAAGAAAAGCUCCUUGUCUAUGAGUACCUGCCCAACAGAAGCCUUGAUAAGUUUCUCUUUGGUAUAGUCCACCACAUAGAUUGUUUAUUGAUAUUGCUAUUUGAUUUGAAUUAGCCUUUAUUAAAUAGAAGUGUACUCGUAUACUUGUUUUGAUAAGUGGAGUACAUUUGUCACGAGUCAGUUGUGCUUCUAUCUAUAAUAGGUUUUCUUACUUUUAGGGCUUUGAAACUUGCUGCAUGAUGAAAAAUGUUCUUAUUAACUGAACAAGUUAAUUAAGAAUUAAAUAUAUAACACUAUUUUACCAAAACGGAACAGAUUCUGUGAGGCGCGAGCAAUUAGACUGGGACAGACGUUACCAAAUCAUCAAAGGAAUCAGUCGAGGACUUCUCUAUCUUCACGAAGAUUCGAGGCUAAAGAUCAUUCACCGGGAUUUGAAAGCGAGUAACAUCUUGUUGGAUGGGUUUAUGAUACCUAAAAUCUCUGACUUUGGCCUGGCAAAGCUCUUUGAUGUUGAUUCGAGUAAAGGAAGCACGAGUCGGAUUGCAGGAACAUAGUUAAGCGCAUUUGGAUUCAUCAAAUUGUUUUGUCCUAAUUAGGAGAUGUUUAUAUAAUGUUAAAUUUUUUUUUUUUUUUAUUGCAGUGGAUACAUGGCACCAGAGUACGUAAUUCAUGGACACUUCUCGGCAAAAUCAGAUGUUUUCAGUUAUGGUGUGUUGGUUUUGGAGAUUGUGACCGGACGAAGGAACGCCCGCUCUCAAGAAGCUAUUUAUGCCGAAGACCUUCUAUCCUAUGUAAGCAUUUUCUAUACCUUAGUUGGUGGAUAAGGCAUACAUAUUUUUGUUUUACAAAUUCCGGAUUCGAAUAAGAGACGCAUUUAAAAAUAGAGUCCGGAUCUAUUUCAAAAACCUAAGUUUUAUUAACGUCCCAUGUAAUUAGGAUGAGAAAAGUACUGGACCAGUCCAAGCGACCCAAUCAAUGGGCCUACAAGGAAAAAGAAGAUAUUGUAGAUUCCUAGAAAUGUUAGAUUAUUAUAUAUCAGAAGAUAUUUUUAUUUUCAUGCUUGAUGCAAAUUAUUGAUAGUCUAUUAUUUUUGAGAAAAAGGUAGCACGCUACCUGCUUCAUUCAUUUAGAGAAUGAAUUAGGCUUACAUAAUGGAGGCAGCCGGGACCUCCGCCGGGGGAAAGAGUGUCAAAAGCCAGAAUAACAAAGACAAGAAACGAAAACGACAAGAGACUAAAACCAAAAACAAAGGAAAUGAGGGUAAGGGAAGCAAAAGCGACAAAUAACUAAAACCAAAAGAGGAAGAAAGAAAGAGUAAAAAUGACAGGCGUCAAACAGCAGGGAUCCAGCAGGGUCAACAAGGAGCGAUCCAGGUGUCAAGCAGCAGUUUCGCCCGUUCCAGGCACCGAAUAGGGUUGGGGGCAAUCUCUCGGAAAAUUAAACCAUUCCUUUCCGUCCAAACGACCCACCAAAUAGCAGAAAGAAGGGAGAGGGAAAUAAGUCUGUCUUUGGCGUCUCGUAGAUCAAUAAAUUUAGACCAGAGGUCUCUCACAUCGUCCGCUGGAUCAGACAGAGCCUCCAAGCCACCUAUGCUCAGCAAAAUGAAGCGAACAAAGACACAGGAACUCAUGAGGUGGUCGCAACUUUCCAAAUUAACGGCAUAGAAAAAACAUGUUUGAUCCGGUAGCCACCUUUGCAAACUUAUAUUAAAAAUACAUAUAUUAAUUCUUAUCAACCUCCCAACCCAAAUGCUUUGAUAAAUUACCAACAAACUUAUCAUUUCCAAAUAGAAAAUAGACAAUAUUUUAAUAUUUUUCGAAAUAUUAUAAAUCAUGAACCAAUCUAGUCUGGUUCUGCUAGUAACUGAAGCACUCUCUUAACCAGGUGUGGAAGCACUGGAGCCAAAGGACUGCACACCAGGUGCUCGACCCGAGCAUCUUGGGACGGUGCCGGCUGCAGGACGUGAUGAGAUGCAUCCACAUUGGGCUGCUGUGCGUCCAGGCUGACCCGUCGGACCGGCCGAGCAUGGCCUCCGUCGUGCUCAUGCUCAACAGCCUCUCCUCCGCCCUUCCCGCCCCGUCGGCCCCCGCUUUCGUCAUCCAGCACGGCUCAAUUGCAGGCAACGCAGAUGAGGUCGAGACCGACGCGUCCGGCGUGCUGCAAAGGCGCACGACGAGGGCGGCGUCGGCGAACGACAUCUCCAUUUCGGAAGUCGAGGCGCGGUAGGGCCUCAGAGUUGGGGAAGAUUCAAUUUGAAUAUACCGAACUGGAGUGGUAGUGCAUGCCGAAUGAGCAGCAGAAGGCAUUAUCAUUAAUUUAGAUCUACACAAACGUUGAAUACUUCAUUCGAUUCUUUGUUUUGGUAAAAAUAUAUGAAACUUAUCUUAACUGUCCACCAUUUGAAUUUGAUUAUUCAAUUUUUCAAAAUUUUAAUUUUACUAUAUAAUAUUUCAAUUUGUUUGAUUUGAGCACGCCAACCGGCACUUUAACUUUAAAAUUUGAAUACGUCGUUUAAUUCUACAGAUUUAGUUAAUAUAUUUCAUUCAACUCACAACUACAAGUUUAUUAUAUUAAGUAAUUAACUUAAAUUUUGAAUUCGAAUUAUCGUUGACUAAUUCAAAUCAAACAAAUUGAAAGGCUGGAUAUAUAGUAAAAUUAAAAUUUUGAAAGGCUCAAUAGCUAAAUUCAAAUGGCCUAUAAUUCAUAUAUAAGUUUCAACAUUUUUAUUUAUUUAACUAGUGAAGAUGUAAUUAAUAAUAGCAUAGAUGUAGGCUAAAAUUUGAAAACUUUCUUGCAUUUUAGCCUGUGUCUUAAUUAAUUUCUAUACUAAAAGUUAUUUUAAUUUUUAAAAUUAGGCAAGUAUAUUUUUAGAAGUACAGAAGUUUUCAUACUUUCUAAUUAUUUUCAAUAAUAAGACAUCCAAUUCGACAAUCAACUUUAUUAGACAUAAUUUACACUAUUCAAACUAUCUUAAAAAUAAAAUUUUAUAAUUUUUUUUAACAUCAUUUGUUUAGUGAUGAAUAGUUACAAAAUAAACACCUGAAAAUAAAAAUCAAUAGUUACAAAAUAAACACCUGAAAAUAAAAAUCUCAUAAAAAUCAUAGUAGAACACCUAAAAAUCUCAUAAAAAUCUCAUAUCGUUUGGACGUUUAAUUAAAGACGUUUCGUCCAAACAUAGAAUAAAAAGUGUUUUUAUAUUGAAAUUUUCUUAUAGUGAAUUCAACCUUCAAUCGGAGAGACAACAGUUGGCGGAUCAAACUAGAGCGCAUCAUGCGUCGGUUCCCCAUUUUUCCACCAACAGCAGGUUAAUAUUCCAUAUCCUGUUCUUUGCAGCAGCACAGCAUAUUUGCAAUAUUUCUUAACUCUUUUCCAUAAGAAUAGUUGCAUAUUAGAUCUUAAGCUUAAGUAUAUCAUAUUUUUCUACUCCAUCAAUCUUCUCAAUAAUUGUAUGAUAUUGAACAACAACUGUUUUUAAUUUAUUUUUUUUAUAUAAAAAAGGGAAAAAGAAUGGUCGUUUUGGAAUUGGAAGGUGACGGGAGAAACCACUACGCGUUUUAACAAAUUUGAUUGAGAAAAUUGUAAUUAGAAAACCGCGUCAGACAGGACUAACGCUGGACUUUCGAACGACCGCAUCCAGCGGCGGUAAGAAAACGAACCUCUUUUUCUCAAAUUUUUGUAGACUAGCCGUCAAUUCAAUAGCCAACGGCCCACCAGUCAAUGGUCCCACAUCUAAGCUUUUUUUUUUUCUUUUUUUUUUUUUUUGAUGAGAUAGGUAGCACGCUACCCGCUUCGUUUAUUUCAUUUAGAAAUAAAUUUAGCUAGAAAUGUGAAUCAACUGGGAUUCAAACUUGGGUCUCGGGUACCAGCCACCAAGCUCUUUGCCACUUGCUUUAGGGACGGUCGGUAUCUAAGCAAUUAUUAGAAGUAUAAUUCUUCUUGUGCUCCUAACUUUCUAAUCAUUCAUCAAGUUUAAUGGAUGAUUAAGAUAAGAAAAAAAAAAUAAAAAAAAUUGGAUGUCCCAAUUUCUCUACUCUUUGAAUAUUUUUUUCUAAUUUUUCUUCCCUCCCUCUCAUCCUAGCUAUCCAUCAAAAUUGAUUAAUGAUUAGAAAGUUAGGAAUACAAAAACUGUUGUGCUUCUAAUAGCACAGUAAUCUUACUUAUUAAAUUAUUACAAAGAGUUAGACUAUUAUGCUUUCAAAAGCAAAGUAGUCUAGCUCUUGACUACGUUUAAAAAAUACGAAGGUAUUUGUAGUUUUGAGUUGUUUUUUAUGAUAGGACAUCUAAUGCGGCGAUCAGUUUCAUUAAAAAUGAUCUAUUGUAUUAAAACUAUUUAGAAACCAAAUUUCAUAAUUUUUCGAAUUUAUUUAUCUAGUAAACGAAUAGUCUAAAAAUGAACGAUUAAAAAUAAAAAUCUCAUACAAAUAGUAAUAAAAGACUUAAGCUUCGAAUCGAAAGUACUGAUCUUACUCUCAAUAGUAAAUAAAAUUGUCUAUUAAAAUUUUAUCUAAUUUCAAUUGUUAUACACCGUUAAACUUAGCAACGUGUUACAUCGGCUAUUAAAAUAGUCAUUUUUAAAACCCUUUGAUUACUUGGUAAAUAUUAUUAAAAAAUUAUAUAAUUUUCUUUUUAGUCAAUUCUAAUAGUAUAGAUUAUAUCUAACGGAGCUAAUCUCUGAAUCAAGAUGUUCUAUCGUCGAAAAUAACUUAAAAAUAUAAAAGUCUCUGUGCUUUUGAAAACACAGUAAACGUACUCUUAUUAUAAAUAUAUUGCCAUAUAUUUAUGUAUUAUAUACAGGUAUAAAUCUAGUUUUUAAUUAGAUUAAUAUCUAAUGAUGAAAAUUUUAAUACUGUCCAAGUCGGAAACUCGCGGUGUAUCGAAAUCUGCACAUCUAAUGCCCGCUCUACACUCAACUUUUUAUUUGUUUAUACGUAAUUACCAUCUUUACAUAAUGACUUUAAGAACUUAGAAGCAAGGAUUAACUUAACGGAUCAUGUAUUGCAGAAGCCAAUGUACAUUGAGUCGGUAUUUUCACGCCGGACUAAUUAGAAUUUUUUUUGUUUUUAUCGUAACAAUUUUCUUAUUGGAAGUAGUACAAAGCGAUAAUAACCGAAUACUAGCUAAAUUUAUUUUUUUGAUGAAUGAAGCAGUAGAAUACUACAUUCUUUCAAGAUAAUAACCGAAUGCUAAUAAGAGUUUAUAUAAUAAGAUAAGUAGAUAUUUUGAAGUUAGGAGACGACACACUAUCUGUCAAUAUAUGAUGAAAUUCUUAUUAUGCAUGUGAAAUAAGAGUAAUACUAUCUGUAUAUUUAAAAAGUAGAUAUAAAUUAUAGAGCAUGACUAUUGUACUAUUAAGAGCAUAGUAACCCGUAUAUUUCUAAGUUUCUAACUAUUCAUCAAUUUUGAUGAAUAAUUAGGAUGAAAAAGAGAAGAGGAAUUGGAGAAAAAUUUAGGUUUCUCAAUUUCUCUUAUUUUUCAAUAUCUUUCCAAUUUUUCUUCUCUUUCUCACCCUAAUCGUUCAUCAAAAUUAAUGAAUGAUUAGAAACUUAGGAGCAGAGCAACUAUUGUACUUUUAAUAGUACAGUAAUCCUACUCUAAUUUAAUUAUGUUAUACAUGCAAUCAAAAUUUAUUUUACAAUAAGAGCGUUGACUGACGUCAACUCAUAGUUCGACGGUCAACAGUCAAUCAGAUCCCCAGGAGAGGACUCAUGGCCCGUCUAAUACGGAAUCAAUAGAUCAAUUGGACCACGCAAACGUCUCAAAGUCAUUAAUUAUUAUCUACCCAUUUAUUAACUGGUAAAUUAUUAUCUUAUCGUUUCCUUCAUGGAUAAUUGGAUACAAGACACUACAAAAGAUUGCCUUUUCAAGGUUAUUUCUACAAAAUUUUUAUUUUUAUAUUUAUUUCUUUAGAAAAAAACAUUUAUAUAAAAUUCCUUUAUAUAGCCCCGUAUUUCAUUGUGUUUUCCAACUACUUGUGAGAAAACUAUGGAGCCUUCCCCUUUCCGGUUCCUUCUCUGCUCAGUACUGCUCCUCAUUCUCCUCCACAUCCCCACAUCCAAAUCCGAAGCCUCCUCCCUCUUCGUCAACUGCUCCACUGCCGCGAACUUCACGGCGAACAGCACCUUCCAGUCGAACCUAAACCACCUCCUGUCUACCCUCCCCGUAGCCGCCUCACCGUCCGGCUUCUACAACACCACGGUCGGUCAAAACGGCGUCGAUCAAGUCUACGGCCUCGCAUUAUGCCGCGGCGAUAUCUCCGCCUCCGACUGCAACGCCUGUUUGACUACAGCCGCGCAACAUGCCGUCGGAGAGUGCCCGCGCGGCACGUCGAACACCCUGUGGUACGACACCUGCAUGCUGCGCUACUCCAACAGCAGCUUCUUCGGCGUCGUCGACUGGGCUCAGAUCUUCGCAUGGAACCUGCACAACGUCACGGAUCCGAAUCUGUUCGACGACCAACUCUAUCAGCUCAUGCGUAACUUGUCCACGGAAGCGGCCUACAGGUCGGGGCGGCCGCCGAUGUUCGCCGUGGGCCAGGUCCAAGUCAUCAACUCUACAAACAUAUACGGGUUGGCGCAGUGCACGAGGGAUCUGUCGCAGAACGACUGCUACGGGUGCUUGAGCAAUUGCAUCAAGAGCAUCCCGAAUUGCUGUGCAACGAGGAUUGGCGGGAGGAUUUUCGGAGAGACUUGCAUGAUUCGGUUUGAGUCGGCUCCGUUUUACAAUUUGUCGCCCAUCGGGAACACGACAGCACCGUCGCCGGCACCGUCCGGUCAGAAUAAGGGUGAUGGCAGCAAGGGAAGUGGAGGUAAGUCAAAGUCUUUUUCCCGCGUUAUUUUUUUUUUUUUGAGAAAAAUAGUAUGCUACUGCUUUAUUCAAUAAGAAUAUGAACUUAACUACAAAAUUGCGACAACGAGACCGCGAAAAAAUAAAAAAGAAAAUACUAAGAAGAAAGAAAGAAAGAAAAGAACACAUCGAGCUACAAUAACAAAAUUAAUGAAUCCUGUACUGAUCCCAAAGCCUCCUAAUUAGCUCUCUAAUCUCAACUAACAGCUGAUACAAGUUAAAUUUUUUUUUACCGUAGGGAUUUGCUGUAGGGAGGCUGUAGGAAACUUCCUUUAAUCGAUCUAAGUAGGGGAGCUAAAGUUUUUUUUUUGAGAAAAAGGUAGCAAGCUACCUGCUUCAUUCAUAAAGUGGGAUGAAUUAAGCGUACAGGGUGGAAGCAACGACGGCCUCCGAAAAAGGCAAAAGGAGAAAACAGAAAUAAAGAAAAAAAGAAGAAAAGAAACAAAGUAAGAGCUAAAGUUAUGAGCUAGAAACAAGGGUUAAUUUACAGUAUUAGUUUAGAAACAAAAGCACGAAGAUAGUGACAUAUAGAUAUAUCUAUUACCAAUUAAACAAAUUAAAAUAAAAUUAUAAACUUCUAUACGAUUGAAAUACUGGUAAUUAAUUAACAAAACUGCAUUUAUAAUGUUUGAAAAUUAUUAUACAAUCAAUCUCAAUUCAGGAAAAUGGCUCAUUUUAAGUUUGAGCUCAUCACACACAAAUUGUUAGAAAAGGUCAAACUACUUCAUGGUCGAUAUGAACUAACAUAUAGAGCUAAUUAAUAGCGUGUGGAUGAUAACCAUAUCAAGGUUUUUUUUUUUUUUUUUUUGAGAAUAGGUAGCACGCUACCUGCUUCAUUCAAUGGAAGGGUGAAUUAGGCUACAGAGGUGAGGCAUCGAGGGCCUCGUGAACACAUUAAAAAAAAAAAAAGAAAAAAAAAGAAAAAAAGAAGAAGCAUAUAUAUAUAUAUGUAUAUAUAUAUACAUAUGUAUAUGUAUAUAUAUAUGUAUAUAUAUAUACAUAUAUAUAUAUACAUAUACAUGUAUAUAUAUAUAUAUAUGUAAAGAAGGCAAUUAAGGAAGGUCUAUCCAAGAGUCAAUCAGGAACUUGAGCCUGCGCACCACAGUUACUGGGUCAAACUGUAUGCCUCGAAAGAUAACGUCGUUCCUAACUUUCCAAAUGGUCCACCAGCACGCUGCUAACUCGGGUAAUCCGUGCCUCCUAUUUAGUCCACCAUCCCUACGUCUCCACCUAUCCCAGACUUCAAGUACAUCAUCACCCAAUUCCCCGGACUGAACUUCUUCGAGUCCCGCGACCAUGAUAUACUUGGUAAAGACACAUUGAGUGAAUAGAUGAUCCACAGACUCGUCAUGAACCGUACACAGCGCACAAGUCGUACUUCCAGACCACCCUGUCAGACUGAGGUUGACCGCCGUAAGAGUUCUUUUCUUAAGGACAAGCCAACAGAACACUUUGAUCUUGAGUGGGAUUCGGAGUCUCCAAACCAAGCUACUCCGCCCGUCUCUCGUGCCCCUGUCGUUCAAUAUGCGAUAGGUCGAUCGUACUGAGAAUAUAUUAUUAGUAUCCCAUCUCCACCCUAUCCUGUCCUCUGUCUGUCCAAUACAAACGCUAGAAACUCUCUCUUUGAGUUUUGAGAGGGUGCAACGCAAGCUCGGUGUAACAGAAGUUUCCUCGCCCAAGAUCCUAUUCCAAUCCCAAUCGUUGCCGCCAAAGCAAUCCCGGACCAGGAUGGGUUUUCGAACCGGCUGUGUGAACAACUCCGGGAAGGACGCUUGGAGUGUGGUAUUCCCACACCAUCUGUCAAGCCAAAAAUCAACCGAUGCCCCAUUACCCAGAUGAUAGUUGGUCCCCCAUUUGAAAAUAUCCUUGGUGGCAAGCACCCCCUUCCACCAGUAUGAAGACGGCCGGAAACCUCUCCCCUCCCACAGCGGUCUUCUUCUUCGGUAGUACAAAGCACGGAUAAGCUUGAUCCACGGCAAAUUGGAUAUAGUAUAGUAUCUCCACCACCAUUUGACUAGGAGAGCCGUAUUCAUGUCGGCUAUAUCUAGGAUGCCUAAACCACCUGCCCGUUUGCUCAAACAGACAUUUUUCCAUGCGACCAGACACCCCCUGCCAGGGAUGUCGCAUUGGCCACUCCAAAAGAAAUCCCUGCGUAGUGCUUCGAUGCGCUUGAUGACCCAUUUGGGUGCCUUGAACACUGUCAGGAAGUACAGUGGCAGAUUGGUGAGCACCGCAUUGACAAGGAUAAGUCUACCCCCUCUCGAGAGAAGUUUGGCCUGCCAUGCACCCGUCUAUUCUGUGCUGUAUUUUCUGAAUAACCCCUCUCCAGUCCUCCUUUGUGGGGGGUUUUGGUGAGAGUGGUAGACCUAGAUACGUGGUAGGGAGGGAACCAACUUUACAAUCGAGCAACUGCGCAAGUCUCUCCGCUUUACCCUCAAUCCGUCCUAGGUAGUAAAGCUCGGACUUUUCUCUGUUGAUUUUCAACCCAGAUGCCCACUCGAAGAGAUUCCACAUCAGUCGGAUAUUUCUCAUAAAUCGUUUUCUAGCCACGGAGAAGAAGAACGUAUCGUCCGCGAACUGUGUAAGUGCCGUUAAACUCUCGUGUGAAGGGCCAAUCCCCAUGAAGAGGUUGUUUGAGAUUGCCAUGCUGGACAAUCUAGCGAGACACUCCGCCACCAGCAGGAACAGGAAUGGUGAGAGUGGAUCUCCUUGACGUACCCCUCUCUUAGUUUUGAUCCAGUUAGUUGCCUCACCAUUAACUAAAAUGGCUACCUUAGCGUUGCACACACAUUGUUUGAUCCAUUCACACCACUGCUCCUCGAAUCCCCACCAUCGGAGAAUGCUGAAGAGAAAGGGCCAGUAAAUUCUAUCGUAGGCCUUUUCGAAGUCCACUUUUAUGCCAACUCCCUCAAUGGCCUCCUUACAACCCCCCCAAUUAGUUCAGAGACUGUUACGUACGCGUCGGUAAUGUUUCUCCCUUUUAAGAAAGCGGAUUGAGAGGGAGAGAUUAACUCAUUCAUAACAGCAGCUAGUCGAUUUGCGAGGACCUUCGAAAUAAUCUUUUGGAUUCCGUUUAUAAGACUGAUCGGCCGGAACUCGUUAGCCCUUUCCGCCCCUUCUCUCUUAGGGAUGAGACAGAUGAAUGAGUAAUCAAAAGGAGCAAUCGAAAUCCUGCCUUCAUAUAGAAAGACCAAUGAGUAAUCAAAAGGAGCAGUCGAAAUCCUCCAUAUCAAGGUUGAUGGUGAUAAUAUUUGAUCUAGAAAGACCAAUGCCCAUCUUUAGGUAUACCCAUCCCUUUCUUCUAACAUUGAGAUAUUUAUAUAACCAUGCCUUAAUUCAAUCCUUUUCAUAGGUAAUACUCUUUUUCAACUUACGAAAAGAUUGCAUUAUGUGCGGUAAAAAAAUAUUACAGAAAAAUAUAAUAUUUGUUUCCAUACGUGAUAUCAGAUUUCACAUAUUGUAAUAAAUUAAUUACGAUAUAUUUUCUAUAGUCAUACCAAAGAAUAAAAAAGUAUAUUUUUAUAAGCUUUUGUCCCGAUAUUUUUUUGGUUUAAUAGCAUUAAAUAGGUGUCAAUCUCAGGUGAGGCCUAAAUUAUGUAGUGAACUCUUAUUCAUGGAAUUAAUAUUGCUCAAGUAUCCAAAAUAACAAAAAUAAAUAAAAAUAGGGAAAGAAUAAAAACUCUCACUCUCACUCUUCGUGGUUUCGUGGUGAUUUGGUUUAUAUGGUGCGAGACAUUUAAUAAAGUGAAAAACAAGGCAUUAUAUCUCAUGGCCCUAAUGAAAAGGGUUUCAAAGCGUUCCUUCGUUGAAGGAUUUUUCAUCUUUUUUCGACUUGGCAUUAUAUCUCAUGGCCCUAAUGAAAAGGGUCUUUUUCAUCUUUUUCCGACUAUCUUUGGAUCUUUUUUACUUUAGCAUUGUUUUCUUUCUUGCUGUUCGUCUUUCGCCUCGGAAGCCUGAGCUUUUUCCAUACUGUAUUGCCUAAUUCAUUUAUCAAUGAAUGAAGCAGGUAGCCCGUCUACCUCUUUCUCAAAAAAAAAAGGUGUUCCUUCGUCGAGCACGAUCCUCAACCUCUCUCCUUCUUUCUCUCCAUCAUCCUCUCACCGUCUGAUCUCAGAGUUUGAUCAUCACAUAUGGUUGUGCAGAGUCCGGAUGUCACGAGGUCGUCAAUUCUAUGGGUGUCCAAACCGGAGGAUAAAACAACUACUUUUGCAUUGAUGAAAAAAAUAAUUGUUCAUUAAUUAUUAAUUAUCUAGAGUAACUUUAAAAUUUAGUAUGCAAUAAUAUCAUUUAUCUUUAUUCCAACUAACAGUGCUUUAAAAAGUUUCUUUCUUCAUUUACUAAUUAUUUUUAUAUUUGUGUACAGUAACAAGAACGAUAAUUAUUCUGUUUGGAUUGAUGAUACACACUACAAUACUGUUGACUUAAAGAUCAAGUACAGACAUUUCAAGAAGCUGCGGAGCAACAUAUUCAAAAACUAGAAAAGAAAGCCUUAUUUCUACUUAAGCUGCUUAUAUGUUUAAUUGUGGCUAAUAUUUUAUUUAGUUUGGCAAUGUAAUAAAAUAUGAUAUAAAGAAUUAAAGCUGCAAUAUUUUUGAUAAUGUAGUAGGAUUGCGAUAAUACAUUCUAGUGAUGAAGUAGUAAUUGUUGUAAUGUAAGUGAGACAAUAUUUGUGAUAAUGUUAGUGAUAUAUAAAAUAGUAGUUGUUGUAAUGUAAUUAAAGCAUUGUUUGUGAUAAAAGCUUAUUUCAUUUUGAAGUAAAGUGGUACCUGCACAUAGAUAAGCGAAGAAAACUACACUAUAAGAAAUCUAAAGAGCUGCAACAUACAACCUUCAUAGAAUCUACACAAAAAUCCUACAACCCACAUCGUGAAAUAUGCACUGAAAUUUGCAAGCAUUAUUUGUGACUGCAGGAACAUAUAUAGUUAGGCACACAUUGAUUCAUCAUAUUGUUUUCUCCUAAUUAGGAGAUAUUUAUAUAAUGUUAAAACUUUCUUUUUGAUUGCAGUGGAUAUAUGGCACCAAAGUAUGUAAUUCAUGAACACUUCUCAGCGAAGUGAGAUAUUUUUAAUUAUGGUGAGUUGGUUUUGAAAAUUUCGACCGAAGGAACGCGGCCCGAUCAUUAAUAAGCCUAUAUGGAAAAAGAAGACACUGUAAAUUCCUAGAUGGCAGGAAUUUUAAAUUAUUGGAAAUUAAGAGAUAUUCUCAUUUUUUUAUACUUGAUGCAAAUUAUUGAUAGUUUAUUAUUAAAAAUGCAUAUACUAAUUUUUAACGACCUCUCAAUUUAAAUGCUUUGAUGAAUUAGCAUCAAAUUUGCAUUAAUUUAGUACUUUCGAAAAAAACGAAAGCGUUAGUACUUUCAGAUUAUUUUCAAUAAAAAUUAAACAUUUACAUACAUACUUUUUUUUUCAUUUUAACUGCCUUGAAAUUUCGUACUAGUCAAAAUCAUGUGGACGACUAGAUAAGGGGAAUAUAUAUAUAUAUAUAUAAGUUAUUUGUGCUGGUAUGCUUAUGAAAGCACGAGGCCUCCGUGCUUUCACUUUGUUUUUGAUGUUCGGACUUUCGAAUCGACGAUCGCUCCGUUAGAGUUGAUCUAGAGUAUUUGAAGUACCUAGAAAUAAAUUUUGUGAUUUUCGAUAUCAUUUGCUAGUGAUCAGAGGGCUCAAAAUCAAUAAUUUUAACAGCCGUGGUGAGCCGAUGCAAGUUUAACGGUGUAAAAAAUAUUCAAAUCACAUAAAUUUUGAUAAAAAAAAUUCUCAUACCAUAAUAAAACAAGGAUCAAUAACUUUGAUCUAAAAUUUUAAUUCAUAUCAUCAUAUUUUGUAAGAUUUUUAUUUUUCAGCCGUUGAUUUUGAGCCACUUCGAUCACUAAGCAAUGAUAUCGAAAAAUCGCAAAAUUUAUUUCUAAUACUUCAAAUACUCUAAUCAAGUUUAACGGAGCCGAUUGUCGAUCGAAAGUCCGAACAUCAAAACAAAGUGGAUACGGAGCCCCUCGUGCUUCUAAUACAUCCUACCACACUCUAAUAUAUAUAUAUAGAGUUGACUAGAAUCUAUCGAUAGCGAAACCGCACUUUGCAACCCAUUUGUUUGAUGAUGGAGCCUCCAAAUCGACGAUCAGCCCCCGUUGAACGUGAUCUAUACUACUUAAGUAAUUUAAAAUUAAAUUUCAAAUCUUUUCGAUAUCAUUUGCCUAAUGAUCAAAGAUUUCAAAAUUUGUAAUUUUUAAUGGUCGAUAGUAGGCGUUUUCUCGUUUAACGGCGUAAAGAUAUCCAAAUCAAUUGAAUUUUUGUUAGAAAAUUCUUUAAACUAUUUAAAAAAAUCUAUACUCUUGAUCUGAUUACAAGACUCCUAUUAUCCAUUUUUAAAAUAUUCAUUUUCAGCCGUUCAUUUUGUGUCCACCGAAUGGAUAAGAAGCAAUAUCGAAAAUGUAAUGAAAUUAAUUUCUAAAUACUUCAAAUGUAUAAUCAUGUUCAACGGUGCCGAUCAUCAUUUGGAGCUCCAUCAUCGAAAACAAAAUGGUGCAUAAAGUGUCGGUUUGCUAUCGAUAGUAUUGCUAGCUCACUCUAUAUAUUAUAAUAUAUAUAUAAUAUAUAUAUAUAUAGUGCGUCUCGGGUGUGCUUUCCGAAGCACGGAGCGCUCCGUGCUUCACUUUGUUUUCGAUGUUGGGACUUCAAAUCGACGAUCGCUCCGUUAGACUUGAUCUAGAGUAUUUGAAUAUCUAGAAAAUAAAUUUGCGAUUUUCGAUAUCAUUUGCUAGUGAUCGAAGUGGCUCAAAAUCAACGGCUGAAAAUAAAAAUCUCACAAAAUAUGAUGAUAUGACAUUAAAAUUUUAGAUCAAAUUAUUGAUCUUGUUUUAUAGGUAUAAAGAAUUUUCUAUCAAAAUUUCACGUGAUUUGGAUAUUUCUAACACCGUUAAACUUGCAACCGGUCACCACGCCGUUAAAAUUAUUGAUUUUGAGUCCCUUCGAUCACUAGGCAAAUGAUAUCGAAAAAUCGCAAAAUUUAAUUUCUUGGUACUUUAAUACUCUAGAUCAACUCUAACGAGGCCGAUCGUCGAUUCGAAAGUCCGAACAUCGAAAACAAAGUGGAAGCACGGAGGCCUCCGUGCUUACGAAAGCAUACCAGCCCACUCUAUAUAUAUAUAUAUAUAUUAUAUAUAUAUAUAUAUAUAUAUAGUAUAUUAUAUAUAUAUAUAUAUAUAUAUAUAUAUAUAUAUAUAUAUAUAGCUAGUCUCCUAUAUUAUCUAUAGUACCCUGACUCCAGUACUAUAGUCCCGUUUUCGAUUUUAGGGUGUUCAAAUCAACGAUCCACACCAAUUUAGGGUAUUUAAAGUUUUUAGAAAUAAAAUUUUAUAUUUUUUCGACAUAAUUUACUUUAUGAUCAAACCAUUUUAAAAUUGUCAAUUUUCAAUGACUACUAUGGCGAGUUUGGAAUUUAACGGUGUAGAAGAAUCUAAAUUUCUUCAAAUUUUGAUAGAAAAUACUUUAAACUAUCUAGAUCAAGAUUAACAUUCUUAAUCUUGAAUUUACAAGUCCUGUGCUCAAAUUUUAAAGAUUAUUCAAUUUUCACCGUCUAUUUUGACAUAAUUUAUUUGCUAAGUAGACAAUAUCGAAAAAAACUAAACUUUUAUUCCUAAGAACUUCAUAUACCCUAGAGCAUAUUUAACGGUGUAGAUCGUUAAUUUGAAUACCCUAAAAUCGAAAACAAGAUUAUAGUACCAAAGCUUCGGUACUAUAGAUAGUAUAGUAGUAUAUAUAUAUAUAUAUAUAUAUAUAUAAUCCGGCUGGUAUACUAUCUGUAGCACGGAAGUCUCCGUAUUAUUAAGUUAUUUUCGAUGAUGCGGCUUCUAAAUCAACAAUUGACUCCGUUAGACUUGAUCUACAUUAUUCAAAGUAUUUGAAAACUAAAUUUUAUAAUUUUUCGACAUCAUUUACCUAUCAAGUAGUCUAAAAAUGAACGACUGAAAAUAAAAAUCUCAUAAAAAAUAAUAAUAAAAAAUUUUAAUUUAAAAUCAAAGGUACUCAUCUUACUGUAAAUAGUAAAAAAAAAAUUCUAUAAAAAUUUUAUUAAAUUUGAUUCGUUUUACACCGUUAAAUUCACAAACGCAUCACAUCGGCCAUUAAAAUUGUCAUUUUUAAGAUCUUUUGAUCAUCAGCCAAAUAAUGUCGAAAAAUUAUGAAAUUUAGUUUUCAAAUAUUUUCAAUAGUAUAGAUCAAGUCUAACGGAGCGGCCGAUAGUUGAUUUGAAAGCUGCAUCAUCGAAAAUAAUUUGAUAGUAUAGAGGUCUUCGUGCUACCGAUAGUAUACCGGCCUAACUCUAUAUAUAUAUAGAGAGAGAGAGGGAGAAAAUUAGACUACUAUAUUAUUAAUAGUAUCAAGUACUAAGUGUUGUUAGGUUUUCAGCCUUUGAAUAAAGGGAUGUGCGGUUAAGAUGAUAAUAAUCUCCGGUUAAAAUAAUAACGAUCCUCAAGAAUUGGAUGGAUAGUUAAAUAUAUAGUAUGAUCUAACGAAUAAGAAUGAUCAAAAGUAUAAAUCUAAGGACGAAAAAUUCGAUAGCACGCGCUUCCGAACUCUCUUUCUCUCUAUAUUUAUUAACUGCCUUGAAUUUUUUUUUCUUUUGAGAAAAGGUAGCACGCUAUCCGUUUCAUUUAUUUAUUUAUUUUUUUUUUUUGAGAAAAAGGUAGCAUGCUACCAUCCGUUUCAUUUAUUAGGGUGAUGAACUAGACUACAAAAGUGGGACAACUCGAGCCUCCCCCCNNNNNNNNNNNNNNNNNNNNNNNNNNNNNNNNNNNNNUAUAUAUAUAUAUAUAUAUAUAUAUGGUAUACUAUCUGUAGCACGAAAGUCUCCGUAAUAUGAAGUUAUUUUCGAUGAUGCGGCUUCUAAAUCAACGAUCGGCUCUAUUAGACUUGAUCUAUAUUAUUCAAAGUAUUUAAAAACUUAAUUUUAUAAUUUUUUGACGUCAUUUAUCUAUGAAAUAAUUUAAAAAUGAACGGCUGAAAAUAAAAAUUUCAUAAAAAAUAAUGAUAAAAAAUUUUAAUUUAAAAUGAGAGGUACUCAUCUUACUCUAAAUAGUAAAAAAAAUUUCUAUAAAAAUUUUAUUAAAUUUGAUUCGUUUUACAGCGUUAAAUUUACAAACGCAUCACAUCGGCCAUUAAAAUUGUCAUUUUUGAGAUCUUUUGAUCACCAGCCAAAUAAUGUCGAAAAAUUAUGAAAUUUAGUUUUCAAAUAUUUUCAAUAGUAUAGAUCAAGUCUAACGAAGCAGCUGAUAGUUGAUUUGAAAGCUGCAUCAUCGAAAACUAUUUGAUAGUAUAAAAGUCUUCGUGCUAUCGAUAGUACACCGGCCUAGCUCUAUAUAUAUAUAUAUAUAUAUAGAGAGAGAGAGAGAGAGAGAGAGAGAGAAUUAGACUACUAUAUUAUUAAUAGUAUCAAGUACUAAGUGUUGUUAGAUUUUCAGCCCUUAAAUGAAGGGAUGUGCGGUUAAAAUAAUAGUGAUCUCCGGUUAAAACAAUAACGAUCCUCGAGAGUUGGAUGGAUAGUUGAGUAUAUAGUAUGAUCUAACGAAUGAGAAUAAUGAAAAAUAUAAAUCUAAUGACGGAAAAUUCGGUAGCACGCGCGUCCAUAUUAUUAUAGUCCCCGAACUCUCUCUCUCUCUCUCUCUCUCUAUUUAUUAACUGCCAGGAAAUUUUGUUCCAGUCAAAUCCGUGUGGACGACUAGGCAAGAAAAUAAAUAAAUAAAUAAAUAAAAAGUGAGCAUACGCGCGAACACUUUUUAACGAGAAAUAGUAAUAAGGAAGGGAGGCGAGCAGAGGUAAAGUCGCUUUCCCAGUCUCUCCGAUAAUUGCCUUUCCUCUGCUUCGCCGGAACAGCUUCUUUCAUUAUGGCUCUUGUCCUCUUCCAUCUGCAGUUAAUCGCGAUCAUAUCCGUCCUUAUUACUACGGCGUUCCCAUACCCAGCUUACUCCGAGGCUAAUGCCACGCUCACCUACUGCUCCGGCGAUCCGCCCUACAAACCCACCUCCCCUGUCCUGAGCCCUACCCAGUUCACGGACUUCCUCUACGGCGUGGCCACCGCCGCUCCUACCACCGCCGACAGGUCCUCCAGCUCCCAGCUCCCCGCCGGCGACCAGACCAUCUACGCCGUCGCCCAGUGCCGCUUCGACGCCUCCCCCUCCGACUGCUCCGCCUGCCUCAACUCCUCCCUCGACUCCAUCGGCAGCAGCUGCGCCGCCUCCGCCGUCCGCUACGACCUCUGCCUCCUCCGCUACGACGUCCACGACCUCUCCCUCUUCGACGAGAACGAGUACACCGCCGCCGUCUUCAACGCCACCCGCGCCGCCGCGAAGCCCGCCGAGUUCGAGAGGGACGUGUCGGCCCUGCUGUCCGCCGUCGUCAACGACAGCGCCGCGGCGGGGUCGCGGCUGUGGACGGGCGUCAUGACGAAUAGCUCCGCCGGCCGGAGCGUGUACGAGAUGGCGCAGUGCAUCCCGGAGCUGUCCGGCGCCGACUGCGCCAGGUGCCUGCGGGGGGCGCUCGGCCGGCUGACGGCGGACUACAACGGCAGCGCCGGCAUGCAGGUGCUGAGGCUCAGCUGCGCCGUCAGGUACGACACCUACCCCUUCUUCGACCCCUCCCUCCCGCUGCCCAGGACUCUGCUCAACGGCUCGGCCGCCAACAGCCUGUCAGCACCUCCGCCGAUCGUCGCUCCGUCUGGUCAGUCUGUGCUGCUCUUCUCCCCACCAUCCUUUGUCAGUCUGGCGAUUUUAGAUAAAAUUCUCCCGAAGUACUACUGGAUAGGUGCAAAUUCCAUAUAUAGAUGGAAAUGUUAGUUUAAAUGGGCCAGCAUCCCGCCUGCGAUGGAUGGGACGCCAAAUUGGACCAAGCCCCAUUUGAAAUAGUGUGAGGCUGGGUUGAACCGAGUUAUGUUCGAAAUGACGUGAGGCCAGUUAGACCGAGUCACAGUCGAGACUGGCGGGUACUGUGCCUGUACGCUUCCUGGCACAAAUGCACGGCAGUAACCGUAGGCAGAUUCUCCACAAUUGCAUCCCUAGUUUGUGGGUGUGCGCAAGAUCCUCAAAUUAAGGGCUUAUGUGAGAGCAUACAGCACGUAACAACUUCACGGAGAGCUGUGAUGAAUUCAGCAAUUCUUUGAGCAGCUUCAUUCUGCAAAUUCCAUUUCAAAUGAAAGGCUAACGAGCAUUAAUUAUGCUUCCGUAGGAAACAAUAAACACGCAACAAAAGUUGUUCUUAUAAUUGCCGUCACUGUGGGUGCUGGAGGGGCGAUUGUGCUUUUCGCCAUUUGCAUUUAUCUCUUCAUGGGUAAAGUUGCUAGAGAUGCACAAUGUAAGUUCCUUGAUGCAUUUCCUAGUAACAAAAAUAUGAGACAUCUUUUACUGUUAUUUGAGUUUUCUUGCGUUCUAAUGUUGGGUGCUGGGAUGGUGAAGAUAAACAGAUAAGGUCCAUAUCGUUUGAUCUGAAAACGCUUUGUACGGCCACAAAUAACUUCGCUAUUCAAAAUAAGCUCGGAAGCGGUGGAGCUGGAAUGGUCUACAAGGUAAUCUGUAAGUUUUGAGUUGCGACAGUGUCACUGAAUGCGGCCGCUAUAUAUAGCUGCUAGUUUCUAAUAUGGUAUUAGUCGUAAAUACAGGGAACGCUACCGGAUGGACAGGAAAUAGCAGUGAAGAGGUUUUCCGGAGCAUCGCAUCAAGGGAUAACAGAGUUAGGAGUUAUCGUCUUGAUUGCAAAGCUCGAGCAUCCGAAUCUUGCCAAGUUGAUCGGCUUUUGCUAUGAAAAAAUGGAAAUGCUUCUGGUUUGUGAAUAUCUGCCCAAUAAAAGUCUAGACAACUACUUGUUCGGUAAGCUGAUGCUGCAUUCUUAUCACGCUACAUAUAAUAAGGAACAGUAAUAAUCAUGCUUGCUAUGAAGAAAAUUUCAGUCAGUAUCACAAGUUAUCUACGAACUACAACCGGAAGUUAUCGCCAUCGUUAGAUCAUGGCCUGACAACCCGGAGAGCUAUUUCUAGAAUUUUUUGUUCAAAGCUUGUUUUUGUCUUGAAAACUCAUCUGCUAAUUUAGUCAGUGUUUUGUGAAUACUGUUUAGACACGUCACAAACUAUCAAUUAGGUUUCCUAUAUGACAUAAGUUAGGAUAUCUAUUACAGGACAUAGAAUUAUCAACACAAUAUUAGAAUUCUAAAAAUUUUUACCUUUCUUCUGUUCAUUUAUGGCCUUUUAAUUAGGGUUUAUUUUUGUUCAGUGCUAGUUGAUUGCCGCAUUGUUGAUAAAAAAAAAAUGUUGGGCUUAAAAUAACAAAAAAAACAAGUAUGAUAGUGAUAUCCGGCGAAAAGAAUUACACAUUUCUAUUUCCACCUAUGUUAAAAGUGAGAAAAACAUUCAACCUCUACCUCAAGCUAGUAGUACUUGUCAUCUGCAAAUUAGUAUGAGAUCUUUCAAACCUAUAGAAUUUGUUACUGAAUUUGUUUAGAUGCAACAGAUCCCAACAGGCGAGCACAACUAGACUGGCGAAUGCGCUACAUGAUCAUCAGAGGAGUCUGUCAGGGUCUUCUUUACCUUCAUGAAGAUUCACAGCUGACGAUCAUCCAUCGAGAUCUAAAAGCAAGUAAUAUCUUGCUAGAUAAGGACAUGAAUCCUAAAAUUGCAGAUUUUGGUCUCGCAAAGCUUUUGGGUAGCGAUAAAACCCAUGAAAUCACUAGAAAAAAUGCUGGUACAUUGUAAGUAGAAUCGUCAUUUCCUAAAUUAUUUUGUGACAAGAAGCUCUUUCUACGGCACGGUGUAAUCUCACAUUUCUUUAUUGCCUCGCGGCAGAGGAUAUAUGGCACCUGAAUAUUACAAUAAGGGGCAAUUUUCAAAGCAAUCGGACGUGUAUAGCUAUGGUAUAUUGGUCUUAGAGAUUGUAACUGGAGAAAGAAACAGUGAAUUUGAAGGAUCAAGCGACGCUCUGUAUCUUUCAACCUAUGUAAGUAUUCAUCUAACUAAGGAUUGAACAUCUAUAUAUGAUUUGUGAUGCGGACCUCUUUAUUGCACUGGGCAACAUAUGCUCCUUGAUUGCUAAGCCAUUUUGUUUGAUAGGUAUGGAAACACUGGAGAAAUGGGAAGGGACUAGAUGUCGUCGAUAAAAGUCUAGGUAAUCUGUAUGAACAAGACGAAGCAUUAAAAUGCAUCCAGAUUGGGCUACUUUGUGCACAACAUGACCGCGCAAAGCGACCCAGCAUGAGUCAAGUCUCAUCCAUGCUUGAUGGUCCCAAUGAAAUAUCGGAACAACCAUGCGAGCCUGGGUACGUGCCAGUGGUUGACAACACUACAGUUAUUAGCUCACCCGAACAAGAACAAGCGCCAUUCAAUACAUACAGGGCCAUUCAAGAACGAGAAACCGUGUAGGUUACCAAGGUGUUAGUUCCUAUAUAAGUUUUUUCUAAUGGUAAAGUGCUUCAUUUCUCAUUUCAAAUAAUCAAAUCAGUUCAUUUUUUCUAUGUCCUUGUUAAACUGAUAAUUGUGACAAUACAAUUCAUUUUCAGAGGUUGAUGGGCCUAACCUACAAAUAUGUGGAUGUUGAGGAAGAAACAAUUUCAAUUUUUAUUCAAGUGUAUGAUUUUAAACAUUAUUGUUAGUUCGAGUGGCUUGAAUUUGGCCAUUGUUUGUAUAAUUACGCUGUGAGCUCGCUGGACGUGUAUACUGUUAUCUUUUGCAUUGCAAUGUUGAUACUAAGAUACUACAAGUAGUAUUUCUCUUUUAUUUUUCUUUAAAAUGGCAAGGAAGCUAAAUCUGCAGGAGAAAACUGAACUAUUCUGGAAAUUUCUAGAGUCUCCUUAUUAUAUAUUUUACCCCAAAAGAAAGAGUAAUGCAUAAUGCAAAUAGUAACACAACUUACAAAAUUUUCUUUUUUUUUUCUCAUUUAAUACAAUAUUUCCAUGCACAAUUUGCCCACUUGUCACAUGUUUAAUUAGGCAUCGAAGAAUGGGUACACUUCAUAUCUUAAAUUACAACUUGAACCCAACACUCUCCCUCCUCUCUUCCCCUUGCAACAGCUAGAUAGUUGACUAAUGGCUUUUUCCAAACACGCUUUACAAUCGCCCCCAGAUAAAUCCUUACUACAUUGCACUAACCCAUAUAAUUCUCCCUUAUUAGUAUUAAUAUUAUUAUUAUUAACCUUAUGAUUGUUAAUCACUAGCUCACCAGCUGCGUACAGUAGAGGUGUAAGAUAAGCCCUCUUGGUCAACCCCUUCAUGAGCCUCACCACCUUGGACUCGAACCUUGACGGGUCGGCCGACGCGUUCGACCGAUCCGAUAAGAGCACGGAGUGUGCCCGAUCCACUUCCCCGAAGAAGUCGCUGUCGGAGUAGCGCACCAUGCACCGGUCCAACCAAACAGUGGCUCGCUUUCUGCGGGGACACCGUCGUAAGGUAUGGGCGUUUGCGGUGCGAAUGCAAGCGCGGCACAACGCCCGGGUGACGUCCCCACGGCACAGGGCGAGCCCAAACGCACGACUGGGGCCCGACCCGACCGAACCGAUCUCGAACCCGACGGCGGGGGCUUUGGCGGAUAGAAGAUACAUGAGCUGGUGCAGGUUUCGGGUGAACGCGUCGCCGGGACGCAAAGUGUUCGAGCUCGAGCAUCGGAUGGCGAGGGGGGGAUCGGAGGCGACGGUGGCGUAAAGAAGAAGAGAAAACGAAAGUAAGGAAAGUAGAAAUGAGAUUCUGGAGCUCAUUUUGUGUGAAGAGAAAAUGGGAAAGAGGAGAUGUUAUAUAGUGUAGAAGGUAAGCAGUUUUUUUUUUAUUUUGUGAAGGUUUCAAGGAGAAGAAGAGGUCGUAUCUGAGGAAUAAGCUGGAGAACUCAAAAAAGGUGCAUGGAAUUAAAUGGUGGGAGGAUGCUUCGUAGGGGCGUUGACUUUGAACCGUUAUGUGUUGUUUUUUCGUGAGUUGUUAGAGUUAUAGAACGAGGAGAAGAGAUGAUCAUGUUAUACAAGUCAAAUGUGACAUACUACUACUUGGUAGUUAAUUAAUUUAUGCUGAAGUAGUUUAAAGGGAGGUGUCAGCAGUGAUUAAUGUAAUUUAGUAGUAUUUAGAUUGUUGAUAAUUGGGGUGUGAUCAUUGAAGUAGAGUUUUGGUCUCCUUUUGAGGGAGGUGGCUACUGGAGUAGCAGCAGUAGUGGAAAGAGAGGAAUCAUGAAGAAGAGAAUGUUGUUUUGUUUUUUAGAGAGAUAGGUAGCACGCUAUCCGCUUUGUUUAUUUCAUUUAGAAAUAAACUUAGCUGAAAAUGUGAAUCAACUAGGAUUUGAACAUGGAAUUUCGAAUACCAACCACCAAGCCCUUUGCCACUUGCUCUAGAGACAGUCGGUAGAAGAAAAUGUUGUUAAUUUGGGUCAGGAGAGAUCAUACGUCGCUAUGUAAAAUUUGGAACUCGCGUCCCUGAUUUCAGAUCCAUUUCAAGUCUCAAAUACUUCAAACUAAACAUGCCCUGAAAAUGAACAAAAAGUUCAAGGCUCUAGCUUCUCCAGUUUAUAUAUCCCUAAGGUUAUGAGAGAGAGAAAGAGAGAGGGAAACAAAAAGUUCCUGGUGGAGCCUUUUUUUUUUAUUUUAUAGAAUUUAUAAAAUCAACUAUGGAUAUCUCAUUUGAAUUCAAUCUAAACAUUGAGCCUAAUUAUAGGCAUCAUCACGUGCUUUGAUUUUUUACAACAAAUAAAUGAUAAUUUAUUUUUCCAUUAUCCGUUCAUUUCAAGAUAAUAAUACUAGUAUCUCAGCAUUUCUCUUUUGUAAGUAUACGUGUCAUUCACAGAUUAGAAAAAAAAAAAAUUUAAAUAAAAGCUCGCAAAUCUUGCGGAAUUUGAACGACGUAGCCAAAAAAAUCGAGAAAAAGCAGUUCUAUAGGAGUAAAUCUCGGAGCAACAACUUGAGAAACACCAAUUUAAUUUUGGCAAACUUUAGUUAAAUUAUGAUUAAUUUGUUCAAAUCAUUAAACUCUAAAUUCUAUUUGGAUUGAGAUUAAAAAGACUAGGUUAAGAACUAAAGAUAUAGUUCGUAAUGACACAGCUGAGUAUAAGUCCAAACACAAAUUUUGUUCUAUUCAAUAUGAACUUACCAGGUGUAGCCAAUGAUUACUAAAUAUUACAAAAACGAAUCAAAUUAAAUGAAUCAAAACAAAACAUUUUCAAAAGGCAAAAUAAUCCCUUCAAAGUGAUCCAACAAAUUUUGUUUGAAAUAACUCCCACUGAACAAAUCCAAAAAAAUCUCAUUUUGUAACAAACCCCGCUCCCUUUUCUCUCAUCCAUAUUACAUUAUAUAUAUACACACACACACACAUUAAUUAAGGGUUUUACUCUAUUGCUCCAAUUUCUUUUGUGUCUAUUGUUAACACUGAUGAACCCUACGAUGCAGGAGAACACCCCCCACACCAUGGAGGCCUCCAAUUUGUAUCCCCCCGUGAGGUAACUUUUACUUUUGUUUCAUGCACUUUCAUUGUUUAUCAUAUGAUUAUAUGAUUCAUAUUGCGCGUCGAUAAAUCGCAAUGCUUAUCAUGUUUACUCUUUACGAUAAGACGCAGCUCCAGAUUUCGUUCAACUUACGUAAGAGUUCUACGUUCCACUUCAAGAUGAUACAGAAUAACUGCUAGAGUAAUCAUGCUAUAUUACUAUUAUGUUUGUUAUGUUGAUGUUAAUUAGAUGACGACGAAAAAGCGCACCCACCUGAAUCACGAUCUGCAUCCUACGGUGAGUAUGCUGGGUUGCAUAAAACUAUUGAAGAUGGUUUUUCCUAAAAUACAUGCAAUCAAAUAUGCGGAAAACUACUUUUCAGGCUAAAAACUACUUUUGAGUUCUUCUACAUGCAACCAAACACUGCCCCAUUCAUUAUAGAAAGGCCAGUUGGGUCGAUCUCUGCUUACAUUACAAAGUUUCUUACUGUGACAAAUCCUACAUAAAUGUCUAAUUUAUCUUUUUAACUUUACCUUUCUCGCUUCUCCAGCUACCCCCCUAUCAACUUUCCUCACUAUACCAGCUAUCCGUCUACCCUCUAUACGUAUUCUGGACUCACCAUGGGCGACACAGCAUGCUACUAUUACAACAGAGAAUGGGACAAAUGCAGCUACUACUACCCCUAUAUCUCAUAUCUGCGUCCAACGCCUGAAAACAAAGCAGCAUCGGCGCCUACUUCUAUUCCCAAAAAGGAGAAAGACACGACCACCCACUCCAUCACAGCACAUCUUGACGACCUCGUCUUGUCUCCUCGGCUAGCAGACUCGUGUAACACGUCAUGGCAGUAUCCAUCACACUCUGCUCCACGAUCGUUGUUCCCCUAUGAGGAAGUCACGGAAAAUGACAUCUCGGAGAAACAGAAGAGCAAUGACAUAGAUGAGAACUUAUCGCAACGAAAUCUAAUGGAAGAGCUGUGGGCGUUACAGCUAAACGGGUUCCUCAACAAGGAAAUAGAUUGCUUUUCUUACCAAAGUCCGACCGAACCCCAUGAUAGAUAUGGAGGAAAGGCGAAGGAGGAGUACCCGACUUUCUUCCGCCAGAUUCCACAGAAACCGCACUACCAAGGGCUAAUACAAGAGGGAGUGCCCGAGGCCAUUAAGGAGAUAGUCUAUUCAUCCUUAUGGUUUGGUCUUGUCGAGCUGAUGAGAAAGGCAUUGGAGACUACUUGCUUCACGAGCGAGAAAGAUAUUGACGAGUUGAUGGGCCAGGCGCGCGGCCUCGAGAACUUGGGCUUCGAUGUGAGGCACGUGAUCGCACGGCUGAAGCAGCCCGCGAUCUACCGGGCAGAGGCGGAUCAUGCAAAGAAGGAACUCGAAGAGCUGAAGAAGAGGAAGUCGGAAGUAGAGGACAGAGUGAAGGAGAUCAAAAGGAAGGAAGAUGAACUAAGAGAGCUCAGGAAGGCGAUGGGCCUUGUCAAGCACAGCGCGCCAAUUGCUUAUCCGCGGGAGUGGAUUCCCAAUCCAGAUGAGGAUGCGUUGCAGAUGCUGAACUUGGAGGUACACAACGCUGAGUAUUUAGCUCAAGAGAAAGAGUACAAAGUAAGAUCGUUCGGUUUAAGGUUAUAAGAUCCGCAAUUGAUGGUGAUGUGCCGGAUGAAUCAAGAUGCAGAUUGUGUCAAGCGAUUAUUUUCUUAUUAUUUUCCUUCUCUUUUCUUAGUAUUGUUUACUUUUCUAGCUUCUAAAUAAUUGUUCAAACUGCCCUUUGCAUUUUAAUUUAGUUUUCUAAGUACAUAAACCUUCUGUUAUUCGGUGAUUCUUUAGUUGCAACUUUAAUCCCUGGAAAACUUCUGCAAAGUGUGAGUAAAUUAGAUUUUAUCAUGUUGAAGUACAUAAGAGAUGAAAAGUUGUAGUUUUUUGAGGUAAAUCUCCUAACAAGGAACAACACUUCUCAUUAUUUUGAUAACUAAGCAAGGUCAACAAUUAAUGACUCAGAGACAUUAAAUCUUAAAGAGAAAUAAAAUCAAACACUUUGUGUGCGGCGGAAAACUUACUGCUUCGGCUUCUUUCCGGUGACGGCAUUGGAAGCUAAGUCUCUGAGGAACUUCACCGACUUCGUCACGGGCGAAUUCGCCGCCAUGAGGUUAUAGAGAACGCUCUCAACCUCGCCGAUCGACGGCCGCUUCUUAAACCUUGAAACCACCCUCAUCUCCCCCUUCUUCUUCUGCUCCCCUUCCUCCUCCACCAUCACCACCCAACCUUCCCCACUCAACACCCCAUCCUUCACAAACCUCAAAACCACGCCUUUCCUCUUGCUCAGGAUCCCCCUCACCUCCAAGCCCAUGAAGGAAUACACCACAUCAAAGGACCCAACGAAGCUCCCCAGUCCCCCACCAAAGUCCUUCUCCUCCUCAAAAGCCCAUUUUGGGUUGAACAAAAUCGCGGGUUUUGGGUACAAAGCAUUGGUGAUGGCCCUAAUCUCCUCCAACUGGGUUCGCUCCGGCGCCGAGAACACAACGAAAUCCGCGGGGCCGAGUUGCUCCGGGAUAACAGAGGCCACGUCCGAGUUGACAACGGAGCUGGGCAUUGCGUCGAACACCUGGUGGGCGCAUUGUAGAAGAGCAGGGGAGGGCCAGAGGAUGAGGAUGCAUGGUGGUUUUGAGCCCUUUUUGAUGAUGAGCACGUCGGAGAAGAGCUCGGCGGCGAGCUGGGCGAGAGAGGAUGGGGAGUCGUCGAGGAGCGGGAUCUCGACGCGGAACCUGGGCUGCUUCUGCUUCUUGAGCUUGCGCGUGGGGAGGGAGGGGAGGGGGUUGUUGAGGGGCUUUUGGAGGGUGGUGGAGAGGGAGGUUCUGGCUUGGGAAAUGGCUUCUUCUCGCGAGGAUGGGGGAGAGGGAGAGGAGAGAGCGCAGGAGACGAAGAAGUAGGUUUGAGUAGGAGGUAAAGAAGAAGAAGAAGAAGAAGGGGUUUUAAUGGUGCGAGGGGAGUUGAGGAGAUUGAAGGCCAACAUUUUCCUUUUAUUUAGUUCUGCGGUAGUGGCUUUUUUUUUUUAUUUAGUUUAUUCUUUUUGGUUGCUAUGAGCGCUCCAUGAGCAAUUUGGAUAAGUGUAGAGAUGAAAAUGGACCCCACAAAAUUGCUAGCAAAUUUCGAGCUUAAGAGAAGGGGCUGAAAUCCUAACGAAUUAAGGGUCUGAUCAGAGAAAACUUUUUUAUCAGAUGCCAUCUUAUUCAGAUCCAUUUUAUAUUGCCAUAUCAAUAUCGAUGUUACUUAGUUUAAGUUACCAGAGAUUCUAGUGAUAUUUGGUAGGUGUUAGUGAUAUUUGAUGAAUAAGAAGUUGAGUCGCCCAGACGCUAAAAUGAGUUUUGUGAUCUUUAGCAGCAAAAGCUAAGAUCUAGGAAGCACUAUUAUCUGCUGCAAGAAGAAGGAAGUCAUUUGAAAAGUUUAAGAUUUGCAAUUACAUUUUUAAACGGCUUUAUUGAAAUCAGCACCACUGUAUUGGACAUAGAUAAUAAGGAUUAAGAGGUGAUUAUUUAUCUAUAAAUACCCGUUACAUGAACAAACUAGAAAGUAAUACGGAAGCGAGGAGCAUGGGCAGCGGCGGUGGUGGCUGUGGCCGAGACGAUCGCACAUGGUGCAGUACCCUGCCAAGGUGAAUUCGUCACCCGGUGCCACCGCCAACGGGCCGAACUCGAAGACUGUGGGAUCAGAUUCUCGCUGGCGCGCCUCCACUGCCCCAUUCAUCGCCACCGGCACCUCCUCAGCCGCCGAUGCCGAGCUCACCGGCUUCGCGGCAGCAGCGGAGGUGCGAGCGUCGCCUUUGACCUUCCACCGAGAGAGUAAUCCCAUGCUAUAUUGUGCUUCUGUUGAGGCGAUUAUGCGUCUGUUGGAUUGGAUUACGAGUGACUUCCCUUUGUACAUAUUAGCGCCCGCAACGUGAUUGUUUAUACGGUAAAAUGUGAUUGAUGGAUUAAUCGUGUUAUAGUAAACCCCGUACAUGAGUUAAUGAUAUGAGUACGACACUGUUGUGCAAUUAGAGAGUUUGUACCACUCAUAAGCUUUGUCGUUUGGUUUCUCAGAUUUGACAUCUCCUACCAUACUAGCCACAGGGAAAAAUUAAAAUAAAAAUAAAAAAAUAAAAAAUAAUAAUAAUCCCAGUGAUCUAAAGUUAUUCACUGGACAAAUCUACGUCUGGCAUACACUGAAUUUAUUCAUAAAGAUAUUACAAGACAAUCCAGACAACUUAAAUUCAAAGUUAUAAAAAUGACACAGCUUAAGCUUGGAGAGAGAAAUUCAGAGUUCUUUUUUCCUCAACAUGAGGAAAUUAGUUCGAGAGAAAUUUAGCAUGAGAAAUGGAUUGAACAAUGAUGAUCUUAAGCCACUGGAGGGCAGGACUCGGCGUCCUGCGAGGUGUCGACAUCUGCAGGGGGCAUGAACUGCCACAUAGGAUAUCCCGGGUAGCCGAUGAGAGGCAUCACCAGCUUGUGACCUGCCGAUUGACCCGGGGCAGCAAAUGCGGCCGGCAUGACAGGAGGGUGCGGCAUGUAGCUCGGACGAGAGUUUAUGAUCUUUAUUUGCUGCUCCAGGCUCUCUUUCUCAGCCUUCAGCCUCUGCUUCUCGUCGCGAAGCUCAUUCUUCUCGGCCUGUGAGAAAGUUGGAAUCGGCGUGCAGUGUUAAAAAGAACAAUCAUAGCUAAUCGAUACACUGGCAGGUAAGAUAAGAACUUUAAAAAAUUGCAGCAAGGAAUUGACAUGGAGGGAAACAUGAGUGAAAACCUGAAGUUGACUGCUUUGGAAAUCAAAUAAAUGAAUCACCCAAACUCAAUAUAGCAAUUGCAUACCAUGUGAAGAAAUAUACAACCACAGAAAACAGAGUAUGGCAAAUGUUAAACUUCAAUGCAUGGCAGUCAAGGAUCAAAACAAGAAGUUCAAUCUAAUCUUUCCUAAGAAAAUGACACUUUAGAAAAUAAAUGACACAAGCAUUAAAGAUAAACCUUUAGCUCUUUGAUCUUUUCUUGGAGACUCUCAUUUGACUCUUUCAGCUUUCGUGCUUCACUACGUAACUCGGUCACCAUACGGACUGCAUCACUUAAAAUAGCUGCUUUAUCCAUUUUUGGUGGCUUACCUGGGUCCAAAAUGGAGCCCAACUCCAAGAACCUUAAAGUGAAAGUUAACCCAAAAAAAAAAAUGUAAAAAGAAAAAAGAGCCAGCACAACAUUGGUCAGCAAAAGAGAUGUAAAAGUGGAGCACAUACUUAUCGUUCAGCUUAUCCCUUCUCAUUUUCUCUCUACAAGCUUUGGAACUUGGCUGACAGCUUUCAGACCUAACACUGCAACAAAGAUACAAAUUAGUAACAGACAAAAAAAAAGUCAGCUUAAAAUCAUAUCAAUUUUUAAAACCAAACCGUUUAUUGGAGCCUCGUUCUUUGACACAUUCAGAGUCCAAAAAGGAGCCACUUAUUUCAACCCUGAAAAGAAUAAGAACAUGCUUCAAUAAUCUGGUAAUUCCAAUUAACUAAUACAAAAGAGCAACGAUCAAAAAACUAAAGUGUAAUAUAAGAAUCAGCAUAAAGGGUAUCCCUUUGAUUUCCAAAUAGGGUUGAACAAGACUACAAGUCCAUCUUAACCAUAUAUGUAUAUCAUUCCUAUACACAUAUAGGUCAGCUAAGUAAAUGUCAUAAAAUGUGAUAAAACCUAUUAUAGCAUGCACGACUACAAGUCCAUCUUAUCCAUAUAUGUGUAUCAUUCCUAUCCUAUUUCUACAUUUAUAAACAAUCAUAUAUAAAUUCUAAAUACACAGAAGAGGGAACUCAUCAUUUCGCCACAUGUUGCAAUUUCCACCCUCCUCUAUCCUCCUCUCUUAGUUGCCUACUCCUCUCUUCUUAUUCCCUCUCUGGCCGGCUGCAACUGUCAAAACAUCGCCCGUUUAGGAGGACCAGGACUAGAUGUAAUCGGUCAGAUUGAAUCCAUUAUCAAACUAGUCUGGUAUGUAUUUUUCUCCAGUUGAGUAUAGUUUAGUUGAUUCAUUAAUUCGGGUCUGAAUCUGCCCUAUGUGAGCCAAUAGAGUCUUGAAUUUGCAAUGAGUGGAUUUAGGAGCAUAGGAUCAUUAUAGUAAAGCUAGUAAACCUUAAUUGAUCUAUGUAAUUUAGCUUAGUUAGAUCUAAGUCAGCUUUCCUAACUUUGAGAAAUUGUGGACGAAGUUUCACCCAUAAUUAUGAAAAUUUAUUUAUAAAAUCAAAUGGAAUCCCAUAUGCCUACAAAUAAAUGGCAUUCAAUUGGAGUACUUAGACGAAAUUGUACUGGCUAACUCACUCUUUGUAAGCGUUCUUCUGGACUAAAAAGAGAGCAAAUAAAGACGAGUAUAUAUAAUUGAUGGGGAAUACCAAAACUGAUAUAAGUUCCAAACACUAUAAAACCAUUACACAUGCAGAAUCAAGCGGCAAAAAUAAUCUCAACAUCACUUUUUUUCUCUGUUAUAAUCAACAAAAGUGUUAAGGUAAAGCAUAAAAGUAGAAUCUUCAGAACCAAACAUCUUGUAACAUAUGAUUACUUAAGACUCUAAUAAUACACAAUUAUGAGAUUCUUCCAUUAUCUAUGCACCUCCAAAGCAUCCUCAAAUCUCCAAUACAAUUUUCCCCUAUAUUACUCAAGAUUAUUCUAUGAAGUACCUUAACCAAUUGGAGAAGUUGCAACAUCCAGUAACUUACUAAAUACAAAUCCUAAUUUGUAACACAAAUAAAAGCAAGCAAUAGACGAAACCUAACACAAAUCAACGUAUACAUGCAAUCCGGAAUAGCAUGAGCAAUAAUCUACAGGAAAUUACUGAUGAGGAGCAGCGAAACCCUAGCCCUAAUCGACGACAUCAAUCAAAGCGAUUCAGAAAGGGAUCUCGGAUCCGAUCGUACCCGCCAUUGGAGGAUCCGUUGAUUCCCUGCGAUCCCCAGUAGAAUCCGCUCCCCGACGCCGGGAAAUCGUCGCCAGCGACGGCCACGUCGUCUAGGAGGGGGCAAUCGAAGACCCAAUUAGCGUUCUCGGAGGAACCCAUCCCCGGUGCCUCGCCGGAGCCCUAUAUCCCCUGCCGGUGAUGUCCGGCCAAUCUCCGGUGAUCGUCGGAGAACGAGGGUUGCGCUCUUAUCGGGUAAAGGGAGAGAGGAGAGGAGAGUCGGGGAUCGAACUCGUAAUGGGUUGGUGGAGGUAAAAGCGUGAAAAAUAAUAAAAAUAAUAAUAAUAAUAAUAAAAUAAGGUGCAAUGAGUUGGGCCUAUGGAAGCCCAUUAAAGGCCCAUAUUAGGGCCCAUAUUUAGGGCCCAUCCAUAGGCUACUGAAUUUCAACAGUUUUUUUGAAAAAAAAAAUCCUAAAUAGAAGAACUAUGCAAUUUUAAAGAGUAUUCACAAUAUUUUUUACAAUGGAAUGUUAAAAUUACAGUAAUAUAGUACGUACUUAGUUUAUUAUAUUUAUGUUUUUCCUUUUUUUGUUUUUUCUAUAUUAAUUAACAUAGUUAAUAUUCAUGCAUCUCUAGAGCAAGUGGCAAAGGGCUCGGUGAUUGGUAUCCGAGACUCAAGUUCAAAUCCUAGUUGAUUCACAUUUUCAGCUAAAUUUAUUUCUAAUAAAAUAAACGAAGCAGGUAGCGUACUACCUAUCUCUCAAAAAAAUAAUCUGGCGAAGCAUCUACCAUCUUUCUUUUUAUUUUUCUGAAAAAAAAGGGAAAUGUUAUGAGUGUUUGGUAAAAAUGCUGGUGUUAAUGUGGGAGUGAGUUGUGUAUAUGCUUCUUUUUUUUUCCCCAUGAAAUCUCCUUUUGCUAUGUGAAUUUAGAAUGUUGGUAUAGUUAAACGUUGGAACACUGGAUUGGGUUGCAUAUGAGAGUUGACAAUGAGAAAAGGACAACAUGGAAAGCAUAUUUUGCAUCACUAGAAAUUGGCCUGUUUUACUUUACUACUAAUGCAUCAUCAUCACACCUCAAUUAAAUGGAUAAAGAGAAAAUACUCUUUUUUCUGAAGAUAAAAAGAAAGAAGGAAAAAAGACACGCUCCCACCGGUGAAGAGAAGCAAUGAAGAAAGCACUUUUCAAAAGCAUAUACCAAAGUAUUAGAAAAACAAAUUCAGCUACUUUUAGCCGAAAAACAAAUGAUAGCCAAGCUAUUAGUAUUCCUGAUAAGGCAUCUAGGCGAGGUGUGGGCGAGGUCACUGUUUGAGUUUUCAGCGGAGCAGGAGGGUUAAAGAGCCAAAUACGAGCGAGCUGAGUAUAGCUCGUGUUCGGCUCGUUUAAUAUGAGCUCGUUUCAUAAACGAGCCGAACACAAGCUGACUUGUUAAAAUAUCGAGCCGAAAAAUACAACUCGCAUUCGGCAUGUUUCAUAAACAAGCUGAACCGGAACAUUGGAGACCACAAGCCAGGCCAAACUGAGAUUAUUCUUUGGUACAUAAAAACGAUGGAUACAUUAUUUUAAUAAGUGUUCUGCUGGCUCCUCUUUAAGAAGAGGCUUUUAAAGACAGAUAAUCUAUUAAAGAGAGGUUGGAUCAGCAACACGCCCUGUGUAUUGUGUGGGACGGCUAAGAAAACUAUUGAUCACCUAUUCCUUAUAUGCGUUUUUUCUAUAUUUCUAAUGAUGAUUACAUUGGAGAGCCUCCUCUGAAGAUUUGGGUGAUGACUAUCGUUAAAUGGAUAUAGCUAGGAAUGGAUUGCAUCCUAUGAGCACUAAGCUACCCGGCCUAGUACCCUGCUGAUGGGUAUUGUGGGAUGUCAGGAAUGGUGCAAAUUUUAAAAAUACCCAGUCGGACUCUUUCCUAGCAGUCUAUAAAAUUAAAUAGUCGACGGGACUUUGGGAGCAUUUACUCUCCGCAAAUUGGCACAACUGUAAUCAGGAGCUUCUUUUUUUUUUUUUCACCCUCUCCGAGGCCUAUGUAGGCUCACCGGCUCAUCCCUAUCGUUUAGUUUAUCUUUCUAAUAAAUAAAGCGGAUAAUGUGCUGUCCAUUCCCGCAAAAAAAUAAAAAAAAAUGCCAUUAAAAAAAAAACAAAUCUUUAACACUUCCAUGAUCCAAUAAAAUAUAUUAAAAAGGUUCUUUCAUUAUCGAUCUUAAAAUUACCAAAUUAAUCACGAUAUAUAGCCUUAUUUCAUAAUUGAGAUGAUUAUUAUUAUUAUUAUUAUUAUUAUUACCUCCGAAAAAGAGCUAGUACGUAUGGUGUUAAUGCUUGGUCAAACUACAUUAAUCGGGAGUCUUAGAUCACUCUUUUCAAAAAACAUUUUUUUAAAAAAAAAACUCUGCUGAGCUACUGUACCAAAUUGCUAAGACUAAAUUACUAAGUAAUAAUAAUAAUAAUAAUAAUAAUAAUAAUAAUAAAAAACCGCUAAUUCAUGGAAAUCAUCAUUGCUAAGACUAAUUAAAGCUGUACAUCAUUCAUAAUUUCACUCCGACGCUCCCAAAUCACAAUUACUCCUGAAGAUCAAACCCUAACUAAAAACCCCCACCCAAAAAAGACCAAAAGAAAGGGGGAAAAAAAAAAAAAACCCUGAAAUCGCAAAAAUUACACUAACCAAGCGAAAUUUUCGAAAGGGCGGGGCCCUGCGCCGCGAGCGGCGGCGGAGGAGGCGGCGGCGGCGCGGCGGCGGCGGUGGCGGUGGCCGGCUCCGGCGAGAUGGGGCGGCACCCGGCGGGGUCGGCGCCGCAAUCUUGGACCCUCCUUUUGGCCCCGCGGCGGAGAAGCCCGAAGCCCACGACGAGACCCACCACCACCAACAGGAUCACCACGAAGAAGAAGAUCUUCGUCGCCUUCCCCACGUAGCACAUUGCUGUAGAGAGAGAGAGAGAGAGAGAGAGAGAGAGAGAGAGGGGGAGAGAGAGAGAGAGAGAGAGGGGAGGAGUGUAAUCAUAAUGGGUGUUUUGGAGAGGGGAAGGUGGAUUCUUUUUACCGAAAUACCCUCCAGCGUGAAGGGUUUUUGUGGGGAAGGAGAGGGGUAAAAUUGGUAUUUUGGAUGGGAAGGGGGUGAUUCGCUUUCGAGCCUUCACAGUAGCAAAUGUCUCCAAUUAGCUUAACUUAUUAAUGGCUUUUUAUUUUUUUAAUAGAGUCAAAGAGUUAGAGUUAACUUGUAACUUAAUUUGACUUAAAUAAAUGCCCAGAUAUUAAGUUAAAUUUUUUUACAGUUUAAUGUGUAGUAAUUAUUUUACUAAUAUGUUGAUUAAAUUGCUCAUUUAAAAUACAAAACCCAUCUUCCUUCUUCAACUUUGAUAAUAAUCUGGCAAUUGAUAGAUUUCGUCUUUCAAAAUAACGUUGCAAGGCUAUUCGCUUUAUUAAUCUUAUAAAAAAAAAAAAUUCAAACACACAGAAAUUUAAAAAUAUUAUAUACAAAACGUUCAUUUGUCCAAAACCAUCGGCGAUUAAAAUAACUUACUCAUCAUUUUUAGUAUACUUCAUUUACAAUUCGAUCAUAUUUGUCCAGUGAAUAGCUAACUAAACAUUCCUUCUAUAACAAAUGUGUAGAGCUACUAUACUUUCAAAAGUAUAAAGAAGUAAGUGUUUUCUGCUUUUUAACUUUUGGAUUAAGAACUGUACGAUUAGGAUAAUAAUAAUCCCUCUAGAAUUGAAUAAUCUCCCUAGAAAAAUAAUAUUAAUCUAAGAAUUAUAAAUAAUCAAAGAGGUUGAUCCAAAAAAUAAGAACUUAAAAACAUAGACUCCUUUAUACUUUCGAUUGAAUCAUAGUCAUAUUCAUAACAAGUUUAUCAUAAGUUAGCUAUACAAACCAAAAUUACCAAAACACCCUUUGCCCCCUCAGCAUGUGGAUCAGAGGAUUUCAUUUGAAUGGCCAGUGGAUCUUACCAGUCCCAAACUCUUCUUCUGAGUGGAUAAACCACAAAAACAGAAGCAUUGUAUGCAUAACAAACUCACACAUGCUUCAUACUUUUGCUAGUAGUGCUUCUCCCACAAACCCUAUGGCCACUUCUCUCUCUACCAUCAAUGGAUCAGCUUCCCAAUUCUCCCCAGCCAAACUAAAACAAAUCAAAAACCACAAACCAAAAUAUCAAAGCCUACAAUCUUACAUGCUGGCACAAGCCCAAGAAUCCCACUCCCUCCCAUCCAAAAGCACUAUAACUGCACACACCGUCUCAAGAAGAGCUUCUUUAAGCUUCUCCAUGGCCCUCCUACUUCACCAACUACACAUCGAACCCUCGCGAGCCGACGAGGGGAAUGGAUUAUGGCUCACUGGCCCGUUGCCUGUCCCCACAGUCACUAACAGUAAGCUCAGUUUGCUCUCAUUCUCAAGCUCACUAUCAUAGUUUCUUCUUCAUUAUAAUAAAGUGUUUGAUCCAUUGUAGAGAUCGCAAAUGAAGAAACAGGCACGCGAUCAUUUCUUAGGAACGGGAUUUACAUAGCGAAUAUAGGACCCCAAGGAAGUGCUUUUAGGCUGAAGCACUACUCAUUUGAUCUACUAGCUUUAGGAGAUAUGCUGGGCCAAGAAACAAUGAGCUAUUUUAGGAAGUACCUGUGUAUGAAGUCAACUGUCAUGUACUACGAUUUCGAUAAGGUCAUCUCCGCAGCUUCUGAUGAGCAGAAGCAGCCGCUUACAGACCUUGCCAACCGAUUGUUCAACAAUGUUGAGAAGGUGAGCUACUCCAUGUUUUCGCUCUGCUUAUCUGUUCAUAAUUCAGAAGACGCAUUAGUAGGGAAACAUUCCAAUUAAUAGCGUUGCGAAUUCCCAGGGCAAAUUAGACAAAUUCCCCAGAUCAUCAGUUUACAUUUUAUUGAAUUAUUCUUAGUUAACAGCUGAAAUUUCAUUUACUGAAGAACCAAAGUAAGCUGUCGUCCCAAACUUCAUUCGUGAUAUAUUAUAGAGCAGAAUCUUCAUACAUUGAUCGAAGUUUCCUGCAGGCAUUCUAACAAAGUGAAUUUUGAUCAUUGAACAGAUUGAAGAGGCUGUGAAGACGCAGAACAACACUAUGAUGCAGUCUUGUUAUGCAGAUACUGUACCGAUUCUCCAGGAAGUUAUGGCACGAAUGGCAUAAAGAUUGUAAACUGGUGACAUAUGCUCCCUUGGAAGAAAUCCUGAAAUUCAUUUCUCAGAAAUAGAACAAUAAGAUUACAAGAUAUCCUUUUCUCACAUAGUAUGGCAAAAAGAGCAUUAAUUUGUAAAGGUUUGGGAUUGGCAUUCAAAGUGCUAACUUGAGAGCACUAUUGAGAUAUGUUUGUAACAUAGAAUGACUAGAUAAAAAUCCCUCUCUAGAGUGGCUGCCAAAGGUAUUUUAACAAAACAAUGAUAAGACUACAACAUUGGCCACAAACAAUAUGAAGAUUGCUCUAAUCAACUCAUCAACUGUUUCACAUAUUGAGCACAACUUACGUGAAUAGUGCAAAAUUCUUUAGUACAGGAACAUGAGAAACAACAAGAAUUAGUAGUAAUCUUCAUAAAAGCACAUUCAAAUCAAACUAUCUCAAAGUCGCAACUUAAGAUACUAUCACAAGAAUUCUCAUGAUACACUUUCAUAAGACAAUCAGAUAGGUGACUAUAACUGUUAAUACAAAUGUAGCUACAAUCAUGAUCAGCUAAAAAAACCCCGAAAGAAACAACUUCACCGAAGGUUCUCUUUGAUACAAAUUUCAACACACUAAUGUCCUUUUUCUUUCGGCAGCAAUGAUAAUUGCAUUGCCUUGAGAUACAAAUACAACCCACACAUUUGAAGGGCGAGUUUAGUCACAAAAAUAUAUCUUGAAAUUCUAUUGACCGAGGGAAAAACCAGGGAAAGAUAUGAUUUUAACCAUAGCUUAAUCGGGAAUCUAAAGUCCGCAUCUGAGUCUGACGCCUAGGGACGCCGAUCUCACAAGCAUUUACCCUUGCGGCAAACCUAAGCGAACAGAUUGAUUCCCCUGUUGAGGAUGCCUCGGGAGAGAUAUUCACAAACAUUAAGGUUUUCGAGUCACCUCCAAGGCAUGGCUGCAGUUCAAGAAAUCAAAAGGAUAAGAUUUAAGGGAAAUGUAAACACUAAGUUUAGAUCUUAAUCAAAAUCAUCAUAAAGCAAUAUUACCUGAAGAAGAUAUGUUAAUUUGGAAUUUCUGAAUGGUACAUGGUCCUCUUUCUUUGCGAUAGAAAAGAUAACAUCACUUAAGCAUGAUAAGCUUUUGUUAAUUGCCUGAGGAUACACCGUCGAACAAAUAUUUUUGAGCAAAAAUGGAUAAUGAGAGGGGAGUUUUCAAACAAAAUUAUGAAAUAUAUAACAACUAUAGAAGAUGCUUACCUGAGUUUCCUUGAGGCGGUCACCAGUUGAGCCACUUUUGGCGAGACGCUCGCUCCCGGCAAGAUCAAUUAGGUUUAGUACUCCUUGAACUUGCUGAUCAGUGCUCUGCACAAGAAUAACUGAUUCAUCAGUAACUUAGAAAGAAGCCACUGUUGGUAAGUGAAAAUAACAUUGCAAUUACCUCGUUAACCCCAGAAAUCCUCAGUGUGAAGACAAAAUGGCUUCUAGAAGACUGUUCAUUCAUCUGAGUCUUUCCAACUGACCUAGAGAUACAAAGCAGCAAACGCAAGAAAGAAUUAUCAAUUCACCAAGAAAACAAACUCUUGUUCAAGUAUUAUUUUCCAAGUACAAAGCAAAUCAACAUGGACUAUAUCAACAGUCAAGUAUUGGUCCAUAACACACUAACAACUAUUAUAUUGAAGUACAAAUAGUUAAAUAGUAAAUACAACAGACAAUUUUUCAUUAUUCUUUCAAAUUUUAAUUGAUUACUAUUUUAACCAACAUUUUACACUACCAGCUUUAUUCCACUCCAUAGAAUAGCACAUGAUAUAUUGAAUGGACGCAACAAAAGGAAAAGGUAAAGGAAUAGUAGCACAUACCUAACAAAGUGACCUAAGAGAGUUCAAAAACAGACCUCGCCACAAGGCUAGAAGGUAGCAAAUUUUGCAAAUUUAAUUGCUAUUAAAUCCAAAAUUUGAGUAAAACUGGAGCUUACUCAACUUACUGUAACAAACUAAUUGAAAGGAAAGUAAAUAAUCAGUAAUUAAAUUCUAGCAUUUUAAACAUUUAACAAUACUGAGUUACCAUCAUCAGUACUAUAAUGUCAAAACAUAUUAAUCUUUCUUGGACAAUGUUUAGACUUUAAAAAUGCUCACCGGCUCUGUGCGGCCUGCCGUAGGAGGAAAGAGACCUCAUUGAUACUGCAUACAUCUACGACUGUAAGGUCAGAUACAUGCGUGUUUCCAUUUGCAUCGUGUUUAAUCAAAUACUUGGAAGCACCAGUAUCUUGACUGCCCGACCGAUUAGGAUUCAACAGAUCACGAAUUGUUUCAUUAUAAAUUUCAAGCAUGGAAGCCUACAAAUAUUUAACAACAUAAGACUGUAAUAACUGACAAAUUAGUCGCAUCAGGAACAAGAUAUGUAUGCAGGAGAUAAUACUGAAAACAAAAACCUGCAUUUUGAACCUCCAACCCUGCGAUAGCAGGGACUGGCUAGCUUGGAAAAUUUGUUCUAGUGAUCGUGGUAUUAAUCCUUUCUGUUCGAGAAAAUCAGGUUUGCCCAUCAUUGUAUAAGUUUUUCCAGAGCCAGUUUGGCCAUAGGCAAAUAUGCAAACCUGAGAAGAUUGAAUUGGUAACUUGUCAAAAUGGAGAUAGCAUUACUACUGAAGAAGAUGCAUACACUGAAAUAGAAGAAAAACAUAUAGUAGAAUGCAUGAAAUUAAUAAGGCAAUCAAAAUUAAAAUGGGAAAUACAACAUAAUGGCCUCUUCAUUUAUCUAAUAAACAGCAAAAGUAAUAAUAUACACAAGAAAAGUAAAAUAGCAUAAAUAGAUAUACCUUAUACCCAUCAAGUGCACUUUGUACUAGCUGUGAAAUUUCAACGAAGACAUCCUCUUGUGAAGCAUCUUGAUCAAAGACUUUAUCAAAUGUAAAGGAGUAUUUUUGUGCUGAAUUAAAAAUACAAAUUAUUAUCAACUUUGUUCUCCAACAAAUAAUUUCUGUACACAAUUUCACUAACUUUUAAGUUAAGAAAAGGGAGAUAGAGAAAAGAACUAACAAUUAUGCAUCAAGUCAAUGCCACGGCCAAGAUAUUCAGUAGAGGUUGGAUAUGAAAGAGCAGCCCCUUCUACCCCGUUAUUUUCACCGUCAGGUAAUAAUGGUCGCACUCUACAAAAGACUCGAAUAUUUCCUUUUAGUUCCUGAAAAGAAGAAAUGAUUUAGCACCAGUAUCUUCUGAUCAAUAGUCCUUCUAGUUCCUGAAAAGAGAAAUGAUUUAGCACCAGUAUCUUCUGAUCAAUAGUGAAAAACCAAAAAAAGUGUUACCAAUAUAGUAUUAUGCAACUUUUUGCGUAAUUUCUCUCCUUCAGAAAUUUGCUGUUCUGCAUCAGCUAACCGAUCCUGCAGAUCUUUUAACAUUUUCUUUUUCUCCUCGUUCUCUGACAUUGUCUCCAUGGCUGUUAGAUCAGCCAUCUAAACAACUCAAUAAGAAAGAUAAUUAGGAAUCAAAUAAUGAUUAGCAGAUAAUUAGUAAUCAAAUAAUGAUUAGAAGAUAAUUAGUAAUCAAAUAAUGAUUAGCAGCACUACAAUGUAUUAUCUAUAACAGUUAGAGAGCAGUUUUUGUACAAAAAUACAUGACACUGAUGACAGUAAAAAUAAAACAAAGGAUAUUCUUGCACAAUUGCAUUUAAAAAAAAGCUCAAAGAUGUUAGUGUCUUCUCAAAAUUGUAAACACUUAAUAAUUGUAAGUACGCAAUAUAGGGAAGUUCAGAAACAGAUAAAAGCGCGAUCUCAUUGCAGGAAUGGUGGAGAAAGUCUCUUGACAAAUACAUGUAAAGUGCAAUGUUUUUUCAGUUAAAAGAAAGGGAUGAGAGUCCAGCACAUCCUAUCAAAGAAAAUCUUCAGUCUCCGUCUCUUUUUCUCUUUAUGGAAGUGUUAUAUUAUCUAAGACGUUCAAGUCUGAUCAUACUGUAAGAAAAAGAAUCUAAAGGUUGUAGUCACUUUUUCUCUUUAUGGAAGUGUUAUAUUCUCUAAGGCGUUCAAGUCUGAUCAUACUGUAAGAAAAAGAAUCUAAAGAAUGAUACUCUAUUCAUUUUAGUGUAGAGGAGCUAUAGUAGAAAACUUGCCUUUCAUCCCAGUAGAUAAUUGAAUGCAUAGAAAACAAAAACCAACCUUCAGCUUCUCAUUUGCAGCUGCAAGUUGAAGUUUCAGGGUCUUUAUUAUGUCUCUUUGUGAUGAACAGGCCUCCUGCAUAUUUAUAGACAGGAAUCAGGAUUCAGAUUAAUGUCCAAUAGAAAGAGCAUUAGCACGAAACAUAAAAAGCAUCAAGUGAAAACCUCAAGAGCAUUGGUUUUUGAUGUUGCAUUAUCCAGCUCCAAUGCAGACUUUCCAGUUAGUUCUUUGUACUUGACAAUUUCAGCCAUCAAACACUGCACCUGGUUUAAUUGGUGAUCACGAUCAUCUCUUACUUGCUGUAGUUCAUUUCUAAAACAGUUGAGUUCUUUCUUUAACUCUUCUUUUUGUUUAGAAGCUUCCUGUUGAGAAGCCUGCACUUAACAAGCACUAAAUAAGUAAUUAAUGCAUUUUGUUUUGUAAAGUACCUCUAAAAGAACCUGGAGAAGUAUAAUUAAUGAAUUAGUAAAAAACGAGGAGAUUCCAUAAUGUGCCAAUCCAAAAGGAUAGCAAAACUAGUGAAAAACAAAGAAUUCAAGCAAUAUGGCAGGAAUGAUGAUCUCUUAGUUUAGAACAGGACAGAGAUGGAAAUUGAAGUUAGACAUAUAAACAGGAUAAUGAUAGCAAACUUUCAUCCACAUAUGUCUUAAUUUUCAGAGACUAUAAGAACUUCUUGUGCUCUAAAUACUAUGCAAUGUAAUAUAUGCCUGCAUGUAUCAAAAGCAAUUCAAUUGCACAAGCAAAUCAAACUAUAAAAUCAUACCCUGGAAAUAUCCAGCUGAUUUUUGACAGAGUUGACAUGAUCCCUCAAACCGUUAAGGGUUUCCAUCAUGGCAUUUUUCUCCUUCUGCAACUUGGAUAUGGCUUCUCCAUUCUUUUGAGCAUCAGCUUGGAGAUUGCUGUUAUACUGCUGCAAGCUAGUAUUGUAUUCCUGAAGCCUCUUGUUGGUCUCUUGAAGCAUCUUAAUCUGAGAGAGAAUAAAAACUAGACUACAUAAAAAACAUAACAACAAUUUCUGAUUUUCAUGAAGUAUAACAUAACUGUACGAAUCGCCAUCACCUGAUCAUUAAGACGUUUUGCUUCAUGGCCAGCCUUAUCAAGCUCUGCUGACAGAGCAUUGCAUCGACUUUCUGCUGCCAACCUUGCUUCCUUUUCCUCCUCACAAGAUCUAAUAGCACCCUGCCAAUUUAUUAAAUUUUACAUUAUUUACCACAUACAACUCAAAGUAAACCUCAAGAAAAAAAAAAAAAAAAAAAAAAAAAAAAAGAAGCCAUUUUUUUUAAAUUACCCACCAUUUUCUCAGCUUCCUCUUUUCUAUAUUUCUCCUCUAAAGUUGCAAGCUGUUUCCGUAGCUCCUCAAUCGUUGAAUUUAGUUCUUCGUUAGUAUUUCUCAACUGGGCAGCUAUGCAGAUGCAGUUUGAAAUGUUUAAGACUUUUCUCAUGAUCAAUAUAAAUUCCCAAGAAAAACAAAGAAGAUCAAAGAACAGUACCGAUCUCAGCAUGAUUUUUCUCCUCGGAAUCUAGCAAAUUACGGAGCUUCUCCAUCUCCAUCAAAUUCCCAUCUUCCUGUUCCGUAAGCCAUUUGAUGCAAGCUCUGAGCUUUUUUAUAUACUCCAUCAUCUGUUCGCUCUUCCCCUACAUAAAACCACAGCGAACACUUAGACUAAGAUUUAAAACGGAAUUAACACCUCAAAUUAAACAAGCUCUUGAUUAUAUUCACCUUGAAGUCAUUCUUGUUCUUCCCCUUCAUCUUCUCAUUGAGCAGCCUCUCGACGUCCUCCCUCGAGCUGAACUCAAUGCCAACACCGCCAUUGGCGCCGUCGGCAGCCGCCGGAUCUCCUGCUCCGGCAGUGGCCCCCGCAUUGACGACCGAUAGAACCGGUCGGGACCGUAGAUUGCUCGUAGCUCCCACCAUCUUCCCUACGGCGACCUUUCUCCUCUUAUCAGCUCGACCCUCAUCUAAGUUCUCCUUUUUCUACCCAAAAAAAGGACCAAGAGACACAAAAUGGCACUACCACUGCAUCAAAGAACCCUAGAAGCCGAAAACCCUAACCCUAGGAGAAGAGAUAGAAAGAGAGAGAAGAGAGAAGAGCAAACCUUACAUUUAAAGGGCUCCGAGGCGGAUUGGUGCGGCUUCUGAGGGACAUCACAGAGAAUUAGGUUUUCGGGGCUUCGUUGGAGGUCAAAUUGGGGCGCGAUUAGGCUGAAAUCUUGUAGGGAUUCGAAGAAAGUAAGCCCGAAUUCCUCUUAAUUCUUCUUCUUCGUCGUCGUCGUCGUCGUCGUUGGAUUAGGGUUAGGGUUUUCCCGAUCCCCAAUUUCUUUCGACCUCGAGUGGAGUGGAGGGAGAGGAGAAGUGAGAGAGCCGUUUGAAUUAUUUUGAAACUGGGGACGGGCGCGGUCGGAAAAAUUUGCAUACCGAAAUUACCCUUCUCUUUUCUCUUAUUUACGGGACGAGGCCUCUCGUUCUCUUGUGUAUAACCUUCGGAGUUUCGAUCCAUGGGCCACGUGGGGGCCCAAUCAGAGAAUCCUUAGUGGAUCGGACGGUGGACGUUAUUAUUUAUAUUCAACGCUCGCCUCGUGUGUGGACUUAUAUAUGUUUAUAGUUUCAUGAUAUAAACUUGAACUAAAAAAAAUAAUAAUAAUAAUUUAAAGAGGUUGACAUGGUUGGAAUAUUCCAGUACCUCGUACUCUAAUACCUGCAAAACAAUCGUUGUUCUCGAAAAUUUAAGUUGCCCCAAAGCAAACCAAGGCAGUUUAGAAUAAGCGCCGGUACCAUAUUUACUAUCUAAAAAUCCGAUCCAAUAAAACUAGCGAUGACAAAAAGAAUUCACUGUAACAAUUGUUUUGAAGUUGAAUCAUUCAUAAACUGAAACUCUUUUUUCAGCAAAGUUGUUGAAUCCAGAUCAAAAGCACUGUUAUCAUGACUUCAUUUACUCAACUUACCUUUAAACCGUGAAAAAAAUUCACCUAGGUACAUUCACGUCAGCAAUCCGAGCACCAGGGAACUCAUCACCUUGCCUCAGAAGACUCGAGGACGCGAUAACCGCAGGCACUGCGACAGGCUCGGCCAUGAUCCCGUGAGCAACAAGUACAAGGCAGUCAAUCUCUUUUGUCGAAAGUGAUAGAACAUUGGGAUGUCGUGUUCUCACCGUAGGGGUCGACGAUUCGUGGAGGGUCGUAGAGGAUGUUCCGCAGGCUGUCUCCGUACUGCAGUACCCCGUGCCUCUCAACGGAGUUCUGUACUGGCGGUGUGCAAAAGACGGGACGCCCCUUACAACAUUUGAUCUGAUUGUGAGCUUUGAUCUGCGAGAUGAGACAUUCAGAUUUGUUGCGCUGCCGGAGGAGGCAACGCAUGUUCGGUUUCAGUCUCGCAGAGCCCCAGCAAAUCGUCAUAUGGGCUUUGCGGGAUUCAGAUCAUGCCUGGAUCAAGAAGUAUAGCAUUGCCUGCAGAUCUUUUGAGAACAAAUUUUUGAUCAGAGCAAGGCACGGCGACGAUGACGACAAUUUGUUCAUCCAGUUGCAGGAGGGCUUAGUUUAUUGCAACCUUCCAUCUAGAAGAAGGAGAUUGCUGGAAUGUACCAGUUACUGGGAUCUUCUGAACAAACAAGAGAUGCUGAAUUUGAGAUCUUCUGUAGACAUUGAACACUUUCAUGCUUUUCUUUAUGCAGAAAGCCUGAAUUCAAUUACAAAUGAAUGGUCAUACAUUUGUUUUUCUUUCUUUCCUUUAAGGAUCUGAUUUUGAUUUGCACAUUAUUUUUUUUUUUGUCAGAAUGAAUCUAAAUAUAUCUUUGGAUUUAACUCUAAUAGUCAACAAAAUACACCUUUAAAUUAUCCAAUUUGGAACUCUUGUUUUGCUAACCAUCUGCUAUGAUAAUGACAAGGAAUUCUACAUGUGUCUAAACAGAACGGCGAAUAGUACAACACAUCAAAAGAAUUUACAAAACCAAGGAGCUCUCUAACUAAAAGAAUGUCGUGUAAAAUUAAUCCAAAAAGGAAAAAAAAAACAAAAUCUGAAUUUUGUGUGGUGGCGGGGCGGAAACCAUCUCCGACCGAAGUAUGAUCCGUGUUCGAAACGGUUCGAGAACCAUUUGGUUUCGCGAGUUCUCUUGUGUGGUAUGUAUCAACAUAACCAACAUAAAAGUACAUGAAGAAUCACCGGUGCAUGGAAGGGCUUUUCUGCUACAGCUUACGAAGCGCUGAAAACAUGUUACAAGAUAGAAAAUAGAAGCAUUUAGAGCAUGAGCAGAGACAAAUUACAGAUUAUUUAUUUAGGGGAAAAAGAAAAAUCAAAUAGAAUGUUUCACAAGAGCAUAAUUAAUGGUUAUUUCAUGCAAAACAGAAAGUUUUCCUUUUAAUCAAAGCGCAACCUGCUUCCUCCUGUCUUUUCUCAAAAAAACCUGCUUCCUCCUGUCGAAGUCUUUGAACUCUUUAGGUUAGACAUCUUGUAAGCACAUCCUAUGUAAUCAAAAGAAUUCACAACCUAAAAUUGUAUGCUAGAUAGUCAUAUACAUUUUCUGCAAAAGCCAUCACCACAAAACCUUCUCUAUCCUUUCAUUCGAUUUUUCUUUUCCCUAAGCAGACUAAAAAAAUUUUAUGCUAUCCAUUAUGGUGGUCCGUUGAGUCCUAAACAAUCUCUGUCAGCUUAUUAUCAAAAAACGAACCACAUUAGACCACUGUUUAGAUUUCAGGUACUAAAUUUGUGAUAAACCCAAAGAAUACAUACCUCCCGGAUGUAGAUCUAACUCUCAUCAUCAGAACUGGAACUAUCCACCCUGCGAUCGGUGAUUGCGGGAAAGAGAUGCUGUCGUGGAUCUGGGACGGAGGAUGAUGAUGACGGCGCCGACUUUUGUCUACUUCUCGGAACUUUCGACACUUUCUUCUGUGACUCCCUAACCUCCUUGCAUGCCUUAUCCAACAUGCCAAGAAAGUCCCUCACAAUCACAAACAGCCGCAAACCCUCGUCUUUCCCAGCAUUUCCAUGGAAAUAGUCGACAGUGCUCUUGACAAGCAAUCUUAUUCUCUUCUCUUCCUCAAGCAAGAAAGUAACCUCUCCGUCAGCUCGCUCAGCGAAAUGCCUGAGUGAGUGGUGAAACCCACUGUCCUCCUCCAAACUUUUCAUGCUAGUAUUCAAGAAAUCUUUUACUUUCAUGAGCUUAUGGCCGAGGCUAGCUGCGGUACUCGUUAUGGCAUCAGCAUCAAGGCAUGCCGCCCUUUUCACAUUUUCGAGUUCAUCUCCUAAACUUGAAACAACUUUCAGGCCAAGAGUACGGUAAUGGUCUUCAGAUUCUUCAAAAGAAUCGUCAGCAAGAUCAUCAGAACUCAGGCUGGACAUGCUGCUACCCUGCUCCCUUGCAAUCCGUGCAGCACGAACUCCUUCAGAUCGAAUGAUCUCUUGUACAACGAAAUGUAAUAAUGUUGUUUUCCCAUCGAUUCCCUUCACGUCAGCCAAUUUCAAGAGGGUAUCUAGCUUGAAUGCCUGUGCUCCGCCACGAAAAGUGCCAUCGUUCAUGCGAUUCCCGAGUUUGAGAACAGCUUCCAAUAGCUUUAAGAAAAGCCGACUACUUCUAAGCUCCUUACAAGCUACCUGCGAGAAAAGGAAUUCUUUCUUACAGAUAGAUAUCAAUGCUAACCGACCUACAUGCUUGGAAACCCUAAGUGACACAGUUUAUGCCCAAACAUACUAAUUAAGUGGCUAUUGGAUAGCCAACGAAUCUACAAGUUAUCCAGCAAGAGCAGUCGUUGAAGACAUUGAAUAAGACAAUCAAAAUAAAAAACACAAUAUAUAAUUAGCUUCCCUCAAUCAAUUUUAUAAAAAAAAUUUUAAAAAAUCUAAAAAAUUCUUCGGCCUCUUUCGAUUACACUACCUUCCAUCAAUUUGCAUACAAUUCAUACAUCUAUGCAUUUUUGUUGGCAGCAGGAACCACAAGUAGAAGAGUAGCUUUUUCGCUUUUUUCCUCUAAAAAUUGCACAUUAAACAAUAAUAUGCCAAACAGCAACAAUGAAAAUAGAGAAAUCCACCCAUCAGGAAAUUCAAUCAUAAAACAACCAAGGUAACUGCAAUUCUUGGUUAGCUCGCAGAUCCUACCCGCUCUUCUCAGGAAAGAUAAAGCAAAAACUGAAAGCACCUAGUGGUUCCUAAAGAUUAAGUCAUUCUAUACAUAUUGAAGUAUGCUUACUCUUCUAUAAAUGGAACUGCUAUUAAAAUUAAUGCAAUCGCAAACCGAGAAGACAUGAAAAGGACUUACCUGUAAGGUUGAAAAUGACUCCUUCAGAAUUGCAGCUUCCUCUGGUAGCAAAGACAUGAAAAGUAAUACAUCAAGCCGCUGGAAAACAUAAGGAAUAUUCACCAGCAUUUUUAUGAACUGUUCCGCAGGUCCAAGUAAGGAAAUGUCAUCAUUAUACAGUCUUAUCUUCAGCUCUUCAUCAGCACUAGGAGCCAUUUUCAGCAGUGAUUGGAGCAACUCUAUUGGGAGCUCAUUUCCUAUUUGGAGGGAGAAAAAUAUUAUAUCACAACAAACGAAUCGCAAAAGAAGAUGCCAUGCAAAGUGGCGUCUAAGUCCUAGAAAGUUCUUAAGAAUUACCUUCAAUAACUGCGUCACAAACCUCUUCAGCUUUAACAUUCAAUGCUUUCAAUGAAAUCGCCAAAUUCUGUGACUUUUUGGGAUCAAGAAUCCGAAUAUAUUGAGUAGAAGCAUCCUUGAGUGCUGUCUCCUUGCCAUUGCUCUUAGUUUUAUCAGCAGUGUUAUAACCAAAUAGACUUUCAAUCAUCUCCUCACUGAACCUGUAAAUCACCCUCUAUUUAGUGCAAUAGUUUUAUUAUUCCAGGUAUUGACUUCAAGGUAAAAGAGUAUAUACCUUACCUGAACUAUAGCAUAUUUUAAUUGCUACCUGAACUUUGAAUAUCUUUACUCUUCUACCUAAUCCUACAAUAUGAUUGAUUUAAAUGCCCUGCAGUCAGGAACUAAAUGUACUUGUAACUUUUCUGAUGGAAUAUUCUGUAACCUAAGGAAUGUUUAAGUUACUUGGGAAAAAUAUACUAUGAUUUUUUUAUUUUGACCCAAACGGUUGAGUUUGCACAGAAGUUGAUGGAAGUUUCUGAAAUAAAAAGUACUAAAAAGUUAGCAAGUGAAAAUCAAAAGUUCCAAAAAUUUAUGUACUCAUUUCAAACACGCCAUGGUUCAGGUAAGUUGAUACUCGAUACAUUUUCACCUUAUUCUGAUAAAAUAGUGAGGGACAAAUAUCAGGAAACUUACUGGAAAGAACCCGAUUUGAUGUGAUCCCAGACCAUUGAUUGAUCGGGGUUUGCAAGAACUUUGUCCCAGAAAAACGGCUUAAGCUUGGUUUUUGGUGCAUUAGAGUCAUCCGUAUCAAGCUCCUGCCCAGACUUCCUUAAACCAGGUGGAGGCGGCACUUUCGACGAACUGGGGUUACCUGGUGGAGGACGGGGAGGAGGGAAAGCUGCUUUUGAUGGUGGUGGAGGGGGAGCACCACCUGGCUUUCGACCAGGAGGUGGCGGCGGAGGAGCAGGAGUAGGAGGAGUAGGAGGCCGAACUGGUGGUGGCAUUGCCGGAGGAGGUGGUGGUGGUGGAGCUUGUUGUUGUUGUGGUGGAAGCGGCGGCGGCGGUUUUUCUUGUGUAAUAGUGCUAGGAACACUGGAUUGCCCAACUGAAGAGUUGGAAAUUACUGAUUGCAUUCUGGUCAUCGGAGUUUCAAUUGAGCUCACCUUGAAUGAUGGAGCACGGCCAUUUUGGCUCGGUUCCCUUUUUAUUGGCAGAGCACCCAGCUUAUUUAUAUCAAUUGGAGUUGCCUGGCCGUAUGACUUUCGAGACGAACCUAACAUAAAGUCACAAAAAUCAGCACUCAAAUGCAAACUUAUAUGAUAAGGCCUCAUUGGGUUAUCCUACGUUUUGUCCUCCCUCAAGUUCUAUGCUAUUGAAUGCAUAUGCCGACAGUAAAAUGUGCAAUUUAUACACCUUUGAGACUUGUUUAGCAACAAGAAAAGGGAAAAUUGGUGAUAACGUUUCUUCACUUCCUUUUUCUUGAAAAGAAAGAUAACUUAGCAAGCUAACCAACAAUGAGAAGAAAAAGAAGUCCAUCAAUCCGGCGCAUUCAAUCACAUGGAGUUUGAGUUGGAAAAAAAAAAAAAAAAAAACAAUAACAUUGCCAAACAAGGUCUAAGAAUAAGAAGAGAGCUCUUUCAUACCAGAGAAGUCGCUUAAACUCAAACUAAGAAGCGGGCUGUCAUCCCUCUGGCUGUAAGCUAUAAAUGUCCUGUUUCUACGACAUCUACAAAAGCAAACAGCAAGAAAAGCUGCAAGAAGCGACGUCCCCACCAGUGUUAGAACAACAGCAACCGUAACUGAGCUUUUGUUGCUCUUUUGCUUUUUUGGUGGUGGAGGCGGAGUACGGUGUGGACUGCCUUUUUUAUGUUCUGGUGGAAAGAAAUCGCUGGAGGAAGCAGAUGAGGAUAAUCCGAUAGGAGAUGGUGGGCUAAAAUGAGCCGGAAUAGGCGGAGGAGCUGGAACAAAACUGGGGUUUUGAGUUGUAAGGCUUGGAGAUGGAGUUGAGACAUGAACUGGGGCAGGACUCGGAGAGGGUGCAGUGGAAGAGGCAGGAACUGAGGAUGUCGUAGUUGUAGAAGGUUGCUCAACCAAGAAUCUUCUUAAAACAGGGUUCCAUCUGAGUAAAGCUUCAAGAUAACCGGCCCACUGAUUUGUCAUACUGUCCUCGACAGAAUCAUGAAAAGUAAAACUUUGCUUGCUUAAACAAUCAAGAAACUCUUGCCUAAUUUCUGGUCCAAUGCUACUAAUAGCUUCCUCUAAGCUGUCUUUCAAAGAAGGCAUUUUUCUUGGAUCUAUCUCAUUAGAAUCACGGAGAACAUCAACCAAAAGAGAGUCACCAAACGUUUUUCCAAUUUCCCCUAUCAUUUUCAUAUCUAGUCCGCAACUGAUCCAUACUUGCCGCACCUGUAGUCACAACAAAUCACAUUGCCAUAAAAAACAAAAUUAGAAAUUUCAUCGAAGGCAUACGAAUUAUAUGCAAACAACUGUUUUGUCGCAAGGGAAUUCCCAGGGGAAUAUGUUCUCGGCACAUACGAGAGUGUCAAAAAAGUGUCUCAGAAACUAUAAUAACAGAAAUGCACUAUUCCACAUCAGCGCUACACUCCAACAUUUGGUAUACCGUCUAUCCCAUCUCACACUUCAACGUUCAAUCAAUCAACCAUCCGAAUGACAACAACUUUCGAAUCAAGGAAAGGCUGCGACUCACAGGGCGGUAGGAUUUGAAGUUUGAGACGGAAUGGAGGGUAAAGUACUGUUAUUUUUCUCAGAUUCAACUAACAAAUUCAUAAUCCAGGAGAAAAAACAGCAGAUAAGUUGACAAAAUCAGUACAUAAAUUAGAACUAGACCCAUUUAGGGCAUCAUUCUCUCUAUACACAUGCCUCACUGAAGAUUAAAAGCAACACAAGGAUAAAAAUGACAACUUUCGCUAAUUUGUCUAAAUAUACAACAAAUUAAUAGUUAAAUUCGUUCCACAUUUCACCGAGUAAGUUUCUUUUCUCCUUAUAAUCUCGAUCAUGAGGAUAACACAUAACUUCUUGUCAUAAAACACAAAAGUGGGAAUGAGAUCAAACUCGUAAUGGAAAAUUUAGGGUUCCUAUCUCACCGUUCGAUCGAUGUGCCACGAAACUCCCACAUUGGGUGAAUCCCUCAAACCGUGCCGCACAGCGGAGCCACAGGGCACUAGGAGAUGCAGCAAGAUCAUGCACGCGUAGGCGGAGACCAAGAUCCCAUUUGUGCCCCGACCCAUCAUCAUCCUCGUCGUUUCUCGCAUCCACCUCCCGAUCCAGCUCCGCCCUUCUCAUCUCAUCGAUGGCCACCUCCAAUCGAGCUCAAAGGACAGAUCUUUGAGCUGCGGGGACGAAACCCCAGAGCGAUUUCCUGAGGAUCGCGAACUCGGGCAAUCCUUUGACCGCGAAAACGCGGGGUUUGCGAUCGAAAGAGGGGUAAAGGUGGGAGCUUUCGUAGGGUUUGGAGGGGGAAUUUCGCGGAGCUAAGGUGGGGGAGGAGACGAUCGAGACGCGAAGAGGGGGGAAUUUGGGGUAUCGCGGAGACGCGUCGACCUCGGCCUCGACCUCGACUUUUUUUCUUUUUUUUGAAUUCUUUUCCAAGUCAAAAGGCGAUGCGUCAAUUUUUUGAUCCAUCAUUGUUCAAAGCGAAAAAGAAAGAAUUAAAAAAUUGUACGGAGAUCCUUCCACUGUAGAAAGUUUUGACAUGGGCCCCUCACCUAUAUUUUUCUCAUUGACACUAUCUAAACUUACUAAAAAUAAUGAAAAUUAUGAAAAACGAGAAGUUGGAAGAAUUUUAAUAAAAAAAAAUAGUUGAGAGGGCUAUUUUGGAAUGAUCUAUACAACUAACAUUUAAGGAGGUCUCUAUUAUUGUCAACAUUUCCACCAAAAAGAAAAGGAAAGGGAAAUAGGAGCUCUUUUUAAUUUGGUAAAAUAAAGAGGCUUAAAGUGAAAAAAAGGGAACCGGAUCCUUUUGUUCGAUAGGAGAGACAAUACACUACACGACCGUUGCGGAUUAGUAAUUUUCUCCACUUAUUUUUUUCCAGAAUCUCUUUUAUUCUUUACUUAUUUAUUCCUGGGGUUGCUUCUCUCUGAAGCGCAGUUAAAAUUGAUUCAUUCGAUUUAUUUCAUUAUUGCAAUUUUUGAUUUGAGAGAUGUUAAACGGAGUUAGCAAAGCUGAGACAAAUAGCACGCACAUAACGAAGAGAAUAGAGCUAUGACCCGAUCUGCAAAAAAUACCUCUCGAUCUCGCAUCGUUUUAUUUUUACGUGACCGGAGUCAAGAUUAAAAAUUUAUGUAAUUUUCACGCGAAAGUUGUUAACAUCGACUCAGCUCGGGUUUUGCUCAGAUCUAGCUUAACGGCAGAUUUAGAGGCCUCUACAGUUAUCUUUCUCUGGGCUUGAUCUAGUUUGCAUGGCUGUACUGGGCCAUAACUGUUGUUUCUUCGGCAUUUUGGAUAUAGUUUUGGGAUUUAUAACUCUGAUUUGGCCCAAUAAAGUGAAAUGGGUCGUGUAAAUCGCAAUACAAUGUGUACUAUAAUGGCUAGUAUACAUUCAAACGUACGAACGGCGUAGAUUCGCUACAAUCCCAUGCAUAAAAAUUUCUAUGCAUCCACACUGUCUAAUGUCGAUGGUUUUGACUAAUCUCACCACUAAUGAGUAGCGAAAGAACUUUCGCACGGAGUUGUAACCAAUGCAUUUUCAUUCAUUUCUUAGAACAAAAGAUUGGCUACGAAUUCAAUGUAAGAGAGAUGAGAAAUCGCUCAGCUUCCUUUGUGAUCUUAUUGACCCUAUCCUCACACCUUUACCUUCGUAAACCCCAAAUGAGUCGAGCUCGAGUUAGCUUUUGUUUAACGAUCAGCCAAAAAAUGUAUUGAAGUACAGCUUAGUUCAUUUACAACGCUUAUGUAUUAAGCUCGGUGUUUACGAAUGUCAUCAUGGGUAAUUAAGCCAAGAUAAAUAAAAUUCUAUAUAAGUGCUAAGAUUAUUCCUAAACUAUUUCCUAUCAAAUACUUUUUUAGUAAUAUGAUACCAAAAUCUACUUGAAGUUCCCUUCUCUCUACUUCAUAAAAAUCAGUACUUAAUUCAAUUCAUCCACUAUUUGUGGCAUAUCUCUUUCUCUGUCACUCUACUAUCCUUUUUAUAUGUUUGUAUUUAUGGCGUGUUUGUUUUGCAAGAUCUCCGCCCCCAAAGCCUCUCAUAUAGUUGAACCGCGAGUGCGAAUGUUUUGAGGAGAUCAACGAACUCACAUAUCAGACGUGUACAACGUAAAAUUAAGCAAAACUUCACUCCUUACCGUGAUGAGGUCGAGAUCAAAUGCACGAUCGAAACUCGCAACCUCUGAUCUCUCCAGUCCCAGAAAAAACAACCAGUACACCCUUAAUUACUAGUCUCAAACAUGAACGCGCGUGGAGUGGUUUUCGAAUCCACAUCUGUUACAUGAUAUUGACAUGCGACGUAUCUCGCGACAAUUUUAUAUACUUGCAUGCAUUACUCCAUGCUUAUUAUUAUACAAAGAUGCACGAGUAUCGUGUCAUAUCACAUUACAUAUGCAUAAGAUAACAAAUUAUUAAUUAAUGUUUAUAUAAUUAUGGAGAGAAUAACACCAAACUAGUAAAACGCCAAAGAUGCGGUGGAAAUUUCUAUGCAUGUUUUGGACUAUGCAUUGUUUUUUGCUGUGGCUUUUGUACAGAUCGAACCUGUAAAAAAAAAAAGUAUAAAAAAUAAAAAAAUUUGUCACAUAUAAGUUACAGAAUCAAUUAGCUCUAUCAUCACCAUGUAGAAGCAUCCAAACACUCAUUAAUUUAAUUAUUAAUGAUUAACGCUUAAUAAUUCAAAGCAUCCAAAAACUCAUUGUUAUAAUGAUUUAAAUUAAGUUAUAUAUACAGCAGAAUAAUAUUAGUUUAAGACUUAAAUUAAUCAGAUGGAUUUAAUACUUUGACCAACCAGUUGGAAAGUGUUCAGAGCUAGCAAAGUACUGUUUAUUAGAAUAUUAAAAUCGAAAUUAAUUAAUAAUAGGAUCAUUAUUCGGCAGUAUCGAAUUAAGAUAAUUACUAGUUAAUUAAGUAGUGGCAUGCUUAAAAGAGUUAGCAUGUCCUUUGUGUUGGAAUAUUUACAUGUUCUCCGUGGGAUUUGUGUGUUAAUGCUCAUUAUUUUAACUCUUCGCCUUACUUAAUUUGCAAAAGUUCCUACAAAUCAUAUAAACUUCGAUUUAGAAUUUCUGCUUCGUGGAGGCUUAUUUUGUGCGUAAAAUUACGAAGCAAAUGUGUCGAUUGAGAGUAAUAUUGUUACACGCUCUUACAUUUUUUACACUAUUAUUUACAUGAUAUCAUGGGGCAUUUUACUCGGGUGAAAGUGACAAUUCAUGAGGAAGCUCAAUUCAUGCGUAAAAUGUUAAUUAUAUAGUAACCAAAGAGAACUGAUAAAAAGUGAAAUGUCGCGUCAGCAUAUGUAAAAACUUGUAAAAUUUGUAUGUGAUUUAAAUACAAAUGAAAUGGAGCUUGGCUCAUCUUAUAAUGUACCCUAGAGAGUCCCCCACAUUCUUUAAUUUAUCCUAAGUAACCCCAAUUAAUUAUUAUUAUUAUUAUUAUCAUUAUUAUUAUCCUACAUUAAUUGCAAGAAAACAACAUGGGAGAUAUAUAGAAGCUUGAUUUUUGUCUAGUAUAAGUAUGAGGACAAAAAAUGGCCGGCUUGGAAAUUAAUUAAUUAAUUAAGUAAUCAAUUAAUAACCAUAUAUUUUGAUUUGUUAUACAACUCAAAUCAUUUGUAUUAAUCAAAAAUUCUUUUUUCUUGUUUUUUUUUUGGGGGGGAAAGACCUUUAUUAUAAGAGGCAUAGUAGUUUCAUCCAAAUGAUCCAAACAGUUAUCUUUUUCUUUUGUAUAUCAUGCAAUUAAAUGCAAUUGGACCAAGCCAAAUUAAUUUCAAAGCAAAGCAAAAAAAAAAAAAAAAAUUUUGUANAGCCAAAAAAAAAAAAAAAAAAAAAAAAAAAAUCAUGCCACCUAUUUUUAUGCAAUCAACCUCAACCAGGGACAUAAAUAUCUUUGUUCAUUAAUUAUAUAUCAGGAUUUUAAAGAGAAUGAUAGAAAUGGACCUUUUGUGGGAUAUAUCUACAAUUAAUAGCAAAGAGCACAUCUUUUAAAAUAUCCUCUCAAUAAAGGAAAAAAAAAAGGGGGGGGAAAGAAAAAAAAAGUGUAAAUAUGCACCAACCACUAGCAGAUAAGUUCAAAGUGUUUCAAUCUCAAAAUUUGUUGUUGUGAGGAAAUGAAAACAACAAAAUAGUGUACUAUUGGCAUGUACUAGUUAUUCACCUAGUUGGCUUUAAUUCACCAAUGCUUGCAUAGAAUAGUAAGUUUUUUUUUUAAAAAAAAAAAUUUACCAAGAAUGUGUCUUCAAUAUCCCUUAAAUCUUUUAUAUUCCAAAUGUACACACACAAAAUGAUUUGCUCCUGAAGAGUUCAUGUCAUUCCAAACUUGUGCUCUUUUGUCCUUUUCCAACUAAAUAUUCCAAUAUUCCUAUCACUAUUUAACAAAAGGGAAAUAUGACCCACAUAUUAAUUAAUUAAUAGAAAUUUAUAAAAAUGCGUUAUAUAUAGAGAAAUGAGUUGGAAUGUUAUCGGUAGCAAACGAGUUCUAUUGCUACUCAUUUAUUUUCAAUGAUGGAGCCUCUAAAUCGACGAUCAACACCGUUGAACAUGAUCUAUACCACUUGAAGUAUUUGAAAACUAAAUUUUAAAUCUUUUCGACAUUAUUAACCUAAUGAUUAAAGGGUUUCAAAAUUUAUAAUUUUAAUGAUAAAUAUGAGGUGUUUUCUCGUUUAAGGAUGUAAAGCUAUCCAAAUCAAUUGAAGUUUGAUUAGAAAAUUCUUUAAACUAUUUAGAACAAGAUCUAUACUCUCAAUCUUGAUUACAAAAUUUCUAUCAUCACUUUUUAGAAGAUAUUUAUUUUCAGUCGUUCAUUUUUAUUUGCAUUUGAUGGGCAAGAGAACAAUAUUGAAAAAAUAUGAAAUUAAUUUGGUUUAUAGAUAUACUUCAAAUAGUAUAUAUCAUAUUCAACGAUGUCGAUUAUCGAUUUGAAAGCUUCAUCAUAAAAAAUAAAUGGAUGCAACGAAAUCCGUUUGCUACCGAUAGCAUUCCAGCUCAACUCUGUGUGUGUGUGUGUGUGUGUGUGUGUGUGUGUGAAUUGAACAUCCAAUAAGAACCCAAACAAAAACCCCUGUAUAGAUCUAUCCAUAAUGCUCUUCCCCUACUAUAUAAAGCCAAGGAAGGGCUCCAUAUAUUUAUGUCCCUAGCUAGCUUUGUGAAUUCCAACACACCCCAAUUAACACACGCACCCCCUCCCAUAUCUACAGGGCCACCCACAUCCCCUCCUCCUAGGAUAAAACCCUAGCACCCCAAUCUCAUCCUCCCAAUGCCCAACUGCCACGUGUCAACCUCACUCACCACACAAAGCUUUCACCUCCAUGCACGUGAGGACAUGGAGAAGAGAUAAACCCUAGCUAUACGUUUUCUCCAAGUACCUAGCUCCCUCCCUUAAUUCCUCUCCUCGGCCUCCACCGUAGUUGUAAGAGUCAUGGGGGCUGAGAAUAGGGCUAAGUACUCUACCACCCACAUGGCCCCUCGAAACAACCCUAGCCUCCUCCGUCCUCAUCCGAGCUCGCUCUCCGGCGCCCUUAACGGCUGUCUCGGUUGCCUCGACGGCCCGUGCAUAGAGAAGCUCCUGCUCCACUGCGCCGCCGCCCUCGAGGCCAACGACAUAACCGUCGCCCAACAAGUCAUGUGGGUGCUCAACAACGUCGCCUCCGCAAACGGCGACCCCAACCAACGGCUCACCGUUUGGUUUCUUCGUGCUCUCAUUGCCAGGGCCUCUCACCUCUGCCCGACGGCCCUGCCCUUUGCCCUAGACGGCUCGUCGCAGUCGUCUCGAAGGCCAAUGACCGUGACCGAGCUUGCGGGCUACAUCGACCUCACACCGUGGCAUCGAUUCGGUUUCUCAGUCGCCAACCGCGCCAUCCUCCAGGCGGUCCAGGGCCACCGGAAGGUCCACAUCGUCGACUUCAGCGUUACGCACUGCAUGCAGUGGCCGACGCUGAUCGACGAGCUCGCCAAGCGGCCCCAGGGCCCGCCAGUGUCGCUACGAAUCACUGUGCCCUCGGCGCACCCUCCGGUGCCCCCUUCGCUCAAUAUAGCUACCGAGGAGGUAGGACUAAGGCUGAUGAACUUCGCCAAGUUGAGAAACAUCCCCUUAGAGUUCAAGGUACUCAAGACCAACUCCCCGGGUAACUCUUUGAGCUUUCGCCAACAAUUGGUUACCACUCCAUUGGAUCCAUCUUCAUUAGGAUUGCAAGAUGAUGAGGCCCUAAUCGUCAAUUGCCACAACUGGCUAAGAUACUUGUCGGGGGAUUCACAAGGGAAUGAUGAUAAUACAAGAGACUCCUCUUCCAAAGAUGGCUUCUUAGAGUUCAUUCAUGGCCUCAACCCGACCGUCGUGACCAUGACCGACGAGGACGCCGACUUGGACACUCCGAGCCUCUCCUCGAGGAUAAUGGGUUGCUUCAACUACCUUUGGAUACUCUUCGACGCCCUCGAAACCUCCUUCCCGAAGGAAUGCCCGGAAAGAACGGGGUACGAAGCCAACGUCGGCCAAAAGAUCGAGAACAUCAUCCGGUUCGAGGGGAGCCAAAGGAUCGAGAGGUCGGAAUCCGGCGCGCGCUUCGCGCAGCGGAUGAGGCGCGCGGGGUUCGGCGGGGUUUUGUUCGACGAGGAGACGGCGAGGGGGGUGAGGGUGCUGUUGAGCGAGCACGCGAGCGGGUGGGGGAUGAAGAGGGAGGAGGACAUGCUGGUUCUCACGUGGAAGGGGCAUAGCUCGGUUUUUACCAGUGCAUGGGUCCCCAAAGUGAUCUCAUGAAUCUAAGGACUUGUCCUUUGGAGCUAGGAGCCAUGCAUGGGCCAUGGCUUUUGUGGUUUCUCGAUCUUUCCUUACGAAGAGGGGGAGAGAGGGACAAGUCGAGAGAAAACGGCUGGUUUUGUCUUUUGCUUAUCAAAAGGCCAAGUUUUGAGUGGGGAGAGCAAUCUUUAUGGCUUGGGAAUGCACACAAGAUCAGUGGCAGAGCCAGAACUGUGUAAAUUGUCUUUACAUAUAUAUGUGCAUCAGUAAUUACUUGGAAGUGUAGCUUUAACAUGCUCUUCUUAUCUUUUGUUUCAGAUGAGUUGAACUCGCGCGAAGCGCGCGCUGAUAAACUAGAACUUUAAUUUUCUUCUAAGUUGUACUUAGAAAAUUGUCUCCUCAUUCACACCACUGUUUAUUGUACCUUUUAACUUUAUUAGCAAUGAGAAAAGUAAUUAAGGUUAUAUUUCUAAAUUUAGUUUAUUAAAGUGUCCUUCAGGUAUGACUCAACAAUGUUUCCUGUUGAACUUUUUUAGGCAAUUCACUAACACCACAACAAACUGCUAGAGUAUUGAUUAUAUACACAAUUACCUUUAAACCCAGGAUACAUAAUAUUAGAUGCUGGUUCAAAUCACGAUUAAAGCAUAAAUAACAUUGUUAAAAAAGGAACAAAAGAAAAAAUUUCUUCAUGUUUUGACAUAAGAAUAAUAGCUCAUAGAUAUUUUCUUUUUUGAGAAGAUUCAAGACAUAGAUUAGCUGAUUUAUAUGAAUAUGAUUUAUAUGAAUAUGUUUAAGUUCGCUCUGCUAUUUUGAGGUACACAUAUGCAUCCUCCAUUUGAGUAAGAAGAGAACACAAAUUUGGUAUUAUAUUUUGAUUGAAUUAAUUUAUCCAGUAAUGUGUAUAAGAAGCUACAAAAGCAAAUACAUCAGUGAUAGGAUAGAUGACUCUGCACUGACUAAUUAAACCACUGUGACCUGUAAUUCAAAUCGGAUUUGAACUCAAUCUCUACCUUCUCAGUGCUUCUUCAAUGCUUCCAGAUUUUGGCUAAUUAAAAAGUAUUCAAUAAUCGAAACAACACCAACAUUUGUUUUCACGAGCAGAUCCGAUUGAAGACGACAAUUUCAAUGCGUCGAUAAGAGCCGCCAUCGAACAAUGCUACAAUUUCAAUGUGUGGUUAAGAACCGCCAUCGAACAAUGCUGAUCUGUGUCAAAUUAAAACAUCUUAAUGUUUAGAAACACAGGUAUAACUAGGUAAUACAUAUGCUCAAGAAACUAUGUAACCUUGUCGAUGCCAAGUUACAAUGAUUCAGUGGAUUAUUAGAUUGGAGUGAUGAAAACAAACCAAUUGAAUGAAGGAUAGAUUCCAUUGCAAGGUUGAACCAACCACAACAAAUUUCUUACUCCUCACUAAACAUCAAAGUUUCAUUCCAAUCCAACCAUAAAAGUUGGAUACUUCUUUAUGUGAAUUAACUCAAUUAUCCAAGUCAAGUAUGCCUAUCUUAAAUUCUCCCUGAUGUUCUCAACGAAACAGGACAAAUAACACUUAUUUUUUUAACUUAAAACUAGAGGCACACUACAAAUGGUCCAAUUUUAUGAAACUGCAAGUAUAAGAGUAAAAAUUUUGUAUAAAUUCAUAUUCAUAAGCAGUUACGAUAAUUUGUUUUUCUAACUCCUAACUCUACAAUCCAUCGCAUAAAGUGUUUCAAGUUUUUAAGAUUUGAAUAUCCUACUUUGUUAGGUAACAAACCAACACUACUGAUUUCAUAAACAUAGCAAUAGUGCUGUAAAAUGGAUUCACCUGUGAAACCAAAAUUGAAGUGUAAAAAUUUAACAAUUAGAGUUUACCUACGAAACCGAUUGCUUAUUCGGCAUCUUUAAGCUCUUCUUCGAGUACUUAUUCGUCCGUGCGCGCUCAACGAGCUUCUCAGCCUCCUCUGCUCUCGACGCCGCAACCAACCCAUCCACCACUUUCUGCAGCACCGCCGCGUCCGCAAAGCACUUCCGACUCAUGCUAUCGUAGCAACACCUAAGGGCCAAAUCGAAGUCCCCCGCCUCGCAGAGAUGCGGAAUCAGCGCCUCAAAGGUCCCCUUGUUGGGGGCGCAACCGUUCUUCACCAAAUCCAAGUACACUGUUUUGGCCGCCUCCAAAUUCCCAAUUUUGCAAUGCCCUCUUAUUACAGCAUUGAAUGACGAAGUGUCGGGCUUCGGCCCGUCCCUCAUCAUUUGAUCGACGAGCUCCGCCGCCUCCUCGGUUCUCUUUUCCAGAACCAGCCCUCUCAGCUUCGCGUUGAAGCUCUUCACGUCGGGCUCGACGUUCCUCUCCCGCAUCAAGUUCCAAACUUUCUCGGCGUCCGGGAACCUGCCGUGGCCGAAGAAGCCGUUCAGCAGGGUAUUGAAGGAGAUCAGGUCCGGGGAUAUGCCGUGCUGCUCCAUGAGGCUCAGCACGUCGAAUGCGGCGUCGAGGUCGGGUUUUGCGCAGAGGGCGCGGAUGAGGAUGUUGUAGGAACAGAGGUUGGGGACGAUCGAGGGGUCCUCGGCGGGGAUUUGGUCGAAGGCGGCGAGGAGGGCGUCGGGGUUGGAGGAGGAGGAAUCGGCGAGGGCGGUGAGGAGGGCGUUGAAGGAGAGGGCGGAGCGGGGGGCGGAGAGGGAGGGGAGGCGGCGGAAGAGGGCGGCGGCGUGGGAGGGCAUGGAGGCGGCGCCGUAGAGGGAGAUGAGGCGGGCGGAGAAGCCCUCGUGAGAGAGGUCGGAGGGGAAGCGGAGGUGGGAGUCGAGGACGGCGGCGACGGCGUCUGGGCGGCCGGCGGCGGCGAGGCGGCGGACGGCGGAGGAGUAGAUGCGGUGGCGGCAGCGGAAGCGCGGGGAGGCUGCGGCGGCGGCGAUGAAGCNCGGGGGCGGCGCUGCUAGGGUUAGGGUUAGGGUUAGGGUUUGAAGGGGAAGGAGAGGAGGAGAGGAGGCGAGAGAGGCGGGGGCGGACGAGGAGGCGGAGGCGGGAGGAGGAGGAUGAGGAGAAGGACAUGGUUUUCGCGUCUCUUCUCGAAAAAGAAGGGUUUUGGGAAUUUAAUAAGGCUUUAGAGGGUUUAGGAAAAUGGGUCGGGCCAAAUUUUAGGAAAAUGGGGCCCAGUUGGAGUUUUUGCUGUUUCAUUAGAAUUUUUCUAAAAAAAAAGGGUUCCUUAGUCGUGCAACUUGGCCUAUGGGUGUAGGGUGCAUAACAAACUAAGACUUAGUUUGGUAUUAAAAUCUAUCUGAGGUUAUUAAAUAAAAUAGAGUUGGAAUAAAAUUAUAUAGGGAUAUGUUUCUGCGUUCUACAGUGAGACCGUAGAAAAUAUAUCGUAUCUUAACCGACCCAUCACGAUAUGCGGAACGUAAUAUUACGUAAGGAAACAAACAGACUAUUUUCUCAUCACACAAUUUCCUCGCAAUUCCAAAUGAAGUUUAAAUUUUUAGUCAUUUAAAAAUAAUACGAAUGAAGUUUUCAGUCAUUUAAAUUUUAAUAUUUUAAUUUGAUUUGCGUCUUGAAGUACAAAUUAUUUGUCAAUGUUUGGGGUGCUUUUUUAAACCCCCAACAUAAAGAGCUGGAACUUCCAACAGUAUUGCCUUCCUAAUUUUUAUUAAUCUCAAAUUAGCCUCUGAUCAUUCAUGGCAAUGCCAUGCUUUAAGAAUGGAGUCUUUUCUUGACACAGUUAAUGAAUGAUUUUUUUUUUAGUUUUUUUAAUUUAAUUGUUUCAGCAAAGAAGAUCUUGAAUGAGUAUUGAUUUUAAUGUUUUGAGGGGAGUAAAAAUAAAUUAGAAUUGAUGGAAUUAUGCAACUGAAGAACAAAACAAAAAAAUAAAAAAUAAAAAAUCAAGCAAUGAAAAACCCAUGAACUAUAUUUAACACAUUAUAAAAAGAAAGAAAAGAAUAGCUCUGAGAAACAUAAAAUAUCAUGUGCAAAUUUUUGACCACAACCACUUAUAUGAUUCUAGGUAUAAUAAUCAUUUACGAUUUUACAGACCCAAUCCAUCAUCCAAAAAAUUGGCCAAUUUUUCUUAAAAAAAAUUGCUAAUAAAUCACUGUUGUGGAGUCACUUAAUCACCCAUUUCCCUCUCAAUAUAAGUGAAGGACCCCAAAAAAAAAAAAAAAAACUUUUUUAGGUUGAGAAAAAGAAAACAGGGGGAAAGUGACAAAGUGAUAGUUAAUUAAGCAAUCAAUAUAUAAAUAAGAGUAUAAUUAAUUGGCUAUUUUAGGUGGUGUGGCACACUAUAAAGCAUUUCUUAAACAAGAAAAUUGAGUACAGUGUGACCAAUCACCCAACAAUAUUAACUGCUCCCGCCAAAACCCAUCUUGCUAAAGGGAUUGAACACUUGUUACCUGGAUUGGGUUCACCACUUCAUCCAUGGACCAAGUGACAAAGAGCAAAGGAUCAUCAGUCAAAUCAGAAACUCGGACUUCAAGCUUUUAUUUUUUUAGCAUUUAAGGUCCACUCCACGGGUUCAUUUGGUAUUAAAAAUCGGCUAAGACUUCUGAUGAAAAAAAUAACUAAGAGCGAAUUCUUCAACCAGACCACAAAAUAUAUUUUAAUCAAGUUAUUGUCAUAUACACAAUGUGUCUUUUUUUUGCCGCACAUAAUCUAACUGUAAUCCUAAAUAAAUGUCGUCACAAAAAUUUACAAAUUUUCUAACUAUCAAAUAUUUUGUAAUAAGUAAUUAUAACCAAAAGCAUAAUAAAAAAUAGAAUCAGACUCUUAUAUUUUCUCAAACACUCUAUAAAAUUGGCUAUGUAGCUAAAAGCAUAAGUAGAAGCAAAAAAACAGCUAAUAGAGACGCGAAACGGUUUCCUGGUAUAUAAUUUGACCGGUCUAGUAGACCCGGUCCAGCUAAUAGUCUGUAUCGACCCAAACAGAAUCGUACGGCCUCUCACAGUCCUUUCGCCGCCACCAUGAGAUUGAUUCCUCGUCCCCCAUGUCCUGUAAAAAACGUUGGAGUUAGAGAGAGAGAGUAGAGAGUAGUGAAUCGAGAGUUACUUGUUGGGGAAAGCAGAAGUUUCUACAGCGAACAACAACCAAUGCCGCGGCGGCCGCGGGGCGCUGCUGCAUCGCAGGCCGCCGAGGCGGAGGCGGAGGCGGAGGCGGAGUUAGAGGCGGAGCUGCAGGGCGACUUCGUCGACUCCGUGCUCGACAUGGAGGGUGGCAUCGGCGGGGAGACGCCGAUGGAGAAGUGGGAGAUGAGGUUCAAGUCGAAGAAUCUGGAGGCCGAGAGGAGGAGGAGGGGGAAGCUCAACACCAACAUCUUGGCCCUCCGUGCUAUCGUGCCCAAAAUCACCAAGGUUCAAUUUUUUUUUUCUCUUUAUUUCCCCUUUUUUCCAAUUUUUUUUUUUAGUUAUCUUUUUUUUUAAUUAUUAUUAAUGUAGUAAGGACCACCCCGCUUAAUUAUUAUUAGGCUAUUAAUUUUGGAAAUUAUUUGUGUAACUUUGUUGUUUUUUUCUUUAAUAAAAAAAUAUUUAAUCGGAGUUGUUAUAGAUAGUUUAAUUAAGGACUAUAUCAGACUUAUUAAUGGUUUUUUUAUCUGUUAGUUGUGGAUUAUUGGUGGAACUUGUAGUCUUAUUGUUUGCUAAAAAAUGAUUAAAAAUGUUAAAUUUAACAGCAUUUUUAUUAAAUUUAUUAAAAUUUUUAUGUAACUGAUUUGAAAUUGCUAAAAUAAAAAAAAAAGUUGGGAUGGGAUGGUCUCUAUAUAUUUUACAAUUUUACAAUAAACAAUCUGGUAAAAGGAAAAAAAAAAAAAAAAAAAAAAAAAAAAACAACAUGACAAUCAACAGUUCCUAAUGUAAGUGACAAAAAAUUUAAUGAUUGGAACAAAAAGUUUUAAGUUCAAAGUUUAANAAAACUCUUCUUUGCUGUUGUUAAGGAAUUGUUUUUGGUGAUUUUAGAUGAGCAAGGAAUCGACCCUCACCGACGCGAUCGAUUACAUUACGCUGCUGCAGAAGCAAGUGCUUGAUCUACAAACAGAGCUCUUAGAAACAGAUGGAGAUCUUAUUCAUAAAAAUGAAGCAAAUGAAGAUGAGGAGGGAGAGAAGCAGAGGAGUCCAAGUUCUGAAACAGUUGCUCCCUCUGUGACAGUGCAAUGUCAGGUAAUUUAGUUUUUUUAUUUUUCAAGAAAAUUAAAAUGAUAGAUAAAUUAAAUAUUUUGAGUUUCCAAAGUAGAAGUUUAAAAGUAAAUUAUUAUGAAAAGCAAUUGAUAUAUUGGUUUUUUCUUUAAGAAGAGAUUUUAAUAGAAACAUCCAAUAAAAGGAGAAAAGAAUAGGAGGUGAUAGAGAUUAAGCUAAAAAAAUUUGUUAAACUUAAAAUACUAAAAAAAAACACUUGGCGAGGAUGGUCUCUAAUGUGAGACCGUCACAUUUGUCAUUCAUGUGGCUUUGAAAUUCGUGUCAUUCACGUGAUUAAUAGCAGAUAGGAUAGUCUUGAAAUUGAGGACUGUUCCCAUCAAAUUUGUGUUGUUCUGUGUUUUGCUGUACAUUUAGUAUAAUAGUGAAAGUAUACAAUGAAAUGCAUGGGGAGGUGGUUUGGAUGUGGAGGAUAAACAUUUCAAUGCUCAAAAAGAGGAAGAAGAAAAAAAAAGACAAAAUAAUUUUUUUGGUGUUGUAGCAUUUUGUCUCCUAACCACUUUAGAAAUGCUUGAUACUCUUUGCCAACAGGGGCAGGUUGAGCUAAUACCUAUGGGCCCAAACAAGUACCAGCUGAAGAUAAUGUGCAAGAACAGGAUGGGGCAGUUCACCAAAGUUCUAGAAGCUCUGAGCUGCUUCAAUGCAGAGGUUGCUGAAAUAAGCUCUGUGGCCUUCUUCGGCUUCUCGAAGAGCGUGUUCUCCGUUGAGGUGAGUCCACACAAACUAAAAUAUCCUUCUACUAGUGAAGUAAGUGAUUAAUUGUUUAUGUUUUUCUUUUUUUUUUCUCUUUGUAUAGGUGAAGGAAGGAGAAGAGGGUGAAAUCAUAGAAUUAAGAAAUCUUUUGUUAGCACUUGUUGGAGCCUCGGAAAAUUGAGCUGCUUCAGAAUUGAUCUUUAUGACUUUGAUUUGAAGCCACUAAAUGUUACAUGCUUUUGUAGUUUAUAACAAAUGUCAGCAAUAUAAACAUAUAGAACAACUUGUGGUUCCUAGCAAUUGAAUCUUAUGCAGAAUUACAAAAUAAUAUAUGAUUAGUUGAAAAGCUUAUUGAGUAUGGAUAUUAAGCUAAAUUUUUUGUUCUACUUGUGGGCUAGUAUUAAAAAUUUUUAAUACUAGCCUUUUCUAUCUUUUCUAGUAACUUAAAUCAUUUACAGUGGCAUUUUUGUUUAGCUCUUUCACACAUUGGUUUCUGAUUGUGAUACUUUCAACAAAAAACCUAAGUAAUAAAAUGGAGGUUAAUUAGAUUUUUACCAUAUUUAAUGUAGUAAAAUAAUGCAGCUUUUACUAUUUGUAACUUUUAUUAUUUAUCUACAUGGUCUUGGUAAAUGGUAAAUGGUAAUUUUUUGGGUUUCUUCCAAGGAAGCCUUAUAGGCCAUGUGCUUAUAGGCCUCGGCAAAUUAGCUCUACUGGGUGAAUUCAUGAAAUAAACUGCUAAGGAAUGCGAGGAAAUAUAAGACGAAAAGCAUGAACAACUACUACAAGCAUAUAAAUUCUUCGAAAAUGAGAAGAAACUUGGCGGACGACGCUAACUUGCUAAGAUUAUUUACUUUUUUUUAUAAAAGAGAAUUGUAUUAUUAUCCAAUUGAUGCUGAACCAAUCUUUUCCCAACAUAUAGGCUAAUCACUCCACUAAAAUGCCAAGUGUUGUGCCUUGGGCAUUGUACUUUUCCUUUGUUUAGAAGGAUCAAUAAAAAAAGAAGAAUCUUUCAGGCUGAAUCAAAUGUACAUUGUCAUGGCCUUGUCUCCAACUUGGUAUAGUUUUGGUUCAUUUUAGUAUAAAAGCAAAUCAGUAACUUUGUAUGAUAAUUCAAUUGCCGACAUACGGAUAUCUAACAAGUGACAGCAGACAUCAGUAAGCAGCAAGAAGAAUCUAUGGGCUACAAGAUCGAGACUUUAUCGCUCGUGUGCAGAGAUCGUAAUUAACAAAACAGCAAAUGCAGAGAGAUUCCGAGUCACUCCGAGGUUCAGUGAGGUGGCAUUGAUCUGUCUAUCAGAUUUUUGAAUGACCAUGUCACCGAUUCUAAGUACAUUUGAAGCAAUUUUCCAAUUUAAUUAUGUGAAAGACAACUCAUUCUCAUAGUAUCUGCUAUUCUGCAGGUCAAAAGGACCAAAACUUAGUCAUGCAAUUCAGAUUAGAUACUCACAUAUCAGGAAGCUUCCAUUUCAUAAAUUUAUAAAUAAUGCCAACCAAAGGUAGAUUGCUUUCGAUCUGCGGUACAAAUUUUGGCUUUAUCAUAAGUCGAAACAGUAUUAUAUACGGUAAUGAAUCGUCAAAGGCCUUUUUGUUUCUCGUCUCAGGGACAUCAAUUAGACGCUCACUUGAGAGUUGGUAACACAUAAUGUGCACAUUAAGAUCUUAUUUUAUCUUGGGAUAAUAUAAGGACAAUGUAAAAUGAUCUGAAACACCCUAAUUGAACUCCGGCAUAUUUGUCUAAAAGUUAUGAAAUGGCCAUUAAACACAAAUUGAAACCAAAUUAGCUUUUGGUACUAAUUGUAAAAUUUGCCUUGGCAAACUUACUAAAAAGAUCUAAUCAUUCAAUUUUUGUUGAUCCUACAUUAGAAAAGUAUGCCUUUAUGCUCCGAUAUAGCAAAAUACCGUCGAAUUAAGAAAAGGAAAGUUAACUAGAGAAGAAGCAAUUAGUCCAUCAAAAUAUAUAGACAAUAAGGCCGCACGGGGGUAGCUGUCACAAAUGAAGAAGCAGAGAGAGGACAUCCUCGCGCACGAAGAAGCUCCUGUCUCAUAAAAUUUGUUAUAGUGCCAACUAAGCGAAAAAUAUUUAUAUGCCAACAAAGUGAUGAGCGAAGAUGUCGAGUUUGGUGAUCAUCUAUUGAACUCAAUUAAGUCCAAUGUUUUACUCAAAAUAAAAAAGUCCAAAGUUUCUGAUCUGAAGAGCGUUAAGGGAAUACUCCUAUCACCUCUUAGACCCGUUACAAUUUUACACGAGUAUAUUGUUUCUACCGAAACAACACUUUUGUAAAAAUUCCGAAUAGUUAGAAUAGUAAUAAUGAACAUUAUUGCGAGUGAACCGAUUUUAAGGGCUUCGUCUUUAGACUAAGUUUCUUCUGAGAAUUCGCAAUCAACUGUUAAAAUAGUUUGAGCAGAGCAUCAUUUAAAUUUGAUUAAUUUGCUGUAAAAUGUGAUCCUGCUGUACCCCUCAAUGUACACUGCAAUGCACCAUUUUCCAAGAGGCUUCUAUAAAUCAAUUUCAGAUUCUAGUGUAGGACACAAGUCCUGCUACUCACCCCAAUGAGAAAACCCAGUUGUUAAUUAAUCCUUGUCAUUAUGUAAAGAAACAGGUGUCACUCCUUAAUAAAACCAUCCACCCCAGUAAUCACCUCCCUUAAUCAAUAAAAAAAACUUUGUUUUGUGUAACAUAAAUUAAUAAUAAAUCAGUGUGACUUUCCCACUACCUGAAAUUAAGAUCCAACAUUGAAAGCCCCCCCCACCCAACACUCCUUGUAUCUAACUUAGUAAACUAAUCCAAUCCUUUCACACCAAACUUAACAAACAAAGUCAUUAACAAACCUCUAUGUAUAAGCCCUUAUAUAAGGCCACAAAUCUCCACUCUUUUGUACUACAAAUUCUCUCUUCAUCUUUCUUUGUGUUCCAAGUUUGAGACACUGCAGUAAACCAUCGAUGGCUCGCGUGAUUCUGUUCUGUGUAUUAGCUGCUGAUAUUGUUACGACUCUCGCAACGGCUCGAUCAUUUCCGACUGUCGAUAGGACCACUGCAAUUCAGAUUGAUAGGCCAAUGGUUGCUGAUCCCCCUUCUUCUUCCUCUUCUUCUUAUGCUGUAACUUCUAGUGCUUCUUUCGAGUCGAGACCUGCGGAGGGGCCUGCAAGCUUUCAUCCACAUGUGAAGCACCGGCCGUUCGACCGAUCUCUCGCCGGAGGGAAGAUCAUACUUGGAGGGCUUGCGGCCGCCAUUUUUGCCGCUGUUUUCUGCUACAUUCGCAUCACUAGGCGGAAAAGCGGAGAGCCAAAGUCUUGAAACUGUUCAAUUUUUUUUUCUAUCUCUUUUGCUUCUUCUUUGGCCACCCUUGUAAGAUUACAUAUAUUGUUACAGACAAAUUGUAUCCUUUUGAUAUUGUGUCAUACAGAAAGAAUUAAAUGACAUGAUUGCAAAUGUUACAGAAGUUUCAAACUAUUGAUCAGGGCAUUGAUCAGAGGAUUAUGCAAUUAAAAUUAAGAGUUCAAAUCAAAAAAGGAAAGAAAUAAAUAUGGUUAUUCGAGAUAAUCUGAGGAAAAAUGCAAUCUUGAAUAAUGUUAGUAAUCAAUGCAUUUCUUUAAAAGUAAAGUAUAACCAAUAAAUUUUAUGGGCCUUUUGAUAAUUUAGUCAUAUUAUCACUUCACAAACAAAAGGAUAAUUUAGUCUCUAUUAGUAAUCUCACUCCAUACAUGAGGAACUAUUUUUUUUUUAACUUUGCUUUUGAAAAGCUAAUGAGAUACUAAUUAAGCUAUAUUCUAAAGAUAUCUUUCUCCCAAAUUUCUCUUUUUGGAAAGAAAUGAUUGAACUCCUUUUUGUGGUGAAGAUUUAGUUGUACUAUUCAUGCACAAAAAAGUUACUUGAGCACUAAUCUGAGCACUAAUCUCGCGCAAGUCGAAAUCUUUAUACGAAACCAAAUUACUCCAUUAGUUACAAUUUCAAGCGUGCAAAAUUCUCGACUUCAUGUCGGAUCAAAAGAAGAAGCAGCAGCAGAAGAAGGAAAAAAACAAAUUGCACUUCAUAUUAGACUAGUUUUCUGCAAUUUUCAAAGUGAUCAGGAGAUAUGGCUAGUAUUACAGCUGGCAGGAACUUCGAACUUCCUACAUCUUCAACAUCAAGUUUGAUAAAUUAAAUACGAUAAUUAUGAUGCUGGUUUAUGUUAAUGCUUUAAUUGCUCACUAUCUAUGUACAGAGAUGUAAUGCUACAGUACAGAAACAUAUAAACAAUCAAUCCAUCAGUAACUUCUUUUUUUUUCCCUUUUUUUUCGGAAGAAUCCAUCAUUAACUUUUAACUUACUACCGACUGUUCUUAGAGCAAGUGGCAAAGAACUUAAUGGUUGGUACCCGAGACCCAAGUUCGAAUCCUAGUUGAUUCACAUUUUCAGCUAAGUUUAUUUCUAAGUGAAACAAACGAAGCGGGUAGCGUGCUACCUGUCUCUCAAAAAAAACUUUUAACUUACUACAGAGACAGAGAUGGUACUCAAAGUAUGAUUAUAGCAGUUCGGGAGGCAAAACAUUUCUAUAUAAUAACCUUUUCAUACAAUAUUGGUGGUUGGUACUCUUGAUUGUCUCUAAUGAGUCAAAACACACACACACACACACACACACCAUGUUCUUGUGGGACUUAAUUAUGAAUCGAAGGCGAUUAGCGAGUAUAACAAUAUGGAAACAUCGAAACAUAGAGAACCUUACAGAGUACACAUUGCAGGGGGAAACAACUUGUGCCAUAACUAAACUAUAUUUUUUUAUCUUUGAACGUGCGCGUACUUUUAAUACUAAUGAUGCAGGUGUUCUAUGGAUAAGUAGCAUUAUGUCUCCUGAUCUCUAACAUUUCCUGAAAAUAUGCAAAUGAAAAUGGUACAUAUAUAUUAUUUUUCAUUCACUUCCAAUAAUACACUGAUACAACUUAAGUUUUAACUAUAAUUAAAGUAUGGACACAUUUAAUUAACCAAGGUAAAGCUUACAAUUUUACACAUUAGAGAGGCUAAAUUACAGAAAAUCCCCUUGUAAUAACCCGCUUUUUUACUUUCGCCCCCUGACAUUUAAAAACCUACACUUUGCCCUCUUGUAAAAUGAAAAAUCUGCAUUUCAUCCCCUACCGUUAAGGUUCUGUUAUAAAAUAUUUUUUUAUGCCGAAAAUACCCCUCCGCCCUCUUUCUUAUUGCUUCGCCUCCCUCCGGCUCGCCGCCUCGCCGUCCUCCACUGCCUCGCCUUCACCUACAUCCCUUUCGCCCUCCUCCGCCGCAUCGCCUUCGUCCUUGUUGCCCUUGCCUACCUCUCCAUCAACACCCACCUCGAUUUUCUCCCUACUAUCGUCGAAAUCGAGAGACGGCGAGGAUGCAGGAGGAGAAGAGGAGUAGGUGGAGAAGAAAAUGGAUAGAUAUUGCGGCCAAUUGAGGUGGGAAUCGUGGUCGAUCGAAGGGACGGCUGAGGAAGAUGAGGAAGAAGACGAAAAUGGCGAGGGGCGAAAUGGUCAUUUUACAUAACGUAAUCCCCCUAUAAAUAUUUUUUAUUUUAAAAAAGAUAAAGUGUAGAUUUUAAAUGUCAGAAGAAAAAAGUAAAAAAACGGAUUAUUACAGAGAUUUUUUUGUAAUUUAGCCUAUUAUAUAUUAAGCUACAUUUAUGCCUUUCCUAUUUAAGGUAAGGAAGAUCCAAUUGAAACCCAGCUCUAAAACAAGCUAAAUGGAUAUGGAUUUGGUUUUAUUGCUUGUUAUUCGAUGAACUCGAAAACAUUCCCUAACACAUAAAAAAAUAAAGUAAAAGAAAAUUAAAAGGACCUAAUAAAACACCAAUGAGUGAGUAGUAUUUACUGAGCUAUCAUUGGAAUGGACCACGCAGAAAUUCUCUUUCCCAUCUGAAGUAAGAUCUAGCUGUCCAUUCUUUAAUUUAUAGUGCUACAGGUGUCAUUUCUAUAACUGCAGUCCUAUCACAAAUGAGAAUACUAUUCAAGCAACCUAUUUUAGUCAUAUCAUCUUAAAUUAAAAUUUUCUUAUAAUCUUUGCUGUUUCACAAAUAAAACUAGAAAUGCAAACGACAAACGAGACGGAUUCGGAGGCGGAGAAGGACUGACUUUUAUCUUUUUUUUUUUUUUUUGUCUACAGUACUUAUCGAUUUAUUCUGAAUAGAUCAGAAUAAAAGAGAAUUAGGACGGAUUAAAGGAAAAAAACAAGGGUCCCCUAUUUUUUGCUGCUUUUUUUUUUUUUUUAGGUAGAAGCGGAUUCAGGACGAGUGAUGUUAUUUUUUAUUUUCGCUCUCUAGCUAGUUAUUCGGAAUGCAUCGGGACAGAAGCUAGCUCCACCAAACUUAGAGAUUUAUUAACUUAAUAUAUUGUCAUAAAAAAUUCUAUAAAUUGUUUGUUUGGCAAACAAAAAAUAUUUAAAAAAUUAUAUAUAGUAUAUUUUUAAAAAAUAGGAGGUGCAUGCAACACCAGCUGCCAAUGGGCCUGUAAUGAAAGGAAUCUUCACUGAAAUCUACCACCACCUAACUACAUAAAAAGUGCCCCACUGUCUUUUACCAAAAAUAAAAACAAAACCAAAAAUAAAAUAAAAUAAAAUAAAAUAAAAUAAAAAAGCAGUAAUUCAUAUCAUGCAACACAACUCCCCCUCAACUCCACCCUUGUAUAAAGGGCUUACUGCAACAACAAGAGAGCUCCAAAAAUCUCUAACCCCAACAAUCACCAUCAAUGGCUCCUCCCCUCCCUCCUCAUUUCUUCUCUCUUUUACUUCUUGCUAAUCUCCUCGUCAUCGUCGCUGUAGCUCGGCCUCUUUCGACGGUCGAAAGAGCCAAUGCAGGUGAGCCCACUAUGGCUUAUGCACCAUCUUCAAGCUUGAAUCCAAUUGAACUACAUAUGACAACUUUUGCGGGCGCACCGGAGAUCAGCCUGCCUCAUCAUCGACAGCAUCGAGCCUUCGACAAAUCGUUCGCGGGAGGGGAAGUGAUCCUCGGUGGGCUCGCCACUGCGAUCCUCGCCGCCGUCUUCUGCUACAUUAGAGUCACUAGGGAAAGAGUGGAAGAUGAGAAAUCUUGAAGUGGUUGUAUUAACAUGUUUUGCUUAAACAAGUUUUACAAAUGCUACUUUAAGUGAAAAUCAAUGUAUAAAGAGGCCAUCUUGGAUAUUGAAAUGGAUAGGAUAUGUUGUGUAAAAUAUUCUUCUAUGUUUUUCCCCAUUUUCCUUAGUUUUGUUUAAAUUUAAAUAGGUUCUGCCACUCUUGCAAAAAAUGGCUACAGCUAUUGUUUAUUGCUUACUUAAUUCAUCAUUGUUUUUUUUUUUUUUUUCCUUUCGUACAUAUGUCAUUACUUUUCUUCUUUUGGUUUCUCUUCUUCUCAUAAAAUGUAGAGAUCAUAAACAUGUGGAGUAGGUGUUGAAUCAUUACUUCACCCUUUGCUUAAAAUUAACCCUUCACAAUACUUCAAUCAUUUGAUGCUUAAUUAUCAAAAUAAAUUAAUGGCAAAAGGAAAGAGCCAUAUACAUUGUACAAAAAAAGAAAAAGAAAAAAGAAAAAAGAAAAGUAGGGGUGGGGCCAAACUUUCUCCAUGAGCUUGUGGUUUUCAAUUAGUUGUCAUUAGUGUUUAGUAUCUUGUAGAUGUUAGGUCAGGUCUCUAGCCAAAGAAAGGUUUAUUGAAUACAUGUGGACUUAAUUUGUUCAAUUAAGAUCUUAUAAUUAAUGCAAUCACACCCCAUUUAUCUUUGCUAACAUAGAUAUUUUCCAAACUCGAAUUAAGCUCUAGAUUUGGUUUCCAUUAUUUUUUAUGAUUUACCGAAGCUAACGCAACAAUACUGCUUAGACCUAUUAAUAAUAAGAAAUACUUAAACUAGAGUGUGUCAAACUUCUCACCAGUAGCUGGUCAGCCAUGUUUUAAAAGCGAUCCUCUACCCCUUCUUCUUUUCUUAAUUUAUUUCUUUUCCACCCCAGCCUCUACGCUCUUCUUAUGCUUGUUACUUUUUUUUUUGCCUGUAUUUUUGUCUGUUUCUCGGAAGCCCAAGCUGCUUCCAACAUGUAUGCCCAGUUCAUUUAACUUAAUGAAUGAAUCAGCUAGCUCGCUACCUAUUUCUCAAAAAAAAAAAAAAAGAAAUCUUAAACUGAGUUACUAGUACUAUUAUUCUGCGAAUUACCCUUUCCCUUUUUGAGUAUGACUAAUUAGGUGUAAGCCACACUAACGAAAUAAAGUAAGUUAUCAGCAGCUGAGAUAUUGAGUCUUCAGCUGAUAAUUUGCUAGUGCGUCAUUCAACCGAGUUGCAUUCUCUCUAUUUCUAAAAAAGGUUAGUGGUUAUAUAUUUUCAACGCUUUCUCAACAUCUUCCAACACGAAACUACUACUUUUUUCGGUGUGACAUAUGCAAGGAUAUAUAUAUAUAUAUCCUUCAUGGAAAAAGAAACAAUAGAUCUUAUCUUGCUUUACAUGCAUGGGAGAUAUUAAAAAUCAUGGUCAUGUCACCUUCAAAGGAUUAAAAGAAGGUAGGCCUAACAUGUGCAGAUAUAGCUGAUCAUCAUAUAUCCAAUAAUAUUGCUUUAAUUGGUAGUAAUUCAUGCAUGAUUAUGAGUGGUCAUCGGUCCAUGUUUUAAUUGCUGGACCCAUGAAACUAAUGACUAGCUAGUUCGACCAAUGUGUGCGCUAUGUAUCGACGUGUGCCCAACCAUGACCACACUUGUUUCAGGCUCAAUUUUGAGUCGUGAAAUUAAGCAAAUGUUUGGUUGGAGCGCUCUCACUUUUUCUUUUGUGGCCCCAGCGCACGUGCGCGUGCAUGUGUGUGAGCUACUACAUGAAUGCACCUCAUAAGGCCAGGAUCCUUGUAAGGUGAUAUGGUCCACCUUCAAAACAUAAUAUUGGCUCAUCCAGAGUGUAGUAAGUUGCACUUAAUGAGAGAAAGAGAGAGAGAACCUCAUAUAUAUCAGGUGCUUAAAUGCAUGUUGAGCUGGUGAUAGCAAAAACUCAUCUCUCAAUCAUUGAUGCUUGAUUCAUUGCUGAUCCAAUAAAUCUUUUGAAUAUAUGAUGGAACGAUCAUGAUUGAUUUGAUUUAAUGUGAUAUUUAUGAUUCUAUGACGCACGUGGAAUCUUGCUGUUUGAGAAUAAGUGCUCGAUCGAUCGCGUUGUCUUUAAAACAAUUUUUCUAUUCCAAUGAGUGGCAAUCGUGCACUAUUUAACAAACAAAAUUUACUAUGGCAAGAAGUUAAAAUAAACUUUUAGAUUACUAGUUUUCCAUAGCACAUAUAUGCAGGUCCGCCAGAAUUAAUUCUCUCGGCAUCGUUGACGGAUAACAUUCAUGCACAACCAUGAUCUCAAAGCCUAUCGACUUACACCGCGUUUUAGAAUCAGUAAGCUCUUGCAUUAUUUGCUUGAUUUGGUUUAGUGGAUUUAAGAAAUGUUUAAGUAAAUCCUUCAUUUAUUGUAAAAAGAAAAAUUUUGUAAUCAACAAUAGAGUCGGUUACUUACGAUUUACGAACUAGCAUGGUUCUUUGCAGAGUUCCAAUGGACUCGGCACCGCAAACAAGCCACUUGCCGACUUUCUCCUACUCCGAGGAGUCGGCGAGCUUUCGACCUCGGCGCCGUCUUCGUUCAUUCGUAAGCACCAAGAAAACAGAUUGCGGCGGAUGCAUUGAGGAAAUUAUUGGCAGUGCCUGGUUUACCACGUCAGCCAUAGACUGUACAGCAUUUACUGUCAAUCUCUAUAUACGUUUUAAACUUUCGCCCUUCAUUAAAUUUCAUCAUAUCUUUUUUUUUUUAUAACAAUUAUUUACUAUAUAUAUAUAAUUUGAGGAUAAGUUAUAAUUUUAAAUUUAAUUGUAUAGUCAAAUUUUAAUUUUUAAUUUUUUAUAGUUAAACUUAGAACUAAAAAGUUUUAUCUAAUUCCUCUUAUUUUUUUUGCAGUCCACGGAUGACGUGGUGAACUUCGUCCACGCAACAAUUUUUCCCGGAGAAGUAAAGCGGUGCAAGAGAGAGAGAAGCAGAGAACGCUAUAGAACGCCGUAUAAAGGGCGUAGGGGAUUGAACGAAACCGUAACCUUAAACCCUAGGGCAGAGGAGAUCGAGAUCGAGAGAGAGAGAGAGAGAGAGAGAGCAAUGGCGACGGAGAGCUCGGCCAUGGCGGUGAUCAGGGCCUCGCGCCCCUUCUUUCGCAACUCCCACGACAAGGUCGCCUUCGCCGUCCACGCCUCCUUCCUCGCCGCCGGCUACUCCCUCGCCGCCGCCGGGAAGAGCGCCUUCACCGAUCACCUCCCCUCCGGUUGGUAUCAAUUCCCUCCCCGAUCCCAUCUCUCUUUGAAACCCUCGGGUUCCGAUCUAAUUCCUCUUUGUUUGAUUUGUUGUUUGUGUUGCAUUGCAGGGGAGGAGGAGGUGGGAAUCGAUGGGUGGAACGAGCUUGAAGAUCGCUACGCUUUUGUUUACUUUAAGAAUGAGAAGGGGGUAAAAAAGCGAGUUCUGGUCAAGUGCUUGGCGAUUGGAGAUAAGCUCGCUGUAGAUGUGCUGAACCUUGAAGGGGAGCAAAAGGAACCUCUUCAUCUCCAAAUCAAGUAUGGAUUCGUUUGUAAAAAUUGAAACCUUUUCCUUUUUUUUGGGCAAUUUGUGUGGUUAUUGUUGAUUCUGUGUUACUGUUCGUGGUUGCAGUGUGAAGGAUUACUUGUCUGACGAUGGUGUUGAUCAACCGAGAAAUUAUGGGGAUAUGUACAAGGAUCUUAAGGGCCUUGUUGAGAGCUUGAAGUCUAGUGUUUUGGAUAAAUUGGAGGAUGGAUAUGAACGAAAAUUGAAUGCCAAAGUCGAGACCUCUUCAUCUUCUCGCAGGUCUCUUCAACUUGAAAUUUGGAUCUCUGAGUUUAAUAUACUAGUUUUAAUCAUUAAAUUCUUGUGCCAUUUAACUUAUUAGAAAAAUUACUUUGAAAACUGAUUUGAGAAAUGCAUAGAAGCCUCUUAGAGAUAUGUGUUAACGGUGUUAAUUGCUUGGUGAUUUAAGAUUUGUGAUGUGGUUGUUAUGCAACAAGGUUUGUCUGUUUAAAUGUUUUGUAUGUACCAGCGAUAUCUGCUAUGUGACAUUGAUAUAUUAUUCGACAGGUAGACUGGUUUCUUUGUGCAACACCAUUCUCCUUUCAACUGACAAAUCAUGUAUAAACUAUAUAACCAAUUGAGUGUAGUUCAGUAUAAUUGUGGGUUUGUAAAGGUUUAUUAGUUACUUGGUGCUCUAUCACAGAUCAUGCAUUGGAGAUUUGUGGAAGUACAAUAAAAGCAUAACAGUGUAGCAUAAUGCUUUGGCAGUAUUGGGGUAGUUGGGUGUUGGAAGGAGCAACUUUGAAAGAUUUAGGUUAUAAAUUUAGCACAGGAGAGAGAUUAAUUGAUAAUUAGGGAAGUUGAAUAAGGGCCAAGUUUCUGUAGGUAAUUAGUGGGCUUCGAGACAAGAUGUUAGUAGGUGUAGAGGCAUUUGAACUUGUGUCAAAGUGAAUUUGGAAGAAUAUGUGAUAAUUCAUGACAUGAAUGAACAAUAUCACAGGUUGAUAUGCUUUUAAGAAACAUUUCACUUUCUCACGAUACAACUUGAUGCAUGUGUAUUGAGUAGGUCUCUGGUUGGUUGCCCCCCCUCCCUACUAUACUGUGGUUGCAUUCGUGUAUGCUCGUAUAUCAUGAUUAAUUGCUAUUUUUUAUGGCACAACACGACAAUUUUGUGGCUUAUUCUCUGUUUUCCAGUUAUGAAGGGCCUGAUAUAGACUUAAACACUCCUGAAUCGGUUGUGGGAGUUCCAGCUGAGGAUCAGCGUCAACCACCAAAGUAGGUGCUUUGAGUCCUUUUCUGCUUUUUAUUUGCAGUUGCAUGGUAUUCUAGUUCUAUCCUUUAUUUAUUUUCUUUAUAUGAUUGUAAUAAUAAACUUCCAAAUCUGGAUCAACCACAAAUUUAAGGGCAAGUAAAGAUAAAAAGGGAAUGUAUUUACUUGCAAUAACAGUUGUUACUUGCAACAACAGUUGUUACUUGCAAUAGCAGUUGCUAGACGGACUUCUCACUAAGUCAUCAUGAGUAUUCGACUCACAGCCUAGGUCUACCGCUAAAUCUAUGGCACUAGAGGUAGUAAAAGGCUGUGCUCGAGGGGUUCAAAUGUAAAUACAACUGGCAAGGGUAGUGCUCAGUUUGGUCAUCCUCUUAGUGUAUGCAUGUGUUUGUGAACAAGAUGAAGAGAACUGAUACGAAAAGAAUUCAUCAAUUUGCUUGCUAACAACUUUUUACAUGGACACAUCUGAUAAGAAAGAUAUCUAGGAGGGAAAGAAAAGGCCGGGAAUGAGAGAAAAGACAAAUAAGAAUGUCUGAUGUAGAUUAGAUUGACCUUGAGCAGGACCGUUAGCUGAGUUGGCAAUUAAAUGAGUUCUUAGUAAUUUAUUGUGUCGUUGAUUAUAUAUGGGUAAUAAUGUGAUGUCUGCCGUAAGGGUUUCGGAAUUACAAAAGAGAAAUAAAAAUGAAUGUUGACACUUUUAGCUUGGUAUUGCGUCUUAAUUCUCAACCAGUCUGAAUACACUUUAUUUCCCUCUAGCUUUAAUGUUGUUAAUAUUUUUAAUGUGAUUUCACUUUGUUUCAGCUAACAUAUAAUAGAAUUGAAACAUUUUUUUAAUUCAUAUUUGGUCAUAUUUUAUCUUUGUAUGUAGUAUUGUAUAUCCUCCAGUUCCCCCAUUUGACUACAAUGACGCGAUCCCUGGGGCUGGUGCUGGGUUUUAUCCUAACAGGUUUGUUUUCGAGCCUCACCAUAUUUAUGUCGUAUAAUUUACUAUCCAAUCUAUGAUCUCAUAUGAUCAUAUUCAUUCAUUUCAGGGGUCCCGGAAUCGGUGGAGACAUGCUCGUAGGUAAUUAACUUAUUCUUCAGUUAUACAAUAUCGGAUUACUUCAAUUAAUUCUUAGAAAUUUGCUUAAUGCUCUUAUCAUUGCACAGGGCCAAAUAAUCCAAUCUUUUUCCCUCCUGGUGGACGCCCUGAUACUCUAGGUGGAUUGCCGUGAGUAACAUCUAUUUAUUUUUCUGUAUCAUCAAAAUCUGCUUAUCUUGUCCAAAUCUACAGAAUCAUUUUGUAUUAAAGGUACUAAUACAUGUAAAUCUGAUACAGUGGUGUACCUCCUGGUGCUCGGUUCGAUCCCAUUGGUCCUCCUGAUGUUCCAGGCUUUGAGCCUGGUCGCUUUGUCAGGUACACUUCAAUAGAUAUUUAAGCAACUAAUAGAUGAACCAAGUUUUGUGGCCACAAAGUAUUCAUUAUCUGAUGUUCGCCUAUAAGAUUAAAAAAACCAUAGCAUGCUUAUUGUAGACAUUGUUUAUUUUCGCCUGUCUGGUUAUCUUAUAAAUUGCUUCUUAUUUUAAUAUGUUGGUGCGGUAAAUUUCUGUUUCUGAUAAGCCUCUGCUGUAAAUUCUAUGCAGGCGUCAGCGGAGGCCCGGCGGCGGUACUCAUCCAGAUCUUGAAUUCUUCCAACAAGGCCCUGACUUCAUAUAGAGUGUUGCCUCAGUUGCGCGGCAAUUUUGCGUUUUCACCAUGGUUUUGAUGCAUGCAUAUGUUUGCCGCAUAUAUAGCUGACAGACAUAUACCUGACAGACAGUGCAAUAAGUUUCCUUUCUGUUGCAUCUAAAUAUAUGACAAAAAAGAUGUUCUAUGGUGUUAUACUCCUGUGAAUGUGGUGCACUGUGUCCUUUCAUUACCAUGUUCUGCUUUUAGUAGCAUCAUGAACUCUUCUGAGUUCCUUGAGCCAAUUAGGGUGAUCUCUCUUCUUAGAUCCACUUUUGCUUGUGGGACGUCAUCAUCAUUAAUGAAUUUUUAGAGCCUUAAAAGACAGUUUUAUUUUAGUGCUUCUGAUGUGUUUUAUAUGGAGAGAACCUGUUGGUGAGAUAUAUUUGAUAUAUUGCUUCUUUCCUAUUGUAGUAUUUGCGAAGUACUUUUUCUAACAACACUGCACUGUAAAUCAGGCUGGAACAUAAAAGUAAAAUAAAAUUAGCAAGCCAAAAGGCUGGAACAUAAAAAAAAAAAAAAAAAAAAAAAAAAAAAAAAAAAAAAAAAAAAAAAAAAAAAAAAAAAAAAAAAAAAAAAAAAAAAAAAAAAAAAAAAAAAAAAAAAAAAAAAAAAAAAAAAAAAAAAAAAAAAAAAAAAAAAAAAAAAAAAAAAAAAAAAAAAAAAAAAAAAAAAAAAAAAAAAAAAAAAAAAAAAAAAAAAAAAAAAAAAAAAAAAAAAAAAAAAAAAAAAAAAAAAAAAAAAAAAAAAAAAAAAAAAAAAAAAAAAAAAAAAAAAAAAAAAAAAAAAAAAAAAAAAAAAAAAAAAAAAAAAAAAAAAAAAAAAAAAAAAAAAAAAAAAAAAAAAAAAAAAAAAAAAAAAAAAAAAAAAAAAAAAAAAAAAAAAAAAAAAAAAAAAAAAAAAAAAAAAAAAAAAAAAAAAAAAAAAAAAAAAAAAAAAAAAAAAAAAAAAAAAAACAUAAAUUCCUGAAACUUUGACUCCAUAGGUUAAAACAUAUAAUCAAAUUAACGUGGGAUGGAUCUGCUUAGUUAGAUUUGACCUUGGCGUACAAGCACAAUUCCUACAAUGAUUCGGUUUCCACUUUUAUUUGUUUUAAUUAUAAUGAAUGUACAUGAGUCGUAUUUGAAUAGGUAAAUGCAUGUGUGGUGCUUAAUAAUUAUCGGCUACGUAAAUAUAUCGUUUACAAUGUCUACAUAGAUAAUAUAUGCACCGAAUAAUCUGCUGCAAAUCCUAUUCAAGCACAAAAUUUGAUCUUUCGAGAAGUAGUUAUACCGAUCUGUCCCUAACGUAAAUGGCAAAGGACUUAGUGAUCGGUAUCCGAGAUUCAUUGUUUUUGUUGUUUUUUGUUUUGUUACUUAUGGAUUUAAUGCAACAAAAAAAAAAAAAGUUUUCCUUAACUUCAGUUAAAAAGAUAAACAGAUGGAGCCAUGGAACACAACAUCCAACAAAUAUAUAUAAUCCAUUAAUUUAAAACAAUCUCUAGUAGUACGUACAUUAAUAAUAAUAUGGACAUUCCAAAAAACAGCAUUAAUUUCUAUUACUAGUACCUGUCACGAAUAGAACAAUCCAAAAACAGCUCAUGUAAUCUCACAUCCACCAAACACUAUUAGAUACACAGAUGGCAAGCUUGAAAGGGGCCAAGAAGCUAUACAUCAAUACAAACAUUCAACUCAAAACUUGAUUUUCUUACUCACACACUAAUGACGCAUUAUUUGGAUCCGCUUCUGUUUCUGCUUUUAAAAAGCGUUUACGCCUCCGAUAGACGAUUUCACAGAGAGGACAAUCUGAAUCUUCUACUCCAGUUUUAAAUACAGAAACCCCAAACCAGUACUUCCGACUUCCGACUUUACUGCAUUAUUUGAAGCACUUAUCAUAUCAGAAAAAUUAUCACAGCCUACAGCACAACCAAACAGACCCUCUACAAACAACAUCACACUAUUUUCCAUAUUAUACGCAACGAGAAAGUUACUGCCAUGAAUGGAAGAUGAUGGAUGGGUGGAGAGGAAAGUUUCUAAUAGACAAUCAAUUCCACAUUCCCAUUUACGACACUCCAGUUAUAGAUGCAGCCAAAAGAAAGAAGAGACAAAAAGGGAAGAGGGGAAUAAUGCAGAACUUCUCCUUGCAGAAUAUUCCUCUUCUUAUUAUCUCUGCUCCUGGAACCCUCCUCCCUUUCUGCCGAGAAGCCCUGCAGUAUCAAACAAUACCAUAUAUAUGCAGUGAGCAGUGUAUUAUAUGUAGAUGGGAACAGCUUGUGAGGAAAGAUGAGGACAGAAUCCAUCAUUAAAGCAAAGAAAAGGACAUUCUAACUAUCAGAACUGCAGAAAAUGGUGGUCUUAAUCAAUUAAAGAAAGAGUUUCACACUGAAAGGCAUAGUAUAAAUGUGAACAGAAAAAGAUGAAUUUUUGAGACAAUAUUAAGUGAACAAACAAAUCCAAGAAAAAAUUUAAUCACAAAUAAAGGCUUGAAGAUAAAAACCUUCUGGUUCAAAAUAAUAUUGCUGCAUCAGAGGAAUUGUCAAAAAUUUUAGUUUAGAGGACUAGUAAAUCAAAUCAAAUAAUAGGUAAGAGUAAAAUUGUCAAAGUAAACAAGUCGGUGGGGUGACUUAAGGAAAUGAACAGUUGAUGAAAUUUUCAACACAUGCAGAGACUUUUUGUUUUUGGUUUUUGUUUUGAGUACAACACAUCCAUAGAGUUGAAAAAUGUGAUUGCAAAGAACAAAAAGGAAGGCCCUUUAUUUAUUUAUUUAUUUAUUUUUUAAGAACAAGCAAACAUGGAAGAGAGAAUAGCAGUGUGAUAACUCGGAGUAUGCAUAACAAGUGUGUUUGGAUCAAUAAAUACUAUACUAUGAGAGCUGAAUACGAAACAGUUGCCCUGAUUUCGACUAAAAAUAUCUUAGUUUCUACUACUUCAUAAAAGCAUGCAUGUCAUUAAAAUUAGUUAACAGCAACUAAGCAUAAUUCAAACAUAACUCACUCACAAUAAUUAGCAUAGUUUACAAGUAUAAAAAAUUCAAUUAUAGCAAUAAUAAGGAGAGAAUACAUAUGCCUGCAAGUAAGUAAAGAUAGAUGAUAACCAUCAUGUCAAAGGAAAUUAAAAAAAAAAAAUCCUUUUUUUUGAAGGAAAAAAAAGGACCAAUCUAUCAAUUUCAAAUUAGAAAAAAAGAGAGGAAAAAAAAACUUUCACCACCGGUGGGGCAAUUAAGCAAACACUUAAACACCCACUUCAAACUAGAAACUGAAACAACAAAAAUUAACGCAAUAAACUCAACGAAGACCAUAAACCACUAAUCAAAAUUGGGUCUUUUUAAGUUUGCUCACCAUCGGGGCGACAGUCGGGGGGGUCGUCGAAGAGGGAGCGGGAGAGGCGCUUGUGGGCGAGGCCGAUGUCGAAGAGGAUGACACCGGAGGUGGGGUCGGAGACGAGGAUCCCCUUAACGGGUAGCCACACGAAGAGCUCCUCCUGCGCGAGCCCCUCCACGCCGCGGAGCGCCCCGAAGCUGAGGUUGCCGCGUAUGGAGCGGUUGAAGAAGGCGACGGCGUCGUCGUAGUACUUGGCGUAGCAGGGCCGGUUCAGCUCCACCGUGAGCACGCCCGACGAGCGGUUCAGGGAGAAGGUCUCGACCCCUCUGGGCAGGAGCCCCCCCGGGAGCCCGUGCUCGCGGAGGAGCUCGUGCACGCUGCUAUUGCCGCCGCCCAUGGCGGCGGCGGACGUGGCGGCGACGAGGAGGAGGACGAGGAGGAGGAAGAGCGGUGGGAGAGGUGAGAGGGAGGGGAAAGGCGAGAGCUUUAGCUUUCCCAUGGAGCGGAGAUCGAGAGAGAGAGAGAUACGGAGAGGUUUUUAGGGUUUUAGAAGGGUUUGGAGAAGGAGAGAGAGAGAGAGAGAAUAUGUGAGUGGGGAAAGGGAAUGGAAAUGGAAAGUGGGUGUUGAAUUAUAACGAAGAACCACACUAAUGGAGUGGGAAUUGUUAAGAGUGAAAUGACUAAACUACCCCUUUCUUCAAAUUAGGUAAUUAAGAAAAUGUUUAUAAUAAUAAUCUUUCAAUAAAGGCUAGAUAAAACAAAAGUGUCUCAAAUUUGAUAUCUAACAAAUUAAUAAUAGUAAAUAAGUGCACUAAAAUUAUUAUUAUUAUUAUUUUCUUAUCUUAAAUUCAGAUCGAAAAAUAUUUUCCAAUACUUAGCAUUUAAAUAUAUAUAUAUAAUUAAAAGCUUUACGAAUACUCAUUAAAUGCAAUUAAUUUUGUAAGCACAAAAUAGUUCUCUAACUAACGAGUACUAAAAUAAUUUUGCUUGCAGUAAUUUAUUACACGCCGUUAACGAAUUGUGCCUAAAUUUUACAUUAAAGUUUUUACAGUGCUUAAUAAACUAGAAAUAUACAUCUAAAACCUUUAAGCAUCGUAUUUUUUUAUCAAUGUUUUCAACCAAGAUCUUGGCAACAUUCACCGCCUUUCUUUACCCAACAUUUUCAAAUAUUAUAUUUUAUCCGUCGUUUAUUUUUGUAUAUUUAAUUAAUAUAUUUUAUGUAAUUUUUGUAAUUAUAAAUUUAUUAAAAUAAGUAUUAUUAACCGAUUCAAACCAAACAAAUUAGAAAAUUAGAUAGUAAAAUUAAAAUUUUAAAAGAUAAACCCUAUACGUUUUUUAUCUAUUAAAAAGUCUAAAUUACAGAAAAUCUCCAUAUAAAUACUCACUUUUGUACUUUUUUCUUUUUAAUUUUUAAAAAAUCUGUAUUUUACCUUCUCAAUAUUUCAAAUUGUGCAUUUAACUUCUUUCCGUCAGGAUUUUAUCACUAUUAUGGAAGGAAGAAGUAAAGGUAAUUUAAUUAGUUUACCCUUUUUAUUAAUACCGUACUUUUUCGAAAAUAUUUCUAAAGUUUUAAAAAGAUAAAAUAUAAAUUUUUAAAAGUAAGAAAGAAAAAAAUAGAUUUUUUUUUUUUGUAAUUUAGUUUUUUUAAAAAUGAUAUAAGGUUCUCCUCAAGGCGCGCAUUAAAUUGGAUUUAAUAAUAAACAGGGGUGAUUUAGACAUUUUCGUCCGAGUGUGGAAGAGGAUGGAUAUAUAUAAAUAUAAAAUAAAUAUAAUGAAGCCUUCGGUUUCGGCCGUUUGCGGGCGUUUCGAUGCGGAAUGAAAACGGGUCGGAGGUGGGAAUCUUUCGGGCAUGGGAAGAGUCCAAAUGGCAUCGCCAGACUGGGAACGCAAUGCGAGAGGAUUUUGAUUGGGUAGGAAACCUGAAAUAACUCCAAAACUCAGGUGUUUCACACUUCACCACCCCACCCCACCCCACCCCUUAAUCUCUCUCUCUCUCUCUCUCUCUCUCUCUCUCUCUCUGCAUUGUCUAUGGAAUCUUUUAUUAGUGGCUACAUGAAACAUGAAACAUGAAACAAUCAGUAGCAGAGCAGUUCAGUUCAGUUCAGUGAGCGUUAUCCGAGUUUUCAUUUUGAAGAUGGGUACUCGGUAUCCACUUCUGCGUUUUACAAAUAGGACUCGGGCUUUUCGCUUAGUGGAUAUUCGAAUAAGGGGUUGAUUGUAUACAGGUUUCUGCAAAUAUAGUGAAUAGUAAAUAUAUUCUCAUGAAGUUCAACUUUAUAUGUUGUUUUUAUAAAAAUUUUAAUAUUUUCAAAUAUAUCUCUACCGUUAGGAUUCGUUAGAAAAAAUUAGUUAACUUAAUAAGGUGAAUUAAUUUUUUUACCCAUCUUCAAUUAAUUGCAAAAAAGUUGUUUUACUUAUAAAAUAAACAGUACUUUAAUAGUAACAAACCAAAGGAAUAUAUUUUAAAAUAUUAGAACUUUUAUAUAGACAACAUAUAAAAAUUAAACUUUGUAGGAAUAUAUUUAUAAUUUACUAUAUUUGUAACGACCUGUAUAAAAUUAACCUUUAGAAAAAUAUCCAUAUUUGAGAGGGUUCGCCGUAGGGAAGUCUACAGACAAGCUCAAAAAAUUGAAAAGUAACGACGCUUGUUUAGUCCUUUUCUAUUUCUUCUUCCCAUAAGAGUCAUUCUCGUAAAAAAUAUAAUAUGCCUGUACAUUUCAAAAAGGAUGUAAAUUUUACACUUUCACUCAAUGACCUAUAUUGGACCCUUGUCCUUGUCAAUUUUUUUAUAUAUAUAUUCUAAAAAUUCAAAGAGUUUUUUAAAUCCUAGGAUGAGGAGUGUAAGUUUUAUAUAUAUUUUUUUUAAUGCACAAAUAGCAUUUUCUAACAAAUAGGAUAAAUAGAAUUGGCUACAGUAUACUUUUGGUCUUCAAACUAUGAUGUGUGACAUUUUGUUUCUUAAACUUUAAUUUAUUAUAAUUUCUGACUCAUAUUUUUUUACAUUAUUGUAAUUAAGUACUACAACAUAACUUUAUUGGCUGAAUUAUAAUAUAUUGCUGAUAUAAGAGUAAUGUAGUAUCUUAAUUAUUUUGACUUAUCAACCGUAAUGUUGUUAUAUUACUACCACAUUAAUGACAUAUUACUAUUUCAACCAUCUAAAAAAUUUGAGCUAAAAAAUACAAACAAAUUAUAAUUUGAAGACUAAAGUGUCACUUGCCUCAUAGUUUGAGGGCCAAUUGAGUGCAAGCUCAAACAUGAAAACUCCCACUUAGUGUUUAAUAAACUUUUGCAUUUGUGCAUCUACUAUAUAUGUUAAUCUUUGCUGUCUAAUAAAUUUUAUUAAUAACUAAAUGAAUACAAAUUUAGUGUUCGGGCGAGCAAGAAAUGUGGAGGCUAACUUCAUAAAUAUCACAUAAAAUCUUUCGAAAUAUAUAUAUAUAUAUAUAGAGUGAGGCUACUAUGCUAUCGGAAGCACGGAGCCUUCCGUGCUUCCAGCUCGUUUUCGAUGUUGCGACUUUCGAAUCGUCGAUCGGCUCCGUUAAACUUGAUCUAGAGUAUUUGAAGUACCUAGAAAAUAAAUUUUAUGAUUUUACGAUAUCAUUUGCCUAGUGAACGAAGGGGCUCAAAAUUAACGGCUGAAAAUAAAAAUCUUACAAAAUAUAAUAAUAUGACAUUAAAAUUUAAAAUCAAAGAUAUUGAUCUUGUUUUAUAUAGUAUAAAGAAUUUUCUAUCAAAAUUUCACGUGAUUUGAAUAUUUCUACACCGUUAAACUUGCAAACGGCUCACUACGGCCAUUGAAAUUUGUUGAUUUUGAGCCCAUUCGAUCACUAGGCAAAUGAUAUCGAAAAAUGAUAAAAUUUAUUUUCUAGGUACUCCAAAUACUCUAAAUCAAGUUUAACGGAACCGAUCGACAAUUCGAAAGUCGCAACAUCGAAAACGAGCUGGAAGCACGGAAGGCUCCGUGCUUCCGAUAGCAUAGUAGCCUUACUCUAUAUAUAUAUAUAUAUAUAUAUAUAUAUAUAUAGAGUUGAGCUAGAAUACUCUCGAUAGUAAACGGGGCGUUUUACUAUCAAGUUGUUCUCGAUGAUAGAGCUUCCAAAUUGACGAUCGGCUCCGUUGAACAUGAUCUAUACCACUUGAAGUGUUUAGAAAUCAAAUUUCAAAUCUUUUCGACAUCAUUUGCCUAAUGAUCAAAGGGUUUCAAAAUUUGUAAUUUUAAUGGUGGAUAAGAGACGUUUUCUCGUUUAACGGUGUAAAGAUAUCCAAAUCAAUUGAAUUUUUGUUAGAAAAUUCUUUAAACCAUUUAAAACAAGAUCUAUACUCUUGAUCUUGAUUACAAGACUCCUAUCAUCAUUUUUUAAAGAAUAUUCAUUUUCAAACCAUUCAUUUUUUGUUCACUAGAUGGAUAAAAGAACAAUAUCGAAAGUGCGUGAAAUUUUAUUUCUAGGUAGUUUAAAUGGUUUAGAUUAUAUUUAACGGAGCCGAUCGUCAAGUUGGAAGCUCUAUCAUCGAGAACAACUCGAUAGUAAAACGCCCCGUUUACUAUCGAGAGUAUUCUAGCUCAACUCUAUAUAUAUAUAUAUAUAUAUAUUUAUAUAUAUAUAUGAGAAAAGAUAGCACGCUAUCUGCUUUAUUCAUAGAAUGCAUGUAAUCUUUUGAAAUAUUACAAAAGAUUAUAGUUGGCCAGCUUUAGUUUGUAUUUGACUCUAAUAAGAUAAUUUUAUUUAAGUAAUAUUUUCUUAUCUAGACGUAUAUAUAUGGGUCCUAGCAUUUGCUUCUUUCUAUGUCCCUAUUAAUUAGUUUACUCUAUUCUUGUACAACUAUAAUGUAAUGUUCACACAACUAGCAAAACCUAGGAGCACAUGAUCCAAAUAAUGAAAUGUGCUUUUCCGUAGAGGUUUAGGAGUUGCUUACAAGAGAAAGCAAAAGCACUUUGAGCAACAAUACAUGGAGAAAAGCCAUUAUAAAUUGUUAAUUAUUAUUAUUAUCAUUAUUAUUCACUAUGGUUCACAUCUCCAUGCAAUUAGCUACUAAAGGGCCGUAGAGGGAGUCACUUUUUAUGUACCACAUUUCGUUUUAAAAUUAUCACAACAAUAGCUUUUAUUUAUUUAAUUUUUUUUUUGUGUGGACUCAACCUCCCAUGUUGAUACUCUUUUGAUAUCAAUGAUUGAAUAAUUAAUUAAUUUCUUUCUUUAAUCCCUCUGUCGAUACCAACAAGUUCGAGGAUUAAAUUUGUAAAAUUACGCGCAAAAGGGUGUGAUCGAUCCCUGAUCUCCGAGUGCGAACAUUAUCUUAUUGACUAUGCAAAGAUAUUAAGCUGGAUUCGGCGCCGAAACAUCUCAAAUUGCCGGCUAUCGCUAGAGUCGGUGGCGCAACACAUCCUUCGCCGAAUUCAACAAAACCAUUCAAUAUACCGUAUUCGCAACUGUAUGUACGUUCGAAAUCCUCGGCGACGAAACACUCGACUUUCUCUGCGUUCACAAGAAAUUCGGCGGCGAAACAUCCGACGUCGCCGAUUUAUAUUCUAAAGCGCCAUUUUCUCCCCUACAAAAGCAACAAAACCCUAAUAAAUCCCUCGUCUCCUCUUCCCCGAACCCGCUCUCCUCCCUCGACGGCCGCUCCGCCGCACGUGGCGGCGCCGCCGCGUGCUCCGUCUCCUCCUCCGCCGCCCUCUGCGUCUUCUCGAGCAACGGGAAGAGUCCACCUCGAAUAUCACUUCAUCUCAUCUCAUUCUCGCAUCUGUAUGUUUCCAUUAGUUUACAUUGCUUCCGAUCUGGUUUUAGUAGCCAAAUUUUUGAUUUAUAUGGGUUGUUGUGUUCCUGUGUGGUGAUAAUCUCGCUCUGAUUUGGGAUUUGCGUGGAUCAAUAGGCAAUGAUUUGUUAUGUUGGGGAAAUUUAUAAUGUGAACAUAAAAAGAUAAAUAGAGGAAAAGUUGCAACAUGGGUUAGUAAAGUGGUGGUUGUUGUUGUUGUUUUUUGUUUUUUAAUUUUGUUUGAGUGCAUCGUUGAACACAGGAUUAUAUGUCAAUAGCUCCAAAAACAAACCAAAAUUUGGAGGAAUACUAUUUAUUUGCGCAAAAUUCAAAGCUUUUUUUUGAACUGAACAAACUGGUCUUUUGAGAUUUCUCUUUAGGUGUUGGAAAUUUGUAAAUAUACAAGAAAUGACAAAACAAACAAAAAUGUUAUUGAAAUAAAAAUCUUUGUAUACACCAUUUACCACUUGUAACCUCCACUUAACCUGUUUAAUAUUCCAUGUGUGGUAUGCUCUUGCCGACAUUGUCAUGCCGACAUUGUCGAGUAUAUAGAAUGUAUAAAAAUUUAUGCAUGGAAUAAUAUCUAUAUCCUUUACUGGUAGCAUAUUUGAUGUUGGUGAUACAUCUUUUUUUCCCCCCAAAUUGCUGUGGCUUAUACAUAUAAUCUUAAACUUGUUUCAGUAUUGACCGGCCUAGUUGAGUUUCCAUUCGAGCAGUUUUGGAAGUUUCAGCUUAAAAAGUAACAAACAGAACUAGAAUGAAAUGUACAAACUUGAGCUCACUAAAUCCGUAAUGUUUGCAACAUUUUUAUAUAAUGAGGUGCUUAUUUAAGCUACUUUUAUGUAAGCGUUAGCUGAUAUUAAGUAGUGUUCCUACAAAAAAUGCAAAAAGGUGGUGAAUGAGAUUAUGAUAUGAAACAGUUUUUGGUCGAUUUCAUUCCGCCUAUGAAAUCAUCAAACCGGAGGAUUUAGAAGUGAAAUAGGAAAGGUGAAAGCCUGAUUUUUCUAGAUGGACAAAUUGAAUUGAUGUUCUUCAAAGUGUUCUGUUGUUAUAUCUAUUGGUGAGGAUGGAUCUUUUAGAUUAUUAAAGUGAUGGAUAUAGGUCAAAGGGCUAAAAAUCAUUUGAAAUGGUUAUUUGUUUGUUAGAUAACUCAAUAAAGCAUCAUUGAAAAAUGUUUGUCAUAAUGAAGGUUCUAUUAGACCUUAUUAAGAUGGUACUGAAUUCACCCCAGAGGAUAAUUCUUUUAAAUAAGAUAUCUUGGAAAUACAUGACCUUGUGCCGUAGUAAUUGGUUUGAUCACAACUUGACGGUUUCUUGAGAAGUGAAAAAUGGCUUUAUUGAAAAUUAUCAGAAGAUUUAAAGGGAAGAGGAUGCCAACAUAAUAUUAUAAUUGUCAGCUGUUUAUAAACGAUAAUUAUCUUGUUAAUGUGAAUUAUCAGAUGUUUCUUAUUGAUGAGGCAGAUUAUUUUAAUUAUCCUUGGGAGUUGUAGUGUCCCUUAAUUAUCACUAGAUAUCCAUUAACUUCCUAAAACAGGAAAGUAUUACUGAUUCUGUUCUUGAAUCAUCUGGAUAGAAGGAUAACCUAAGGAUUGAAAAGAUAUGUUGGCAAGAUUUAUCCCCAAGCCAAACUAGCGCUAUGUGAGCACGGAACGCCAAAGUUAAUUAACUAAUCAUAAAAGUACUAUGCUUUCUGUCAUUUAGUUCUUAACGCCAUAAUGUAUACACGUAAAUGAACAUGUUGUUUAUUUCCUUGCUACACAUAAUGUUGCACUUUUGAUUUGUAUUCACAGUUUAUGGGAAUAAUGGAAAGUACCAGAACAAAGAUUUAAUUAGUGAUAGACGCCAAAUCCGAUGAAAUGUGUCGUAAUAGUGCAUGGCGUGUAUUCAUCGAAACAAUGUUCUUUAUCAAUUUUUGAUGUACUGGGUGGUAAUUUAUAUUACUUUUUCCCACUGACUUAUGUUUUCGUAAUAAUACGAUAUUACUUGUUCUCGAGUUAUGUAAAUGUCUUUUAGAAUAUCUUUAUGGUUAUGUUGGUUUUGUUUUCUCUUGAUUUUUGAACAUCUAUCAGGCACAGGGCAAUCGAGUUCUGAUUUAUAAGCCCUGUACCUCUUUGAAAAAUUCUUACAUUUUUUCCUCUUAAUAAUUACUUACUUGUUGUCUGGUAAGUGCAUUUUGUGACUCUAAUAAAUCUUAAACAUUGUCAUUGGAGUUACAGUGACAAGUCAUUUCCUUUUGUCCAACUCAGUUGAGAUCACUUUCUUGGAGCCUGCCUUUGUCUACAUUAGAUUGGUUUAACUUCACCAUACAGAUACAGGACAAUAGAGAGAUCUCAAUUUUGGGCCUGUUUGGCGCAACUGUGUGAUGGGCUAGCUGACUGUGCAGCCCACAUUAAGGCAAGAGUCCCAUUUUGGAGCUUCAAUGUUAAGGCGAUAAUUCGCAUUGGCGCACCCCGGCGCGACAGCGGUGCACAUCGCAAUUGCCGCGUUGGGCUGCAUGUUUAGAGCACAACCAAACGGUCCCUUAGUUUAGUCUAGUAUUUGAUAGUUAUUAGCUAUCUUAUGCUUUUCUAAAUAGUUCUAUUCAAAUAACACUCGUAUUUCGUCCCUUGAGUCACAAUCUUCUGAGUUUGUAUAAGAAUACAUUAUAUGGGUAGUCCUAAAUUACGUCGGAAUUGGUUUUGGUCCCCUCGCUUCUCUUUCCUCUUUGAAUCGCUUUAUUAACCCUCUGGAGUUGAAAAAACAAUAUGAAAUCGCGAUUUCAAGACAUAAGUGAAGGAAUUAAUAAAGUGAGCACUAAAAUGCUUCCUUUAUAAGAAAGUUUUGGAUCCUUUUUAAGCGAAGGUUCAUAUAAUAAAGUGUUCUUAAAUGACAAGUACAAGAACAAAGCAAUGAAAUCAUGGUUGUAUGGGGACUAAUUAACAUCCAUAUUAGGACUACAAUACAUUGCAUCUCACAUCAAGGACAUUGUGACAUGAAAUGAAACGCCUCUUGGGGGAGCCCUAGCUAGGAGUAGGCAUGUGUGUGGGGAAAUUUGGCCAAAAUUUAUGGAUGAGUUAACCUAACACUCCUUUUAGGGCCAACAUAAAAAGGUCAUGUAAGUCUACAAGCAAAGGAGGUGGCAACUUGGGCCUUGGUGACAGCUGUUGUUGGUGCAAUUAUUAUGAGCCUAACACCAAACCACCUAACAUCAUUACAAGAGUUUGGCAUUUCAGGUUUUAGGGCAAACUUAGUUUCCCUUUUUCUUUUUUGUCAAUGAAAUGAUCAUGCAUGGAUAUAUAGAUGUGUUUGUGCAUUAUGGUAGUGAGGUAGAUUUCUCCAAGAGAUCUUGCCUUUUUAUUUUAAGUCCUUUCUUUUAAUGCCUUUAGCGCGAUACCGCUGAAGGAGAUACAAGUGAGGUUCUUUUUUCAUAUAGCUUUACUUAAACUGCACUUUUACUCAGUUGUGUUCCGCAGCUCAGGUUCAGAGUUCUAGUCUCGUUAAUGUUUUUCUCAUUUGCAAAUGAAUAUGUACGUAACACUACUACUAUCAUUAUCAUCAUCAUCAUCACAAGUCACAACACGUAUGACAUUAUAAUCUCCAUAAUUUUUUUUUUUUGUUUUUGCCAUCUCCGCACGUGUGCCGCGGGCAAGUGCGGGGGGUCCAGCGACCGCACCUGCUCGACCGUGGGCACGUGCGGGGUGGGGCCCAUCCUCCCUCCCAACGAAAACACCCGACAUGGAGGGGGGUGGGGGACACGGGGCCGGGUAUAUUCUCCCCGGCCACGUCGGCUCGCACGUGUCGCGAGGGGUGGGCUCGGUCGAAACGCGACACACAAACACCCCCCACGUGGGUCACGUGAACGUUUGACCCCCGGCCGGCCUAAACCCCCCCUCUCCACCCCAAAUACCGCAUUACAAACCGGAAUCACAUAAAUAAAAUAAAAUAAAAUAAAAAUAUUAUUUUAUUAAAUUAAAUAAAAACAAAAUAAAUUUACAUUUUCUCUUUGUUUUUUUUUUCAAAGAAAAUCCAUUAUAUUAUGUUAUUAUUAUUAUUAUUAUUACUAUUAUUAUUAUAUACAAUUCUCGUGAUGGAGGAGGAUAAGGCACCCUUCUGUAAAGGGAGGAGCCCACUCGCCUAGCCAUUGAAAUACAUUAAAUAUCUUUGUACCCUUUUUUCUUUUUUUUUUUUUUAACUAGUAAGGACUUUAAUAAGGAAAAAUGUAAUAAUAUUUUGUGACAGAAAUAUUUAAUCGGGUGUUGCUAUUUUUAUAUAAAAUAAUUACGAUAGAGAGGUUUUUUUUUUUUUUUCUUCUGUACUUAGGAUAUACAAUUAACAUGGUUAAAUAGAUAACUUAGAUAUUUCCUUUGGAGUUGGACCUAAUUUGAUAAGAUCAAAAGUUGGCUAUGGUCAUUGUAGGUACACUGACGAGUAAACAAUGAAUUAAUUAUUGUGGUUUGUUUGUCGCCAGCUUUUGAUGCACUCAUGACGUGGUCAAAAUUCAUAAUAAAAUAAAAUAGUAACUGAUCAACACACAAACACACACAUAGUAGAGUAAUAUUUAAAGAGUUGCAUUACUUGCACAAUGUGCUACUGGUGUUCGUAAAUCAUCCACUUAUGCCCUCUCAUUUUUGCUUGUUUUUUGUUUCACACAAUAAGAUCAUUUGCUGUAAAUGAUGUGCCUUCCCAUAAGGCUAAAUAGAACUAUCUUUUAUUAUUCCCACAGAAAAGAUUGAUCUAGCUAGCACCUUUACAAAUUGUGUAUAUAAUUCAUUUGAUUAAUAUACAAACAUAUAUACCAAUCUACAAUAACACCAACAUAUAUAUAUAUAUAUAGUAUUUUGAAUUCUAGCCUUUUGAUUUUUUUUUUUUUUUAAUAUAAUGGUUUGGGUCUCUUCUUGUAGUCUGAAAUGCUUGUUUUCCAGUGUUCUAGUGCUAGAAUAUAUAUAAUCUUUCUAUUCACAGGCAAAUAGAGGAUUUUGCUAAGUAGAUAUCGAAACUUAACACUUAAUUUUAGCACAUAGUAAAUCUACUUCUUUUAAUUAAUUAAUUAUUGCCAAUGGUAUACGCACAAAGAAAUCUAUAAACUUCAAACUCUACAUCAUAUAUAGGAGUAUAUAAAAAUGCUUCUAUUGUCCUUCUUUUAUAAUUGAUAUGUACAAAAAAGCUAUAAAGGUAAACUAUAAAGGUUUCAAAUAUCUAAAUUAGUAGGAUACAAUGCGAUCAUCAUAUUGCAUAUGGAGACCCAAUACAACACAAAAGCUUUACGACCUUUCUCUUUUAGUUGGAUAAUCCUUUCUUAUUAGAUUAGAUGGUGCAUGUCACAGGCUUGGGUUCCUAGCAAAAGCCCUUCUUUUCAGAAUUAGGCUUAGUUUGAUAUUGAGACCUAUCUAAAGCUAUUAAAUAAAAUGGAGUUGAGAAAAAAACAUAUAACGAUAUACUUCUACGUUCUCCGAUGGGACUGUAAAAAGUGUAUCGUAACCGACUCAUCGCUAUAUACGAAAACGUACUUUCUCACCGCACGUAACACAAUCUUCUCGUAAUUUCAAACGAAGCCUUAGCAGAAUGUAUGGAACUGUUUCUUUCAAAAGCGCUUCUGAUAUAUAGAUAGAUUAGAGCUUAGAUAAUUAAAGUGUGAUCUACACCAUAUCAUGAAAAAGCUGACGAAUCCCCGACACGUGCCAGUUUUUGUCUGGAAUAAAUGCUUCUUCUUUUCCUUUUUUUUCGGUGCCAAAGGGAGAGGUGGAAACAUGCAACACGACAAAAGGCCCAGCAUCAAACUUCGCAUUCGCUUCAAUUAAAUCUUUGCACAGAAGUGACUAUUCACAACAGAAUAUUUGUUGCUGACAUUUGGAUUUUUUGGAUCUAACCAUUAACACUUAUCAUCACUUCCAGAUUGUAAUUUAUAAUCAGCUGCUUGUGAUUAACUAUUUGUCAAAGCUGUUUGGCUUUUACAGUUUUUUAAAGAAGUAUUGUUUAAGUAGAACUUUUCCAAAGUAAUGUUUGUUUUGUAGUUAAAUCUCCUAAUUGUGUUUUGCUACUAGCUAGAGCCCGCCACGACCGUAAGCUCUAAAUUAGUGUCAAAUUUGGCUUAACUUUUAUCUAGUUAAGAGAUAAAAGUCGUAAGCCAAAUAUUCAAAAGGGUUCUUCGUACGUUUGGUCGAGAAUUUUGGCCAAACUCUUUCUGAAGGCAUUAAUGUCUGCGUUUUUAAGUAAAUUUCCUAAUUGCUUCUCGUUGCUGUUUUGCGCCACAAAUACAACUUUUGCGCUUCUUGAUUAUGAGUCAUUUGGCUUCUAGCUUCUGCUCUUUUGACCAGAGAUAAAUGUCGCGCGCGACGAACAAGACAUUAGUCAAAAGUGUUAUUAGUUUCUCCAUCACAAUUUUGAGAAUUUCUACUUCGUGUUUGAGAAGAAAAUUGGGAAAUCAAAUAGUUUAGCCUACUUUUCCAUUGACUUCCCUUUCCAUUGUUGCUGUCACCUCUGAAAGUGAGUUAGUUAAGACGUCGAAAGAGAUAAGAAAACAAUGUUGCGAACUAAUAUCAGCCACACGCUCGCGAAAGAGAGCUAGGUAGAGAAGAAAUCGGACGUAAAUGAUCUGCCUGAAUUCGGCCGCCGAAUCAUGAUAUGAUAAAGAAACUGGGCUUAACGGGGCACGUCGCCGAUUCCGAGCACGGAUCAAAGUGCCAACAUGAAUUAAUGUCGACAUAAGAAGAGAAACUAAGGAAAGAAGUGUGUGUGUGUGUGUGUGUUGAUUUUUCAUAUCUUUUAAGCCAUGCUUCAAUACGUGUCACACAAAUCACAGUUCCUUUGCUUGCUCAGAAUGAGAAAGCAUUUAUUUGUAGAUGUUUUUUGGUCCAUUAAUUGGAUUAUUAUGUAUGUUGUUCUCGAGACGAGCCCAUGAGGCUUUUGUGGGCACUAUUCCUGGCAUGAAUUGGAAAGUAUGAGACAUUACGACCUUUUGUGCUUGGCUUUGUUUAAACAAACAAAUAGAAAAAAAGUAUAUAUAUGUAUUGAGAAAUAGAUAGCGAGCUGUAUACUUUAUUUAUUAAGCAAAAUGAACUAGACAUACAAAAUGAAAUCAGUUUCAGCCUCCGAAAAUAGGUAAAAAAAAUAGUAAGAAGACAAACAAUAGUAAGAAGACAAACUCCCUUGAAAUUAAAAAAAGAAAUCAAAUCUAAGAUAGAGUAUAAAAGAAAGAACCACAAUAUAUAUUGGAAAUUCUAGAAAGACUAGAAAACAAACUCCCUUGAAAGGAACUGUUUGUACACGAUUUUCAUGGACUCUAAAACUUAACAAACAUCGAUCUAAUUAACCAAAAAAAAAAAAGGAAGAAAAAGACGAAAAUACAAAAAAAACAAAACAAAACAAAAGGUAGGGGGAAAAAAAAAAGAGAGUAAAGAAGACACCAAUCACUCCCUCUCCUUGAGCAAGUGCGAGAUGAUCACGAAAGGAUCACGACGACACAUUACAAUUAGACCGGCCCUUUAAAUUUAGCAGCACGCAACUUAAUUAAUCAUCAGUAGAGCAUUUGCUUUUGCAUUUGCAUUUGCAUUUGCAUUGCGUUAAUUAAUCGUCGUUGCUGCUCCACGUCUUGUGGCCGGGGACCCAUUUGGGGCACUUGGGGCUGAAGAACUUGGAGCGCACCCGGGCGUCGAGGAGCUCGACGAGGGGCCCCGGGCGCACGCACCGCGGCGCCUUGUACUGGUUUAUCGAGGCGCCCUGGCUCAGCGCGUAGUCCAUGAGCUUGUCGAAGGUCCCCUCCUCGACGACGCGGAUCUCGAGCGGCCCGAUCGACCGGUCGCACGCCCGCCCCUGCCGGUACACACUGUUCAGCGCCUCCUCCACCGCCAGGCAGCAGUCCUCGAACACCGACGGCGGCGGCACCGGCGCCGCCGGCCCCGCCCUCAGCUCCCAGAACAGCACGUAGUGGCCCGGGAUGCUCGCCGCGUCCGCGUAGCUCGUGUACUCCACCAGCGACGCGCCGAACGGCUCCAGGUGCCCCACCGCCUUCUGCACCGCCGCCUGCAGCUCCACCUCGUCCGUCUUGUCCGCGUCGAUGCUCAGCGCCACGUUCUUCCGCCGCACGAACUUGAACUGCGGCGCCUUGUUCUUGAACCCCGCCACCCUCAGCACGUCCCCCACUCUAUACCUAUACAAACCUGUACAAUAUCCACUACUACGUUACUUACUCCAUCACUCCAUCACUCAAUCCUAUCCUGGUGCAUUUUCACUCUUUAUAUAUAUAUAUAUAUAUAUAUAUAUAUAUAUAUAUAUAUAUAUAUAUAUAACAUAUUAAAUUAUUCUGUCGUUGGACAUGAUUGAUGGUACGACAGGUAUAAUAAGAUUGGAUAGUAAAAUUAAAAUUUUACCCGCGUAAGUGGUGACGACGAGCUCGUACUCUUGGCCGAGCUUGACGUCGACGAGGUCGACCAAGUCGCGGUGAUCGACGGCGGCGGCGUUGGCGGGUCCGUUGCCGUAAUUUCUAACGGGCAAGAACUCGAAGUAGCCCAUGGAGGGGAUCAACGUGUAGGCGACCUCGCUGGGCUUGCACAUUGGGUUCAGGUUGAGCCCGAAGUAGCACUCGGACGAGGCGUACAUGGUGCACGUCAGCGGGAGGCCGCCGCCGUAGGACUCGAGCGUCGGGAUGUACUGCGCCAUCGUCCCGGUCACGAUCACGUCGAUGUACUUGGUGUUCGGCCACAGCCGCCGUAUGAUCCCGUCCCACGACCGUUUCCCGCACUCCGAUUCGAUGACGUCUGCGAGCUCCCCGUCGGGCCGGAGGACCCUCCCGACGGCCUCCCGGACGGCGCGGUCGGUGAUCUCCGGAUCGAGAAUUCCGGUGCGGACGUCGCGGCACAUUCUCGGCCAAUGCUUCUCCAGAAACCGGAUGGCGCGGAUGAAGCCGGACGCGAAGACGGCGCCGACGCGGACGACGUCGUCGCGGUGGAUGAGGCCGCACAGGAGCUGCGCGUACAUGCUCUGGUAGGAGUCGGCGCAGAGCACCGCCUCGUUCGGGCUCGUGUAGACGUUGUAGGGGUCGUAAGGGCGGUCGAGGAAGUGGCGGCUCUUGUAGUAGCUGGUGAGGACCGGGCGCGCCGGGAGCCCGCCGGGGGUGCGCGAUUCCGACUUCACGAAGAGGAGGUACAUCCCUUUGCCCUUGUCGAGGCCCGCCACGGAGCGGCUCAUCACCGGCAUCAGGAGCCCGUACAGCAUCGACCGCCGGUCCAGCUCAUCCGCGAUCGUCGGCAUCAGCUUUCGCUCCCCGCCCGACGUUCCCGAACUAUUUCGAUCAUACAAGAAAAAUGAAGUUUCAGAUAACUAGUUCUUACUUAUAUUCGUACCAAACCAAGUCUCAGAUAAUUAGUAUAGUACUUAUUAUAUGCAAAUCUCGGAACAAAAUUUAUUAUUCACCCUACAGUUAAUCGAAUCAAUUAAAGGGCUUAAAGUUUUGAUCCAAAUUGUCGAAUGUGGUACGUCUACAAAAUUUAAACACCCAACAUCUGAAGUACUGCUAAUUAGCUACCGUUUAUUAGUCGACCAAAGAUCAAGUUUUGCACCCAAAAGACUAUUAUUCGCUUCUAUAUUCAUAUAGGAAAUAUAGAUUUGUCAUAUAUUUUUUACAAAUAUACACAUGCAUCUUUAAGAUCUUAUUGGUCAUAGUUUAUACUUAGUUUUUAUAACCUGCAGUGAGAUUGAAUUUUAGGAGACCGGCUACUAAAUGUUGUCCCGGUCCAUGCAAUUAUAUAUUUGUCCUCUUGGUGGUUGCAAAUUGUUGCUGCUGAACACAUUGUAGAGAGAGAGAGAGAGAGAGAGAGAGAGAGAUUGCAAUAUUUGUGUACAAACCUAGUGAGGAAUUCGGAGAUGGGGCGGCCAGAGAGGAUCGGGGAGGAGUCGCCGUGGGCGAUGCGGAGGAUAUCGGGCUGGAGAUCCUCGUAGGUCACGACGGGCACGAGCCGCUUGAAGGCGUCGGCGUCGGGGGCUGCCGAGGCCUUCAGGCCGUGCCGGUGCAGGUACUCCGCCGCUGCGUUCUGCGUUAGUAUCUCCGCAAGAACGCUGCGUUGCACCUCAUCAGCAUUCGCUGUCACGUCAUCGAUGAACUCCAGUGCCUUCCUGUGCUCCUCGGGCACGUCGGUUGCAACCGGAGGUUGCGCGGUCUUGGGCGCUUCUGGCAUCUUAAUUUGUAAGAGAGUGCGUGUGUGUUUGUAUGUGUAUAGAGAGAGAGAGAGAGAGAGAGAGAGAGGUGGAGAAGGAGAGGGAAUGGGUUUUGUAUGUGUGGUGAGAGGAAUACGGGUCGUGAGGGGAAUAUAUAGAGAGGGAUAUGGGAGAGGGUGGGGACACUUUGUCUCUCUAUGAUGCUUCAAAGAGAAUAGUAAAAAGGAAGUAUACUGUUUUUUAAUUUUAAUGAUAAAAAGCUGUAUUAUUUGUUUUGUGUACAUAUAUUUAUAAUGUAUACUCUUUCGUGGUCAUUUUUUAAAAAAAUAAAAGAGGAGGUGGUUUCUUUGAGCCUCACAAAAAUAUUGUGUGUGUGUGUGUGUGUUAUAUGUGAGUUUCGUAAUGCCAAUUUAGUUUCAUAUGCUUAGCUGUCAUGUGGACAUACAUUUGGAAUGACCUCGAAUUACGAUGAUUAUUAUUAUGUACAUUUGCAGUUACGUCCAUGCACUGAACUUCUACAAUUUCUCGUCCCUGCAACUUAUUUGUAAUUAUUUUUUAUAACAAAAACAAGCACAUUCCCCUAGCACCAUCUUUUGAAAAAAAAAACUUAUGAUAUAGUUCGAUUUAAUUUAUUAAUCUUGUUAUUACUCGUUUUCUUUAUAAACCCCUUUCGAACCAAAAUCGAAAUACUGGGCACGUAACGGCUACCAAAAUAUUGCCUUUUACUGUAAAAGAAACAAUCACAAAUUGUUAAGAUAAAUUCAUUAAUAUAUACCUACUCAACCGAAUUUUUCAUUAUUAAUCCUCCCUAUAAAAGUUCACUGAGAUGGAAGUGCUUAGCGUAGCUUAGUACAUACGUACGUAUUCAAAUUAAAUACGGAUCUUGGGAUUUGAAAUGUCAAUUGUGCCGUGCAAAGAAAACCAGGAGAGGUGUUACUAGAUUAAUAAGCUUAAUUAUUAGUUAAUAAGCUUAAGAAAAAGCGAUUUACUAGGAAGCGGCUCAAGGUGUAGUUUUAGGCGGAAGCAAAGGUGAGGAGCGAGGGGUUUGGGAGUUCCCCCCGCGGGCAAUAGGCGGUCAACAUGCGAGAGGCGUACUCGUCGUACUCCCCACUUGUUCCUCAAAGAACCGGCAACUGCUACAUUUCCCGGUAAAAAAAAAAAAAAAAAUUAAUUAAUUAAUUAAUUACUUUCAAGUAAAUUAAACUCAAUCAUUUAGUAAGCUUGGAAGUACCAUCCACUUACUCUCCAAUUUAAGCUUGAAGCUUUUGUUUGAAGUUGUGCCUAAUUGGGAAAGAGUAAUGAAGCAGUGUUACUGGUGCGGACAUAUCGCAAAUAUUAAAUCUGAUCAUAUUCGAUCAGUAAGUUGCAUCACAGAGUAACGCUAUCUAUCUAUGCCCAUAUCACCAAACAUUUGAUGCAGCAGUACGUGUUUUCGUAUAUUCGCACUUUUAAAUUUGACCGUGGACUUUGUUUAAAUAAAAUAUACGUACUCCUGUAAUUCCAAAAUGGUCUGAAUGUAUGUUGUCAGAAAAAAAAAAAAAAAAAUUAUAUGUAUGCGUACACUAUUCACAAUCCGCGCAUUGUGUAUUCAUUGGUUUCUAUACAUUCUCGUACUUUUUCUCAAAUAAUUAAUGAACUCUAUGUAAAACCGGCUACUUAUCAAAGUAAAGCAAGGCCAAAUAAUACAAAAAGUAGAACAACACACCACCUUAACCUGUCUUAGUUAUGUAAUGUCCCUACAAAUGAGUUAAUGAUUAAUUACCAACAAAUCCUGAAUAAUAGAAUUUUAAUAGGACAUGAAUCAAUUAAUUACUGCACAUAUUGUAGGCAUAGAUCACUAGACCUUUAAGAUUCCAUCUUCUUUGUUUGGUUUCUCUCUUUUUUUUUUUUAACUUUUCUUUUGAGAAAAUUAUUAAUUUCUUGUUUAGCAAUCACUUAAGAAAUUAAGGAGCACCCAAGUCACUCGUCCAUGCUCCUUGUCCUAAUCAUCACUACAAUGAUCGAUCAUUUCAUUGAAACUAGGCUUCCCAUUGGGUUUGAGCUCGAGAUCGAAGUAGAGGUUAAGUUGCGCCCGUAAAAGUACUUGAAUGAUUAAUGUAAGAUGUCUUGAAUAUAAAAAUAUAGAAACAUUAUUGUUUGGUAGCUUAAAUUUUUAAAAAAUAAUGAUUAUUUUAUAUAAUUUAACAUGAUCUCAAAAUAAAUGGUUCUGUGUCUGAGCUCUUAAAAUUACUGUUCUUUGAAAUAUAAAUAACAGUAGUUAUUUUAUAUUCUUUAACAAGAUGGAUAUACUUGUUAAUUUUCUUAUUACUUUGUGACAAAACUAUAGAGACUGCAAUAAACCAGUGACAAAUACACACACGCUAACAAACAAACAAACAAGAAGUGAUUUCCCUUGAAAUAAAUAAGUGAGAAAUUCUGAAGCAACACAAUUUUACAUUGCCACUUUAGCGUAGGCACCUCACGUGCUCUUGUCCCAUGAAAAAGCCAUGUGGAUUCCCUUCAAAUUUCAUUUGGGCACCAAUUAGGUUUGUUGCUGAUGCUUCUUUAUCUCUUUGUAGCCUCCAAAAGUAGGAGAAAAAGGAAAAUUCACUGAGAAAUGAAGAAACAAAAUAAUAAUAAUAAUUAUUGUUAUCUCCAUAGAUCCAAUGAAUUGAAUCAAACAACACAAAGCAUUACUUUUGAGGCAUGGAGAAAACAUGUUUGCUUGAUCGAUGAGGUCUAGUGACUGUUGGUAGGUGCAUGCGUUCGAUUAUAAGUGGCUAAUGACACCAGCAUAUGCAUGAUAGUAGUAUCGACAAAAGGAGUAGUUGAUGAAAGCAAAGUUUAAUCGUUUGCACCUGGUGCUCCAUGUCACUCAUGCAUCUCUCAGUGAUGAACCCUCCAUUACUCUUUUUUUUUCUUUUUUCUUUUUUUUUUUUGAGAGAUAGGUAGCACUCUACCUGUUUCGUUUAUUUCAUUUAGAAAUAAACUUAGCUGGAAAUGUGAAUCAAGUAGGAUUCAAACUUGGGUCUCGGAUACCAACUACCAAGGCCUUUGCCACUUGCUCUAGAGACGGUUGGUAUGAACCCUCCAUUACUGUUAAAAUAUAUAUCGAGUUUGAAUCUCAGUACUUUAUUGUUUCAUUGAAGUACAAGCUCCAUUUCUUUGAAGUUCACAACCUGGGUGUAAUGGACCUAAUGGUGCCUUGAGCCCGAGCAAGGGGAAGAACUCUCUAAUAUAACAUGCUAAAUAAUAUUUUUCUGACAGCUUAUUCUUUUAGAGGAAAAAUAUAAUUAUUUUACAAUUAUCGCAACGUUGGUUCUAAAAUUAUAUAUAUAUUUAGAUACUUGAUUGAACUUUUAAGAUAGGGUGAAUGAUCAUGAUCUCUCUCUCUCUCUCUCUCUAGCAGUGGGCGCAGGUUCAAUAAACCAGGACAUAUAUGUACGACGUGGGCCUAAAAUUGCAUGCAUGAGCUCUAAAAUUCGUGGAUGUAAUUGAGACAGAGCUUCACAAAGGAGGAAACACAUUGGUAGUACUUUGCAAAAGAGUCCAAUCAAAAAUUGGAGGAGUCCUCCCUCAUUAAAAGAUGAGAAGAGGGGAGUGAAAACUCGAAAAAAAGAAAAAAAAAAAAAAAGGAGAAAAAACUGAGCCUGUCCACCUUUUUGUUCCCUAUGAUGGACAUAGCCAAAUGUCCACUCUCCACAUCUCUCUUUGUCCCUGUUAUCCUCUCUGCUAUCCAUAAUACAUGAGCCAUUCCACUCUAAUCCGUACCUCAUUCAUUAUUGCUAUGUACUCGUGUUAUCCUCAUUGCCCCGAAAGCGAAAAAAUAUUUAAAAAAAAGGCCAACUUGCAUAAAAAAUUUAUUAGUUUUGAGCUUAUGUAAAAGAAAGAUGUCAUUUUAAAUUUUAUAGAUUCGGAUCACAUUUUCAAAAAACUGAUUAAAAUUAUUUUUUUUUCCCUCCUCUUUUUUUUUUCUCUCAUUCUUUUUUUUUUCUUUCUGUCCGAAGAGAGUGGCGAAGGCGAAGGCGGAGGCGGACCGUCUCGCCUCCAUCCCCACACCCUGAUCCUCGCCCGCGCAUCCUCCCUCCACCUUCCUCGCCUCGGCGAGGUCAGAAGAAGGUCGAUGCGGGACCUCGACGGGGUCAGAAGUAAGGAAGGUGGAGGGAGGGUGUGCAGGCGAGGGUGAGGGUGCACAGGACAGAGGUGAGGCGGUCAGAGAAUAAGAAUAUUUUGAUUAGUUUUCUAAAAAUUCGGUCUGAAUCUGCAAAAUUCAAAAAGACGGUCUAUUUUUACAAAAACUUAAAAUUAAUAAAUUUUUUAUGCAAAUUGGCCAAAAAGAAAAAAAAAAUAAAGAAGAAGGCAAAAAAAAGGAAGACAUGUAAUGAGUUGACAUUUUCUCUUUUGAAAAGCUUGUUCCUUUUUCCUCGAAAGAUAAUAUGUGACUCCAUCUCACGCACAAUACUUUGAUGUGUGAUAUAUAUAUUUGGAUUUGAUUUUCUAUGUAUGAGUUGGGUAGAAUAUUAGAUUACUUGUUAGUGGGUUUUCUUUUUGAGAAUAUGUGUCGACAGCCGGAAACCGGAGAAGACCUGAGACAAGACAGAGCGGAUUAGUAGCAUCUGUUAAUUACUUAAGAACAAAAUCGAAAUUAAUUAUAGCUCUAAUAAAUAUUAACAUAUUUUAAUGCUGGUUUGGGCGAGAACGACUUAUCUGAUAAUCAAAAAGUGUGUGUGUGUGUGUGUGUGUAGAUAAUGCUUCAUAUAGUGAAGAGAAAAUACUUGGAAUAAUAUGUUUGCACGUAUUUAUAUAAUUCUUUUUUAACCAACAAAAUGUGAAAAUUGCUAGAAAUUUGAUGUCAUCGACCCAAAGAAUAUGGUUCUUGUCCACUCUAUAAGUGCAGCAACUAUUGAAGGCCACAAUUUGAUUAAUGCGCUGUAUAUGUAAGUCAAUUACUAGCUCGGACACAAUAAUUAAUGUAUCAACUUUUCUUUGUACAUGCUGGUUCUUUUAUUGUUUAAUUUGGUGGCUUCUUCAACCAAACAUAUAUGCAUUAGAAAUUUAAGUAAAUGCGACUACGCAUCCAAAAUGGCAAACCGUCCUUUUAUUAAGGACCUAACGUGUCUUUUCUCUUCCUUUAUCUACUUUUUUUUGGAUUGCGACUUUCAUAAACUACUUACUCUAUUUCUAAUUCGAUAACAAAUUUACUUUUAAUUAGUAGAGUGAAACUUUUGAUGUUGGUUAAUUCAACUAUAUAUAUAUAUAGCUUGAUGAUGGGCUAUACACAAUAUAUGGAGGAUAAUUAUUUUCUUAGAAAUAUAUAGGCCAUAACCAUAGACCCAAAUUCUGGGGCUCUACUUGGUAAGGUUCGGGUGAAAUUCAAAAAAUUCAAAAAUAAAAAAAAAUAAAAAUUCAGUGUUAUAUACGGAUAGUAAAUUAUGAACAUAAAACAUUAAUUAAACAUAUAUGAAAGAAUAAGCUCUCUUUGUACCUUAUUUUAUAUAGGUUAUUAAAACAUAAUGAACAGUUUAUUUGGCAAUACAAGAUGUAUAAAAUAUUUAAUUUAGUUAGUAAAUUAUUUAUUAAUAUUAGUAUGAAUAUAAUGGCAUGCACCCCAUGAUGAUGUGUUAGCAUUUCCACCUUUGAAAAAUCCACCUUGAAAAUUCUACAUAAACUAACGGUCACUAUUGGUCAUCACUAGCUUCACGGGAGGAAAUAGAUUACGUAUCACAUUGGCAUUCAUGCAGGCAAAAAUAAGAUAAUAUUCCUAAGUUUAUAUAUAUAUAUAUAUAUAUAUAUAUAUAUAUAACUAGACUAAUAUACUAUUAAUAGCACCAAGUCAUUGGUGCUACCAAGUUUAUAUAUAUAUAUAUAUAUGCAUGGAAAGAUAUUAGUUUCGCAGUGGAGAAUGUGUCGUGAGGAUGUAAGGAAAAAGCCACACAAAAGAUCGUUUACCAUUGACCACUCUCUCCACCGUAGAAUAGGUGUUUUUCUUAUAUUGGAAGAAAUUAUUUUGUGCAAUAAAAUUCUAUUUGAAUGUAUAAAUAUCUCAUUCGAUUUUCUUUUUAAAAUGAUAUUUAGUAAAUGAGAGAAGUACUGUAAUAAAAUGUCGACAAUGAUUAUCAUAUUUAGUUUUAAAGUUGUUUAUUUUAUAACAAGAUAAUAAAUUAUUUCAUAAAUAAAAUAUGAUAUCUUACUUAAUCAUCAAUGCCAAGAUUUUUUCAAAAGUAAAAAAAAAAAAAAAAAAAAUUAUUCUUUAAUUACAUAAAAAAAAUUAUUAUACCAACAAAUAGUCAUUCAAUAUAUAUUUUGAUAUCCAAAUAGGAGCUAAGCCUAGCUCAUGAUUAUCUGUUGGACUAUAUUCUAAUCUUCACGGUCCAAUAAAUUAUAAUUUUUUUGGAAAAGAAAAGAAAAUCAGAGAGGGAGGAGUGCAAAGUACUGUUGGGUGAUCUAUAACUUAACGUAGUGGACCAAAUCUGGGCACAAUUUGUGGUAGAGUUGACCUUUGACUCAUCUCUUUUUAUGUGGUACGUACAUAGGAGAGUGUGUGUUAGUGUGGAUAUGAGGUGGAAGCCACACUAUUGAAAUGGGUGUUGACCAUCAACCAAGCUGGGAUUUGGAAUAGUCUAGAAUUUAUUCAAAGAAGGAAAUAAGGAGAAGAAAUAAACACAUUGAUUAAGGCCACCAUUCCCCUCAAAUCCUUAGCCUUGUCUCUUGCAUUAUCCAACAAUCCUAUCUCUAGUUGUUCAUCACCCUAUGUUCUAAAUUAAUUUGUGUCCUUCCCAACUUAAUUGUCUCAACACUGCUCCAAUCUAUAAUGUUAAACUAUAUGCAUGACCACAUAUAGGAGUAAAUAGGGUAACAAAAUAAUUAAUUUGAUUACAUUUCACAAUUACCUCUUCAAUUUUAUGUAGGAGAUAUUCUAGCUUAUAUUGUUUACAAAGUAUAAACAUUAAUAUUUGCCACAUAGUCAAUUAGUUUAGUUAGUUUAGUUUUAUGAUGGAUAAACUAAAUUAAUUACACAUUUGUUUCAAUUCGCAAACUUAUUAGUAAGAAGUGAGGUGGCCACCAGGUUUGAAAACCUAGCAAGUCCAAGUGCGAAUAUAUGGAGUGUGUGUUGGUGAUGGUGAUUACUAAUUACAAUGCACAAAAAGCUACUGAACUUUAUUAAGUUAAUGCUGCAUGCACUCUCACAGUUGUACUACAAAGUGAUUAAAACAAGCUUACCCUUUAAUUUAUCGCUUGUCUCCACUAAUAGCGACAGACGACGGCAAUGCCCGAUUUCAUAGCAACAUGAAAUAAUUAAUUGAAUCCUAAGGUACUGUGUUCUCCUCUCUUUAGGGACGUAUUGUGCUCGAAUCUAGCUUAUGAUUGGUUCAACGCCCUUAUUUUGAAUCCCAAUUAAUACUUUAUUCGAAGGCCAAAUCACGCUUUAUUAGCUGUUAACCAUCUCACAUCAGUGCCCUAGCUUGCUAGAAAUUUUUUUUUGAAUCGCUUCUUUUCAUUCAUAGCUUGGCUUUCGAGGUCUCGUAGAGCUUGCGGUGUCGGCCGCAACUUGCAUUAUCUUACAAAAUCAUGCACCCAGAUUUGUACUGUUAUUGAUCACUACACAAAACAUGCCCAUUGGAAAUGCUUGGAUUCCAAGCAAGUAAUGAUGCAGUCAAAAGCCUCUCCCAACCAUUUCUUUUCCUUUUUCAGCACAAAACCCUAAUCUCAUGCCUAGCUAAUAUCUCGUUUUGUUUCUUUUAUUUAGCCAUGCUAAGAGGAAGCUAGCUAGCUAGACCUAUGAAGUAAUUUAAUUAUGAUAAUGUAAACAAUCAACCAAUUAAUUGAUGGUCCCUUGGCGUGCUUGGAAUAUUGUCUUCAUCAGGUGUGGAAUAUUGUAUUGUCCCUAUAUGCAUGGGCUCCUAAUGCUGAGUAUCUGAACAAUAGUUCCCAUAUUAGUUUUCAAUUAGGUGGCUAGCUCGAGCCAACUUUAGUCGUGUGCUAGCUAGCCCUACAAAUGAAAUAAAAACAAUAUUAUAGGUUACUUACUUAAGUUAUAUAUAAUUAGCUCAAUAUGUAUAUAUCUUGUGGUUGUUAAGUGUGGGCUAUCUGCUAUGCUAGUGGUCCCAAGGUAUGCAUAUCAAUCUAUCUACGACAAAAAACCGACCGAUAAAUGCGUGACGUGAUAGGGUUUAAUCCUCCUCCUCUUCUUCUUACUUUUACCCCCCAACCUAAAGAGUUUAAUCUCAUUAAUUUGUACCUGGUACAAGUUAAUAAUUAAGUUAUACCAUGUACCAAGAUUGAUUAAAUCAAAGAGUUCAUAUAUAUAUAUAUAUAUAUAUAUAUAUAUAUAUAUAGUUUACUCUUUUAAUUUGUACAAGUCAUUAAUUAAUUAAGCUUGCUAUUAUACAAAAUAUAUAUAAUAGCAAGAAACAAUAUUAUCUUUCGGAACCUUCCAAUGAACGUUAUCUCUACUGCUCACGGUAUCAGAGUAUUGGCGUUGGAGUGGAUUGAUUUUUGUCGAACAGGGUGAUGUUGGUUUACACCCUUCGUUCUGCUGCUUGUUCUUGUUUUUUUAUCGGGCUUUUCCUUUCGUUAUUGUCUGUUAAUCGUCUAAGUGUCCCCUCGAGGCCCAAGCUACCUCACUCUAUGUAGCUGAUUUCACCUACUUAAUGAAUGAAACAAGUAGCGUGUUAUCUUUCUCUCUCAAUAUAUAUAUAUAUAUAUAUAUAUAUAUAUAUAUAUAUAUAAUACUCUUGUUUUAUUUUCCUAUCCACAAACAACAUGAGGAGCAGGUGAUCGACGAUCGCAAGUGUGUCGUCACGUACAACAUGUCGGGACCAUAUCUUGAAUACUUGCCUUUCACCGCGCCCAUGCAUGCUUCUCAAGUGUAGCCAUCGGAUGCUUCACUAACCUAAAAGAUGAGACACCGAUCCGGUCUUUCCGGCCUGCGCUGGAGCUCUGGACCAAUCGGGCAUCGGACGGACAAGCCCCGCGAAAGCAACAGCUAGUGUUAGUACUGAGACUAGUGAGGUCCAACAUCUAUGAAGAUCGAUGUUGAUUGUUUUAAAUUGACACCAUUUUUAUGCUUCACAUACAUACUUUUCUGCACUGUCUCUUUCCUUGCCAUUCUUUCAUAAAGGUAGGCAUCUGUGACCUCGGCCUCUGAAAGUGCUCUCUCUUUGCCAUCUUCUCCACCACCCUUCAAAUUUUGCCCUAUCUCUCUCUCUCUCUCUCUCUCUCUCUCUCUCUCUCUCUCUCUCCUUCCAAAGGGUGAUAAAUAAUUUUUAUUAAUAUUAUAUCUAUCUGUGAAUCAUCUCCUUUUCUUCUUCUUCUUCUUCUUCUGAUCCUCCUCCUCCUUUUUUUUCUUCUUCUUCUUCUUCUCCUCCUCCUCCUUGAUUGUGAUUGUAAGGUUGGUUGCUGUGUCAUUAUCUGAGAACUGUAUCAACACUAAUGUCGGGGUAAUGGCAUGACAUGAGGAUCGAGGACCACUGGCGAGGGAUUGCUUUGGUCGAUUCACCUUUGAAGAGAAUGUUGCAUUAUUUUCAUGUCUUUCUUUCUCGGGUCGUUGUCCGACAGGGUCGGCAUCGUACUUGAGCUAGGGUUUCUUGUUUCUAAGCAAGCACAACAAGCCUACUGAUGAAAACUUUGUAACAGAGAGUGAUUCCUAUAUUUAUCUGCUGAGAGAAUUGGGUUUAGGACAUAUUAAUGAAUUACUUCAUAGUUAGCACCACAUCUCACACUGCAUUUAGCUUUAUAAAAAAAAUGAAGAAGAAAAAAGAUAGUAAUUCCAUGUUGAAUAGUUACAAAUUUUAUGAUAGUUUUACGAGUUAUAAGUUUACUUUCAGAUAUUCACACACACACCGUAAUUAGUUCUUCUCACCGUUGCCUUUUUUGUAUUUUUGGUUCUUCUCCCCCUUUGCUCUUUCUUGAAAGGAGUGGUUUGUUAGUUAGUUCAUUUUCUAAAUGAAUGAAGCGAGCUAAAACAAUCUCUCUCUUUAUCUUUUUCUCAAAAAAAUAAAAAAAAGUUUACUUUUAGAUAUUGGGAAAUGCUUGUUUCUAGAUAGAGCCUUGAACAUAUAAUAGGAUAAGCAAAAAUAGUAAUACAGUAGACCUAGUCAGUAUAUAUAUAUAUACCAAUGUAUAUAUUAUUCUAUCGAUUUCAGAGUUGUGCUAGCUAGCUCUACGACCAAAAAUGGUUGCCUUAUCACAAUCUUUUUCUUUUUUAAUGUAAAAACUUAAAAAGAGACGCUUAAACUCAAGGGGGAGGGGUUAAAUCCUUACAUGGAGGGUUAUAAUAUAAGUUUAAAACGUCUACAGCCAUUUUUUUUUUUCGCUUGUGGACAAAGAAUUUCUCGUAAUUUCUCAUGCUGGAAAUUGCUAAUUGUUUUGGUGAUUCUCCUAUAAUUAUUUUGCGGUUAAAUCAGCCCCAAUCCAAGAUAUAUAGAUGGUAAUUGCCACAAUAAUAACUAUCUUAUCAAUUCGAUAAUAACAAUCAAAAUAUAUCGAAUUCAGAGAAAAAUAAAAAGGUUUUAAAGAUGGGACUCUCUUAAAUUGCGAUCGACGAAAACAUAGGCUUGAAAUUCGCUGCUCUCUCGCUCCCGUUGUUUCGAAGAAGUUUCUAAGUAAAAUAAUAAUAAUAAUAAUAAUAAUAAUAAUAAUAAUAAUAAUAAUAAUAAUAAUAAUAAGCGAGUCAAAUGGGUCACUCUUUAGCUACUUUCAAACAAGAUUUGUAGAAGAUUCAGACGAAGAAAGUGAAGAUAAAAUUCUGAUGCGGAGAAAAGUUGUGAAAGACGAAUAAGCUAUGAUAUAUCACUGGAGCGUGGAGCAUGACUAAUCAGUGAGUGAGAGAGGCCAUAAACAAACAAAAAGAAAAGAUUUCGUGUGAUUCUCACGGCGAGCGAUCAUUUCAACUGGAGAGGACUAAACUAAUCGAUAACCUCCUUUUGUUUUAAAGUACUGGAGAUUAGAUUAGAAAUAUUGUAUACAACAGUAGGUUAUUGGUUAUAGUCAGGGGACAUAAUCAAGGCAUGGGAGACAUGACAUAACCAUUCGGAUGGAGACUUCUAUGGCAGGAAUAACCAUGUAUCAUAUUCUCCUCUAAUUUGCUCUCUCUUAUUUCCUAUUCCGCUUCUCUUCUUCUCAAGUGUUUCACAUUCAUCAGUACGUACUUUGCGCAUAAAUCAAUAAAAUUGCAUUCCUUUGUAGCUUCAAUGAAAAAUUAUAAUAAUACCCGCAACCCUCGAAAGUAAAAUAAAAUUUGUUUUAGAAAUAUAUACACAUGUACACACACAAAGUUUUUAUCUUGCUAUUUGAUGAAAUUUUGCAACAAUGUUGUUAAAUAUAAAAAUAUUUAAACACCGUUCUCUAACAGCUUAAGUUUUUAAAGUACAACAAUUGUUUCACAAAUAUUACCAGAAGCAUCAGAAUUUUGUAAUGGUUGCAUGAAAAGUGUUGAGGAUCUUAAAGUUGUGAUGUUUACGUGCCAUACAGAUAUUAUGCUUUGCCCACUACUAUUACAAUCAAUCAACUAGUUGAGCAUCAUUCUCUGCUAUAUAUGUCGGAUAUCUUAAUAAGUUGAGACGUAAAAAAAUGUACGAGUUUACAACUAACUAUCAACUUGACAGCUACAACCAUCCCCAUAUAUAGUUCCAUUCAAGUUAUUAGGAGCCGAUCAUUUCAGUUUGACAACUUUUGGAUCUAUUGAACUCAUCAAUUCAUGUACAAUGUAAUUACAAAUCCGCAAGUUUUUCUUUCCCUUCUUGUGUGUUCCUGUGUUGCUUCUGUCCUAUUUUUCUUUUUUUUUUCGAGAAAGAAAAGUAGUAUGUUGUUUAUUUCGUUCAUUUUUUGUUUAGAAAUGAACUUAGCUGGACAUGUGAAGCAACUUGCUUCGAACUUAGAUCUCGAAUACCAACUAUAUGUUAAUUCCUUUGCCACUUGCGCUAUGAACAAUCGGCUUUCCUAUUUUUAGUAUCUGUAUUUAGUUUUUAACCUAUUAUUUCUAUCAUGCAAAUUAUUGCUUCACCUAUAAGUUUUGUGAUGGAUGCUAAUUAAUGCGCUUGAUACUUAUUGUUAAAUAUAAAAAUAUAUAAACAUCAUUUUUAACAGCUUAAGUUUCUGGAGUAUAGCGGUUGUUUCACAUGAUAUCAGAGUAAAAGAUUCUAAGUUCGAGUCAUGCCAGGUUAUGAGAAUUAUUAGCAGUUAUUUCACACAUAUAUUGGGAGUAAACAUACCAAAUUAAAAUGUAUUGUGAUACUCCCUGCCUAAUCAUGAUCAUCAUAUAUCUCAAGUUUAUUUUUUACUUUCUAAGAGAAGUAAGCGGCCGGCGUUCGCUUUUUCAGAAAAUUUUUUUAAAAAAAUCUUACAAAGUAGUUUUUUUUGGAUGAGAAGGUACUUUUCAUUUGUUUGGUUUUCAAGAAAAAUAGUUUUUCGGAAAAAGUUUUUUUUUCGCAUUUUAUGAAAAUGUCUCUUAUUACUUUAUGUAUUUUUUAUCCGAAAAACGAAAAUUAUAAAAAGAGUGUUUUCCAUCAUUUUUUCUAUUUACCAUCUUUCGAGAACUAAACACUCUAACAACUCAAUUUAAAAGUCCACAUGAAGGGAAACAAAAUUGAAACAAAAAUAAGAUGAAAAAAAUGUUGGGAAUACAAUUUAAUUCAUUUCAUACCUAAUUAAACCGAUCGAUGUCUAAAUUAAUUAGUAUGGGAAAAAAAAAAAAACCUACGUGACGUACGUUGUAUCAUUUAACUAAAAUAUUCUCAACAGAAAUUAAUUUGUCCCUUUCUCAGUGCUUAUAUACAUUAAUAUCACUUGAGUAAAAGCAGUUGAAAACAUAAUUGAAGUUAAAAAGAUGGAUAGCCACAAAAUAGUUCAUGAACAUUGCAUAGUACAAGAGGUGACAUCCUGAAAUGUCCUCUCUAUGUACCCUAUAAUUAAGAGGAAUAUUUGACUUUGAAGCCCUCAGCGUUGAUUGUCAAAUCAGAUCUUUUGGGGGAAAAAAAAGAAAUCAAGAUAAAGCUUUCACUAGGAGACAAAUCAACACAUGUCCCGAGACCUGCAUUGGAAAGUGUUUAGGUUAAUUUGAUGAACGACUUUAAGGAUAUAUUGUCGAAUCAUUGGCGGUGGUCAUUAAUUUCAAAAAUUCGAAUUAUUAGAAAUAGACAAUUAAUUCACUUAAAGUGAAGAGAUAUAGCACCCAAAAAUCUCGAUUGUAACUUGCGUUAUCCAAUUUUACACCACUUCGAACAUGACUCGGUUCAAUCCAGUUUCAUGCUAUUUCGAACGUGACUCGAUCGACAAACUGACCUUUCAUUACAGAGUAGAAUGUUGGUCUAUUUAAGCCAACAUGUAUGAGUGGCUGUCAAUGGUGGUCAAUUGUUGUGCAUGUUGAAGUUGGAUCAGGUUGUUCCAAAGUUGACAGAGCUUUUGCUGUGACAAGACAUAAUUUGACAAGGCAAAAAGGAAAAGACAAUGGAACACCAAUCUACUGCUCACUAUCUCAGACUCCCAGUGACUCCCUCAACCCUUAACCAUCCCCCCCCACCCAAUAUGGGUUCACUAUGUGAGGAGCUCUUAAUUGGUGCAAAUUGUUUCGACCCAUUGUAGAUAUAUUACAUAGUAUGUGGCUGGAAUGUUAUUGAUACUAAAAAUAUAGUAGUUAUUAUCAAUUUAUUAUUUUUUGGAUGUUUAGAAUUUAGUAGAGGCAAGUGGAAUAGUAUUGAUCUAAAAGUCAAAAAAUAAAUAGUAAAUAUUAUUUACUAUCAAUAAUAUAGCUGGCGCGCGAACUCUAUAACAUAAUUGGUAUAAUAUAUAUAGCAGGUUCUUUAUUAAUUACUCUCUCAAUAUCUCAAGGUUAUGGAAUCAAUUUAUUUGCUCUCCACGUCUAGUAUUCAAUGAGUGAACUGUGAGUUUUUGAGAACCAUUUAAAUUUGAAUGAUUCUCAUUAACUAAUUGUUAUACCUCUUUUAGUAUCAUUUUUGUUAAUGCCUGUAGCAUGAGUUCUCUAUUUGUGUAAAGCAUAUUAGGCUGUGUCAUUUCUGUGAGAGUGCUAAAAACCUGAGCUCACAUAGACAAAGAAUACAUAUAUAUAUAUAUAUAUAUAUAUAUAUAUAUACAUACACUCUUUUGUUUGUUCUUUGUAUUGGACAGGGUAUGACCUGAUAGGGUGUGGGCAAGGGCUUUUUAUAAUUGGUUUGGGUGAUUUGAUUUCUACUUGAAUGAGACUGAUAGAGAUCAAGAAAAUCCCUCAUCCUUUGAAAUAAUUAAUUUUCUUAAAAAAAAAACUUUUUCAAUAUUUAUAUGUAAAUAUCCAACAGCAUAUAUUUAUAUUGUUAUGUAGAUACAUGUUAGGUGGUAAUUUUCACUGCCAAAGGGGCCAAUAGAGACCUGCCACCUGGAGGCAAGUUGCAGUAAAAAGCUAUAAACAUUGUAAUGGGGAAAGUGAAAUUCCUUUUGAACCCAAAAUAAUUAAUGAUGUGGGUCUAGCUAUGGCAACAAUCAAGGUCGGCACGUGGGCAACCACCGAAGACCAACACCAACAUGUACUCACCAAAGCAUCCUUCUUUUUCGUAAUAUGCUUGUGGUCAUGGUGAAGGAAAGAAAAGCUGCUGCAACCCCCACCAUUUUCUAAGAUUAUCUUUCUCGUGGGAGUAGAGGAGAAAUUAUUGCAUGCACAUUGCAUGCGUACCAUGCAUUGUAUCUCUAUAACAAUCUAAUAAUGGAGGUUUCAACAUUAGAAGUCAAUUUGCUUUAUGUGUUAUAUAUAUAAAAGCCAUACAGAUUAUAAUUAUAGUUUUUUGACACCAAUUUCUGGUGAAUUGAGUACUAAUAUCUACUCUUUCAAUAUGACUAAUCUUUGGGACUAUUUGAUGUCUAGAUAAAACAAUCUUAAAACUAUAAUUAAUGAAUGGUUCUUUAUAAAUUUCGAGAUACAGGUAGCAUGCUAUGUAUAAGCUCCAUAAAUAAACUUGGCUGAAAAUAUGAAACAACUAGACUUCGAACUGAGGACCUUGGGUGCCAGCCAUGAAUCCCCUUACUAUCUGCGAUAGGAACAGUCGGUAAUUUUAUUAUAUAUAUUAAUCAUCAAAUAGUAAUUAAGAGUGGUAUAUUAUUAAAUAUAUAUAGUUGCACAGAUUUAUACCAACUGCAGGCUAGGAGAGGGGCCGGGCCAUUAGACAAACCAUAAUGUAGCCAGCACAUUGAUGCAUGUAGGACUCACCAGGCUGGGUCAAAAACACUAGGGCUCGGAGCUCAGAAACUUACACAACCUGUUGGGGUAGCUUUAUUGAAUCCGAGCUAUGAUGACCACAUGUUCCAACACAAACAGUAGCGGGAAGGGUAAUGUGGACCUGUUGCUUUUCUCUGUCUAGUGCUCUUGACUGUGCUUUUUAAGACUUGUCUAUUUAGAUUUUAUCUUUGUUUUUUAAGUAUUUACUAUUAAUUUUUUUAACUCUUAGAUUUUUAUUAGGGUUUACUAUUUGGUGGUAAUACUAUAGUGAAUCCAACCACUAAAAGUUGAUAGCAUAUACUAUUUACAUACUAUUAAUUAUGUUCCAAUCGUAAUAUAUAGAGAAGGUGGAGAGAUGUUUGGCCAUGGAAGAUUGGUGCAGGGACCCCCUUCUUCAAAUAGGUCUAAAAAGAGGUGAGCUGGGUUCCAUGUUCACCUCUCUCUCUCUCUCUCUCUCUCUCUCUCUCUCUAGAUCUCUCUCUCUCUCUCUCUCUAUCUAGAUCUCUCUCUCCCCCUUGACUACCACAUCACCCUGGGGGUUUUUAUAAUAGUGUCUAGGGAUAGUGGUCUUCCUACUAUACUAUCCACAGGCCAAAUGACCCUCCCAUUGAGGGGGUGGAAAAAGAGCUUUGUCCACAACCUACCUACGAGGCUCAUUAAAAUAGCUGUGAAGCUAGAUAGAUAUUUAGAAAGCAUCUCUCUGACUUAGUCCUAACCUUGUGUUAGCAAGCUACAGUGCCAUAUAUAUGGUUCUCUCUCUCUCUCUCUCUCUCUCUCUCUCUUUCUCUCUCUUUCUCUCUCUCUCUAUAUGUGACAAACACACAUGCAUGUAUGACACACACACACACAUUCAUGUACACGCAACAUAUAAAGGACAAACAUACACGAGUUCAAACAUAAAUACAUUCAUGCUGUAUGUACUGAAUGACCAGUAUAUUAAUGUCGGUUAGCAUGCAUGUGAAAGGUCAGUUGAGUUAUGAAGCCCAGCAAAAAUAACUUAAGGCACAGAACUCUGUAGAACUUCGGAUGAUGUUAUUAAGUUAUUUGUACUAUUUCACAUAUUUAUUUAUUUUCAAAAAAGAAAAAAAAACUAUUUUCACACAUUUACUAAAUCCAGUUAGAUUCAGUAGAUUUACUUAAUCAGUCUAUCCAGUAUCCACAAUGAGUGAAUAUAUAUUCCUCAUGUUACUAAAUUUUAUACUAAACAGCUCCACUGUCCUUUUCUAUUGCGUUGUUUUUUUUUGUUUUUGUUUUUUUUUUUUUGUUUUUUUUUUUUUUUUAGAAAUAGGUAGCACGCUACCCGCUUCGUUUAUUUCAUUUAGAAAUAAACUUAACUGGAAAUGUGAAUCAACUAGGAUUCGAACUUGGAUCUCGGGUACCAAUCAUCAAGUCCUUUGCCACUUGCUCUAGGUACGGUUGGUUCUCCUUUUCUAUUGUUGAUUUUUUGUUUUCGCAAUGGCACAUCAUAUAUAAAUUGUUAAAGUUAUGAGAUCUUAUGAGAAUAUAUCUCAUUUUCUUCUACUGAGAAGAAAGAGAGGUACAUAUAUACCAGUUGAAGUGUGUGUGCAACGGGCGCUUUGCAUUAAAAGAAAACUCAAAAAAAAUAUUUUUACUCGUGUAUAUAUUUUUAGAAUAAAUAUACUGUGUACGUUAAAUAAAUUUAUUUUAUUUAAUUUACAAACAUCUAAUUUGGCAUGGAAGUAGAGAUAACAAUGGUAGAUUUAAUUAAGUUAAUCUAUUAAAUUUACGUAGAUUAGGAAAUUUAAAUAUUUUAUUAAAUAAAUCAUCUAAUUGGAUAGAAAGAUAGGAAGAAAUAUAGUAGAUUAGUUAAAUUUGGUGUAUUAAUAUUUAAAUUAGUUUAAAAUAUUAAAAUCGUGCAAGUUGUUAAUUUUUUUAAAAAUAAUUUAUAGCAAUUGUUUUAAGUAUGGAUAAACUUUGAGAAUAGAAAGGGCAUUUCUAAAAAAAAAAUUGAUAGAUCCAAAACUUCUAUUCACUCAUAUAUAUAUAUAUACACUAGUUAAAUUAAGUGUGCAUGCAAUGCACACUGUUUUAAAAAAAUAAAUUUAGAAAAGUAAUUUUACUUAUAUAUGUAUCUUGUAGAAUUUUACUUUGUACAUAAAAUAAAUACAUUUUGUUUUAUUAUAAUCACUUACUUUUGGUAUAGAAGUCAGAAGAAUGAUUGCAUAUUUUACUUAAGUAAGAUUUAUCUGUUAAAUCGAAGUACAUUACAAAAAUUAUCUUUUAAAUUAAAAUUUUUAUUUGAUUGAAAUCAUCUAAUAUAAUAGAAAAAUAGAAAGAAUUAUAAUAAACUAGUUAGGUUUGACUUAUUUAAAAUUUAAAUAAGUUUAAAACAUUAAUUGUGUCGGUUGAUAAUUUAAACUUUUUAACAGCGGUUGUUAAAAAAACAUUUGAAAAUUUAAAUUAUGUCUAAAAAUUAUGCCGAUAUUUUAAAUGUAAAUGUAUUUUUAGAACGAAGGGAUAUAUAUUUUAAUUCAGAAGAAAAAUUGGCAGACCCAAAACUGUUAUUCACUCUUUUACAUAUAAAUAUAGAUAUAGAUAAGUGUAUAUAUAUAGUGACAAAGAAGAAGAGAAUAUGGCCUAGUGGUCAAGAACAUUCAAACCUCUCAAUUAAAUUAAAAAUCUGAAUCACAAAUUAUCUCAAGGUAAAUAAAAAUCAAAAUCAUUAUCCAUUAUAUAAUAAUGAUCAUCAACUAAACUCUUUCAAAUAAACUCUUACAUUGGUAGAGAGUGUCCCUUUCUCGACUCCGAAAAAAUAGGCAAGGAAUGUUUGUCCUGUGGAGCUCAAAUUAACUUUGCAACAUUUGCUAUAUACAUGUUUAUGGCCCCCUUUUGGCAUAUACAUGCUCAUGUGGACAGGAACACAAAUGUGCUCCAGGCGCGCAAGCGACAUGAUCGGACACUGUGUUGUCCAACUCCAAAUGUUAUCGUUUGAUCCGCGAACGAGCAAAAUAUCUUAACAUGAGAAUUCAUCAGAUCUAGUACGUUAGUUCACUAUUUUUUUGAUUGUCAAUGUUCCUCCUGUGUUACAAUCUAAGAUCUGAUGAUGAUAUGCAUGCAUAACCAAAAUAGGAGAAGAGAAUAUAUAUAUAGCAUCGAUCGCAGCAACUGCGAAAGAGAGUUUCAAUAGUAUUCUAGAGAGUAGUUGAGUUGAUCAAUCGGUCCCCCUCGCGAUAAUUGACUUCAAUGCGUGGUGGUGGGUGUGGGCUUAGAUUAAGGAAGAGUCUGGUCCGACAACGAGCGAAGUGCGCCGCGUGUCGUGCGGCUGCGAGGCAAGGUGGACAAGGAUAGAGCUCACAGAGGAGGAGACCAAAGGAGGUGAACGUAUUAAUUGAGACCUUGUCAAUCAGUUGAGACAUCACUUUAAACCCCUCAUUUUCCUUAUGCUCUCUCUCUCUCUCUCUCUCUCUCUCUCUGAAUUUUAUUGCAACAUUGUUCAGUUUGAAGUAGACUUAAUUUGUUGGAAUUUUGGAGAAGCAUUUGUCCCCAGAAACCACAUUUCUUUAAAAUGUGUUCCAAAUGUUUGGGCUGGGCCAGCAUGCAAAAAGUAUCCUUACUGGUGUAGACACUCUUUAACGCAAACGUUUCGUAAACUUUAUAUAAAGUGUGAAAUUUCCACUAUGGUGGCGGACGGUUGAAACAAAGAUUCUAAGUUUCAAAAAACAUUUUGAAAAUAAAAAUAUCUGAUUAGAGAUGAUACGUAAUAGCAAUACUCAAACAACACUGCAUCUAAUAGCACUGCGGUAGAGCUGUGUGCGGAUGCUAGAGAGAGAGCUCGGCCUAGGCCUGAGAUUCUAGAAUCCGGCCCUUCGUAUGCCGGAAUAGGGAAUGGGCCGAUCGAAAGCCCUAAAAGAACCCAGGCCUUAAACUAGCCCGGCAAAUUUAUUACUUUUCAGAAAUUGGGCCCACCAGGGCCCAGUGACCAUAUUUACCCUCGGCGUUCCGGGCCGCGGUAGAUCCAUUAACGACACUAAUUCCGCAUGUAAAAUUUUGGUUUUAUCGCUCGUGCCUUUAUAGGCCCACCCACACAGUAGGAAGGCAAAUGGGCCAAAAAUUAGGGCCCAUAACAUGGGCCAGCUGAUUCGGUCCGUUUAGAAAAUUAGGCCCAACAUUUUGCCCCGGUGGAAUAGGACUAUAGGAGGUGGAUUUGGUGUUUGUGUUCGACGAAAUGCCGAAGCAAUGUUCGGAUUGUGCGUAGAGGCAGACAAAAAAAAAAAAAGGAAAAUAAGAAAGAAAAAUUAAGGUCCCAAACGAAGCUUCUAUGAAUGUGUAGUCGAAACUUUUAAAAAUAAAUCUGCAAUGAAAUAAUAACAUACGAUAAAAAGAGUUGAUAUGUAGUAAUGCGCCAGAAAACACGACCGGCAAUGAUGUAUGGACUAAGAAGGCAUGUCACGGAUAUAUUGACCGCAAUCUAGGUGUAUAGUAUCCACAUUUAUGGCAACUUUGGAUCGGAACCAGAGAGAGAGAGAGAGAGAGAGAGAGAGAGAGAGAGAGGCCACCGACUCUAGAACUACUAUAAUCUUAUGUUUGCUCAACUUUUUUUAGACUCUUGAGUCUAACAGCCGUCAAAAUAUUUUAGCCAGACAAGAGGUUUAAUCUUAUUAUAUUUCAUAUGCAAAACUAUAUCAAAUUUUGAAGGGUGUCAUAUUUAUAAGUAUUAGGCGAUGUGAGAUUCGUCUCACUAUCCCUAUCUUAUCCUAUGGGAGGUGCACUCUAUCCACAAUUAUCGUUAGCCGAAAAGCCGUGCUCUUGGCCAUCGUAUGAUCUUAACUUAGCUCAGACUCAACAUCUUAUACUUCCAAUUAGUGGUUGGUUGUUAUCCUAAUUGCGACGCCUUGCUUCUCAGAGAGGUCAUCAAUAUAGAACUAUUCUAACCCUAAACUCGUUCAAACUUUUUAAUAUUUUAGGUCUAGUCGAUCACCGUCCAAAAUAUUAUUACUAAAUUAGAAAAUUUUGUCCUACUAUACUUGAGCUACUGUAUUGAACUAUUUCAAAUUUAGAGGGUGUCAAGGACACAGAGAAGUAGUUUGACUGGCAAGUUAACUUUGCUACCACUCUAAUUAUUUUCCUUUUCUCCUAACUAACUGGACAGGUAUGUUUUCUUUGCUUGCAAAUCAAUUACUGCCAACUAAUAUAGGGGAGAAAGAAAGAAAAUACGUGUUGAUAGUACAUUUAUUUUCUUUCUGAGUUAAGAUACAUCAAUAGUUGUUGUACGGGAACUAAUCUACACACUACAAUAAAAUUAGGUUAUAGAGACACAUAUUUGGGACACUUUUGUCUAAGUGUUCUAUUUAUGUUAAAAUUAAAAAAAACAUCUACUAAUGCCUAAAUAUAAAGCCGAAUCCAACAAAAAAUAAAAGGUUAUUAUACUCAACCCACCCAACCCAGCCAUUUGGCCCGAUUCUAAAUAGAAAAGAAAAAAAAAAGAAAAAUCGAUUACCAUCUCCUUUUCUCCUCUCACUCAAUCCACUGAAAUUCUAGACGAAAAGGCCUUCCCUCUCGUCCUCCUCCGCCACCGCAGCCAACGAGAUAGAGUUCCGACGGUUGCUAGAUGCUUAAAUAAGUAUUGCUAAAUUAGCAGCACUUUCUUAGGUUAUAGCGACACUCUUCAACUGUUACUAUAUACCUAGCGACCCCACAUAUAGCAACACUUUUUAUAAGUGUCAGUAAUUUAGCCAGCAGCACUUUUUUUGACCUAUACCGAUAUUUAAAAGUGUCGCUAUAGACCGUUUUUGUUGUAGUGACACCAAAUUAAAGUUGGGCCAAUGAAGUCCUACAUUCUUGCACAGCAUCCUAAACUUGGCCCGGCCUUCAAGUCUCACUUUGGGCUCGAAAACCUUAAUUUCAAUCCGCCAUUUAUUAUGACACAAAUUACAACUUUUUACUAUCAUAUAUUGCACCUACUUUUGUACCUUUUUACUAUCAUACAUUGAAGAUGACAUGAAUGUACCUUCUUUUUCUUUUUUUUUUUUUUGAUGAGAGAAACAUGACAAGUUAUCUGCUUUAAUUUAUUCUUUCUCUCAAAAAUUUAUUUUUUAUUUUUUUAAGAAAUAAACUUAGUAAAAAAAUAUGAAACAAUCAAGUAUUAAAUUUGAAAUAUCAGAUGUCAACUAUCAAAUAUUUAGCCAAUUGGGAUGCUAGGUAAGGUCAAUAUUUCCUUCUAAUGUUACGUACUUGUCACAACCAAUGGGUUGGGUGAAAAGCAAAUGAGUGAACACAUGUUAUGUAUGAGGCUGAUAUAUUCCUAUGAAAAGGAUAUGACUAAAAGAGAAGCAUGCUAAUUAAUAACCCUCCAAGUCAAACAUUUGGAGGUGACUAGGUUGACGUUGACUUCUUAAUGAACCAGGUCCAUCCGUUUAGAUUAUUAUUGAAUCAAAGGUUCUUCAAAGAAGCGCUUUCGCUAAUUAUCGCAAAAGUCUCUUCUUUUAAAGAGGAGUGUAAAUGCCCAAAUUAAAGGAAUAUAUUUUAAUGAUCUUUUGAUAUGCCAAUAAUUAAAAUUUUACAUAUUUUUAACUAAAUUUAUUUCUAAAUAAAAUAAACAAAAUGGAUAACAAACUACUUAUCUCUUGUAGUAAAAAGUAUCAUUUUGAGAGUCGUGUUGAAGGUAAAAAUAUACUAAUAAGCUACUAGUAGCUUCUUCUCUCUCUCUCUCUCUCUCUCUCAAAAAAGCUACUAGUCAGCUUUGAAAUGGGCCCGUAACUUCAUAUUUUUUCGAUCCAUACCCUCUCAACUUUUUUUUUUCUUAUUUGAGUUUUCAUACUUAUUUAAAUUAAAACUUUUUUAAAAAUUUAAUGGCUACUAUUUUUUUUUUGAAAAAAAAAUAAUAUGCUACCCGCUUCGUUUAUUUUUUUAAAAAAAAUAAAUUUAGCUGAAAAUAUGAAUCAACUAGAAUUCGAACUUAGAAUAUUUAGUACCAAUCACCAAGUCCUUUGUUGUUUGUGCUAGGGAUGACCAAUGAGGCAACCUAUUUCAAAAUGAGCUACCGUACAAUGGUACAUGGAAGGGCCCCUCGAGAUGUUUGAAGGAAUUUGACGCAAUUGUGGGAGGACUUUGUCUCUUAGUUUCCUAAUUUCCAAGUAAGCUUCAUGUUGAGAUGAGGUCACUUAGUCCUAGAGGAUUUAAAUUAAUUAGGCUUUUCGAUAAUGAAUAAAACAUGUUGAGUUAGGUAAGGGUCAAUGAUAAUAUGGACAAUUGACGCAAACAUUGAUCAGUGUAUUAGUUCGUCACCAUCUACAACUAAAUCCUUCUAAUGUACGGUAGCAUUUGGUAAAAUAGGCUUAUAAGAGGUGAAGACUCUUUUAGAGUCAUAUUGUCUUCUUUUUUUUUUUUUUUUUUUUUUUUUUUUUUUUGAGAGAGAUAGGUAGCACACUACCCGCUUCGUUUAUUUCAUUUAGAAAUAAGCUUAGCUUGAAAUAUGAAUCAACUAGGAUUCGAACUUGGGUCUUGGAUUGUCACCAAUUUAGUAUUGUAACUCCUUAGGGGUAUAUAUAGCUGCUACAAGUUUAGGUGAGUCUUAUAAAAGCUUCGAUUCCAAGUCCACGAGAGUUUCAGAAGCUACAUGAGCAAAAGUUCCUACUUAACAACAUAAACAAAUUCGCAAUCUUUGUACUAAUCCAACCAAAACGAAUGAUUCUUGGUGUUUUGAUUAUCAUUCUCUAAUUUAAUCAAGAAGUACUUUUGUUAGGCAAAAAUAGAGGAGACAAAGCUAGUUUUAUAAUUGAAGGCAGGUGACCUUAAUUAUUUGAUUAAGUUAUAUAAGUCUUCUAUAGCAGUUGCAUCCUACCCUUGGAUUAUCCAGGAUUUUGGUGUCAAAAGGUUAACUAAUACUGUCUCUUGCAUGGAUUAGCAAGAGAUCUAAGUUUCCUUUUCUUGUCUCAUUCGAUCAUUAUUGUGUCAUACCAGUUAUUGGGAUAUAUAAAAUUGGAUUAUGUUAUGUCUCAUUUGCAAAGUGAGAUUUGGUAGUCUUGUUCUCCUUUGGUGGUUGAUUGCUCACUUCCUUUCAGUUGCCUCAAUAUGCGGCCCAAAUCUCAUUUAAAUUAUCUUGAAUACUUUUUUUUGAGAGAGAUAGAUAGCACGCUACCCAUUUCGUUUAUUUCAUUUAGAAAUAAACUUAGCUAGAAAUGUGAAUCAACUAGGAUUCGAACUUGGGUCUCAGAUACCAACCACCAAGCCCUUUGCCACUUGCUCUAGGGACGGUUGAUUGAAUACUUAAAAAUAAUGUUUGCCUACUUGCAUGUAUUAUAACUAGCUGCUAACAUAGCAUCACAUAAGAAGAAAAGGAUAAGGUACAUUUUUGCUUUACCAUUGGAAAGUGCUAUUGAAAUAUGGAAUUUAUUGAGGAGCAUGAAUAUUAGCAUGUUAGGAUGAAUUUCCAAUUCAUAUGAAACAAUCUCUUUUAAAUUUCAACAUUUUAGAUCUUCCUCUUUUUUUUUUGUUGUGAGAUGUUAAUUAUGUCCUUAUCUUUAUCCUAUAGCUCCCUUUAGUGCUUAUUACUUACCAAACAGAAAGUAAUUAACAUCUUGUGCGCCUUAUUUUAUUUUCCAUUCAAGUUUUAUAUUUUAGUCCUCUUUUUUUUGUUUUGAGAAAUAGGUAGCAAGCUACCUGCUUCAUUCAUUAAGUAAUUAACAUCUUGUGCGCCUUAUUUUAUUUUCCAUUCAAGUUUUAUAUUUUAGUCCUCUUUUUUUUUUUUUGAGAAAUAGGUAGCAAGCUACCUGCUUCAUUCAUUAAGUAAAAUGAACUUAGCAUACAAGUUGGAGGCAGCUUAGGCCUCCGGGAAGCCGACAAAAAAGUAGAAGUUACAAAAAAGUUAAAUUUAGGAAUUAAACAAGAAGAAAAUCAAGGUAGCAAGGGGAAGAGGAACAGAUGAGGAGCAGAUGAGGAGUACAUAAGAGACAUCAGAGUCUUGUGGUCCAGUCACGGAUUAGUAGUUUCACCCGUUCCAGAGACCCGGUGAUAAAGGGUGGCUUUCCUCUAAAAACAGAGUCGUUUCUGUCCGUCCAGAAUAUAUAUGUCCGUGAUGGAAUCUUUAUUAGUAGGUUUCGUUACGAGUAAUCAUAGACAAUUACCUUCCUGCUUUACUAUUCCACUUACAGGAAGAGUGAGGGACGACAACCUUAUUUCCCUACCAGGAGAAAGCAAAAACGCAGAUAGCCAGGGGUACGAGGGUUCAUAUUGAUAUCAGAUCAGAAAAGGCUUUCUCCUGUAUAAUAACGGAUUUAGACCAGGAAACUAGUGUAGUCAGUACUUGGCGUAUCAACUAGACAGGAUGAUAAGUAGAUCUCAGAUAAAUGUAACCUUUCAAUAAAACUAACUUUCCAUACCGCUAGCUUUUAUCACUAUACCAGCUACCGCUAAAGUAUAUAUAUAUAUAUAUAUAUCAGGUACUGACUACAUCACCUAAUCUAGUCGUGUUUUCAAAGGUAACUAGUUCUCCCAAGAUCGGAAGAUACACGGUAGGUUGAAAUGUAAAUGGUAGAGUCCCAUACAUUUAAUAUUCAUGAGGUGGAGAACCGUACCGGUAAGUAGGUUGAUACAUAUAUAUCUCUAGAGUAAAGAGAGAGAGACACACACACACACACACACACACACACACACACACACACACACACACACACACACACACAUUAAGAUCAGGUUUUAUUCUCCUGAUCUUACUGACACAAAUGCAAGCUAAGGAAGAAGAGUCAUAUCCUCCUAACCUGUGUUGUCUGUAGUCGUGUCCGCUGCAAGCUCUAGAGACCCGGUCUUGAUGACCUUAGGAAGGACUGAGUAGCUCCUUUGUUGCGAACUAGGAAGAUCGUCGCUGCACCAUCCAGUNGAGAGAGAGAGAGAGAGAGAGUGUGGAACUAUGAUACUAUUAAAAACACCAAGCAUAUGAGAUUGUAAAACAAAUUCAACGGCUAAAAAGGUGGAGGCAUAUAAGCUGCUAUACUUCUAAUAAUAACAUAGUAGCUCUACUCUAUAUCUAUAUAUAUCUUUAGCAUGGUCCUUAUAGUACGUAAUUAGAAGUGAUCAUUUUUCUUUCUUUAUUAAUUUGAAGGUAAUGACAAUUUCUUUUAUUGGAACAACUCUUCUGCAUGAUUAUAUAUAAGAUGGUAUCGUUCAAUAUUAGAAAGAACCUUAAAUUUCCUAGCGCUAAGCUUUCACCUAAUUAUCGCUUCCUUCCACGAUAAAAUGAUGGUUUUUCUUGGGCAUAUUUCAAUAUGUAUCUUCUUUGCCAUAAGGAGAAAUUAUGGCCACUAUAUAUAUAUAUAUAUAUAUAUUAUAUAUAUAUAUAUAUAUAUAUAUAUAUAUAUAUAUUAUUUAUUUAUUUAUUAUUAUUUAUUUCAUUAUUAAAAUAUUAAAUUCUAUUCAUAUGAAACUCAUUUGGGGCAAGAUAUAAUGACUGGUGAUAGGUAAUAUGAUACCUAUAUGACUAUAUCCAUAGAGUAGAUGCCUUUGUACCGGAUAUGUACUAGUAAGAAACUACUUUAUAUUAACAAUAUAAGCUUGUGGACUAAGCAAUUCCACUAGAGGCAUGUGUGAACUCAAUACAUAUAUGAACAAGUUGUAUUUUUUUUCCCCCCUUAUUAUUGCAAUCAUAGCCAAAGGGAAAGGAAUUGUGGGUGGACAAGAUAUCCUCAUACUCUGCACCCUUGGUAUUAGGAAACAACCUGGGCCCUCAUGUAGCAUCAUGGGGUCAAUGAGUCUCAAGCAAACUCCUAUAACAAUCUAUAGGUUGUCUCUCACCAAAUUAGAUGGAUGCAAAUUAUGACAUCAUAAUACCUAUUAACAAGUAAAGAAAAGUGCAAUUCCCUUAAGAUGACAAAGGCAACAUGAGCCAUUAUUGCCAUAAAAUUGUAAGAGGUCUUAUAAUAUUCUGAUUGCCACUUUUUUUUUUUUUUUUUGAGAGAGAGAGAUAGACAGUAUGCUAUACGUUUCGUUUAUUUCUUUUUAAAAAUAAAUUUAGCUGAAAAUGUGAAUCAAUUAGAAUUUAAACUUGAAAUCUUGGGUACUAACCAUCAAAUCUUUUGUCAUUUGCGUCAGAGGCGGUCUUAUUCUCUUUUCUUAGACCUUUUUUUGUUUUUGUGUUUUUUUUUUUAGAGAUAGAUAGCACGCUACCCGCUUCAUUUAUUUUAUUUAAAAAUAAACUUAGCUGUAAAUAUGAAUCAACUAGAAUUUGAACUUGGGAUCUCGGGUACCAACCACCAAGCCCUUACCCGCUUCGUUUAUUUCUUUGUAUUUGUUACAAUGGUUUGAGACACUAACAAUAGAGCUUAAAGGUUUUGAAAUCUUUAUAUUACUCUAAUAACAACUAAGAAUUAACUACGCAAAAGUCAAAAUAUACAACCAUGACAAUCUUAUACCAUUUAAAUAAUUCUUAUUUACUGGAAUAUGUUUUAUAGGCCCAUGCAAGUGUAAUCCAUAGGCCAUAGCCACCCAAUGAACGUUAAGCAUGGUCAAUGACCAACUGUUUAUGUUUUAUAAAUAGCAAUUCUGAGUACUCGAACGAACAGGGAAAAGCUCCUUUAGGGUUGAAAAUUAAAUAUUCUAACUCAUGAGCCAAAAUUAGAGAGCAAAUUUUUUAGGGAAUUAACUUCUUGGUUCAAUGAAUGUAUGUGUGGUACUAGUGUUUUGUAGAGAUCAAGAGAGAGCCUUAAAUGAAUCAAACUCUUUUGGCGUAUGAAUAUGAAAGUUAUGGAUAGUGAGAAGCAUGCAUGCUUGGGACUUUAGUUUUUUUUUUUUUUCUUUUAAUUUUAAUAUUAUCUGAUUGUGGCAUAUCCAAUCAGUCUUUUUCAAGUGGGGAUUUAAUUGAUAGCUAACUAGAUUACAAUUAAUAAACUUUUCAUUCUACCAAACUGAUUUAACACAUCUUCCCACUUUGAGCACAUCCUCCACAUUUUUUUUGACCCUCCACUUAUUGUAUAUUUAGAGGACCCACUAGCCGUUUGACUAAAGAUAUAGCUAUACUUUUUGUUUUUUUUUUAAGGUUUAAAUAAUAAAUUAUACUAGUGUAGUGGCUAUUAGAUAAAUAAGUUAAUGCUUUCAAUUUGGUGACCCGUUAUCUUGUUUGCUAGAAGUAAAAUCAGAGAAAAAGAAAAAGCUAACCAAUGAAACCACUCAUGAUGCCCAAAUAAAUCAAUUUAAUUAUUUUAGAAACUAAAUAUAUUUAGCAUUACAAAAACUUCAAAAUAACAAUUUUAAUGGAUAGGGAAUCGACCUUACUGAACAGCUUCAUAAGAUCAAUUUGUUUCUUUUUUUUUAUGCUUUAUCCAAUUAAAAGCGCAAAAAAUAUUAACGUGAGCUUCACUUCCAGGGUGCGUUUGGUUCGCGCUAUCUUUUAAAGAUUCCUAGUAAUCCAAUGGGAAUAAAAAAAUAUGACGGUGUUUGGCUAAACGCACUAAGUAAUCUAGUUGGUAAUAUUGGAUUCACUUGGGAAUAAGAUUCACCCCAAAGUACUAAUCUCAUUCUCUUGAGGGAGGGUGGGUAUCCUCAUAUUAAUGGAUUGGGGUAAUCAUAAUAUAUCUAAUCUCUUUCUUUUUUCCUAUCCGCCGGCUAAUUGAUAUUAUUUUUCUUUACACUCUAAUCUUAUAUCUCUCUCUAAAUUUAUUUUUCUCUCUAAAAUUCAACUUUUUUUUUCUCUCUCUAAACUAAGCUUUCUCUCUCUCUCUUUCUAAAAUUUCAACUCUCUCACUCCCUCUAAUUUCGACUAUAUUUUUCUUCGUAUUUUUCUAAUUAUGCUCUCUCUUUCUAACUUAUACUCUCUCUCCCUUUUUUCUAAAAAGAUGUUGAAACUUUUGGUAACAUUAUCUAAAAUUAAUUAAAUUAAUUAAUUAAUUAAUUGUAUAAUUUUUGUAAUAUUAAAUAACAUGGCUAAUUAAUAUUACUGUGUGAACCAAACACAGGAAUUCCACAUUCUUAGUAAUAGGAUGAAUAGGAAUAAGAUUCUCAGAUAUCUUUUAUUCGUAGUAAUCUUUUAUAAUGCGAACCAAACGCACCCCCAGUGUCAUGUUAUAUUUAUUCUCUUAAUAUUGCAGAGUUUGAAAAUUAUGCUGAGCAUUAAUCCUAAAGUAUCUUUGAUGACGCGACCAGAGAUUUCUACUUUUGUUGGCUGCACAAGUGUCAAUCACUAUACAUUCUUAAUUUAAAUUAUUAUUUAGAAUUUAAUGUCAAUGCAUAUGUGAUUACUCUGAGCAUUGGGUCAACUUGCAAAGAAGCAUCUUCUGCCGAAAAUACCAAAUUCCGCGUGAUGACCGCCGAGUUGACAAGUAACAAAUAUUGGUUCACUCACUUUCCCAGGUACACGUUACCGCUAUCUUUGAAUUAUUUUUUAUUAGAUCAAUCUUCUCGCUGCACAUUAUAAUUUUCUAACAAUUGUUGAACCUCGUCAAUUUCAAAAUAUCUAUUUCAUCGCACAGGUUUUAAUUCAUCUAAUUAAUUAUUUACUUUCUAUCGGUGCACAUCUCAUAAUUCUUAACCAUUUCAACACAUAUAUAGUACAAAAGUCUGAUCAAGACUUAUUUUUUAACUCCUUUCGGCCAACUUCUAUUAUCGAAUUAUAUUUACUAUCAUAUUGAUCUUUAAUAUUACAGUGAAAAAUUUAUCGGGAAUUUAUUGGGUACACUUUAACCUAAUGGAAGAUAUCUUAUCUGGGGGGACAAAAACCUGCUUGGUCCACUGGGCUUUGGCUUGUCGUUUUGACCAAACCACGAACCAAAAUGAUGUGUACCGCAAAAUUUUUCCACUCCGAGUUCUAGCCACCAUCCUCGUCACCAAAGAGAGUCAACCACAGAGGUUUGAAAAGUCAACGCUCCCCUUGAACUUACACGUGGGUGCCUCCUUUCACGUCGAGUCACACGAGAUGUAAAAUAUCUCUUCCCGUGUCCCUUGCUUUUGCAUCAUUGAUGACGAUCGAUAGAUCGCUGUUUACAAAUAUUCCAAGUAAUUAAUUAACUGUGUUAUUUUAACACUAAAAUAGAAUUUGGUGUAGUAAUUAAUUACUUUAGUUGAUAUCGAACCCUCUCUCCCGCAUCUAAACUAUUUAAUUUGCUUGGGUGCGACGUCAACUGAGCAUUUAAAUAUUACUACAUCGGUAAAAGACCAAGAAAUUUUGAAUUAGAAAGAUACAUUCACGCACGUUAAUGAAUGUUUCUAUAGAAUUUUUGUUUAUCAUGUGAGUAAUCUUUGUGAUGAGUAGUGGUGGUUAUUAAAUUGACAGUGAUAUGGGCUUCUAAUUAUGUCUUUGUAUAUUUUUGUGGCAUGCGUGUGUCAAUCUCAAAAGGCAUCCACUUGGCUAUAUUUAAUUUAUAAGGAUAAUAAUGUGCACUAAAUAACAUUCCCUAUUAGUUAAUUAACAAACAAGCCACAAUCAUCUUAUAUAAAUAUCAUAAUAAUAUGAGAUGUGUGUAUGUAUAGAGGGAGAGGGAGAGACAGAGAAUUUGUGGGGUGGCACAAGAAGACAAAGGGCGAAAUUCAAAGAGGGAAAUUAAUUGGGUGCUCCUUUGAGGAAGACCAAGGACAACCAAUACGUUCUAAAGGUCAAUCAUCUAUUCUAUGAUUUGUUAGAUGAUUUGUUCCUCUCUCUCUCUCUCUACAUAAACACAAUAAUCCUCCUUUUAAUUAACUCAUCAAGUAGUUCUCACUCCUCCACUUCUCAUGUAUGUGACAAGUGAAAUACAUCUCACCCUAAGAUGAAUGGGUGUAUAUCAUACACCCCAAAAAGGGUUACAUGUAUAGUAGUAUCACUCUUUUUUACAUAACAAAGUAAUUCUAGGACACUAGCUUAUUAAAUAGGAGUAUUACUUUGGGUACACUUUACAUGAUUUUCCAAAGUAUUGUUAAUUAGUUAUUAUCAUGCACACUACAACAAAAACGAUAUAUAGCGACACUUUUAAAUGUCAGUAUAGAUAAAAAAAAGUGUUGCUGACUAAAUUACCGAUAUUUUUUAAAAGUGUUGCUAUAUAUGGAGUCACUAUAUGUAAGACCACCUUGAUAUUUGACACCCACUCUUCCAGCGAUCUGUGGCGAAGGGACACGUAGCUAUCGCAGCCCUCUACGGUUCCUGCGAGAUCCUCGCGGCCGACUUCUAGCCGCAGAAACCCUAUCUCGUCGGGUUGAGUGGGCUGAGUGGGAUUGGUGUCCCAAAAAUAUGUCACUAUAAGCUAAUUCUAUUGUAGUGUACAUAUUAGAAAGUUAUUAUGUUUGUUUUUUAUUUUCCAAAAUAUUAUUUUUUAUAUAAUAUUUUGAUGUAAUGGAGGAAAGAUUUUCAUUUGAUAUUACUAACUCAUAAUGCAUCCACCUAAAAUAUAAUAGUUGAUGAUCCAUGUAUUUUCAAAAGUUUUAAAAACAAAAAAAAUUCUUUCUGCUUUUUAUUGUUAUUAUCAAAUAAGCAUUUUGAAUGAAGCGAUUGUAAUUAAUCCGCUGUCCACUUUUAUAUUUUUUAAUAUACAAAAUUUUGUUUAAAAAAAUAAAAAAAUAAAUAUUAUAGCAACGGAGGCCUAAUUUCUCAGGGUUAUACCCACAUAUAUAGUAUGGAAAAUUAAAAAGAUGAAUCAAUUAUUGUAUAGUAUUGAUUUUUGAGUAUCACUCGGUAAAUAAAUAAAGGUGGACAACUUUAGUCUUGGAGUGGACCACGAAUGAGCCGUUCUGUCUCAAAAAGCAUUAAAUCUCAGCCACAAAAUUGGUAGCAUUCUGAUGAAGAUGAUAGUGACAAUUAAUUAAAUAGUAAAAUCAAAAUAUAGUACCUAGUUACGGAUUAUGUGUCCAUAUAUGUAUAUUGGCAGAAAAAUUGUACAAAAAUCCUUUGAACUUCACCAUUUUUGCAAAAAAAUCUUCUAAACUUUUAAUUUUAACAAUUAAAUUUCUAAACUUUAUCAAAUAGUUUAACACUUUCCUCUCAUACAAGCAAACUUAUUAUUAACACUGCUAUUUCAGUGGUAUAUCUUGUAUAUAUAUAUUUAUAUAUUUAUGUUUUAAUUGUAAAGCUUCAAAGUGUGAAAAAAAAAAAAAUCUUCUAUACUAACGAGUAUAAAAAUAAAAAAAAAGAGUAAGAUUCUUAGAUAUGUUGCUAAUUAUACUUCAGUUAUGUUGCUUAAGAUUAUGAUAAUUAGAAGAGACUUUCGGUUUUGGUGUGGGUGGGGAUUUUAAAGUCUUACAAAAUUAUGCGGCGAUCUAAACAGCUAUUUAAUUAGUAACUUUGCUUAAGAAAAGCAGUUUAUUAAACUAUUUGAUAACGUGUCGAAUAUCUAAUUGUAAAUAAUAAAAAUUUAGAGAUCCAUAUUGAUAAAUGUUAAAGUUUUUGGUGGUCUAUGUACAAUUUUUACCAUAUUCAAAGUACCCAUCCGUGAUCAAUCAAAUAGAUUCUUGACAUAAGUGUGACAGUGGUAUCAAUAUACCUGACAAAGAGAGAUCUAACCAACCGUCUGUAAAAUACAUGGCAAAAAAUUUAAUGAUUGAUAUCUGAUGGAAGUUCAGUUGUUUCACAUUUUUAAUUAAAUUUGUUUGUAAAGAAAAAAAAAAAAAUCAACGGAUAGUAUUUUAUUUUUUUAAAUAAAAAGAGAGAUCUAGAGAUAGAGAGAGAGAGGGAGAGAGAUCUAGAGAGAGAUUUAGAGAGAGAGAGAGAGAGAGGAGGGUAGUUGUCGUUAUCUGGGCUUUGACCUGACGAGGUCGGAAAGGGGAGGGGAUUGGGCCAGGCCCAGGUGGGCGGCCGAAGCACGCGCGCACGCCGCGUGGGGCCCACGCUGUUGACCCCCUACGACAUGUCCCUCAUCAGCAUGACGUCAUGUUUUUUUUUUUUUUUACUCCAUUUGUUGGAGAAAAAUUGUAGCAUGUACUUGGGUUUCAUUAAUAAAAAAUAAAAAAAAACACGCGCGCGCGCACACACAAGAGAAUGGUGUAUUAAUUAAAGGAAAAACUUCAACAAUCCUCCUAUAAUUUUAUACUUUUUUAUUUUAGUAUCCUGUGGUUUAAGGUGUAUUAAGUUAGUAUCAUAUGGUUUCGCAUUUUCUCACUUUAGUAUCCUGUGGUUUAAAGUGUAUCAAGUUAGUAUCCUGCGAUUUUAUUUUUAUAUCAAAUUAGUAUCAUAUGGUUUUAUUUUUAUAUCAAGUUAGUACAAUGUGGUUUUUAAACUAUAGGGUACUAAAGUGAGAAAGUGCGAAAUCACAGGAUACUAAAAUGAGAAAGUGUAAAAUCACGGGGUACUAAAUUGAUACACUUUAAACCACAUGGUACUAAAGUGAAAAAGUGCAAAACCAUAGGGUACUAACUUGAUAUAUUUUAAACCACAUGGUACUAAAGUGAGAAAAAGUAAAACCACAAGUGUUUGGCGGGAUUGAAAUUUAGAACAUUUUUAUUUAAUGUCGUGUAAAAUAACUGAAUGCACUACAAAAAAAAUACUUAAUAUAAGAACACUUUUUAGACGACGCUUAGGAAAAGCGUCUCCAAGUUAUUUUACAAUAUAGAAAAUACCGACGCUUCAAAGAGCAUCGUCAUAUGAUAUCAAACAAUUUAUUAAAUGAUGUUUUACUAUUAUUUUUAAUUUUUAGACGCUUUAAAGCGUUAAGAUUUUAAAAAUUCUGACACUUUAAAGUAUCGGAAUAUAUUUUACUGACGCUUGGUAUAAGCGUUGAUAUAUGCGUAGCGACUUUUUAUUUGCCAACGCUUUAACUGAUGCUUUUAAAAGUGACAUUGGAAUAUAUUGGGACGCUUUUAAGCGCCGUAAAAUAUAAAAAGAACGUUCUUAAAUAUACGUUUUUUUUUUUGUAGUGAUGCAUAUAUACGUAAUAGUUUAAAUCGCCAAAAAAAUAGUAGUGUUUAAUAUUUUAUAUUCAACAAUUUUGUUAUCUUAUGGUUUGAAAACUUGCUCGUUUAUAUUCACUUACAUGAAAGUAGGUAAUUUGGAUUUAGUAACUCAGAGAAGAGAUUUAUGUAAUUAUAUAUACUCUUAAGUGAGGAGCCAAUUAAUGUAUGUAAUAUAAUUAUAAGCAUCGGAGGAGAACUUAACUAGAUCUAUUAGAUGCUAAGUGAGUAGUUUUAGAGUUUAUCAUAUAUAUAAUUCUAUAUAUAUUUACUAUUAUUUUUACUAGAUCCGUUAGAUUUAUCUCUUUUAUUAUUUUUAACCAUUCGAUUAUACUAUUCAACUAACCACCACUCAAUCCUAGGGAGCCCAUAUCAUCCUAACCACACAUCUUUUAAUCUAAGGGUAUAAAACUUAAUAGCACCAAGUCAUUAGUACUAUUAAUAGUAUUCCAGCCUAUAUAUAUAUAUAUAUAUAUAUAUAUAUAUUUAUAGAAUUAAGCUAUUAUCCUUUUAAAAAGACGAAGAUCUUCGUCCUUCUAAAUCGUUUUAGAUGAUAGGAAUUUCGAAUCAAUGAUCGAAAUCGUUAAAGUUAAUUUAGCGUAUUUAAAGUGUCUAAAAACUAAAUUUUAAAAAUUUUAAAAAUUAUUUACGUAGGGCUCAAAGAAUCACAAAAUCACCGUUUUUGACAGCCUGUAUAAACCGUUUGCCUGUUUAAUGGUGUAAAAUUAUCCAAACAGUUUUAAAUUUUUGAAAAAAAAAAUUUUAUACUAUUUAGAUAAUUUUUUAUAACUCCAAUCAUAAAUUGUAAAAGUCUAACAUCUAUUUUCACAAGAUUUUUUUUUUACCGUUCAUUUUUCAACUCUUCAAUGAACUUGAUAAUAAAUUUUAAAAUUUAUGAAAUUUAGUUUUUAGACGUACGUUAUAAAUACUCUAGAUCAAUUUUAACGGUUCCGAUCAUCGAUUUGAAAUCUCUAUCAUCUAAUAUAAUUUAGGAAGACGAAGUCAUCCGUCCUCCUAAACGGAUAGUAGCUGCGCUCUAUAUUUAUAUAUAGCAUGCAUAUAUAUAUUGAACCUAUAUAUAGAGCUUGCAUUUCCUUAGCCCUAGCCCUACAGGAUAAGUUAAAUGGAUGUUUAAAGGCACAGGGGACCAAUCCCAAAAUGACCAAUCAUGCACAAAUACUUAGUUUUUUUUUUUUUUUUUUGUGAAAAGUAUUGUUUGAAUAGAAUUAAUUGUCGAAAAAUUAUAAUUUGUAAUUUUUUUUUAAGAUUAAAGAUAAAACUUAGAAGUUUCUAUCUUCUUGAGUACUAGUGCUCUCUUUUUUUUUUUCUCAAAAAAAAAGAAAGAUGCAUUAAUUUAAUUUUACCAAACAUUAACAUUGGAAGGAAUUUCGCAUCCUUUUAGCUCCAUCAUUAACUUUACCGUAUAUACAUAGGUAACGCAUCAUCCUAUCUUUCACAUUAUUAGAAUAUUAAACAUCUAAUUAAAGUUCGUGUUUCGUCCAUGUUGUGGUUAUUUUAUAUAUGAUUGGUACUUGUCAUAACGAUGUUACAACUAAUUAACUUAAUUAAGGGUUAAAGAGUUGACCAAAUCACAAUUAGUGUUGUGACUUUUUUCCAAGUUGCUUUAACUAACAAACCUACUGUAUUAAGCGAUGAUUGCUAUGAUAUCUUAUAAUCACAGGAAUACGUACUCGACAAUAAUUGUUUAUUCAAUCCUUUUAAGUCCCUUUCCACACUAGCGGGCUAAGUUCAAGUUCCAGAACAGUUAAGUCAUUUUUUUUUUUUAUUUUUAAAAAAGUGGUCAGGAAUCUAUUAAAGAUGACUUACUAUCCAUUAAUUAGCACUAAACACUUGUUUCUUAGUUAAUUGUAUUACUUAAUAAUAUCCCAAACAUGUCAAUUUUUAUAUAUACAGUGAUAAUUAUACCAUGGUGAAACUAUAUUCCCUUUUUUUUUUUUUUCAUUCCUACCUCAUGGAAGAGCCAAAUUUUGGCAGCUGGUAAGUAAUAUAUAUAUUGACAUAAGACAUAAGUUAUAUGAAACAAAAAAAAAAAUUAGUAAUUGCAUGGGCUCACUAUUCACUCCCUGCUACUAUAUAUUCCCUGUCAUUACUNUCUCCCCUCGCCUCUCUCUCUCUCUCUCUCUCUCUCUCUCUCUCUCCCCUUUUAAAUUCUCAAAUGUGGCUUUUCUUUUUGUUUUUUUUUAUUGAUUUCUCUUGAGAUCUGUAUGCGAGAGAUCGUUCACCUAUAACUAUUGUUUUUUUUUUUUUUUUUUUUUUUGAGAGAUAGGUAGCAUGCUAUCCGUUUCGUUUAUUUCAUUUAGAAAUAAACUUAGCUGGAAAUGUGAAUCAACUAGCAUUCGAACUUGGGUCUCGAAUACCAACCACUAAGUCCUUUACCGCUUGCUCUAGAGACGGUUGGUGACCUACAACUAUUGUUAAUUUGGACUAGAUCUAGAGCAUAGGUACUGAAUGAGAGCCUUUUUAGAGGAUAAAAAGGAGACCUUCAAAAGCAUUCUUAGGAUGAAUCUUUAUAGGUAAACGAGAGCUAUAUAUUAAAAGCAUUCUUUGUAUACUAAGCAUUCUUUGUAUACUAAUUAACCAAGCUUAAUUUCUUUCGUAUAUUUUAUUUCUAAGUAAAUGCAUCCAUCCAUUAAUCAGAAAUAAAAACAUUAACGAAACAAAUAUAUGUAGGGCUGUAUCAUAGACAAAUAUGUAACAUACAUGUACAUUUAUAUAUAUUUGCAUACAUAUAUACUUACGUUCGUAUAUAAAUAUACACACCACCACAUGACAUGUAUAAAUGGCAUAUGUAUACAUGCAUGCAAGCAUGCAUGUUAGCUCAUAUAUAUAUGUACAACCCCAUACAGGUUGUGUUAACUGAUAAUGUUUUCAUUAGGGUAAUUUUCAGCUUUUCUCGGGAUCAAGCUGAAAAAUAUCAAAUCUCGUGAUCAAACUGAAAAAUAUGAAAAUGUUCUUUUCUAAUGCCAAAAUAUAAAAAAUUCAUGGCCAAUCAUUGAUCUUUGUAUACGAUGGGAAGCUUAAUGAAAAAAUUACCAUAAUACAUUUUCAAACAGUACUUACAUAGUACUUUCUAAUUUAAUUUUAGCUAUAGACUUAAUUUUAUAUAUAUAUAUAUAUAUAUAUAUAGAGAGAGAGAGAGAGAGAGAGAGAGAGAGAGAGAGAGAGUCCAGCUAUGGUGCUUGUAAAAGCACAAAACAUUUGAUGCUUGUAAGUUUUUUAUCGUUAGAUCUACUUCUCGAAUCAUUUUCAACCAUUAGAUUAUAUAUACUAUUCAACCAACCACCCACUCAACCCUAGGGGGCCCACAUCAUCCUAAUCUCAUAUCUCUUAAUCCAAUGGUUAAAAAUCUACAAGCACCAAUAACUUGGUAUUUUUAAAAGCAUAGGAGCUCAAUUAUGUAUAUAUAUAUAUCCAAAUCAAUUGAAUUUUUGUUAGAAAAUUGUUUAAACUAUUUAAAAUAAGAUCUAUACUCUUGAUCUUGAUUAUAAGACUCCUAUCAUCAUUUUUUAAAGAGUAUUCAUUUUCAGCCAUUCAUUUUUCUGUUCACUUGAUGGAUAAAAGAACAAUAUCGAAAGUGCGUGAAAUUUGAUUUCUAGAUAGUUUAAAUGGUUUAGAUCAUAUUUAACGGAGUCGAUCGUCAAUUUGGAAGCUCUAUCAUCGAAAACAAAUCGGUAGUAAAACAGCUCGUUUACUACCGAUAGUAUUCUAGCUCAACUCUAUAUAUAUAUAUAUAUAUAGUGUAGAGCUACUAUAUAUGGGAAGCAUAGAGCGUUUGAUGCUUCCGAUAUUUUGACCCUUGGAUUAAGAAUUAUACGUUUGGGAUGAUUGCGGUCCCUCCAGAAUUGAGUAGUACCUCUAAGGUUGAGUGGUCCCCACAGGGUAAUAGUAUUAAUCCAAAAGUUAAAAAUGAUUAAAGGGGCUGAUCUAACUCCCAAAAAAUCGGAAGCAUUAGAUUCUCUAUGCUUCCGAUAGUAUAGUAGCUCUACUAUAUAUAUAUAUAUAUAUAUAUAUAUAUAUAUAUAUAUAUAUAUAUUAUCAUAAUCAUGAUAUUUAUUGUCUAGGGAUGUUAACCCUAUACAAUACUAAUUAAUAUAGCUAUAUCUCUGAUAAAAAAACUAAUUAUAGUUGUUUGUAAGUGAAUGGACACACACACACACACACACACACUCACUCUCUCUCUCUCUCUCUCUCUCUCUCUCUCUCUCUCUACAUCUGUCCCAAAAGUGGAUGAGAGAAAAUUGCAGAAGAAGAUUGUUAAUGACCCCCAUGAAAUCAUAGUAAUUAUGAAAGGAAGGCCAUCAAGGAACUGAGUAAUCGACUUUAUACAGUAUAUAAAGUAAAGAAACUGCAUCAUGUCCCUUUGCAUCCAAGCAAUUAAACAAAUCCUAGCAUUAUUAUUAAUAAAACUGAAAAAGAACGAAAUAACAAAUCAAAGGAAAGAGGAAAGUUAAAAGAGACCAAAAUAUAACUGCUUUUCAGAAAAAUACAAGAACUUUUUAUUAACAUUUCCUUAACUUUUGAUUCUCCUAAUUUAUAUUAUUUAAUCAUCUUCAUUAAAGAUCUGGUUAAUCUAAUAAUUGUUCAAUAACUUUUUAGUUCCAUGAACUAUGGAUAUAUAUUUGUAAUUAAAUUUUAACAAAUUUCUAAUUUAAUUUACAAUCAUUUUAAAUUAAAAUAGUUAAAGUAUUAAAGAAUACCAAUAAAGCAAAAAUAAAAUUCAAGGGUCUAUAAGUCUAUUCCAUAUAUAAUUAACAUAGGGAAAAAAAAAAAAAAAACCAUGUCCAUUCACUUCCCCCCUCCACCCCUCCACACUCCAUAAGGUCAGCUCCCCAACAAGUCUACUUGUUUUCUACAAACAUCCAACCCUGGGGUUUCAUAUAAAAACCCGUUCUCUUCUUUCCCAAUCCUUUAAUUUUAUUCCAACCAAUAACCAAAGCAGUCACCAAUUAAUAAGCCAAGAGCAAUUUUGUUCAUUGUAAAAAAGAGAUAACAAGGGAAUAAAGAAGAGGAGAAGAACAUGGCAGAUGAUCUUGACGCAAGGAUAUGCAGAGGAGGGAGCUGGUGGUUCAAUCCCGGCCCGAGCAGCAGCGGCGGUGGUGGCGGCUUCGUCGACGCGCCAGGCUCCGUCUCGUGCUCAACAGCUAUCGCAGAUGCCCCCCGAGGAUCUGCUCUUCCUUCUGAUCAUGUCGGCUCGUCGUUCGCCGACUCCUUCUCCCUCUCCGCUCACUUCAUGGAUUGGGGGCAUGAUCAAUUGUAAGUCCCUCGAUCUCUCUUCUAUCAUCAAAUGAACACACACAUGUAUAUAUUAAUUUAUGCUUGAUUCAACUUAAUUGGUUGAUUUUGAUAUGUGCAGAAGAAGCAGUGGAAAAGCUGAGAACAGCUUCCAUGCCAUGCUCCAAGAAGAUAUGAGCACAAGGCCCUACAAUUUCCGGCAGGGUUCGAUCGAGCCCGAGCUCGAACCAAGCAUGAGCCAGAAUUUCCUACUAGAUCACCACCAACACCACCCGAGCUCGACCAACGAUCCCGCGCCCGACUGUAGUGUCAUCACUAGCUAUGCCCUAGCUCCGACGGCCUACGGUUGCCCGCCGGUCAUGCAUCUGCAAACCCUACUCGAAGCUGAUGCAAAGCCCCAGCAGUCGGUUUACUAUGACCAGCCCACCGAAACUCCGAUGGCCACGGCGUUCCACGGCACUAAUUGGCCAGUAUUGAAGGAUCAAGAAGGUAGUAGUAAUCCGCUGCACUUCUCCAAUAACACUCCCUUUUGGAAUGCAUCGGCGACCGCUGUCAACGAAGCCAAGUCCGGGUUCUACCCUAAUUCGGUGCCGUCGCAGUUCGUCAUGCCGGCGUUUGAGCCGAAACUGCCCAGCUGCAGUAAUUUCAUGGUGAAGGUAAAGCCUAUAUAUAUAUACUGCGGAUUAAGAUGCUACAUAUAGUUUGAGUUCUUGCUCAAUGAUUUUUUUUUUUUCCCUUUGGUUCUUAAUUGUUCAGUCAAAUCGAGAUGCAUCGAUGCCAAAGAAGAGCGGAAGCGAAACUGCAUUAAAAAAGCCCCGAGUGGAAGCUCCAUCCCCGUUACCGACCUUCAAAGUACUUCAUGAACUCAUUUACAAUUUAAUCCAUUUGAGUUCUAAUUUUGUUUUCUUUGUUUGGUUCUAACUCAUUUUAAGCAUUAAUCAUGGUAGAGUUAAUUUUGAUCUUCUCUAUAAUUUUAGGUGAGGAAGGAAAAAUUAGGGGACCGCAUUACUGCACUUCAACAGCUAGUCUCACCUUUUGGAAAGGUAACAUUUUUUUCUCUUUCUUCUUCUUCUUCUUCUUCUCUUUUAUUUUCCUUUUGCCACACUCUCCAUGAAAAAUCUCUUCUUAAAGCAUUAGCUACUAAUGUUAGUUCUUCAUCACUAAAUUGCGCGAUCUUCCAUUUUUACAGACCGACACAGCAUCGGUUCUACACGAAGCGAUCGAAUACAUUAAGUUCCUCCACAAUCAAGUCGGGGUAAGCAUCUUCGAUCUCUUUUCCCUAGCUAGAUUCUUGUCAUAAAUUUUCAAUUCACACUAAAUGUCGCAUAUAAAUGAUUAGAGUACGUACCCUUCUCACGAGUCUUUUUCAGUUUAACCAACUAACUAGAGAACGGAUCAGUGUUAAUCAUUUAUCCUGAAUACCAAUUAUUUAAUGGUCUCCUGGUUAUAAAUUAACACAUGUUCUUGAUCCUCAGCUCCUAAGCACACCAUAUUUGAAGAAUGGGCAACCCAUGCAACAACAACAGGUAUCAUACACGCAAGUUCUCAAAUCAUCUUUAAAAAUUAAAUAGAGAAACUUUUUACAUGCGUCAUUCAUUAAUGUUUUUUAUUUGCUUAUUAACUCAGAGCGCGGAGAAGUCUAAAGAAGGCGAUGAAUCGAAGAAGGACCUCCGGAGCCGAGGAUUGUGUCUUGUUCCAGUCCCGAGCACUUAUCCGAUGGCGAGCGAGGCCACGGUCGAGUUCUGGCACCCUACCUUUGGAGGAACAUUCAGGUAGAAGAGAGUUAGGAUAAUUUGCGCCUUUUUUUUUCUUUUCUUUUUUUUCUCCAGUUAAGACUGAGAGGUACUAAUUUAUUAAUGUAUCUUCAUAGCCAUUAUUGUUGAAGCUAAAGCAAGGUAGGAAUGAUAGGUUAGGAGGAAAGAGAAAUAUAAAAGAAGUUAACAACAGUGUAAGUGAUUAACCCAGCUGAAGAAAAAGAAAGGGAGAUGAUCAAUCCUUCAAAGACAGGCUAUGUUGGGGCAGCUACAAGGGGGAAUAUAUCAAUAUCUAUAUCUAUAUCUAUAUCUAUAUAUAUAUAUAGAUACAUGCAUGAUGUACUGAGGUGGCCAUGGAGAAUUAAUAGAACUUUAGAUGGAAUUAUUUAUUAUUAGUACCAUGAUUGCACUAGUAGUGUAGUAACUAUUGUUAAGAGGUGGUGGUGGUGGUGGUUUAAUUUAGGGAAUGGGAACAGGUGCUAAAUUUGGCAUUAAAAUUAUGGCUUAGUUUAGGGUUGGGGAACUGUGAUUACAUGUGUGCUGAAUUUAGCAAAGGGAAUGGGAAUGGGGGGGAGGUAUAAGGGAGAAAAAGAAGGUGGGUCUUGUUCCUGUUUGAUGUAUGCGUGUACAAGGGCUCACUCCACCACCUCUUCUUGUUUCCUUCUUUGUUUUGUCAAGAAGCAUAAUAAUAAGGAAUAAUUGCAUUGAGGACAAGGGCAAGUGUGUGCCCUUUUUAAUUUUCAGGGGGAUCUUAAUUACUUUCUGAUUUUUUUUUUUUUUUUUAUUUUUUAUUUUGUGUGUGUGUGUGUGUGUGUGUGUGUUCUGGAGAAGAUAGUGGAAGUCAGAGGGUGGCCCACUGGAAAGCCAUGCCUCUCUCUCUCUCUCACCUCCUGUGCUGUAUACUAUAUAUCAUAUAUGAUAGUUAGUUAAUUCGAAUUCGGCAAAAAUUCGGUACAGAUAUAAUAUGUAUAAAAUUUAUUUAUUAAUUUUUAAAUUUAUUGAAAAUUUUGGCUUAAAAAACAGAUUCAGUAUAAAGUAUAAAAUAUAAGAUAUUCUAUAUUUAAAUAUAAAAAUUAUAAGUUUUUUAUUCAGAUUUUCAAUAAUUCGGAAAUAAUUCGCAAAUUAUUUCGCUAGCCAAAAAAUUUGUGAAUAAUUCAUUUUCUUUGAAAAAAAUUCGUAAACGGACUCUUUAAUUCGGAUUUUCAAUAAUUCGCGAAUUAACUAACAAAGCUAUAUAUAUAUGCCAAAGUUUUUUUCUUUUUUUUUUCUAAAAAAAUAAUAGAAACUGAUAUUGUGAAAAUAAUGUCUACUAUUCUCAGUGCACAUAUAUAUCUAUAUUAUAUCUAAUCAUGUUUUAAAUCUUUUUAAUCUGAGAAGAAUAAAUAUCGCUUUGGCAAUAUCAGGUUCCUUCGGAAUACUGGGGAUCGACUUUUUUUUUUAUUUUUAUUUUUUUUAUCUUGAGCAGGAUGGAGAGGAAAAGCUCUCAUGCUUCUAGCAUGCGAGAUAUAUAAUCACAUUCCAUAUUGGAAGAAUUUUUCUGCUAGAAAAAUAUUCCAAACCAGGCUUUUAGUAGGAUAAUCACAUUCUAUUGCAUUGAUGGGAAUAAUUGUCACAGAGCACAGUAGAAAUUCUUUUUGAAUAAUAUUUUUAGUGUGCUAAAUUAAGAUAUUCGCAAGGAAUUUUUUAUGCAGCAGAAUUGGAAGUACCAUAUUGAAGCUUUCGAUUUUGAGCACAAAUUCCUUUUUCUUUCUUUUGCUACAAUGAAAUAUACAUAUAUAUAUAUAUAUACACACACACACAUACACUACAAUUUGUUACUACUGAAAACAUAAAUAGAAAUAGCACUAAAUAAAUAUAUAGGCCCUCAUUUGAAACAAUAGUUACAUGUUGAAAUUCUGCAAAUUAAGAUGGAUAACAUUGAGACAAUUAACCAUAAAAAUGAACAUUAUGAAUAGUAAUGCUUAACCCAUCCUACAAGAUAUCUCAACAAAUAUGAAUUCGUAUUGAACAUAUGGCGACUAGUUAGCAUUUUUUUUUUCCUAGCAUGAGGCCUAAGUAAAGGAACAUAAUUAAAACUAUAUAAAUCUUUAUCAUAUAUAUCAAACUAACUUGUCAAUAAUAUUUGGAUAUGUUUGGGGAUGUAUGAAGCACUAAUAAGUCUAGAGGGGAAUAAUGGUUGGUAUAUAUAGUGAUGAUACCAGAUGUUAAAGCAUUUUAAAUUUCUUUUACUCUCUACUACUGCAUUUGUACGUAAAAGGUGAAUGGCUUGGUGAACAUCAAUGAACAAUAUAAAUUUCAGUGAUAAAAUUUUAGUCGUUAAUUAAUAAUGUACAAGAAUUACAUUGUAAAUGUAUAUUGAUUUGAUCUGCUACACUUAGGAUACAUUUAUACUAUUAUUUGAUGGGCCUAAUUUGCACCAAGUCAAGCAUUGGAUCGAUGCGAUAUCGGAAUGUUGAUUUGUCUUCGUGUAGCUGCCGCAGAUCAAAAAAGGCUCUUUAAUUUAUUUCCAACUCUUCGAUCAAUUUUGAUGUGAGAAAAGUGGACUGGAGACAAAAAUUAAGCAAGCUAAAAUGUACACUUAUAUAUAUAUUUCCUAUAUUAUUCUGAUAUUGCAACUCAGUCACUGGGUAUUUAACGCGCGCAUGCAGAGGUACAUGCAUAGCAUUGCGUUGUGUACUACAUAUACUUAGCCCCAUGAAGCAGUUUGCAUGAUCUUGCUUCUUCCUGCAGUUCUCCUUGCGGAAGCAUCUCUAUAUAUAUAUGCUUUCGCAAAACGCUUUUCUUGACCAUUACAUAGUGCGUCACAUCGCUCGCACAGCCGUGCUGCGAUACCGACCUGAUCCUUAAGCACUUCUAUCUUAGAUAUAUUGCAAUUCGACGCAAAGAACUGAACAAAACUAAACUGCAACUAUUCCAGCUCAAAAUUACUCCAAAUUUAUAAGCUUUGGAAUUUUAAGUACAUAUUUGGCUAUCAAGGCCUGUAAAUGUGAAAGCGCAAAAGCUAAACUAGGCAUACUGGGCCAGGCCCACCGGUCUCCAGAAAACGUUGUACCAUAUAUGGAUCGUAACUCUGCCCCAACAACCUAAGAAGGCCUAUUGGGCCAGGCCCAUUGGUCGACCUCCAUAGUUACAAGUUGGGCUUUAGUUACGUGAACAUUUCAGUAUCCAACAAAAUUUCAGUAAAUAGAAAAACAAAAAGGGGGUUGUUCCACAAUUAGGAAAACCAUAAAUAUAUAUACAGUAUAAAAAUACAUAAAAUUGAAAAUCCAUUUGUGAUUAUCUUAUAGGCAUUUCAUUGUUUAGAGCAAAAGAAGCUAAAAAAAAAAAAAGAAAACGAAAAGGAGCUCCUCUAAAGAUGAAUAAAAAGUGGGAGAACAUUGCGAGGAAUAACUUGUCUCACAAUAUUCUUGUUGAAUUAGGGAGUUAAAUAAAAGAGAAAGUUCUUACACGCCAGUAGUUUGAUUUUAUCUGAAUUUCUUGAAGCAUAUAAAAAGAAGUUCGAUUAAACAAAGUUGAAAACUGCGGCACAAAAAUGACACAAAACCAGAAAUCAAAGGCUAAGUCGAGGUUAGCUGUCAAUCGAAUCAAGAAUCUGUUUUUCGAAAGCGAUUUCGACAGAGAAGGAUAAAAAAAGAAGAGGAAAAGUCAAAAUUUUGGUUCAUGCGGAAGGCAGAUCAAUAAAAGAGAUCUGAGAAAAUCCGAACAAGUUUAAAGCAUACUACAAAGAUAAGCAAUUUAGAUAAUAAAUACUAAAAUGGAGUUAAAAUCUCAUUUUCAAGUGAUAAGUUGGUUAGAACUUCAAUUCAAAAGGAUGAGAUCAUAAUGUAGUGAUUGAUAAUGACAGUAAGCUAAGCAAACAUGUGACACCAAAUAUCAGUCAUUUUCAUAUAUAUCAACUAACAAAUAACAGUUUCAUAUGAGAAAAAUGAAAAAAAAAUAUAUAUAUAUAUAUAAAAAAGAGACAUACAUGUAACUUUGACAACAUUAACAUACAAACCACCCUUACAUAAUCAACCAAUGUGCUAAGAAAACACAUAAAUAUCAAAUCAUACUAAUAAGAAGAUCGAUGAAAACCCAUAAUUUAUUAUAACACAAUGGGGAAUCAAAGGCAUAUAGAAAUGCGAAUGAGUUUAGGCUGAUCCUUUGAGCUUCUUUGCGAUGGAUGCAAAGUACUUGCCCUGAUGAAAGGCUUGUUCGAGUUCGAGCUCAGAUGGUAGCCUCGAACCGUCUCCAGCAAAAGUACCGGAACCGUAGGGGCUACCUCCUUUUAUUUUCUCCAUCUCGAACAUGCCAGCCCCGAAAGUGUAGCCGAUAGGCACAAAGAUCAUUCCGUGGUGGGCCAGUUGAGUAAUGGCUGUCAACCUGAAUGAAAAUAGAAAGACGCGUGUGUGGUGAAUAAAGAACGAAAAGAGAAAGACGCGUGUGUGGUGAAUAAAGAUCAAUGUUGUUAAUCAUUUUCAUAUUAGGUUAAGACCCACUAUCUACUCAGAUUGAUCUGUGAAUAUCAAAGAUAGUAUGACUUCAAACAGCAGUACUGCUUUUACAUCAUUCUAACAUAGAUAAACGGACUGAUUAAGUACGGAGUUUCUCCUCAAAAAAAAAGAAAAGAAAAUUGAGAACAGGUUUGAGCAAUAUUUUGAUUACAUCCUAAGAGAUGCAAUUAAAACUUAUAUUUCUUUUGCAUCCCAUAUUUUCAUUUUCAGGUUUAGCAGUUUAAUCCUGAAUUUGCUCCCCAGUAACAAUGAUGUCCUUCAAUUUCAAUUUUUUGUUGAAUUUUUGGACCACGUAGAGGCCUUGUAGAAUAUCUUGAUCACUCUUUGUCACAAGCUACAACAACUCCCUAGUGAACACGUCAGCAUCAUCAUUGGAAUGCACUAACAUGGCACUUUUCAGUGUCUUAGUAUGAACAGUAAUGGUGACAGGGCAUUUGUUUAGAUGGUAGAUUAAUGGAAGCACAUGCUAAACUCUAGGAACUAAAUUGUCUAAACAGGAAAUCCAAGGAUGGAACUGUAACUUGGGUCGAACUUUACCGACUAAAUUUGAAAGUCUAAUGCAACAAGAGACUUACGGGGUAGUCUCUUGACCGCCGCCUUGUGAACCAGUGCUGUAGAAGAGACCAGCGGGCUUGCCUGCGAGCUGCUGCAUUCUCCAGAGGCCACCAGUCGCAUCGAGGAAUGCUUUGAAUUGGGCGGCCAUCAUACCAAACCUCGUAGGGAACCCGAAGAGGAUUCCGUCAGCUUCAGCUAGUUCAUUGGGCGUGAUAAUGGGGAUGUCGCUUUUAGGAGGAGCACUCAUCUUCGCAAGCACUUCUUCCGGGAGUGUCUCAGGUACCUGUUCAUUCAAAAGUUAAACAUUCUAAUAAAGAUUAGGUCAAAAUACACACAAUAGCUCAAUUCGAAAUGGAUCUUUCAACAAUAAAAGUUUCAUUUUUGCUACCUAACCUUACAGUUAUUUUUCUUCAUUUCUGUGUGUUAAAAAUUAUUGUUAUUUCAAGCUUUUUACGUGGAAUAUUUUGUAGCCUGAUAGAAUAUUCGGUUAAUUGAUGGUAUACGCUAUUUUUUAUUUGGCAAAACACUCAGUUCAAAGUUCAAACAGAAAUGGACAACAUAUCAUACAAUUUUUUUGAUGGAAACGCAAGUUUAAAAAAAGAAACAAACAUAAAAGUAAGGCUAUUGAAAAUGUUGUACGGCUUAACUAUGAUGUGGUAGGUUGGAUUCGAGGUUCUUGGAUUCAAGGUUCUUCGUUUGUUUGUUUGUUGUGUAGAAACAAGCUCCAAUAAGAUGCUUGUAGAUGUAGACCAACUACCAAACAAGCGGUCAUAAACAGGUUGAUUUAAUAUAAAAGUAGGUCAGGUUAAUAUAGAACUAUAGCCAAUUAGUCAUCAUUAUAAUAGAUUUAUAGCCCGACAAUAAUCUUCCCCUUGUCUAUACCUAACUCAACAUGCUGAUGUACUAUCUGGCAAAAUAAUGAUUAGGGGCUUUUACAUAUAUCCCCCUGUCAAACUAGAAGUUCAUAUAUGCCCCUCAAACUUCAGUCGUCUUUUCUCUUUUCCCCCUUAAAAAAAAAAAAAAUUUCUACCUUGCUUUUGAAGUCAUCCAUUUCGUGCGAAGAGUUGAUUUUAUUUAAAAAAAAGAAAAAGAAAAAGAAGAGUAAUUUGUACGCACAAGUGUAUACAUGAAUAAUAUAACAUUCACUGAAUAGCAUAUAUCAAAAUUUAGAUUUUGGAGGAAUAUCCAUAUAAAUGUUAAUUGUGCACUGAGUAUAUAUGUCAGUGUAUAAUAAAGAUAAAUAGAGGACAUCAAUGAGAAUCUGUAAGAAAAUCAAUACGAAGGCGCAAUAUGAAGAGCGAAGAUGAUGGACCUGCCACAGCUUUGCUUCGACUCCUUCAACAGACGAGGCACCUUUUUUAAUCUCUUCAGCUAGUUUCUCGACAUGUCCAUACAUAGAGUAGUACCUAUAGAAGCAUUAUAAAAUUAACUUUUGUCCUUUCCCUAAUGGAAAAAUUUUACGGGUAACAACUAUGUUUAGCAUAUGGCAAGCAAGGUAACCAUUUCACACUACGUCACGGUGGCUGUUUUUUUAUUUGUUUCCUUCAGAUCAUGCAUCUCAAUGAUGGAAGAUCAAAUAAUAUAAGGUAUAAACAACAUGGGCGGCAGCAGCAGACAUAGUAUAUAAAAAAAAAUCUCGCAUUUUAAAAAACAUAUUAUGAACUAAACAUCGUAUAUUUAAGCCCUGAGAAAAUCAUUAACAAGUAAAGUCAAAUGCAAUUAAUUGAAUACUCCCACACUACCCUAUUAUUACAAGUUAAAGCUACGCUAGCAUUGUGGGUCCAAUUAUCAUCAAUCAAAUUCAUUGAGAAAGCGAGCAUGCACUGUACAAUUAUUGCGGUAGAUACUAAAAGAUAAGAGCAAGUAAACAUGAAUUUCGCUGAUAGUUGAAGAACAAAAUAACCAUUCAUGUGAUGCAAAAUACGGUCAAAAUUGGAUUUUAUAUAUAUAUAUAUAUAUAAAAGGUUUGAACAGAUUACAAAGUUGUAGAUAUUUAUUGAUCUAUAAUACUGGUGAAAGAGAUUGGUAGCAUUGGAAAAUUCUGGUAGGAAAUCGACAUCAAACCAAUAAAGACAUGCAUAAUAUCACAUAAGAGCAAUUCACACAAUGGCAUUAAGGAAAGGCAUUUGUCAGAGGGAAAUGGUGAAGAUGCCCCCACCACAAGUCAGAAACAAUCCAGAAGCACAAACCAUUAGUUAGGAGCACAAACCUACCAUGGUGAUGGGGACAUUGGGCACCAAAUAACACCCCUAAAUUCAAUUGCAACCAAACAGGCAAAUCACACAAAGAUAAAGUUAAAAGAUUCCAACUUUUUUCGCUUCUCCUUUUUAUGUUCAAUUUCCAAUUUAAUAUUUCACCACUUUUUUUCCUUUUUUUUGAUGAAGUAAGCUGUAAUUUCACACUAGUGGAGUCCAGUUUGCUGUUUCAGCACAAUGGGUUGACACUGUAACUUAUAUAUAUAAAAAAAAAAAUUCCAACAUAAAUUACAUAUAGAUCGCAAAAAAAAGGAAAAAAAAAACCCACCCGAUAAUAUUAAUAUAGUGAAUCAAAAUUAUGAAUUGAUCUGAUAGACAAAAACCUUAAACUGACAAAAACACUAAAAAGAUUCAAACGUUCAAAAAAAAAUUGCCCUCUUUGAAUCAAACUAACCUAGAAUUCGAAAUCAAUACUAAUCCUAAAUCCAAACCGAAACUUCGCCUUACUCCCGUGCGCCAAUUGAUCAAACCCUAACCAAAAUUCUCUAAUUUGACAAAAUCAUAGCAACAAAAUCCCACAAAACCAAUCGAAGCCAAAGAGAUCGAGAGAGAGCAAAACAAGAGAUUUACAGAGAUGGUAUAACAAACACUACACAAUAUAGAUUUUGCGGCCAUUAAUGGUGCUUUGGUGCGUCGAUCGCCCUAAUUGGAUUCGAGAUUGCGAGAGGGAAGAGCGUAAAAGAAGCUCCUUUAUUUGCGUUUCCUUUUCGAGGAAAAUGGAAGUUGUGAAUUUAUAGAGAGAAAAGGAGAGCACAGAACGCGUCCGAAGAAUGCUCUGAAAAAAGCGCUUCUACAAAAGCCAUCGUUUUUGCUCCUAAAUUGAGAUUAUGGUUUAAUUAUAGUUUAGUGAUAGAUGAUGAAUAGUAUAUGAUCGAUGAUAUGAUAAUAUAUAUAUAAUAUAAUAUAUAUAUAUAUAUAAAAUAAAAUAAUUUGCUUGAUCAUUAGUUUUUGGUGUUGAUAUAAAAAGUAUUAAAUUAAAACGUCUGAUUUAAGAGUUAGGACUCAAAACUCUUAUUUUAGACCUUUUUUUUUCAUUUUUCAAAGCAAUUUCUUAAAGAUAAUUAAUAGAAUCAAUAAAAAAAUAGAAAUUACAAUAUUCAUCUUCUAAUCUAAGAAUGGAGUGUGACAAUUAAUUCAGAGUAAAAUAAUAAUCAAUUAUGCAUCACUGAUAACAUCCAGAAAUUAUAAUAUUAAUGAUCGUCUCCAUAAUGAAUUAUUACCUUAAUUUUUUUUUCUCUUCCUUUUUAACAAUCUAAAUAUUAUCGUUUAUGUUCCUGUCUCCAGUUUUUCAAUUUGAAAUUCAAAUAAAAAAACAUUCAAAAUCUAAUUCAUUUAAAUUAAAAAAUGAACUAACAAAUAAAAACAUUAUUUUUAUUUAAAUUUUAAAUAAAAAUGUAUAUUUUGAUUUUAGUUACGAACCAAAUAGGGAGUUCACAUGUACCUCUAACAAACCUACUAAUAAUAAUAACAAUAAUAAUGAUUAAUAAAUAAUAAUAUAGCCGUUACUACACCGAAGACUUUUUCCACCUACCAAGUUUAAACAGUUACGAACUGGUGCUUAUCUGGACCGUUGAUUUUGGAUAAGAUCACGGACGGGAAUCACGAGGCGCCGUGUGGAGGAGCAACACGGCUUGUGAUUGGUCUCGUGAGGCGAAUUUAUGGACCGUAGGAUGGCCACGAUCAACAUUCACCAGCCGUUGAAUUCAGCGCCGCGGGUUCCCACGCGUUUUACGGGAAAAAUGCGGUUCUCUUGACCGACCAAUCACAGACCGCCACGUGGCACGAGAGGGAAUUAAUUACGGUUUUGACACUCGCUAGCCACGUGUACGUUACCGAAGCAUGACGGAGAGGUGAAUUUUUUACUUUUACAUUUUGCUUUUAUUGGAAUAUAGGUCAAUUUGUAUAAAAAAUUUACUUAUUUUGAGCUUUCAUAAAAUCGGGCUAUCUUUCUUAUUUUUACAGAUUCGGUCUAUUUUUUCAGCAAACUGACCAAAAUACCUUUAUUAUUUUUUCUCUUUCCUCUUUCUCUCUUUUUCGUUUCUCUCGUUCUUUCUUUUUUCUCGCCGGCAGAGCGGAGGCGGAGCGGAGGCGGAAACGGUUCGUCUCGCCUCUCACCCUCAUGCUCUCGCCCUCGCCCUCGCCCUCGUCCAUGCACCCCCCACAUUCCUCACCUCCGACCCCGGCAAGGCCGUGCCACGACUUUUUUUUUUUGCUUUUUUCUUUUCUUUUCUUCUCCGACUCUUCUCCAUCGUCUCCGACGACGACGCCUCUCUCGCCCUUCUCCACCCUUCUCAUCUUUCCCUCUUCCUCAUUUUCUGCCGCCUCCGACGACGAUUUAUCUUCGCCGGCGCUGACGUCGACACCGUAGAGGUCUCUGCGGCGCUACAGCCUCCGACGACGAUUUAUCAUCUUGUUACACUAUUUCUCCUCUUAUUUACACAGAAAUAAUGCAAAUAUCUCUUAAAAGGGUGCAGUUUUUUUUCUUAUUGCACUGUUUCUCCUCUUGUUGCACUAUUUCUCCUAUUGUUUACACAGAAAUGGUACAACAAGAGGAGAAACAGUGCAACAAGAGAAGAAACAGUAGAUAUAUCUCCUAAAACAGUGCAGUUUCUCCUCUUGUUGCACUAUUUCUUCUCUUGUUUACACAGAAAUGGUGCAAUAAAAGGAGAAACAGUAUAUAUCUCUUAAAACAGUGCAGUUUCUUCUCUUGUUGCACUGUUUCUCCUCUUGUUGCACUAUUUCUCCUCUUGUUUACGCAGAAAUGGUGCAACAAGAGGAGAAACAGUGCAACAAGAGGAGAAACAGUAUAAAUAUCUCUUAAAAGGGUGCAGUUUAAGAUAAAAAAUAGUGUAACAAGAGGAGAAAUGGUGCAACAAGAGGAAAACAGUGCAACUUUCGUUUAAAGAGUAUAAUUUUCAUUUUAAUGAAUGCAGUUUACAUCUGAAAAAGUACAAUAAGAAUAGAAACAGUGUAAAUAUUACCCAAAAGGUGUAAUUUUCGUUCAAAGAGUAUAAUUUUCAUCUUAAAGCAGCAGUUUACAUCUUAAGUAGUGUAAUUUAUAAUUUUUUUGUAAUUAACGAUACAAUUUCAUCUUCAUCCUUCUUUUUAUAUAAUUUUUUAACAUUAUUUUUUAUUCUGUUUUUUCUAUAAUUUUUUUUUGUCACCCUAUCUGCCAACAGCCAUGGUGCCGGCGACGACGCCGCUAAGGACCCCCGCUCCGAGCCUGUAGCGCCGCAGUGACCUCCAUAGUGUCGACGUCGGCGCCGGCGAAGUUGCAUCGUCGUCGGAGGCGGCAGAGAAUGAGGGAGAGGGAGAGAUGAGAAGGGCGGGAAAGGACGAGAGAUGCGUCGUCGUCGGAGACGGUGGAGAAGAGUCGGAGAAUAAAAGAAAAGAAAAAAGCAAAAAAAAAAAANGCUCCGCUCCAGCACGGCGCGGGCAGCGUCCAUGGAAAAGAAAGAAAAGAACGAGAAAAAAAAAAAAAAGGAGAGAGAAAGAGGAAAGAGAAAAAGUAAAAAGGGUAUUUUGGUUAGUUUGCUGAAAAAGCGGACCGAAUCUGCAAAAACGAAAAAGAUGGCCCGAUUUUGCAAAAGCCCAAAAUAAGUAGAUUUUUUAUGCAAAUUGGCCUUCGAAUAUAUGUUGAUAAAUAAAAAUUUUUACUAUUUUUUUUUUUAAGGAAAUUACGAAUAACAUUAUAAGGUGUAAAAUCAUUAAAUACUCUAGUUUAGUGUUUCUAAAUUUAUUAUUAUAAUCAUAAAACAAUGAAGUUGAAGGAAUUUAGUAUAAUGGUUUUUUUCAUUAGUACUAUUUAAAUAAUACUUUAUUCAAUUUUUUUUUUUUUAAGAGAUAGAUAGCACGCUACCCGCUUCGUUUAUUUUAUUUAGAAAUAAACUUAGCUAGAAAUGUGAAUCAACUAGGAUUCGAACUUGGGUCUCGAAUACCAACCAUCAAACCAUUUGCCACUUGCUCUAGGGACGUUCGGUUAUUUUAUUCAAUAAUAUUACAUUGUAUAAAUUCUUAAGAACGAUUAUUAACUCCAAUAAUUAACACGUGUAUAUAGGCAUAUAUUUCUUGCGAAAAAAAAAUGCAAAAUUAAUUGUUGAUUGGUUUUACUUAUGGGUAAAAGAAUUUUAAAAGAUAUUGUGUUUUAAAACGUAGUAUGUUACAUACGUCGAAUUCUAUAGGAUGGAUUACACUAUAUCUAUGACCUAUAUACUAGAUCUUACAAAGUAUUUUUACUUUGGUCUCUACACUUGCUUUGUUUAUUGCGGAAAGGGCUUAAGCUUUUAAACCAUUUCAGUAUCUCUCAUCAUUUGUUCCCACCAUGCUAGUUAAGAGGAUGAAAAUUGAUUAUGUCACAUGAUCAUAUAUAUAAUAUAUAUAUAUCAAGUUGUUGCUCCUAAGCUGUAAAUAACCAGAGAAUUUUUGAGAUUUUAUAGAUGUUUUCUAGCUAAGAAUUGGUACAUUUUGUUAAUAAAAUAUCUCACAAUGCUUAAAAAGGCCAAACAUAGAGGAUUAUAUACAACACUAAUAUGCCAAGUUAUCUUUAAUAAGUGUUGAAACAGCCGUGGGUUUCUCUCCAAACCUAGGAUUAGGAAGGGCUAUUUAUAGGCUAUAUAUGACUAUCGCAAAGGGUUCAUGGAAAUCAAAGUUUGCUUGGUAUGAACCCACUUUGCAUGGAACCUUUUUCCCUGUACUUUUUUUGAGCAUGGGGACCUCCAAAAGUUAGGUGCAAUUGCCCCAUAGUUUUAUUUCUGUAAUUAAUAUAUUAAUAUUGUAUUCAUGUUUUACAAGAUCUAGUAUAGUUGAUAGAGUUAGUAGAAUCAAGUAUAUAUUGAUAGUAACAGUUGUUCUGUUAACAUUAUAAGUUUUUGUCUAAUGAAAUAUAGGUACUUGUCAAACUAGGCAUAACAUCGAAAGAAAGAAACAAAAAAGUAAAAAAUAAGAGAUCAAAAUAUCUAUGUAGUUUAAUUUUACAUGAGAUUUGGAUUACUCAUAUUUAGUUAGUUGUACUAGAACAAUUAUCUGAUAAAGUAACUUUAGGAGAACGAUGGUCAUUUCACAUUAGAUCAAAAGAUCCGCAAUGUAUAUGUAAACAUCGCCAAAAAUUCGCAUAUCAGAAAAAUCAAAAACAAAAUGAAACAAAAUCUCAAGAAAAAGAGAAAAAUAAUAAUAACAAAUUUACAAGAUCCUAGAUGUUAGUUAGAGGGUGUCUAUUAAAUAAUUUGUGAUUCCUUUGUGCAAUGCGACAAGAGGGUUGAACGGGUCAAGCACGGACAUAGAGCUUUUGUUGACCACCAAAAAGAGAAAGGGGACCAACCACCACCAAAUGGAAGAGGGGAUUUUUGAGUAUCCACCUAUGCCAAUAGGAUAAAAAUUGUUGCAAUAUUUUCCUAAUAAAACAAACAGGUUAAUAGUAAGUUUUAGCAUGUUUCCACUCUGGUUAAUUAAUUUAUACUCCAAAGUAUAAACUGCCGCGUGGAUAGGAUGUUGGCUUAUCUGCCAACAAGUUCAAUGAGAUUCGUUGCAUGGUUUGAUACCACUCAUAAAUUGUUGGUUCUAAUUGUAUUUUUAAAAGCUCGACCUACAAGAAAGGGACAACUAAUUCGUUUAAACUGUAUAGAUACAAUAUAUGUCUAUGGAUCUUGAUUGUAAGUUGAUCCAUUCUGACCUUCGUCGUGUGGGUGUAGAAUUGUGGCCUAGCUAGCUACAUGUCAACACCUAUUCGGCUCAAUUUCAAUAUUAACAUAUCUCCAUAGAUACAAGUUGUAGUAUUAAAAACAUAAAAUCUAAAUAAGUUGUUGAGUCAUAAAAAUAAAAAUUCGGAUUUAAAAUUCUACUUCUAACUCCAGUAAAAAAUAUUUAAGGGACUUUGAAAAGAAUUUAUGACUUGAUAAGAAAUUUUUGCACUCAUGCCGCUUAAUUAUUAAACUAAAGAUGUAAGAGAAAUGUGAUUAGAUUCAACUAAUUAAUGGGAUAUCUAGUCACAUAUGUUUUUUUUCUUCUUAAGAGAACCAGGUAUCAUCUUCUCAUUCUGGUCCUCUGGUCCUUCCAUUUCGACCUUUUUAAUUAGGGCCAUUUCUAAAAAGGGUGCACUACCACUGUUGCUUGUAAUGUUGCCAAUGGACCGCUCAAACACUUCUAACUCGAUCCAAAUUCGAUCAGACUUAUUAUAUUUAUGCAUAGAAAAUAUCUAACUUUUUGAGUUCAGACUCGAAUUCAAUGAAACUAAUCUGAACCCGCGUACGAUAAAACCGACCGGAUCGAAUGCAACACAUUGAAAAAGGGAAUGGCUUGUGCUUGAAGGAUGUUUCCUGCGCAAUCAUGUCCAAUGCAUGUUAAAUGGCGAGGCUUUCUGAUAACAACACUCUAUGGCUUCUCUUUACAUUGCUUAGCUUUUAGGAGCAUCAAUCAUGGAAAUUAAAAGCUAACACAUGCACAUACAGUGCAUCAUGCACGAUCAAAAUGCUUUUCCAAUGAAGCUUCGAGAGGUAACAAGUCCAAUUUGUAGUUCCUUUCAUGGCCAGCUCACUCGACACUCACUUCAUCUUCUUCUGCAAGUUCUUAGAUACAAAUCAAGAACAAAAAAAAAAAAUAAAAAAAUUAAAAAAAUCCCUCACUUCUUUUGUUAUUUCCUUUUCUUUUAUUUUCUUUCUCAAACUUCACUUUCAAGAAAGAUUGAUUUAAUAAAGUUCUAUCAAGUAUAUAUAUACAUUCUUUUACACUUUUUUUUGUCUUUUAUUUUACGCUUCUCCUUAUUUUUGUCGCCUUUUCUUCAUGCUCUCCUCUCUUUCAUGAGUGGAACCACCGACUGAUAAUUGAUGGUCUAACAAGCUAUAAAAUCUCACAAUGUACACAAGGAUCCUCAUUUCGCUAUGAAAGGAUGAACUCUUCAUUAGUAGAUCUAUUAUUUUUAAAAAGGAAUUUAAAAAAAAUAUUUAAAGAGUAAAUUUCUUUUCCUAUUUGUUGGACCAUUUAUUAUGAAGUGCAUGCAUGAGGUCUUAAUUUUAGAAGCCUCUCCCUUGAGGCAAAUGUGCCAAUGUGUCUCAUUACUCAUUACACCACAUGCACCAAUAUUAUGCUUUAAAUGUAUAAUAAAAUUGAGCUUUCUUUUGAGUAUCCAAUCCAUGUUAUGAAUCAAAUAAGGCCCAAUUAACUGGUUUGUAUAGGGGUACAGCUUGAAUAUUUCCCUAAUUAAUAAUAAGAAAGAAAUAGAGGAAGUAAUCUGAUUUUCUUUUUCACAAGGCUAUAUUUACCUGAUCAUACGAUUUUUCAUAUUUUGCUUGGUAACCAAAUGAGUUCAUCUCCGAAUGAAGUUACACAACACAGUUCUUAUUAAGUUUGAUUGGUUUUAAUAGAUACGAUCGGUAUGCCACUUCCUUGGCUUACUUAGAUUUGGAUGAUCAGAAAAGAACUCUUUAGUAGUUAAUGUGGAAGUCGAUUAUUGGAAUAACUUUGAGUUACUUAAUCGGACGAUAUUAUGUAACUAAAUUGGUGAUAUUUUAUGAACAUAACAAGCUUAUAUAUGGAGAAAAGUCUUUUUUUUUUCUUUUUUUUUUUUCUUUUUUUUUUUUGAGAGAGAGAUAGGUAGCACGCUAUUCGCUUCGUUUAUUUCAUUUAGAAAUAAGCUUAGCUGGAAACGUGAAUCAAUUAGGAUUCGAACUUGGAACUUCCGGUAUCAAUCACCAAACCUUUUGCCACUUGCUCCAGGGGCGGUCAUUUAGAAAAGUCAUAGUAACACAAUCCGACGGUGCGGUUCAUUUAAUGCCUUGAGGCAAAUAAAAUGAAGCCCGUUGCUAUAUUUUUACUCUGGGACCAAAUGGGCUUGACAAUUGUAAUCCAGCCCAUCUCAUAAGGCCCAUUUCUUAAUUUCCUUCUAUGUUACACUUUUAAAUAUGUUCUAAAUUAAAUGGCUUGUAUUUCGAGGAAUGGAUAAAGAGUAAGAGAUACAACAAUGUGCUUCGUUCUCUCAUGCAAACAAACUCGCUAGCUAACUAGCUAGUAGACCCGUGCAAAAUCCGGACCAGACCAAAUUUCGGCUCAGUUAAACCUACUCCCAAUCCGAGGCUGGUCUCGUCAGAAAAUUACAUAUACUUUUUAUUGUAAACCUGAGCCAGAAUCAAAGGAGUUGGGCUCGGCCGGGCCGGAUAAUUCGAAGAAAAUAAAACCCGGUCGGGGCGGAUCGGGUCGGGUUGGACUAGAUUUGCUAAGGUUUUGUCAAUUGGUUUUACUUGUGUAGAAGAAUGGAGAGUACAUAUCCUUAUCCUUUAUCAUUACUUGUGAUGACAAAUGUGAUAAUAAUUGGUAACAAAAAGUAGUCUAUUUCAACAAAAGUGAACAAUAUUGGGUUGUAUAGUCAACAACAACCUAAAUUAACUUUACUAGCUAGGUCUAUUUGUGACUCACUAAGCAUGGAAAUUUCAACACCAAACUCGGCUAUUUUGGUCCAAUUUUAAUCAUGAUCCAAUGUAGCCACCUUGUGUCUCACGUGCUGUACUGCGUUUGAAUCAAGAGCCAACGAAUUUGAUAUAGUCAAAAAAGCAUAUACAAAUAUUUUAUGGGUCAACAAAUUUAAUUGUUUUUUUUUUUAGAGAUAGGUAGCACGUUACCCGCUUCAUUUAUUUCAUUUAGAAAUAAACUUAGCUGAAAAUGUGAAUCAACUAGGAUUCGAACUUGAGUCUCGGGUACCAACCACCAAGCCCUUUGCCACUUGCUUUAAGGACGGUCGGUAACAAAUUUAAUUGUUGUAAAUUUAUCCAUGCGUAAAAUUUUCAGUGUGAAGUAAUCUAAUAAUCUCAAGCUAGAGAUAAAUUUUUAGAUAGCUGGUUCCUAACUUGUACUCAAUUUUGUUCUAUAUGUAGUGCCCGAUUAAUCUAAAUUCAUUAUUUAUUUCAACUAAAUUCCUAUUAUUAAAAGCAUAUGUAAUUUGGGAGAAAAUUAUGAGGGGGAAAGAUGUAAGCUAAUAGGCUUUUCGAUGACAUAGAUUUAAUCAAAACAAAUAAUAAACGUUGGGGAAUUGAUUGUGAAAAUUUAAAAAGUUAAAGUAAAAAAAUAAAAAUUCAUGUAAAUAUAUUGGAGGUCAACUCAAAGCAAGUAUAUAUGCUCGUUUUAAAAUAAUGCUAGGUGUGACAUGUGAUACUAAAUUAAAUGCUUGUUUGGACUAAAUGCGCGCACCGAGGUAGGUCUAAAACUUAAAUAAAUUAAAUAAAAGGUCAAAUUGGAUUUGCUUCCACCAAAAGCAGCCAUCUAAUAAAUUAAAGCCACUCUCAAAAUGUGACCUCCCUAGAAUUUAAAAUAAUUUUAUAUAUCAAUUGUAAUAAAAUUAAACUCCUUAAUUUUGAUUAUAGUAUUCUGAACGGUGACUAAAUCAAAAGAAUUAAAAGAGUUAAACAUAUUAGGACUAAAGUAUAUAGUUUUAGAAUAAAUCGAUGACCCUCUAAAAAGUGGGGUCGCAUAGAUCUUAAUUGUUUCUUUGCAAGGCUAAAGGUCAUGAGUCUUAAUUAAACGUUGGCCUGUUAACAUCGUUUGAUGAGUUGAUGAUCCAUGCGUGUUGUAUUAUAUUAUAUAUAUUAAUAACUUGCUCAUUUUAUUGGCCCACUAAUAAAUUCUUUAAGCAUUUUCUUGUAAGUACAAGAUUUAUGAGAACUACUUCAAUAUAUUUUAACAUCACACCCUUUCCUUUUGGUUAUUAUUGCAACCACACAUGGGGCUACUUGAAAACCCCUCUAGUUUAAUUAAUUUGAUUUCCCUAUAAAGUUGAUAAUAAUUUGACACAAAGUUAUAUAUACACUAAUGACACGCCUUCAAUUAAUUAUUAUUGGCAAUUGAUUUCAAACAAUAUUACAACGCCGUUAUAUGUAGUUAAUUAACUUACAGUUUAUAACCAAAACCAUUAGUAUCUCAUGAUCAAUAAUAAACACCAAAGUAUCUAGAAUUAAGAGAAUGCGCGAUUUGAGGUGAAAAAAAAAAAGAACUAUAGUACUUUAUAAGAAGCAUAAAAUUCAGAUUUUGCAAAUAUAUAUUAAUUUGUGAGAACAUAAGUGUUUUUAUAUUAACCGGAGUAAUUAUCUUAAUUAUAGUAAAAAUUUUAAAAUUGACUUAACAUUCCUGCUGGUAUGCAUGGUUGAUAUCUAAUAAACAAUCUCUUAAUAUGAAAAAACCUUAAAAUCAAUUUUAAUACUAUAUUAUCUAAAAAUCUUGUAAGAAAAUGACCAUCCAUGCCCACAAAAAUUUUGUGGGCACAAUCCCCAAACUAAUAAUUUGGUGACCGUGCAGAUGGGCGCCAUGUGGCCCAUCUAAUGGCCUUCUUUUACUUCCUCUGUUGCUCUCUCUCUCUCUCUCUCUCUCUCUCUCUCUCUCUCUCUCUCUCUAAAAACACAUGACAAUUUUUUUUUUCUUUCAUGUGUGGCCGUAGGAUGGGCCACAUGGUUCUCAUCCGCAUCGUUCCCCAAGCUAAUAGUUUUCUCUCUCUCUCUCUCUCUCUCUCUAAAAACACAUGAUAAUUCUUUUUUGUUUUCUUUCAUGCGUGGCUAGGAUGAGUCACAUGGUUCUCAUCCACAUCGUUCCCCAAGCUAAUAGUUUGGAGACAAUGCCUAUAAAAUUUUUGUCCCAUAUAUUUAGACUCUUCAAAAGUCGUAAAUGCAUAAUAGCUACACUAUCCUUCGCCUUUUUUUUAAGUUAUUCUUCAAUCGGGAAUCUUACAUAGUAAAUUUUUCUAUUAGACCUCUCUUAAAACAAAGAAAAAAGAAACAAGAGAAAGCAAGGAAAGAAAAAGGCCAAUUUGCAUAAAAAAUUCACUUAUUUUGGGCUUUUACAAAACUGGGCCACCUUUUUUGUUUUUGCAGAUUCGGUCCGAUUUUUCAACAAACUGACCAAAAUACCCUUAUUACUUUUUCUCUUUCCUCUUUCUCUCUCUUCUUCGUUUCUCUCAUAGUUAGUUAAUUCGCGUAUUAUUCGCGAAUUAUUCGCGAAUUUUUGAAAAUCCGGAUUAAACGGCCGUUUCCGAUUUUUUCUCAAAAAUUCGGAAAAAAACGCGUUUUUUCGGGUAAAAGUAAUUAUUCGCGAAUUGAACGUGGUUCGCGAAUAGUUCGCCCCAAAAGAUCGGGGCGGUUGCUGCGACGCGGAGUCGCGGGCCUUGCGGGUGGCCGAAAAUAUAAAAAAAAAAAAACUUUUCAGAGAAGCUUCGCGCUUCGCCUCGCCAUGUCGCCCAAAAAAAAAAAAAAAAAAAAAAAAAAUCUUUCUGAAAAGAUCGCUCCCCUCCCACCCCGAGUCCCCGACCCCUCCCAAAAGAAAGGUUUGCCCUAACUUCGCACUCCUGCGGCGGCCGCGGUUCUUCCCCUCCCCCUCUUCUGUCAUGGUGUGACCAUGACGGGGAGCAGAGGAGCAGUAGAUAGAAGGUAAAGGAGUAGAGUGAGACAAUGGAGGAUCCAUGGUAGGAGGAAGCAAGGCGGCGGUGUGAUCUAUGGGAGAGAUAGGCUAACGGGUAGUGGGCUCGCACUCCCUCACUGUAGCGUCACCAAGCCCGACUCCGCACCUUGAUUCGGCUUUCGGGCGACGGGUCCGCGCUCUCUCACAGCUGCAUUGUCGGACCCGACUCCGCUUUCUUGGAGGGAGGCGUAUUGAAGCCACAGGAGUUGAUGCAAUUAGUACUAAUACAAUUACUACCAUACCCCUGCCAUUAUAACUCUUACAUUUUGGUCCUCUAGAUGGAAGCAGUAUAUGUAAUGAACUCACUUCUGUAAUAGACAAGCAAGAGAUAAAUAAAAUCCCAAUUUCCCAAAUCCCAAGUCUGAAUGGAAGCAUAAAUCUUGAGAGAAAAAAACUUAAUUUAAUAGCCGAAUUUUUGAUCCCGAAUUUUUAAUUGGUGAACGUAUAAUAUCCGUAUAAAUCUCGUAUCCGAAUAAUUGACGAAUCCGUUUUUUAGCCGUUUUUUUCAACGAAUUUAAAAAUUAGAAGACGAAUUUUAUCCGAAUUAUAUCCGUACCGAAUUUUUGCCGAAUCCGAAUUAACUAACUAUGGUUUCUCUCGUUCUUUUUUUUUUCUCGCCGGCAGAGCGGAGGCGGAGCGGAGGCAGAAACGGUCCGUCUCGCCUCUCACCCUCAUGCUCUUGCCCUCGCCCUUGCCCUCGUCCAUGCACCCCCCACCUUCCUCGCCUCCGACCCCGCCAAGGCCGCGCCGCGACUUUUUUUUUUUGCUUUUUUCUUUUCUUUUCUUCUUCGACUCUUCUCCACCGUCUCCGUCGACGACGCCUCUCGCCCUUCCCCGCCCUUCUCAUCUCUCCCUCUCCCUCAUUUUCUGCCGCCUUCGACGAUGAUUUAUUUUCGCCGGCGCCGACGUCGACACCGUAGAGGUCACUGUGGCGCUACAGCCUGAGAGCGGGGGGUCCUUAGCGGCGUCGUCACCGGCACUGUAGCUGUUGGCAGAGACGGUGACAAAAAAAAUUAUAGAAAAAAUAAAAAAAAAUAAAGAUAAAAAAUUAUAUAAAAAGAAGGAUGAAAAUGAAAUUGCAUCGUUAAUUACAAAAAAAUUAUAAGUUGCAUUAUUUAAGAUGUAAACUGCUGCUUUAAGAUAAAAAUUAUACUCUUUGAACGAAAAUUAUACUAUUUUUUAUCUUAAACUGCAUCCUUUUAAGUGAUAUUUAUACUGUUUAUCCUCUUGUUGUAUGUUUCUCCUCUUGUUGCACUAUUUCUCCUCUUGUUUACAUAGAAAUGAUGCAACAAGAGGAGAAACAGUAUAAAUAUCUCUUAAAAUGGUGCAGUUUCUCCUCUUAUUGCAUUGUUUUUUCUCUUGUUGCACUAUUUCUUCUAUUGUUUACACAGAAAUCGUGCAACAAGAGGAGAAACAGUACAACAAGAGAAGAAACAGUAGAUAUAUCUCUUAAAACAGUGCAGUUUUUUCUCUUGUUGCACUAUUUUUUCUCUUGUUUAUACAGAAAUGAUACAACAAGAGGAGAAACAGUAUAUAUAUCUCUUAAAAUAGUGCAGUUUCUCCUAUUGUUGCACUGUUUCUUCUCUUGUUGCACUAUUUCUUCUCUUGUUUAUACAGAAAUGGUGCAACAAGAGGAGAAACAGUGCAACAAGAGGAGAAACAGUAGAAAUAUCUCUUAAAAGAGUGUAGUUUAAGAUAAAAAAAUAAUAUAACAAGAGAAAAAAUGGUGCAACAAGAGGAGAAACAGUAUAACUUUUGUUUAAAGAGUGUAACUUUCAUCUUAAUGGAUGCAGUUUACAUCUGAAAGAGUGUAAUAAGAAGAGAAACAGUGUAAAUAUCUCUCAAAGAGUGUAAUUUUCGUUUAAAGAGUAUAGUUUUCAUAUUAAAGCUGCAGUUUACAUCUUAAGUAGUGCAACUUAUAAUUUUUUUUGCAGUUAACGAUGCAAUUUCAUGUUCAUCAUUCUUUUAUAUAAUUUUUUAUCUUUAUUUUUUUUUCUGUUUUUUCUAUAAUUUUUUUUGUCAUUCUCUCUGCCAACAGCCACGGUGCCGGCGACGACGCCGCUAAGGACACCCGCUCCGAGCCUGUAGCGCCGCAGUAACCUCCACGAUGUCGACGUCGGCGCCGGCGAAGAUGUAUCGUCGUCGGAGGCGGCAGAGAAUGAGGGAGAGGGAGAGAUGAGAAGGGCGGGGAAGGACGAGAGAGGCGUCGUCGUCGGAGACGGUGGAGAAGAGUCGGAGAAGAAAAGAAAAGAAAAAAGCAAUAAAAAAAAAAAGUCGCGGUGCGGCCUUGGCGGGGUUGGAGGCGAGGAAAGUGGGGGGUGCGUGGAUGAGGGCAAGGGUGAGGGCGAGGGCGAGGGCGAGAGAAUGAGGGUGAGAGACGAGACGGACCGUUUCUGCUUUCGCUCUGCCGGCGAGAAAAAAAAAAGAACGAGAGAAACGAGAAGGAAAGAGAAAGAGGAAAGAGAAAAAGUAAAAAGGGUAUUUUGGUCAGUUUGUUGAAAAAGCGGACCGAAUCUAUAAAAACGAAAAAGAUGGCCCAAUUUUAUAAAAUUCUAAAAUAAAUAAAUUUUUUAUGCAAAUUGACCAAAGAAAAAAAAAGAAAAAGAAAAAGAAAAAGAGACCCAGCAAAUGCCCACACUGCCACACUGCCACACACCAACCAUUAAACACAACCACCUACAAAAUCAAUUAACACAACACACACCUCCCUCUAGGGCUGGCAAAUGAGCGAGCCGGCUCGCGUUCGACUCGCGUUCGACUCGAUAUUUGGCUCGCUCGAGCUCGACUCGAAAUUAAAUGAGCCGAGCUUGAACAAAAAAAAAAGCUCGAAAUUCAUUUCAAGCCGAGCUUGAGUAUUACUCGGCUCGUUCGAAUUAGGCUCGAAAAGCUCGAAAAGCUCGAAUAUAUAUAUAUAUAUAUAUAUAUAUAUAUAUAGUAGAGCUACUAUGCUAUCGAAAGUAUAGAGAUAUGGUGCUUUCGAUUUUUUGAUUCUUAGAUCAAUCCCUUUAAUCGUUUCUUAUCUUUGGAUUAAUAUUAUUAUUACCUUGUAGGGACCACUCAAUCUUCUAAUAGUAUAUUUAAUACCUAGUGAGACCCAACAUUCUCAAACCAUAAAAUUUUAUAAUCAAAGGGUCAAAACUUUCCAAACAUCAAAUCCUCUGAUAUUUUUCGUAGCAUAGUAGUCCAUACAUUAUAUAAUAUAUAAAAAAUAUAUAAAAUAAGUAAUAAUUUUAAUUAUAUAUCAGGCUAGUGAAUAAUCUGAGUUUAGUUAAAAUUGGACCAAUGUUAUUGGCACCAUAAAAACAAUAUAUAAUAGGACAAAUAGAAAGGAGCAAAUCUAACUAAAUUUAUAUAUAUUCUUUUCUGUCUUUUACAUUCUUUCUUUACAGAGCUCUAAAUUUUACAAAAUAGUUUCUCUUCUUUCUCUUUUUCUGUCUCUCACCGCUAAGUGGCCCGAAGCGGGAAGCCCUCUAAGUUACCCAAGUAACAUCCAUAUGCCGCUGUUGCCUUACCUUGCUAUUAAUUGUAUACUUGAGAAAAAAUAUACGGAUAUUUUUUAAAUAAAAAUUUACUUAUUCAUAUAAAAUUUUAUUUUAGUAUCAUAUUAUUAGCAUGUUAAAUCCAAUAUUUAAUAUUAAUUUAUUUAUUUUGACUUGCAAUAAGAUGAAAUAAAUUAAAAUGAGAUUUGAAGGCGGAAGUAAGAUAUGUGAGUUUGAAAAAAUUAGACAUAUUCAACUCACUAAAUUAUAUUUUUUUACAUUUAUAAUGACUAGUAUUUCAUAUAAUUAUUUUGUACUUUGAACUAUUAGAAUAUUUUGAUCAAUUAUAGAUAAUGAUUCUAUACAAAUUAAGACUAUUGAUCGUAUAAUGUUGAGAAUUUCUAAGACGGCUCGUUUAGGCGACUCGCUGAUAUUCGCUGACUCAAAAGGUCUAGCUCGGCUCGAAUUAAUUUCAAUCAAGUUUGAGCUUAAAUUAGGUCGAAAAUUAAUUUCAAGCCGAAAUAUUGGCCGAGUAAGCUCGCUCGAGCUCGGCUCGUUUCCACCCCCCUACUCCCUCCCCCUCUCUCUCUCUCUCUCUCUCUCUCUCUCUCUCUCUCUCCCUGAGAUGGUAUAGGACUACAUCUUGUCAGAAAGCUAUGAUGAAUACAUUAAUCCCAUGCAGCAGUAGCAGUUGCAGUAACAGUAGCAGCAGUAGCACUCCUCUCUGCCUCGUCCUAUUGUUACUUCUGCUCUCCAUCUCAUGCACUACUGCUCGCUCGCGGGACACGAUAACUGUAGACAGUCCGCUCGCGGAGAACGAGACGCUCGUCUCCGCGGGCGGCUACUUCGCCCUCGGCUUCUUCAACCCCCCAAACAACCCCGACCGCUACAUCGGCAUCUGGUACAACACCAUCCCCACGCAAACCGUCGUCUGGGUCGCCAACCGCCUCGACCCCGUCGACGCCUCCCCCUCCUUCCUCUCUCUCUCCCCCGACGGCAUUCUCACCCUCUCCUCCCCCAACUCCUCCACCCCACUCUCCACCACCGCAACUACCUUAACCAACCCCGUAGCCCAACUGUUGGACACCGGUAACUUCGUCGUGCGAGAAGCGACCGACGGCGGCGAUGCGGCCGCGUGGCAGAGCUUCGACUAUCCGACGGACACGCUGAUAGCCGGGAUGAAGCUGGGGGUUGACCGGCGGCGGGGGCUGAACUGGACGCUGACCGCCUGGCGAAGCGGGUCGGACCCGGCCCCGGGCGAGUACUACGCGGCGAUGGACACGGCGGGGGACCCGGAGGUGUUCCUCUACUCCGUAGCGGGUCGGGCGCGGAUCUGGCGAACGGGCCCGUGGGACGGGGUCCAGUUCAGCGGCGUCCCGGACACGGUCACGUACCAGGACUUCGCGUUCACGUUCACCAACGACGCCGACGAGGUCUCCUACAGCUUCAACGUCCUGAACCGGUCCAUCAUCUCCCGGCUCGUCGUGAACCAGACCGGGGUCGUGCAGCGGUCCAUCUGGCUCGCGUCGGGCCGGGUGUGGAACAUCUUCUGGUACGCGCCGCGGGACCCGUGCGACGACGUGUCCGCCUGCGGGCCCUACGGGCUGUGCGACCCCAACGACUCCCCCAUGUGCAGCUGCGUGCAGGGGUUCGAGCCGCGGUCGCCGCAGGACUGGGCGCUGCGGGACGGGUCGGGCGGGUGCGUGCGGAGGACGCGGCUCGACUGCGCCAACCGCACCGACGGGUUCGCCAAGGUGAGCCACGUGAAGCUCCCGGACACCACGAACUGUACGGUGGACCCGACCGUGGGGCUCGACCGGUGCGCCGCCAGGUGUUCGGCGAAUUGCUCGUGCACCGCCUACGCGGCCGCGAAUGUCAGCGGUGGGGCCCGGAGUGGGUGCGUUAUGUGGCACUCCGAGCUCACCGACAUGCGGGUCUACGUAGGCACGGGGCAGGAUCUGUACGUACGCUUGGCCGCGGCUGAUCUAGGUACGUACACGUACGUAUAAUAUACGUGCUAUCUAUUUAUUUAGUAAAUUAUUUAUACUUGCAAAUUGAUAGCUAUAUAAUACAAUAUAUAUACCCACACACUCGGAUUAUUCUCCUGCAUUUUCUUCGGAAUGGUCCCACAUAAAUCUCAGUGCUUGAUUGAUGAUCGAUAAAGACGUCUAAUUAAUCAGCUAUUUCAUGUAGCCAUCCUUAUCUAGUCAUAGUCUAUAGCCUCUCGCCAGCUUCUGAAAUUGUUUUUGUACUAAGAUUAAUUUUUUUGUUUUAUUUUUUUAGUCUUGUACGUAGAAACAAAUUACUUGAAAUCUGAAGCUAAUUAAUGCAAACUGUAUUACGAGAAAACAAUUUUACUUUGAGCUUGAAAUAGGAAGCUGAAAUAAGUUCGUAUGUUUUGAAAUCUAAAAGCUAAUUAUCAAGUAAGCAAUUUUAAGAGCAUUAAAACAAAAGGUUAAGGUUAAUUACUAAAUUUUUAUCCUUAAACAAAAUAGUUUGGAGUGGUUGGGUAUCAAGAAGCACAUGAUGUUCGAUAGAAGCCAAAAUUCAACGAGGGUAGUAAACGCCAAAAAAAAAAGCAGCAAAUGGGUAAUGUCGGCAACUGCCUCUACUGUAAUUGGCUUGGAAUGUAGCAUCGGCGCCGACUUAUGACACAGCCGUGCACGUCUUCGCUAACCAUUAAUUUUCCAAGAUUAAUUUGUUAAGGUUUACAAUGACUUGGAAUAGAAACUCUGGCGUGCCGUACCAAAAAGUUGUUGAGACUGGUCGAUGUGAACGAAAAUGUGUCGAUUAUAAAUCCAGUUCGACUUAAACAGCACAAAUGCAUGCAGAUCGAAGCUCUAGUCAUGCAAAUUAAUGAGCCCAUAAAUAGAUCACUUUAUAUGUAUUGUGUACCUGGAAAAUUGAGAAUUAUAUAAGCUUCAGAUUUAGAUCCCCUUGUUUUAUAGAGGAGGCUGAUCUUGUCCAAAUUUGAUUCGACCCCCCUACUGUGAUCACCUUUUGGUAGGGUAAAAAAUGAUUCAGGAUAACAUUUGAUUUACUUAGUUUCUAGUUAAUUUAAUUAGGGUGACAAUUUGAACUUAUAAUAAUUGCCAUGUAUAGCCAAUUAAAUUUCUCUCAUGUGCUUCAUAAAGGAGAAUGGAAUAUUCUAGACCAAAUCCGAAACACUUUUUUUGUGUUCCAUUCUUAAUAGACCCAGCAAGGCACAUGUGGCAUAUUGCUUACCCUGCAGUAUAAUGUGGUCCAAACACACUAAUUUAGUGACUGUAAUAAUCACUUGAACAACCUGAGUUGCAUCACUGUUUGUACAUAUCUCAGUAGCUGAUAUGAGCUGUUAUGAGAUUUAAAAGGAAAAAGUACUGUUGCCUUUAAUUAUUUAGCUUCACUAUCAAGCUGGACCAUGGUUUUAGGGCCUCUGUGGCCUUUUAUGGACCAUGUGAAAGCAUCUAUAUAUAAUGAUGAUAUAUAGGGCUUGAUCUGUAGGAUUGUAGUUUUUUCAUCAAAAUAAUUCCAAUAGCUUUGCAUUGAAGCUAGAAGAAGAAACUAAUGCAGUAGCUAGGUAAAGAGAAAAAUCCUCAGUGAGAAAUAUAGCUAAAGCAAGUACAUCUAUGUUUGAUGGGAGAGUGAUCUUUGGAUAGUGUCUUUCCAUCUUAUUCCAUGGACCUAAUUACUAUCCGCAAUAUUAGCUAGCCUAUAGGGAUCGAUGUUUGGGCUAUCCACUUUCGUGUUCAGAUCGAUUCGAGAAAUUUGCAUAAUAUUUGAUGGAAUAGCAGGGAUGUUUGUUGAUGUCUCCGCUUUAUCCCUCGACUGAACACUGCCUCAACGAUGUUUGGACUUUGGCAUCUAAUAGCUCAUUUCAGCUUCUCACUUAACCAAAAUGUGUUGGACAUUUCGUAAAAUCUAAUCUAGAAGCUGGCCAAACAAAAAUAUAUUACACCUCAAACAAGAUGUGGUUUUCCUUUGAUUAAUUGGAAUAUAUCUUCGCUUAAAUGAGAAGAUAUGGUGCUAAAUUAGGAAUGUCUACAGGUUCAGCCCCAAGCCAGUCUGGCAAGAGUGAUCAUGCACCCAUUGCACUCAUUGUAGGCCUUACUGUAGUGGCAUUCCUACUAGCAUGUGCUGGUUGCUAUAUCUGGAGAAGAAGGAAACUUAGGAAAUCAGGUAAUAAAACUGCUAAUUCAGUACACUUUCAAUAUUGUUUGGAAGCCCAAAUGAGUAUAAAUGGAAAUUAUAAGACAAUUAUUAACCGAUUGAAUAUACAGGUCCAGGCACGUCGGCGAGUACUAUUUCCUUCAGCCAUGAACAGCGCAAGGAGGAAAGUAUUCAAGAUAGUGAUAUAGAGUUGCCAUUAUUUGAUUUGGGCACUAUCGCGGUUGCUACUGAGGGGUUCUCUAACACAAAUAAACUCGGAGAAGGUGGAUUUGGACCAGUUUACAGGGUUAGUUUUUAACCUUUCAUUAACUUUCACAGUUGUGAUGGUUAUGAUUCUUUAAGUUGAGAGAUUAAUUCUGGUCAAAAAAUACAAAUCAGUCACUAUUCUGACAUUGCUAAAGAACCAACUGUAUCUGAAGCUGAAUCUACUCUGUAAUAUAAAUACGUUAUAAGAACUUGGAUUUUCGUAUACAUGAUGUGAAAGUGAGAUGCACUAAGAAAACUUUUGAGGAUGUUUUACCUGAUAGCUUAGGCAUUUUGAAGACCUGCUUAAUGAAUACAUGUAUGAUUACAGUUGAGCAUUUUUAUGAUAAAAAAGAUCUAGUCUUACAUGAUCUAUUUGAAUUAUUUAUGUCAUAAUUGACGAUCAGGGUAAGCUUGGCGACGGACAAGAAAUAGCUGUGAAAACGCUUGCAAAAACUUCAGUGCAAGGUCUCGACGAGUUCAAGAACGAGGUCAUGCUGAUAGCAAAACUUCAGCAUAGGAAUCUUGUUAGGCUACUUGGUUGCUGCAUCCAAGGAGAGGAGAGGAUGCUUAUAUAUGAAUACAUGGAAAACAAAAGCUUGGAUAUGUUUUUGUUCGGUAAGUCCACGCCAUUCAUUCUAAAUGCCUUCUUACUUUGUUUCUACACUAUAAUUUCGACAACGUAAUAUUUUGAUGAAAAGUAAACAGUUUGAGAAUUUUAGCAGAUAAAGCUUACAGCGCAUCACUAAAUUGGCAAACGCGGUAUCGGAUAAUUGAGGGGAUUGCUCGAGGGCUUGUUUACCUUCACCAGGAUUCAAGAUUUAGAGUUAUUCAUAGAGAUUUAAAGGCUAGUAAUAUUCUUCUUGAUAAGGAGAUGAGCCCCAAAAUCUCAGACUUUGGCAUGGCACGAAUUUUUGGCGGUGACGAGACCGAAGUCAAUACAAGAAAAGUAGUUGGUACCUAGUAAGUACAUAUGCUUGCAUAUAUACGAAGCAAUAUACUCUUGAUUAACAGUUCAUAAUCCUUAUCGAUUGUAUUUAAUUUUGCAGUGGAUAUAUGUCUCCGGAAUACGCAAUGGAUGGAAUUUUUUCAGUAAAAUCCGACGUAUUCAGUUUUGGGGUUUUAGUGUUAGAAAUUAUUAGUGGAAGGAGGAACAGAGGAGCAUAUGUUGAUUCCUCACACCUUAAUCUUCUUGCUCAUGUAAGUAUGUUUAAACUCAAACAAUUUAUAUUUUAACUGCUACAUUUUCUUAAACUUUUUGGAUUUAUAUUUAUAUACUUUUCGCAGGCAUGGAGUUUAUGGAAUGAGGGGAAGAGUUUAGAACUAGUAGACGAUUCUAUGGAUUAUUCCUUCCUCGCAAAUGAAGUUCUAAAAUGUGCGCACAUUGGUCUUUUGUGUGUUCAAGAGCACCCCGAGGAUCGUCCCCUGAUGUCGGCGGUCGUUUUGAUGCUUGGUAGUGAUGGAGCAUCACUGCCAACUCCGAAACAGCCCGGUUUUGCAAGGAGGAGGAUUCAGCUCGAUACGGAAUCAUCAUCAAGCAAGCAAGAUUCUAUCACGUUGAACGAUAUGACUAUAACCAUGAUCGAAGGUCGAUAGAAGGAACAAUUAUAUGUGUAGUUUGGCUGAAUUUGGUUUCAAUGAGGAAAUGUUAUAUAUUUGAGGUUUUGAUUUCUUUCUUUUCUUUCUUUUCUUUCCCACUUUUUGAUGGUCGGAAAAUGUAUAAAUAUGUUUACAAUCAUUGGAAUAUAUUUUUUUUCAUGUCGAUGAAAUUGAUACCCAAUUAGCUCAAAAACCUUGAAGUUGUGCAAUUGUUACAUACAUCAAAGGAACAACAAUUUUUUUUUGAUUAAACAGGGGUAUACCCUAUUUUAACAAAGUCAGAACAGAGAGUAUAGAAGCAGUCUAGUAAGGCGAAAAAAUGGAACGGCUAGAACGGCAAGAACAGCAUGGGUUGAUCGCAAUCAAGAUCUAGGAGCAAGAACCCAGAAACCAAAAAAAACCAAAAACCAAAAUCAAAGCCCCAAAAACCCCCAAAAAGCGCACACUCCUAGAUGCUGUCCAUGUCCCCGAGUGCGGCUUUCCUAGAUGCUGUCCAAAAAGAACAACAAUUCUUUCUACCAAUAUGAGUACAAUUGAAGUAUCAAACAAAUUCUUGUACACGAGACUAUUUUCGCGGAAAGAACGUCAAAAUAGUAAAAUCAAUUUCUGCAAAACCUCCAAAAAGAAAACAAAAAAAGAGAAAAAAAAGAAAAGAAAAAAAGUUAAUACACAUCUUUAUCUACCCUCUACAAUUAAUAGCUACAGUUACAAUAUUUGCAGUGUGGCCCUGCGACAAUGAUUCUAUAUCCAAAAAGCCCCUGCCGAUACUAAAUGGAGGCUCAUUCGAGCUUUCCCUGAAAAGAACCAACACAUAGUUAUAAAAAUUUCCAUAAUUAUCUCCGCGCACUUUAUAUCUCAACCUUAAUUGAAUCUACACAUUAGUCACAUCGUUCCAAGAAUUAACUACCAUGUAUACAGGGCCAAAUCCACCCUCUCCAAUCCUAUUAGCCAAUGAGAAACUGUCCGUAGGAUCCAAUAUCGCCCCUAGAUCGAAUGUUGGAAGGUUGAGACCUUCAUGAGUACUUGUUUCAUCUUCGAAGCUAUGAUCUUGUGUUGAUCGUACUUCCCAUCUUGAUUCUGAACCCGCGCACGUAUAUGUCGCAUGCAUGUCAAAUGGCAAGGCUUCUCAUAACAACACUCUGUGCCUUCUCUCUACGUUGCCUAGCUUUUAGGAGCAUCAAUUAUUAUGGAAAUUAAAAGCCAACAUGUAACACCCCAAUAGCAUUUUGGCCAAUAGUUUGGGCCUAACAAGUGAUUAUUACUAGCCAGUCGGAUCACUAUAAUUGGUAUCAGAGCCGAAUAGCAGUCAGAAGUCUGAGAGCUAGAUAUUAUGCAAGACAAAAUACUAUACCAACGGGUUUGGUGAGAGCCGCCUAUUGAAUCAGUAGAAGCCACUUCUAGAAUCUCACAUCGCCCGGUAAUAUUCUGGUUAGUCUGUAAUCUGAGCUUGGACCUGAUGAGAACGUCAUGAUUUAAACAUGCGAGUUUAUAAUGUCUCAAUAGUCUCGCAUCGGAUGAAAAAAUAAUUUUGGUUAGAAUAUAUGAAGGCUCAAAGAUAGUAAUAAUAACUGGGUUUAAACAUUUAGACUAGUAAUUUGGAUCCAACAAGUUAUUAUUAUUAGCUGGUCGGAUCGUCACAAUUAUUAUUAGAGACCAGACAAUCUGUCUGUAAUCUGGCACAUACAGUAUAUGACCACCAUGCAUCAAAAUGCUUUUCCAAUGAAAAUUGUAGUUCCUUACGAGGCUAGCUCACUCUAUUCUCCAUGAUCUUAUGCAAGUUCUUAGAUACAAAUUAAUCAAGCCCAAAAAUAUAUAUAAAAAAUAUCCCUCACUUCUUUUGGUAUUUCCUUUUUCUUUUAACUUUUUUUUGUGUCUUUUAUUUAAUGCUUCUUCUCCUCAUUUUUCUCGCUUUUCUUCAUCAUCUCCUCCUCUCUUUCAUGAGUGGAGUCACCGACCGAUAACAAUCUAUAAAAACUCACAACUUACACAAGGAUAUAUCCUCAUUCCGGUGCGUACGAAAGUGUGAACUCUUCAUUAGAAUAUUUAUUAUAAUCUAGUUAUAUUUAUACUCUAAUUAAUAUUUAAAUUUUAAUUUAUCUCUAAUAGAUUUAAAUAUUAAUUUUUAUCUAAUUAAAAUAUUAACUACAAAUCUAACCACUACCCAAAUCUUAACAAGUGGGACGUGACGUAAAUGGUAAUUGUUUCCCGGAAAGGAUAAGGCCAUGAGUCUUAAUUAAUUGUUGGAUGGGAGUUGAUCGAUGACCCAUGAGUAUUGACUUAUACAGAUUAAUAACUUGCUCAUUUAAUUAAUUGGCCCGCUUGUAUGUAAUUAAAUUCUUCAAGCAUUUUCUUAUUAUAUAGUAUUAGAUAUAUGAGAAAUUUUCACAUCACAGUACCGUUUCCUUUUGGUUAUUAUUGCAACCACACAUUGGGCUACUUAAAAACCCGUUUACUUUAUUUGACUUCUCUAUGAAGUUGAUAAUAAUUUGACACAAAGCUACAUACACCAAUGACAUGUCUUCAAUUAAUUUUUGGCCAUUGAUUUCCAGCAAUAUUGCAACGCUGUUACAUAUAGUUAGCUUACGGUUUAUAACCAAGUCAUUAGUAUCUCAAUAAUAAACACCGAAGUAUAUAUUUAGAAUUGUGGGUACGCAAGAUUUGAGGUGAAAAAAAAAAUUUAGGCCUGUUUGGAUGCACAGUAAAAAAUCUCCACGGGAUUUAUAAACUGUGGUUUUGGUCCAAAUAAAAUAAAGAAUUCUGUAACUCUAAAAAAAUUCCACGGAUUCAAUUUUUAAACUGUUUGGAUGCGCAUUGUGUAAUUUCACGGGAUUUCUCUAAAUUUUAAAAUUAAAAGUUAAAAUUUCAAAUUUUAAAUUUCAAAUUUCAAUGAAAAUUAAAAUUUAAAAUUUGAUAUGUGAAAUGCGAAAUUUUAAAUUUUGAAAAUUAAAAAUUAAAAAUAUAAAAAUCUAAAUUUAAUUUUAAAAUUUUGAAAUUUAAAAUUUUAAAAUAAAAAAUUUUAAAUUAAAAAAUAAAUUUAAAAUUUAAAGUUCAAAUUUGAAAUUUGAACUAUGAGAUUUGAGAUUUAAAAUUUGAAAUUUGAAAUUUAAAAUUUAAAAUCUAAAAUUUAAAAUUUAAAGUUUAAAAUUUAAAAUUUAAAAUUUAAAAUUUAAAAUUUGAAAUUUGAAAUUUAAAAUUUGAAAUUUAAAAUUUGAAAUUUAAAAUUUAAAAUUUAAAAUUUGAAGUUUAAAAUUUGAUCUGUGAAAUUUAAAAUUUCAAAUUUGAAUUUCGAAAACUAAAAUUUAAAAUAAAAUUUGAAAUUCUAAAUUUGAAAUUUGAAAUUUGAAAUUUAAAAAUUAAAUUUGAAAAUAAAAAAUUUAGAAUUAAAAUUUGAAAUUAUGAAUUAAAAAAUUUAAAAUUUGAAAUUUAUUAUUUGUAAACUAAAAUUUAAAACUUGAUAUUCGAAAAUUAAAAUUUGAAUUUAUAAAAUUUAAAAAUUUAAAAUUUAAAAUUUGACAUUAAAACUUUGAAAUUAUAAAAUUUAAUUUUUGAUAUUUCAAAUUUAAAAUUCAAAAUUUAAAUUUGAAAUUAAAAUUUUGAAUAUAAAUUAAAUUGUAAAAUUUAAAAUUUGAAAUUUAAAAAUUAGAACUUGAUGCAACUUUGCCCAAAAAUGGUGGAAUUCUUUUUUCCUUUGGUUAGAGUGGAUUAUAAUUUUACUCUAUUUUUUGCUGUAUAGUUUAACUAUACUCGAAAAAUUACGGUAUAUUUUUUUUUCUCCCAAACGCUUUAUAGGAUAAAUUUUCCUACCGGCGUAGUAUAGUUUAACUAUACUACAUUUUUAAUGGUAUCCAAACAGGGCCUUAGCAAUUUAUAAGAAUCUGAAAAUUUAGAUUUUACAAAGAUACAUUAAUUUGUGUGGGACCCUAAGGCUGCGUUUAGUUGGAGAACUAAAUAACCUCUUAAUUAUAUAGUCAACUUAAUUAUAUAGUGAAACGUUUUAAAUAAUCUUAACAUUCCUGCUAGCACGUAUAGUUGAUAUCUAAUAAUAAAUAUUCUUUUAAUAUGAAAAGAGUUUAAAAUCAAUUUUAAUAUUAUUAUAUUAUCUAAAAGAGUAAUCUUGCAAAUAAAUGAUCAUGUAUUUUGGCACUUCAAAGGUCAUAAAUACAUAAUAGCUACACUAUCCUACUUCCUUUUUUAAUGGAAAUCUUAUCUUAUAUAGAAGAAAAAAAAAAAAAAAACUUUUCUAGCUAGUAUACCUCUCUUAAAGGGAAAAAAUGAAUACAUUACUCCCAUGCAGCAGCAGCAGUAGCAGUAGCACUCCUCUCUGCAUCAUUCUAUUAUUAUUUCUGCUCUCAAUCUCAUCCAUUACUGCUCACGCGCGGGACACGAUAACAGUAGGCAGCCCGCUCGCAGAGAACGAGACGCUCGUCUCUGCGGGCGGCUACUUCGCCCUCGGCUUCUUCAACCCCCCGAACAACCCCGACCGCUACGUCGGCAUCUGGUUCAACAACAUCCCCACGCAAACCGUCGUCUGGGUCGCCAACCGCCUCGACCCCGUCGCCGCCGCCGCCUCCCCCUCCUUCCUCUCUCUCUCCCCCGACGGCAUCCUCACCCUCGCCUCCCCCAACUCCUCCACCCCACUCUCCACCACCGCAACUACCUUAACCAACCCCGUAGCUCAACUGUUGGACACCGGUAACUUCGUCGUGCGAGAAGCGACCGACGCCGGCGAUGCGGCCGCGUGGCAGAGCUUCGACUAUCCGACGGACACGAUGAUAGCCGGGAUGAAGCUGGGCGUGGACCGGCGGCGGGGGCUGAACUGGACGCUGACAUCCUGGCGAAGCGGGUCGGACCCGGCCCCGGGCGAGUACUACGUGGCGAUGGAAACGGCCGGGGACCCGGAGCUGUUCCUCUACUCCGUAGCUGGUCGGGCCCGGAUCUGGCGAUCAGGCCAGUGGGACGGGGUCCAGUUCAGCGGGCUCCCGGACAAUGUCCCGUACGGGGACUACGUGUACACGUUCACCAACAACGCCGCCGAGGUCUCCUACAGCUUCAACGUCCUGAACCGGUCCCUCAUCACCCGGGGCGUCGUGAACCAGACCGGGGUCGCACAGCAGUCCAUGUGGGUCCAGUCGAGGCAGGUGUGGAACAUCAUCUGGCACGCGCCGCAGGAUCCGUGCGACGAGAUGUCCCCCUGCGGGCCCUACGGGCUCUGCGACCCCACCGUCUCCCCCAUGUGCAGCUGCGUGCAGGGGUUCGAGCCGCGGUCGCCGCAGCACUGGGCGCUGCUGGACGGCUCGGACGGGUGCGUCCGCACGACGCGGCUCGACUGCGCCAACCGCACCGACGGGUUCGCCAAGGUGAGUCACGUGAACCUCCCGGACCCCACGAAUUGUACGGUGGAUGCGACCGUGGGGCUCGACCAGUGCGCCACCAGGUGUUUGGCGAAUUGCUCGUGCACCGCCUACGCAGCCUCGAAUGCCAGUAGUGGGGCCCGGAGUGGGUGCGUCAUGUGGUACUCCGACCUCACCGGCAUGCGGGUCUUCCUAGCCGAGGGGCAGGAUCUGUACGUACGCUUGGCGGCGGCUGAUCUAGGUACGUACGCAUACGUAUAAUAUACGUGCUAUUUAUUUAGUAAAUUAUUUGUAUUUGCAAAUUGAUAUUGCUUUGAACAUUCACCCACCCGCCCACUUGGAUUAUUAUGAUGCAUUUUCCUUUGGAAUGGUCCACACAAGUAUCAAUACUUGAUUGCUGAUCGAUAAAGACGUCUAAUUAAUCAACAAUUAAUUUCAUGGUACCUACCGUUAUCUCGUCGUGGCCUCGCUUCUGAAUUAGUUAUUGUACUAAGUCUUUUUUUUAGUGUGUGGUAGAAACAAAUUACUUGAAAUCUGAAGUUAAUUAAUGCUAACAUUAUUAUGCGAAAAUGAUAUUAUUUUUUAUCUUGAAAUAGGAUGCUGAAAUAAGUUCACCGGCGGGGUUUUUUUUUUUUUUUUUUUUUUUUGAGAGAUAGAUAGCACACUAUCUGUUUCGUUUAUUUCAUUUAGAAAUAAACUUCGUUGGAAAUAUGAAUCAACUAGGAUUCGCCGGUCGUGUAUUUCCAUCUUAUUCCAUUGACUUGAUUACUAUCCGCAAUAUUAGGUAGCCUAUAGGCGUGUUUGGGCUAUCCACUAUUGUGUUCAGAACUUCAGAUCGAUAAUUGACAAAUUCGCAUAAUGUUUGAUGGAAUAGCAAGUUGUCUCCAUAUUAUCUCUCGACUGAUCACUGCCUCAAUGAUGUUUGGACUGUGGCAUGCAAUAGUUCAUUUCAGUUUCUCACUUAAGCCAAAAAGUGUUGGGCAUUUUGUACACAAUAUACAUCUAGAUUCACCAGUAGAUAAGCUAAUCCAGAAGCUGGCCAAACAAAAUAUAUAGCACCUCAAACAAGAUAUGGUUUUUCCUUUGAUUAAUUGGAAUAUAUCUUUGCUUAAAUGAGAAGAUAUGGUGCUAAAUUAGGAAUGUCUACAGCUUCAGUUACAAGCCACUCUGGCAAGAGUGAUCAUGCACCCAUUGCAGCCAUUGUAAGCGUUUCUGUAUUGGCAUUCUUACUAGCAUGUGCUGGUUGGUAUAUUUGGAGGAUGAGGAAACUUAGGAAAUCAGGUAAUAAAACUACUAAUUCAGUACGCUUUGUUUGAAAAGCCCAAAUGAGUGUAAAUGGGAAUUAUAAGACAAUUAUUAACUGAUUGAACAUACAGGCCCAGGCACGUCAGCGAGUACUAUUUCCUUCAGUCAUAAACACCGCAAGGAGGAAAGUACUCAAGAUAGUGAUAUAGAGUUGCCAUUAUUUGAUUUGAGCGCUAUCGCAGUUGCAACAGAGGAGUUCUCUAACACAAAUAAACUUGGAGAAGGUGGCUUUGGACCAGUUUACAAGGUUAGUUUUUUGACCUUUCAUUAACUUUCAGUCCUGAUGGUUAUGAUUCUUUAGGUUACAAGAUUAAUUCUGGUCAAAAAAUACAAAUCAGUCACUAUUCUGACAUUGCUAAAGAACCAACUGUAUCUGAAGCUGAAUCUACUCUAUAAUAUAAAUACGUUAUAAUGAACUUGGAUUUUCAUAUACAUGAUGUGAAAGUGAGAUGCACUAAGAAAACUUUUGAGGAUGUUUUACCUGAUAGCUUAGGCAUUUUGAAGACUUGCUUAAUGAAUACAUGUAAGAUUACACUUGUCUUUUAAGAUAGUAAAGAAUUAUUUGUCAUAAUUGACUAUCAGGGUAAGCUUGGCAACGGACAAGAAAUAGCUGUGAAAACGCUUGCGAAAACUUCAGCGCAAGGCCCCAAUGAGUUCAAGAAUGAGGUCAUGCUAAUAGCAAAACUUCAGCAUAGGAAUCUUGUUAGGCUACUUGGUUGCUGCAUUCAAGGAGAGGAGAGGAUGCUUAUAUAUGAAUACAUGGAAAACAAAAGCUUGGAUAGGUUUUUGUUCGGUUAGUCUACGCCAUUCAUUCUAAAUGCCUUCUUACUUUGUUUCUACACUAUAAUUUUGACAAUGUAACAUUUCAGUGAAAAGUUAACAGUUUGAGAAUUUUCGCAGAUAAAGCUUACAGCGCAUCACUAAAUUGGCAAACGCGGUACCGGAUAAUCGAGGGGAUUGCUCGAGGGCUUGUUUACCUUCACCAAGACUCAAGAUUUAGAGUCAUUCAUAGAGAUUUAAAGGCUGGUAAUAUUCUUCUUGAUAAGGAGAUGAACCCUAAAAUCUCAGACUUUGGCAUGGCACGAAUUUUUGGCGGUGACGAGACCGAAGUCAAUACAAGAAAAGUAGUUGGUACCUAGUAAGUAUAUAUGCUCGAUCACAUAUAUAUAAAACAAUAUACUCUUGAUUAAGAGUUCAUAAUCCUUACUGAUUGUGUUUCAUUUUGUAGUGGAUAUAUGUCUCCAGAAUACGCAAUGGAUGGAAUUUUUUCGGUAAAAUCCGACGUAUUCAGUUUUGGGGUUUUAGUGUUAGAAAUUAUUAGUGGAAGGAGGAACAGAGGAGCAUAUGUUGAUUCCUCACACCUUAAUCUUCUUGCUCAUGUUAAGUAUAUUUAACUCAAACAAUUUAUAUUUUAACUGCUACAUUUUCUUAAACUUUUUGGAUCUAUAUUUAUAUACUUUUCGCAGGUAUGGAGUUUAUGGACCGAGGGGAAGAGUUUGGAACUAGUAGACGAAUCUAUGGAUUAUUCCUUCCUCGCUAAUGAAGUUUUAAAAUGUUUACAAAUUGGUCUUUUAUGCGUUCAAGAGCACCCCGAGGAUCGUCCCCUGAUGUCGGCGGUCGUUUUGAUGCUUGGUAGUGAUGGAGCAUCACUGCGAACUCCGAAACAACCCGGUUUUGCAAGGAGGAGGGUUCCGAUUGAGAUGGAGUUUUCGUCGAGCAAGCAUGAUUCUAGAACGUUGAAUGACGUGACUAUAACCAUGAUCGGAGGCAGAUAAAAGGAACAAUUAUGCAUGUAGUUUGGCUGAAUUUCGUUUCAUGCGGAAAUGUUAUAUAUUUGAGGUUUUGAUUUCUUUCCUUUCUUUCUUUUCUUUCCCACUUUUUGCUGGUAGGAAAAUUUAUAAAUAUGUUUACAAGCAUUGGGUUAUUUUUUUUCCAUGUUGAUGAAAUACCCAAUUAGGUCAAAAACCUUGAAGUUGUGCAAUUAUUACAUACAUCAAAAGAACAACAAUUAUUUCUACCAAUAUGAGUACAAUUGAAGUAUCAAACAAAUGCUUGUACAUGAGACUAUUUUCACGGAAAGAACGUCAAGACAGUAAAAUCAAUUUCUGCAAAACUUCCAAAAAGAAAACAAAAAAGAGAAAAAAAAAAGUUGACACACACCUUUAUCUACCCUCUGCAAUAGUUACAGUAACAAUAUUUGCAGUGUAACUCUGCGACGAUGAUUCUAUAUCCGAAAAGCCCCUGCCGAUACUAAAAUUUCAGGCUUAUUCGGGUUUUUCCCUGAAAAGAACCAACAAAUAGCUAUACAAAUUUCCAUAAUUGAGUCUGCACAUUAGUCACAUCGUUCCAAGAAUUAACUACCAUGUAUACAGGGCCAAAACCACCCUAUCCAGUCUUAUUAGCAAAUGCGAAACUGUCCGUAGCAUCCAAUAUCGCCCCUAGAUCGAAUGUUGGAAGGUCGAGAUCUUCAUGAGUACUUGUUUCAUCUUCUAAGCUAUGAUCUCGUGUUGAGCCCUUUCUAACUUGAUUCUGGACCCGCGUAUCAUGUCGAAUGCAUGUCAAAUGGCGAGGCUUCUGAUAACAACACUCUGUCUCUGUGCCUUCUCUUUAUGUUGCUUAGCUUUUAGGAGCAUCAAUUAUGGAAAUUAAAAGUCAACAUGUAAAGCCGCAAUAGCAUUUUGUCCAAUAGUUUGGACUUAAUAAGUGAUUAUUACUAGCGGGUCAGAUCGUUAUAAUUAGUAUCAGACCCGAAUACCAAUUUGAAGUGUAAGAGCUAGAUACUAUGCAAGACAAAAUAUUAUGCCAACGGAUUUGGUGGGAGCCACCUUUUAAACCAGUAGGAGCCAACUCUAAAAUCUCAUAUCGCCUAGUAAUAUUUUGGUCUAUCUGUAAUUCGGAUUUGAAUAUGAUGAAGACAUCAUGAUCUAAACAGAGGAGUUUGUAAUGUCCCAAUAAUCUCACAUCGAAUGAAAAAAUAAUUUUGGUUUGAAUAUAUGAAGUCUCUAAGCUAGUAAUAAUAACUGAACUUAAAAAUUUGGGUUAGUGGUUUGGGCCCAACAAGUUAUAUAUUAUUAUUAGCGGAUCGGAUCAUCACAAUUAGUAUCAAAGACGAACAUAACCGGCAAGAAAAUCUUACAACCCGGAUAAUUCUGAUCUAUCUGUAAUCUAGCAUACAGUACAUGACCACCAUCAAAAUGCUUUUCCAAUGAAAAUUGUAGAUCCUUACAUGGCUAGCUCGCUCACUCUAUUCUCCAUGAUCUUAUGCAAGUUCUUAGAUACAAAUUAAUCAAGCCCAAAAAAAUAUAAAAAUCGUAAUUGUUGCCCGGAAAGGAUAAGGCCAUGAGUCUUAAUUAAUUGUUGGAUGGGAGUUGAUGACCCAUGAGUAUUGACUUAUACAGAUUAAUAACUUGCUCAUUUAAUUGGCCCGCUCGUAAAUUCUUCGAGCAUUUUCUUAUUAAUUAGUAUUAGGUAUAUAUACGAGAACUAGUUCAAGACAUUUUCACAUCACUGUACCGUUUCCUUUUGGUUAUUAUUGCAACCACACAUUGGGCUACUUGAAAACCCUUUUACUUUAUUUGACUUAUUUAUGAAGUUGAUAAUAAUUUGACACAAAGCUACAUACACUAAUGACAUGCCUUCAAUUAAUUGUUGGAAAUUGAUUUCCAGCAAUAUGGCAACGCUGUUACAUAUCGUUAAUUAGCUUACGGUUUAUAACCAAAUCAUUAGUAUCUCAAUAAUAAACACCGAAGUAUCUAGAAUUGUGGGUACGCAAGAUGUGAGGUAAAAAAAAAUUUAGAACUUUAUAAGAAGCUGAAAAUUUAGAUUUUGCAAAGAUACAUUCAUUUGUGAGAACGAAUGUGUUUUUAUAUCAAAGAUAAGAAUCAUCUUAAUUAUAGUGAAAAGUUUUAAAUAGUCUUAACAUUUCUGCUAGCAAGUAUAGUUGAUAUCUAAUAAAUAAUUUCUUAAUAUGAAAAGAGCUUAAAAUAAAUUUUAAUAUUAUAUUAUCUAAAAGAGUAAUCUUGCAAAUAAAUAUCAUGUAUUUUGGCACUUCAAAGGUCAUAAAUGCAUAAUAGCUACACUAACCUUCUUCCUUUUUUUAUUGGAAUCUUAUAUAGUAAACUUUUCUAGUAUACCUCUCUUAAAGGAAAAAAAAAAAAGAAAAAAGAAAAAAAAAGAGACCCAACAAAUGCCCGCGCGCCAACCCUGUAAUGCUACGAUGAAUACAUUACUCCCAUACAGCAGCAGCAGCAGCAGCAGCAGCAGCAGUAGCAGUAGCAAGCCUCUCUGCACCAUCCUAUUAUUACUUCUGCUCUCCAUCUUUUUCAUUACUGCUCGCGCGCGGGACACGAUAACUGUAGGCAGCCCGCUCGCAGAGAACGAGACGCUCGUCUCCGUGGGCGGCUACUUCGCCCUCGGCUUCUUUAACCCCCCGAACAACCCCGACCGCUACAUCGGCAUCUGGUACAACAACAUCCCACCGCAAACCGUCGUCUGGGUCGCCAACCGCCUCAAACCCGUCACCGCCUACCACUCCUUCCUCUCCCUCUCCCCCGACGGCAUCCUCACCCUCUCCUCCCCCAACUCCUCCACCCCACUCACCACCACCGCAACUACCUUAACCAACCCUGUAGCCCAACUGUUGGACACCGGUAACUUUGUCGUGCGAGAAGAAACCGACGGCAGCGAUGCUGCCGAGUGGCAGAGCUUCGACUAUCCGACGGACACGCUGAUAGCCGGGAUGAAGCUGGGCGUGGACCGGCGGCGGGGGCUGAACUGGACGCUGACAUCCUGGCGAAGCGGGUCGGACCCGGCCCCGGGCGAGUACUACCUGGCGAUGGACACGGCGGGGGACCCGGAGAUGUUCCUCUACUCUGUAGCGGGUCGGGCGCGGAUCUGGCGAUCGGGCCAGUGGGACGGUGUCGAUUUCAGCGGGCUCCCGGACAAUGUCACGUUCCGGGACCUCGUGUCCACGUUCACCAACAACGCGGACGAGGUCUCCUACAGCUUCAACAUCCUGAACCGGUCCAUCAUCACCCGGGGUGUCGUGAACCAGACCGGGGUCAUACAGCAGUCCAUGUGGAUCCAGUCGAUGCAGGUGUGGAAGAUCCUCUUUCACGUGCCGCAGGAUCCGUGCGACGAGAUGUCCCCCUGCGGGCCCUACGGGCUGUGCGAACCCAACGACUCCCCCAUGUGCAGCUGCCUGCAGGGGUUCAAGCCGCGGUCGCCGCAGAACUGGGCGCUGCUGGACGGCUCGGGCGGGUGCGUCCGCACGACGCGGCUCGACUGCGCCAACCGCACCGACGGGUUCGUCAUGGUGAGCCAAGUGAAGCUCCCGGAAGGCACGAAUUGUACGGUCGACGCGACCGCUGGGCUCGACCAGUGCGCCGCCAGGUGUUUGUCGAAUUGCUCGUGCACCGCCUACGCAGCCUCGAUUGCCAGUAGUGGGGCCCGGAGUGGGUGCGUCAUGUGGUACUCCGACCUCACCGGUAUGCGGGUCUUCCCAGGCGAGGGGCAGGAUCUGUACGUACGCUUGGCGGCGGCUGAUCUAGGUACGCACACGUACUUACUACAAAUAUACGUGCUUUUUAUUUAUUUACUUAUUUAGUAAAUUAUUUAAUUACUAGUUAAGGGAUCCGCGCGAUGCUGCGGAUUAUUAUUUUAAAAUUUAAUUUUAAAAAUUAAUUAUGAAAUUAAUUUCAGAAUUUAAAUGUUACAAUAAGUACAUCAAAAAAUUUUAGUAGGCAUAGUAGUCCCCCAUUAGUUAGUGAAAUAAUUUUAGUAGAUAUCGUAGUCCCCCAGUAAUUAGUGAAUAAGAUAAGAAAUCAUUGUUUGUGAUUCUCGCAAUUAAUUUUCGUCAAAUAUAAAAUUAACUUAAGCUGCAUUAAUUUUUUUUUUAUUUUUCAAUGUACAAUUUAUAUGUGAAUGUUCAACAGCUCAAUAUUAUAAAAUUAAUAUUUAUAUUUAAUACCAGUAGUCUAAAUUAUUUAACAUUUAUUUAGGCUAAAUUACAGAAAACCUCACUGUAAUAACCCACUUUUUCACUUUCCCUCCCUGACAUUUAAAAAUAUACACUUUGCCCCCUUAUAAAAUGAAAAAUGUGCACUUCACCUCCUACCGUUAGGGUUCCGUUAUAAAAUAUUUUUUAUGCCGAAAAUACCCCUCCGCCCUCUUCCUUGUUGCUUCGCCUCCCUCCGGCUCGCCACCUCGGCCCCGCUUCGCUGCCUCGCCGCCUCGCCGCUUCGCCAUCCUCCACUGCCUCGCCCUCGCCCUCGCCCACCAUUCCCUUCGCCUUCCUCCGCCGCCUCGCCUUCGCCUUCGUUGCCCUUGCCUACCUCUCCAUUAACACCCACCUCGAUUCCCUCUUACUAUUGUCGAAAUCGAGAGGCUGCGAGGGUGCAGGAGGAGAAGGGGAGCAGGUGGAAAAGGAAAUGGACAGAAAUCGCAGUCGAAUGAGGUGGGAAUCGCGGCCGAUCGAAGGGAUGGCUGAGGAAGAUGAGGAAGAAGACAAAAAUGGCGAGGGCAAAAUGAUCAUUUUACACACCGUAAUCCCCUGUAAACAUUUUUUAUUUUAUAAGGGGGUAAAGUGUAGGUUUUUAAAUGUCAGGAAAAAAGUGAAAAAGCGGGUUAUUACAAGAAAGUUUUUUGUAAUUUAGCCAUUUAUAUAUUUUAUAUUUUACAAAAAUAAAUAGUAAAUUAUAUAAUAAAUUAUUAUAUAAUAAUAUAUCUAUAUACAAAUAAAAUACUAUAUAUAUUAAAUAAAUAUUUUAAUAAAUAAAUAUAUAUUUAUAAUAAAUACUUAUGUAUAAUAAAUAAAUAUAUAUUUUAUUAAAUAAAUAUAUAUAUAUAUACAUUAUAUAUAUAUAUAUAUAUAUAUACUAUAUAUAUUAAUAUAUAUUAUUAUAUAUAUAAGAGAAGAGAGACGAGGAUGAACGGAGAAGGGAGGUCACCGUGGAGCUUCCCUCUCACGUGGUCACGAGGCGAAAAUUGGCCUCGUUGGACCGCGAUAAAAGCUAAAAGAGCCGUGAUUUUUUUUUUUCGGACUUCCGCUGCUCCGAGUCAAUGGGCGCUGCUGCGCCUGGCCCGCACCCCUGUGCACCCGCUGUCGCCGUAACGUGACCCGGCACGCUGACCCUGGGCUCCUAGAUCCACGUGCUCUCUGCGAAGGCGAUACAUGCUACUUGUGUGAACCCGUUAGGUUGGAGGGACAGUUGUUCGGCGGGAGUCCGACUCACCCGUGGCGCGGUUUCCCGCGGCUCAGGGGGUCUCGCUGCUGUCAAACCUAUAGCCAGCGGGCCUCUAGAUUGCCGUUUCAGAGACACGCGGGCGUUCGCGCUUUACGCGCAGCGCGAUCGAAUUUUCCUAGAUCCCUGCUCACGGCCGGUCAUGGGCGUCGGACGUCUUUUGCUCUCUCCGGCUGAAGCGAUGAUAGUCUCGCGCAUCGUAGGGUCCCUCGUCCGAUGCUUGUCGUAAUCUUUGCCUAUCUGGGUGUUAACAGUCCGUCGUGCAUGUACUUGUAAAUGUUUGGAGAAUUCGGGCGGUUAAGCUCCACUUUCGCAACUUCAUCCAAUUGAAGUGGCCGUCUACAUUUGCGCAGGCGUGUGACACUAGCUAAAUUAAGGUGCCCACAUCUGAGUGGAAGAAAUGGGGUGUGUGUAUAUGUGGUGUUUUUAUGAUGUGAGGUUCUUAUGUAAAAUUAUUAAUAGUAAUAAUAUCGCAACCUUGGUUGAAGCAUUUUUUGGGUAGUGGCUUGGACCAUCUCCUGGAAGUCAGUUGUUGUGGGAGGUCGAGCCUGUCUCGAGGUUGAUAUGUAGUUUGCUUGGUCACUUGCCCAACGAAUUAUUUGUUGCUAAGUGGGCUGGGUCGUUACAUUGGUAUCAGAGGCCGUUCACAUAGUUGGACAUGCUGUAUCGAUGUCCUGGCUGAGUCAGGGUCUAGAUACGGUGCUAGCUAGACGAACAGUCGCUACAUCGCCUGGUGAUUCUUUGGGCUGUAUGUGUGUUGGGACUGACUGAGUGAACGUCAGGCGGGGCGUGGAGUAUGAAGGGAAGAGUCUAUUGACAUCAAUAUAAUGAUCGCUACAUUCUGGAAUGGCGAGGUAAAUGGAUCUGUGCUCGCGCAAAAGUGAUUGAUUACAAUCGGGGUUGUCGGGUGUGCUUUGUCUUGAUAGGUGAGUUUAUAAUGAGACUGUUCACCUGUAGUUAUAAAGACUCGCAGCGACUCGAAUUGAUCUAUUGUGACUGUGCGAGUCCUUAAGCUUUUUGGGGCUCACCAGUCAAAGUAGUGUGGGAUAGGUUACGUAAGGAUGCGUGGUUCGGGGAUUUCGUAUAUCACGAUACCAAUAGCUCCCAUAUCGCGACGUGUAUGUGUUCUGCUAGUGGGCUGUCUGUUACACAGCUCCGUCGCCGCCGGGGCUUCCGGCCGGCCAACGCUUUAAGCAACCACUAGUCUUUGGCCAUUGGUCGUGAUAGUGAAUAAUCACGCAUUUCACACCGGAAUAGUCACUUGGAUUCGCGGAUCGGUGCUAGUUUUCAACUGUUGGAGAGUUAACAUUAGCGAACAGAUCAGUAUUCUUUUUCGGGCCCUAAAAGCAACUUUAGUCUUUGUCAUCUUGGUGCCUCGGAUGUAUUAGAUAGGUGUCGGAUGUGGCAUUUGAGAAUUUCUUCUUCUAGUGCGAUUCGCGGUACCACAGCUCGUCGGAAGGUAGUGCAUUUUAUAUAAGAUACAUAAACAAGAUACCUCAGAUAGUUUAAUAGAUUCAUAAGAUUUUAGACUUAUAGAUUUACAUAGAAUAUCUUGUUAUUUUAUAGUCCAGAUAUCUAUUAAUCUAAUGGCACUCUCUCCUUAUUUCUAUGUCAUUUUCUAUUACCAUUUGGAUAUCGUAGGGUUGCACAUCAAAGUUCAUCAGUCUCCAGAGGUAAUCGGAGCACUCAAAUCGAACCGCUAUUCUGCUCGAUAAGGCGGUUGAGUAUACCCGAUGUGAUAUUAGUUUAUUAUCGUGACUAGUGUUUUUUUUUAGUGUUUCGUUGUCUUCGAAGAAUUAUAUACUUAGAUUAGUUGAAAUUCUUUGAGCUAGGCGGGUGUUCUAUAUCCGUUAUACAGUUUAUUAUUUAAAGCGCGGUUUUGCGGCUGAAAGGUAAUUUUCGGGUGGGUAACUUGUAAUGUAAAAUAUAUUGGUUGGUAGAUCACCAUCUGCGAUUUGUGAACUCGUGUAUAUUCUUAAAUUUUUGUAAUUGUGUGACUAUUGGAAUCUUUAGAAAUACCUAAUUUUGCAUAGUUAUGUUAUCGGUCUCUCAUAUUCUUAUAGCAAGAAAGAGAGCAUAUUUCUUGAAAUCUUGAUUUCUGAUCCGUACGCGUUAACAAAUAAUGGCGCAAUAGCUUCAAUUGCUGGUUUAUAUGUUACGUAAAAGCUAUUCAAUUUAUUCAUGAGUAGUGAGUUUUGUUUAUUUUUUAAUUUCUAAUAUACUUGUGUAAGAAGUUAAAUGUGUUAAUUUUAAAUUUUCAAUUUUCUAUCUCCUAUUCGAAUUUUUAAUUGUUCUAAAUCUAAUAAAAUCUUUAGAAAUUGAAUAAAUUAAUAAACGAUUUCAACAUGUUAGAAAUGUUUAAUACAAUUUCUAUCAACUAUUUUCACAUUUCAAUGUCUAAAUUUUUCAGAUUUUAGUAAUAGUUUAAGAAUCUAAGAAGUUAUGUGGAUAUAAGUUGCAGAGAUAAGAUGAUUUUUCAUAUUAGUUAUGAAAGUGUUUAUGUGAGUUUUUAAAUUUAAAUGCUAUCAAAUUAUAUAUAAAAUUUUGGUUAACCAUUACUUGUAAGUGAAUAUGUAUGAAUUUUUUAAUCUAAAUUGUAAAUUUUAAAUUUUAAAAUUUAAAUUUUAAAUAUUUCAAUUUCUUUAAAGUUGUGUAGAAAGUUUAAAGUAGUAUUCAAAGAUUUUUAUACGUAUUUAACUAUUUAAAAUUUCUCAAUUAAAUAUAUUUAUAAAUGUAAAAUUUAAAAUUUUAAAAUUUAAAUUUUUGUAGAUUUAAAAUUUUAAAUCCGGCAGCAGAAUCUCGAAUUCCAUAUAUUUUAAUAUUAAAGUGAAAUAUUGUGUUCUAUAUUUAAUUUUUCAUAAUUAUUUAUAUUUUUACUUUAAAUUUUAAAUUGGUAAUUUUUUUAAAUUUCAAGUUGUCUAAUUGUUUAGAUAUUUACUAUUUGAGUUUUUUCUAAUAAAUUUUACCUUAGAAGUUUAAGAAGGUUUGCAGGAUUUAUAACUUUGAUAUUUCCGAAUUAAAAAUUAGUGUUGGUUUAUAAUAAUUAAGAAACAUUUAAAAUUCAGAUAAAUUUAAUAAUUUGAAUUUUAGUUUAAAUUUAAUAUGUAAAUAUUUAAAUUUUUAAUUUAAAAUAUAUAAUUUUUAAUCCUCAAAUUGUAAUUUUUAAAUUUUAAAAUUUAAAUUUUAAAUAUUAAAUUUAAAUUUUAAUUUAAUAUAUUCAAAUUUUAAAUUUAAUAUUUUAAAAUUUUAAUUAUUUAAAUGUUAAAAUUUAACAUUAUUUUUAAAUUUUGAAAUUAAAUUUAAAUAUAUUUUAAGUUAAUAUUUUAUUUUAAAUUCAUAAUUAUUUAUAUUUUUACAUUUAAAUUUUAAAUUUUAAUUUUAAAUUCAAAUUUUAAAUUUAGAUUUUAAAUUUUAAUUUUUAAAUUCUAAAAUUUAAAGUUUGAAUUUAAAUUUAAAUUUAUAUUUUUAUAUAUUAAAAUUUUAUAUUUUAAAAUUCAUAAUUAUAUAUAUUUUUAAAUUUAUAUUUAUAUUUUUAAAUUUUAAAUUUCAUAAUUAUUUUAAAUUUUAAAUUUUUAAAAUUUUUAAUUAUUUUUUAAAUUAAAAAUCAAAUUUUAAAUUUUGUACAAUUUUGAAAUUUAAAUAUUUUAAUUUUAAUUCACAUUUAAAUUUAGAUUUUAAAUUAUUUUAAAAUAAAAAUUAAUAAAAAUAUUAAUUUAUGUAAAUAUUAAAAAUAAAAUUACCAAACAGCUUUUUGAAAUCUUUUCAGGAAAAUCACUUUUAUCUAAACUCUACCAAACGCUCUAUAGCCUUUAACCAAAAUUACUUCUCCAAACCAAAUUCACUUUUUCAGAAAUUAUUUUUUCAAAAGCUAGGCUAAACAGACCCUAAUUAAGAAAUCUAAAAGCUAUUUAUCAUGUAACUAACUUUGAGAGUAUUAAAACAAAAAUUUAAGGUUAGUUACUAAAUUUUUCUCCUUAAGCAAAAUAGUUUGGAGUGGAACAUAUGAUGUUCAAUAGAAGCCAAAAAAUUAACAAAAGUGGUAAAUUUUUUUUAAAAAAGCAGCAAAUGGGUAAUGCCGGCAACCGUCUCUUCUGUAAUUGGCUUGGAAUGUAGCAUCGGCGCCUACUUAUUAGACAAUCGUGCACGUCUUCGCUAACCAUUAAUUUCCAAGAUUCGUUAAGGUUUAUAACGAUUUCUUGUGUAAUGACUUGACCAGUAGCAAUAAUAAUUUGUUCGGCUCAAAUUACUGGUCCAAAAUACUUAAACUCAGUUAUUAUUAUUAGUGUUCAGAUCUCUUAUAUAUUCAAUUAUAAUUCUAUUUUCAUCAUAUAUGUAGAACUGUUGGGUGUCAUAGAGGAAUGGAAUUAUGAUUGGAUAUAUAAAAGAUCUGGACACUAAUAACAACUAGGUUUAAGUAUUUUAAGUCGGUGAUUUGAGCUCAACGAUUUAUUAUUACUAGUGGGUCGGAUCGUUACAUUUCGUAUUAGAGUCAAUCACUAACCGAAAAUGUAAAAUGAAUCUUGGCCGAGGUAGAAUCAGAAUGACAGACUAAGCCAAGAUCAGAAUGAUAAGGUGACAAACUAAGCAAAGAUCGAAAUGAUAAGUUUAGCGAGACAAAUCUCAUAUCGCCUAACGAUCUUGGAUUGUGUGUGUCAUUGAGUUGAGAGAAUGUUAUGGUCUAAACGGAGGAAAUCUGUGAUACUCUAAUAAUUUCACAUCGGAUAAAAAUAAAAUUAUUAUUGGAUAUAUAAGAGACCUGGAUACUAAUAAUAAUAACUUGGUUUAAUCAUUUUGGGCCUGUGGUUUGGAUCCAACGAUUUAGUAUUACUAAUGGGUCGGAUUGUUACAUUUGGAAUAAAAACUCUGCCUGUCGUACCGAAAAGUUGUUGAUACUGUUCAAUGUGAACCAAAAUGUGCCUUUAUUUAGCUGCACUAUCAAGCUGGAAAUAUUCUCAUAGGUUGAUAAAAUGGUUUUGGGUCCUCUAUGGCCUUAAUAUAUGAAUUGUGUGGGUUUUUGUCCAGGUGGCAGCACAAGGUUGAGGGCAUAUUUUUGUUUCACUAAAACGGAACUUUGGGUUGAAGUGACGUUCAGUGAAAACUAUUUCUUCUCUGUUGUUUGUUUCGUAAUUAUGGAAGUGAAGUUUUAUUAAUUCUGCUGUUUGUUUGGUAAAAAGUGUAUGAUGUAUAAUGAAUAAUUUAAUAAAUAAAAAUAAUAUAAUUAUAUUUUUUUUAUAUAAUUAAAAUUUAAUUUACAACAACUAAAUUAUUUUUUUAUACAUAAAUUAUAGUAAUGCAACAAUAAAAUUAUAAAUUCUUAAUUAAUCAAUUUUUAUCAUAUUUUAAUUGUACAAACUAAAUAAAAAAAAUUAAAACUUAACUAAUCAAUUUUUAUCAUAUUUUAAAUAUGCCAAAUGAAUAAAAAAAAUAAUUAGUACUAUAAUUAAAUAUAUUUAAAUAUAACUAUUUUUAUCUAGUAUAUUAUUUAUUAUUUUUUUUCACCUUUCGUUACUGUAAUUGACUUCGGCCCAUACGCCAUUUCAGGUUAACUGAAGUUUCGACCGCAAUUUUUUUGCGGCGAAACAAACAACGAAAGUGAUCGUUUAUGAUGAAAACGACUUACCCCCUCUCCCCUUCCACCUCACUUCCACCCAAACAAACAUGCCCUGAGUGGAGGGGUGGGGUGGGGUGGGGUGGGCUUUUUCUUCUUUUUUUUUUCAACCUGAUUUUUUUUUUCGACGAACAAGAAAAAAAUAUAUAAUUUUUUUUAAAUUAUUCAUUAAAAAUUAUGAAGUUCAUUGUCAUAUGGAUAUUAGAUUUUAUAUUUCAAGAUAAUUCGGUAAGGUAGUUAAAUUAUUUUUUCAACUAUUAGCCAAUUCAUUUUUUUAUAAAAAAAUCAUUAACUAAAAAUCAUCAUAAUAUGCACAAAACAUAAUAAUAAAAAUUUUUAAUUUUUUUGGUGAAUAAUUAAUUGUACUCUAAUCAUUGUAGCAAAUAAAUUAUAAUUUUUAUACUGAAAACUCAAAAAGAAUUGCUAAACCUUAGGGUGUUCAAUAUUUUAUUUUUGUUGAAUAAUAUUUUGGUUUCUUCUUUCUACUAAAAACUCAAAAGAAUUAUCUAAGCUUUAGAAUGUGGCUUAUAGUAUAAUAAAUUAUUUUAAAAUUUUGUAUUAUAUGUAUUAUAUCAUAUUAUAUUUUACACUAUUAAGCUUUAUAGGUCAGAUAUAUUUAAUAAAAUUUUGAUAUUAGAAUAUUAGUUAUCUAAUAUAAGUUGUGGUAUAUAGAAUAUUAAUGUCCACCAAGUGUAUAUAAUAGUUUUUUUCUUUCUCCAAUCAAUUUUAACAUGAUAAAGACAUCUCACAUAUUCUUCAACUUCAACUUUAACUUUUUAGCUAAAAAUUUAUUUAUAGAAUAGCUAUCAAAACUAUUAAGCUUGAUUGACUUUUUUUAAAUAAAAUUAUUACAUAAUUUUACUCUGCAAAUAAUGAAAGUUAAGGAAGUAUUAAUAACAAUUAUUCUUUAUAAUGUAUAUAUAAGAAUACUAUACUUUUUUUUUGCAUAUUUUUUUAACUAUAAUUUUUUUUAAUUUUAAAAUUNUAUUUUACACUAUUAAACUUUAUAGGUCAGAUAUAUUUAAUAAAAUUUUGAUAUUAGAAUAUUAGUUAUCUAAUAUAAGUUGCGGUAUAUAGAAUAUUAAUGUCCACCAAGUGUAUAUAAUAGUUUUUUUCUUUCUCUUUGCAUAUUUUUUUAACUAUAAUUUUUUUUAAUUUUAAAAUUUAAAUAACUAUAUAUUUUAAUCGGUUGAAAUACUAUCUAUCCACAGCGAAGCGCGGAUUCUACACUAGUAUAUAAUGAUAGGAUUGGAUGUGUAGGAUUGUUAAAAUUAUCCUGCUUUUUCUGUUUUUAAGAAUAUUAGUAGUCUAGUUUUUUUGUCAAAAUAAUUCCGAUAGCUUUGCAUUGAAGCUAGAAGAAGAAACUAAUGCAGUAGGUAAAGAGAAAAAUCCUCAAUGAGAAAUGUAGCUAAAGCAAGUACACCUAUGUUUAAUGGGAGAGUGGUUUGGUUAGGGGAUAGGAAUAGGAAUAGACCCUUAUCCCCUCUUUAUACCCAAACACUAAUUUUUUACCUGAGAAUAGUAGUUCUCGGUUAUUCCCACCAACACCUCCAUUUUCUAUAUAAAAUUAUCUAAAAUUGUUCUUAUUUUCGGAAACAACCCAAUUUUCAUCCAAACACUAUUUUUCUUAUCUCCAUACUUGUAUCUAUCCCUGUAAUAAUUAGUUCUUGCUUAUACCCGAACCAAACGGUACCUAUAGUGUAUUUCCAUCUUAUUCCAUGGACUUGGUUAAUGGUUACCAUCCGCAAUAUUAAUUAGGCAGACUAUAGGGAUGUUUGGGCUAUCCACUUUUGUGUUCAGAUCAAUUCGAGAAAUUCGCAUAAUGUUUGAUGGAAUAGCAAGUUGUCUCCAUAUUUUCUCUCUACUGAUCACUGCCUCAACGAUGUUUGGACUGUGGCAUCUAAUAGUUCAUUUCAGUUUCUCGCUUAAGCCAAAAGGUGUUGUUGGGCAUUUUGUACACAAUACAUCUAGAUUCACCAGCAGGUAAGCUAAUCCAGCAGCUGGCCAGACAAAAUAUAUAGCACCUCAAACAAGAUAUGGUUUUCCUUUGAUUAAUUGGAAUAUAUCUUUGCUUAAAUGAGAAGAUAUGGUACUAAAUUAGGGAUGUCUACAGCUUCAGCUACAAGCCACUCUAGCAAGAGUGAUCAUGCACCCAUUGCACUCAUUGUAAGCCUUUCUGUAGUGGCAUUCCCACUAGCAUGUGCUGGUUGCUAUAUUUGGAGGAGGAAACUUAGGAAAUCAGGUAAUAAAACUACUAAUUCAGUACGCUUUGUUUGAAAAGCCCAAAUGAAUGUAAAUGGAAAUUGUAAGACAAUUAUUAACGGAUUGAACAUACAAGCCCAGGCACGUCAGCGAGCAAAGAGGAAAGUACUCAAGAUGGUGAUAUAGAGUUGCCAUUAUUUGAUUUGAGCGCUAUCGCUGUUGCAACGGAGGGGUUCUCUAACGCAAAUAAACUUGGACAAGGUGGCUUUGGACCAGUUUACAAGGUUAGUUUUUAACCUUUCAUCUUGCAUAAAAGAAUCAAACUUCUUAUACCAUUGUCUAGAUGCUUGCUUUAAACCAUAUAAUUCUUUUUUUAAUUUACAUACUAAAUUAGGAUUAGCUUCUAUAAAGCCUUCGGGUUGAAACAUAUAAUUUCUUCAUCCAAAUUACCAUGCAAGAAAGCGGUUUUAAUAUCAAGUUGCUCAAGCUCAAAAUCCAAAUUAGCAACCAAGGAUAAAACAACUCUAAUUGAGCAAUGCUUAACAACGGGAGCAAAUAUUUCAUUGAAAUCAAUACUUUGCUUUUGUCCAUAGCCCUUAACAACAAGCCUUGCCUUAUAUCUCUUGGAUCCAUCGGCUUCAUUCUUGAUCACAUAAACCCAUCGAUUUUUCAAUGCUUUCUUUCCGACCGGAAGCUCCACCAACUCCCAAGUAUGGUUUUGAUGUAAGGAAUCCAUCUCAUCCUCCAUUGCCCUUUGCCACUUUGCUUUUUCGAAGCAAUCUUUUGCUUCCUGAAAACACUCGGGCUCACACAAAUCAGUAAAUAAAGCAUAAUAUAAAGAAGGAGAAUAUCUUUGGGUGGGUUAAUGUAGCCUAGUUGAUCUUCUCAAAUCAUGUGCCGGCGGGGUAGACAUAUCGUUCUCACUCUCAUGAGAAUCAUGCCGACUUUCACUAGAUUGUGUACUUUCUUCAUGAUCAACAUUAUCAUCAUGACCAACAUCACUAUCAUGAAGUGGAGGAUGAACUUCAUGUAUAUCUUGAGAAGAACCAUCAACUUGUACAUCAACAACAAGUUUAUCUUUCUUUUGCUCUUCUUCCGUGCCUUCUUUAAACAUUACAUCUUCUCUAAACACAACAUCCCGGCUCCGAAUAAUUUUUCUAACAACGGGAUCCCAAAGUCUAUAACCCAACUCAUCAUCUUCAUAGCCAAGAAAUACACAUUUCCUUGCUUUCACAUCAAGCUUUGUUCUACUUUCUUUCGGAAUAUGAACAUAAGCUUCACACUCAAAUAUUCUUAAGUGCCCAUAGGAAAUGUCUUUGCCACUCCACAUAAUUUCUAGAAUGUCUCCAUCUAAUGCAACACUAGAUGAUCUAUUAAUCAAGUAAACGGCCAUAUUUGCCGCUUCGGCCCAAAAGGACUUUGUUAGGCCGGAGUGCGACAACAUACUUCGAAUCCGUUCCACAAUUAUUCGGUUCAUUCUUUCAAUGAUCCCAUUUUGUUGUGGUGUGUAGGGAACCGUCUUCACUCUUUUGAUGCCAUUCUCAAAACAAAAAUCAUCAAAGGCACUAGAGCAAAAUUCACGACCAUUGUCAGUUUGCAAGCACUUAAUAAAAUGGUCACUUUCCUUUUCAACACGGGCUUUGAAUUUCUUAAAAGUUUCAAAAACUUGAUCUUUUGAAGCCAAAGGAUAAAUCCAACACUUUCUAGAAUAAUCAUCUAAGAAAGUAACAAAGUAGUAUGCACCUCCAAGAGACUUAAUAUUGAAAGGACCGCAAACAUCGGAAUAAACCAAUUCCAAUUGCUUGACCUUUCUAUGCAUCUCAUUUCUUUUAAAGUUAACUCUAUAUUGUUUUCCCAUAAUACAAUAUUCACAAAAAUCAAAAAAUGAAUGCUCAAAGGAAAGAAUAAGUUUAUGUUCUUGUAAUACCUUCAUACCAUGCUCACUUAGAUGACCAAGCCGAUUAUGCCAAACUUGCAUAUUUUCGCCUUUGCUUGCGGUAGUAACCAUCAAAUUUGAAUCAUCACCCUUUUGAGCGGUUCCAUGAAGUGUAUAAAGACUUUCAUCCUUUUGCCCUUUCAAAAUAGUCAUGCUACCCCUUGAUACCUUCCAAGAGCCCUUUCCGAAAGUGAUAACAAAACCGGAAUCAUCCAAUUGUUCCGCCGAUAUUAAGUUCUUUGUGAUCUCCGGAACAUGACACACAUUUGUCAAUGUAUGCUUUUGACCAUUUGUUUGCUUUAUGACAAUGUCACCCAUGCCAAUAAUUUUACAUGCCCGAUCAUUACCAAGAUAAACAAAUUCACUAUCUACUUUUUUGUAUGUAGAAAAAUAUGAUCGAUCUCGACAUAUAUGAAAAGAAGCACCGGAAUCCAAAACCCAAGUGUUUGCACAAGAAGAGACCGUGCAAGCAACAUUUAAUGUGACUCCACUUUCACCAUCCGAAGCAUUGUUAGCUUCAUUCAUGACAUCCUUACCUUUACCUUUUUGCUUAUUUUUCAAAGCAUAACAAUCCUUUCUCACAUAAUCCGUCUUCUUGCAAUACCAACAAGUAAGCUUUCUACCAUGUGAUUUUGAUCUUCCUUUACUUUGAGAUCUUCCCUUUGUGUUGGAAUAUUGGCCUCGCUUCGGUGACCUUUCUCUUUCAUCAAUAGUUAGUGCUUGACUCAAAUCACUAGACAAUUGAUUUGUGGCUUUGCGAGUUUCCUCAUUCAACAAUGAAGCAACAAUAUCAUUCAACUUGAAUUUGUUCUCCAUUGUGUUUGCCACCAUAGAAACAAGAGUAUCCCAACUUGAAGGUAAAGAACUCAAAAGUAGUAAACAAAGGACUUCUUCAUCAAGGUUAAUUUUGAGAGACUUCAAUUGUGCCGCAAUAGAGUUGAACUCACUCACAUACUUACGAAUAGUAGAACCUUCUUACAUCUUCAAGAGAAAGAGUCUCUUUAUUGCAUGCAUCUUGAUCACACCAGAAGGUUGCUCAAACGAUUGCUCCAAAGUCUCCCACAAUUCGGAUGUUGUCUUGCAUUGAUAGACAUCAAAUAAGAUCGAUGAUGAAAUGCAUGGUCUAAUCGCCGCCAAACAUUUUCGGUCAAGUAUAUCCCAUUCAUGAUUAUCCAUACUAGUGGGCUUUGCACCUUUUCCCAAUAUUGGUAAAUCAAGCUCUUUUGCAACCAAAUAAUCCUCUAUCCCGAUUUUCCAUACAAGCCAAUUGCUCUCAUUCAACUUCUCAAAUUCCAUAACUUUCUCCAUUUGAAAGAUGAGUGAAUAAAUACAAAUGAAUGCUUAGAUAACCACCAAUCAAGCUCUGAUACCAAUUGUUGUUAAAUAAAGGUGAAAAAUAUGGAUGACAAUUUCACAAAUACUUGGUGGGCAAUUUCACAACCCACUCUCUUUAAGCAUCAAAUGGAGAGCCAAGCACAAGAGCAAUAACAAAAAUAAAAACCACAAGAACACAAGGAUUUAUAUGGUUCGACUAUGCCUACAUCCACGGGAGAACAAUGCAAAAGAAGCUUCCACUAUAAACUUGAAUAUUAUAAGAGAGAUUCAAAUGGGAGAAAUAUCACCUUAACUCCAAGGUAUAAAAGAGAGCUCCAACAAUCUUUAGCUCUAUUCAAAUGGUGUAAAUCACACCUCACAAGGAAGAUCUCACAUCCUUUUUGAUAGAACCAAGAUCAAAACCAAGCCUAGGAUUUUCUCUCUUUUCUCCCACUUUUUUUCUCACUCUCUUAUUCUCUCUCUUUUCUCUCAUAUUCUAAUAUCCCACUUUAGCUCUCUAAGAGAAGAGGCUAACAAUAUGGGCCUUUGGAUCAAAAGAACCAUGAUCCAAAGACUUACAAAUAGGGGCCCACAUAUAUGAUAAGAAAAUAUAGAAAGAGGAGAUUUUGACUUCACCAAAUUACAUAGCCCAAAUAGUAAAGCCCAAAUAGAAGUAGGCCCAAUGUAAUUAGCUCAACACUAGUCUUACAUGAUCUAUUUGAAUUAUUUAUGUCGUGAUUGACUAUCAGGGUAAGCUUGGCGACGGACAAGAAAUAGCUGUGAAAACGCUUGCAAAAACUUCAGCGCAAGGCUCCGAUGAGUUCAAGAAUGAGGUCAUGCUAAUAGCAAAACUUCAGCAUAGGAAUCUUGUUAGGCUACUUGGUUGCUGCAUUCAAGGAGAGGAGAGGAUGCUUAUAUAUGAAUACAUGGAAAACAAAAGCUUGGAUAGAUUUUUGUUCGGUUAGUCUACGCCAUUCAUUCUAAAUGCCUUCUUACUUUGUUUCUACACUAUAAUUUUGACAAUGUAACAAUUUAGUGAAAAGUUAACAGUUUGAGAAUUUUCACAGAUAAAGCUUACAGCGCAUUAGUAAAUUGGCAAACGCGGUACCGGAUAAUCGAGGGGAUUGCUCGAGGGCUUGUUUACCUUCACCAAGACUCAAGAUUUAGAGUCAUUCAUAGAGAUUUAAAGGCUGGUAAUAUUCUUCUUGAUAAGGAGAUGAACCCUAAAAUCUCAGACUUUGGCAUGGCACGAAUUUUUGGCGGUGACGAGACCGAAGUCAAUACAAGAAAAGUAGUUGGUACCUAGUAAGUAUAUAUGCUCGAUCACAUAUAUAUAAAACAAUAUACUCUUGAUUAAGAGUUCAUAAUCCUUACUGAUUGUGUUUCAUUUUGUAGUGGAUAUAUGUCUCCAGAAUACGCAAUGGAUGGAAUUUUUUCGGUAAAAUCCGACGUAUUCAGUUUUGGGGUUUUAGUGUUAGAAAUUAUUAGUGGAAGGAGGAACAGAGGAGCAUAUGUUGAUUCCUCACACCUUAAUCUUCUUGCUCAUGUAAGUAUGUUUAAACUCAAACAAUUUAUAUUUUAACUGCUACAUUUUCUCAAACUUUUUGGAUUUAUAUGUAUAUACUUUUCGCAGGCAUGGAGUUUAUGGAAUGAGGGGAAGAGUUUGGAACUAGUAGACGAAUCUAUGGAUUAUUCCUUCCUCGCUAAUGAAGUUUUGAAAUGUGUACAAAUUGGCCUUUUAUGUGUUCAAGAGCACCCCAAGGAUCGUCCCCUGAUGUCGGCGGUCGUUUCGAUGCUUGGUAGUGAUGGAGCAUCACUGCGAACUCCGAAACAACCCGGUUUUGUAAGGAGGAUGAUUCCGACUGAGACGGAGUCGUCGUCGAGCAAGCAAGAUUCUAGCAUGUUGAAUGACGUAACUAUAACCAUGAUCGAAGGUCGGUAAAAGGAACGAUUAUACAUGUAGUUUGGCUAAAUUUCGUUUCAUAAGGAAAUGUUAUAUAUUUGAGAUUUCGUUAGGAUUUAGUUAGAUUUGUAGUUUAAUCCUAGUUGAAUUAGGAUUAAUAUUUAAAUAUAAAUUAAGAUUUAAAUAUUAAUUAGAGUAAAAUCUAAUUGGACUAGAAUUUGGGUAGCUUUUAAUGUAAGCUAUAAAUAUAGUAUAGGUGCUAUUAUUCUGAUGGCGGUUAACCACACCCAUAUGGCAUGGUCAAGAUGGUCAUGAUUUUAAAUAACCUGUGUAGUUUUCGUGACCAAUACCUCGUGCAUGGAUGCAUAGGAUGAGAGAGAGGUUUUCUGGAUUUAUAGAAGACGAGAAAAGGGUGAGAGGGAUAGAAGAGGAGUUGUAAUCGUCUCUUCUCUUAUUUAGUAAAUCUUAUUUUACCAGCAUAUUUUCUAUUUGGUUUCUCUCUCUUGUGAUUGUAUUAGCUUUUACUGAUAAGACGGAUUUAUAAUAAAAAUUUGAUUUGAGGCUUCCGUUACGGAAUCCCAAUAAUUGGUACCAAAUUAACAACAGUCGGUAUCAGAGUGAAUUGCGGAUUCUCAAAAUUUGGUAUCAGAAGGAGUAUCAUAUUCCUAACAGGCUUUGAUUUCUUUCUUUUUUUUCUUUUCUUUCCCACUUUUUGCUGGUAGGAAAAUUUAUAAAUAUGUUUACUAGCAUUGGGUUAUAUUUUUUCCAUGUUGAUGAAAUAGGCAAUUAGCUCGAAAACCUUUUGAGUUGUGCAAUUACUACAUACAUCAAAAGAACUUUAAUUCUUUCCACCAAUAUCAUGAGUACAAUUGAAGUAUCAAACAAAUUCUUGUGCAUGAGAUUAUAUUCACGGAAAGAACGUCAGAACAGUAAAAUCAAUUUCCGCAAAACCUCCAAAAAGAAAACAAAAAAGAGAAAAAAAAGUUGAUACACAUCUUUAUCUACCCUCUACAAUAGUUACAGUAACAAUAUUUGCAGUGUGGCUCUGCGACGAUGAUUCUAUAUCCGAAAAGCCCCUGCCGAUACUAAAUGCAGGCUCAUUCGGGAAUGGCAUUGAUGCAGUCUCACUACCUAGCAUCAUGGUGACUGAGGACAUCAUCGGCCUGUGUCUCGGUUGCUCCUGAACACAUAACAGUGCUACUUGUAUGCACCUCUCGACUUCGCAGGCUGCGCAUGAUGUAACUUUCGGGUCUAGGAAUUCUAAGCUCUUUCCUUCCUUCCAUAAUCUCCAAGCCUGCAAUAUGUAUAAAAGGUUCAUUUCCGUCGCUCAUUGCAAUGAGAAACCAAGUUAUAUGAAUUCUGAAAUUCCAAAUGUUAUACUUGAGAAAAAAGUUUGGACAUUAAUUUCAUUUGUGGCAUAGGGUACUCUUUCAUGAUGAAGCUUCAAUUUGUUCGCAUUGCUAGCUAUGGUGAAGAUGUGACAAGCGCGUGGUUCGUAGAAAACAUUAAGGUAAGGAUAUGUGGAUUUAAUUGUCACCUUCUCAACUAUGAGUCUUUGACAGAACUUUAACUGUAAAUCCUGAGGGUCAACUAGAGCAGUAGCUACACAUGGGACAAGAAAUUUUCAAAUUUUAUCAUACUUACAUAUCUGAGGAGGUUUAAAUCGAGCUCUGAAUGGUAAAAUCCGCGAUUUCUCUUGCCGCUGACAAUUUCUAGCACCAACACACCAAAGCUGAAUACAUCGGAUUUUAUGGAGAAAACACCAUCCAUCGCGUACUCAGGAGACAUAUAACCGCUGCAGCCGCCAAGAAAGAACAUAAAGGUUAAGCGUAGUAGAAGUCUUAAUCUUCUUUGUGAAGAUUAACACCAGAUCUUUAAUAGAAAUAUUUGAGAAUGAUUACUUACUACGUCCCGACUACCUUCCUGGUGUACGCAUCGGUUUGAUCGGCUCCAAAUAUUCUCGCAAUUCCGAAGUCCGAUAUUUUCGGUGUCAUCUCUCUAUCUAGCAAUAUAUUGCUCGCUUUUAGAUCCCUGUGUAUUAUUCUGAAUCUUGAAUCUUGAUGAAGAUACAGUAAUCCCCGCGCUAUCCCCAAAAUUAUCUCAAAGCGCUUUUCCCAGCUCAAUUGCGCGCGCUUUUCUUCAUCUGCUUAGUGUAUCAUGUCAAGUUGUUAGAAUAUAUCAUGAACAGGUCAUUGUAGAUUACAAUAUGAAUAGUGGAAGUAUUUGAAGUUUGAACCAUGAAAUUUAUAAAACAUAAAAUUGUUCUAGUUUAAGUUUCAUGAAAACAAGGGCCUAAGUCGACCAAUUUAUGCAAUUAUAUAUAAUUUGCACUAAUAGUAUGCUAUUAGAUAAGUCUAAUUUGUAUGAAACAUCAAGUUCAGGAACAUACCGAAUAUAAAGGUGUUUAAGCUUCGAUUGUGCAUGAAUUCGUAGAUCAACAUCCUCUCUUCUCCAUGAAUGCAGCAACCCAAAAGGCGCACGAGAUUUCGAUGCUGAAGCUUAGCAAUCAACUUGACCUCAUUUUUGAACUCGUCAAUGCCCUGCGACGAUCUCCUCGAGAGCCUUUUUACAGCUAUAUCCUGUCCAUCUUCAAGCUUUCCCUGAAAAAAACCAACACAUAGUUAUAAAAAUUUCCAUAAUUAUCUCCGCGCACUUUGUAUCUUAACCAUAAUUGAAUCUGCACAUCAAUCACAUUGCUCCAAGGAUUAAUUACCAUGUAAACAGGGCCGAAUCCGCCCUCUCCAAUCUUAUUAGCCAAUGCGAAACUGUCCGUAGCAUCCAAUAUCACCCCUAGAUCGAAUGUUGGAAGGUCGAGAUCUUCGUGAGUACUUGUUUCAUCUUCUAAGCUAUGAUCUUGUGUUGAGUCCUUCCCAACUUGAUUCUUGACUCUGACAGAAAUAGGCCUGUUUCCAACAUUUGGCGGAAACGAUACUAUUUCGCUUUGAUUCUUCGCCUUCUUCUUUUUCCAGAUAAAAAAUCCACAAGCUCCUAAUAGAAGCACCCCGGAAAUCGUCGGAAGGAUAAUUGCAAGUUUGUUGUUGUUGGAGUCCCCACCACUGGAAGUUGCGUUCAGAUUAGCUGAAACAAAUUGAGUCAGUUAGUUUUUCUAAUCAAUGGAGUCAAAACUUAGCUAAUUACAUAAUACAUGUCGAAAGAAGUUUUAAAUUGAGGAUAUCACAUUUUAAUAUACUAGGUAGUAACAAUCUCCAAAGUUGGUGUUCACAUAUUUUAAUGUUGGUAUUAUAUUAUUAUGAUGUCUCUAACGUGAUAUUCCACCUAACGCUCUGCAUUGCUGAAUUCAAAUACAGUGGAUAUGUACCAUCCAACGGAUAACAUUAUUAAAGUAGUAUAUUAUACAUUAAGAUAAUUUGGCAUGUCAUGAAUGAUUACUACUUAACUAAUAUUCUUUGUAAUUGGUGACUACUCUUAAAAGUUAAAAUUAGCCAAUGGAGAAUGGUCAAGCUAUUGGAAUAAAUUGAGAAAGGAUACAACUUUGAAUGAGUCAAAAAACAAGGCUACCACUUUUUCACAAGGGAGUAUCCUCUUUCACAUUUUCAUUCUAUGCCGGUUCGCCAUUAAAGUAUCAUUAGAUGAUUCCAUUGCUUAAUGAUAGAUGAUCAAAAUGGACAAAAAUGCAAGAACAGAAAAGAAAGAACAUUUAGCUAACUUUAUGUGACAAAUCGACAAUUCGAUCGAAUGAAUUUCAGGGAACGAAUUGCUUACGAAUAUCAGCCGCCGCGAGCCGGACGUAAAGAUUUUGCCCGAAUUGAUCAAACUGUCGCAUGUCGAACAAAUCGUCGGUCCAAAUUAUGCACCCACUUCCUCCCCCACUGACAUUUGCAGUAGCAUAAGCCUUGCAGGAGCAAUUCUGCAGGCAACUCUGCUUGCACUCCUCAAGACUCAAGCUCAUGUUCACCGUCGCAUUCGUCGACUCCGGCAGCUUCACAUUCUGAUACGGCAGAAACCCGUCCCCAGCGCAGCUCAACUGAGUCUUCCUCACGCACCCUCCUGACCCGUCCCUCAGAUUCCACUCCUGCGGGAACCUCGGCUCGAACCCGGGCAAACAGUUGCAGAUCGGCGAGUCGUCCACAUUGCAUACGCCGUACGGACCGCAGGCCCGAUAGUCGUCGCAAUCGUCCUUCGGGUCAGACCAGAACACACUCCAGCUUUGUGUUGAAUUGAUCCACACAUACCGCUGCAACAGCCCGGAAGAGUUCAUCACGAACCGCGAAAUGAUUGAGCUGUUCUCGAUCUCAUACGUGUAGUAGGCCUCAUCUGGGUUGGACACAAACAGAAACUUGAGCAUAUCAUUCGACUUGAGGUCGGGAACUCCGGUGAACUCCUCGCCGUUCCACGGGCCACUCGCGUAAAUCCUCGUGGACCACUGAUACAAGUAGAACUCCGGCACGCCGCGAGGAUCCAUCUUGAAUGAGUACUCUCCUGGAGAAGGAUCAUUUGUGUUCAACCACGAGUUUAUGUACCGAUUCAACCCGGUUUUGAAUUUGUAACCGAGCUUCAUUCCUGCAAACAACGUGUCCGUCGGGUGGUCGAAACUUUGCCAUACAAUCUCCUCCGUAGCAUUACUACUUGAUUCUCCUCUCAAUACAAGAUUUCCCGAGUCUAAGAGCUGAGCUGUUGGAUUGGUUAUAUUCGAUGAUCCCGAGCUGGAAUUCCAAACCACGUUGCCGAGCCGAUCGGCCAGGAAAAGAACGCCGGUCGGGUCGAGAGUGAGGACUCCGGUCGAGUUCACGAUCGGGUUCGCGCGGUUUGCGACCCACACAACGGUUUGUACCGGGAUGUUAUUGUACCACAUGCCUAAGAAAGUGUUGGAAGAGCCGGGUGGAGUGAAGAAGCCGAGCUUGUAGGCUCCGCCGGCCGAGACCAGCGUCUGGUUCGCGGCGAUUGACGUGGCCGGAGUUAGCGAAUCCGCGGCAAUCGAGGGAGAGAUGAAGAAGAUGAGAAGAGGAAGCAAAAAAUGGAGGAGAAGUGGGCAUGGCCGUGUCCUCAUAGCUCUCAAGCUAUGUUUUCACAUUGAGCACGCAUUAACAUGGCCUCUGAGAUGUUUGUGAAAUAACAGGACUCAUUUAAAUGUCAAAGCCACGUGAGGAGAAAUGUUUUUUUUUUUUGAGAAAUAAGUAACUCGCUACCCACUUCAUUCACGUGAGGAGAAAUGUUAAUUGGAAAGUAUUUGUUAUGAUGUAAAUAAAUAAAGAUUUUUUAACUGUUAGUUGCAAUUUUAAUGUGGAUAUUUGUUUUCAUGAUUUUGUUUGCGUGGUGCGCAUGACUUUCUCUUUUGUGGUGCGUGUGUGGUUUAGAAUCCGCGUCAACGUUUGUUGUUUGACCAAACCUUGUAGCCGACCCAGACAGCGUGUAUAUGUUGACGUGGUGACUCAGAAGUUAUUGCAUGCACCGGGUGUACAACUAUGUUUCAUACACCACACAUCUAAAAGGUUCUAUUGGAAAGGAUUUAAAUCAAAAUCAAAAUCUAAAUCCCGAGACCCAAGUUCGAAUCCUAGUUGAUUCACAUUUCCAGCUAAGUUUAUUUCUUAGUAAAAUAAAACGAAGCGGAUAACGUGCUACCUAUCUCUCAAAAAAAAAAAAAAAAAAGCAAAAUCUUACUCAUCAGAUAAAUAAUAGCAUUUUUCUACUGUUAAUUGUCAACAUUAAUUACUAGAUGUUUUAGUAAUAAAUUUUUUAAUUCUUAUAAUUUUUUUUAUACAGGUUGCGCCCUCGACCUUAAGACAUUUUUAGCACAAAAAUUAGGCGCAGUGCAUGAAGCAUACAGGUGCACCGUGCACAAGAUGCAGAAAAAAUUCUCUUUGUUAAUAAAAGAUCAAGUCAUAGUUUUUGUACCCUAUGAAGUGAAUCAGUUGUUUAGUUGUGUAUCCAAUGGGAACAAUUGAGAACUGGUCCCUCUCCAUAUAGCAUCCAUUCACAUUUUUAACUAGAUGGUCUAGGGAAUAAUAAUUUUAUUUAAUCAUUACUUUGAUUUUCACACAAAUUAAGUUGGUCCUAAGAAAAUUAAAAAAUAAUUAAAAAAAGAGAAGGUGGAAGGUCAUCUUACACUUCCUUGGGGGGAAAAAAUUUAUUGAUAUAACACCAAAUGUCCUGGUGCAUUCCAUCAUAUGGAAAAUGCAUCUGGGGGAAAAAUGAAUGUAGACCCCCCCCUCAAACAAAAGGUUUCAAUCAAAGUUCUAUUUUCUUUACUUUUCAUUUGAAAAAUUGUAGAUUAUUGCAUUAAAAUUUACAUUAAACACGUAAGUGACUAUAUCAAAUUUACAAGGUUUCAAUUACUUUUGAGCGAAUAAAACUGAGUAACGAUUAGUAAUAAAGCUAUUUUUUAAGAAAAAUUUCAACCUAAUUGAUUAAAAUAGUUUGAAGAUCGAAGAACUUCAAGGAAAUAUGGAUUAAAUCAAUUCUCGGUUCUAUUUCAAUUGCAAGUGCAUCGUAUCCGGCAAUUCAAGCUGUUUCGGCACCGAAUUCUGAUUAGUUGUAUUCGGGCAUCACAAUAUACAGAUCCGAUCCGAUCCGAUCCGAUCCGAUCCAAUUGCAUUCCCGUCCCGCGAUGCCGAUUCGCCGAUCUCCGCCGACUCUCCGCCCACUUCCACCACCGCCACCUUCGCCGCCUCCCACGGCCGAAACCUCUCGAAACCCUAACCCUAAUCGGCGACCAUCCUCUUCCUCCACUCCUCUACAAUGCAAUGCCCCAUUGAUUAUUGUCAAAUCGACGCAAAAGAGCGCUUUUGUCCUCUCUGCGACUCCGUGAGCACAUCGUUGAUCUUUGUGAGGUUCAUAAUUCAGUUUGAAAAUUUGUGCAUUGACAUUGAAUGCUUUGUCCUGUUGUGUAUUUUGCAGUGGAAUUAAAUGAUCACAAGUAAAUCAAUUGCCUAUUUGGUUCAGUAUAGCAUCUGGGAAACAGAAAAAUUCGGCAGCUUUUGCGGUGGCAAGACGUAAAAAAUAAGAUUUUGAGUGCCAAUAGCAAGAAGCUCCAAUUUGGAGCUUUUGAAACUGACAUGUAGAGAACCUGUUGGGGAAAUUUUAAUAUAGUGCUUCUUCUAGGGUCAAACAAGCCCUAAUUUUGUUUACAAUUUCUCUCUUUUUGUUAGUUGUGUAUGUGGCCUAACUAUGACUUCUUGGCAUGAGUAACGGUUUGUCAACUCCUUCGGUAGAUGAUUUUGCGAGGCGCUAUGAAGGUGAUAAUUUGAUAAUGAUGUUAUAUCCUUCUAAUUUAUGCAAUCUUUUCAAACUUAUGAUGUGGUGAUACAAGUCAAGUCAAACCAUUUUUUACUUUCUUUUUUUUCGCUUCUUUUAUCAAACUUAUCAGUUAAUGCUAGCCAUGAUUAAUGCAGGUCUAUAUGAUUGGGUUUCUUGGGAACUUCAAUUGCCUCCAAUAAGCUCUUCAGUAUUUGGCCUUUAAGGAGUAUAUUUCUUAUGUGUCACAGCUUUAGAUUUAAAGAAACAUUCAGGUAAGUUACUUCAUAUUUCUCAUUUAUGGAGUAUCUGUCAAAACCUAACUUUUUUUUUCCCAUAUAAUAAAGACUAUUUUAUGAGAUUGUAGCUCUAUGCUUUAAUUUAUUUCAGUUGUAUCUACAAGUAGAGUGCGCGCAUUUUGUGCUUUUAUAUCGUGGCUAUAAAUGGUGAGAUGCUUCCUGUUUAUUGUAACCUUUGAUAAGAUAUUAGGGUCUUAAUCAGACCAAAUUUGAAAAAAUGACAUGCUGUUUGUUAUUUAAUCCUGCAGCUAAUUCAGAAAGUUAUAACUUAAAUGUUAUAACUGAGCCUAUCAUGCGGAAGAUGAGAAAAGGUUCUGAUAUUUGUUCCUUCAGUUUCCUUAUCGCCCCGUUCUCUAUAAACAAACUUCUCUCUUGUUAACUUAUCUAUGUUCUUUCUUUGUACCCUUAUUAUAUUUUCUACUCUGUAUUGAUGUCUCCUGUAUUGUGUGCUAUUGAUUACUAUUUGUAUACCUGUAAAACAUGUGGGGAUAGAAUUCAUGUCUAAUUCCUGUGCACAUUCUGUAUGUUUUCAGAAAUGAAAAAGGAUUUAAAUUUGGAGUGACGUUUUGGGUAUGCCAAUACCUGAUCUGUAUUCAUUACCACCAAAAUGAUUAAAAUAUAUGAAUAUAGAGAUACUAAGCAAUUAGAAGAAUUGUGAGCAAGCGCAAGUCUGCAAAGGUAAACAAGGAAGCAAGGAAGAUUGAGGUCUUUCUCUCAAAGCCUAUUUAAAUGAUCCUUUGCAUCCUCUACCUGUGCAGAGGAACACAAUAUUGGCAGAUUGUUUCCUACCUUCAUGACAAAGGAUUCGAACAAAGCAGCCAAGAUCUCUUUCUGGAUAUAUAAAAAGCAUGUCAAAGGCGAUGUACAUAAUUAUGUGGACAAGAAGAUCAGAUGCAAGCUUCACAUUGCUAUGAGAGUACUCUCAGCCUGUCUCCAGCAAUUUUAUGAUUGGGUUGAAAUAAGAAGGUGCAAAUCCGACCAUUUGUUUUAUGUUAAUUGUGUUCCAAGGAUUAGAAGUUCCCGAAUUCAUUACACAUGCCAACUUAGUAGGCUAUCCAAAUGAGCUGACCAAUGGAAAUUACAUAUUUAAGCUGACUAAUGAAAUAAAUUAGUAACAAAUGUUUGACAAAAACCUUCCAAAGGUGUCUGCCGCUGGCAAUGUUUUUCUUUUUCUCAAUUCUUGUUUGUGAAAUUUGUUGACUGACUCCUGCGUCAACGGUUUCAUCAGAUUGCUGAAAAUCUCCAUCGUACUCAGCAAACAUUCAAGAAUAACAAAAAAGCUAUCAACUCUAUCAUUGCUUUCUCAACCAUGAGCGCCAAAAGAAGCACCCGUAAUUCUCUAGUUCUCCCUCUCAUCUUUCUGUCACCCUUCUUGUUUCACUAUUCUUAUGGUUCAGACUCUCUCUUCCCGGGCCAAUCAAUCCGGGAUGGUGAAACCUUAAUCUCUGCUCACGGGAUUUAUGAGUUGGGUUUCUUCAGUCCUGGCGAUUCAACCAAGCGCUAUGUCGGAAUAUGGUAUCACAAGCUCCCUAUCCUGACGGUGGUGUGGGUUGGCAAUAGAGAAAACCCCAUCUCGGAUUCUUCUGGAUAUAUUACCAUGGAUGAACAAGGAAACUUAAAGAUCAUGGAUGGUAAAGGAACAUCCUUUCUUCUGGGAGCAAAUAAUAGAAGCACCAACAUCACAAGUGCUACCCUUUUAGACUCUGGUAAUCUCGUUCUACGAGAGAUGAGUUCUUCUGGAAAUGAUAUAGUAUGGCAGAGCUUUGACCAUCCGACAGAUAACCAACUUCCAGGUAUGAAGCUUACUUUAAGCACCAGCAGCAUUUCUUGGAGAAGCACUUCCGAUCCCAGACCAGGAAACUUCUCCUUUGGAAUUGACCCAAAUGGCACAGAUCAGCUCUUUUUAUGGAAUAGGACAGAGGUUAUAUGGAGCGUUGCAGUUUUGAAUGGAGUGAACUUCAGCUUGGUGCAGGAUGCAACCGUCACUCUCCCAGGUGAUUUAGAUGGCUAUACUUUUAUCCAUCAUUGGGGGAGUGGCUAUUAUUACUAUACUCUUGCUGAUAGUUCAAUUAUCACAAGGGGAUUUACUGACCAUGAAGGGCGACACAAGCAAUUGGCUUGGUUGGAUGGUGAGGAAAAUUGGGUGACCUUUUUGGUUAAACCCAAUGAGCAUCCUUGUGAGGUCCCUAGCAGUUGCGGAGUUAAUGGUCUAUGUAGUAACGACUCAUCGGUCAUGUGUACUUGCUUAUUCGGGUUUGAGCCCAAUGUUAAUAAACAUUGGGACUCUCGAGAUUAUUCAGAUGGGUGCAUAAGAAAAGUACAAUCAGAAUGCAUGAGUAAUGGGGAUGGAUUCUUAAAGCUGAGGAAUAUAAAGCUGCCUAUUUUCUCCUCAAAGGAUCGAAAUUUGAGUCUAGGUAUUGAUGACUGUAAAGCCUGGUGUACUAAGAAUUGUUCAUGUAAUGCUUAUACUUCAGCAUAUCUGAAUAGGACCGGGUGUUCAUUUUGGUUUGGGGACCUUUAUGGCCUCCAAGCUGGUGCUGAUGAAGUGCAAGAUCUCUUCGUGCGGCUGGCGGCUUCAGAGCUAAAGAAACAUUCAGGCAAGAAUUUUUCUUUUUCUUUUUUGCGGAUUCCUUAUCAUACCAUCGACAGAAGUUUUCAGUUCCAGAAUCCAAUUACUAAUUUCCCUUCAGUUAUGAUCCUCAAUUUAUAUUCGGAAGGUAGCGAUAGGACUUGAGUAAUUCUUAUUGACUAAAAUUGGUCAAUUGAAGACAGGUAAUUUGAAGAGUUGUGAACUAGCAUUAAUCAAUAUUGGAAUUGCACUGUGUAUCUUGGGUGCUUUUUUAUGUGGCUGUAAAUGGAGAAAGGCGAAAGGUAAAUGUUUUUUCUGUGUAUAUAGAUAAAAAAUAGUUACCAACCUUGCACCUGUUCCUUUGUUGUUCAACAUGAUAAAAUGUCUUUAGUAUCUUUCAAAACGAUGAGGCUAGAAUUAAGUAAUUCAAACUGAUAUUACAAUUUGCAGUUCGUCACAGGAAAGAGGAAAAUGACUUCGAUUGCUCUUCCUGUAGUUUUGCAACCAUAGCAGCUUGCACAAACCAGUUCUCUGAUGUAAAUAAGAUCGGAGAGGGCGGAUUUGGUCCAGUUUACAAGGUCAUAUGCCAACUCCAUACAGCGAUUAGAAGUACAGGAUUUAAAUGUUUAUCUUGAGAUAAUGAUGGGUGUCUUUUUUAUUUUGGGAGGUGCAUAGUGAUGGGUAACUUAUUGGUACCUAAAGUUUAACCUGGGAUUUGAUUUCAUUCAUGGAGUUUCAAUUGUUACAAUUUAGUCCCUGAAAUUUGGCACGAAUCUCAUCUUCAUCCUUGGAGUUUCAAAUCUAACCCUGAAUUUGACCUCUUCGUAUUCAUCCCUAAAGUUUGGCAUUGGUUUCAAUUUCUUCCUUAACAGUCCCAGCUUUAACAAAGUUUAGUGAUGGUGUUGAUCUGUCACUUUUUUUAGAAGGUGGACCGAAGAACAGACUUACUUUUGUACAGAACAAACUUCAGGGCCUAAAUUGUUGCAAUAGAAACUAUAAGGGUGGAAUUUGAAAUCCAGGUAAAAUUUCAGGAACUGAAUUUGUAAUUUAGACUAGUUGUUAAGGAAAUUCAUUAGCAAAGUAUCAUAUUAUAAUCAGUCCAAAAAAUUUUGUAUUUCCUUUUCUGUCUAAUUAUUUGUAUCAACGGAGUCGAGAUAAUCAAGCUCGAGUUUCAUAGCAUGCCAAUUUGUUAAUGUUUGCUUACCAGCACUACAGGGUUUCUUGGAGGGCCAGUCAGUUGCGGUAAAGAGGUUGUCAAGUAGUUCAGGGCAAGGGCUCGAAGAAUUUGCAAAUGAGAUCACACUUAUCGCCAAGCUCCAGCACAGGAAUCUCGUCAGGCUCCUUGGUUACUGCAUUCAAAAAGAAGAGAAAAUAUUGAUAUAUGAAUAUAUGCCCAACAAAAGCUUGGAUUAUUAUAUAUUUGGUUGCACUUUGAAUCCCUUAAGCAAGGCCAUAUCCAGUUGAUACAUAUUUUUGCUUUACAUAUAUAAUUUUCUUUUACUUAAGGAAGUAUUCUCGUGGCAGAUUCAACCAAAGGAGCAGAAUUAGACUGGGAAAAGCGCUUUCACAUUGUGGAAGGAAUUGCACAAGGGCUCCUCUAUCUUCAUAAUUAUUCUAGGUUAAAGGUCAUCCACUGGGAUCUCAAAUCUAGUAACAUCCUUUUGGACAGCGAAAUGAACCCGAAAAUAUCGGACUUUGGCUUGGCUAGGACUUUUGGGCAGAAUGAAAACCAAGCUAAUACAAAAAGGGUCAUGGGAACUUAGUACGAAACUUUUCUUCCUCAAUCACAUACUUUGUGAUUCUUAUUAUAACAACCUUCUGGUUUACAAUUUCUGUUAUGUUUAAAUGAAUUUGCAGUGGAUACAUGUCUCCUGAAUAUGCGAUGAAUGGUCUCUUCUCGGUGAAAUCUGAUGUUUUUAGCUUUGGAGUGAUACUUUUAGAGAUCAUCACCGGGCUAAGGAGCACGGACUAUUGCCAUCAAGAUGGCUCUGAAAAUCUUCUUGCACAUGUAUGCCUAUUUUUCCUAGCAAUUCUCAGUUACUGAGCUUUACUUCUAUAAAGCCGUAAAUAAAUAUAGAGGCUUUUACAGUACUAUCCCUGCAAAAAUAUUUACUUACGUACAUACCUCUGUAAAAUCUGAGUUUCCUAUGAAACCCUCAAAAAUGCAGUUUACUUACUUUUUAAGUCGCGAUGCUGCAGAGUUGGGAGCUUUGGAGAGAAGGGAGAUGCUCGGAACUGGCAAACCCCACAAUAGGGGAUAUGCAUCCUUUUGACGAAGUUCAAACGUGCAUUCAGGUAGCACUCCUUUGCGUGCAAGAUAUAGCGGCAGAUCGGCCCACCAUGUCUGAUGUUGUUUCGAUGCUGAGAUGCGAGAUUUCGUCCCUACCAAUCCCUAAAAAGCCUGCAUUUUUGCCUGCAAGAUCUGUGGGACGAGAAGAUUUUCGCAAGCAUGAGAUUCAUUCACUCAACAAUCUUACGAUGUCCAUCAUAGAAUGCCGAUAGCGGGGUAAUGCUAUACACUUAACAGAUAAGUUUCCUCGGCUGCUUCAGGUGUCAAAACAUUUUGGAUUGUUUUCUACCGGAUCGAUUGUUGGAAUAACGUGGUAGCUUAGCUGAUACUAAAGUCGCUUCAGUUCUGUCGGAGAUUGUGGAUUCGUUUCCAAAACCAUGGAAAACUAGUAAGUUGAAUAUUGAGGAUCCUGAAGUUUUCAUGGAGAAAUACACCACAAUGCAACUUCUCCCUUUUAAUUAGUUUCUUUUUUCUUUUUCUUUUUUCAUGUGGGAAAGUGCAAAGUAUCCCAUUCCAUUAAAUGCUGGAAACUGUGUAUAAUUGAAAGGCAUAUAUAUUUUCUUUGUGAAAAUAACAGAAGAUUUUGAAAUUAGUUUCUUCUCCCUCCUGUUUGACUUGGACAAUGCACAUUGUUGAUAUAAUUUGCAAAAUAAUAUAACAGGUGAAAUGUCAACCCAUGAGUUUGAUUGACUAAUUAAACAUGAUAACAAAAUAUUUAAAUUCUAAAAUCUCCCUGAGAAUCCGCAACCCCCAGAUUAAUUUUAUUAAAACUCAAAAAUUUAAGUUGAAAUUUCAAAUAAACUUGGAAACACUCAGAAAAACCUUUUAUUUUCUGCACUGACACUCAAAUAUGAGUUAAUUUUUUAUAUAUAUAUUUCAUAUAGUAUGGAUAACAAAUUUCAAAAUGGCUUCAAAGAUUUCAUAAAUUGGGAACAAUCUCCUAAAAAAAAUCUAUAAAAACCAAUAAAAACAAUUGUCUACUUCUGUAGCCCUGUAAAUUUGAAUUAUCAUAAUAUACCCUCGAAUUCAUUGCAGAAUGUGUCCGUACAUGUGUCCCAACAAAAUUUGUUGAGUGUGCAUAUUCACUAAACAAUCUGCACUAUGCGCAGACUCGAACUAUCGACCUUCUGGGACACUGACAGUCACAACAUUAGGAGAGCAGGCCCCAUCCGUGUUGGUUUCAACUGCGAUUCUGACGGUGAUGAAGGCAGGCUGCUUAGGAUCAGGCAAGGAUGCAUUCUCGCUGCUGAGCAUCGCAAUGACCUCCGACAUGGUCGGCCGAUCCACGGCGUUCUCCUGAACGCAUGUGAGUGCCACGUGAAUGCAUCUCAACACCUCCUCCGGACAUCCUUCGCCUAAUGAUUCAUCCACCAGCUCAAUCCACCUGCCUUCUCUCCACAGCUCCCAUGCCUACCAAGUUCCAUUCAUCAGAGCUAUUAGUGAUCAGUUUCUUUGACACCACAUAUUAUGGAAGAGCAGUAAUUGCGAUAUAAAAGGCCUUUGUCAGCAUGGCAGGAUCUUCUGCAGAAGUAUUAUCUGAGAGAACUAUUGAAAAGUCUUGAAAUGCUCGUUUGGGCUUCUCGCUACAAUUAAAAGUUCUAAAUAUCCUUUGAUGCUAUAUUCUUAGCUUCUAUUUUUGAGUAGAUGUGAUUACAGAAAUCGGGCCAAAUAAGAACAAAGUAUUGUUCAGUUUUAUCACUUACAUGACCAAGGAGGCUGAGAGAAUUGCCAUAUUGGUGAAAGCCUGCAUUUCUCAAUCCGCUUACAAUCUCCAGAAGCAAGACCCCGAAGCUAAAGACAUCAGAUUUGACAGAGAAAAGACCUUCCAUUGCAUAUUCAGGAGACAUAUAACCACUGAAAAACAUCAAGAAACCAAAUACUUUCCUCAAAAAAUAAAUAAAUAGAUUGUACAACCUGAGGACAAAAUAAGAAUUAAGCAGUACUUACUAAGUUCCAACAACCCUGUUUGUGUUGGCUUGUGUUUCGUUUGAGCCAAAUAUUCUUGCCAUGCCAAAAUCUGAUAUCUUUGGAUUCAUCUCUUCAUCCAGGAGAAUGUUGCUGGCUUUCAGAUCCCUGUGAAUAAUUCUCAGUCUAGAGUGCUUGUGAAGAUAAAGAAGGCCCUGAGCUAUCCCAUCGAUUAUGUUAAAACGCUUUCUCCAUUCUAGUAGUGUUCUUGCCGUUUUGUCUGAAAACAUCACAAUUCCAUGAUUGAGAACUGUUAAAGAACCAAUAAUCAAAAUUUGAAGAUAAAAGUAUUAAUUGAAUUGAAACAAACCGAAGAGGAAGAAAUCCAAGCUUUUGUUUGGCAUGUAUUCGUAGACGAGUAUCUUUUCUUCUCCUUGAAUGCAACAACCCAGGAGCCUAACCAAAUUUCUGUGCUGAAGCUUGGCUAUAAGUAGAAUCUCAUUCUUAAAUUCCACUAGACCUUGUCCUGAAUGUGCAGCAAGUCUUUUAACUGCGAUAUCCUGCCCCCCUGGCAACAAGCCCUGAAAUAAGUUUUGUAAAGCAAAAACAAUAUGUGAUUAUGUUUUGAAUACUAGUUGAAGCCCAUAUUAACAGUGUGUAUUUUCUCUCUCUCUCUCUCUCUCUCUCUCUCGAAAACAAGUAACUGAAUUUUCGACUGUUUGAUGAUUGCAAUAUUGCAAAAAACAUUCUGUGUGUUGCCUAAAAAGGGAUGCCACUUUAAGAGACGAAUUAAAGAUGUUAACAGAUACAAGGAGGCUUCUAUCAUCCAAUCAGCAUUUUGUAGGUUACAUAAAAGAUAAAUUACAUAGUAUUUGGGGUAAUGCUUACCGUCAUCAGCUGCAGAGUAGAAAGAAAUGGCAAUACAAAAGUUUAUCCGCUAGCCCUUCUAGUCCAUCAAGCUGUGGUAUAAGGCGUCAACUAAGAUUGCAAUUUUUAUCCUCAUACUAAUUGUAGAAAUGACAAAAUCUCAAACUUAUCUUUCUUUUAUUCUUAGACGAUCCUUAUGGAUCAUAAUGAUCAAGCACGCUAAUGAGAUGGAGUCAAAGAUAUUAUAAGUCUGUAACUAAAACUGGUCUGAUAUUCAUAGGCAUCGAUAUGCUUGUGACCCGGCUAUAUCUGAGUGGCCUAUUUGGAUGGUUCAGUAUAUAUAUUUUGUUUACCGAGGGACGUGGUAAUUAGUUGAUAAGGAGUAUGUCAAACAUCAGCAAUUACAAAGUCUAUGUAUAUAUACCCUUCCCUAUUAAUUAGAACUUCAAUAACUGCUCCCACAUGAAUCACUAGAAAUAAGGGGUUCAGAGAUGGCAUAUAUCCAGGCAUUUGCUCUUUAGGAUAUCCGUUUCUCGAAGGAUAUAACACAAACAAACAUACAUUUACCUUGUAGACAGGUCCAAACCCACCCUCUCCAAGUUUGUUCUCAGCUGAAAAGUUAUUUGUGGCAUUGCUAAUGCGAGAGAAAUCAAACAUGGAGAAUUGAGAUCCCCUCUCCUCAGUUUCCCAAAGACUAAUUGCUUCAGUAGUGCCGAAAGUGAUUACUGAUUGUUGACCAUACGAUUUCUUUCUCCCUAAAUAAAAAAAAUGAAAUCUCUUUUCAAGUUAUACAUGCCAUCAAAGAGGCACUAAGAAACCCUAGCUUGCACUUAUGAUCUUCGUACAGUUGAUUACCUCUAUUUCUGCGUCUUCUGGUCCACAUAAGACACAACAGAGAGCAAAAGAUGAGAAACGAGAGAGUUGUUGUGAUACCAACAAUAAGGUUCUUCCUCUUCUUCCUCUUCUUCCUCUUGUCCCCUGUAUGUAAAAAUAGAGCCUUUAGUGAUUUAAUAUCACCUAAAUCGCCACCUCUAAUUAAGGAAAGAAGCAAAGGAUACAAUUUUAUUCUCAAUCAUUCUGCAACAACAUUUCAACAUUAGCAAGGGCCUUUUUGGCCUAGAUUCUGAAAAAAUAAUUUCUGCAUAAUUAAUUUUAAUUUGGAGAAUUGAUUUUGGUUAAAAGUUGUAGAGCGUUUGACUAAGUUUAGAUGAAAAGCGAUUUUUCUAAAGUGAUUUUGUAAAACUGUUUGGCAAAAAAAAUUUGAUAUUUGCAAAUAAUAAAUUGUUUACUAAAUUUUAUUUUAAAAUAAUUUAAAAUUUGAAUUUUAUCUUCCUGACACUGAACAGCAUCAAUCAAUCUCAGCUAACAGAUAUUAGAAUGGACACUUAUCCACACUCAACUCUAUAAGAUAUAUUUUUAUCAUACCUGCAGAUGCAAACUCUGAUGCAGCAAGACGGAUAUAAAUAGUUCCGUUAGCAACUUUGGAAUCAUUGUAAUCGCUUGGAUUAAGUACCUUCAAGUUCAUAAGUUCUCCCUCCCACAAGUUGCACGUUGCUAACAUGGCAUAAGCAGUACAAUUACAGUUAUUCAGGCAUUCUGAUUCACAUUCUUCGGCCCUCCCAACAUAAAAUACUUGUGGAUUCAGAGGAAAAACCAUAUUGGAUGUCUCAACAAAUCUAUCGAUCUCUCCGCUACUCCCACAUUGUAGAUUUGCCAUCCUAGGGCACCCAGUAAAAGCUAGAUUUUUCCAAUCUGUCGGAGACUUUGGUACGAAACCUGUCAAGCACGAACAAGGGGGGGAUCCUAAUGAGUCACAGACGCCAAAUGAUCCACAAGCAUUAUACACAUCGCAGUAGGACCUUGGCAGAGCCCAAGAUAGAAGCCACCCCUGAUCAUCCUUUAUCCAUGUUAGCCACUGGAUUUGUCCCGCUGAGUCAAUCACGAACAUAGAUGGAACGUCUUUACUAUCGUAAGUGUAGGUGACGUAUAUCUCGAUUUCGUCGCGAUAGACAAAUUCAAAAGAUACAGAACUAAUUGUCGAAGAUGGAUUCCCGAUUUGUUUUGUACCGUUCCAGAAUCCGGAGGUCCAGUAAACCCUCUCCUUCCGCCAGAUGGAGAGUUGGUCCGAGCUGAGCGGAUCAACGCCAAAAGAGAAAUCUCCCGGAGAAGGAUCAUCGGAGCUUGCCCAUGAAGUUAAUAGCCGGUUUUGCCGGCCGAAGAGUCCGAUCUUCAUGCCGGGGAGCCAGGUAUCAGUAGGGUCAUCAAAGCUCUGCCACAGUAUGUUCGACGAAUUGCCGCUUUCACUCAACACGAAAUUGCCAGAGUCCAAGAUGGUGGCCUUUGCGUCUCUCAUUCCGGAGCCAAACCCCAACGUGGUGGAACUCCCCUUGCCGUCCACGACCAUCAGAUCGCCGUCGUAGUUGACAACAAGAGAGCCGGUCGCAUCGACCAGCGGACUGCCUCUGUUGCCGACCCACACUACAGUUUGGCUCGGAAUUUGGUCGAACCAUAUUCCGACGUAUCGGUUUGCGGAAUUGCCGGGGCUAAAGAAGCCGAGCUGGAAGGUUCCGCUUGCGGAAACCAGUGUUUUGCCGUCCGGAAGCGAUUGGUUCGCUAACAGAGAGUCCGUCGUCGAACACGAACAUCGAGAUGUCAAAGCAAAUACACCAAUCAGAUGAAGCAGAGUAAAGCUGCUGCUGCUGCUUCUUACCAUGGAUGAAUCCAAGAUCGAGCCGACUUAUUAAGGCCAAAUGCCGAAGAUCUUGCGGUGAUUUUCGCUUCUUCUUCUUCGUUGAGCUAAUAGUCAAACCAUUGGCUGGGGCGAAGAUGAUGAGAUGUUCGCAAUUCACCAUUUCCUGCUUUAGUCCAAGGGAAGGGUCAGAUAAAUGAUUAAACUUUCUUUGUUUGUUUAAGUCUCCAUGGAUAGGGACCCUUUUUCCUUACCACACUCGCGUCCUUUACGGAGAACGAUGACCCAGAUAUUGGUCUCCUCCAUCCGUGGGGUCCAAAGAAAAUUCUACGCGCCAUUACCAACGACUUCGAGAGGACGAAGAAGAAGAGGAGGAAGAGGAAGAGAACGGGAUCAGAAGACACCCUAACCCGCCGCCGCGGCUCGAGACGGUUUCGCCACGUUGAGAGGUCUCAGUGUGUUAGUAGUGAGUUGGGUUAGGACCAGCUACAAUACCAGGCCCGGCCUAUUAAAUAAAAUAUGGGCCGCACUCGGCCCAAUACACAUAAGUAAAGAUUUGGGCCUAAUAGUAUAUGUUUAUUUUUAUUCCUCUAUUUACCAACAAUCUAUGCGGGAUUAUUCUUAUGUUGAUUUUUUAAAUUGGCAUGCUGGAUUUUUAAGAAAGAAACAUAUGAAGUAAUGAUUCUAAUUUAAAGAAACUAGUUGAGCAAAUUAAUUAUCCGUAGUAAGCUUACCCAUUAAGUAGUUAAUGAUGGUCAAUUAGCAUCAUGAUGAUAAUGAAGACAAAGUCUAAUUUCUCAGAUAUAAUGGGUUGCUUAAAAUUUUCGACUUGAAACAAAUAACAUUUGAUCACAUUACAUUACUGGUGGCACAGUUUGUGGAUAUUCGAAAUACAAGUUCAAAGCUCGAACUGUGCGGUUCAUAAAGAGAGUGCGCUUUGCGAUCGAGUUAUUGAGUACUUCAAACUCAUGAAUAGAGAUGAUAUAUAUAUAUAUAUAUGAUGUAUAAGUUUCCAAAUAUAUAAAAGAGUACAGCUUAAGAAGUUUCUGUUUAGGAGGAGGACUAAUAUAUUGAUUUGGAGGAUCUUUCCUCACCCUUCACAGCUUCAUCAAGAAGAGAGAACAUGGCUUUUUUGUUGGCUUGUUUAAAAUAAUGUACUAAGGAGUGCUUACACUCUCUUCCUCCAGCGAAGAAUCCAAGAUGGCCCUUUUCCAAAGUUCUAGCUUCUCUCCCCUCCAAUAUUUCUUUAUUUUAGCUUAAUUCCUCAGCUUAAGCUUUUCGAUUAUUCCCUUCUUUCAACAGUAUAUGUUGAGUCAUUGUUGCUUUUGGGGGGCGAGAGAGAGAGUGAGAGAGAAGCUUACUUAUAUUCUUUCAACCUUCAUUAGAUUCUGCUUUAUUACAAAAAUUAGUCCUAAAUUUUUUUUGAGAAAAAAAUUAGUCCUAAAUUAAACUAACAGUGCAUACAGUUUUAUCCAUAACAUUUUUAUACUUAGACGUAUACAUGUCAACAGCCAAGUUCAAUACAAAAUAUUUAGAAAUUUUUGAUGAUUAAGUUACUAUUAAUUAGCUUUUAUAUAGUAUAAGCAUUACAAAGAAGAUUUCUAGAUCCAACGGAAGAGACGAGAGGGGCAAAUAUUUAACACUAGCUAAUUAAUGCGUUAGUACUCUAAUAGGUUGUAACAUUGGAUCCAUGCAAUGGUUAAAAAAAAUGUUUCAUGAAAAAUAUGAGUGUGAAUGUAUGACCAUAAGGACUCAAUUGCUAGAUAAAUUGCGGCUGGGGUGUCGAACUACAAAAAUCGCAAGCAAAGAACCAUGCAGAGAAAUGGAAGAACCCAUGCAACUUCCCAGAAACCAAAGCCACACACAAAGCUAAAAAUGUGAACAAAUUAAAGCCCUCAUCAACCACCACCCUUUAAUUAAAACCCUUUCAAGCACAUUACCUGUACCUUGGUUGGCAUGUUGCAUCUAUAUGCACACUACUCCUUCCCAGAACCUCUUAUUCAUUUCCCCCUCCUUAUUUAAGCUCUCCUCCUCCUCUCCUCUUAUCUCACAACACAAAGUUUAAUUAGUUAAAAUGGAUUCAUUAGGGUUUGAGGAUUUCCUCCCCUCGAUGGCGCAGAAGCUCGGCGCGGAAGGGCUCAUCGAGGAGCUGUGCAAGGGGUUUCGGCUUCUGAUGGACUGCGAGAGGGGCGUGAUCACGCCGGAGAGCUUGCGGAGGAACGCGAGGAGGCUGGGGCUUGAAGGGCUGGAUGAUGAGGAGCUGAUGGGGAUGAUAGGGGAAGGGGACUUGGAUGGGGAUGGGGCUUUGGAUCAGAUGGAGUUUUGCAUUCUCAUGGUUAGGCUCAGCCCUGAGCUCAUGCAAGGGUCCCAACAGAUGUUUGAAGAGGUUAUUCUUGGGAUGUAGUUGCAUUGCAUGAUCAGUUAUACGUACACAUUUUUGAUUUGUGCUACAACAACAACUCAAAAGUUAAUUCUCAUGCAAUUGUAAUCGAUCCCCCCUCUCUCUCUCUUUCUAAUUUACAGAUAAUUGAUGAACAAUUUUCUUUUCUUUAAUUUCCUUUUUGAUUCUCAAUAUCUUUUCCUUUUUUUUUUUUUGACUAGAACGAUAUAUAGGUGGAAUUAAUAAUGAUUUGUACUCCUGCUAAAGAAGAACAAUAAUUUAUGAAUAAUAUCACGACUCUUGUGAUCAAAUGAAGUUCCAACUUUUGUUUUGAAUGCAAUUUCUAUUGAAUCGACAUCAGCAGUUGUCGAUAAGUCGUAAAUUAUUAAUGUAAAAGCAUGCAUUAAUUAUCUUGCAGUAUAUAUGUAAAGCAAAAUAAUUAGUAAGGCUGAAAUUUGAUUAAUUCAUGCGGAAAAAUAAAAAGGCUUCUAUAGGUCUGAUUUCUGAAUAGAGUAGCAAUUCAGAAAGCUAUGAUAAUUUUUUCUUGCUAAUCCUGAAAUUUUUUUGUCAUCCUGUUUAAGCUUGGAGUAGAAGCUUCAAAAUAUAGAGGUCUUUUGUUUCUUUUUUUUGAGAGAGAGAGAGAUAGGUAGCACGCUACCCGUUUUGUUUAUUUCACUUAGAAAUAAACUUAGCUGCAAAUGUGAAUCAACUAGGAUUCGAACUUGAAACCUCGGAUACCAACCACCAAGCCCUUUGUCACUUGCUCUAGGGACGGUCGGUAGGUCUUUUGUUUCUUGACCCAAGAACCUUUGCUGCAACUUCUUGCUCUAUACCUUCCUAUGUGGUCACAAACUUUGGACAUCUUUGUCGAGAAUCUAACUUAACUGCUUUUUGAAUAGAAAAGUUGUUUCAAAACUCUUGACAAACAAGUCCUAAAGCGACGUCUCCAUAUAUCUAGCCUAUAUAUUUUUUUUUUUUGAAACAGCUUUUUUAUUUUGUAAAGUCAUAAACAAAUCAUCUUAAAAUUAAAAAUCUAGAACUGAAAAUAAGUUUAUAAUCACAUCGCUGACAAAAAGGGAUAUAUCAAACUAUAUAUAUCUAGGCAUUCAAAGAAAACUAUAUAUAUAGCAACUAUAGAGAGAUAACAAAAUUGGAUUCAUGCCCCCGAGGCUCACACACUAUCGUCUCUCUGGUUGGAUUUAAGCUCGAACUUGCGUGUUAUGCAGUUUGAAUGGUUCGCUUGAGAUAACAUGCAUGCAGUUAGUAUCUCUAUUUGAUAAGCAGAAGUUGAAUAUUUUUACAAACAAAAUAUCUAAAAUAAGCUUGCUUUAGUUAGAGCCCAAUAAAUAGGAGCUCAAUUUCUGAAUUUUCUGGUUGUUAGUGUUAUAUUAAAAAUAAAUUAAAAAAAUUAAAACUUUAAUUCUCAACAAGUCGAUAUGUCCGAGUGGUUAAGGAGGCAGACUAGAAAUCUGCUGGGCUUGCCCGCGCAGGUUCGAAUCCUGCUGUCGACGAUUUUUUUUUUUUUUUUGUGAAAUAUUUUAGAACCUUUUUGUUUUUUUUUCUAAAAAAGAAUUUUUUUUGAAAAAGUUUAAAAUAAUAAUGUCCGAAGCCACUCCUAAAUAUCAGAGCCAGGUUUCGAUCCUGGGACCUGUGGGUUAUGGGCCCACCACGCUUCCGCUGCGCCACUCUGAUUUGAUAUAAAAAUUUUUAAAAAUAAUUUGAAGGGUUAAUUGAAUACAUACUAUGGAUUAUGGAAUUUGUGGUGCUCAUAAACACUAUUAUAUGUGGUGGUCACCACUAUUUUUUUUUUUUUUUUAACUAAGAUAUUUGAGAUAUUUCACUUGUGGACAAUUAGUUGUAGUCCACUAGUUAAAGGUAAUUGUUUUUUUUCGCCUUUUUUUUGGAAAUAUACAUGUCCCAACUUAGCACAAUAAUAAGAAAACAUGAGAAUGAUUUUGCGAGCCAAUAAAUAAUUUCUUAAAAAAGAAAUUAGGUAGUACUUUAUUAACAAAGUUUUAUAAGGAAGAUUUUUUUAAAAAAAAAUAAGAGAGUAAUUUUACUCUCCAAUAUAGAUUUUGGAAAGUCCGUGUCAUGCUUAUACAAAAUCUAAUUUUUUGCUAAAUCUAAUUAAAUAUAAUUGAAAUACGUAUUUAGCACAAUAAUAACUUACUAGUUAAACAGCGAUUAAUUUUACAUCUUUUUAAGUAACUCAGUAUGUUGUAGACUAGUAGUUAAUAAGAAUGAGGAUGGAAAGAACUUUCCAAUUCCUUUCCUCUGUGUUGCCAAAUAUAUCCAUUUCUUAAUGAGUUGUCAUUUUCAAACAAAACAAAUAAAAAAUCAAGCAUGCGAAGCCUUACGAUUGGAACGUAAACCUGCAUGUUCUUAGGAUCUUAGAAUUUAAUUAACCAUUAACUCAUUCCAUCACUGAGCACUCUUAGUUCUCACUUAUUGACUAAAACUUUUGCAAAUAAGAAAAUGAUUCAUCUAAGAACAAAAAAAAAAAAAAAAAAUCCUUAAAGAUUUUUGCAAAAGCGCUUCAUGGUGCACGUAAGCUUUGCUCUCCCCCAAGUAAACCUUCCGUUUAUAUUAUUUUAAUAUGCAUUAGCAUGGUAUCAAAACAUUUAUGUUACAUACGUAUCAACCGCUUAAAGGGAGAUUAAUAAACAAAGUUUUAGGUUAAUCAAGUGAUUAAAUAAGAAAGAGCAUCAAACCGACGAGAAUAAACACUUCUUUUAGAGGGAAAUUUGUCUCAGAUAGGAGUUAAUUGUUCCUUCUAGUGGGAGUAAAUUAAUUAAUCUAACAUCCUAGGGCACUUCUUUUCAGAACCAUAGUUUAUCAAAAACUUUACUUGAACUAUGGAUUAUUUUGAUUUCGCUAUCUAAUUUUUUAAAACUUUGAUUUUACGAUCCAAUCAUUCAAUUUAUUUGAUUUGAAUUAAUGAAUAAUAUUUUAACUUUAAAAUUCAAAUGCAUUGUUUAUCUUUACAUAUAUAUAUUUUUAUUUUCGUAACAGUAAAUUUUUUAAAGUAAUUAGCUUAAAAUUUGAAGUCAAAGUAUUCUUGAUCGAUUUAAAUCAAAUAAAUUGAAAACUCAGUACCACAAUCAAGCUUUUGAAAAGUUGGGUAGCAUAUUCAAAAUAAUCCAUAAUUCAGAUAAGUUGAGCACUUUUUAACAUUUAUCAUAUAUAUUAGAUUAUUUAAUUUUAAGUUCACAUUUUAAAGCACUACUUUAGUUUUAUCAGCAUGUCUCGGGAUCAAUAGAAUUUCUUUCGUGACAAUUAUGUAAACUUUAAUUAUUAACGGUGUGGAACAUUAAUGUAACAUUAUUUAUUUUAUUAUUAUUAUUUUCAUAUUUGGACUCAAAUAUGGUAGGAUAACUCGAAGUCUCCUAUUCUAAUACUAAUACUAUAUAAAACAAAUAGUUUCUCCUAGUUAUUAUUUAAUUAAUCAAGCUUUAACUUCGGGAGAAAGGGUGCCUCCUCACAAAGGGGGUCGCAGUGACCAGGCCUGGGUUUUAUUAAACACGCGGCAUAAAUUUCUUGGAUUAUCUCCUCUGUAAUUUUUAAAUUUAAGUAAAAGAUUAUUUAAUAUUUAUGUGAACAAAUUUAACUUGCAGAAUAUAUUUUUUUAAUAUUCAUGCAAAUCCUCAACACUAUCUUUUGCAAUAUCAUAUUCCUCUAAAUCCUAAUAAUAAUAGUAAUAAUAAUAAUAAUAAUAAUAUGGUGGUUAACGGGUCUCGAAAAUUUGACCCGUUUAGAACCCUAAAAUCCCUCUGUGGUUAGGGUGUAACGUUGAACGUGCCACGCCGAAUCUCCCCUUAUAUAUUGCCUCCCCCUGACCUCCUCCUCCUCCUCAACCCUCAAUCGCUCUACGCAAGCGCUCUCUCUAUUACCCCGUCUCAAAUUCCACAUCAUAAUUCGACGCAACAAUCGCAAUUCCAAACAAUCCUCGAUCCAAUCUGGCGGAGACGAGGUUCGGGAUCUUUUGUCCUCUCUGUUUUUGUUUUUUCUCUAUUUUUUUGUUCGAUUUUUUGGGAAAUCUGACGUCUAUUUCGCUUAAUUUUGGUUUAUGAUUCAUGGACUUGUGUUGGAUUGAGCAGAAAAGGGGUAAAAUCCGAUUUUGGCGAGUUGAGUUGCUUUGUUUUCGGUGCGAAAUUGGUGAAUACGAUUGAAAGAUUGGCUUUUUUUUUUGGGAGCAAAAUAUGGAUUUCAUAUGUGAGCGCGGGGGAAUUGUUUAUUUUGAUAUGAGGAUUUGAUACUUUGAUCUUAUGGGUUCUUAAUUGGUAAAACCAUGUAUCAAAGAGAGGUGGAAAGGUCCUUUCUUUUUGUAAUUAUUUGUCUUUUUCUUUUUUGGGUGCCUGACCCUAUAUUUUAUAAUAGUUUCUAUGUCAUUCUCCUUGAAUUCAUUUACUUAUCUCUUGAAUCUAUUUGUCUUUGGUGUAUGCUGGUGUUAAUUGAGAAAUUAUAUUAUCAGUAUAAAGGAAAUAAUCAUGCAUGAUAAGAUGGUUAUCUGUAAUUCUUUGCUUUUUGUGUAGGACGUUUUAAUAAAUAAAGAGGUUAUCUGUAGGUUUUGAUUGUUGUUGGAUAAGAGUGCAAAUCGUGAUACGUCGAGGGUUUUUGCCUGUAUUUUAGCAGUUUCAAAAUUCUAUCUUUCAAUAAUCUGUUGAGACCGAUAUCUUUGCAGGGUUCCGUCAAGUGCAUGCUUAUCGUGUCAGAUCGAUUUUGCUGAUAAAGAUUUCUUUCAGUCUGGCCGCUGUGAAAAUUUUGUAUGGUUCUCGCACCUCUACGUGGGUGUGGGGUUAUGGUGGUAAGCCGAAAAAUCUAUGCUUGCUUUGGGGAUCGAAUGCUUCCUUCAUUUGGAGAUUGUGCCGUGUGCUGGAGGGUCUCUCUUUUGAUUACGGUUAAUGUGCAUGGUGACUAAGAUUUGACUCUGAUAGCAGAGUAGUUCCAUUCUUCUUUCUUACUUCUAAUUGGUGGUUAGACAAAAGUGAAGUAUAGUUUGCCAGCUUCGCACUCUUCGACUAAGUCGGACCUUGGUCCGUCAUUAAACUGUAAAUGGUUAGGUUUUCUUGCUUCUCGGCUCCUAACCAUUUCCACAAAUCAAAGGUAGAAAACUUGUUUUGCCAUUGAUCUUUUUUUUUUUUCAAACAUUUUUGUCUCUACAUUUUAUGGGCACCCUCCAAAACUACAGGUGAUUGGAAACAGGUCUGUAAACUGUAUUUCUUUGGAUCUCAAACCCCUGUCAGCAAUUUUUUUUUUUUGGGUAAUGCAUUUUAGUCAAGUUCCAUCAAAUUAAUAGUUCCUGUUAACUUUGAUAUAGAAUAUGCGAUCAAGUAGCAGAGUAUUUCACUGUGUUACAUAAUAUUCUGUCAAAAAUGGUAUAGAGACUGUCAAGUUUUGAAAGAAUUUCUGAAAUCAAACAGUAUGAAAUUAGGUUAUUAAUCGAAAAAUAAAUUUUAGGGACCUGUUUUCAUAUCACCUAAAAUAAAUUUUAGGGAGCUCGCCCAUCAUUUUUUUUUUCCCGGUAUCUGCAUCUUAUAUGAAGUUAUAUUUUACUUCUUAGAAGGCUAUUCACCAGUCACGUGGAGAUUUACAUUUGGCUCCACAAGCAACUUCUCAAGAUCAACCAAUGAAGUCAGCUACAGGUUUUGCCAGUUCAAAUCAGAAAUCAGAUGAAAAUAACCCAUCGAAUGUUUGUAUUCAGCAGCAUUUGAGUCAAUCUUCUCACGAAGAUUGCUGGAAAUCGGACGAUUUGAAUAGUUAUUCUUGUCCCGAUGAUAAGGAUUUUAUAGAUGUGGCCCAUCUUAAAAAGAGCCAGUCUCUAGGAAACAUUCUUGAGAAGGAGAGAGGUUAUAAUAAUUGUGAUGAUGCCACUGAGGAAGAUGAUGAUGCCGAUCGAAGAUUUUCAGUCCAUUAUUCCCCUGACAAAAACAUUAAGGCGGUCAAAGUUUCUUUCAAUGUAGGCAACUCAUCUGAUGACAAUCACCAUGAAGAGAAUUAUAUUGCCGACUCGGUUUCCAUUACUGACCCACUUCAUCAGGAAUCCCUAUUCUCCAUUGGCCGAUGUGUCGACCAUGUUGACUCUGAGCAGCCAUCAUCUGAUACGGGGCCCACAAUUGAAAGGUCACAUUCUGCAAAUUCCGCCCAAUCACUAGUGCCUCAUGCCCGAUCUUUUGAGAAUUUAUCCUCUAUUGGCGGUGCUAAUAUUGAUUAUUUGAAUGAUGCAUCUUUUCCUCAUGAUAUGGAUGGAGAAUUGAAUUUAUAUGCAAAAGGUUCGUUCACUAUUGUAGAUGACAGACACGAGUGCAAUCAGUCCAACACUAGCGGUGACAAUUAUUGUACUGGAUCUGGUGGAGUAGAAUUUGGUCAAAACCUUCAAUUUGAAUCUUUUGCUCAAAAUCUUGAUGAGCUGAAUCCCAAGGAAUUUAAUAUAAAGAGAAUUGAAGAGUGGAUAAGUCAAAUUGAUAUUGAAAAUGAUAUGAUCGUGGAAGAACAAGGCGAAAGUUCUAGUUCUGCUUCUAGAAGAGUUUCUCAAGUGGUAGCUGGUGUUUCUGCCACGAAACAUGAUUCUAGAAGUAGUCUUGGAAUGGAGUUGGCUUACAACUAUAUAUCGACUUUGAAUGCUGCUUCUUCAUCAGCCCAGAUGGCCAAUCUGGGUUUGGUCGCCAUCCCAAUUCUUAGUGCAUUUGUUGGGUUGCGGGUUUUAAGCUUAUCAGGAAACUCUAUAGGUAUUCAUGUUGUCUUUUGUAGUAAUGUUGAUGGGUAUCUAUCUUCUUAAAAAACGAGAAGAUGGUUCCCUUUUUUUUUUGUGGUUAUAUUUUUCCCUUUGCUAUAAUUUUGUAAUAUUUUACUUCUGUGUCCAGUUCGAAUUACUGCCGGAGCUCUUCCAAAAGGUCUUCAUGUGCUAAACUUGUCGAAAAAUAACAUCUCGGCCAUUGAAGGUCUUAGAGAACUGACACGUCUCCGUUUACUGGACCUGAGCUACAACAGGAUAUCCAGAAUUGGACAUGGUAAUGAUUCCGGAUUUCUAUUUGUUAUGCUUUCUAGUUCUUGAUUCACUCAUAUUUUGACGAUGGGCAUGAGUUUUAUCUUUUUGACGAAAUCAUUCUUUGUCAUAUGUGCAUUAGUGUUUUCUUGGGUAUUUAAGGUUAAUAUAGUUAUCUAUCCUUGCUAGGAUUAUUGUGGAACCAAAAUAGAGACAUCUGUGAACUCUCAUAUUACCAGCACUUGUUUUACUUGAAAUCAAGCAUCAAUUAUCCACUAGGUUGGAACUUUUACUAUCUGUGGACUUUAUAUCAGUCUUUUGAGUAAAUCAUCAACAGCUACGGCUGUUCUUAUCUUUUUUAACUUCGUACCCAUUUGGACGCAUGGUUAGAGUGUGUUUAUGACUGUGGUGUCGCAUGCUUUUCGACAUGCAAUGCCUGAAAAGCAGGAAUUUGAGAAAGCUACAAAUCGGAGUUUUCUCUACUAAAGCAAGAUGACAAUAUAUUUGUUAAGUUACUAAUAUUUUGUUGUAUAAUCUCUUGACAGAAAAAAAAACCGUAUAUGUGUAAUGUUAUCACCCAAACUUUUCUUAGGAUCUAAAAAUUGUGCCGCAUCUUAUCUCGAGGUUAUCUACAUUUCUUGUUAUAUAUAGUAAAGGAGAUUCUAUUGGACUCCUGGUGUCCUUUUACCUUUUACCUAUUGCCAGAGGUACCUUUAUUUUUUCGUUGUUUAAAAUUAUUUCAUCCAAGUUUAUUAGUGUCUGAGAUUCGCUCGCUCAAGGACACCUGGGUUCUUUAUUGCUAGAUCUUUAUAUAUAUACUUAUUUGUAGUUUUACUCUAUGUUUUUUAUUUUUAAUUUUAUUUUUAUGUUUAUUUCUAUUUUUAUUUUGUUACUUUUCUUUUUCUCGAGGCCUUGUUGCUUCAAUCUGUAGCCUAGUUCAUACUCUAAAUAAAUGAAGCGGUAGCAUGCUACAUUUCUCUCUCAAAAAAAAAAAAAAAAUCAUCCAGUGUACUCGAGACCCAAGUUCGAAUCCUAGUUGUUUCACAUUUCCAGCUAAGUUUAUUUCUAAAUGAAAUAAACGAAACAGGUAGCGUGCUACCUAUCUCUCUCUCUCUCUCAAAAAAAAAAAAAAAAAAAAAAAAAAAUCAUCCAGUGUAGAGAUUGAUUUCUUGGUGAAACUUGAGAACUAACAACCAACGCAUCUUACAACUUAUCUGAUUGAUUUCUGUGGUACUUUUUUCUUUGUUCAAAAAUAUUUCAUCCAGUGUAGAGAUUGAUUUCUUGGUAAAACUCGAGAACUACAACCAAUGCAUCUUGUCACUUCUCUGAUUGAUUUGUGUCAUUCCAUGUUUCCAUUCUGUGUAUAUUACUUUUAUCAUCUGGUAAUUUAAGAAAAUUCAUGGAACCAACUCUCUAAAGAUCACUUUUUUGUCUUUUUUUCACACUUCCACUAAUUCAAUUGUUUUAAUAUUUUGAAGGUCUUGCUUCCUGCUGCUCCUUGAAAGAGCUCUAUUUAGCUGGCAACAAGAUCAGUGAGGUCGAGGGCCUGCACCGCCUUCUGAAACUGAAUGUCCUCGACCUCCGCUCCAACAAAAUAUCGACAUCAAAAGGCCUGGGCCAGCUUGCUGCCAACUAUAGUUCUUUACAGGCAAUAAACCUCGAAGGCAACCCCGCCCAGAAGAAUGUUGGUGACGAACACUUGAAAAAGUAUCUACUCAGUCUUCUACCGCACCUCGAGUACUACAACAAGCGGCCGAUCAAGGCGGGUAAAGAGUAUUCAGAUCGCCCUAGUCAUCGGAUGAAGUCGUCUCGUCCGUUGGAAUGUGGUGGUGUGCGGUUGGAUCGGAAGCUCACUCAGAGGGCAACAAUAGUCAGUCCGUCAAAGCUGUCCAAGAGCCGAGAUGUGCGCCGUCCUCCGACAGGAUCAAAGCCGAGCGAUCAUGAUCGUAUGCACGAUAGGAGGAGGCUGUUAGGGGUUGAGAUCAGCAACCCUAUACGAAGAAUCCGAAGCGAGGGAGCUCUAUGAAACUGCCUGUUUAGGAGCGCAGCUGGAAUCAUUAGUAUCUUUGGCUUUCAAAUAGGUAAUAAGUUGGAAGGUAAUUUGGUUUCUUGUUUGAGUUGAAAAGAUGAAUAAUAAUAUAAUUACUAGGAGUGGCUCCAUAUGCAGUUGAAUUAUGGAAUAAUGUUUAGGUACAAUUAAUAUACGUUCUUACGUCAACAAUUGAUGGCGAUGUGUUAUUAUCUCUGUUGUGAUAAUGCAAGGCUGGUUAUGAGUAGUGAUACCAUUUUUUUCUUUUGUUUUGAGAUGUGUGUUUUUGAGCAAGGCAUGCUAUUGUUGUAUUCAUUCGGGAGGUGAACUAAGCUAAAUUCUCAAGGUGUGCUUUUUUUUUUCUCAAAAAUUUUUCUAUUCAGAUUCAAUAAUUUGCUCAGUUCCCAAAGCCUACCAGCUGAAAGAGCAAUUAGGUAAGAUCAUAUUAUUAAGUAACAGAUCAUCUUAUUAGGUAACAAAUCUAUAGUUUCGCAACCCAUAAAAAAGGUGGUCAACUCCCUCAGGCUUUUCUAUACAUAGAACACAACUAUCCUAAUAGUUUAUUGUGAUUUAACUUCUUAAUCAAAGUUAGUAGGUUUUACUUCUUAAUUAGAUAUUUCAAUUUGUAAUCCAGGAGAAUCCUGUUACGAAAUCGAAGGCAAAAUUCUCUAAAAUGGAGUCUUAAAAGAACGGUGUUACAAGAAUUAUUAAAUUUUCUCCAAUGAUCUCCAUUGAUUUCCUUCAGUAGUGUUCCACUGGAGAAUUACACACAACAAAUUUGUAAAAACACAAUUAUACUGCACUGAAAGAUGCAUACAGUAAUUUUACAACACUAACAAAGCACAAAUUCAACAUAGCAGGACAGUCCAUUAAAUAAUACUUAAAAAGUUACAAGCAGCUUUAUUCUUCACAACACAGUACUCGCUAGCUUAUCAAGACCUUCAAAGCAAAGUGGCUGCUGAAACUCACAAUUACUACAAACAUAAACAACAAACAGAAACAUAUCUUAUAUGCAUGUUUGCUUCAUGCUUACAUAGAACUCACGCUCAUGACGGAAUCCAUGUCGGAAGUUUCAGUACCGACGCUUGAUAUGAUAUACGGGUAGAGGGGAUUUGUGGCAAGACCACAUAAUCCUUGUUUUGCAGCCACAUUUUUUGCUAUUCGCAUGUAUCCGCUUUCACCCCACUUUGUGCCCCAUGAGUUUUUUAUUAUCCAAUACUUUUUUCCCGAUUCCUCACCAUAACCGACUACCGCGACACCGUGAGUGACAUUAGGUCCACAAGCUUCAUUAAAAAUACCCCCUGUGUAAUGAUGCCAAGGUUUGGCAUUAACUCCAACGGAAACUGGUUGGUUGUUCACAGCUUUCAUGAGCUCGGCUUCACUGUUUUUAGGGACAGACCUGUAACCAGUAAUAUAAGCUGCAUGAUCAGAUAGCUUAUUUUUGUCACAUACCCCUUUAGAUCCUUUAUAUGGAUAGUUAGCCUCGGUUGUCAAGCCUUUAUUUGCGACGAUAAAAUUGAAAGCUUUGUUACGGGAACCGCCUGCGCAAGUACCACCACCAGAACAAUCUAGAACUUGUUGUUCAGAUAGAGAUUUUAACACUCCUUUUUUAAUCUUGUAGAUACUCUCAACUGUUGCUACCGCAGCGAAUGCCCAACAGGAACCUAGUUUUGUAUUGAGUAUCACAUUAGAAUCAUGGACUCAAGAGAGUAAGCAUGUGUAUGUACGUAAGCGUAGCUAUAUUAGCUCAUUUGAUAAGUUUGUUAAACAAGACUUGGUGCAUCGUUGAUUUAAAUCAAACAAAAUGGCAAGUAAAGUAAAAAAUUGAAAGUUUUAAAGAUCUGAUAAUUGUCUCAAAAUGAAAUGUCAUAAUUUAGGUAAAUUCCGUAUGUUUUUACCAAAGAUAUGUUACACAUAGGUGAAAAAUCUUACCGCAUGUUAGUUGGUUCUUGACUCCAGUUACAGCACCUUUAGUCCUCCAAUCAACAGCGGCCCGCAAGGGCAAGUUUUCAUACUCAAAAUCCGACAUGGAGGUCUCUGUAGUUGUUGGGAUCUCCUCCGUUACAUCUCCAAUAACGUACGUAUCAACAAACUCCUCGUUUGUAAGAUCAGUAAACUGGGUUAUGCCGAGGGUGUACGAGCGCCUGCCAACUUUGUUGAAUUCCUCGAUAUACUUCACGUUGUCCUUGAAGAUCUCAUACCGCCGCUGCUUCUCCUCUGCAUUCGCGUACACUCGACCGUGUUCGGACAUCCACUCUUCGAACAUCCUCAUCGUCGGUCCAUCAGUUCUAGCAUUGCAAGAGCUAAACAACAAGGUGAGAGACAACAAGACAAGAAACGAACUCAUAAGCAAAAAUUGGAAUGUGAAAGCCAUAACCACAAUGCGUGCAACUAGAAAUCAAAACUUUUUGCUUGUGAGGUUGAGGUCUCAAAGUUAGGCUCAUAUGAAUAUAUAUAUAUAUAUAUAGAGGGAGAGAUAGAGAGAGGUUUGGCGAAGGCAGUGUGAUCGAGAGCUAACAUCUCUUUUACUACUGCAUCGUUUCUGACAGCAGAGUAUCCGAAUUGACAAUUGACAUCCAUCGUUAAAUUUGAUCUAGACUAUUCGAGCCUCUUAGCUGGCUAUUCGAGCAGUCUCAAAGUUGAUUAUUCUUAACGACUACUAUAAAGUAAAUUUGAAAUCACUUAAUCACUUACUAAAUGAUGUUGAAAAAUUAUAGAAUUUGAGUCUAUAAAAUUUAAAUAGUCUAAGAUCAUAUUUGAUAGUAUCAAUGGUACUUUGAUACAGAUGCUCCUCACAUGAAAUGAUCUGGAAGUAAAUGUCUCCAAGAAUGCUUUACUCUCUAUAUAUAUAUCUUAUUUAGUUUUCUUUUUUGCAUACUUGCGUAAGCUUUUGCUGAGGAAUUAAUAGGAUAUGUUGGUAAAAUCCAAUUAGAUACUUUCACUGUAGAAUUCUAAUAACCGAUAUUAGAGAUGUUACUAAUUGAUAUCAGAGCAGUUUGCAGAACGGAAUUCUAAUAAUUGAUAUUAUAGAGUUUAUUAAUUGAUAUCAGAGUAGUUUAUGGAACAGUACCAUUGUCUGUGCACACCAAAUGAGAACUUAGUUAUGACUAAUUGAUUAUGCUUUAUCUAUAGAGAAUGAUAGAUGACGGUCAUAUUUUACUACGGAGAAUGACAAAUAAUAAUCAUAUAUUUAUGACACAGAAAAGCAAAUAAAUCAGUACUGUUAGAUAUGUCUCGAAUUCUAGAACCGCAAGGUUUUCUAAUCCUAUUCUGUUUUGAUUAUCCCAUUAAAUUAAGGUUAAAUUAUGUCUAAUCUAAUUAAAAUAUUUCUAAUCUUAGUUGAUUUGUAUUCCUAAUCGUAUUAGGAUUUAGCUACUAUUACAAAUAUACUCUUUAUUCUAUUGAUUUAGUGUGGCGAAUGAAGAGAUUAUGAGUAUAUUUUUGGGAUUAGGGCAUAUUUUAUACACUACUUUAAUUAUAGUGACAAUCUCUGCUCCGUCUUUGUCCAUGGAUGUAGACCGGUAGCCGAACUACGUAAAUAUUGCGUGCUUUAUUUUUCUUCUCUUUUUUCUCGGAUCCUUUUGAUAUUUUCGCACCCGACGAACUAGAUCUUUUCAGUUUUUGUCAUAACAAAUAUUUUUCUCUAUUUUUUUUUUGAGAGAAAAAGAUAAUAUCUUAAGCUAUACUCCUGUAUACAAACUAAAAUUAACUCUUAAAUAUUUCGAGAUGGAGGGUAGCAAUACAUUUUUUAAAAAAAAGGGUGACCGGCUCUUGUUGCCAUCGAUACCGGUCAUUAGGUUCUGAUGGUAGAGAUUCUUUUCUCAUUACGUGAAGUUAGCACCGAAGACUUUUUAAUAAUUUUCCAUCUUCGUAAUGUCCUAUUUUUGUAAAUCCAGAACAUUCCGCUUUCUCCAUUCUCAUCCUCCCAAUAUCCCAUUUUUUAAAUUAAAUUUAGAUUUAUAAUCCAAAGUUAAUUUUUAAACAUAAAAACUUUAUGUUUAAAUGGUUAAUAAAAUUUAUUUUUUUAAUUAUAAUAUAAAUUAAAAUCCAAAUUUAAAUUUUAAAUUUGAUUAAUAUUUUUGAACUUUAAUGCUAUUUUCACUUUCAAAUAAAUAAUUUGAAUUUAAUUUAAAAAUAAAAACCUUUUAUUUAAAUAAAUAAUAAAAGUUGGGAUAAUAAGUACAAUAUAACUUACAAUUUAAAAUAGAUUAAUAUAUAUAUUUGAACUUUCAUGUUAUUUUAAUAUUGAAUUAACAAUUUGAAUUGAAAUGCACUACUCAUUUAAAUAUAAUUUUUUUUCUUUCUAAAAAUUAAAAUUAAAUUUGAAUUUAAUGUAUAUAAUUAUAAAGUUUAAACUCAAAUUAAAUUAUAAACUCUAUGAAGUUUUGUUACUUAUCAAAUUAGCCACUAUUUAAUAUGGUAAGUAAUAAAAUUAAAUAAGGAAAUAAAGAUUUAUUUGAUAUUAUUAAAUUUGGUAAUUGGUUAGUAUUGAUUUCUCAAUAUUAUUUUUACUAUCGAUCUUGAUUAGAAACCUGUUGAGCAGGUUCCUACCGGAUAAAAGUCAAUUUUAACAUUAUGAACGUCUAGAUUUAAAUGAGAAGGUGUAUUAAAGUAUUUCUUAAUAUCUUAUCCAGUUUCGUACUUAGAAUCUUUAUGUACCAAUUAUCAAAUCUAUUUUCGCUUACACUAGAGGUGUCUAUCACAAAUUUGUCAAUGUAUGGGCCCGUUUAUCUAACACUCCUUGUCGUGAAUCCGGCCAGUUAAUGAGCAUUUCUUACUUAGCAUAUUAUCAGUUGUUCCUCAAACUCUUUUUUUUUUUUUUUUUUUUUUUUUUUUGAGAGAUAGAGAAAGGUAACAUGUUAUGCGCUUCGUUUAUUUUAUUCAGAAAUAAAUUUAGCUGAAAAUGUAAAUCAAUUAAAAUUCGAACUUGAGAUAUCGUUGAGUAUCAAUAAUCAAAUUAUUUGCCACUUGCGCUAGAAACGGUGAUGACGAAACAUCCCUUAUAGCCAUAAAUAGAUAACAAAAUAUACACAUGGACGACUAUUUUCACUCGCGAGUCCGCUAGCGAUUAUUUCAGAGCCCAUCAAAUUAAUCCAGCUCCACACACGCCCUUUCAGACUGUGACGGUGGUCUCAUCCACUCCGCGGGGACUCAGCGAGUACAUUAAUUAAUUGGCCACGGACUCUCAAACCCGUUUGGAUCGGGGAUAAAGGGUGAAAUAACCCCUUAUUCCCUCUUUAUAUCCAAAUGCUAAUUUUUUAUCCGAGAAUAGUGGUCCUCGGAUAUCUGAAAUAAGAUGGUAUAACUAUUUCUACCAACACCUCCAUUUUUCAUAUAAAACUGCUCGCUAUUUUUUUUAUUCUAUAUAAUUUAUCCAAACGUUAUUUUUUUUAUCCCCGGAAAUAAUUUAAUUUUCAUCCCAACGCUAUUUUUUUAUCCCCAUACUUGUAUUUAUUUAUAUAAUAGUUAAUUCUUAUUUAUAUCCGAAUCAAACGGUGCCCGAGGGAGUAUAUAUGAUGAGUCGGAUUUCCUUAAUAAGUAGUAAAUCGGGAAGGAAAGAAAUCCUAAUUAGGUAUAUCAUGAGUAACACAUGAUAUGCCUCCCAAAUAUGUGCGCGCCACAUUCUGGCCGGGGCAGCUGUCAGAACUCAGAACGUAUAUUAAUUAACCUCCCAACCAAAUCUAGCAUUUCGGCGACCUGGCUCCUGCAUUUUCUGGCCUCUCCUUUCCCAAGAUGGGGUCGUAGCACUAGCAACUUCACAAUUAUCUUUUUCAGUUUCUACCACUUAAUUAAUUACAGUAUGAAAAGACUCGGCGUACGGAUUCAUGGGUGAAAACAAAUACAUAACAUCAUAGUCAAGACAAAUUAAUGAUCGACUGUUGCACAAUAUGUAUCGAUCUGCACCUUUCUCACGCCUGGCAUAAUAUCUAAGUUGUGUUGCACGUUUUUGAUGGGGGGACAACAACAAUCAGCACACAUCAAUAAAUAAGGGGGGCAAUAAUUGAUGGCCAAUUUGCAUGAAAAAUACACAAGUUUUGAGUUUUUACAAAACUGAAAUGCUUUUUUUUUUCAAUUUUACAGAUUUUAUCCGAAAUUUUAGUAAAUUGAUUAAAAUAUUCUUAUAUUUUAUUCUCUCUUCUUUUUUUAUCUCUCGUUUUUUUUUUUUUUUUUUCUCUUCGAAGAAGGCGGCGGAGGCGGGAACGGCCCGCCUCCCUUCAAGCCCUCGCCCUCACCCGCGCACCCCCUGCCCUCCUCGUCUCUGACUCCGUCGAGACUACGUCACGACCGCCUUUUCUUUUUUAUUUUUUUUCUCUCCGACCCUACUCUACCACCCCGCGACUCUCUGCGAUGAUAGCGAAGACGGUGCCGCGUCUUCUUUCUCCGCUUUCUUCCUCCUCCUCUACCACCUCCGCGGCUCUCUGCGAUGAUAGCGAAGACGGUACCGUGUUCUCUUUCUCCGCUUUCUUCCUCCGCCUUCACUGUAACAAAUUUUCUAUCCGCCAAAUAAACUCACCGUUCCCACCGCCGCCGCCGGCGUCGAAGAGAAAGCGCUUCUCGGAACCGAGAAGCACACCAGCGAGAAAAGGGAAGAACAAUAGUUACACUACGGUAAGAACAGUGGCUGUGAUAGAGGGCAAGGGAGAGGUCGUGACCAAAAAAAUUUAUAAAAAAAAAUAAAAACAAUACAAAAUAAAAAUAAAAAAUAUUUUUUUUCUAUCAAAAAGAUCAAAAAUCAUAAAAAAAAAAAGAAAAUGAUGAAAUUGUACUGUUAAAAUAAAGUUAUACUGUUUUUAAAAAUUUUUGCACUAUUUUAAAUAAAAGUUGCAUUCUUUGAGACAGAAAUUACACUAUUUAAAUUAAAGUUGCGUUCUUUGGAUAAAAUUUAUAUUAUUUUUUUCUCUCUUCUUCUUCCUCAUUCUCUUUUCCUUUUGUUUUCUCGUAUUUUUUAUAUGUGCAUCUUGGGCCGGCAACGUGCACGGUGGAGGCGGAGGAGAGCGCGACACACCAUUGAUGUAUUCUCCGAACCAAACGGGUCUGGAUGUAUUCUCUUUACAGGACACGUCCUAUUAAUAUGGUGGAUACACCUAGUGCACUGUAGGCAAUAUAGAAAACUAUAAUUUUCAAUUUUAUUAAAUUUAUUUGAAAUAUAUAAUUUGUGUUAUAUAGACUUUUCAAUAUUACUGAAUAGAUUUGAAAUAUUAAAUUAUAGUUUUAAAUGUUCUACUUCUUAGAAUUAGAGAAAGUAUAAUAUAUCAUGCAUAUAUAGAAACAUUUCUUAUACUCGGUGCUAUAUAAUAUGAAGGCCGUGACCGACACUUCUCGAUCCCCUCUGAGAUGAUUCCAGUUCAGAAUUCUAAUAACUGAUAUGAUUGAUGUUGCCAAUUGAUAUCAGAGUAGUUUGCAGAACGAAAUUCUUUUUUUCUUAAAAAAAAAAAUAGCAAGCUACAUGCUUCAUUCAUUAAGUAAAAUAAACUAAGCGUACAUAAUAAAAGCAGCUAAGGCCUCUGAAGAAAGGCGAGGAAAGAGAUCGAAAAAGGUGCAAAAAGAUUACAAAAGCAAGAGUGGUGCGGGGAAGGUGGAAGUGUAAGUUGGAGAGCUAGCAAAUUAUUAUCGCAGCAUGUUGCAAAACGAAAUUCUAAUAGUCAAUAGAGCUUCGUAAUUGAUAGCAGAGUGGUUUGCGGAUUCUCAACAAUACCAAGAGUGGUUUGCGGAUCCUCAACAAUACCAAGUGCCGCUGCACAACAACUGUGUGCUUAUGGUGAUGAUUGGUGAAGGGGAUUUAGAGUGUACCCUUAGUGAAGAUGUUCGAAAAGUUUGGAAAAUGGCAACUCGGGAUAAUCGUAAUAGGAAAAAGGUGACAAGAACAUAUUUACUUGUAACUUGCUUGUGGGUUAUAUGGACUGUAAGGAACAAUUUUAUUUUUAGAGGGAUCAAUAUUAAACCGUUGGUGGCAGUAAAUAGGGUCAAAUCACUAGCAAAGCAAUGGAAGGAUUUUUUAGUGGACUAUCAUAAUUUACCUUAGCCAAUAAUUUAUUUUUUUUUUCGGAUCUUGUUUGAGAUGUUUAUGAUUCUCGGGGCCAAUUACCCCACUUCUGUAGCUCAGUUCAUAUUCGCUAUAAAUAAAGCAGGUAGCAAACUUACCUUUCUCUCAAAAAAAAAAAUUUGUGAACUUAGUUAUGACUAAUUAGUUAUACUCUAUUAUAGAGAAUGACGUAUAGUAGUCAUAUUUAUUAUAGAGAAUGACAUAUAGUAGUCAUAUUUAUUAUACAGAAAGACUAAUAGACUGGCAUAAUACUAAUAUAUUCCACAUUUUUUUUUUAGAGAGAGAAAGGCAGGAUGCAUGCUAUCUGGCUUCGAACUUGAGAUGUUAAAUACUAUCCAACAAAUUCUUUACCACUAGCAAUAAGGAUCUUUUGCUACUUGUGACAGGGUCAAUCGGUCACAUAUUUUUCAAUGUAUAUUAAUUAUUUUGUUGGAUAUAUAUUACAUCAUUGGUUUGGUCGCUAAAAUUUCAUUUAGAUCAUCAAACUUUAAUUUUUUUAUAAAUAUAUUAUAUUAUAUUAUUAGUCAUUGAACUUUUGGUGAAACUUUAUGUAGGUCAUUGAACUUUAAAUUCCUUCAAUCAUUAUUUCGUAAAAAAAUAAAUUUAAAUUCGAGCAGUAGCUUGACUGAAAUAAAAAAUAAAGAAACAAAUUUUCACCGAAGUUCAAUGAUCAAUGGUGUUAUGCACGCAAAGUUUAUUUGUAGGCUAAAGGAAGAAGCUGAGCAAAAUAUAAUUGGAUGGAGCAUUAAUUUUAUCCUAAUAGAUAGACUUAUUAAUUUGUUCUAUCAUCAUAUUUUUCGAUUGAGAAAUGCUAUAUAUCUAUACAUAUAUAUACCCACUCAUCCAAAAGCUUAUGUUCUAUUCUUAUUAUUUAUUUUUAAUAUUAAAUAUUUUUAAAGAAUUAUGAAUCUAAGAUGAAAAGAAUGUAACAUUUAUACAUAUCUCGUGCAUUUUAAUUUUCCAUUACAUGCACAUUUGACUAUAUUUACUGAGUUCGGUCUCAUUAACUUAACCACAAUUUGCCUAAAUUUAUCUCAAAAACUCUCCAAUAAACGAACAAUUAAAGUGUACCUAAACAAACUUCAAUUUGGCCAAAUAUUAAAACACAAUUGCCCAAAUAUUAAUUUACCAUCUAAUAAAAAAUUGGGAUAAUUUAGUACUGUGAAUCCUUCCUCCAACUCCAAAUUAUAUAGAAAUUUCUCUAAAACCAUCAACAUCAAAACUAUCUUUCUAAUUUGGAAAAAAAAAAUGUAAAAUAUCCAUAUUUAUAACGAUCCAUCCAAAAAUUAAAUGAGAUUUUCAUUCUUAAUUAACUUAAAGAUUUGUUGCUUUAAAAUAUUAUAGAACACAACAUCUAGCUAGCUCCCGAUAUUCAAAUGGCAAGCUUGUUAAAUGUAAAAAUAUAUAAACAUCGUUUAAUUCAAGUCCUAUAUCAUGGGUCUUGUAAAAACUUUCGAGUCCAGACGUGAGGGAAAGUGUUAAAUAUAAAAAUAUGUGAAUAUCAUUCUCUAACAGUUUAAGUUUUUAGAGUACAACGGUUGUUUUAUAUGAUAUCAGAACAGAAAAUUCUGAGUUCGAGUUAUGUCCGACUCCUAAUAUUACCAAUUAUCUUACUUUUAAAGUUUUUAGAAUUUAACGAGUGUUUCACAAAGCUGAUACUUAGUAGUUCGGGCACUUGGCUAGCUCCUGCAUUUUCUAAAACAUUUUCACCCAAUUCGAUGUGGUAAUCAAUAGUGGCCUACUUACGCCUCUCCUUCUCAAGGGGGGGUCCUUAGUUUAAUUUCCAGCAACUCCACAAUUAUAUUCUUCAGUUUCCACCACUUAAUAAUAUGCAGAGACUUCAUGGAUGCAUGCAUCAAACAAGUACGUACGGAUCAUCAUUUUGGAGGCAUAUAUAUAUAUAUAUAUAUAUAUAUAUAUAUAUAUAUAUAUAUAUGCUAAAUUACAGAAAAUGUUUUUGUCAAUACUCGCUUUUUUACUUUCCCUUUCUGUCAUUUAAAAACCUACAUUUUACCCCCUUGAAAAAUAAGAAAUAUUUACAGGGGGGUACACCGUGACAAAAUGACUAAAAUGUCCUCACCAUCUUCGUCUUCUCCCCCAACUUAGUUCAGCCGUCGCCCCUCCUCUUCCACAGGGAGGAGAUCGGAGUGGGCAUGGAUGGAGAGGCGUGCAAGGGCCGGUGGCGGAGAAGGGCGAAGGGAAUGUCGGCGAGGAUGAGGGCGAGGCAAUGGAGGAGGGCGAGGCGGCGAAGCGGCGGCAAGGUGGCGAGGUGGCGGCGAGGCGGAAGGAGGCGAAGCAACAGAUAAGAGGGCGGAGGGGUAUUUUUAGUAUAAAAAAAUAUAUUUUAACAGAACCCUAACGGAUCAUUAACGGUAGGGGGUGAAGUGCACAUUUCUCAUUUUUAAAGGAGACAAAGUGUAGGUUUUUAAAUGACCGGAGAAAAAAGUGAAAAAACAGGUAUUGACAGAAAAGUUUUAUGUAAUUUAGCUAUAUAUAUAUAUAUAUAUAUAUAUAUAUAGAGUGAGGCUACUAUGCUAUCGGAAGCACGGAGCCUUCCGUGCUUCCAGCUCGUUUUUAAUGUUGUGACUUUCGAAUCGUCGAUCGGCUCCGUUAAACUUGAUCUAGAGUAUUUGAAGUAGCUAGAAAAUAAAUUUUAUGAUUUUACGAUAUCAUUUGCCUAGUGAACGAAGGGGCUCAAAAUCAACGGCUGAAAAUAAAAAUCUUACAAAAUGUAAUAAUAUGAUAUUAAAAUUUUAAAUCAAAGAUAUUGAUCUUGUUUUAUAUAGUAUAAAGAAUUUUCUAUCAAAAUUUCACGUGAUUUGGAUAUUUCUACACCGUUAAACUUGCAAACGGCUCACUACGGCCAUUGAAAUUUGUUGAUUUUGAGCCCAUUCGAUCACUAGGCAAAUGAUAUCGAAAAAUAAUAAAAUUUAUUUUCUAGGUACUCCAAAUACUCUAGAUCAAGUUUAACGGAGCCGAUCGACGAUUCGAAAGUCGCAACAUCGAAAACGAGCUGGAAGCACGGAAGGCUCCGUGCUUCCGAUAGCAUAGUAGCCUCACUCUCUCUAUAUAUAUAUAUAUAUAUAUAUAUAUAUAUAUAUAUAUGAUUGUUGCACAAUAUAUGUCAUGUGUAAUGAAUGAAGUAGGUAGCUUGCUACAUCUUUCUCAGGAAAAAAUAUAUGUUAUGUGUUGCUCGUUUUUGGUCGAAUUAGGACAAAAAUUAGCCAUCAGCACAUAGCAAUAAUUUUAGACGACAGGUCCACAAUGUUGAAUAUAAAUAAUUAUUUGAUCCCCUCUCGAUAUGCUUAACCUUCUGAAGAUAACUAAAUAGUAAUUUCAUACUAUUACACACAUGUACAAUAUGGUAAUGAACAUUAUUAUUAUUUUCUAUUGUUUACCACUGCACGACAAAUGUGAACCCAAGCUGUGGCUAAUCGUCAAAUCUCCUAUUUCCUGAACGACAUGGAUGUAUUCAGUGAUCUCCAACGGUGUCGGUGUGGUGCCGAAGAGUUAUUAAUUACAGAGAAUUUUAAGAAAACUUCGAUUUUUUUUAAUCUUUCUAUAUAAAUUCAUGAGAUUUUAGUUUUUUGAGUGAAAAUCGUCUUGAUCAAAAGCAAAGAUUUAAUUGGUAGCUGGACUUUAAGUGAAAUUUUAUGUAGUUCACCGAAUUUUAAUUUAUUUUAAUUAUUCACUGAAUAUUAAUUUCAAUCUCAAUCUGAUUACUUUAUCAUAUUUCGCAUAAUUAAUUUUUUAAACAAAACAGAGAAACGUACGGUUGCUAAUUUAGCUACCUCAUGAGUGUAAUUCAUUCAAUUUUUAAUUCAUUCGUAGGCUUAGGAUGAAACUUAGCCGAAUAAAAUUAGAUGGAAUAGUUUACCACGGUAGAAUAAUAACUAGCUAUUAAAAUUUAUGUAAACAAAUUCCAAUUGACCAUAUUAUGAAACCACCAUGUCCAUCUAUUAAAUACCGUUUAUUUAGUUAAAAGUUCAUGUUUUUGAUCUAUGGAAAGUCUCAAUUUUUAACUUACAAAUGAACUUGUGCGUGAAAACCCAAGUUCUUUUAUGUGAGAAGUACAAGCACUUCAGGGUGCGUGAAAACCCAAGUUCUUAUUAAAAUUUGUUGAAUGUGUUGUGGUUUAAAAGUUGACAGUGACAUCAUAUUACCACGCUUCCGAUCAAUCAACUGGUUCUCGGGCGAGCUCAACUACAACUCACCGGAGACCCCCCGAGAAAAAGUUGGUUCCGGCGUUCGAGAGCCUGAUUGCGAAGCUCGUAAGUCUGCCGAUCCCGACGGUGCCCCGUGUAAAGGGCUGCGCGUACAGCGCGGGGUUCACGCUUGCGCUCACGCUCGUGCACGACUACUUGGUGCUGUCAAAUGACGCCCUGAUUAGCGUGUGCCAGGACGAGCUUGUUAGCUAUUUAUUAUUAGGCUAAAAUAGGUUCAAUAGUCUGUCCCAUGAUAAUAGGUUCAGAAAAAUAAUAAGUUGAGUGACGGUGCAGUCCACAAAAAGCCUAAUAGUAAGAGGUCCAAUAAUAAAUCCAACAUUCACAUGAUUUAAGCCAUAUCGAAACCCGCGAGUGCUGUGGCUGAAUUGUUAAGUACAAUAGAUGCGCCCUUUCUAUAUGAUUUUGAGAUAGUUGGUUAGCGCUUAUGAUCUGCAGAACUGGCGCGGGGCCACGAGCUGUCGCAUUAUGCCGCGGCACUGCUGAGGGACAAAUUCCUGCCGUCGGUCGCGUGGGCCCUGGCAGCGUUGUCCCACACUACGCCCCCAUAAGCGACUACAUGAAGCGCUACGUAGGGUGGAGCGAAGACCAGGUGGUGGAUGAACUGCUAAGGCCGUCUGCUAACAGAAUCCGCAACUGCAACGGCGGCAACUACAGUAAGUUGCGGGAUCGAGAGGCUAGCUGCUGGCCGAUGUGUCCCGGGUGGCGAACGACGAGUGAAUCAGACCCUACUAAAUCAAAGGCUUGAGUUGAGAACUAGUUUAAUAAUAUGGUGACCAAAAAUAUUACUUUUACAUUAUAAACGGUUCAAAAUUUUUAAAAAUACUUUUAGUCUUUCUUUUUUUUAUGUUAUAAAAUUACAGUUGUACCAGCUAUAAAAGAAACCGCGUAACCACAUACUUCUCCAAUGGCUAUUGUAAUGGUAAUUAUAUAAUUAACAUUAUAGGAGAAAAGAUCGUGAACGCUUUUGAAAUUUUUUGACAUGUUAUAUUAUAAAAAUAAUAGUUUUAGUCACCAUAUUACUAAUUAAACUAGGUCUAAAUCACCCUGAUCAGCUCACGAAUAGUGCGAGGGCCUGGAUCCGUGCAUUUUUUUCGUAUGCAUGUAUUUGUCCCCAGUCAUAUAUAUAUAUAUAUAUAUAUAUAGUGAGGCUACUAUGCUAUCGGAAGCACGGAGCCUUCCGUGCUUCCAGCUUGUUUUCGAUGUUGCAACUUUCGAAUCGACGAUCGGCUCCGUUAAAUAUGAUCUAGAGUAUUUGGAGUACCUAGAAAAUAAAUUUUAUUAUUUUUCGAUAUCAUUUGCCUAGUGAUCGAAUGGACUCAAAAUCAACAAAUUUCAAUGGCCGUAGUGAGCCGUUUGCAAGUUUAACGGUGUAGAAAUAUCCAAAUCACGUGAAAUUUUGAUAGAAAAUUUUUUAUACUAUAUAAAACAAGAUCAAUAUCUUUGAUUUAAAAUUUUAAUAUCAUAUUAUUACAUUUUGUAAAAUUUUUAUUUUCAGCCGCUGAUUUUGAGCCCCUUUGUUCACUAGGCAAAUGAUAUCAUAAAAUCAUAAAAUUUAUUUUCUAGGUACCCCAAAUACUCUAAUAAUUUAUGGACACUUCGUCUUGACGCACUUUUUGUACCCCCACCCACUGCUCAUCCCCGUUGGGGGCUUUGAUCUCCUUCCUCUUCCUUUGCUUUUAAUUUAAUUUUGAGUUUACGACCUUCUCGGUGGCCUAAGCUGCUUCAACUUGUGUGCUCAGUCUUUUACUCAAUGAAUGAAGCAGGUAGCUUGCUAUCUAUUUCUCAAAAAAAAAAAAAGUUAACGAGACCGAUCACGAUUCGAAAGUCGUAAUAUCGAAAACGGCUGGAAGCAUGGAAGGAUCCGUACUUCCGUAGCAUAGUACCAUCCCAUUCUAUAUAUAUAUAUAUAUAUAUAUAUAUAUAUAUAUAUAUAGGGCUUUCUUUGUAAAUAGCUCCCUGACACUAUCCGUUUUAUUCAUUUGAAAAGUUAAAUUACUGUAAAAAGUUACGCAGUAAUAAAAAGAAAAGAAAAGAAAAGAAAAGUACAAGAGUAAGAGAGAGCAAAAAGUAAAGACAGUAGAAGAAUCAGGACCGGAGUUCCUAACUGUCCAUAAGCUUCAUCCAGUGCUACAAAACUCAGCCCACACCCUCCUCGACUCCCUAAUUCAUCAUGAUCUGCUGAUGAUAUACCUACUGUAAUUAGUUUUCUUAGAUAAGUACUCUAUUUAGGGAUAUUUAAGAAUUUAAGUAGAAUCGCGCUACAAAAAAAAAAAAAAGAAAAAGGCCCAGAUUCUCGUGAGAAUCGAGAUAAAAAUAGGGAAGUAAUUAAGGGGGGAAUAAAAUAUUAAAAUAUAAACGCUAAUUAAUUAGAAAUUUUGGCUAACACGUUGGUCCGUACGUAGUAUUGGUUGUAUAUAAUUGGAUAAAACAUUUUAUUAUUAUGUUGUGAACAAUAGUAUGUUCGUUGGGGAGUGCUUUUCCAUUCCGAGUACAGCUAGGAUUAUAAAGUUCCCUCACAGCUCAACUCAACUUUACAAAGUCUACUUAAACAAUUAAACUUGCGCCCGUUGAACAACCCAAUUAACUAACUAAUUAAAUAUAAACUAUUUGAAAUAAGCUUAUAAAUUGCAAAUUUAAAUUUUUUCUCAUUCAUAAGUGACUCACAUGUGUGGUUCCACCUAAAACCAUAUGCAUUAUUGCAGAUUUGGUUUAGGAGAGGAGAAAUGUAAUUAAUAACUCUUCAGCAUCCAGACGACGCGGUUGGUGGUCGAGAAGAAGAGAGAAGAAUAUAUAAGUCAAUUAUGAAUAAGGACAAGUUUUAAUUUCCAAAAUUUUAUCUGAAUUUUUAUCUCAAAUAGUUUAUAUUUAAUUAGUUAGUUAAUUGGAUUGUUUGACCGGCUCAAGUUUGUUUAAGUAGACUUUGUAGAGUUUAAUUGACUUGUGAUUAUUUUAAUGAGAGAGACUUUACAAAUUACAACCCUAGCUGUACUAGAAAUGGGAAAAGCACUUCCCCCAACAAAUAAAUAAUUGUUCACUACAUAAUAAAAUAUUUUUCUUAUCCAAUAAUACACAAUCUAUACCACGUGCGUACAUACUAGCCAAAAUUUCUACUUAAUUAUAUUGACCUUUAUAUUUUAUUUCUCCAUUACUACUCCUCUACUUUUAUCUUGAUACCCGCGUGAAUCAGGGUUUUUUCUUCUUCUUUUUUUUUUUUAGUGAGUCUUAGAUUUCCAGAAAAUUUUAAGAAAACUUCAAAUUUUUUUAAUCUUUGUAUUUAAAUUCUUAAAGUUUAAAAUUUUUGUUUGAAAUUCGUCUUGAUUAAAAGCACAGAUGAAUCACACCAUUGGUGGCUGGACUUUUAAUAAGUAAAAUUUUGUUUAGUUCAUCGAACUUUAAUUUAUUUUAAUUAUCAACUGAACAUUAAUUUCUAUCUCAUUCGGAUUGCUUUAUCACAUUUCGUAUAAUUUUUUAGACAGAACACAAAAACGUUAGCUAAUUUAGCUACCAUAUAGCUAUAAUUUAUUUAAUUUUUAUUGGUAGGCGAAGGAUGAUCAAAUUUAGCGGAACACAAUUAGAAGAAAUAUUUUACCAUAGUAGAAUUAUAAUUAACUAAUAAAAUUUAUCUAAACAAAUUUCAAUUAGCCAAAUUUCAAAACUGCCACGCCCAUCUAUUUUUUUUGAGAAAAAGAUAGCACGCUACCUGCUUCAUUCAUUUAGAGGAUGAAUUAGGCUUACAUAAUGGAGACAGCCGGGGCCUCCGACGGGAGAAAGAGCGUCAAAAUUACAAAGACAAGAAACAAAAAUGACAAGAGACUAAAACCAAAAAGGAAGGAAAAGAGGGUAAGGGAAGCAAGAGCGACAAAUAACUAAAGCCAAAAGAGGAAGAAAGAAAGAGUAAAAGCGACAGGCGUCAAACAGCAGGGAUCCAGCAGGGUCAACAAGGAGCGAUCCAGGUGUCAAGCAGCAGUUUCGCCCGUUCCAGGCACCGAAUAGGGUUGGGGGCAAUAUCUCGAAAGAUUAAACCAUUCAUUUCCGUCCAAACGACCCACCAAAUGGCAGAAAGGAAGGAGAGGGAAAUAAGUCUGUCUUUGGCGUCUCUUAGAUCAAAGUUCAUGUUCUUCACCUAUUAAAAUGACAAAUAAGUCUGCCACGCCCACCUAUUAAAAUGCCAUUUAUUUAGUUAAAAAGUUCAUGUUCUGCACCUAUGGAAAGUCUCCAUUUAUUACGUAAUUAACUUUUCAAAAUAUACCCAUAUAUAUAUAGAGAGAGAGAGAGAAUUCCCAAAGGAGUUUAGUUGCCUACUUAAAAAUGAACUUAUGCACGAAAAUCCAGGUCUUAUGAAAAGUACAACUUCACAGUUUGUUUAAAACACCUAAAUUAAAAAACAAAAGAAUGGGCUCACUUUUCAAGGCUCUUAUUUAAAAAUUCCGUCUCCGUCCCACGAUCUCUGAAUUGCUGAGGAAUGGUCAGCUCCGCAUAAAAUGAAUCGAAAGAUUAAUUUUUGGUAUAAAAAAUAUUUUUUUUGUUUGUUUGAUGUAAUGUUAAAAUAUUUUUUUGUAAAAAUAUUUUUACAGAUUUGAAAAAGAAUUGAAGUUUUUGUUUUUUGCUAUUUUUUGGAGAAAAUUGAAAACUCAAGUAGCGUAAAAAAAAUUUUCAUCUAUUUUUUUUCACCGAACUAAACAAAUGUAAUUUUUUUUUCUUUCAAUCAAAUAAAUAUUGGUGAAAAAUAUAUUUUUUUCUUACAAAUCAAAUACUAUAAAACGUAAAACUUUUUUUCUAUUGAAAUUUUUUUUUUCUAUAAAAAAGUAUUUUUUACGAUUUUACGUUGAACCAAAUGGACCUUAAUACAAAAUUGGCAUCGUGUUAGCACCAAGGAACUCACUAUCUUUAUUUCUUUUUUCUAUUUAACCUGUAAAAGUUAGUUUGGUGUAAAUUGAAUUAUCGGUUAUUACUGGCGCAAAGUUUGAUUUAAAUGCAAAUAGUGAGGACGAGGGCGUGCGGGGCAGAGGUGAGGUGGGUUGUUUCCGCCUCCGCCUCCGUUUCCUCUACGGAGAGAGAAAAAAAAAAGAACGAGAAAAGAAAAAGAGGAGAGAGAAAAAAUAAUAAGGGUAUAUUGAUUAGUUUGUUGAAAAUCUGAUUCGAAUCUGCAAAAUCGAAAAAAGUGGCCCACUUUUACAAAAGCGUAAAACAGUGGAUUUUGUAUGCAAAUUGGCCAAAGAUAAAUUAUAAAACUUUACUAACUUUUUCCAGCUCAUAAUUAAUACGACCUAUUAACUUUAAUUUGACCUGAAAAUAAUUUACUAACUUAUUUUUUACUUGAAUUUUGACCCAUGAAACUUGAUUUGGUCAAAGAUAACACAUUAUAUCAUCAAAUGUUGCUAAUUGCCGAACGAUCCGUUAGCCAGGCUUUCACACCAGAUUAAAUUUAUUUUGUGGGCAAAAUGCAGCUAUUUGCAUCAAAUCAAACUUUGCGCUAGUAAUAACCGAUAAUUCAAUUUACACCAAACUAACUUUACAGGUUAAAUAGAAAAAAGAAAUAAGAUAGUGAGUUCCUUGGUGCUAACACGAUGCCUUAUUUGGAUACAAGUUAAUUAAAUAUUGGUGACUUGAAUAUAAUAAUGUGCAAGAUUUCUUCAUCUAUUAACUUAAGCUGUUGGUUUGGGAUCGAGUCAUUUACCUUGGUAUUAUAUCGGAAGUUAAUUAAAUAGUUCAUGCGGUUUAGUCAUGUUUCGAUUUGACUUCGUUCAGUUCUCAUCUGAGUAGUCUAGUUCUUUCAAUCAGAUUUCGUCCAGCUCUUACAUAAUUAUAUUAGGUUCAUGCCGUCUAUUAGCAUGGCCUAUUAAUUAGGUGCCAAGGAGGUGGGUAAGUUGUGCGCGCGGAUCGAGAACUAGAGUAGUAUUAGGAGCCUAUAAAUAGAGGCAGCCUCUCGAAGCACUCUCCACCCAUCUAUCUACUACCCGCUGAUCAUAUAUAUAGAAUAAGAGUAAACACACACACACACACACGCACACACACAUAUAUAUAUAUAUGUAGCUAGCUAGCUCGAGAGCCAUGGGUUCGGAUGACUCGGUGAGCUAUGACACCAUCGUGAAAGGCGGCCACAAAUUUGCCGUGCUGACCCUGAAGCCAGCGGACAGCCGUCACCUCUUCACAAAGGAGCUCAUCGGGGAGUACAGCAAACGACUCCAGCAGGCCGUCGGCGACAAUGUUCAAGGCCUCAUAACCACCCACCAGGGCAACUGGUUCUCGGGCGGCUUCGACUACCACUCGGCCCCCCCGGUGGAGGAUUUCCGGAAGCUGAUUGCCGAGUUCAUCCAGCUGCCGUUCCCGACGGUGGCCUACAUACGCGGCCGCGCGUACGGGGCAGGAUUCACGCUGGCACUCUUACACGACUACUUAGUGCUGUCGAACAACAGCCCCCUUAGUUUGCGCCAGGACGAGCUGGCUAAUGGGCAUGAGUUGCCGCCGUAUGCUGUGGCGCUGGUGAGGGACAAGUUCCAGCUGUUGGCCUCGCUGGAGCUGCUGGUGUCGUCGGCGUACGUCACAGCCCCGAAGUUCGCGCCCAUAACCGAGUACGUGAAUCCGUACGUAGGGUGGACCGUAGACGAGGUGGUAAAUAAGCUGCUGCAGCCACUGGUUGGCCUCGUCGGCCGCAACUACGGUAGCGUGCGGAAGAUCCUGCUGCCCCAAGUGUGUCAGCUGGUGAAACCCAAACCGGCCGGCUCGCGGCUAUAGCGAGCUUGAGAGCCUGCAUGGCUCCACGCAUGCUUUUUAAAAUUUUGCAUGCAUGCAAUAUGUUUUCGCCCCCCGUAUGGAUUGCAUAAUGCGUACCGCCGUUAGCUUGGAGUCCUAGUCCUAGUCCGAGUCCGAGUCCCAGUCAGUUUACUUUACGGUGCUUGUUUUGCCCUUUUGAAUAAAAUGGGGGCGGGGCGAUGUCGGUCUGAGUGAGUCUCUGUCGAUCCUUUGUCAUUUACUAUAUGCUUCUGCAUCUCUCAUUUAUUCACGAUUGUUUGGAUUGGUCUUCAAAAGCAUAUAUAUUUGGAUUACCGGAACUUUCUGGGUGUGGAUGGAAUUAACUUAGGAGCAUUAUUGUAGCUCGAUCGAGUUCCUCUAAGGUCGCAAAAAAAAAAAAAAAACUUGAAUUUAAAAAUUUCGUCACCAAACUUGAACUUACAAAUAUCGAUCUCAUUACAAAUGCCACAAUCCCCAGAGAAAACACAAAGUACGACCGAAGCGAUAUGGAUUGGGCCUGGUCCAUCGAACCAUUUUGAAUCGUGGCAACGGUUGGCCUGGUCCGAUAGAUAUAUAGAUCACUCGUUUCUUUCCUGGCUCAAGGUCGAAAAGAUGUAAAGCUAAGUGUUUGGAGCUAGCCAUAUAUAGAUGGACUUGGGGCUCACGGACAACCAACAAAUCAAAUAUGUACAACAAAAUGGUGCGCACGUUUUUUUCUACUUCAAAGGGGAUGCACAAAGAAUAAUAUAAAUUGUAAAGAGAAUAUUGUGAGAAAACUGAGGGAUUAAUACAUUGUUUUCAAUCAAAGGUUCAAACAGUGAAUUUUCUUCUUUUCUUUUUUUUUUUCUUUUUUUUUGCGAGAUAUGUAGCACACUACCCGCUUCGUUUAUUUCAUUUAGAAAUAAACUUAGCUGUAAAUGUAAAUCAACUAGGAUUCGAACUUGGGUCUCGGUACUAACCACCAAGCCUUUUACCACUUGCUCUAGGAACGAUUGGUCAAAUAGUGAAUUUUCAAACUGAUAUAAAAUGCAUGUACUCUGAACUACGUACCAUUCAUAAGAGCACCGGAUCGAGGUGCGAUCUAAACUUUGAUGACAUGGCCCCAAGCUAGCUGGAUUUACUAGCGUAGCAAUUUCCUUUGUUAUACUGUGAAUAUCGAUGCUUUAAUUAGUAGGAUUACAAUUUACAAUUAGUGAGGAUUACAUACAUCCUGAGGGUGGAGGAGUCGGAAGAGCACCACUGUCACUGCCGGAGUGCCACCCUGAAAGUCCGUGGUGCGGUGGCCUGCAUUCUCAACGACACCAAGGGCGUGGAAGGCCUCAUAACUACCGGCGGAUUGCCGACGAGGCUUGAUGCUAUUAAUAGCAUUCUAGCCUAUUUUUAUAUGAGUCUGGUUACAAUACCAUUAAUAGCAUCAAACACUUAUUACUAUCAAGUUUUCCGCUAUAAUGCAAGAGAAAUUGAUAAAAAGAUAUUUUGGUGACAGGGAAAAUUUUAGAUUAAAUAAAAAAAUAUUUCAUACAUAUUAACAAAAUAAUAAUAAUAAUAAUAAUAAUAAUAAUAAUAAUAAUAAUAAUAAUAAUAAAUAAUUAAAUAACUAAAAAUAAAUUAAGUUUGAAAAAUAGAAUAAUUAAAAAAAUCUAUCAAAUCAUUAGUUAUUUAAAUUCAAAUAAUAGAUUCAAAAUUAACUUUAAUUUUUGAGUCUAGUAAUUCAUAUAAUUUAAAUCUAAAUUUUUAAUUUUAAUUUUAAAAUUAAUUUACAUUUUAAAUUAAUUUAAAUUUUAAAAUUUUGGAUAUACAUACAUAUUAUAAAAAAAUGUGUAUAUUAUGGAAUACAUAAAAAGAAAUUUACGAUGUAACUAAAUUUAAAAUAUACUUGAAAAUAAAUCAAAUUUAACAAAUAAAUCAAUUAAAAACUAGAUUUAUGCCACGUAUUUACCACUACAACAGAAUUAGGUUAUAGGGACACAUGUUUGGGACAUUUUUGAGUAAGUGUCCUAUUUAUCCUAAAACUUAAAAAAACAUCUACUAAUACCUAAAUAUAAAACCCAAUCCAACCAAAAAUAAAAGAUUACUCUAUUCAACCCACCACACCCAGUCCAUUUGGCCCGAUUACAAACAGAAAAGAAUAAAAAAAAAAAAAUCAAUUACCAUCUUUUCUUCUCUCUUCACUCAAUCCACUGAAAUUCUAGACGAAAAGCCUUUCCUGUCGUCCUCCUCCGCCACCGCAGCCAACGAGAUAGAAUUUCGGCGGUUGCUAAAUGCUUAAAUAAGUGUUGGUAAAUUAGCAGCACUCUUUUAGAUUAUAGCGACACUCUUUAACUGUCACUAUAUACUUAGCGACCCCACAUAUAGCAACACUUUUUAAAAAUAUCGGUAAUUUUAGCUAACAGCACUUUUUGACAUGUACCUAUAUUUAAAAGUGUCACUAUAAACCGUUUUUGUUGUAGUGUUAAAUUUAAAAUAUAAAUUAAGAAUAUACUUUAACUUUAAUUUUUAUACUUAAAUUUGAUUUCCUUUACAAAUGUGAGAGCACAACGACAUGCACUACAAACAAUCAGUCGCACAUCUUUGAUUGUAUGUUACUUUGUUGGACACAUUACAUCGUUGGUUGGUCACUAAACUUUUAAUAAAAUUUAAUUUAGAUCAUUGAACUUAAAUUUUGUUGUUGUAUUAUUAGUCAUUGAACUUUUAGUAAAAUUCUAUUUAGGUCA
This 375432-nucleotide long non-coding RNA is filed under the name Ananas comosus (pineapple). Its description in RNAcentral is "long non-coding RNA (ACOM_LNC012709)". The stretch from base 346136 to 346216 matches the Rfam family "tRNA". The record is from RNAcentral. Lineage: Eukaryota; Viridiplantae; Streptophyta; Magnoliopsida; Poales; Bromeliaceae.